UGAUUCAAUGAUUCAAAUCCUGAAUUUCCUCUUUUGGGAUUUGCUUCUUAUUUGUGUGAUCUCUGUUUUUUUUUUUUUAAAAAAAAAAGAAGAAUUAAUGAAAGAAUGAAUGAAUAAAUAAAGGUAGGAGUUGAUGUGGUAUUUAUGAUAACAAAAAUGAUUUGAGUGGUUUCUUUUUUAUCGAUUGUUUCAUUGAAGUGAACAUGGUUGUCAAAUGUGAAUCAAAUGUUUUUUUUUUUUUUUGGGAAUUUAGGAUCUGUAGUAACGUUGCUUGCCAAGAUUUUAGCAUUCUAGACAGCUGAAUAAAAAAAAACUUUUUUAGUUGUGAAUGACUUGCUUGAUAAUGUAUGCACCUGAUUAAAAAAUGUGAAGAAUUUUUAGCUAAUUUGUUUGAUUCACUUGUUGAUCUUUGGUCGAUUGUAUUGAUGCAUCGUUUGUCUCUUAUAAUUCUUGGUGUUUCUUUUAUAUAUAUAACUGUUUCUUUGUCUUCCUAUGUCUAUGUGGUGGUAUUAUAUUUUAUUUCUACAUCAUUUGAUGCGUAUUUUGUAAUUUUUUUAUUGGUUUUCGCAAGCUGCAGUUUCUUUGUUAAUGGAUUGCUCUGUUGUUUUUUUGUGAUUUGGCAGCCUAGACUGGUUAAAGGCCAGGUUUUGGGUUUUUUUCCCUAUCGUAGUAUCCGGUAUAUAAAAGAUUUUGUUCAUUGUUGAAUACCAAUUUCUCGUUUCUGUUGAGUGAGCAAGCACAACUUGGGAAUCCCAAUUUGGGAUGCUGUGAGGAUCAGUCACUGGAACUCAUGAUAAGGUCUUUCAAUGGGGUCCCUAAACGUGGAGAAGAGAUGGGCUUUCCCUCUUGUUAUAAGCUCCCUCAUAUGUCUGUUCCUUUUAGCAACUUGCUUCAACAUGGGUCUUGUUUCUUCAUUGCACACAAUCAAUCAAAUCUUCAACAUUUUCCAAUUCCGUAUCAACCAGACAACCGAAGUUUAUGCUGAAACAAAAGUCUCGCAAUCUCCUCCCCCUCCUCUCCCUUCCCAAAUUCCUCGAUUUGCUUAUCUGGUUUCUGGGUCUAAAGGUGACUUGGAAAAGCUUUGGAGAACCCUCCAUUCACUUUACCAUCCCCGGAACCAAUAUGUGGUUCAUCUGGACCUCGAGUCCCCAGCAAAUGAAAGAUUGGAGCUUGCGUCACGAGUGGAAAAGCAUCCGGUUUUCUCCAAAGUUGGAAAUGUUUAUAUGAUCAGCAAAGCCAAUAUGGUUACUUACAAAGGACCCACCAUGGUUGCUAAUACACUUCAUGCCUGUGCAAUUCUUCUCAAAAUGGGAAAAGAUUGGGAUUGGUUCAUCAACCUCAGUGCUUCUGAUUAUCCUCUUGUAACUCAAGAUGGUUAGUCUGUGAUUUGAAUUUUAUAUGAAACUAUUCGUUUUUCUUUUUUGGUGGGUGGGUGGGUAGUGGAGGUCAUGGUGAAAUUGUUUGCCUUCAAAUAUCUUUCUGAUUAUUUUGCUAUUAAUAUGCAGAUCUUAUUCACACAUUUUCAACCAUAAACCGAAAUCUGAACUUUAUUGAGCACACAAGUAAAUUGGAGUGGAAAGCGUAAGCACUCUUUCUCUCCCCCGCUUUGAUUUAGAAUCUGUUUCCAGAGAGUGAUCUGAUAUCUGAUGUGGUGUUUAGGGACAAACGGGCGAUGCCUUUGAUUGUAGACCCUGGGCUUUACUCAACAACUAAAGCAGAUAUAUACUGGGCGAUGCCAAGAAGAUCUUUGCCAACAGCAUUUAAAUUAUUCACUGGUUAGUUUUCAUAUUUAACAUAUCCAUAAUCUUUUCACGGAUGCAUGCCAGUAAGGUUGAUUAUUGAUGUUUAAUUCCCUGCAAAAUAAAAAUAAAAUAAAUACUAAUUAGGAUUGAAUUGUUGACAUCUGCAAAUUUUUUAACAAAUCUGUUAGAGCUUUACUCAGUUUCUAAAUGAAUUUAAUGGUAAUCUCUGUUUCUUUGAUAGAGUUUAAGGCUGUCUACUGGCAAUUGCAAUUUGCAACUUUCAACUGGCAAUUGCAAUUUGCAACUUUCAACUGGCAAUGCUUUCUGUAACUAACAUGUUUGUAGUUUCAUGCCAUAAAAGUUCCUUUUUCUAUAUUCUUCAGUUGCUUGUGAUCUAUAGUAACUGAUAGAGUUAAAGCUCUAUGUAUUGAUUACAACUACAGCUUAAUCUGAUGCAUUAGGAGUUUGUUUCAGGAAUGCAUGGCGUCUGUUUCAUAGGUUAUCUUUUUUUUUAUCAGUUUAACAAACCAAUUGGUGUUUAGUCCAGUCAGCUAUUUUGUAGAAUUCAGAACAGGUGUUCAAUUGCAGCCAUUGCUUUACUGAAAAUCGAAGCCCUGAUGGCUUCCAACAUGUGCUUUGCAACUGAAACUCUAAAAAUGCUAGGAACUACGAAGGCCUGCUGUUCUGCUUUCAAUGAACUUCAUAAAUGGAUUCCAUUUGUUUAUGCAGGUUCAGCAUGGAUGGUUCUCACCCGCUCAUUUGUUGAGUACUUAAUUUGGGGUUGGGAUAAUCUACCAAGAACCUUAUUGAUGUAUUACACAAACUUCGUUUCCUCACCUGAAGGAUACUUUCACACAGUAAUAUGCAAUGUGCCAGAGUAUGCUCAAACAGCAGUCAGUCAUGAUUUGCACUACAUUGCUUGGGACAAUCCUCCUAAGCAGCAUCCUCACACCCUUACCCUUAAUGACACAGACCAUAUGAUUGCGAGUGGUGCUGCUUUUGCCAGGAAAUUCAAGAGAGACGACCCUGUCUUGGAUAAGAUUGACAAGGAUUUACUUCACCGGAAGAAUGGGAGCUUCACUCCUGGUGGAUGGUGUUCUGGUAAACCCAAAUGUUCUGAGGUUGGGGACCUGGACAAAAUAAAACCAGGUCCUGGAGCUCAUAGACUGAAACGCCUCAUAGCUAGAGUAGCUUUGAAUACAAAGCUUAAACAAAACCAAUGUAAAUAGGUUUUGGAAAUGUUUCUUGCUUGCAGAUGGAAAAGAACUCAACUUCAAUCUACAUGCCAGAAAAAGGUCUAAAAAAAAUGUUCUGAGAAAUGAACCUUGAUGCUGAAGUUCCAGCUAAGGCUUCAUUCUAUCUUAGAAUCUAAGGUAUGUUAGUUUUUCAUUACAAACUUGGUACGAUCACAAUCUAGUGUAGCACAUUACCUUUCCUCAGGUUCUACCCUCCCAGACCUAUUAUACCACACAGCUCGGAAAAUUUCUGGAGUACUUUUUUUUUUUUUCCAAUUCCUUGUGUUGCUGUAAAAUUUUCUGUUCCAAAUAAUUUGAUCAUUUGUUUUCUGCAGUGUAGUUUUAUGAUAAAAAUCCUAAACACUCAAUUACCACAGAAGAAAUUACUUUGCAUUUUCUAAAGUACUGUCAUGGAGUAUGUUGUCCUAAGCAUGGAAGAGGGCACAAGAUCUGCCUCUAGUUUUCAUCUUUCGGAUAAACCUAUGAUCUAAAUUAAACAUUUUGUGCAGAAUAAUGUUGUCAUUAUUGGUUAAGCCUUUUCCUUGUAUAGCAUAAAUUAGCAAGACUUUUAUAAGCACUAACAUUAUUUGAUUCACUUGAUCCCAUGUUGAGAAGAACGGUCUCCGGUUUGAAUCAUUCUUGGCACACGGUCUUGUAUUAAUGAAGAUCCCCAAUUAAUUAAAUCUUUAAAAAUAAAAAUACCUCUCAACUAUAUAACUGGCUUCAGUUUUAUCACCAAAACAAUCUUUGUAUCCAUUUUGCAUUCAAGAUUUCAAAAAAUCUCAAUUAAGAACUCUUUAUCUAUUUUUUAAAGCUUUCCAUUUAUAUUUCUAAGAAAAAAAUAAAUUUUACAAGUAAUUUAAUGUGGACAUCCAGUUAUUAUAACAGAAUUCCUUAAUCAAAAUAAAUUAGGGAUAAAAUUAAUAUAAAAAAUACUCUGGUAGUAAAAUUGAUAUUAUCUUAAUAGUUGGAUGUAUAUUGAGGUUUGCUCUAGAAUUAAUAUCCAUUUGGGUAUAAGAGAAAAAAAAUCCCAUUUUCAAAAUAUGGUUUUUUGUGUUUUUAUAUUGUUUAAUAAACUUUUGUUUUAAAAAAAACUUGAUAUAUUUUUAAAAAUAAUUAUCACCGUAUAAUUUGGUUGAGGCUAGUAGAGUUGAUCCAUUGUAUUUUUAAAAAUAAUUAUCACCAUAUAAUUUUUUAUUGAGGCUAGUAGAGUUGAUCCAUUGACAUAAAUGCAUGUUCUGACAAUUGCUGGCAAGUAAAAUGUAUUAUAAUUUCCUUGGCCAAUGAAGUCUCAAUUCCACCAACUCAUUUUUUAGCUACGAACUUCUUGUGCAUCUAGUCGUCGAGUCAUUAAUAAAAUGAACAGAUAAUUGCUAGAUCUUCCAUUUUCCUUUCGGCCCCUGUGAUGCCUUGGUUUGUUUUGCUAGUCAGAUAUAAAGAGGAGGUGCUCAAAUCAAAACCAAGUUUAUUAGACCAAGGUAGUCAAAACAUGGUGAUUGACGGCUGAAUUUAAUGAAUUCCCCAGCAGUCGCUCUCUGUGAUGGCUACCUAUUCGGCAUCAAACACCAAAGUCGAGCAAUGUAUUGUUUUUUUCUUUAUUAUUAUUAUUGUUGUUGAAUCAAGCAAUGCAUUGUUAAAUUAUCAGUCAUCCCUCCUCAUUCCUCAUGAUGUGCUGGAAAAUAAUUCCUUGAAACUUUGAUAAUGGGAAUAAUUAGGGUUUUCUUUUUUCUUUUUUCCUUUUUAGAUGGGUAUUUUUUGUUGGGCGGAGGAAACAUGUGGUUUGUUGUUUACAGGGAGAAAAGGUAAUGGUGGCAUUGAAGAGGUUUUGUUGGUGGGUAGCCUACAAUUUGCCUCCACAUUUAAGUGGGUUCAUAAUUCAGAAUUCUUAGGUUCUAGCUUUGAAGCCAUUUCUCAAGCUUGCAUCAUCUAGACAGGCACAAAUAACAAGCAAGGGUGUCCACUACAAAAAAUAAUAGCUGAAUAGGGUUGAAGUUAUAAUGUAUAAUCAAAUGGAGUAUGAUAGUAUUAUUUGUCAAUUGCCAUGUCUUUGUCUCUAAGGAGAUGUUGACAUAAAAGGACAUGAUGCGACUUCUGUUUCACAUUUUGGAUAUCAGGCUUUGUUGGGUGAUGCUAUUGGCUGAACUUUUUGGUUAAAGUGCUGCUAUUGAUUUCACUGUGGCUGUAGAAUAGUGUGAUUAUGUGUUGCUGGGAGUUAUUCUCCGGUUAUGAGCAGUAAAAUCCUCAAUUCUUCAGUAUUGGUGUGGGUAUUUUACUUCUGACUGAAUCACAGAGUGAUGUUCUUAAUCUUGGGUGCAUGAAAUAUUCCAAGAGGUUUUAGUGUAAUGAAUGGAGUUCUCGUCUUCUGAAAUCAAAAGGGUUUCAGACUAAACGCAUCUUUGGACACUAGUCGCAUUUUCAAAUUCUUUCUUCAGAGCCAUUUUUCCAUUAACCAGCAAUGGCCUUUCUAAGGCAAAAUAUUUGGCUCCAGUAAUCAGCCAUAGUGGGUCGAGCUUUCAUAGCACCAAGAAAAAGUAUCUGCGCUCGAUGAAGUUUACUCUUCAUCUGCUCCCGCUCCCAUCUCACCUCGUAACAUUAUUUGUCGAUGUUUCUAAUGAUCAAUGGUCUCUUGACCACGUGAGGUGCCCUUCGCAGUGAGAUUUGGAACUAUCAUCCUUUGGCUAGAGAAUUAUAAGGUGAUGCCAAGAGAAUUCAAGUUUACCAGUGCUUAAGCCUUUUGUAACUAAGUCUGCAACUUGCUUAUUUGUCUUGAUCUAACCUCAUCUCAAUUUCCUGUUGCAAUACUUUUUCUUCGAUAAAAUGAUAAUGCACUUCCACGUGUUUUUUCCUAGAAUGAAACACUGGGUUUUGUGCCUAAUAAACUAUUAAUUGAUUAUCACAUUACAACAUUAUUGCAUAAUCUACUUGUUGAUGCAAAUCAUUUAAUAAUUGUAUCAAUCAAGUAUUUUCUUGAGCUGUCAUUGUUACUGCUCGAUAUUUUAUCUAUGUUGUUGAUAAAAAUAUUAUUGGUUGUCUCUUACUAAAAGAAAUUAUUCAUGGCUCAAUCUUAAACACAUAACCAGUUAUAGAUCAUCGAGUGUCAUGAAAUAAUUAGCAUCAUAGUAACCAUCUAACUUGCAUUCUACACCUUUCUUGUAUAGAAUGCCAUAACAAACUGUAUUAUUCACAUAUCUCAAUAUUCUUCUAACCACUUGCAAAUGAGACUUCUUUGGAUUUUGCAUGUAACGACUUAUUACACCAACUGCAUACGAAAUAUCAAGUCUAGUCAAGGUUAAGUAGAUCAAGCUACCUACCAAUUUUCGAUACAUUGUUGCUUCAUUUAUGUCUUUUCCUCCAUGGGCACACAUCUUGAUGUUCAUUUCCAUUAGUGUUAGAAAUGGCUUGUAAUCAAGCAUUCCAAAUCUUUGUAACAAAUUUCUUGAAUAUUUUUAUUGACAAACAAAUAUUUCUCAUUGUGUAUGGUCAGCCUCUAACCCAAGAAAAUUCUUGAGUUCUCCAAGUUCUUUCACCUGAAAAUAAAUUUACAAGUUCUCAUUUGUUUGUGGAAUUUCUAACUCAUCAUCACUGGUUAUAAUCAAAUCAUUCACAUAGACUAAUAUAAUAGUUAUCUUUCCUCCAUUGACUUUCACAAAUACGUUGGAAUCUGUAGGUGUUAAUGGAUAUCCUUCUUAAAUAAAGAAUUUGGCAAUCUUGCCAUACAAAGCUCUUGGUUUUUGUUUUAAUCCGCAAAGUGUCUUUUUUCAAUUUACAUACAUGUUUAGGAUGAUCUUUACUUUGAAAACACACUAGAUGAUUCAUGUAAAUUUCUCGAUCAAACUUUCCAUAAAGAAAUGCAUUUUUCGCAUCCAUUUGUCAUAGUCUCUAGUUCUUGUUUGCUAUAAGUGCAAGUAGAACACGUACAGUUGUGAGCUUUACUACUAGACUAAAUAUUUCAUCAUAGUCCAAUCCAAAUUGUUGUAAGAACCCGUGAGUCACCAAACAAGCUUUAUACCUUUUAAUUGAUCCAUUUGCUCCAGGUUUAAUCUUGUAAACCUAUUUAUAGGAAAUAGGUUUCACAUCUACUAGUUUAGGCAUAGUAUCCCUGGUUUGAUUUUUCUUUGACGCAUUAACCUCUUCUUUCAUAUCUUUAAUCCAUUUAAAUCUUUGUGAUGCUUCUUCAAGCAUUUUAGGUUUUUUUUCACUUGCUUCUUCAACUAUGGUUGCAUUGGCAUACUUAGAGUUUGGCUUACGAACUCUAAUUGACCUUCUGAGAUGUGAUUGUGGAGCUGAUACUUCUAUUAUACUAGGUCCACCAUCUAUUUGUUGUUGAUAAACAACAAUUUGCCAAUUAUUCUGAUUAAUUUUUUGCUCCUCGAUUGCAUUAUUGUAUAUUGUUUCAGGUUUUUCUUAACUUGAUUGGACCUAUAUAGAUUGUCCAUCAUUUUAUUGUUAUAGCCUUUCUUCAUACUCUUUGGAAUUUGAAAUCACCUCUUUUUUCAAAUACCACCAGGAUGAUGUUUCAUCAAACACUAUAUCUUGUUAUGUGUAGCACCUUCCUAUCAUAGGAUCACAACAUUUUCAUCUCUUUUUUUUUUGUUGUCAUAUCCCGCUAAUAUGCAUUUAACAACUUUCUUGUCAAAUUUGUUGUAUAGUUGGUCAGGGACAAAUACAUAACAAAAACAACCAAAUACUCGAAAGAAGCCAACUGUACGCUUUGUAUUCUAUAGUUUCUCAUUGGGUGGUAUAAACUCUAACUUCUUUUGAGGGAGUCUGUUGAUAACAUAAGCAGCAAUUCUCAACACUUCAGUCUAAAAUUUUUCUGGUACAUUCUUUGCAUGUAACAUAUUUCGAUAAAUUUCUGCAAGAUAUCAAUUUUCUCUUAACCACUCUAUUUUGUUAUGGUGUAUUGGCACAAGUAUAUUGGUGACAUAUCUGAACUUGUGAGUACUAAGAAAACUCAUUUGAACUAUAUUAUCCUUUAUUAUCAAUGAGCAAGCAACGAAUCGUUCUUCAUACUUCCCCUUCAACUAACUUUUUAAACUUUUUAAAUGUAUUUGAUUUUUCUUUCAUAAAAAAACCCACAUAAACCUUGAAAAAUCAUCAAUAAAUGUCACAACCAAAUUAGUAAUUUUUAGUUUUUAGAUGUGAAAAACCACAACUUUUUUUGUACUCUAUUAGAUGCUAUAACUUUUAUUUAUCAUCUAUAAUGUGAUUAGAACACUUAAAGUCAAUGAUCCAAUCACUUUCAUAAUUGAUUUAAUCUUCAAUUUUAACAUUUUUCAUUAUCAAUGUUAAUUCCUCCUCUUUUAUGACAAAGGAUGCUCCAACAUCCCAUUCAUCUUCAACUUAUAUUUUUAAACUUGAAAUAGCAGUAUUGCUUUCUGUAGGCGUUUUAAACCAACAAUCUUUCUUCAUGUGACCACUCUUUCUAUAAUUAUGAUAUUUUCCUUUGAACUUUCUACUGUUGUUGUAAUUUUUUGAAGCUCACCCUUAACAAAAGCCUUUUUUUCUUUGAUAAUUCUUUUUUUUUUAUCACCAUCCUUAUUAGAUUCAUCAUCAAUGGGCCAACUAUGGAUUAUGUCCUUGCGAUUAUGCUAUUGUUUACUCCUGUCAUUGCUAGUGUGGAGUGAUUCCUCCCAACCCUUCAAUAAGACUUAUGUAAUCUAUUUAACCAUAUUUUCUUAACCAAUAAGUAGGUUCUCAAACUAAAUUAGUGAUGGUUGAGUAGGCCAUCUUUGUAAUACAAUAACAAACUCUGGCAUUCGGUCUUAAAUCAUGGAUGACUAUUCUUUUCAUCCUAGUUUCUCCAUUAGUUGCAUAGGUUCUAAUUUAGAAAUCUCAUGACAUGUUGAUUUCAUCUUAUUAAAUAAUUGAGGAAUCGUUGUCUUAUUGUGUCAUCAAUAAAAACUCAUUCUCGAGAAGUUACAAUCCUGUAUCAUUUUUCUUUGAGAAAAGACUAGAAAGGGUAUCUCAUGCUUCUUUUGGCAUUGAAACAUCCUGAAUGUGCUCAAACACAUCUUCUUCGAUUGUUGUCUUCAAUGCAAACAUUGCUUUGUCAUCUUUAAUCUUUCACUUGCGCGGAAUUUUAUUAGUGUCUUCGGCUGGUUGUGUGUCUUCACUGACAUGGACUACCUUUCAUAGAUCUUGGUCUUACAUGUAAGAUAUCAUGCAUGGUGACCAUGCACUGUAAUCUUGAUUGUUAAGCUUCUUAAUCCCUCCAACAAUUUGGAUAUCUCCCAUGCUAUUGCAAGAACAGUUUAAACUACUACUGAACCUGAGAUUGGUUGCAAACUGCCAGUGCUACUCAAUCAACUUGGAAGCUGUUAUUCAAGCUGCUUCUGGCGCGAGGAACGUGGCUGCUGGUGCUGGAGGAGUUUUUGCGACUAUUUUGUUGCUGCAAAGUCUGCAAGCUUGUUGCUACGUCUGCUUGCUAAUGCUAGAGAAGUCUAAUCGCUGCUGCUGCUACAAGCUACUGCCACGAAUGAGGAGGUUGUUGCGUCUGGUGCAAGCUGCUACUACAUCUGGUGUAAACUGUUCUUGUGUAUGCGUUUUUUCGUUUUUGUUCCUCAACUAUGAUUACUCCUCUCCUUUUCAGCCUAGGUAGAUUUUACUUAAAAAAGACAAAACAGCAGCUACGUUUUUUCUCUUGCUCUUGUUCUUAUUUUCUGAAUGUUCAAGGUGGUUUUAAAUAGCCUUACAAAUCCUAUUAAGCUAAGACUUCUAUCUUUUAUCUAGAAACUAAUCAACUAUCUCCUAACUAUAAUAAAACUCUAAUAAAUCAUUGAUCUUGAUGUUGCAGAAUUCUAACAAUAUCAGAACAUCCUAUGAACCAUAAACUCCUAAGCUAAUGUUGAACUCUAACAUAUUUGCCCCAUCAAGUAGAAGGUGAAGGAUGAAGUUAACAUCCAUUAUAAUUAUAAAAAAUGAUCAACUAUAACCAUUUCAGAAUAUACAAGACAUAAUUUUUGCUCUUCCUUUCCCCUGAAUUCUAUCUAUAAUACAGUGAAUCGAGACCAUUAUUUCUCGUGUUGACUAUUUCUGCUAUUAUCUAAUUCCAAAACUUGUUUUUGUUUUCUUUUUUUUAAGGAAAAAAAAAACAUCCGGUUCCUAUAUAAGUAAGCUACACAAUUUCCUUUGGUGAAAGAUUAUCGUCUUCGUUCCAUUUUUCCUGCACUGAGACCAUCUUUGGUCCUUUAAGCUAAAAUCAUGUUGUCUGGAGCGUAGACCAAAUCAAACCAUCUCCAAGAUUUUGAUAUUCCCAGUAGAAUUUGCAGCAACCAAAGUAGAUGACUGGCCACGCCAACAGACAGAAGAAAUAAAUUGUGCAGCGUCAUCCAUUUCAUGGCCAGAAAGCGGGUCCGUGUUGUUAAACUUGAAGGACAGCACUGGCAUAGGGAAAGCCUUGUGAUAGACAAAAACCUAUUCCACAAAAAAAACAUUAAACUUAAUGAUGAAUGAAACUUGCAUUGUACUAUAAUGUGCGCUGUAGAAGUCACUUCACUAGCAUAGUUGCUUGAGUUUUGAUGGGUGUUAAGAGUUGGGCAAUAAAAAAAAAAAAAAAGGCUAUUGUGUUGUUAAUACAAUAUCAUGAUGCGAGUGAAAAGAGUAUGGCUAUUGUGUUGUUUAACAACUUAAUUAUGACUUCCAUUCAACUCAGCUCCAUUCCUCCCCUUAUACACUGAUAUAAGCUUGUUGAACAAAGUAAGGUAAAGGGGAUAGAAGUUUUGAGUCUUGUGUCACCCAAAAGUCAAUACAACCAAUGCAAUUCGUGUUACAUGGAUUAAACUCUGGGGCUCGAGGGAAAAGAUCAUGUGCUGCCAAAAAGAGCGCAGGUAAAGUGUUGGGAUAUGUCUUGAACUAGCUCACUAGUUACUAGGCCCCUUUUCCUUUUUGCCCACUUGGUUUGCUAUGUAUAUUAAUUCUAGAACUAAAAGGGUUGGGGUUUAGAAAAAAUCAAGUUGAGUUUCUUAUAAGGAAUGGGUGUAUCGGGGCCAGGGUUUGAUAAGCACAAUCCAAUUUCAUAGUGAAGCUUGACCUCAAUUUAAAACGAACCGUAUAAAGUUUAUUGUGUUCUUGUUUCCUCCUUUUCUUUCCUUUACUUCUUGCAUAAAAAGUCCAUCAAAUUCAGUCAUAUAUCUUGUUUCCUAAACAUUAGAGGUCAGAAAACUAAACUGAAGAAGAAACAGAUGCUACAGUCUUUUGCCGUGUACAAGAGAAAGUAGCUUGUAGUGCUGUAAUAUGAAGAAAAGGUAUGAAAAGGUGAGAGAGUAGCUUGUAUUGCUGUAAUAUGAGGAUAUUUGGUUUAUGAAAUUGUUUCCUAUUAUGGAUGCUGGUUAUGUUUCUGUGUCCAUUAAGGUAGGUCUUCUUAAUUUUCAGUCAACUUUUCCAAGGCGGCGAAUCUAAUGAGUUAACCUAGUUAGAUGUACGGAUAGCUCCACACAGUUAUCCAAAAAGCAACUGAACAUUUGACGAGGAAAAGUUGAUUUUCUAAAGAAGUUCCUAAGUUCUUAUGCAGCUCAUGUAACAAGGCUUGUCAAACAAGAAGAGAGAGGCCACGAGUUCUUGGAUGGUUAUGCCAUCAUAAUAAAAGUCAGGGGAUACAGUUAAGUUUGUUUUGCCACUGAAAAGAAACCAUAAUUUUAUCCAUUGAGGAAAGGCGAGGUACCUCUAAAUACUAAAGUAAGAUAUAUAGUACCUCAUUUGUUUCCGAGCCAGUUGCAAUGUAACCAUCUGAUACAGACAAACCCACGAAGUUCUACAACAUAAGCAUACAUAGACAAAAGAUGUCAAGCAUGGACAAUUUUCCACCACCAAUAAAAUACACUUAUCACUGUGAAUAGUACAUCUAACAUAUAAUAAACUAUGAAAUUGAAGCAACUUAACAUCAAAUUUAUAUGCAUGGUGAAGUACCUAAGCCAGAAAAAAAAAGCCUUAAUGUUUCCUUUGUUAGUUCAUUAUUUUAGUAGGCAUUUCAAUUUCUAAUAUUUAACAUGAUGACCAGUCAUAAUAAUUAUGAGCACCCAAUCCCUAACUUCAAUGAGCAUAAUAAACAGACUAUUCUAGAACUUUGUAUUCAAAUAUAAAUCCAUGAGAAUACUACUAUCAGAGCUUUCAGCGUAGCUGAUAGAACCCAACAAAUUUCACAGUAGAUCAACACGAAGAAACAUGAAGAUACAGUAGUAUAUUAACUUGCAAUAAUGAAUUUCAGUCACCUCAUCUGCUGCCAGUAACCCCCAUUUGCAAUGUUUAGCAGCCCUAGUUCUGCCAACUAUAUAAUUAGCAUCAUGAAGAUCAAUUGUGCAAUUUUUUAUUAAAACUUUCAGAGGGUCAUAUGCAUUCUCCAAAACAUACUUAAUAAAUCUUAAGCUAACUUUCCAACCAAGCGAAACAUGUUUUGAAAGAAAAUCAACUUCGAAGGCACAGGCUUUCAUGACUAGCAAAACCAUAAUGUUUUCUUUGUUGCAAAUCCUGAUUCUAGUGCAACUUUUAACUAACAACAACUGUGACAGACCAGGAAAAUUAACAGCUAAUCGAAAUGAGACCAAUUCUCAUCCAAUAUCCCUCACAAAAAAGGUCAAAAAUAGUACACAGAUGCUAAUUAUUGUAUGAGAACUGAACAUACCUUUACAUUCAUGUGGCCUGUGAAGGAUUGAAGGGGGUUAUCAAUAACCCUAGACGUGCCCAUUGACAAAUCCCAGAGCUUCAGUGUGUUAUCCGUGGAAGCAGAAACAAUAUUGGUUGUAUCUACAAACUUCACAUAACUCACAGUUUUAUUGUGUCCAAUCAAUGUACACAGAGGAACUUUUGAGUUACGGAGAUCAUAGUAAUAAAUUCUAUGAUCUGCUGAACCAAAUGCAAUAGAACGACUAGAAUCCAUGGGAAACUGAACAGAGCAGACAUUGGCUUUUGUUUUGAUGGAACCAAUACUUACUCCCUGCAUAAGAAAAUCAAGUAUGAGGAUCAGCUUAUUAUAUGUCCAGAAUUAAAUUAGCACAUUAAGAAAUUCUAUAACAUUAGCACGUUCAGUUUCAAAGCUGACAUCCACCAAAUGCAAAAUUAGCAUUGCCUGAUUGAUACUCCAUAGCUUGACUGAACCAUCAUCACUCCCACUAGCCAGCAUUGUUGGAUCUGCUGAUGAAAAGUCAAUGGACCACACACGCCUCUCAUGCUCUCUCAUUUCUGUUACCACUUGACUCCUUGUAACAUCCCAUACCUGAACAUGUUGAGCAAUUGAUUUACAAUCGAGUGAAAUAAAGACAAAAGCCUCAUCAAAUAUUAGGUUUGAGCCAUUACCUGCACCACACCCUCAAAGUUACUUGAAGCAAUUUGGCUUGUAAUAUAUCUGUUCCAACAUAUGCUGCUUAGCUUUGACCUACUUACCAUUUCAACAACAGGAUAGUGGAUAUCACGAGCUUCAUUUAUAAUUGUGUCACAUUCAAAUACUUUUAUCUUUUUAUUUACACCAGCUGUAGCGAAAAAUUCUCCAUCACGGUCAAAACUAAGAGAGCAGACUAGGUUUGAAGAGUUCAACAAAUCCCCUUGCUUCAGGUCAGCCUUCACUUUUAACUUACUAUAAGAUAGAUACUUGCACAAACCCUCCAGGAAUGGACUUAUCCAUCCACUUUGUCUACCCUUAAUAAACCGAUCCUUCAGUGCUAAACUAUUUAUGGAGCUUCUUUCAGUCACAACAAUGGAACCUCUCCCAUCACCACUUACUGGUGAAUUUCUAACAAAUGGUGGUUUCCCUGGUGGCCUGACUGGUCUGGAUCUUGUCAAAAAAUAUGCUGACUCUAAUUUCUUAAAGUUCUUCAUCAAUCGAGAACUUCUAAAAAGAGGACUUUCCUGUGAUUCUACAAAUGUAUCUGAGUUCCGACCUUCAUUGAGAUUAUCAUCACAUCCCUCUGUGUUGAGAAUCUGAAGACCUGAGCAAAAUCGUUUUCGGGAACCCAAGCUAGAAGAAUCGUCAAUAUCAUAAAUGUUCAGGGGAGGGAGAUUUGAUGCUAAAUGAUCACCCUCUCCUCUUUCUUUACAUGUGCUUCCCUUUUUCUUAAGAAAAGUUUGAUGCUUUGUGACUUCUUCAAUAUCAGAACAUAGAAGAGAAACAGUACCUUGCAACUUAUUAGCUGCAUCCUGCUUUCUUUGUUGCAUUGGUAAAAGGAAUUCCAGCAACAAUUCCUGCUCCUCUAUUCUCUCUCUAAGCUGUAUUGCUGCUUCACGCUCUUCCAAAUAGUCUCUUGGUUCAUUAAGAAACUCGCUUUGCAGCAAUUCUCUGUCAUACAAUACAUGAGAGUAAGACAAUGAAAAUUUGAUUGAACAGAAAUCAGAUGAAAUGUCAAUCAAAAAAGGUACUUUGCUCAGGGUGCAGUAACCAUAAGCACACAAUGUACUUGUUUGAAGACCUCGAAAAAACUCAUCCACAUAUUAAGGCAGAUGCUACCAUAAAAUGUAAAGUAAACAAAGGUGCAGGAAAUUAACAUUCACCCCAUUUUUGGCCGACUACUUGGCUCAGGGUGCAGUAACCAUAAGCAAAAUGAAGCUUCUUUUGGCCACUUGAGCAGCAAUUGAGGAGGAAGAACCCGAUGUCUGAGACUAGACAUAGUUCUGCUCUUGUCUUCCCUUGAAGUGAAUGGGCUGAACAGCUGUUCACAAGUAGAACUAUAUCACAUCAAUGUAGACAGUAAACAGCAGAAGCUCUUAAGACAUUAUUGCAGGCCAUUUAGAUAAUGAAGAACUUUCUGCUUGAAAUAGAAGUCAAAAGUUCAAAACACAUAUAAGAAAUGGUUUUGAAUCCACUCUAAUUUUGAUCGUUAACAUCAUAAAUGCAACAUUAUCAUUACGAACCUCGAAAAGAAGAACUCCCAAUUGGUAGAUGUCUGAAGCACAAGAGCUUGGUGAACCAGCAACCUCUUCAGGGCUGGUAUACCAACUGGACUCCAUCAGCAAUAUUUGCUUCAUUGGAAAUGGUUGUUUCCUUUCUUCUUCAUGUUCAACGUUCCUCGUACCAAGGACUUUAUUUUCUUCUGUUUCUUCCCCUAAUGGUAAAUCUGCUGCAUAAAGCGAGCUGGACUGCAUGCAACUGGCUUCCGAUAAAGCAUUUGUUGGAGUAGAUGCAGGUAGAAAAUCUUCACUUUGUAACCUACUUCUCUGCUGGCACAUGUCAUGGGAGAAAGAAGAAGCAUUUUUAACCUCCACAGUUUGUCUAUUCAAUCCAUCAUCCAAAGAAUCAGACCCAGAAUCCGAGUAAGAAGCGGACUCGAUGAAGGAGACAUGGUUAAAUGAUGACAUGACAAAGCAAGAAGGCCGGACAUUGUGAACAACAAUUCCCUGUGAAUGUGCCACAUUUACAAUUUCGACUAUUUGCCUAAAUAUGUGCAAACAUUCAAAUUCAUCAACAGACCGUUCUGGUUUGUUCAACCAAUGCCUCAAGCUAACAUCGUUCCACUCCAUGUUUUGGACAAAAUGGUCAACUGCAGCUUCAUCCUCACAAACCCCAGAUAAAGUACCAGCCUGGUUUUUUAGGUUUUGACGAGCCAGAACAACCCUAUCAGUCUCCUUUCUAAACCCAGAGUUGUAAGAUGCGGAUCUUAGAUUCCUGUUGGUGACUACUGAAGUAUUAAAUCCCCUAUAACUACCAGACUUCUGCCAAGCAGACUCAGAUGAGCCCUCCAUGGUUACCCCCCUUGGGCUGCAUGUAAGCCAGAACAAACGCAUCCAAGAAAUGGAGGAAUUCGCCUGCUACUACCACAUUCGCUAACUUCCACCAUUACCAUCUUCAAUCAAUACCUUAUUUCACAGAAAUAGCAAAAAGAACCUUGCUUCUGAUCAAGCCAAAGCUCAAUAACUCAGCUCCUCGAAUAAAAAUACUAACCCUUGCAGGGCAGCGGACACUAGAAAAUAAGAUGAAAUCUUUUAGCAAGCACACUUCUCCUGAGACAACCGCAACCAGCCUAACAUCAAUAAACCAAUAAGAAAAUUUAAAAAAAGUAGAGAAAAAUCAACACUUACAUUAUACCACACACAUUUUUCCUUUCCUUUCUUCAUCCACCGGAAUUAUAAAACUAAGUCCUCACACGUGCACUGUUCAACACCAAAACAACACAAGCACCAGCACAAAAAAAAAAAUCAAAGACAAGUACAAUAAUAUCCAGAAAAGGAGAGAAACUGAAGAUACCCUUUUUACAAUAUAGAAUUAGAAACACGUACCCAGAGGUUUCAUCAAAAAAACAACACAUGCAUCAGAACCAACAAAAGCCCACACACAAUAAUAUUAUAUACAGCCAUUUAAAAGAAGAGCUAGAGAGAAGGAGGGAGGGAUAAGUACCUGUAGCAGCACCAAGAAUGGAUAUUUCUGAUCCUGCUAGACCAAAAGAGAACCACACAACACAACAAGACUUUAGUUACUACACUCCACUAAACACUACAGCCUCAUAAAUUCCCUCAUUUUUCCCUCACAACUUCAAAAAUAAAAUCAAACAAAACCCCUCCACAAAAGAAAAAAUCAACAUGUUUCAAAUAAAAAAAGGAAAAAAAUACCUCUCUCUCUCUCUCUCUCUCUCAUGCUCUGUUUCACUCUAUAUAUUAUAUAGUUCUUCAUGAAAUUAUUAUGAUAUUCUUUCUUUUUUAAGCCACAAGCUCAUGGUUCGCUCUUUGGCUCAUCUCCCCGCUUUAUUCCAUUUGAGUUACGUGGCACCACCAUAGCCUCAACCUUGUUUGUUUAUUUCUUUGCAAAGAAGCCAAAAGGGAUGGUAAAUUUGAAAACUUUGUGGGCCAUCAGUGCCAAAAAAAAAAAAAAACUGUUCUUGAUGAAAAUAAAGAUCUUGGCUUUCUAGAAUUGGAAACUCAAGGUGAGAACAUGAAAAGCAAAUAAGAGCAUGCCUUACAGGUGUGAAUCAUUAAACUAAUCUGAUGAUGUGAUUCUUGUUAGAACAGCACGUAAGAAACAAUUAAGAAUACUAUAGUGGGCAGUUCUUGUUUCUUUAAUCCGAUUAGUGACACUAAAAAUAAUAUUUUACAAGAAACACUCACAUGAUAAAAAAGAAGCUAAUAAACUAUUGAUUAAUGUAAUGAAGCACAAACAAUGAAGCUAAAAAAAACAAAUAAUGGUGAUAAAAUCAACCUUAAAAUGUGGGUUUGAGUUUUGUGGGGCCCGGGCAUAAAAGUAUACAAGGAAGGAAGGGAAGAGGAUAAUAAUAAUAAUAAUUAAGGAUUGAUAAGAGAGGAUGUGGACUAGUGUCAGGUAGGACUAAUUAUUUUUGGUUUGGUUCGGUUUUUAUCUAUAAAAAUCAAUCAAAUCAUAAAAAAAUAGACCUGGAAUCAAACCGAAACCGGCCCAAACCGACCGGUUUCGAUUUGAUUUUUGCUAGCCAAAACCAAAAAACCUAUGUUAUUUUUUGGCUUUGUAAUGAGCUUCGUAAUUGGUUUUUAACGGAUUUCUGAUGGGCUUGCAAUUAAUGUUGAUAUUGUCUAAUUUUCAUUGAAGAUUCAAAAGCAUAUUUAAUUUUUUUACCACUAAAUAUUAAUUUGUAUUAAAUUGUUAUUGUCAAUCUUAUGUAUAUUGAGUUUUUUUACCACUGAAUAUUCAUUUAUAUGAAAUUAUUAAUGUCAAUCUUGUGUUCAAUAUAUUUUUUACCUUCCUAAUAUUUUUAUGCUUCUGAAAAGUUUAAAUAACACACUCACAAUCACACACCAAUAAGUUAAAAUUCAAAUUACAAAUCAUUGCCUUUAAAGGGCUUAAAGAAAAAAUAACAAAUAAAACUAUCAUAAAACACUCCAAGCCAAAAAAAAAAAAAUCUUCAUUUGCACAUCGUCUCAAUAAAAAAAAACUUCAAGACCAUUGCAUUUUGAUUCCUGAAAUUCAUAAUCUAGAAUUAUAACAUGAUAAAUUAAAUUAGAAAAUAAAAAAAAUAAUAUUUUUACCAUAUGUUUUCAAUAAAUGCAUCACAAUUUGUGAACUAAUUAUCAUCCGUUGCUAGAUGUAACUUUCCAUCAAAUUCUACAAAAUAAAAAAUUAAACAUGUUAGAAUAAAAAUGUGUUAAUUAUUAAUAAAUCAUAAAACAAAAGAUGUAAGUUUUUAAAAAACAUUACCUGAUCCAAGGUUUUUGUAGGUUUCAAAAUCAUUCAUCAAGGUUGUAUUAUCAAUUGGAAUUGGACCAUGAUGCAACCAAUUUUGACAACAAAUAAGUGUUUGAACUGUUGCUAGAGAUAGAGAACUUCGAAAUUGGUUGAGUAUACGACCACCUGUGCUAAAGGCUGAUUUAGAAGCCACUAUGGAUAUAAAAAUAGCCAGAACAUGUUGUGCAACUUUUGAAAGUAUCUUAUAUUUUGAAGAAACAUUAAUCUUCCACUAACCUAAAAUAUCUAAUUUAUCAUUAUUAGGAUCCUCACAACCAUCAACCAAAUACGUCUCAACCUCAUUUCUAUUUUUCACACUAUCUUCCUCCUGUAAGUGCCUUUUGAAUCGAGGUAAAGUGUUAACAUCUACCUCCACAUCAUCAAUAGCAUCAUUAACAUCUUAUUUAUGCCUAUUAUCAUCCACCACUUCAUCAGCUUUCAAAUAAAACUCAUACAAGCUCACCAAAUUAUCUUUCAUUUUUUUUUGUUAGCAAUUGUGCUUUGUUAUAAUCAUACAACUCACCAAAAAAAAAUUUCACAUAUGUUAACUUAAGACGUGGAUCCAAAACAUUAGCCACAUACAAUAAAAAAUUUUGAUUUGCUUCACAACCCCAAUACUUCUCAAACUUACUCAUCAUGUUCAUCGUCAUUCCACUCAAAAGAUUAUCUCUACUUUUACAUAAUUGCAACAAGUUUGUAUGCAUGUAAAUCAAUUCAUUGAAGAAUGAAUUUGAUGUGACAUGCAAUGAGCCAGAAAAUUUCAAUGUAAUCAUGUAAAAGAUCUUUAAAAACUUCAGCAAAGUUCUAACAUUUUUCCAAUCCUCCAAACUAGGUGGUCCUAUGUUUUUUUUAUUCUCCUUUGAAUCAACCUCCAAAAAGUAACUCAUAUACAUAGGUUCACUUUGACCUAACCUCACAAACACCUUUUCAAACUUUUCAGCAGCUUCUAGCAUAAGAUAAGUUGAAUUCCAUCGAGUUGCAACAUCCAAAUACAAUGAUUUCUUACACUCUAUAUGCAACUUUUCUGCACACUUCUUAAAUGCAAGUAGCCUAGAAGAUAAAGAUCUCACAAACCUAAUUGCAUUUCGAAUCUUAACAACCAAAACAUCAAUCUCUUUCAAACCAUCACACACAAUGAGGUUUACAAUGUGUGCACAACAUCUAACAUGCAAAUGUUCAUUUGACAAUAUAUUAGUUAGCCAAUCUUUCAUCACAUUCUUUAAAUAUAAAAUAGUAACACUAUUAGAGCUUACAUUGUCUACUGUAACAGUUAAAAGUUUAUCAAUCCCCCAAUCUAACAAACAAUUCUCAAUAACUUGACCAAUUGUUUCACUCAUAUGAUUGGAAACUUGACAAAAAUUCAGAAUUUUUUUAUGCAAAUUCCACUCACUAUCAAUCCAAUGAGUCGUUAAGGACAUAUAGUUAAUGUUUUGGAUUGAUGUCCAUGUAUAUGUUGUUAAGCAUAAUCGUUGACCCUUAAGAGCUCUCUUUAAUCUUUCCUUCUCUUCAACAUAAAGUUUUAAAUAAUCUCUCAUAAUAGUGAAACGAGAAGGAAUGUCAAAUCUAGGCUGCAAGGUCCUAAAAAAUAAUCUAAAUCCCUUACCCUCAACAAAAUUAAAAGGCAACUCAUCAAUUAUAACCAUUUUUACUAGUGCAUGUCUACAUUUAUCAUAAUCAUAACCUAUUGCCUUAAGAGUUCCCACACUUCGAUCUCCUGAUUCACCCCCCGCUUUAUUAGGUUCUAAUACCAAAAGUUUUUGCUUCUUAUCAACCACAAAAGGAAACUUUUUGUAUACUUUUAAAUGACUCCGCAUAUUACUUGUCCCAUUAAUAAUAGUAUGACAUGCAUAACCCUUUUCACAAUAAUUACAUUCAGCUCUAGGGAUUGUAGGAUCACCAUCAAGUUUGGUAAAAUGAUAUGCUUGGCAAUCAGACUAUAGUUUACCUCACCCCCACUCCCAUCAAAAUUCAAAUGAGAAGCAUGUUAUUCUGCAUAUGAUCUGCUUGGAAAACCGUAAAUAGAAGUGUUACCCCUGUUCAGGGAGCUAUUGCUACAUCAUACAACAUGUUUACUAUUUGCUAAGGAGCUUCACCAUUUAAAAAAAAAACAGUAAAACCUAUAUCAUCCAUUCAUUUCAGAAGCAGUGGAAUGGUAAGUGAUAUUAUCACACUACAAACCAGAACUAGGGCAUAAAACCAACACAGAUAAACAUAAAAAGGAAAUCUCAAAACUGAUAAAAAAAAUACUAAAUGAAUAACAUAAAAAAAAGCUGACCAAAAACUGGUAGAUGAUAUGGAAAAUGGAAAUGCAAGUUUUAGCUGCUAGAUUUCUAUGUUAUACUUAUUUCAGGUUUUAACUUAUAAUCAUAGGUUCUUUAGACAGCAGGUACAAAUUGUCGAAAAAGGUGUUUGACUCAUUUUUUAUUUUCUAUCAAUUCUUAAAAUUUGUGUCCAAGCUAAUUGACAGCUUCUGUAGAGCUUAUUUGAGUUAUUUUUGUUUUCAUUUUUUGCAGAUUAUGUUUUAUGAAGCCUUGAAAGAUUUGGCAGGUUAUCUUAAAGACUUAAACAUCAUUUUUCUUGUGAUGAAACUAAUUUCGUUCACAGAAUCACAGUAAUAAUAGCCAUGAGGAGACACAACACUAAGCAGGCAUGAAUAAACAUUGAACAUAAAAAAAAACCAAUACUAAAUACGGAUGAUUAUACACUAUCAAUAAUUAAAUAGAAAUUCCUAACAAAUUAGUAAAGCAAUUUGAUAAUCAGUAAUUUCAACAAUUUUUUUUUUCUAACAAUAUUGAAUCAAAGAAGGUCAGUAAUCAGUAUCCAAAUUAACUUGAAUAAUCUAAAAAACACAUGAAUAAAUUCUGACAUAUAUGAAACAACAAGCAGAAUGCCUUCAACAGAAUCAGCACAACAACUGUAUCCUUAUUCUUUGACCUCUACAUUGAAAAAAAAAACAAAUACAAUAAAUUAAAUAGAUGAUAAACAGAUAAAUCUAGGCAAAAUAUGAGCAGCCAUUAGUUAAUUAAUUAAAACGGAAAAAACAAAAUUAAAACUCACUGCUAUAGAACUUAUUCGGUUUCGGAGUAAUGGAGAUUGUGGAGUACCAUGUGAUAUUGUGUAGAUGAAGAGGAACGUCAAUCUAUUUAUGAGAGGCUUGACUGGUUUCAAAUGAUGGAAACACAAACUAUUUUGGAUCUGUGUAACCGUGUUUCUAUUUUCUAAGUCUAAAGAGACUAAAAAGGGAGAGGCGAGAGGGUGCGGGUGCUCUGGUUAGGGUUAGUGGCCAGGGAGAGGGGAGACGGUGAGGGCGAGGGAGAGUGUUACUAUGUUAGGGAAUUAGGGUUAGCGGAGAGAGGCGAGAGUGGCAUCGUUUUCUAUUUAUAUCGUCAACACAAAACACUGGUUAGAGACCUUUUUUUGAACCGGUUCGGUUCGGUCCGGGUUAACCGAUUCCUGCAUUACAAAACCGAACCGAAUCGGGAUUUUUUCUAACUAUUCUAAUCGGUUUAAUCAGUUUUUUUUCUCGGUUCGGUUUUUUUUUGCUCGGUUUAUUCGAUUUUCUGUUUUUUUUGCACACCUCUAGUGUCAGGUAAUCUAAAAGGAUGUUCGGCGCAGUUUUUGUUUUUAAAUGUUUUUAAAAAAACAAUUUAUUCAAAAAAAUAUUAAAUUAAUAUUUUUUAAUGUAUUAAUAAAAAAAUAAAAAUAAAAAUAUUUUAAUAAAUUUUCAAAAUAAAAUUAUUUUAAAAAAUACAUUACAUACCCAUCUCAAUUUGAUGUAAAAUUAGGAGCAAGCGAUUUUUUUAUUUUUUUUUUCAAUGUAAAAUUAGGAGCAUGCGAUCCUUCCUCAUAACAAUUAACAGUGGUAAUGUUUGUGGUCCCUACAUCUGGCGGCUAUUAGCACGAUACUAACCAAGUACUCGAAUUCGCUGCUGGGAGGAUUCCAUUCCAAUAACAUGCAAACAUUAUGAAUGCAUUUUCUAGAAUAAUUAAAAAAACAAAUUAGAAAUUAAGAAGUUAAUAUAUGCGACGAAUCACUUUUUUAUCGGUAUAUUUUUAUUAAAAAAUUUCGGAUAAAAAAUAAUUACAAAUAUAAUUUUUUAGGAAAACAAAGCUUGGCAUAAAUAAAUUCAGGAAAAAAGUUAUCAAUGUGAAAAUAAAAUUAAGAAGAAAAGUUAUAAUUAUAAUUGUUAAUAUAAAUUCAUUUUUUUUCUAUUAAUGCAUUUUUAAAAAAAUAUUUUUUUUUUGUUAUAUAUAUAUUGUUUAUUGCAUACAAACUGCAAGCAAUUAAAUUCAAUAUUUAAAAAAUAUUAAUGAUUUAAAAAAAUAUAUUAAAAAAAAUCUUUUUAAUAUUGCAUGGAAAGUGAAAGCAAUUAAAUUCAAUAUUUAAAAAAAAAUAUUUUAAUCAAAAUCUCUUUCCAUUAAAAGAUUUAAUGAUUUAAAAAAAAGACUUCUUUUUUACAAAUUUUUUUUAUAAGAAGUAAUGUUUUUUAAAUAAGAACUUAUUAUAAUCUUAAUAAUAAGUGUUAAUAAAAAAUAAUAAAUUUAUAAUUUUGACAUGAAUGUAUUAAAAAAUAAUAAUAAUAAUAAUAAUAAUAACAAACUUGAAAACAUAUAUAAAACAAAUAGAUAUUUCAUUUAUAUUUAGAAAAUCAUGCACAUUAAAUUUAUAUAUAAUUAUUCUGAGAUAAAUUAUUAAUAUUAUAAUAUAAUAUACUAAUAUUAUUUGAAAAUAAUGAUAUAAUUGGAUUAUUAUUUAAACAUCAUUUAAAUAAAUUUAUUUUAAAAUAAUCUAAUUAUAAAAUGCUAAAAGAGAUAAAAAAAAUACAAGGCUAAGCAAGCACGGGCUAGAAGAAUAAGCCUACAUGUUCGGCCUACAUGAAAACCUAUAGGUUCUGGGGUCUAGAAACUCAAGUUCGCAUGUCUGAUUUUUCUAAAAAAAAACACGAUGUUCACUUUUAUUUUUAAAAAAUUAGACAAAAAAUAUGUUUUUUGACAGUCAAAUUACACAUUAUUUGUCUACUAUUUUUUCUAGUCAUAAAAAAUGUCUUCGUGAUUGAAAAAUUAGGAUUCAAAAACUUGAACCCCAAAAACCUAGAAUCCAACCAUUUUCCAUCCAAAAAUAUAAAGAAAAAAAAACAUUUAAUGAACCUCCAUUACCUCGAUUUUAAUAAUAAAAUAUAUUUUAAUUAGUUUAAAAAUUCUAAAUUAAAUCAAAUUAAAAAAAAAAAACUCAUGCACUGAAAAUGGCCACGCUUCUUAGGGUUUGGACUAGGAUUUGAGACUCAUGGUUUCUUGUUGGUCCACUUUGAGUAUGAGUUCUCAUAUUUUGUAGCUUCCCUUCCCUUGAACAUUCAUUCUUGGUAAAACAUGUCAUGAAUUUAUAUAAUAAAAACAAUUUUUAUUUUUUAUUUUAUUUUUUAUCUGUCACGUAACUAAGUUUCAUCCUCUUUCUCGUCUCGUCCGUUCACCAAACGCCUCCAUGGUUAUUUCCAUGAUCAAUAAUCCAUUGUCUUUUAAACAACCAUUAAUUUUAUUUGUGGUGGGCAGUUACUGCUAAACAUUCAGUGAACUUGAAAUGUGUUUUCAAGUUUAAGUUUAUUUAGGCCGUCUCUGGACCACUGGUCCACCUUCCUAAAUAUAGACCAAAUUAACAUGAUGUGAAGAACAGAUCCCAUUGUGAACAUGAUAAUCAAAUCCACUUUGAAGGUCCCCCUCAAAGUUUUGUGAUUUUCGAUAAGAUUCCCAGUAGAUGCACAGAAACCCAGAAACCCACAUACAUUUCAUCAAGAAAUACCUUAGAAAGGUCUAGAGGAACAUUAAUCAGUGGCCUCACUGUGUGUGUGUGUGAAGGAGCCAUGGUUACGCUCAACUCUUGGAAAGACCAAUUAGUCUUGCUUCGAUCGUUCUUUGCAUAAGACCAAUAUCCGGCUUCCUUGGCAACCAAAGAAGAGAGUGCGCGUUCAUGACAUGUUUAUCAUUAAUAUCAUUGAAUUCUUGAACGUCGAAUUCAAUGCCUAAAACAUGGUUGUUGGGGGUAACCAUCAUUGGUGCUGUUCAAGAAACCAAGAUGCCGUUGUCAAGAGGCACCUUCAAUACCUAGAGAAGGCACGAGAAUGAAUGCAAAACCAUGACCAGGGGGGGAAUUGUUGUAAGGGGUGAUGGAGAAGGUGAAAGAGGACGAGAAUGACAGGAGCUUUGAGGAGUUCGGGUAUCUUAUGGGAAUCCUUGUAGAGGCCUCUACCACCAGAAAAUGUGAUGUCUCCGGUGAGGGAAAGCGUGCCAGAUUGUAGCUCUGCAGUGCCAUAAAGUAACAAGCUCGAAGAGCUGAAACUGUAACUCGACUGCUAUUGUAAAUUGGAGAAAGGAGUUAUUUAAGAAGAAUAGUAGCACAUGGUGGAGCCCGAAGCUUCAAGAACUGGGUUCGUUACUGUCAAGUGCCAUCCAUCACCGGUCUUGUAAUUGCAACUUAGUGCAUGCACCUCCUUGUUUUGGAAGGAUAAUAACGCACUCAGCAGAUACUCUACAUCUUGGGUAUGGUGGAUGCAACAUUUGUCUUUCCACACCGUGGAAUAAUUUCACAUCAUCCAGAUACUCUACAUCUUAUGGCUAAUACAAAUGCUCUCCAAGAAUGGUCAAUAAUUUUGAGAUUGCAGUGAUAGUGGAAAGUAAAUACAUGUGAUAAAUUGCAGAGGGGAGAUUUAUCAGUGAGCUAUAAUCUUGUAGCUAAAAUGGCCACUAGCUAUCUUUCUAAGAACAUAUACAAAAACCCCAACCAACGGUUUUUAACUCAUAUUUCACAUAAGGAAACCACCAAUCAAAUUACUCUUAAGAGUCCCAGCAAUACUUCUCAUGUGGGGCUUACCUCAUCGACCUGAAACAAAUAAUGAAUUGGCUGAUAUUUGGUAGCUUUCAGCCUGGACUUUUCUAACCCUUGCCUUGUCAAAGCGUGCUCGUCUAACAGCUUCUUGGAUCUGGCGAUCAUGAUCCUUCAGCAUCUGAUCCAUGUUCCCCGAUGGAACUAUCAAUGGACCAGAAUAGUGGAUUUUGUGAGCCUUUGACCCAUAGCCAAGCUGGAUCCAAAUUAACAAGAACCAUGAAUCAGGAAACACACAAAAAAAAGGCUCCUCAGAAUUCAGGAAACAUGAAAUUGUAAAUCAAUCAACUUAGAAAAGACGGUUUAUAAACAACUUGCAUGAUAUGAUGCAGACCAGGACAAAGCAGCCAAGUGGUUAAAAAAUUCACUGAAAGGUUAAGCAAAAAAGCAAAAAAAAAUAAACAAACAACGAAAUAAAAGAAAACUGAAUUGUGAAGUGACUUACAAGGACAGGAUCUUUACUGUUAUUUCUCCCAUCUUCCUUUUGGUGGGAACCUGCAACACCCUGUGACAGACGCUGUGGAUCCUGUUGGGCAAAGGAUUCUGAGGUUUCCUUGAAGGAUCCUGGAAACCGUGCCAUUAGUUUUGGAACUUCCGGUUGUGAUAGGCCAGACCUUUCUCUGUGAUCUUCAGAUAAUAAACUCCUCCGCGCCGCCUCUAAGCUUGAAAUUGUUGACAGGUCAGCCCCCGUGUAAAUCUUAGGAGCAUCAUCGGGGUUUCUGCCAGCCUUUGCCCAUCCAGAACGGUGAGACAGUGGCCCAGAAUGUGAGGCUCUCUUAUGCUGAUGACCCUGAGGAUCCAUGUUUGAUUCUGCAGCUUGUGAUGGUCUAGGGGGAUCAAUUGGAAAGCCAGAAGCAACUUCCUCAGGAUGGGGAUUAAACUUCUCACUCCGGCUCUUGGAAUUUGGACGACCAUGUCUUUUCUGUAAUUAGAGCGCAAUCCAUUGAUAUAAAUUUCAUUAGUAAAAUCAAAUUUAAUCAAAUGGAGUGCCAAAAAAUAAAGGGAGUCAACAGUAAAAGAGAUAAUUCAUGAAAAUAGAACAGCAAGAAACAAUCAAUUGUUUAGGUAAUAAUGCUUAAAAGAGGGCUGGAGCAGCUCAAAAGGACAGUAGUCAGAUGUAGUUUGAUAAAAAAAAAAAGUAUGACUUGCUGCUUUCAAGGCAUAAGGAAGAUGGAGAGUGCGAGAGAGAGGACAAAAGAAAGAAACUAGAUAAGAUUUCUUGUGUCUCACAAAGUGCCUUUUGUACAAAGCUGUUUUCUGUAGUGGAGAAUUGCAAUUUCCAUGUGAUCAGAAUGGCAAGAUGGCACAUUACUUUAUACUUCAUUGUUCUGAGAAGAGUGCAAUAAGAAGUGUUCUAAGACUUCGUGUUAUGACUGGCUUGUUUACUAGUUUCAUCUAUAACAGAGCUAGCUUUAAAAAUAACUUCCUUUCUCUUCUGACCAAUCUUUCAACUCAGCAAUUCUCUGAACCUCACCACAUGGCCCAGCAAGCCUACAUACCCAUCUCCUAAUCACAAUACUUCCCCAACCGCACACACACACAUGCAAAAAAGUGUCCUGAGAGAGCUAAGGUUAUCUUAAAGAAAUCACCUGCAUUGAUAAAACUAGCUCAGCAUUGGCAUCAGGUGCUGGAACAGCUCGAGAUUCUCUUUGCCCUCUUCUUUCCAUGUCAGGUUUCUGGCCCUUGCUUCCUGCUGCUCCUUGUCUGUUUGUGUGAACAAAAAAUGGGAUUGUUAGCAAACUACACUACAUUUACAAGUCAAGGAUUCCAUCAGUGAUAGAAGCACGAAGGAUAGUUUAGUGGAUCAGUAAGAAACACACAAUAAGCAAUAUGAGCAAGGGCACUAAGGCAACUGUCACAACCAAAAUACAAAAUUAUGUAAACAGACACUGCAUUCAUCUGAUUCAAAUUGAUUCCUACUUCAACUAUUUUUUCUCUUUUCUCAACUAGUGCACGCAACUUCUAUAUUUUAACAAUGCCAUUAACUGCGGCCAACAUGCCAAAAACGAAAUCUUUUAAAGCUUUUUUUCCGGGCCUUUGCCAGAAGCCUUCCAACAAAAGAUUAAAUGAACAAUAAAUUGGAGAAAAACUUUUUUUCUGUUCUUUUACAAUGUUUACCUUCUAGCUUCUUCAUCUCGCAUUUUUGCAUCAAACUCUUUGCUAGGAGGAUAAUCAGGCAAACUUGAAGGAUCACAAGGAAGCGGCUUGGUCGUAAAGAACUUUAAACAAAACUAAACAAGUCAAAUACAAAUUAACAGAAAGCAAGAGAGAGAAUUGUAAAAUAGAACUAUAAAUACUAGAGCCAACCUCAGCCAGCCAUGAAGAUUAUACUCAUCUUAUGAUUUAUUUAUUUGUCUAAAAAGAAAAGGUUAAAUGAACACUUGCUACCAACUGCUUUGGACCAAUAUGUUACAUUAAAUGGAUGGUAUUUCUCCAAAAUUAUGUUAAGAUUACAAAAAAAAUAGCUGUGCUGCAUAAGAAGCUAUAAUAUCAAAUAAGGAACUCAAAAAUAAAAAUAUACGAUCAGUUACCAGAGCUACAUCAAAAAGGUUGACAAAUUGCAUGGUGAAAAGAAAACACAAAAAGAACAUACACACUCUUGUACAAGAUGCAGUUUUUUUUUCAAAGAACAUGUUACAUAGAAGGAAGCAUAGGGAAAUGAAGGACGGUUCUCUUUUAAUUGAUCACAGAAAAAAGAAGACAUACACAAAAAGAAGAAAUAACAUAUAUAAGAAAACAUACACAGAAAGAAAACAUCACAGAAAAAAUAAAUAUAUAAGAUCAGUUAACUGAGCUACGUCAAAAAGGUUGACAAAUAGCAAGGUGAAAAGAAAACACAAAAAGAACAUGCACACUCUUGUAUAAGAUGCAAUUUUUUUUUUCAAAGAGCAUGUUACAUAGAAGGAAGCAUAGGGAAAUGAAGGACAGUUCUCUUUUAAUUGAUCACAGAAAAAAGAAAACACUCAUCAACCACCAACUAAAAUUCAAAACUGUUCAUGGUUGUCGAAAAUUCACAAACUAAAUGUGAUACACCAAAAUAUACAAAGUGCAUAAAAGAGUGAAAUUGUAGGAGUCUUCGAGUGAGAUCAAGGGACAGAAAAUAAAUCCUAAAAGCAACACAGCAUUUGGCGACAGAUUAUUGAUGAAAACUCAACCCCGUAUAGUUGCAGGCUAGCAGUGACAAAAUGUGAUUAACAGAAACACAAUCACCAUUGAGAAAACUGGGCUUGGGUGCUUUUGUGAAGAAACAAAGUGGAAUGAAUCAAAGGAGCAGCCACAAAAGUUUGGUAAAGUUGAUUAGUUGUGGAAAAAUACAAUGAAGCAUAAUAGAGAGAUCUGAAACCUAAUAUAUGCAACGAGAUGGCUAAAGACCUGUCACAAUCUAAACCCCUUAUGAUACAACUUCAGAGUGGUGUGAAUUGCCUGCUAUUGUGUCUUUGCUGAUGGCACCAGGUGAACUUGAAUGUUUAACAGGAUUUACCUCCGUCCAAUUACAUAAACACAAACUCUUCCAGUGACUUUUAGAUUGCAACAACAUGGUAUCACAUGAGUUGGAAGGAAAACAGACUUCAGUCUCAAAAUGUAUUUCAGUGACAAUAAUAACAAAAAUCCUAGACAAAAUUAUUAGAAAGAUCGAAUUAAAAAUGAAAGAAAUGUUAAUGAGUGAUUUACUUAUUAGGUAAAAAGAAUUGAAAUAUAUGCACUAUCAUGUGUAGCAAUAUAGAUCUUCUAAUUGAAGCCAAUAUGUAUCUCUGAAUCAAAAAAUACCAAGAAGACCAUAAACCACUUUCCAAUGUAACACCAAAUCCCCCCACCCCCAAAGGGACAAAAAACACUCACAAAAAGGGAAGGGGAAUUUGAGAUACAUAGUUCAUGGAUACCUCAUACCUCACUCCUCAGAGCAGAAGCUGCAGAUCCACGAUCUACAGGAUCAAUGGCGAGCAGGGUCUCCAUAAGAGCUAAAGCUGGUGCUGGGAAUUCCUUAAAUGUUUCUGCAACACAGCGUCUAUAAGGCUGCUGAGGCUUAAAGAUAGUCGCAUGAGGCAACUUUGAUUUUCUCCAAUAAUCUUCAGAAGGUGAGCCACACAGCUUGAAAAUUUUAUGCAGCUGCUCCACCUACAAGGCAGAGGCAUGCAAACUAAUCAUCAACAUUUUAAGUAGCUGCACUAAUGUUUUUUAUGACACUUACAUAGAUUAUAAGAAAGCAGAAAAGGGAUACGGCAUCUUGUGAUAAUUAUUCUCUCUUUCAAUCUUUUCUUUUUGAUAAAUCCUUUUUCUUUUUCAUAUUAUAAGAAUUUUGCAAAAGGAUAAAGAAAUUCAGACAUAUCAGACUCUGUUAGGUCUUUGCUUGAGGUCUCUUUUUAAAUAAACUUUUACAAUAGCUUGCAACACUGCUAAAACAUAUUCUUACUCGAGUUCCCUUAUUUUUACCUUUGACCAAAUUUAUAGAAAAAAUAAGGCACCCUCCAAGGUUAAAGUAAACAUCAAGACACGGUUACCUAUGAUCAACACCCAUGAUUUGUCAAAGGUGAGAACUCAUAAGGUAUUAUCACCUAGUGUUUGUGUUAAGUGUUAUAGUAGUAGAAAGUGCAUGACUAUGUUUCUUGCAUUGCCCAACAGCUUGGAAUGUGGAGUUGAGUUUCUAAAUGCUGAAAAGAAUUAGGCACUUCUGCGUAGGGUGGAGAAGAUGUUAAUGAUCCAUUUAGUGGGUUUUUUGCUGACAGGAUGUAAUUCGACAAUCUUCAAAGCAAUAACUAUCUAGAAGUUAGCACGGGAUAAAAUUUGUAUCUGGCAAUAAUUAGUUCAACAUUGUACUUGGAAUGAUGGCCCAUGAAAAAUAAUCUGCAUUGCAGUAUAUUAUAACAUGAAAUAGCAAGCAUCUAAGAGAAACACUCUGUUUGGUGGAGAACCCUAAAAGACAUUUUUUUUUCUCGAGAAUAGAAAAGGAGAGCACCUCAGUUCUCCCUGGCAUAAUAGGCUUGCCAGCAUACAAUUCCGCAAGUAUGCAACCUGUACUCCAUAAAUCAACAGCUAUCCCAUAGUAGGUAGCUCCAAGUAGAAGCUCUGGAGGACGGUACCAAAGAGUCACUACUCGGCUUGUCAGUGGCUGAACCUGGGCAGGAUCAUAAAAACUUGCUAGUCCAAAGUCUGCAAUUUUCAAGAUACCAUUGUUGUCAAUUAAUAGGUUGGAACCCUUUAUAUCACGGUGUAGAACACCACGGCUGUGACAGUGAUCAAGUCCUCGUAAAAGUUGUUGCAUGUAACAUUUCACCUGCCAGCAUAUACAUAUUAGACCACAACAUCCAAAGCAUACAAGCAUGAGUCAAAUAUCAAACCUGUUCUACCUUUUAAGAUUGACAAUUUACACAUGGAUGAUCUUGGAGGAUAAGGAGCAUGUAAAACUAGCAGAUGUUAACAAUAAAAUACGUAUGAAUUUCAUAGUUAGCAGCUGAUAGCCUGUCACGGCAAAAUGCAAACACCCAUUGAAUUAGAAUCUAUUAGAACCAAACUGCCAAAAUUACCUGGGCUUCUGUAAAAUUCAGACCAGGGUGUGAGGCAAGCCCAGCCAAAUCAUGCUCCAUGUACUCAAACACAAGGUACAAGCUGCAUGACAUCCUUGAUGUAACUAGGCCUUCUAACUUUAUUACAUUAGGAUGGUCAAGCCUGCGCAAGAUGUGAAUUUCCCUGGCCAUGAAGCGAACACUCUCAGGUUCCAGGUUAUCAAACCUUACUUUCUUCAAAGCAACAAUCUUCUUCUGAUCAAGGUCACGAGCCCUAUAAACAUUACUGUAGGUUCCCUGGCCAAUCUGCAUUAUAAUAGAAAUCAUCAGAUGAGGGAACCAAAUCCCAAAAGCAGGUCAUUUCAGUUCAAAGAGGACAGCAGCAGAUAAAAAUAACAGGGCAAACCAUUCUACAAGAACUUGUGGGACCUGAAUAGAAUGAUCUGCUGUUGUCAACUACUCAAAAAUUAUACACAAAAAAGUGCAAAUAGAAGUCCAUGAUAUCCAAACAAGAAAUGCUCAACAGCAAACCUGGCCCCUUGGCCCUAGCUUAAAGAGUAAGAAAAUAGUAAAAUACAAUGGUCAGGGACACAGGAUACAGAUUUGCACAUUCAGACCAGCCUAUUCAUGCAAAUCGCUUCAUCCUUCAAGACUAGAAGUUUGAAAAAAUUCAGCCAAAUUAACCAAAACGGAAUACCAAAAGCAGGGAGCAGGAAAUUCCAGCUACUGAAGUUGUUAACAAGCAUCCAUUUCUUGAAUUAUGCGGUAAAAUUAACAAUACAUGUUCAACUAAAAGUUAUAAGCUAUCUGUCCAUAUAAUAGCAGCUCCCUCACACAUCUUUAAAUGCUAUUGUAAAAUUUAAGUUUUUUUCUUUAGGUGAGAGGGGCAAGACAUGAACUCGAGAUCCUGCCGCCUCUCCCCUGAUUCUUGUGGAUUAGAGCUUUUGGGCUAAACUAUCUCAACAAAAUUGAAAAAGACCUGUUACAAACAAUGUUGAUACAUAGCACUCAUCUUCAUGGACCCAACUACAAUUCAGAUAUCACAUACACACAAUGCAAGUUGAAGAUUAUACCACACUUUUAAUAUUCUGCACUUUGUUUACUGUUCUUCCCCCACCAUAUUUGUUUCAAAGUUCCCUCCUUCCUCAGCACACUAACGCUAAUUGACUGGCAGCUUAUCAAAAUUGGAUUCAUUUUAGACCCAUUGUAUCUAUUUUGAUGGAUAAUUAUCUAAAUGUUAUGGGUAUUCCACUAACUAUAAUAAAAAGGGCACAUUAUCAAAGAAUGGUGCUUCUCGAAUAUUCCCCAAUACUAAAUAGCUCUUAAAUUCUCUUAAUAGCCUCUUACAUUUUCUCAAAGCUCUUGGACUCGAACAUGGAUACUUCCUAUUUUCUGAUAUGGUAAUCUCUCUAACCAAAUAAAAAGGUCUAACUACAAGAAAAUCAUUCAAACCUUUAAAGCAUCACUAAUUCCUACACUGUGAUUGCAGAAACAUGGAUCUUUCUCUGGUGUAAUCAGUAUAAGCCAUUCAAAUUCAAACUCUUUCAUAUCCAUACUGUCUCAAGCCUCUCAAAACUCUAUGCUUCUCAAGCCUCCAGGCUCUGACAAGUAAACUGAACUUCUAGCUAACAUUUAUUUAGAAGUUAUCAGGUUCAAAGAAUCCGUCAUUACUCUUAGCAUGUAAAAAUGAGUUAUGCAGAGCUCUUAUGCAUGUUAUAAAUGAGCCUUCCUAAAUGUAUUUUUCACCACCUUGCUUAUUUAUAAAUAUAAAUAUAACAAGCAUACAUACAACACAAAUCUCAAGGAAAAGUCACUUAAUAGCACCAAAAAAAAGUUCCAUAAUUUUGCUAACUGAAUUCAAGCUAAAGCUAUAAAAUUUGACAACACACCAUAUCCAAUGCGUGCACAAAUGAAAAUGCUAAAAAAUGUAACAGUCCAAAAAGGUUCUAAUUCUAAUUAGCAAUCGUCACUUUGUUCAUUGCAUUAUGAACCAAUCGAGGUGUCAUAAGCAUGUUCUUCAACCAUUAAGUUUGAAUUGCUAAAUUUUGAAAAUCAUAAACAGAAUCUUGCUUGCAAUGGAGCAGAGCUUACAAUAACACAUGUCAACGUUGAGCUUAGAGAUUUUUUAUGAAGUUACUUUAAAAGUGGAAAAAACGAUCAUCAGUAAUUGCAGGACGUGUUCUAAACAAAAGCACAUGUCAACGUUGAGCUUAGAGAUUUUUUAUAAAGUUACUUUACAAAAUGGAAAAAGGGAUCAUCAGUAAUUGCAGGACGGGUUCUAAUGAUUAAAAAUGAGAUAUAACAACAAAAACAAAACGAAAAAAAGGGCAUACCUUGUCCAGCUUCUCAAAUGAAUCCGCACGCCGUGGCAACCAACCUUUGAUUGCCUCUCCAGCCACAGCAGCUAGCCAGGAAGGCCACCCAGCUGCAACCUGCUCCCCUUCAGUGGCUUUCGGUAUGCUGCCCAUACCUGGGUGGUGAAGAACUGCAUACUCUGACUUGUCCCUCUUCCUAUCAACAUGCUCAACCCCAUGCACUCUAAGAGACCCAUUCACUUGCUUGUCAAUCAACAUUGUCCUACCAUCAUUACUAUCAUAUUGAUCUUUCGCUCUAUAUGCUUCCUCUCUCCUUGAAGAGGUAGCCCUUGAUACCCUCAAGUCAGACGAGGGCUUACUUGAAAGUCUCUCUCUUGGGCUCUCCUUGCUAUCCUCAAUUGCAGAGGGUUUACAACACAUGCAACCCAUUAUGUACCUAAACCACCUCCAAAAACACCCUUCUCCUUUAGAAUCAAUAAUUACCCUUCAAAAAUCUCAUCUUUACACUUCUAUCCUCUUCUUCCAUUCCCAUUUUCACACAACCAAACUAUACUUCAUCGAAAAUAAGCAAUUAAACUAUGUAUCUCAAAAUCAAUCACCGGAAGAGCAUAAGCAAUUCCCACUCAAGAUUGAAACUUUAAAAUAACCGAACACUAGAACCACACAAUUUUGCACAAUAACUUAACUGUGACUCAAUGACUGCUCUUUUACUGUGAAACUUCCAUUUCCUUAUCAAACCCACCGACUCCUAAUCCAAAAAAGGAAACCAAUUUCCUCAACCUACAACGCUAAAAAUGAAAAAACUAACAACAACCACCACCUUUACUCCAACAACAAAUUAAGAAUCACAACCUGAAAACUAAAUACCUUUAAAAUGUCAUGCCUAAUCUUUUCAGCUAUCGAAUCAGGUGAUUGAAAACCCUCCACCAAACUCACAAUUCCACUACAAAACAAACCCUAAAAACCCAAUAAAAAAAUAUAGAACCCAAAUUACCAAAACAAACAAACAAAAUCUAAAGAAAGUAAAGAACUGGAAACACUUCAAUAUAAAGCAUGCACCUUGAAAAUGGAAACCAAAAUGGUAAUAAACAAUAUUGUGAAAUGAGAAUUGAAGGACCUCCUAGAGAUGGAGAGAUCUAGGGAAAGAGAGAGAGAGAGUGGAGUAGUGUAGAGAAGAUGACAAGAAAAUGAAAAAUGAGAAUAAAUAUGUAAUACAAUAAAUAAAUAAAUAAAUGUGAAAGUUAUUACUAUAUAUUAAUAUUAUUAAAUUAAUUAAUUAAUGAGAUGGCGCGUAAGAACAGACAGGCUUUUAGAGAAGACUGAGAACUGAAGAGUGAGUGAAGACCCCAAUGCGUAAAGACAUUCUUGGUUUGUGUCUUCUUCUAUCCCCACGCGCUCUGUUUAUAUUGACACGUGUAUAUUUUUUCUUUGCCUUCGUUUUUUUUUAAACAAAACAUUAUUUAUCAUUUGAUGAAUAAUCUCUCUUUAGAUUUUUUACUGCCAGUUUAUACCUGACUGAAUAAAGUAAAAAAAAAAACUAAAUAGAAUAAUUUAACAAAAAAAUAUUAAAACCUAUUUCAUUAAUUUAUUUAACUUGUAGUUUAACCGAAUAAAAACUGAAUGUUACUGUAUUAUUUUCAAUAAAAAAAAACUUGUGUAUAUCAUAAAAUUUUCUCAACUUUAUAUAAUAUUAUGAUAAUACAUAAUUAUAUAAUAUAUGUGUCAAAUAUUAAUGUUGUUUUAUGAAUUAAACCCUAGUCAAUAUUCAUAAUAAAAACAUAUCUUAUAAUGGUAUUGUAGCUUCACAGGAUCCGUUUUCAUCUAUGGUAAAAUUUCUGUGUUUCAUUUUUUACCAUGCUUUAUUAAAAGAAAAACUAAAAAACGUGAGAGUUUCAAUGUAACUCUAUAUAUAAAUUAUUGUAAAUUAUUAUAGUAAAAUUAUUCUUUUACCUUUAAAUAGAAAAAACUUAAGUCCUGAAGUUGGGGUUUUUUCCACUUACCUAUUAGUUAUUGAAAAUUUUUUUGGGGAUAUAUGUGUUUUUUCUAAUUUUUUAUACAGUAAAAUACUUUUUUUAUUAAGAGUCAACAAUAUUUAUAAAUAUUGACCAAGGGCUUUCUUGAUUUUUCUCAAAUUUUUUAACAGCAAAAAUAUUUUUUUGCCCCCGAUAUCAAAAAUUUAUGGAGUUGUUGGGCAAAGGUGUUUAUGGUUUUUUCAUGAUCUAUAUACAGAAAGCAUAUUUUUAACCUUAUAAAAGACCAAAAAAAAAUAAGUUUUUCCUUUAAGGGUGUUUUAAUAUUUUCAUAUGAGUAUUCUGUGUAAUUAACAUGUUCAUGAGGGUGUUUUGGUAUUUUUCACAUUUUCUUUUCAAUUUUUUAUUCUAAGAUCUGUUGAAUGCGUGUUCCAAACAUGCUGAAGAGUGGAUGGCGUUCGUGUCAUUCAGGUGAUGAUGAUGGUGAUAAUUGUGGUAGUGAUAUUUAUAAUGAUGAUGAUGUCAUCGUCGUCGUCAUCAUAAUAAUAAUAACAAUUUCAUACUCACAUUUUUUCAUACUCACAUUUUAUUCAAAAAAUAAUAAUAAUAAUUUAUUAUGAUAGUUGUAGUGAUUAUGAUAUCAAUAACUAUGGUGAUGAUGGUAAUAAUAUUAAGAAUUAUUAUAAUAAUGAUAUUGAUGGUGGUGAUAUUAUAAUUAUAAUAGUAAUAAUAAUAAUGAUAAGAAUAAAAAUAAUAGUAAUAUUAAUUGUGAUGGUGGUGAUAAUAAUUAUAAAAAUAGUAUUAACAAUAAUAAUAAUAAUAAUAAUAAUAAUAAUAAUAAUAAUAACAACAACGAUAAUAAUAACAAUAAUAAUGGUAACAAUAAUAAUGAUAGUAAUCACGAUAAUAAUACUAAUAAUAACGAUAAUGAUAUUACUUAUUGAUAAUAGUAGUGAUGAUGACAGCUGUAAUGUUAGUGAUAGAAGUAUUGAUGAUGAUAAUAACGAUAGAAUACUAAUGGUGAUAAUUCAUCAUUCGAUGUUAGAUUUGUUAGGAAUUGAGUUUCACCACUUUUCCAUGUAUGGAAUUUCCGGUCUAAUAUUCUGGGUUACUAGUUUGAAAAGUGUAAUUGGAAACUCGUUUUAGGAAAAGAUCCAAGAUAAGAGAUUUCAAGAUUCAUCUUAUUGUCCGGGUUUAUAGCAUUGCAAAAAAAUCUUUGUGCUCUUGAUAAUUUUUUUCUACAUUUUUUAAAACAUGGUUUGGCUCGUGGUGGAGCGCAAAAAAAUGAACGAGUACACUUUCUAUGUAUUGUUGUUUAUCGUUGUUUAGAGAGCACUUUUUUUAUCUAUUGUUAUUGAAUUAUUUUUAAAUUAAAAUUAAAAUUAAAAAUAAUAUGGAUCAAACACCUUUAUUCAAACUUACUAAAUUUAUGUAACGAUCACUUUCUUUAUUUUAUCAAAAUUUCUAAAAACCAACAAAUCUUGAUAUUUAGAAAUUUUCCUAAACAAAUAUAUACCAAAUGUAUUUGUGAUUUGAGUAUUUUUUUUAAACAUAGAAAUUGACGAAGUCAUGAAAUCUUCAUAUUGGAUUAUGCUUUCCACGGGUUGUGAUUUUAGGCUAGAGAAGUGACCGAUUUCACCACUAAUCAAUAAGAUUUUCCUACAAAACAAUCUCAUGUUGGAACAAGAGGUCUUCUAAAAAUUAAUUUAAUAAAAAACAUGAGGGAAAUAAUAUACAUGAAAGUAAAGAAUGUAGGAGAGUGUAUUUGUGAAUGUUGGAUUGGGUGCAUUGUGUAAACUUGUUGAAUAGUUGUUCGUGAUUUCUAAAAUUGUUGUCUGGUUGCUUGUGUGUUUCUGGAAGUGUUGGGUGGUUGCUCAUGGUUAUUGGAAGUGUUGGCUGAUUUCUUGUGAUUACUAGAUCGAGACCCAAAUAAUUUUUCAAGGUCGAGCCAGCCAAAAUAAACUGAAAAGCAAUUUGUUUGGGUUGUGGCCUAAAGGGAUUGAAGGUAGUCAUUUUGGUUUGCUGGCCUAAACAUGUUAUUUAAUUAUUAUUAUUUUAAAUUUUAACAAAUUUAUCGUGCCAUCAUAUGUCCCCCAAGUCUUUAAAAAACAUGUUUGGAAGACUUUACCGAAAAAAAGUAGGGGAUAUAAAAUACUUAUUGUUUUUAUACUGGUGAUGUUACUUGCUUUUGUUAAUGUACAUACAUGAGAGUUCUCUUAAUUGUUUUUCAUCAUUUCUGUGAAGAGAAGAGAAUUUAGUCAAUUUUAUGUGUUCUUCCUAGAAUAGAGAACAUUAUUACUUAAAAGUGGAGAAUAUUUCAUGUGAAAACAACUUUAAAGUAUUAUAAUAUUGGAGAAGUGGAGAUUUCAUUAGAGAUCUCAAGUUGAGAUCUUUAUUGGAGACAUUAGAAACACAUUUAGAGACAUAGAAACUUCGCUUGGAGAUGUGGAGAUUUCAAUAAAGAUAUGAAGAUCUCAUCAUGAAGAUUUUUUAUUGAAGACAUGAAGAUAUGUUUUGGAGACACGAAGAUCUUACUUUGGAGAUUUUUAUUAAAGACAUGGAGAAAUAUUACUACUUUUAUUCAAAAGUUAAUGGAGAUAUAAUUUCUAAAAAUUAUUUGAUCUUGGACAGUCCAUCAUAUGAAUUUUUUUCAGUUUGUUCAGAUUCUUUUUUUUUUCUUCAUAAAUUAUUAGAGGUAUCCUUUAAAGAUCAAUUUUCCCUCUUCUUUUUCAAGGUAUGACAUUCCUCAAUGUCGUGAUCAUGGUCAUGGUAAAAGUGACAGGAUUUAUUAGGGUUCUUUGUAUUUGCGCUGCUUUUCUUAGGGCCAGGUAUCAUUUCCUUGAUUGGUAGCCAACACUUUAGUAUAUGUAGUGAUAAAAGGUGUGUUCAGGAGCUCGAAGAAUGUUAGGCGAUCAAGAAAUGAUCUCUCAGUGCUCUUUUUCGAUGCCCUGGUAGGAGAUCGAUAACAUUACAGAGAUUUUGCUCUCUCUAAAAACGAUGAUGUCCCUAUUUGGCAACAUUGGCUUCUUAAACGAUAAUAAGAAUAGACAUAAACAUUAAAUUGAUUGAAUAAAAUAAAGGAAAAAAAUAUUAUGCUAGGUUGCACAUAUUAGAAAUAUUAUCUAAAAAUAAAAAAACUUAUUUUAAAAAAUAAAAUUCAUCUAUACAAAAGAUAAAAAAAAAAUUAUAGAUAAAUAAGAAAAACCUCGUAAAAAAUUAAAUGCAUAACAAAAAAAAUCAUCAAUUAAAAGAGGCUCUUUAAACAAAAUAAAAGAAAGAAGAGGUAUUAAUCUAAAUAUAAAUAUUUAAAAAUGUAUAAAAAGAAGCAUUAAUUAAAAAAAAAAAAAGGUCAGGUGCAGUAGCUAACCUGUCUAGCCUUUUUGUUGGGGCUCGCGCGACUAGGCCCUUAUUUGUUUUCGCAUUUAGGGUGGUGUCGCCCCAAAUGUUUUUGAAAAAAUAAAUCAGACGACACGUCGUUUGUUUUUGCCCAGAUUCCAACCAUUGCAGUGACCAAAAAAUCAAGGCUUAGGGUUUUUUACCCAGAAACACAUUUUUCAACAUAUUUUUGACCAAAAACACCUAUAAAACACCUUAAAAACCGUAACAAACCUAUUUAUAGCCUAAAAAACCAAAAAACCAUCUCAAAAAUCAAAAUCAACCCGAGCUCAUAUAUGUUUUUUCAUGAAUUUUAAAGGUAAAAAAAUCUAGUAUGAACUCCCCUCAUCAAAUAGAAUUAUUUGACACAAAUAUCGACCGUUUUAGUGGUCUAAAUUGGUAUUAACGGCAUCUCUCUCUCUACCGCUAGAAUCCAGCGACCUCUCUCUCUCAUCUCUCAACCAGAGACUAAAAGUAACAAAAAUAAAUUUUUAUACCGAAAUUGAAUUGAAAAAAUAUUAAGACACCAAAAUUGUAUAAUUUGUUUUAUUUUUAAAGUGCGAUGACCAAAGUAUAUCUAGAUCUACGGUGUUUUAUUUGUGUAUAAAUAGUGUCGGCUCUACAGCUAAAAUCACAUGCCUUUUUAGAUUUUUACUUCAAUUAGUUUUCUUUCUCCAAUUUGAAGGAUAGUAGAUAGGCAUUUUAUUUGUGUAUGAAUCCAAAAAAUAAAUACUCUAGUUUUGUUAACGAAUCACAUCAUGUGCUAGGACACGGCAACAAUUGCAGGGAAAACUUGAUAAUAAAGGAUGGAUUGAUUUGCUGGAUUUUCUUUUCCUUUUGCCUUUUUAGCAUUCUUUCUAUAACUUGAUAAUAAAUAUCGUUAGGUGGGUGAAUUGGAUGGAAACUCUUGCCCCUCAUUUGAAGGCCCCACUCAAAAUAAUCAUGAUCCUAAUCUUAGUAAGUUGAAUAAUCAUGUGGCUGUUCAAUGAUUGAUUUUUUUUGGGUAAUGCUGAUUUUAAUAUCAUUUUCAUCUAUCAAUUUGAUUAGGUGGGUCCUUGUCGCUGACAUUUUUCUUUGGAUGAUUGGAGACUUUUUUGACCUUCAUCCAUGUAUGUAUGGGUUUUAACCAGCAGUGAGAAAAAUAGUUGACAUUUUUCUGCUUUUGACAUUAAAAAUAUAAAGUUAAAAGGUUUUGGAAUACACUAUUUUUAUAUAUCCACUAACAUUGUGGAUAAUAAUAGUAAUUUAUAGUAUUGGUUUUUUUUUUUAGCAUUUUGACCUUUUUUUCCUUUUAAGUAUUGGUUUUUUUUUUUAAAUUUAUUCCUCAUAUGAUAUGUUUAUAGAGAUUUAGAGUAAAUAAUUUAUUUUAAUUUGUUUUUUAUAUAGUUAUCACAAUACUAAAAAAAUAUCAUAGCAUCGAGUUGGUAUCGGAAAAAAAUUUCAGUAUUACAGUAUGAUCUAUUUUUAAAAAAGUUUAGUGAAACAAAAAAUAAUUUAGAAAAAAAAACUAAGUUAUUAAACUUUGUGGAGUCAAUGACCCUGUUUCCGAGUUUGGCGAGAUAAUCCUGAUUGCCUCGGUUCGCGGGUUUUGUUGGGUACUUUUUUUUUCUAAUUGAACUUGAUUAUAUGAUCAUAUAUAUUUUUUUAUCAUAUAAUUAAAAAAUAGUUUAAAAAAAACAUGUUACUAUAUUUUAGAAAGUCCAUGGGCCUAUUGACGAGUUUAACUUUUCUGUUUUUCUUUUUUAAAAAAAAUUAUUUUUUUUAUUUCAUCCUUUGAUGUUAGGUUGAUUGAGAAUUGAGUUUCAUAAUUUAUUUCGUUUUGCUUUUUAAGAGGUUAUUAUAUUCUUAAAAAAAAAGUCUUAGAAUUGGUUUGAUGCUUAAUUUUGCGAUCAUCUAUUUUUGUUAUCAUAUAGUUAAAUAAACAAUAAUUUAUAUAAAAAAACAAGUUAUUAAUCCCAAUGGAGUCCAUUAUCAGGUUUGCGAGUUUGAAAUGUUGACCCGGGUUACCCGAUUCACGAGUUUAGCCAUCAAGCCUGAUAUUUUUUUUUUUAGAUUUUGGUCCUUUAAUUUUUCUAAUUGUCUUUUUUUUUUAUUUCACUCUUCUUUAAUAUUGGAUUGUUUGGGAAAUGAAAUUCAUGGUUUAUUUUUUUCUACUUUUUAUAAGGUUAUCACGAUCUCAAAUAAAAUGUCUUUUUUAUGGUUACUGCUCAAUUUUUCAAGUAUCUAAUGUUAUCAUAAAAUUAAAUAAAAAUAAUUUAUAAAAACAACAAAUUUAAUAAACUCAUUGAACUUCAUGACCUAGGUUACAAGAUGACCGAGGUCGAUCUCAUCUGGUAUCAUCUCAAUAUUAAAAAAAAAUUAUUGUCUUAAAGUUUUUUUAAAAGAUAUGUCAUGUUUUUAUUGGUCAUCUAAGUUGUAUUUAGACCCAUUAAAUUGAAUGAUUCACUUUGGAUCAACUCUUACGCGAUUUAAUUCAAAACUCGAGUAAGGAAAAGAGUCGAGUUGGCAGGUUUCAAGAUCAAACCGCUUGAUUGGAUUUAAUGAUACUACAAAAAAAUAUCACCAUACUCUUAACAUUUUUUUAUGUUUAGAAAAAGAAUAGUCUGACUCACAGUGAAAUGCAAGCAAAUGUAUUAAAACAAGAAUGUGUGACAUAAGCUCGUAUAUUUACAUUGCUCAUAGUUAGAUUAUUGGGGAAUUACAAAAUUGUCAAGAAGAGUGAUAAAUUGAUAGUUGGAGGCAAGGUUGUCAAAAACGCAUUUUUGACACGACAUGAAAAAUACAAAAUAAACUCGGAUCGUAAAAACGGAUCGUAAAAUCGUAAGGAAUUUUUUCAAGAGAAGCCUAUUGUCCCAAAUUCAAAGAAGAUGAUACAAAUAAAACAAUGUUCUGGAAAGGAAUAAACAUUACCAGCAAUGCUUUCAUAAUCACAAAGACACCAUAACACCAUCCCACGCAAAUUCAAAGAAAAUCAAUACAAACAAAACAAUGUUCUGGAAGGAAACAGACAUUACCAGUAAUGCUUUCAUGGACAGGGACAUUGGUGACCAGUUCCUUCACACUCAAACGUUUGCACAACAACGUUGUAAAAUUCAUAAUGUUCAAUCACCAAAUAGUUAAAAAACCUGCAAAGAAAAAAACAUCGCAUCAAAAGUUUGAACCAUCAAUAACAAAAGACACGCUGAAAUGCAGAGAGAAAAGAGGACACGAAGCAAAGCAAAACCAAGGUUUUUAUUUUUUUUCUUCGAAUACAUAAACCUGUUCAAACUGUCCACAUAGCAAAACAACAACAUUGAGACCUGCCAACAUUACAGGUAACCUCCAUAUGCAAUCUGUGAUUGUUCCUGCACAAACACACUAAUCAGUUCUACCCCAUAGAUUGAUCCCUGAAGCUUUUUCUUCAGAAAUGAAUCCUUUGCUCUUUAAACUUUAAACUGCAUCCUUGAUAAUUUGCUCCAUGGGAAUAAAUUCUAAACCCAAGUCCAUCAGCUUCUUGGCUCCAUUCUUUGCCCUUAACAACCCAGGUUGGGUAUCCUUCAGCAACCUACACCAAUAGGCACAUUAAGGAUCAAGCAGUAAUGAUUCAUACCAUCAAACAACCAGAAAGAAGUUUUAAGAUCUCAAUGAAGCAGGGGUGGCAAUGGACAGAAGUUUGAUCCACAACACAACAACAAGCACAACUUUGUAUGAGAAUAAAGAGCAAGACUAGUUAAAUUUAAUGUUCCCAAAUUCAAAACCCACAAACCACACUUAUCAAGAAAAUCUAAAUUCACCUCAAAUCAGCCUAUAUACUGAUUUUGCGAAAGAAAUUAUCAUAAGAAAAAUUGGUCUCAUUUCACAAGUUCGAUUACCAAACUUUGCUUUUACUGUAAUGACACCUAACCUAGCAAUAAUAAUCUACUACAAUUUGCUCCAAUAAGAGUUCAAACAUUCUGACAGCUUAACCAAUUAUAUAGACCGACCUCCAGAUAUGAGAAUAUUCAAGAAAUUGGUAAAAGCUAAACAAACAGCUGAAAUAUUCUUCUGAUUUGGGGUUUCAAUCUAUAAUCAGUGUUGUCUUUAGGGUUUUUGCUUUCCAGCUAGCAAGCUAAAGCAAAGCUUAACAUAUAUGAGGACAAAGUGAUAGUAUGCUUGCACGGUUUCACCAUUAUCGUCCAGACUUCCAUAAACAAGUGCACUAACAAGAAAAAAAAAAGAACAAAAAUUGGUUGUUGUUUGAGUUUUGCCUAUGCAGAGACAAGACUCGGUGAGUUGUGGAGGCAGAGCAGUAGAGGUGAGUUGUGGAAAAAGAGGCGAGACUGCGAGAACCCUUGAGAUUUGAGAAAGGGGAAAGGGGAAAAGGGAAAGGGGAAAGGGGAGGGUGACGGUGUGUCGGGGAGGGGAGACAGAGUCAGUUUAUUUUUUUCACUCUCUAUCAAACUCGUUAACUCGGUCCGUUUUUACCGAGUUGACCGAGUUUGGUCGAGUUUGACCGAGUUUGACCAUUUUCGAGUUUUUAACUCGAUUUUACAGGUUAUAUGGGAGUUGACUCGUAAAAUCGUACGAUUUUACGAGUCAACUCGCGAUUUUGACAACAAUGGUUGAAGGGUUAGACUUCAGUUUUUAUCUGAAAAAUAACAUUAACUAAAUAAUUAACUCACAUUAAAUAACUGGUUGGGGAAAAAAUUAAACUUAAAAAAAUUUCAAGUUUGUAAAGAAUUUCUAGGCAGUGUCAUUAAAUUUAGCCUAAGUCAAUUUUAAAAUCUCCUGAUCAAACUCAUCUCUUAGUCCAGGUUUUAAAUUAAACCGUAUGAAAGUUGUCCCGGUAUGACUCAAUUGACCUAAUGAGUUUAAAGUGACCCAAAUAACCAGUAAAAAGUGUAAUUUAACUUUUUUUAAAAAUUUCAAGAUAACAUAAUUUUUUUAAAAAAUAUUGAUACGACAAUAUAUUGUAUUGACCUGAGUUUUGCGGCUUAACCCACCAAAACCAUUACUCGGGUUAUGGACUCCACUUUUAAUAAAAAAAAUUUAAACUACUUUUUAUCUAAUUAUAUGAUAACAAAAAUAGAUGUUUGUAAAAUCAACCACUAACUUGAUGUUGGGAAAAAUCAUGGUGUUUGUUUGAGACCAAAAUAAAUUAUGAAGGUCAAUUCAAAAUCAACCAAAAUUUAAAGGAAAAAAUUGAAAAAAAAUCUGUCAAUAAAUAUCCAAUAUUGAAUGAUGACAUUGGGAAAAAUCAAAGGAAAAAAACCAAAAAAUAGGCUAAACAGACUGGCCUAUAUGGUCCAAUACGCCUCUACCUUCUUUAUUUAUUUUUCUUUUUUAUCAUCCACCCUUUGUUUUUUGAAAACAUAUAUAGUAGGCAAUAUGUUGUAUGUUUUUAUAGAUUCUGACCACCACAUGUGGCUGGAAAGUCAAGCUUCUAACUUAUAGGUAAAAAAAAAAAACAAUUUCAAAUAGUUUUCAAUUGAAAACACCUAAGAAACACCCUAGGGAUCUCAAUAAAUCCAUUUUUUUUAAUCUUAAAUUAGCAUUUAAUCAGUUAUAAAUGAAAAAUCAUUUUAAUCCAUUUUUUAAAAUGUGAUCUACUUUUUUUCAACAAAAUAAAUAAAUAAAAAAGAUCUAAAGAGAACUCUCAUUGUCAAAUGGAACCGAUUAACAAAAAUUAGUCAUUCACUAACUCUUUUUUUUGUGUUUUUAGCGACUUUCCCUUUUCUCUCACAAUUACAUGGUCUAAAUAUGAACAAAAUAAAAUUUAGAACAAAACCUCUCAAUUCCCAAACCAAAUAGACCACAAAGAAAAUUAGACAAAAUCCUAAGGCACAAAGGUGCUAACAUGAUUUUUUUAACGGAAGAUCCUUUUUUAUUUUUUUAAUUGUGGUCCCUUGAUUUUUUUAUUUUUCUUAAAUAAUAAAAUUGGAUUCAUUUUCAUGAAAUUGAGUACCAACCUAAUAGCAAGACUUUUUUAAAAUAGAGAUAACAAAAAAAAUUUGAAACAAAUUAUUAACCUUAAAUCUCAAUAAACACAACAUUGAAGCAUCAAAUUGAAAAGAAAAAAUUGAUGAUCAAAGGCAUAAAAAAAAUAAAGAUGACCAAAGUUAAAACCAUAUAUUUUUUUUAAAUGCCUUAUAUUGUUUUUUUCAAUUUUGGUCCCCUCAUUUUUAAUCUCUUGCAAACAAUAAAAUCAAAUAUAUUUUUUUGUGAAACUUGGCACUAACACCAUGUGAGGAUGUUUUUCUAAGAUAGCGCUAAGCAUAUAAAAAGCGAAUCAAAAUAAAUUAUCAAUCCUAAAUCCCAAUCAACACAACAUUGAAUGAUAAAAUUCAAAAAAAUAAUAACAAAAAAAGGUGUAAAAAAAAAAUGAAGCAACAUUGUGUGAAUAUAUGGUGUUUUGCCUUGUAAUCCACAAUGAUUGUAUGAUGCUUUUUCAGUUUUUAACUAGAUGUAGACUUGUACUACACCACAUGGCCAUAUUAUUAUUAUUAUUGCUUAAAAUGAUGUUCAGGUGAUACGAACAUUUUAAAGAAUGGAGAAAAAUGUGUGACACGAGUCAUAGACCCAACUGGGUUAAAUAAAUUGAUUUUAUUUUAAUUAGAUAAUAAAACAAAUAGGCAAUGACAACAGAUGGACCGAAAAACAUUAUCACGAUAACUUGAAGAAAAAACUUUUUCUAAAAAGGUGAAAAACGAUGUAGCUCAUUUAUCAACCAAUUAAAUACAAGAUGAUAAAAUUAGGUGAAAAUAGAACAAAGAAAAUUGACAUAAGUCAACUCAAGUUAGCAUGACAAACCUAUAACCCGGGUAAUAUAGACCAAGUCAACACGGGUUAGCCCGCCAAACUCUUGGCAUAAGUUAUGAGAUUAUGAUAACUUAAUAGAAAAGAAAAUGAAGAAAAUUACAAUGCCUAUUUUUUUUAAGAGGAAAACAAUGUCGAAUGAUGAAAUAAAAAAAAUAAGUAAGAAAAUGUCAACCCACUUUAACUUCUCAAACUCCUGAUCCGGAUCAUUAGAUCAAAAGCACCCUAUCUUAAAAAACCAUGAUGUCUGAUUCCUAACCAAUCAAAUAUUGAAUGAUGAAAUUAUAAAAAAAAAUCAAUUAAACAAAAGAAUCCAAAAUAGAAAAUAGCAAUUAAACAAUGAAGAACUAGAUUGAAAUAAAAAUAAAUUAGAAAACAACUACAAUUUUUUUAUUGAAGGGUGAAAUUGUAAAUAUAAAUCAAUUUAACAAAAGGACCAAAAAACAAUUAAAAGAAUGAGAAUCAAAUUGAAAAAAAAUAGCUUAUCACAAAUUAGGAUUGAAUGAUGAAAUUGAAAACAAAUUAAAAUUUAACAAAAGGGCAAAGAACAAAAAUUAAAAAUCAAAAGAAUACAGACCAAAGUUGAAGUCUCAAUAAAUAAGAGGACAAGUCUGAAAUUUUGAAUGCUCAAUAUGAAUUUCAAGGGGAGGAGGGAGAAAAGAGAAAAAUAGAAAGAAAGCAUUAUUGUUAACAAACCGCCCCCACUACUGCUGCCUUAUGCGGCCCCAAUAAGGAGAAGAUAUCACGAUGACUCAAUAAACACGUAGAAGGAAAUGUUUUGUUAUCGAGAGACGCCGUAUGCGCCGUUAGAACACUAUGGGAACCUCCUAUAUGCUAACCAUGUUUUUUAUUAUUAUAUUUUAUAUUUAUUAAAAUAUCAAAUUACCCCCAAUCAACUUAAUUAUAACUAAUAAACUAGGUUGAGAAUUCAAAAAAGCCCUCAAAUGCUAGUUUUAGAAUUUUUGCUUUUAAAGAUAUUGUAGUUAUUUUACUGCACUUUAAAAAUAUGAAAUGACCAAGUUAUUUCUGAUCAAUUUGAUAAUGACUAGUGAACCUUGUGAAAAGACUGCAUUACCUCUAAUAGUCAGUUUAAAGAUUUUUGGCGGGAAGAGCAAAAUCAUCAUUACAUUGUUAUAAUUAACAAUGUUUUUCCCUCCCAAAUUAGCUUUUGUUAAUUUUAAUUUUAAUUUAAUUAUAAUUUUCCAUAGCAGUAGACUUUUGGCCUAUAACAAGUUAACUCGAUAUUAUUUGUGGCAAAGGAUAAUAAGAUCCUAAGCAAAAAAAUAAAAUAAAAAAGUUCAAUUGAGUCCUUGAUAUUACUCUUUUUUAAUUUUCUACUUUAAAAAUAAUAAAACGAGGACUUAUAUGUCUUAAAAUGGUACUUGUUUUGGCAUGAGUUUUAAUCGUGGACUUAAUUGGAUAACGUAUGAUAGAUAUAAUGAAAUUUAACUUUUAAAGUUAUUCUAAACAUUACACUAUGUAAAUAAAAUGUUAAAAGAUAGUUCUACUCCAUUCAAUCUUGUAAUGACAAAUAAGUUCUGUAAAAAGAUAAUUUUACCUUGUACGGUUUAAAUUGUGAAAGGAGAAAUAAUAAUUUUAUAAUUUUAUUGUGAGGAUCCACAAUAAAUUAUUAUCUAUUAGUAUAACAGCCCGGCCCAACUUGUCAUAUAUUGUCCACUUUGGGCCUUACUGUCCUCAUGGUUUUGUUCAUGGUGACGCGAGCCCACAUCUGAGCCUGACGCCCCAAAACGCGUAUGACAAGUUGGCAACUAGCACUUGCUAUAUAUUGUCUGCUUUGGGCUUUACCGCCCUCACGGUUUUGUUCCUGGCGACGCGAACCCACAUAUGAGCCUGACGUCCCAAAAAGCGUAUGACAAGUUGGCAACCAGCACUCAUAAUAAGACCAACUACCACUCCCUCACCCGCCGAUGUGGGAUAUUACAAUCCACACACCUUAAGGAGCCUGACGACCCCGUCGGCACAACCGGACAAACAGUGAGGUCGGUUCUGAUACCAAAUGUGACAGCCCCGCCCAACUUGCCAUAUAUUGUUCGCUUUGGGCCUUACCGCCCUCACAGUUUUGUUCCUGAUGAUGCGAGUCCACAUCUGAGCUUGACGUCCCAAAACACGUAUGACAUGUUGGCAACCAGCACUAUUAAUAAGGCCAGCUACCACUCCUUCACCUGCCGAUGUGGGAUAUUACAAUUAGUGUGUGUAAUGUAUUCUUGAUUAAUUUUUUUAGCUUUUGCUUUAAUGGGUUUAAGUUUUAAAGUUUCAUUUAAAAGUCUCCCAAUCAUGCAAUUUGAAAUUCCUACAAUUCAAAUUGUUAGAUUAAUUUAAUUUCAGCAUGAAUUUAUCCCGUUAGGAAUAUAUUGGUUGGGACUUUGAUAUGCUUUGAUAUUACCAUGAUGUUACAUGGAAUCAAAGAUUUCUAAACACAUUUUUUCUUUCCCUCUCAUUAAUUAUAACUUAUAAGUGAAUGGUUAAAAAUACCAGUUUCAUAAAAACAAAAUGAUAAAAAGAAUUGAAAAGAGAUUAUGCAAGAAGGUCCUCUUGUCCUAUAUGCCAAAGAUUUUAUGAUGUUUUAUCAAAAUAUGAAACAUAGAUUAUAUUGGAAAGUUAGGGGUAAAUAUUUUCAGUUCAGUUCGGUUUUUACUUAAAAAAAAUAACCAAAUUAAAAUUUAAAACAAAAAUAAAAAGACUCAGGAUCGGCUCAUGAAAGAAAGCAGGAACUUAUGGAGGCCAUUGAACGUUGGAAUAUAAUGAAAAUUCCAACUUGAUUCAAUGUUGUUGGAACCGGUUUGGCUCGGUCUAAUUCAAUUAGUUUUAAACUCUUAAAUCAAAACCAAACCAACAUAAUUUUUUUGUUUUUCUAAUAUUUAAUUCAGGUUUUUUAGUUAAUUUUUAUUUUAUUUUAUUAAUUUUUCGGUUUUUUUCUCCCCUCUAAAGAAAGUAAUAGAACAUAAUGAAAUUACCAUGAUGCAAGUCUUGGUCGGUCCAUUGAACGUGCACAAUACCUACCAAUACCAUCUCACCUGUUAGCGAACAGUAGCUGUCAAUGUCCAAUAAAUAAUGAAUAGUUUAUCCAUUUGAUAAGGCAUUCAUGAAAUUUAUGGCAGUGUCUUCUGAAAUCGAGACAAGAAACAAGUCAAUGGGACCCCUUCAAGCUCAAGCAUGGUGGCCUCUGAGUUCUUCAUGCUCCACGUAGUUCAACACUUUGUAUUCUAGUUACAAAACUGUAUUAUUAUAUUUCGCCAGCUUUGAUUAAAUAAUCAAGUGAAUUCACAUUAAUAUAUCUGUUUUGUAAUCAACUGCAAGUUAUUUUUUUAAGUUUAUAUAUAUAUAUAUAUAUAUAUAUAUCAACACAUCAAAACUAUUAAAAGAUACUUAAAAAACAUUAAUUUAAUUAUUUUUAAAAUAAAAAAAAUCUAAAAAACACUUUAAAAAACAGGUUGAACCACAUUAUCAAAUACAUCAUUUUCGGAUAUGUUUGGAAUUGUGGUUGUGAUUCAAAAUGUUUUGCGCUUAGAAACGCAUCAAAAUGAUGUUUUUUUAAAAAAAAAAAUUAUUUUUAAAAUCAGCACAUCAAAACGAUCUGAAAACAUAAAAAAUUUAAUUCUUAAUAAAAAAAAUUAAAUUUUUUAAAAACACGGGUUGGAUCUCGUUUCCAAAUGAUCCAUUCAUGGUUGUUCCGAGUAAUUAGCUUUUCAUUAGUACAACGUAAAAUCAAAACUUCUUUUAAAUUGUAGGGGUAACAUUGAAAACAUUUAAAAUAUAAGGGUAGAAGUGAAACAUUUAUGAAUCUCUAGGAGCAGUAUUGAAAUUUACCCUUGUUUUUCUACUGGGGAAACCUCAAUUUAGUCCUCAUAUUUACUUCAACGUCAAUUGAGCCCCAAUCCUUAUGAUUUUGUUAAGUUUACCCCAAGCACAAUUUUAACAUCAAAUCAUUAUAAAUUUUACUUUAUACAAACCAGUUAUUCUCCAAAACAUGAAAGCAAAAGAAAAGAUCAAAGACUAAAACCAGAAUCAAUGAAAUCAGCCAAGAGGAAACAGACCUAAAAGCAUUGUUAUUAAAAUAUAUUUAUGCUUCAUACCUUGCAAGAUAUAUUUAUACUAUAGUACAUACAAGUAUCCAAAGUCAUCUUUUAUUUCUUUUAAUAUAAAUGUUUUAAUAUAAGAGUAAGAGAAAUAAAAUAUAAAAUCUAGAAAAUUUUCUAUGAAAUACCAUACAAAAAGUAACAAUCUUUUAAGGGAACGGGUAUAAUAAAAUUCAAAAAAUUCUUCUAAUGUGUAUUCCCACAUAAAUGAUCCUUUUUAUUUGACCUACAAAAACAAAAAAUAAUUAAUUAUAAUAAAUUAAUAAACCCGGCAUAACUCGGGUGAGACCCGACCUUUUUUUUAUAUAUUUUUUAAUAAACCCAAAAAAUGUAAAGUUAAUGUGUGAAUACUUUAACUUUUUCAUGUGGGAUAACUAUAUUUAUAGUCUAUAUCCUCAUAGAAUAUUUCUUAACCUACACUCACAUGAGAUAACAUACACUCACAUGAAAUGUUUCAGAUAGCUAUAUAUAGCCUAAAACCACAUGAAAUGUUUCUUAACUUUUUUAUAUGAGAUAGCUAUAUAUAGCCUAAAACCACAUGAAAUGUUUCUUUUCCAUGUGGAAUAUUAAAACCUCAAAAUAUUUUUUAAAUUUUUUACCGGGUUGACCCGUUUUGACCCGGGUAACUCGUAUGACCUGGACCCGGCCCCUUGGUCGGGUCAACCCUCAGGCCAGGUUUAAUAACUAUGGUGUACACACUGUCAUUUUAAUGUGGAUUUACACAAUGAAAUGAUCAUUUUGUUAUUUUUAAACAAAAUCAUUUAACUUGCUAUUGGAGGUAAAACAGUCUUUUUCAUGGGAUCCAUCUAUCAAUGUCAUAUUGAUUUGGGAGGUCCUGAUCUUUUUACAUUUUAGGUGCAUAUUAAAAUGACUUAAAUACCAUUAAAAGCAAAAAAUAAAUAAAACUGGGGACAUGGAGCUUUUUGAUUUUUUAAUAUUUUGAUUGCACAAUGAAAUGACUAUAUUUUUCUUAAAAGAAAAAAAAACUGAUAUAAAAAAGUAUUUUAGUCGCUUCAUUAUGGUUUUUAAGUCAUUAUCAAUUUUAAUAAGGGGCAUUUUAGUCUUUUAACAAAUAUAAAUAUAAUAAAAAAUUAAAAGAUGGUAAGCGCGUGCCACGUACACACUAGAGAGAGAAGGGCACUAAUGCCUUUUGAAUUGUGUCUGGCACCUCCUAGCGAUCAAAUGCCGCUAAUAUUUUUCUUUUCCUCCCUCCUCUUUCUCCUCGUCUUAGAUUUCACGCCAACCAUUUCAAAUAUCAAACAUGUCUUGUUAGUUUGUAUUUAUAUCAAUUUUGGUCUUCAUUCUUUUGAUUGCUAUUUGUUUUGUUUUUACGGCUUUUUGAAGUUGAUUUUUUAUUUAUUUUGUCCCCCAAUAUUUUACUUCAUUUAAUUUUUGUAUCUAAUUUGGUCUUUAUUCUUAUGAUUACUAUUUUGUUUUUGUUUUUAAUCCUUUUCUUGAUUUGUUUUUUUAAUUUUAUCCCUUAACAUUUUAUUUCAUUUAAUUUUUGUAUCUUAUUUGUAUCUUAUUUUUUUUAUUGCUAUUUUUUGUUUCUAAUCGUUUUCUUGAUUUAAUUUUUUUUUCAAUUUUGUUUCUCAACAUUAUAUUUCAUUUAAAUCUUGUAUUGAACUUGGUACUCAUUUUUUUUAUUGCUAUUUGUUUUUUUUUUAAUGGAUGAUUAGGAUUUAGGAAUUUUGCUUCAUAAUUUUUUUUGUGUUUGCCUUCUAAAGGGCAAUUAUGGUCUCAUGACAUAGGUCACGGAUUUUAAAAAUUAGCCCGGUUUAACUUCGGUCUUUUUUAGGCCAUUGAUUGCUUUUAUGUGGGGUUAUCCCGAUCUUAGAUUUUAGAUCAUAAGUUGGUCGAGUUAACCCGAGUUGACCCAAGUUUUUUUUUUCAUUUUUUAAAUUGAUUUUUUUAGAUUAGUCUUUCAUCAUUUAGUUUGCUUAAGAGUUGACCUUCAUCGUUUUAUUCAAUUUUUUAUGUGUGAGUUUAUCCAUAUCUCAUGACCAGGUCGUGAAUUUGGUAUGCUGACACGGUUUUUUUUAUCCUUUUUAAAAUUGAUUUUCUUUCUAGAUCGUCCUUAAAUGUUUGCUUUGCUGAUAAUUGAGCUUCAUAUUUCUUUUAUUUUUUUAUGAGGUUAUCCCGUUCUCAUUCGAUUUUGUUUUGUUAUCAAAUAAGAUCGUUAAGACUUUUUAAUAAUAUUUAGAAGGUCUAUUUUUGUAAUAUUUAUAAGCAUUUAUUUUUUUAUUAGUCAUUAUCAUUUUUUAUUGUUAUUUGAUUUUUUUAAUAAUCAAAUUAUUAAAUUAAGAAACUUUAUUGAAUCCAUUCAAAUCAUUGAUCUGUCUCAAAUUUUUCUUUCUCUUUUAAAAACACUAUCAUUGUCUGGACAUUUUUUUUUAACAAUAGAAAACAUUUUGUUAGGCCCGCGUCACAGGGUGGGCUACGUUUCCUAUUUUCUUAAGAGAUAUUCAUAAAAGAAGGGUAGUAUUUGGAAUUUGAUGUUAGUUUAUGUAAAGUUUUUGUUUUUUUUAAUAUAUAUAUUGGGAAUGUAGUUUACAGGAAGUUGUAAAUGUAUCGAUGCUGAGGCUAUUUAUCCUAAACCAAAGCAUAUUUGUUUUACAUGUAAGGCUCCGUUUGUUUGCAGGAAAGUUGUUUCCUUUUGGAAAGUGAAUUCCGGGGAAAGUGAAUUCCGAGAAAGUAUUUUCCGAUGUUUGGUAGUGUUAUGGAAAAUGAACUGGAAAACACUUUCCAGUGUUUGGUUAUGUUAUGGAAAAUGAACUGGAAAAUAAUUUAUUAAUGAAUUAAUUUUUUUUCAAGUUUAUCUAAUAUAUAUUAAAUAUUUAAUAUAAAUAUUUAAUCACUUACAAUAAAAGAAUGAAAUCUAAAAAGUAUAAUGAUGAAUUUUUUUAUUAUAUCUUAUAUUCAUACAUAGCUUAUUUUAUAAAAUAUAACUAUAUAUGUCAUAUCAUAUUAUAGAGAAAUAAGCUUGUGAAAUAUUUUUUAAGUUAAAUAUAUUUUUUUUCAAUUUUAAAAGCUUAAAAUAAGUUUUUUUUUUUAUAUGAAGAAAGCCAAAUUAGUUUAUGGUAAGAGUUAUAUAUUACAUUAGAUUAACAACUAUUUUAAUUUUAAUUUUUCGUCACUGGGAACCAAUUAAAUUUAAUUUAGAAACAAAAAUGUCUUGUAAUUACAAUAAAAUGAUUUAUAAAAUCCUUAUGUUUGGAUGCUGGGCCACCCACCCCCCUAAAAAAACGUUCACAUGUUUGUUCACAUGUUUUGUGAACAAAAGAAAGGAAAAUGUUUUCCUUAAAAUAAGGAAAGGAAAACACUUUCCUGGCUUAAAGUGUAUUAUCUUCCUUUGACCGGAAUUUGAAUUCCUUUGACUAGUUUUCCUUAUAGUUGUCAAACAUUGGAAAGUGGGGAAAAUGGUUUCCAGGAAAAUGAAUUCCUGGAAACAAACAAGGCAUAAGGUUGAAGUGUGAUUAUAAACCCUUUUGAUUUGUACUAGAUUUUUUUUACCUGCGCUACGUUGUGGGAUGGGUUUAUUUUUUUAAUAUAAAAAAGAUAUUCAAAUAAUGAUAACAUGAGUGAAUUCAGAUUAACUUAACUAACCUGCGAUUCAAGUUAACCCUAGAGAAAUGAAAGGGAAAAAAUAGAAAGCUCAAGGCCUAAUAAAUCUAAUUUCAAAGGAUAAAAUUAAAAAAAAAGAAACAUGAAAGAAAAAAAACCCGAGUUAACCCAACUUUACUCUAUUAACCUACCACCCAUGACAUGAGAUUGGGAUAAGAAAUUUAAUUUUUUAAAAAUGACUUAGAAAAAAGGAUCAAAGCUAAAUAAAUAAAAAAACAUUGAAGAAAAACCAAGUCACCCUAGGUUAACCUAACAAACCUGUAACUUGAGAUAACCCUAUAGAAAGAAAUAAUAUAUAAAAUCAAAACCUAAUAGCCCUGCGUAAAAGGAUGAAAAAAAAAGAAAAAAAAAUCCAAUGCAACUUGUGUUAACUUAACUAACCCAUGACUCAGGAUAACCCUAGAUAAGGAAAGGAAAAAAAAAUAGAAAGCUCAAGACUCAAUACCCUAAAGUCAAAGGAUGAAAUUAAAAAAAUAAAACAAAUCAAAGUUAAAAUCAGGCUAAUCUUUAAAACCAUCAACUCUUGUCAUGAGACCAAGAUAACCUUACAAAAGACAAACAAAACUCUUCACCAUAAUAUUUUUUUUUAAAAAAUAGUAAUACAAUUAAUGAGGACCUAAUUUGAUCUAAAAACUAAUGAAAGAAAAUAAUAAGGGACUUAAUAAAAAAAUAAAAGGAUAAAAAAAUUUAAAAGAAUUAGGGCUAAAACUAGAUAAAAAAUGAAAUAAAAUGUUGAAGGACAAAUUGACAGAAAAAACAAAUUAAGAAAAGGAUAAAAAAAAAGCAAUUAUAAGAAUAAAGACCAAAAUUUGAUUAAAAAAAUAAAAUGUUAAGGGAAUAAUUGAAAGAAAAAAAGAAACUAAGAAAAAGGAUAAAAAAAAAGCAAUUAAAAGAAUGAGGAAUCAAUUUGAAAAAAAAAAGUGAAAUAAAAUGUUAAGGGACAAAAUUAAAAGAAAACAAAACAGGCCAUGAUAUGGAAAAAAAAUAGUAAAGAGAAUGAGUACUAUAUUUGAUAUAAAAACAAAACAAAAUCAAAUGAAAAAAGGAUGAAAUUGAAAAAAAAUCUAAAAAAAAAUCUAAAACAAUGAAAGACCAAUCAAAAGAAAGAGGAUUAUAAUUGAAAGACAAAAUGUAUUAGAGGACAACUUUGAUUUUUGGCUGACGUAGCACAAAUUUCAAGAAUUGAAAAGAGAAAACAAGGGGACGAAAAGAAAAGUCAACUGUCGACAAACCACCAUGAUUUGAGCAACACGCGCUACCCCAUAAGCUUUGCCUCCACCGGACACUUUAGACAAAAUCUUGGUUGGGAAAUUUUGGUCACUGCUUGACGAGCGCAGAUAGCGUCCACUCCCUAACACGCGUUGUUCACGGGCUAGUAGCCUUUUUUAAUUUAUGAAAAUAAUAAUUUGCCCUAAUCCAAAUAGAGUAUAAGAAAAACUAUAAUAAAAAUAGUAAAAUAUCCUUUGACCAUCUUUUUAUUUUAUUUUUACUUUGAAGUCGAUGAGGUAAUUGUACUAUUUGUAAAAAAAAAGAAAUUAUACAAAAGCUUUCUUAGCCUUUCAUAUUUUUUUUUUGUCUUUUAAAGGCAUUUAUUUAAUUCAAUUAUACUAAAACAAUGUAAACUACUAAACUUUCCCCAAUAAAAUUGCAAAUGAUCUUUGGGUUUUAUGGAAAAUACCAUUCUAGCACCACAAGUAAGGCAAAAACUUUAUACAAAGAAGGGCAAAAUAGUAAUUAUGCUGUCCAAGUCCAUAGUGAAUUACCUCAACAUCCACAACGAAACAAUGAUCAGUUUUAGAGUUUUUUUUUUAUAAUAUUUAUAAGAUAAUAUAUUUUAUGGCCUCACAUAGAAUUCAAAUGCUUAAUGAUAACUCAAAGAAAAAACUCAUUUGUCGACAAACUAAGCCUGCAAUAUUGUAAUUCUUUUGUUUCCUAAAUUAAGUGUAAAAGAUAAUUUUGUCCGUGAUCUAUUACACCACUUUAAAUAUGAUCCUUAAAAACAAAAAAAAAAUCCUACCAGGUCCCUCAUCUAUAGGAUAUUUACUUAUCAAUUCUCAAUUUAAUUUUUCCCCUUUAAAAUCAUAAAAAAAACUUAGUCAUUUUUUUCAAUGCAAUUGGAGCAAAUGAUCUCUUUUUUUCAUCUCUAUUUUUUUCUAGCGACUAUCUCUCAUCUCUCAUACAUAGAGACUAAAAUGUUGAAAAAAAAUAUCAAAGGACUAAAUCAAGUCGACAUUUGUUUGACAACGCAAUAACUCAAUGGUAAUCAAAUUGAUACAAAUUAUGAAACCUGGUCUAUAAUAAACACAAUGUCAAAAGAUUAAAUAAAAAAAUAAAAAAAAAAAUGAAAUCAAGAGCCACUCUAGAUUCCUUCUUAAUGUUUGCCCUUCAUGGUAUGUUGUUCUCACUAAAAUGGAUUUUAUGAAAUUUAUUAUGUUUUGCCUUAUAAAUGCAUGAAUUGAAGUUUAAUAAUCACAUUAAAACCUUACACACGAAAAACAACUUACCUGUAAUAAUAAUGGUAUCAGAAACUCUUUUGGUAAGCGAAUGGUUAUGGAUGUUAAGUCAUGACUUCGUCAUAGUAGAGCACCCUGUAGCUUUUUAAAAGAAAAAAACAAGGGACCUGUAAUGUUUAUGUUUGUUUGUUGCUGUGUCUAACAUAUACCACCAAUCGAUCUUGAAUCUGUGUUUAUAAUCACAGCUGAAAUUAUGUUUUUUUUUAAUUUUCUAUUUUUUUUAAUUUUUUUAUGUUUUUGAAUUGUUUUGAUGUACUGAUAUCAAAAAUAAUUUUUAAAAAAUAAAAAAUAUAUUAUUUUGAUAUAUUUCUGAGUAAAAACAUUUUAAUAAACAACCACUAAUAAACUUUCAAAUAUCAUCUUAACCAUACAUUUGAAUGGUCAUUCAAUAUUUCUAGUGUUCUUACUUAUUGGUGAAUUGAUGAUGCACAUGUUAUCAUCAAUAUUUGUAAUUUCAAAAUCACUUAUGUUGCUUCUACAAAAAAACCAAAAAACUAAUAAGGUUUUUUUUUAUCAUAAUUUUUUUUUCUUAUUUAGACUAUUUAUGAUAAGUGUUUUUUUAUUCAUUUUACGCUUUAAUUAAGAUUAAAAAUUUCUUUUAAACAAUUUUAAAGAUGCACUUCCAAUAUCCUGAUUACUAAAACAUAAAUCAAUCUUAAAAAAUAAUUUUUUAGCAUGCAUAAAAUGUAACUCAUUAAUUGUUUUUUCAAUUUUGAUUUAGUAUUGAAUAAGAAAACUUAAAAAGAUAUUUAUUAUACUAUAUUAAUUAAGUUUUUUUGUCAUGCUUCAUAACCCAUUUUUUACCCCCAGUUUUUUUCAUGUAUUUUCAAAUAUAUAAUUUUUUUAAAGAAUUUAUUUUAAAUGAAAUUUAGUCAAUUCCCAACGUUUUAUAUUUUUUUCAUUUUCAUUUAUUUUAUUUUAAGUGACAAAGAAAAAUAAAAAACUUAAAAACAAUAUAUAGUAAAAAGAAAAAUAAAAAAUUUAGGGAGUGAAAUCACAUGCAAAGGAAGAAAAAUGAAAGACUAGCAAAUGAAAAAUAAUAAUAAAUAAAUAGAGAAUCAAGAUGGGAUUGGAAAAACUGUAAAAAACAAAAAAAACCUAAUUCAAUAAGGAGAUAAAAUAGAAUCUUCCAAUAUUAUUAUUUUUUUUUGACAAAAACCCUUAACAAUAUAAAUAAACAUAAAAAAAAACCUAGAUGGAGAAAAAAAAAGAAGAAAAAACAUAAAAGGAGUCAACUUUAGAAACACAUAGACUAAGAGAGAGAUAAAAAAAGAGGAGAAAAGAUACAAAAAAGGGACAAAGAAAACCUUGCCACAUCUUUUUCAUCUUCUCUCCUCUCUCAAUCACAACUGCGAACCAUUGUUCUUUUCUCCCUCUUCACCACCAAUACCUCCACAAACAUCGACCAUGAUAGUUUCUCCCUCCACCACAUCUUUAUCUCUCUACCCGAUCACAAAACAUCCUUGUUAUUAACUAUAACCUUGGAAAUCAUAGCCACCACAUUAACUAAAAUCGCACUUAUCUCUCUUAUCAUUAUAAAACACUCCAUGGUAGCAACCCUUUGGCAUUCAAUAACCAUGAUCAUAACCAAUAAAGAGAAAAUUGACAAAUAAAAUUUAUCUUUUCAUGUCAACCUCCCUUUUCAGAUCACGACAAGCUUUAUCAUCAACGUAGAAAGGAAAAGAAGGAGCAUGAGAACUUGAUCUAGUAGGUUUAAGGUUUUCAACCUUGUCAUUUUGUACAGUUUAUGUGUUACUUCGUUUACAUGCUUGUCUAGCUCCUGCACAUGACUCCCAUCUGCCACGACUACCCGUUUUUUUAGUAUCUUUUGUUCGAUUCCAAUCGCUCUUGAAGGUCAAAUACGAAUCCUAAUACAUUGAUUCACUUGUUUUUAUCAAUUUGCAAUAUGUGGUUGAUUUCCUAUUCGUAGAUGUUGUAUUUGCCUACAAUGAUUUGCUUGUGUUGAGUAAUUUAUAAUACGAGGUUGAUUUUCUAUGUGUGGAUGUAUUUGUUUUUUUUAUUGUGAGAUUUGUGCUUUAAUUUUCUUAAAAUGAAAAGUUAUGUUUUAUUUUUAUUGAAGAAUUGACCUUGAGUAUGGUAAAAUGGUUUUGUCUUCAUAUGACCAUUUAAGUAUGGUAAAAUGGUUUUUAUUGAAGAAUUGACCUUGAGUAUGGUAAAAUGGUUUUUAUUGAAGAAUUUGCACAUCCAUUAAUUAGUCUUACUUUCAAACCCGAUGGUUUUUAUUGAAGAAUUUGCACAUCCAUUAAUUAGUCUUACUUUCAAACCCGAGUUAUGUUUUUUUCUUCAUAACCUUUUCAAUUAUGGACUGAAAAAAUAGAUUUUAAAAUCAAUUUAGGGGAUUUUUUUAUAAGGUUUUGGAAAAGAUAAGAAUAAUUGAUUUAUAACUUGCAAUUUAGGCAAAAUCACAUCACAAGUAAAGAGAAAAUGAAUCGAUUGAAUAUGCAAGACUAGGCUUUAGUUUUUAUGAUAUUUUGUGUUCUUAGAUAGGAGAGAAGAAAGAGAUUAUAUUUUUAAAUUAAUUUGGGAUUUUUUAGGAGCAUAUUUUGGCUAUUUAUGUUAUAUUAUAUAGGAGGGUAGGUUUGGGUUGUUUAUGUUCACAAGUGCCUUUUAAAAAUAUUUUGCUUGUUGGUUUUUUUUUUUGCCCCUUUAGUCUGAUAGUUCUAUGUUUUGAUAUAAAACUUUAUUUAAUUCACAUUCCAAUUCCCGGGUUUGAAAAAUGAGAUUUAUUGGAAAAUUAUGGAGAGAGAAAGUAAUGGAAUGGUGAGAUUUCGUUGAUAAAAGGUUAAAUUUGGUGUCAAUGUGUUUUUCUUGGCAUAAGAAGUGUUAUUGAGGUAUUUUUGAGCUUUUAUGUUGUUAGAAAAAAUAGAUCGAGGUUAAGAGAAUUUUUUUUUUUAUGCUUUUGAGUUAAUUUAGAGGUUUUUAAGUUGAUAAAUAAAUUUAUCGUGAUUUAAAGGGUAUUUUUGGAAGUAAAAAAAUUGAAAUUUAAUUUUUUAAGUCCUAAAAAUCCUAGCUUGAUUUUCCACCAUCUCUCUAAUGGGUGAAAUUUGAACUCACAAAUAACACAUCAUCUACUUUCUUUUUUAACUCAUUAAAAAAGUCUAAAGGCAUGAACAUGGCCUACUUUUAGGUUUCUUUUUAAUUUCUUUUUAAUUGAAAUUUAAUUUUUGUAAUAUUAAAUAAUUUAAAAUAUUUUAGAUAUUAUUUUAUUAAAUGCCUUUAAAUUUUUACCUUGUUUCUGAAAAAAUAUAUCAGUCUUUUUAUAACAUUAAGAAAUGUUUUUUUUACAACUUAUAAUGAUUUUUUAUAAUUUUAUUUGGUUUCUUUUCCAUGUGCAUGUAUUUUUGCCAUCAUAUAAUUAAAUAAAACGAUAAUUUUUAAAAAAUAAAGUUAUUAAAAUCAAUAAGAUGUGUGAGCUUGAAUCAUGAUUUUAGUGAGUUAACUCAAGUCAAUCCAAGAUGUUUUCAUCUCAAUAUUUUUUAAAAAAAUGUCAUCUUUAAUUAAUUUUAAACAAAAUUAAUUUUUUAUUAGUUACCGAGAUUACCUUUGAACCCUUUAGAUUGAGCAGAUCAUAUCAAAUUAAUUUUCACAUGGUUUAAUUUAAAAUUUAGAUAAAAAUUUAAAUUAAAGGUUUUAAAAAUUACUUAACCCUAUUAAAGAAUCCACUAUAACAAUACAAGAACAUUGUUUUUCCAGCUGUGAUGUCUUUUAGUAAGGAAACGUUUCAGAAUGUAAAUGAUAUUUUUUAAAAAAUUAAUUUUUUUUUGUUUAAAUUUAAUUUUUUUAUAUUUUAUUUUUUUUUGAAAUUUUAAUAUUAAAAAUAACUUAAAAAUUAAAAAAUAUUUAAUUUAUUUUUAAACAAAAUUAUUUUUAAAAAAACCACCACUAAUAUAAUCUUAAAUAUUAUAAAAAAUGCAAAAACAAUAUAAAACACAUUGUAUCCAGAAAGAAAAUAAGAAGACGACUCGCACGCGCACACUGAGAGAGUCAGAUAUUUACCUGCAAAAACAGAAUGAUGAACAAAAAAACCCAUUUUUGAUAAGCUAAGAAAGAAUUCAAAUCUCGCUCUCGUUGGGUUUUAAAUCUCAUUUUCGGAGCCAAAUCCAUUUCUAAAACUUUUUCUUUCUUUUGUUGGCUAAUGUAGGUUGCCUUCUGUUAAUGUUGAGGUUUUGUUUUGUCUAGUUUGGUAUCAUAAUUCUCUUAUGAAUCAGUUUCCCAUGGAAUUCCAUUGAUUUGAUUUAUUAGAACAGAUAGGUAAGAAUUGAAUUCCCUUUCGUUAUUUGAAAGGAUAAAUGGGUAUUAGUGCAUUUGGGAUUUGAUUGAAAUUUAAAAACUGGGUUUUGUUUUCAGGAGUAAUUGCUGGUGGGUUUUGCGACUUAGACCCUGAUUUUGAGGAAACAGGGGGUUUCUUUCUUUUGGUUUGGCAUUGCAUAAGGAGAGGGGAAGUAGAGUUGUAGGUAUUAAAAAUCAGGAGAGAAGUGGGUUUUGGCUUUUGACAGAGAAUGAUUUGUAUAGGAGAAAAGGUGACAUGAGAAGUAGAGUUAUUGUUGGUCCAGAGGUACAAUGAAUGGAGGGUCAUUCGGUCAAAGGGGGAGUUAUGGAUCAUUGCCUUGCUACGGAAAAUUAUCAAAUAUUGCACGAAAACAAUCUUCGAAAAUGCCGCCAGUGAGUUCAAGGGACAAGGAGCGGGUUCUCCUGGUUGUUUGCCGGUGCUUGGGGCGUAGAAGAGUUGCAAUGUUGCUCUUGGUUGCACUUGCUCUCCUAGUUUUCAUCUGGGGUUCCCUUACAGUUAGCAAAGGUAUGGUUCAAACAUGUGUCCUUUCCUAUGAUGUAAAAUGUUUGAGUGUUUUAUGUAUUCUUUUGUUCUACCUGUCCUUAUAUUUUGGUACUGUUGCACUGAGUUACAGGAGGAUGAAAGUUUUCUAAUUACAAGGAAAUAAUCACUUAACAAAGGAAUAGUUUAGGCACCUAUUUAUUAGUUCAUGCUGACUAUUCUAUAUUUAACAGAAAAGAUAAAAUGUAGUAGUGUUUUAAUUCUAUGAGCAUCUUUUAAUUUUUCCUGUUGUUUGAAUGGAAAUGUUUAAGUCAUGUAUUAUUCAUGUCUUGAGAGCAGCUGUAGCAUGCAGUGAGGAGGGGGGGUGGGGAACAAGAAAUAAAGAGGUGGAGGUGGUUCUUCAUGAAUUUUGGUUCCCAUAUAGGUGUGGGCCAUGAUUGAAUAAUGGCCUUGUUUCUAUUAGUUCUCAUUCUGUGCUAAAUCCUUGACAGGAAAGCUGACAGCCAGAGAGUCUUCUUCUUUCUCUCUCUCUAUUUUCAAUCUUGAAUGGAAAGCAUACGAAGACAAAGUUGUCUUCUUGAAUUUAAAACAGGAGAUAAUCAAUCGAUUACAAAUAUUGAUCAGAAUGAAAGAUUCUGUUAUCAAGUUAUUUUUCUGCAUUUAAUUGAUGAUGUCAAAGUCCUGAAAUACUUGGGAUUUUUACUGCUAUUUGUUUUGCUUUAGACUGGUUGAGGCAAUAACUAAUGUGCAUUUUGUGUUAUGGAUGCCCCAGAAACCACAAGUCCAACUGUUAGACCAAUGGAUAGUAUACAUUUUGACAACAGUGAUAUAAUAAGCCAUCCUUCUGUUGCCUGUCGUUCUAGAGCUAAUAGCAUAUUGGACCAUCCAUGCCACAAGUUUGCUCUCCCUCCUCCCCCUCCUUCUGGUGGACGACGGUUUGGACCACGCCGUAAGUUUUGGGUUAUUUUGGUUGAAGUGUUCCUUAUUUUCUUGUUUUUCUGAUCAUUCUAUUAAUAUAUUGGAUUGGACCAUAAGUUUGAGUUGCUACAUCUGUGCGUCAUUUGGAAGUAAAAAAUGACUUCUGGCCUGAAUGUUACUAAAAGUCAUGUAUAUAAUUUUUCUUGCACCAAGAAUGUGCUCUCACAUUUCUGUAACAGAGAAAACUGGCAUGUUUUUGCAAUUAAUGUUAUUAUCUUUCUCAUCAGUGUUUGCUACAGAAGACCUCUUGCAUGUUCAAUUGUAAAUUGAUACAAAAUAACCCUCAAUACCUUUGUAUAAAGUAUGCCAAAAUCUACUCUCUUAGUUGAAGCAAAAAAGUGCUCACAUGCAAUUUAUUUCUGUUGGUGUGGUAUUUACUUUGUUGUCACUCAUUUGUUAUGCAGCUUGUCCAGUAUGUUACAUUUCUGCAGAGCAAGCUAGAGCUAGCAUUCCAUGCUCCUCAUCUGCAUCACCAGUGCUCCGCAACUUAACAUACGUUGUUGAUGAAAACCCAAUUAAAAUUGAAUCACAUGGAGGUUCAGAAUUUGGUGGAUAUCCUUCUCUAAAGCAGAGGAAUGAAUCUUUUGAUAUACAAGAGUCGAUGACAGUGCACUGUGGGUAGGAGUCCUUCUCACCUAUCAUCUUUCUGUAAAAUUAUAAGCAUUGAAGACUGUUUUGCAUGGAUCUCAUGAUCUCUGUCCUCCGUUAUUAUACAAUGUCCUGUAACAAAUACGAAUAACUUAUUUCUUAUAAACACAUAUUUUUCUGUUGGCCGUAUUUUUUAUCAGAUUUGUUAAAGGAAAUAGACCUGGCCGCCAGACUGGAUUUGAUAUUGAUGAAGCUGACCUGAUGAAAUUGGAAGAGUUUCACGAGGUCAUUGUUGCAUCAGCCAUAUUUGGUACUGUUUAGCACUGGACAUUCUGCAAAGAUUUCUUGUUUUAUCCAUGUUUUCUACUUUCCUCAUCAUUGCACUUUCCCAGGGAACUAUGACAUAAUACAACAGCCCAAGAACGUUAGUGAAGCAGCUAGGAAAAAUGUUCCUUUUUAUAUGUUUAUUGACGAAGAGACAGAAACAUAUUUGAAGAAUUCCAGCGCCCUAGAUAGCAAUAUGAGGAUCGGACUGUGGAGGAUUAUUGUCGUCCAUAACAUCCCCUACACUGAUGCAAGACGCAAUGGAAAGGUCAGUUUGCAUUUGUUUGGUUGCUUUGCCUGCUUCUUUCAGAUUUCUCUCUUUAAUUUCCUUGGGCAUCCAAACCUGGGCUGGAUUACAUCACUUUCUUCUUAAUUUUUUUUCUUCCCCUUGUUCUCCUGCUUCUCUGUUAACUCAUUGAAAACAAAGCUAUCAGUUUGUUAACAAAUUUCUGUUUAUCUCUUGGUGAGUCUUCAAGUAAUUUCAAUUUUGGUGCUAAUCCUAGCAUGGCAGAAUUUCCUGAAUAAAUUUCUGUUGAUAUAUUAAUCUAAAAGAUUUUCCUUUUUUUUUCCUUUUCAUUUUUGUUUUGGGCUAUGAUAUUCAAUAGUACCUCAUACUUCAAGUCAUUUUCUUUUCAAUUACUGAAAACCUAAAAUGUUGCUGCAAGAAGUGAUGGAUGCUGUCGUUGUGCUAUGUAAAUGGACAGGUUCCAAAGCUUUUAUUGCACAGGCUCUUGCCUAAUGUUAGGUAUUCCAUAUGGAUAGAUGGAAAGCUCCAGCUUGUUGUGGAUCCAUAUCAAGUUCUUGAGAGGUAUAUUGUUUGUGCUUAAAUUAAGUGGUCAUUGAAUGGAGUCAUUCAGAUAUGUAAAAUGGCUUGUGAAUUCAGUGCAUCUUUUUUUUUAAUUUUUCUGGUAUCUUCAAAUUGAGAUGUAUGGAAAUUUUGUUGUACCUGUGUGUGUAUACUCAUUUUCUUCUGUUAUCUGUCACUGUACCAAUUUCUGGUCCCAACAUGGCAUCACUUCAAAAGUUAUGAACCAUCAUAAGUUUCAUUGGUUCAUCAAUAGGCAACUUACGGGAUUCUGGAAAAAUGCAUGGAAAAUAUAAUUAUAGCCGUAUGCUCUUUUUAUCAGCUGUCUUGCAAUGUUAACAUUAUUACACUGUUAUUGAUCCUACAUUUUCAUUUAAAGCAUUCAAAAAAGGAACUGCUUUUCUUGCUUGGGACAUGGGAAUGUCAUCUUUCUGUUGGUUUACAGUAACUCAUGCUUUGGCAAUGUGUUCUGGAUAUGUUGACUCAUGUUAAGACAGUUUUUUUAGUGUUAGCAUUUACCAUAUAGAUCUUCAUGCAUAUUGCAUUUCUGGCCUCUAGAAGAAGGGGAAAUAGGUAGAUAAUUUUAGUAUAAUUGCAUAAUCUAUGUGUUUGAAUCAUACCUGAGCUGUCCUUUGGUUCAGAUUCUUGUGGCAGCAAAAUGCCAGUUUUGCAAUCUCAAGACACUAUCAUCGCUUUGAUGUGUUUGAAGAGGCUGAAGCUAACAAAGCUGCAGGAAAGUGUGACAAUUCAUCCAUUGAUUACCAGAUUGAAUUUUAUAAAAAAGAGGGUUUAUCGCCAUAUUCCAAGGCUAAGCUUCCAAUAACCAGUGGUAGGUGUAUAAUCCUAUGUGUGUGCGCACGCGCUUCAUGUUCUUGAAGAUUUGUAUUUCUUAUGUUUUCUGCUCAAUGACUGACCUUUUGCAGAUGUUCCUGAAGGUUGUGUUAUCAUAAGGGAACAUAUUCCCAUCACAAAUCUGUUUACCUGCCUGUGGUUCAAUGAAGUUGAUCGGUUUACUGCCAGAGAUCAGUUAAGCUUCUCCACUGUGAGGGAUAAAAUAAUGGCUAAAGUUGAUUGGAGCAUCAAUAUGUUUUUGGAUUGUGAGAGGCGUAAUUUUGUGAUUCAGGUACAUGUUUAUGUGUUGUCUUUCUAUUAUCAGGGGAGAUGAAACCAGUGCAUCUAAAACUAAGCAAUUUGUUAUUGUUCUGCUCUAAAUGAACCUUAUAAGUGAACUUUUCUAAUGAAGUUGGCCAAAAAAGCUGAAUGACUUUAAUUUUAUUGUUAUAUUAACUUAUGUAUUUUUUUUCCUUCCAUGUUUAACAUUGAGCAGCACCUCCUUCCUCUGUUGAAAGAGGAAAGUAUGACAAUUUAUUAUUGGUCUGCUCUAUGUUGCCUGUUUGUCUUAUUUAUUAUUGGUCUGAUUUUAGCCGCAAAUGUUCCUUGUUUCCCAAACACAGAGUUCUGGCAACUAAAUGGAUCCUCUGACAACAGUGUAUUGAACAAAGCUGUCCAGCUACUAUAUACAGUGCACGAGACUGAUCUCUAUGGGUGUCUUUGAUCCCUUCUCUAUUUUUUGAUCCUCCAAGUGUUUCUUUGGGUGUUUAAUGUGGUUACUCCAUGCAUUUUAUCAUGUUCUCCAUACAAGUGACAUUUGAGGCUAAAUUCCGUCCUGGGAGUGCAGCUAGUAUGCUUUGACCAAAUGAUGCUAAAAGCAGGAACGAUCAAAUAAAAACAAUCUUUAAUGGGGAUAAUUAACUUGGAUUUAAAAAAUAAAACUCCUAUGCUUUGGGAUGCUAAAUCCUACUACUAUUAGUUUCUCUGUAACAAAAUGCCACUGUUUUAUGGUACUUUUAUGCCACUUGAUUUUUCUUUUGACUUGCAGGCUUACCACAAAGAUUUAUUGGACCACAUGCCACCUCCAGUUGCUCAUGUUAUUCGACAUCCACCACCAUUACAUCGUGAUAGUUCAGCUGGGAGAAACCCAAGUAAAAAUUCAAGGCGUGGAAGAGAUAGGAGAUCUGGUUCAAGGCAACACCGCAAGGCUGCUGCGGGUAACAGGGAGAAGCAAACCUUUUUGUAGGAGAGGUAAAAGUAGGUGUUUUUUAUUUUUUUUCAUUAUACUGCACGGGGAAGAUGGAUUUGGUUAGAAGUAUUUAGAAUGACCCAAAAACAAAAGCAACCGAAAUUUUGUUUGAAAUUAUUGAUAUCUCAUAUUCUUUCAUUGUUGUAAAUACUUCAUACCAAAUAAGUCCACACCAGCUGCAAUCAUUGAAUGCUUCUUGAUUUUCAUUUACUUGGUGCACGAACAUGCAUUGGCCAUCACUUGUGUAUCUUGAAAAUGUCAGCUUUCAUGCUUUAUGCGUUGUCCAGUUAUAGAAAUGGAAGAUAUACUUUCUACAUUGGCCAUCACUUGUGUAUCUUGAAAAUGGCAGCUUUCAGGCUUUUUGCGUUGUCCAGUUAUAGAAAUGGAAGAUAUACUUUCUAUCCUCUAUACAAUAAAUACCGUGCCAUCCUGAGUGCGGAGCGACUAAUCCUUGUUCUUAGGAGUGUUGUUCAUCUUCUCUUUUGAGCUAUUAAGAUGCACUGCUUAUUCUGCUUUUCUAAGCUUGAAUCUGAUCUUUCCUUCAUGUGUUCUUCCAAGGUUUUGGGAAUGAGUUGUUUAAUUCUAGGGCAUUUGUAAGAUGAGAAAAUCUUAGUGUUUUCAGGCCUACGGAAUGUUUCCUAACCUGUGACUGUACAAGUAAAUAGGAAGAUUUCUGAACUGGCCUCGUCCAUGCUCUUACCUCAAUACCCAGAUUGAAAAUUUUGGUACCCUAUAUGUUGAAUCUCAUGUUUCUCCACUCUUAUCAAAUCCUCAACUAAAUUCAAAAGCAGGAAUUGAAAGUGGAAGGAUAGAUUAUCCUUCAACCCUACAGACAGCACAUAACAUGAUCCUUCAACCCUACAGACAGCACAUAACAUGAAAGGGUCUCACAGGAGAGGAGAGGAGAGGCCUAUCAGCAAGAUACAAGUUCCAGUGGUGAGAAUCGACCAUACACUUAAAAUAACAUACAAUGAAGUAUACCUGCAAAAUAUAACAGCUGUAUUGAAUACAAUAAUGGCUUCUUCUCUGUGAUGAUAAUAUAAUAAUGUGGUUUUGUCAUUCGAUUUGCAUACAGAACAGAGCAAUACAGCUUGAGAUAUGUUAAAAGUAUUCUAUGGAUCCAUUUUUUCAAGUGCAUGCCGAAAGCACUUUUGACAAUUAAAAGCAACCUCAAGUUUUAGCAAGUUCGAGUUAAACUAUAAAGGUUCACACUUUUUAGGCAUUGAUUCUCAUUUUCUGUUAAUUAUUUCUUACUCUUACAGUUCAUUUUAUAAACAAUUUUCUUAAUUCGAUGAUAAAAGAAAUAUCUUCCUAGUAUCAGUUAAAAUUUGAUAACACCUGCAGCUCAACUAAUAAGAUGCAUCGAAGAUGAUGUUGAAGUUAACAAAUUGUCAUGACACUUCCUGUUAGCUUUUUUCUCUUGUUUAAAAUUAUUAUUUUGAAAUUAUUUUAAUAAGCUAAUAUUAAAAAUAAAUUUUAAAAAAUAAAAAAAAUAGGACAUGAUAAAAGUUAUAUUUAUUACACCCUCUGUAGAUUUCUCGUGAGGAAGAAAGGUCGUGUGAACUUGAUCCUCCUACAUGACGAUACAUGGAUUCUAACUUCCAAAAAGCAAAAAUAAAAAAUUCCAAAAAGAGCUUUUCUUCUACAUUUAAGAUAAUUAGAAACACAAAGGGUAGAGGGUCGGCCAGUGAACAUGUGACCCACAAAUGUGGGAUUGCUAAGCACAAGAAGCAAAGAAAGGCAUAAAAAAACGAAGGCAUUUUGUGCAUGGGAGGAAGGUAUGGUAUGGGAUUAUUGAGAGCAAGAAAUCUCUAUGGAUUGCCACUUGAAAGGAUAUAAAACACCAAAUUAUUGCUUUCUCUACCACCUCUCUGUCCAAAUCUACAUACCUUAAUUAAAUAAGUCUGAGCCCACAGAAUUAUUAUAUCCAUUAAUUUAGCUCAAUUAUUAUAUCACCCAUAAAUGUCACAUCCAGAUCAGCACCAAUAAUUUUACCUUCCGUUCCAGUUUCAUUUCCCUUCAAUUUGUUUACAGCUUUAGGGUUUUGGGAUGCAAAAGGGUUUCCUGGAUCUGUCUCUCAACAUCUUGAAUUUGAGGUUAGGAUCCUAUAGUCUUUUAUUGGUGGAUUAAAGGGGUCUUAUAUUGAAAUUUGAGGUGGGGUUUAUGUGGGUUUUUCUUGUUUAAUACACUUUGAUUCAAGAUUUGUUUUCUUGGUACAAUUGGUGGGGGAGAUCAAGUUAUGGUCUUGAUUAAUGGGUUUAUCUUGGUUUUUGAGUCUUGGGUUGCUAUCGAAUUCUGGGCUUUAAAUCUUGAUCAAUGAUUCGAUCGUCUUUCUUCAAGAUCACACAUUUAAAAAAGUAGGUUUGAGGGCUCUUUCAAUAGGGUCGAUGUUACUCUUUUCUUGUAUUGUACUUUGGUAGCUAUGGUUUAAAGGCCUUUUCUUGUUGGGUUGAGCCAUUGUUUCUGAUAGAGUUAAAGAAAGGAGAGGGGAGAGUAGUUCUUUUUGGUGCUUGAUUAAAUGGGAUCCUCUGGCUUCUUUCUGAUAUGUAUGCUUCAUUCUGUGAUGGCUCUAACUUGUGGAGCUUUGAUGAUGUUUUACACAAAUGAGGCCACUGUGUUUGGUCAUGGCAUUGAAAUAGCUACAAAGCUUAAAGGUUCAACACCACAUGACCAACUCCUGGUCCAAACCUCUGAUUCCUUUUCUGGGUUGCUAUUGUUUGCCAUUGGGUUCCUUUUGUUCAUGGUGGCAUUUGUUAAGGACAGAGAGUUCCAGAGUUUCUUUGCUAAAGGUUGUGUCUUGCUACAUGUUUCAAUGGCUUUCUGGAGGAUUUACUUUGAGAGGAAGCUUGAAGAUCUGGCUCGUGAUUUGCCUAGACUAGUUGUUGGUGACAUUGCAUUGGCUCUUUCUUGGGUUUUCUUUCUUGUUUAUUCUUGGAGAGAGAAGUAUGAUUAGCAAGCUACAAGAGUCAGAUAGCCAGUCCAUCAUCGAAUAAAUUUGAGCUGUUAUUGUGGUAGCGUUACGGGUUCUGCCAAGUGGGAUCUUUUUUCCUGGCUCUGUUCUGUAAAUUACAGGGUGAAUCUGGAACUUUAAAGAAAUGGACGCAAAGCAUGGAUCGGAUUCUUGGUUAGUGCGCGUUUUAAAUUCUUGAUUGGAUCUUGAACAAGCUUGGAUUCCAAGAAAAGCUGGAGAUGAGAUCUGGGGGCUGCCAUUUUGUUUUUAAUUGAGAAUCUUCAACUUGAGAAGUUUCUUGCACUUACUGUGGUGCCUCUGUGGGCUUCUUGUAUUGAAUUUCAAUGGCAUUUGUAAAUCAACCUUCUUCAAAUAGAUAUUUGAUAAUAAUUAGAAAUGUGAAUCCCAUAAAAGUUUACUCGUUUGCUGCCAUCUCUUACUUUCCUGGCAAUCUUUUCUUGCUAUUUUUCCAGUCUAUUUGAUUUACUGAUAUUGCAAUUUGCACGCAUCCGCAGCUUUGAGUUUGGGACAAAACUAUGCCAAGACAUUUCCAGGAUUUUGUUAAGCAAUCCGAGGGAGGAAUGAUUUGUCUAAUUAAUCAAACGGCAAGAACUGUAAAUGGAGUCACACCAACUUUUAUUUUUUUAUUUUUUGGUUGUAUAUAUUAUAUGAAUUCUCAUCAUAUUAUAUCAUAUUAUUCGAGCUAUUUCCUCUUUGCAUUUCAAGAAUAAUUUGGAAAAAAAAAUAAUUUUAUUUAUUUAUUUUAAAUUAAUAAUUUUUUAAUAUUUUAAUAUUAUUUUGAUAUAUUGAUAUUAUUUAUCAUCAUAUUUUACAAGUUAUUUUGUAUUUGUAUUUUAAAAAUAUUUUUUUAAAAAAAUAUUAUAUUAUUACUAUUUUUAUUUAUUUUAAAUUAAUUAUUUUUUGGUGUUUUCAUAUUUUUUUAAUGUAUUAAUAUUAAAAAUAAAAAAAAUAUUAUUUUAAUAUAUUUUUAAAUAAAAAUUAUUUUAAAAAAUAAUUAUUAUUAUAAAAUCAAACAGAAUUUUAAUCUUUUAAUUUAUUGAAGAUUGACCUUAAUUUUUGUUGCAAACAUAAAAAAAAAAAGUUAUAAAGAAGGGGGAUUAUACGACUUCUUAUCUUUUCCGAUGCUGAAAUUUUAUCAUUCUAAAAAUAAUAAUUAUUAUUCCUAUAAUAAUAUUUUUUAUUUUGAAAAAUAACUCUUAAAUUUAUAUGGAAGGAAAACUAAAAUUUAUUGAAAAUUAUUUUUAGUUGGUUUGAGAGUGUGAUUAUUUUUUAAAAUAUUUUUAAUUUAAAAAUAUAUUAAAAUAAUAUAUUUUUUAUAUCAUCAAAUCAAAUAAUCUAAGAAAAAUUAAUUUUAUUAAAAAAAAAGAUUUAGCUUCUGUUUCAGCCGCAAUCCGAGUGCUUAUUCUACGUUAAAAAGAAAAGUAUAUGCUGUUAUUGGACCAUGAAGGCUCGGCCCACGGACGCCACAACAUCUUGUCUAGGGACCCGUUUCUUUCUUCUUCUUCUUCUUCUCUCUCUCUGAAGUUUCUAGCAUUCAACCACAACAGAAACCCUGCAGAGCCCCAACUCCUGAAACCUUUGACAAAAUUCUAACGGUAACUUAUUCUUUUCUUUUGCUCUUUCUAUGUUUCCUUGUGUUCAUCUGUUCAUUUAUUGUCUUUUAAGUUGUAGAUGGUCUGUUAUGGUUUAGUGUUUUGCUUUGUUUCUGGUUUUAUUGUUUGAAUAAACUUUUUUCUUUUUCUUUUUUCAGAAUUGUUAUUUGCUUUUGUUUUUUCUUUAAUUCUAAUUGUUAUGAGGAAAGGUCAUCAAAAGCUCAAAUGGUUUUAUCUUGAAGAUGAUUUUUUAGUCAAGAAUGCAAUUUUGUAAUGGCAAAUGAUUAUAAUUGGUAUCAUUAAUUGAUUUUGGUUUCUGGGUAUAUGUUUUGCAUAAAUUUCAAUAUUUAGGUUCCGUUUUAAAGAAGAUACUGUAGUUUUCAAGAUAGUUGAGAAACUGAGAACAUGAUAGACAUGAUCUUUCACUGCUAUGAAAAGGAUGAUCAUGCCGGAGUUCUUAGAGAAAAAGGUCGGAUUUUUACUCGAGGAAAAUGAAUUAUUUAUUUUUUUAAAAAAAAAAGUUUGGUUACUUGAAGUUAUUGAUUGGGAAGCUUUCAUACUGUUGGUUCUGAACUUGGGUGAAGCGCAAUUUUGAACUUUUUAAGUUUCUAUUUUCUGUAUGUUGAUUUUGGGUAUAUAGUUAGUCAGUUGCAUAGAGUACUGCUAUAUAACACAAAAAUAAGUUAGCGAAAAGUUCACAAGCAGAUAAAGUGGCCAGAGAAGUGAUUUCGUUCAACUUUUGGGCUAUUUAUUUUUUGUGCCUGUUCGUGUCCUAUUUGUUACAAAAUAUUCGUGUUAUACAGCUUUCUUCAAUUGGGUAAUUGAGAAGCUUGGUUGAGUUAAGUUGCUUCCUGGAUUUAAAAAGAAAUGGGGUGUCUUUUUUGAGUGGUUGUUUCCUUGAACCCAUAUAUAAGUGCAUUUAUAUUAGGCUUUUGUGAUUGCUUCUCAUGACUGUGUCAGAAUCAGAUUCAUCGGUUUGAUUGAGUAUAAUGUUGACAGAUUUUUGGCCAAAUGUCUAAUUUUUAUGAGGGGAAAUGGGAAUAUGAACAAAAACAAACCUUUCAUGUUGUUGAUUUACCACGCGGAGUACUUAAUCAGGUCUUAAGUUUCUGUCUUAGUAAGCAAAACAGCACUUAAUGGUAUGGCAGUGUUUCAAAUUGUUUGAUGGAGUCGGAUAUCAUACUGAAUUGCUUGUGCUAUGAGCUGCAUUAGAAGGAUGAUUAGUGAUCCCUUUGUAGGAAAACAAAUUGGGAUAUGAGCAAAUCUCAUAUGGUGGAGGACAGUCAUGCAAUGGAACAUCUGAACAAAAAUUUUGAAUUGUUUUAGUGGAGUUGAUUGAUUGGACAAUUUGUAGAACAAGGACUCCAGGUGGCAAAGGCAUUAAUUGGCAAAAAGAGAGAAAAGAAAAGGUGCACUUUUUUCUGAUGAAGAAAAAGAUGUCUCUAUUCACAACAGAAAAAAUCUCCUCUUUUUUUUUUUUCUGAUGAACCAAGCAAUUGCAAGCAGCUAGUAAUGAACAACAAACAAUACAGUAAUGAAGAAAUAGAUGUCUCUCUAUUCACAACAGAAAAACUCUCCUCUAGUGAAUUGUAUAAUCAUUGGAAUUAUAACAACGAAAAAAAACCUAUGUAAUGAGUUUAUAAAUAGAGUAGAGGCUCUUGAAUGAUUUUCUUCAUUCCUUUCUUUAUUUCUUUAUGCCUUACAUGUGUUUUCUGCAGAUUUGUGAUGGGUGGACUGCCUUUGCAAAAUGCUUCCCCUACCCCAGUUGUCAGCCAGGUGUCAGUAAUUACAAAUUCUACUAAAGAAUCAAAGCCCAAGAAGAAGAUCUGCUGUGCUUGCCCUGAAACUAAGAAACUAAGGGACGAAUGCAUUGUGGAGCAUGGUGAAGCUGCAUGCGCAAAAUGGAUUGAGGCUCAUCGACUGUGCCUCCGUGCUGAGGGCUUUAACAUUUGAGUUUGGUAGAUAUGGUUUAGUUCAUAAAUCAAUACCAUUUUGGAAUAUAGAAUACUUGUUUUGGAAUUACACAUACUGAAUAGGAGGAAUAAAGCUAGAAAACACAGGUUUUCUUGACCUUCUGUACUUGCAGUCAUUUUUAUCUUCUUGAAUUAUGAUUUCUUUCCUUCCUCUGUGACAAUUGAAAAUGAUCAGAAUCCUUGGGUGGGGUUGAUAUUGUGUUGUCUCUUCUCUUUGUCAGUGUUAUCUGAUUAUUUUUUGAACCUGUGAUUUUACAGGCAGAGGAAAGUUGUUCCUCUGAUGUAUUGCAUUCCUUACAUGCCAAUAACUCUCCCAUUUGUGAUUCCUUAUUUAAAUUCCAUUACGGUGUUAUGUAUUGUUCUGAACUUCUGAUGAUAGAUUAUAGACUCUCAUCUCGUACUUAUGCAAGCUUAUCCUCACAUGUUGAUUGUUAUCCUUACAAGUAGCAGUUGCUAAGGAUGAAGUGAAAAGUUAUAAUCUGAAGUGUAUUGUCCAGAAUUAGACAUUCUCAUCAACUUUGCUGCAACCUGAAUUAUCCUCUCUGUCACUUUUGAGCCAUUAUAUCUCCCUUGAACUCAAGUGAGCUUGUCGAAGGGCUGAGAAGCAACUCUGAGAGGAUAACUCUGGGUUAGAACGUCUAACUUGGACAAUGCAUCUUCAGACAAUAACAUCUCUUAUCUUCUUAUUUCAUCUUUGCAACUUCUAAUCACUGCAUGCCAGGCCAGUUCUAUCUUCUUUGUCAAUAUCGAGAACAGAUUCUCCUAGUUUUAUAACUCGCGAGUUCUAUCUUUUUUAUUCAUUGCUUCCUAUGCUAAUUGUCAUUUAGUUCAGAGAACAGAUUCUCCUUUUUUUUUUUUCCUUCCUUAUCUGUGUCCAUUGGCUAUAAAAUGGAAAAGGUAAAUAAGAAGAGAAAUCUAGACGUGUGAGUUCAAAGAGUUGGUUGACUGCAAGAAUUUCAAACUGGAAGACAUAUUAGGUCAUCUUUCAUGGUAUUUCAAAGCUUGUACACUACAUUUCAGAUUGUUUGCCAAAACUUCAGUGAUGAAACAGGAAAAUGGAAAAAACCCAGUCUUCUUCUCAUGUUUCUUUUACGUUUUAUGUUUGUAGUCUAGUGAUAAGUUUAUGCCCCUCCUUUAUGGUAUUUGCACUAUUUUGGUCGUUCUACAUGCUGCGGUUAAUUUUCGAUUCUAUUUGGUUUUUACUCAAAAUAAAAAAAUAAUAAUAAUAAUAACUAAACCAAAAGUUUUUAUUAUUUUAAAUUAAUAACCGAAACUGGUUCAAACUAGUUAUUUUAGUUCGGUUCAGUUAAUUGAAGGAAAAAACCGAUUUAAUAAAACUAUCGAGUGUUAAAUCCCCUGCUGCGAAUCACUUCAUUCUAAUCCAGAAAUAGCAUAUUAUCCCGAACGUAAAUAAUAGGAGUAAUAGCAUAAAAAGGAAGGAAAAAAAAACAUAUUUUCUCCCGAUGGAAGCGUAAGUUUCUUCAAUAGGCUUUGUCCAUUGCAGAAGUGUUCCACCAGCGUCCAACAAUAAUGCAUCAUAUGCUUUUUUAACAUACUUUAUUGCUCCUGUAAUGUAAUGAAACAAAGUGAACGAAUCUGAUCUAUUGAAAUAGUGUACGCAUUUAUAUAUAUGUACUAAUAAAUAAAUAAAUAAAUAAAGCACUAAGUAGAAAGGAAAAGUGACCAGACCAGCAGAGUGGAUGGCAAUGGAAGAAGAGCUUGAUAGCUUCAAUUUGAUAGGUUUCAGAGCUUUAAGCAAAUAGUUCCCAUGACAUUGGCCAAACGGGAAAUGGAGAUUUAGGAAUGGAAUUGAGCAAAAUAAAAGAAAGAUAUACCUUUAAAGAUUGCUAGAUACCUUUGUUUUUUCUCGAGACUUUGAACCUUAAAACUGGAGAAGACAAGAAACCAGAGAAGGGGAGAUGCGAGAACUGAGAUAGAGAGAAAACCUGGAGGAGGGCGGCGGCUGGGUUUGACUUGGCCUUUAGAGUUAGAAGAAAAGUUUAUAUUUAUACUGUUUUUCUUUCAGUGGUGGUUUUCUUGCUCACCCCUAAUUACCAUGUCGUGGAACAAAUUAGGAUAAGAGUUGUAUUGAUCUCAAAUAAGCUGAUGCCGUCGUACCAGAGAGCUCAUGAAGAAAAAAAUUGAGGAGUUCCAGUGAAGAUGAUACGCAGAAUAAUCUUGAAUUUAGAACAGUACUAGUUGGCAAAGAAGGAACAAAACUGAAAUGCAUGGUAAAUGAUUUAAAAUUGUGAGAAAGAAAUCGGGAUUCAAUGAUUUUGUUUUGAAUUUGAUGUUCUUAAUUCCUUUCUUCUUCCCCCGUGUCUCCAACCCAACGGUGUCUUGUUUCUGAGUAUGAAAGCAGGAUUCAAUGAUUUUGCUUUGAAUUUGCUGUAAUCAAAGCAAAAGAGGAACUGCUGGCUUGCCCUGAAACUAAGAAACUAAAACACGACAGCAUUUUGGAGAAUGGUGAAGCUGUUUGUGUGAAAUAGGUUAAGACUCAUUGUCCAGUGAGGACUUCAACAUUUGGCAAAUGAAUAUCACUUCGAGGAUAGAACAGAUACGAGGAAUAAAGCUAAAAACCGCAACUUUGCUUGACUUUUUCAUAUCUUCAAUCAUUUUUUCUUGGAACUCCACUAACAAUUGAAAAUGGCCAAAAUGCAUGAAUGAGGCCUUGAUACUGUGUUUGUCUCAUCUCUUUGUCGAUGCUUUAUUCUUGUCUGUACAUGUGAUUUAACAGGUAGACUAAAGCUCCUUUCUCCAAUGUAUUCCAUUCCUUAAGAUGCCAUUGAAGUCUUCCAUUCAUUUAUGAUUCCUUCUUCAUAUUCCUUAAUCAAUGGUGUUAGAUAUUGUUCUCAGCUUUUCUUACGAUGGUUAUUGACAAUUUAUCAUAAGGAGAUCUAAUGGCUGAAAAGCAAGUAACCAAGGAUGGAUAAUUAUUCUACACGCUACUAUAAAUUGAUCUAAAGGUCUUCAGACAGUAACCCUUUCCCCGAUUUCUUCUGUUCAUCUUUUACGACCACUAAUCAUUGCAUGCCUUGCUAGUUGUAUGAUCAAACAAUUGCUGGCCAGGUUACGUACUUUCUUGUGAUCCUUUUGAGUAUUCUCUUUCGCAAUCACUUGAACAUAUUGCUGGCCAUGCCGUUUCUCUUCGAGUUCAGAGAUCUCAGAUUAGAUUCUUCCAAUUUAACUUUCUUUUGCUUUUGGGUUUAUCUUUUAUGACUUCUCAUUGCUGCGUGACAUAUUUCUUGUGGAAUCUUUAAGUGUUGUGUGCAUUAGCAGAAAAUAAAAGGAAAAAAAUAAUCUUGACACGAUCCCAACGAAGAAGAGUUGAUUGCAAGAUUGUGGUCUGGGAAAAAAACUGAUUUCUUAAGCAAUAACGAUCUCAAAUUAACUUGCCUAAUUAUUGUAAUGCUAUCCGAUUGUAAUUCGCUGUGGUGAAGCUAUGCUUUCAUGCAUCAAAUUUUAUGCCAUUUGAUCACAGAGCAUACCGCUUGAUAGGCUAUGAACUCUAGAUUAAUAAAGUUCAGCAAUAUUCUUGCUCUGGUAGUCUAGGUCUACUUUAGCCAUGGAGACAAUAUAGUUGUGAAGUAAAUGAUUAGAAAGAUGAGAGAAGCAGAGUACUACACUAAUUAUAAGACUUCAUUAAAACCACACCAGAGGCCACAGACAUGGCCAAUACAUAACAAUGAAGAAGACACAAAGAUAAAGACACUCACGGACACUUUUGUUUGUUCACUCCACACCCACAAGUACAGAAGAACACAGAUUAUUUAUCAGAAAUUACAUUAUUAAUCCACUCCCAAUCCCACAUCAAACAUGAUAGUUGAUGUGCUUGCUUAAUGACCGCAUGUGCAGGUAGUGCAAGUGCAGCCAGUACCGCAGUUGCACUUGCCAUCGUUCUCAGCUGCUGGCACCUCCAUGACUACGGAGGAGACAUAGCUGCAAAAAGAAUUAGACUCCAUUGUAUUAGCAUCGUGUUCCCAUUUCCUUCAUUAUCAAUCUUAACUGACGAACCAAAAAUGUUUAGGAAUAAAGCAAUAUAUAUUAUUCAUUCUGCUUAUUAAUCAUCAGUGCAUGCUGAAGCUUCAAUCAUGUCUCUCAACGCUAAUUAAGACUACGACAACAGGACUUUAAAGAUAGAGAUGCGAAAGUUACUUCUUCUCAGUCUCGACGAUGCCAGCAGUGUAGCUGCUUCCCUUCUUGCUGCAAAUUAAUCACAAAUUGCAUGGCAUGAGAGAGCAGAUAGCAUAAUGUAUGCACGAAAGCCAUGCAGAAACAUGAACUACCUACUAUACAGCUUGCACAACAUAUAUAAACCAUAAACAAGCAAGAGCUGCUUAAUCAGGUUUGCAAAAGAAGGGGAAAAAAAGAAGAAGAAUUCUUACACACACUGGGUCUUGUCAGCGCAGUCGCAGGUGUCGCAGGUGCUAGACAUGAUGAUUGAUUGAUUAAGCUUAAAUGGAUGAACUAAAAGACUUGGAGUAUGAAUGUGUUCUCUGUGUAGCUUAAUGAGUUGUUAUAUCUUCAAGCCCUGCUCUAUUUAUAGAAGGAGAGAGCGCAUCAGUAAUGGCUGCGAUGAAGAGGAAGGGCAAUUGUGGGACCCUCUUAAGGCAUGAGAGAAGCACACUCUUCUCGAGGAAACGUCCGAAGGAAUCUUGAUAAUGGAGGUAGGGGUUGGCCAUCUUUCCUCCUCUCAUGUCAACCUCAUUUCUCUUUUUCUAUAUAUGUAAAAUUAUCAUGAAUCUUCUGUCAUUUUUCAGGGAAGAUGUUAGCCCCACGCUUAAAAAUCUUCUUUAGCCUAGCAUUGGUUCUAGGCGCUUUAACGGUCCAUUUGACAAUUUCUUCCAUCUUCUUUUCUUUUGUUAACUGAUUUCUCACCUAUCGUUGUAAUUUGCUUGUUUUUUCUUUUCUUUCUGGUUUACAAACUAUAUAGAUAUGGCCUUUGUUACACCGCGUGCAAACAUGAAAAUAAGAUAUUCAAGUGAUAAUAAUUCAAAAUAAAUUAAGUUAAAUUUACUAAAACAUGACCUACAAUAUAUGACCAAAAUAAUUUAAAAAAAAAAGGUCUAAAUAAUGCACCACCGAGUAAUGCUAGCUUAGAGUAUAGUGACUUUGAGUUCAUGCUUUAUUGAAUUAAAAAAAAUAAUGAAUACAAAAACAACUUUAUUUACUAUUAGGGGUGAUUAUUUUCAGUUCGGUUCGGUUUUUAUCAAAAACAAUAACCAAACCGAAAUUUAAAAAAAAAACCGAAACCGGUUCAAACCGACCGGUUUCGGUUCGGCUCGGUUUUUUAGGACAAAAACCGGUUUUGGUCGGUUUUUCGGUUUGGCUCGUUUUUUUCGGUUUGGCUCGGUUUUUUUGGUUUGGAUUUGGUUCGGUUUUUUCAAUUUCAGACUUAUAAAACCGAAACCGAACCAGCUGGUUUUUUCAAAAUUUUAAUCGGUUUAAUCGGUUUUUUUUCACGGUUCGGUUUUUUCGGUUAUUUUUUUCCGGUUUUCUCGGUUUAAUUGAUUUUCCAGUUUUUUUGCUCACCCUUUACCAUGUUUCAUUGUGCCAUUAAAAAAUGGGUUGGAAUUUUUUAUUUUAUUUUCGGUUUCCAUUAAAAAAAAAAAUUACAAAAGCUUAACAUGUAACAUGUAAAAUGAAAUUCAUUACUCGGAUGGUUUUUUUAAAUAUAAAUAAUUCUACAAAUAAAAAUAAGAGUGAGAUGUUUUAACGAAAGAAAAAAAAGAUAAAAGGUACUUAUGAUGAAUGAUAUGUUAACUUCAAAAUAGUUUAAAAUAGCGUUAUAUAAAACACAGAGUAAAAAACCAAAGUUUUAAAUCCCGGCCCGGUUCAAGGCUUGGAUUCUAGGUUUUGACCAGGUCACCGGGUUUUGACCGGGUCGGCCGGGUCAAUUCCUAUUUUAAAAAAAAUUCAAAACGGCGUCGUUUUAGUAAAAAAAAAAAUCAACGGGUUGCAACCGGGUUUUGCUGGGUCAACCGGGUCAACCCGCAGGGUCAGCUGGGUCAUACCGGGUCAUGACUUAUGCAAUUUUUUUAUCAACCCGACCCGGUUCCAGCCCCGGGUCGGGUCGGGUUUCAAACCACUGUAAAAAACACUUCCUCUUUCAUUGCCUUUUUGAAGUCUCCAUAAAAGUUUGUGUAUACUCAAUGUUUCUACUGUAAAUAUAAUUAGCCUUUCUAAAUGUCUAUUAUUACUCAAUAAAAAAGAAAUAAAAAGUCAUCAUUAUAAAUAAACUAUUUAAUGAAAAUUAAAUACUACGUUUUCUUUAUUUGAAUGAUAAAUAGGAAAUCGAAACCUUAAUAAAUAUAUAUUUAUCAGAAAGAACAGUUACGAAUUUUAAAUGAAAUUAGUUUUAUUUUAAAAAAAAAUAUAAAAAUAUCUAAAUAAAAAAAAUAACAAUAAACAUCACAUCACGAAAAAAAGAUUUUCUUUCUUGAGAAAAAAAGAGUCAUUUUCAAGCCUCUCGUUGGGUAGGUGGGGUAUCAUGAUUGAUGCUGUUUGGGACCUUACGCCUCUGCACAAGUGGAUAGAAAGCCACUCUCUUUAGGCAUGUGACUAGCAAGGAGAGAAAAAAUAAUGAAAUUAAAUCAAAGAUUCCCUUAUUUAAUAGAUUUAGGUUAUUUUAUUUAAAAUCGGUUUAAGUUAAGGGUCAUUUAAACAAUAAUUUAAAGUGCUCACUAAACAAAAAUAACUUCAAAAAUAAAUAAGAUAUAUUUAUCAAUUAUAUUUUUAUAAAAUAAAAAUUGCCCCAACAUAACCUAAAAAAACUUCAAGUAAGAAAUAAAGAUUAUUCUAAGCUUCACUUGUUAAAUAUACAUUUUUGAAUACUUUUUUCUUUUUCUUUAAGUUUCAUAUAUUUUCUUUUCCUAAAUAUAAAAAUCGGCACAAACAUCCUCAAAAACUUGUUGAAUAUUUGUUUUUAUACAGGGACUUUUCUCACUCUUUUUUACACGGGGUAUGAUAUGAUUUUUUUAAGGAAAAAGAAAUUUACUGUGAAUUAAACUACAAGUUCAUUAGUAGUGGCAGAGACAUGGGGGCUAGCAGGAGGCCCAAUCCCUGCAAGGAAAUUGUUUUUGCAUCCCUUUCCUUAACAAUAUUUAUAUUUUUAGUUCAAAUAGUAAAACAAUUGAAAUCUUUACCUUGUUUAAUUUUAUUUUUUGGCUCCAUCAUGCUCAUUAGCUAUAAUAUAAUUAGUUAAUUCUAAGUCCACUACAAACAUGGCUAUAUACAUUUUGACUUAUCAUAACCAUAACUUUUCUUGAGAAAUGCAAUAGUUUUACUAUUAUAUAUAUAUAUAUAUAUAUAUAAAAUUCAACUAAAUAUAAAGAAGGACGGGCCAUUGGCUAACACCUGACUAGAGCACAUUAGACCUUGGUUUUUAUAAAAAGUCUAAUAAAAUCUUAAUUAUUUUAGUCUUUCAAAGUUUAACACACAUAUUGAUUAUUUUUUUACAUGAUUUUUCCUUAGUUUUACGUGGGUGUGUUAAAUUCUUACAUGAGAAAAUAUAUAUAUAAAAAAAACAUUUAAAUAUAAAGAACAAUCCAUGUUGAAAAGGAUAUUUAUGAUAAUAGAUAUGGAUACAGAUCACUAGCUUCUCCAGUAUAUAUAUAUAUAUAUAUAUACUUUUGAAGUGACAAGGAAAAGAGAAAAAGACGAGACAAAAACCAAUGGAUUGUCUUGCAAUUGCUUCUCCGGGUUGCCAACUUUAUUCUCUCAAUUUUCUCGGCGAAGAACCACAGCCUUACAUGCAUGUUUCCGAUCUUUUUAUCCACAAGCUGGAAAAGAAAGCAGGCUUGUCCUCUACAUUACCUCUCCAUUUCCUCUCCUGUACGCGUCAAGAUCAAGAUUUUUUGUGAUGGCGUCAAAAUCAUACCACUGGUCAAAUUUGGGAAUUAUAUUUAGGGUCCUUUUCUGUUUUUCAUAUGAUCGAUUGAUUUUUUUUUUUUUAAGGACGAUCUGCCAUGGUUUCUGAUGAAGUCGUACAUCUGGCCUUUUCUUGGUUGUAUCUUAGGCUCAACUAUAUGUGCUUUGAAUGUAGAUUUGAUAUGUUUUUUGAAAAACAAGUUCCUUAGGAUAACAAUGAAACCUCCGAUAUUUAAAUUAAUUAAUUAUAGAAGAAAAAUAAAGUGAACAGGAGGAAGAAGAAGAAGAAUGAAGAGUCAUUGGAGAGAUAGCCAUUAAUGAGAAAGCAAGCACCUUCUAAGAAGACAUGUUAAAGGAGAUAGUCAUUGCUAAGAACAAUAGCGUUGCACUAACAAUUUGUGCGCAAGCAUAGGAGAGUGUGGCGUUGUACUGAAUUUCUUGGACAUAGUAAUUAUGAUUUGUGAUAUGUUGUAACUUAAUUUUUGAACUCUAUUUUUUGUAUGUAUUUUAAAAAAUUAGAAAAAAAAAUCCAAAAAAUACAUCUUUUCAGUAGUUUUAGCUAAUUUUAAUCAUUUUGUUAUUUCUUUUAUUUUUAUUUAUUUUUUAUGUGUAAAAAAAAUCAUAAAAAUCAUAAAAAAAAUACAUAUAACAAUACCUUGUGCAAUCAUCAUUUAUUUUUCAUCUGUAUUUUAUAAUUGAUGAUGAUUACUUGAGAUAGGCUCAAUCAUUCUCUUAAUUGUAUGAUUUUUUUUUAUGGAAACACAUCCUUAAAGAAUUUAGCAUUCAUUGAUUCCAUAUUAGUGUUAAGAUGAAUAUCCUCAAUACUUGACUUGUGUACAAGAAAUCGAUAUGCACUACUAUUGUAUACAUAUGCGACAAAUACACAAUCCACAGUCUUAUAUCAUAUCUUAACCUUUUUAAGAUCAAGUAUUUUUACCUUUACAAGACACCCCCACACUUUGAGGUAUAUGUUAGAAGGUCUUUUACCUUUACAUAAUUUAUAUGGUGUUUUUUCUAACUUUGUACGAAGUACUUUGUUAAGUAUAUAAUUGUUAGUUAGAUUUGCCUCCUCUAUAAGUUCUAAGGUGCUCCCGAACUUAUCGAUAUGGAAUUCAUCAUUUUUUUUAAUGUUUGCUUUUUUACAUUCUGCAAUGCCAUUUUAUUAUGGUAAAUAAGAAAUAAUAGUUUGUUGGAUAAUACCAUUUUAGAAACAAAAUUUACCAAAUUAUGCUUUGUGUUCUCCACCCCUAUCACUUCUUAUUACCUUUGUCUUUUUGUUAACUUGAUUUUUAACUUCAUUCUUGUAAUGUUUAAAUAUUUCAAGAACUUCAUCAUUUCUCUUAAGCAAAUAGAUAUAACAAUACCUUGUGCAAUCAUCUAUAAAAAUAAUACAAUGCUUUCUUCCAUAUCUAGUUUUCACAAACUUUAAAUCACUAAUGUUUGUGUGAAUUAAGUCUAGAGGUUCACUACUGCUUUUUAAUUGUUUGAAAAUAAGGUUUUGUGAAUUUUGAUUCUACACAAAUUUCACACUUGCGAUUUUUCUCAAAAAUCAUACUUGGUAAUAAUUCAUGAUUUAUUAACAUUUGUAUAGAAUUAUAAUUUACAUGAUCUGACCUACUAUGACACACAUUAUAAAACUCGAGUAAAUAAAAAGAUAAGAGAAUCUUAUUAUUAUUUUUUAUCAUUGGCUAUAAUAUUGAUCAUUACAUUCAUUUUAAGGAGGUCAAGGUCAUUACAAAAGUAUAAUUUUUUUUUAUAAAUAUAUCAAUUUUAAAAAUAUAAAUUUAUCAAUUUUAAACAUAAUUUUAAAAUUAUUUUUUGCUCAAUAAUAAGCCCCACACUAAACUAAGAAUGGUGUGGGUUAGGUUCCAUUAUCAUGGAAGUUAUAUCCAAAUAUAAUCGCAUGGAUCUGACUGUGAUUUAUCGGAAGCACAGGAAGACAUGAAUUUGACAGUAAAAUUGAAAGCACUUAUAUUUUAUGAACACGCCAAAAAAUUGCCAUGUGAGCUUGCAGCUAUGUUGUAAUUAAUCCCCGGCCUUCCCUGUCGACAUAGAUAGGACCAAGCUCCCUUUGUUGAAUUAUACUCCCAUGCGCUAUGGUGAGCGUUGACCACAUAUAGACCAUGGAAUAACCUGUUUUGCAUUCCGAUAACUUUUGUUCUUUUUUUUUUUAAUACUUUUUAUAUUAUUUUCUUAAAAAAAAUAUUAGCUUGAUGUUUUUUAUGUUUAUUUUUAUAGUUUUGAUGUAAAAAAUAAAAGAAAUUUUGAGAAAAAAAUCAUUUUAAUAUAUUUUUAGUUGAAAAUCUCUUUUAAAAAACAAUAUGUAGCCCAAUACUAAACAGAUAUGAAAAAUAAUUAUAAAUGAUAAGGAGAGGCUAGAAAGUUACCCACGUCUGCCUUAUGGAAUUUUUUUUUUUUUUGUAAUGUUAUUAAAUUUAACCUAGCCCAAUGAAUUAACAUGGUGAUAUAUGGACCGAACCAAGUUUCAAAGCAAGUUGGGGGAGGGGGUGGUUAACUAGCAUUGCCCAGCUAACUUUGGGUGCACGCGCGCAUUAAUUGAUCUCAUAAAAAUACUUUUUUUAUAUAAAAAUAUCUAAAAAAUUAAUAUCAAUUGGAUUUUCUUUUUAUAAUUUAAAAACAAACUUAAACGAUGAAAUUUUAGAUUGAUUAGGGUGAAAAUAAAUUAACUUCGCGAAUCAUGACCUAGAUAAUGAUUCUGGCUAGAUUUAAUAACGUUUUGUAAUUCAUUUUUAAUCUAAUAAAAAAACACUAAAAAUACUAAAAAAAUCUAAAAAAAAAAAUCAAAAGUGGCUAGGUCUAGGCACUUGGAGCAACAGAAAAAAGGCAUGUUCUAGCCUUUUUCUUCAAGGAACGGAUAAAUUGUCAUUCAUUCUUUUUUUAAAAAAAUAAACAAACUAGAGGACAAGUCAUUUGUGAGCCCAGAUUUCGACCAUAAAAGAAGUAACUGGAAAAUUAAGCUGGAGUUUUUUGACCUAAAAUACCUUUCUUUGAUCUAUUUUCACUUAAAAAUAUCUAAUAAACACUUUUAUAAACUAAUUUCUCAACUCAAACCACCCCUAAAUAAGUUCAAAAACAAAAAAAAUCAAAUAAAAAAUACUUUACUGACCUCAAUAUGUUAUUUAUAGAAAUAUAAAAGCUAAAAAAUUACCUCAAUAACACUUUUCUCGUCAAACCGAACACAUUAACAUCAAAAUUUGGCUAUUUUAUUAAUAAACUGUUUAUAUGACUUUCUUUCUUCAUUCUCCAAAACUUAAAUGCUAAAAUGGAAAUAAAAUAAAAUCUUAAUGGAAAUAAAAUAAAAUCUUAAUCCAAGAUAUAAAAGUUUCAAACGACUAGCACCCAGUAGUUUCUAUUGAAUUAACGAAUCAAAACAGUGAUAUCAUUUGCAUGACUCGGAGCUGUCGAGUAAAUAUAUAUUGAGCAAUUGGGUCAGAACCUAAGUCUAACUACAUGAAUUUUUUCCUCAGUGUGAUGUUCAAAAAAUAUAAAAAAACAGAGAGAGAGAGAGAAAUCCUUCUUUGUGAGUUGUGAUCAACGGAUUGUUGUGCCAGAAAUCAUAAUUGGGCCAGACCUAUUAAUGGGCUCUCAGCUCUGAGUUCAGGCCCUCUGGCUUGGGAGGGGUUGUCCUCUAAACCCAUACCUGAGGGGUCAUCUUAUUGGUGCUUUCCGAGAGAGAUUUUAUCAGCGGAACAGCAAGCGGCAUUAAGGGAUCGCUCGUAAGGUUAUGGCAGAGAUGCUUGGAGUCUAAAUUUCGGAACCGAAAUUAAACUCUAAACCACCGGUGAACACAGUUGCAUUCAAACCAAAGAUUAUAAUCCAAAUCGAGUACAUUAUUUCUUACAAUUCUAAACAUCUUUUCUUUUUGUUUAGACCUGAAUUUGGCAGCCGGAUCGCAUUCCCAGAAAUCCACCGGAGAGUUUGUUUGUGAGGUGUGCCGUCUGCCUCAUGAAUAGUAUGUGAUACAAUGUCAUUUCAUGAGAUAAGCGAUUACAUUCUUUUCAUGAGGUGAGGUGUGGUGUACUUCUUAAACAAAUACAAUGAGACUUGUCAAAUAAUAAAUUUUAAUGGAUUUAGAAUUUGUUUGUUUUUAUAUUUAAGAGUGUUUUUAAAAAAAUUAAAAUUUUUUAUUUUUUUCUUUGCUUUAAUUUUUUUUUGUGUUUUCAAAUGAUUUUAAUGUAUUGAUGUCAAAGAUAAUUUUUUUAAAAUAAAAAAUAUAUUAUUUUGAUGUAUUUCCGAGUAAAAAACACUUCGAAAAAUAAUCACUGUCACUCUCCUGAAAACCCCCUAAGGGUUGAUUUAUUAUCGUGCUCCUACCACCUUUGAUAAUAUUUAGCAAUAUUCAAAUUGAGAUCCUUUUAUGUUUUAUAUUGGAUUGUUUUCGCACGCAUUUAAACAGUGUAUUUUUAAAAAUAUUUAGGGGAUGUUUGAGACAUUGAUAGAUGUUGCUUUUUAAAGUGAUUUUAACUUAUAAAUACAUCAAAAUAAUAUUUUUUUAAUUUUUAAAAAUUUAUUUUUGAUAUCAACACAAAAAAAUAAUCUAAAAAUAAAAAAAAAAUUAAUUUUAAAAAAAUUGUUUUAAAAAGCGUAGUUAGACCAUGCCCGGGAGUGUUUAACCCAUCUUCUACUUUUGCUUUUAAAUACUUUUUAAAAGUUUUUUUGAUGUAAAAAUAUUAAAUUUAUAUAUGUUUUUAGUGUUUUUUUAAUAAUUUUAAUGUAUUGAAAUUAAAAAUUAAAAAAAUAUUUUAAUUAUUCUUAAAUAAAAACUAUUUUAAAAAGCUUUCUCCACUGUAAUUUCGAACAUCCGCUCGCUGAUGAUAAUACCUUUGACCAAACCUCCCCUAAGGAAGAGGACGGGCUACGCAAAACAUCCUCGGUUGCCGUGUCAUCAUGAUACAUUAUUACUGGCAAUAUUUUCACAGGAAUCUUAUGGGAUCCCACAAAUAUAUUUUUUAUAUUAUUUUUUACUGAAUUCAAUUUAAACUUUGAUUUAAUAUUUAUUGUAUCCCACCAUUAUAUAUGAAUUUUAUGGUUUUUCCUUCCAUGACUUGAAAAAUACUUCAUUCAAAUUUUAUUUUUAUUUUUUUUAACUGAAUUACAUGUGCAGCUUUAAAUUACUUUUUCGUAAAGCAAUCACCAAUUUUUAUAUAUUAACAUAUAUCUUUAAUACUUUAGCCUUCAAUUAUUAUUUUUUUAUACCUUUCAUACUUCAUCUUUUAACACUUUAUUGUGAUUAAAAUAAUUUAAUUUAUGAUAGAAUAAAAUAAAAUUAUGAACACAAAAUUUCAAAACAGUUAACACUGACCACUCGAGAUUACCAUAGUUUUGUGUCGGGAAUUUCUACUAUUUGUAGCAUGAAAAGCUUGUUUGAUAUUGUGGUAGCGGUUGCUUUUCAAAGUGUUUUUCGUUUGAAAAUACAUCAAAAUAUUUUUUUUAUAUCGAUACAACAAAACAAUUUGAAAAAAAAAACUUAAAAUAAAAAAAUAUAUAAACAAUUUCUAUUUUUUUAAAAAAAUUCUUGAAACACAAAAUCAAUCUAUCUCAAAAGCAUUUGUGAAUGGGUUUUAUGGCCAUAUGGAUUCCACAUCUUACAAAAUUAUGGGCGGAACUAGAGGGGACACAACUCCCCCAAAGUUAAGAGAAAAAAACUCAUUAAAUUAAGUGAUGGUUCCAAAACAAAUCUAAAUUUUCUUAUGCAAAAUUAUACUUACAAAUAUAAAAACUUCCAAUUUAAUCUUUAAUAUAUAACUUUCAAAUAUAUUUUUAAUAUUUUUUUUAUUAUGAACAUGUUAUUAGACGAUUCAAUCUACGAGAGCAGUUAUUUUCAAGAAUUAAAUCAUAAAAAAACCUCUUUAACUUGAAAUUCCUAGUUGAUUUUAUAUUUACAUGAAUAUUAUCCCUUUCUAGUCGAUUCUUUACAAAUUUAUUUUUAACAUGUUUGAAUACAUUUCUUAAUUUUAAUAUAUUCAUUGACCCUCCCAAAAUUCAAAAUUUAUUGUCAGGCGAUAAGAGGUAUCACUAUCGAAUGACAGGGGGGAAUUAUCUAGUUAAACCACGUGUAAACAAGCCAUUGGCCUAUUAUUCAAUAACUCUCUGACAAGAAUUUGGGCACUAGGCAGCAGGUUAGUACGGACCUUCGAAAACGUCAGUAGAGUGGCUCCCGUCUUUCCUAACUUAUGAAUUCCAUGUCUCAUUUAAAUAAGAUUUUAUGUGCAUUACGUGAACAAUACGUCACAGACUCUGUAUAUCUCUUCCACGACAACCGUCGAUGCAUGCAUCAGCUGCCUUCUCUUCUGUUUCAUUAUUUUUUAAAAUAUUUUUUAUUUAAAAAUAUAUUAAAAUAAUAUUUUUAAAAAAUAAAUAUUAAAACAAUUCAAAAAUAUUUAAAAAAUAAUUUUAAUAAAUUUUUAAUGUUGAUAUAUCUAACACCAUCCAGCAAUUAUUUUACCUAAAAUAAUAGAAUUUACACAAAUCAAGUCAUUUUAUAUUUGCAUGGUUUCGAGUUUUUCUUUUAAUUAAAAUAAAUAAAUAAAUUGAAGUCUAAUGCAAAAUUUGAAAUUCGCAAUGUGAAUGGCCAGAAAGAGAUAUUUUUACAUCUUUCUAAUUUUAUAGCAUUUUAUUUGAUAUUUUAUUACAAGCAUAAAAAGAAAAAAGGAAAUAAUAUUCAUAUUUUAGCGUUAUGUAAUAAUUUCCAUAAAUAAUAUUUAAUUUUAAUUAAUCAACAUAUAGAAUGGUCCAAAAACAAUUCAGAAAAAAACAGUAGAAAGUAAAGGUACUAUAUCUGACGUGGAGUCCAUGAAGAAGUGGGUCCCAUAACCAGACUUUCCACUAGUACAUGUGGAAAAUCCUCGUAUCAUUCCAUGAAAAAUAGCAAAAGUCUACGGAGAAAGACAGAGGGUCCAACUCUUGUGUCAGUACUCUACUACUACCUCAACGAACUUUUUUCUUCGAUCUCAGCCAUUGAUGGAAUUGUUACAGGUAAUCCAUCGGUUGAGAGGUUUUCCAUUGAAACUCUUAAAAUGACACAAUAAUCAGUAUGGUAGCUGAGAAGAUAAUCCAACAAAAAUUACAAUUAAAUACUAAAAAAAUAAAAUUAAAAAAUAUUUUAAGACAUAAAUUAGAAGACACAUAACAAGAAGCAACUCUAGACUCGUGCUAAUCAUCCAUCUCUGUCUUACCCAUUUGCUAGGCGCGAAGCCUUGAAAACACCGAAACUGAACCACUUCUCUCUGUCUUCUCACCAAGCCGAGCCGAGCCGAGCCGCGUUUCAUUCUUUCUUGAUUCUUCCACAAGCCGAUCAUCAUCAUCAUCUUCAUCAAUGAAGCCGCCGCCGCCGCUACACAUCCCUUUGAAUUCCAAGUCUCUCUUCUCUUUCAAUACCUUCUUUACCUUUCCUUUUCUUGAAUUGGAAUUCCUCUUUGUUUCUUUAUUUUUCCUCUCACUUUCUCACUAACGAAACAGGAAAAAAAGAGUGUUCAUGGACCCUGACGUGAUCGAAGUCCCACCUCCUCCAGCUCCGAUUGUUUCUCGCUCUCACACUAAACAGCCAAAAAACAAACAGGUUCUUGUAAAAAAAGUUGUUGUCUUUGUUCAAUUUCGAGCCUUUCUUUUCUUUUUAUUCAUUUAUUCCGAUCAUGAAUUUAUCUUGAUUUUUUUACUGAUUAAUUCUUUUUUCCUGGGGAUUUAAUGUCUCUGUGAUUGUCAAAGUUGGUGGCUUUUUGUUGAUUGCUUGAAUAAUUGAGUUGGUUAUAAUGGGGAAAGGGCUGAGAUUUCGGAGAGGUUUACUGAUAGGUGGUACCCCUUUUGAGCCUUUACUAGUGAGAAUGGCUGUGUUUGAAUGAAAUUAUAAUGCUAACAGUAAGCUAUUUUCGGAGAGAAGGAAUGAUCAACAUAUUUUAGAAACUUGCAUUUGUAGGAAAAGUGGGCUGCUUUGCUUUCUAUUGUUUGGAUUUUUUUUUUUCUCAAAAUGUUUUGUGUUGCAUUUGGCCUAUUCUAAGGGUGUCAGGACUUGGGAUCAUUAAGUAGCCCUCUCAAGCACACUACUUUUGUGGUAAUGUAAUGGUUUUGGAGUUAAAAUGGUUAGUUGUAGGAUGGGUUUGAUAGAUGAAACUAGGUUGGGGAUUAUGUUAGAAUUAAUGAGCGCGAUUUGGAAAGUUUUUAAAGCUAAUUAGGAUUAAAAAUGCUCAGAUACAAGUUUGACUUAUUACUAACAUCUGAACAAUUUUACAUUCUACAUUGAAAGAUGGAUUCGGAGUGGGCUUUAGCUAUUCCAACACUCCGUAAACCAACCUAGUUGGUUGGGUAAUCCGAUCUCACUUUUGACGGAAUAGGGAGCUGUUCUGCGGCGUCGGAGGGAUGAGUGCUACUUUUGGACUUUGCACCUUGGCCUAUGAAGAGGUUGGGAGCGCGCUGCACACUUGCUAUAUCCAGCCAUGGGCAUGGUCAAACCAACUUUACUUGGACUUGGAACCGAUAAAAAGCUAUCCACCAAUUCAUUCUAUUCCUUGUUUUAAUUUAGUAUGAACCUGGUUUGCCACAAGCAAAGCCUUGUGGAGGGCAUCUUCCCCCUUCAUGAAGUGAAGGAGGGAGAGCGCUAAGGGAGGAAAUGUUAGCCAUUUGGUACUAGUGUUCCAAAGCCCUGGCUAUAGCUGCAGAAUUGGGAAUGAAGACAUGUCUUCAGCAGUUCUUGUCUUUGCACUUGUGCAUAGGCCCUCGGACAGCUGCCCAAAAUCAAGGAAAUACUAAAAACUCUCAGUCCUGGAUCUUGUAAGCCCCAGAUUUCAAACUAAGAAAGACUACUUUCUUACUCACUACUAGAGAGAGAAGGGAAAAGAGAGACCAACUAGUUGAACUUGAUAAAUUGACCUGUAAUAUCUUAAGGUUGGGACUAUAUCGGAGUUUGGUGCUCUUUUAUGGUGUUUGGUCAUGGUUCUCUUUCAUCCAAUCUCAUUUCCUUUUCCAUCCUAUAGAUUAAUUUAUUGUUGCAAACAACCUCAGACUUUGCAGCUGCUAUUAACAAUUGGUCUAGUUUCAAUGGGAGACUGUUUCAAACAAAUUUCUAUGAUUCAAGGGUGUUUUGAAAGGCUUAGAUAAGUACGAGCUUCUAGUUUAUGUUGUUUCUGGUGCAAUCACAGCAAUUUUGUUCUUUAUUCUCUUCAACUUGUGUGAUCUUGUAUGGUGCAGAGUUAUGAAUUGUCUUUGGCUCCAACACCAAUUGCUGUGUAUGGGAACACAAUGAGGCAUGGAGCCAUGGAUAUAUUUUGGUACUCCAUUGAGACUUAAGGUUGCAGAGGGAAACAAAUAUAAUACCUCUUUCCUUGUUAAACACUUUAAUUAUCAAAAUUCUAAGUUCAUGAUAGACUUGAAAAGCCAACCUUUUCUAUAUAUAUGGCUUUGAGACGGUAACUACUUGUAAGAGGCUAAAUCCUAGUAACUCAAGAACACAUGUAAUCUUCAUUUUACCUGAUUUGUGCUGUACAAACAAUCAUGAACAAAUUAAAUAAAUGCAAAGACUAGAUACUCUUAAUCCUUACAACAAUGCUGGAAAUUUUACUGGAAUGCUGCUGCUACAGUACCAUAUCCAGCCAGUUUUAGCCCUGCAUCAUUGGAUUUAUCUACUCCAUGGCAGGAAUAGAAUGACUACUCCCUUAAAUGCUUCGAGAUAAAUGGUUUAAGUAGCAGGAAUAUAACACCUACCUAUUUGGUAUUCAGCUUAUUUUGCUGUCAGGUUCUUGUUGUAAUUAUAGUGUUGUAUUUAUUUUUUUUCCAGUUUCUUAAGUUUUGUGCAAGAAAUAUAUCAAAAAUUCACUUUGUAUUGUUAACGUUGCUUUCUUAAUAACUGUUUACUAAAUGAUGUUGAUCUCUUUCCAUGGUUCCUCUUUUUUUUUUUUUUUUUUUUUUUUUUAUCCUUGAACAGAUAUUCUAAAACUAUUUAGGAUAUCUAUAUCUGCAAAGGGAAACAAGUGAAAUAAUGCAAAGAAAAUGAGAGGAAAAGAAAAGAAAAGAAUCAAACUUCUUCAUUAAAAAUUUCUCUUGCUGCGUAGCAUGAGUGGAAAAGAAAGUGAAAUCAAUAAAUUAUAUCUUUUUCCAUUUCAUUCUCAUCAAUAUAUAAUUUUUUUUUUUCUAAUCUCUUCAGGAUAACAUUAGGAAAGUUUCCUUUUCUCAUCUUGACUCUCAAAGAAAAGGCAUUAACCUUUAAUUUCUUUCACUUUCCUUUCACUCCCAUCAGUUCAUGCACUGUAUUUGUAAAAAAAAUAUUUUUUGUAGGUUAUUCUUCAUGAAAUAAUUGAUGUUGACAAGGAUGAAGAUGCCAUUGAUGUGAUGAUUCUUGACAAGAAAAAUGACUUGAAGAACAAAGGAAAAUCCAUAAAAGAUAACUCUGAUGGCUACAGUCAAGCUAAGGUACAUAUUAGUUUAUACACUGUACCCCUGUCAGAGCUAAUAUAUUGUGUUUCUUUUCUUUUCUUAUUGAUAUUUUUAAUUUUUUCUCUAGGACGGUAUUUCCAGUUGUCUUCUCAGUCCUUCCUCUGGAGAAAAUAAUAUAAUUAACAUGGAUGGUCUUGAUUAUGAUGAUGGCACACAUAUGGAUCUUUAUCCUGAUGACUUCAUGGAUUUUGAUGAGUAUUCAUUUUUACAAUCCCAUUUUGACAAGGUGGAUAUUCCUCCUGGAGUUGAGGCCCCCAUUCCUUGGUUGCCAAAUUCUGAUAAUAAUGCUAAGAAAUCUGAUAAUGGAACUAAUUCUUUCAAUACAAACAAUCAAAUGCAAUCUAAUGGUGGUGGUUCAUGGUCAUUGAAGCCGGGCCAUGUAAGCAAGAAGCUGAGUUCAGUGAGUGGUUUAAGUUUUCAUAACCCAAUGGAUUCCAUGAGCCAUGAUUCUGGAGUGAACCUGUCCCCUCCUUGGCCACUUCCCCAAACUGCCCAAGGUAAGGAAGAACAAAAUGUUUCACAACAUGGGGGGAGUGCCUUGAAUUUUGCACCUUUCCAGAGUAAAAUAGAGCUGGUUUCUUCAAGUAGUUUGACUGAUUAUGGUUAUGCAAAGCACUUAGACGGUGUUAUGCUCCCUCAUGGAGUUGGCCCAGCACAUUUGGGACAUACCAAUCCUGCUCCUCCAUUUGUUGGUGGAUUGGAUCAUUUUCCUAUUAUUAGCCCUUCCAUCUCUUCUUUGGUGUCAAAAUUAAAUUACUCAUUUCCUAACCAUACAAGUCAUCCAAAUGUCUAUGAUCCAUUUGAUGCUUUACAUAUCCCUCCUGAAGACAGUGCAGCUGGAACUCCAAAAAAUGUAGAUAAAGAUGAUAUCCUCAGAAAGUUUCAACAAUUUAAACAAUUUGAUACAGUCGAAGAUCAUUCAGAUCAUCACUAUACUAAUAGUUCUUCGAUGAAGCAGGUGAGUAUUUUAGAAGAUGCAACCAUGCUAACUUUUCUUUUAUUUUUCUAUCAAUGAUUUGAUUGCAUAAUGCUAUAGCAUCCUCUUUCUGGCAGUCACCAAAGACCUGGGCAAAGAGAAUUCAGGACGAGUGGAGAAUCCUGGAAAAUGAUUUGCCAGGUAAGCUUUAACCUUUCUGAUUCAGAUCAUUAAUUACUAUUGCAAGUUUGAGUGGAUGUUGGGUCCCAUUUUUUUCUUCUCCCAAGGACCUCCUACCCACCGCUCCCUUCAUGUUGUUCAUAAUGUUUACCUGUUCAGAAUCACAAGGGGGAAACUGGUGAAGGUGUACCGAUGUUUAUGUGUAUGCUAACAAUAAAUGUCAGAAGGACUUUUUAUUUAUUUAUCUCAUCCUCUAUUUCAUUAAUGCUCUUAAGCAUGUUGCCUUUUUUUCCCUUUACUAUCGAGAGAAACUUUAUGAUUUUAAUAGGUUAUAAAUUUUCAAUAUUUGCAUAAUUCAUUCUCACGUUUUGUUUGUCCUACUAUUAUUAUGUCAACAGAUUCUAUAUUUGUUAGGGUUUAUGAAACAAGGAUGGACCUAUUGCGGGCUGUAAUUAUUGGAGCAGAGGGUACUCCCUACCACGAUGGUCUCUUUUUCUUUGAUGUUUUUUUCCCUGCUGGCUACCCCAAAGUACCACCGGUAUGUGAUAGAGGUUGUGUGUGUAUUAUUUUUUCAUCUUCUGUUGAACUGUUUUCCAUCUCAUAAUUUUGGAUUUGUCUGUGCUAGCUUGUCUACUACCAUUCUGGUGGUCUUCGACUCAACCCAAACUUGUACAGUUGUGGUAAAGUAUGCCUCAGCCUUCUUGGGACCUGGCAGGGUAACAAGAAUGAGAUGUGGCAGCCUGGAGUCUCGACUGUGCUACAAGUUCUGGUAUCUAUACAGGCAUUGAUAUUGAAUCAGAAGCCCUUCUUUAAUGAGCCUGGAUAUGAACGAUUGAAUGGUUCGGCAAAUGGUGAAAAGCGAUCUCAGGAGUACAGUGAGAGUACCUUUUGCUUUUCGCUGAAAACAAUGGCUUACACGAUGAGGAGGCCGCCUAAGGUAAGUUUCUUUCACUGCUUAUUUGCUUCAUGAAUUAUUGCUGGUUUAAAUAUUGAUCUGAAUUCAUAGCAAUCCCAGGAGAAGCUUAAAUUAUUGAAAAUAUGGGUAACUUUCCUAUGUUCCAGCACUAAAAUGCCAAUUGGAGAAGUUUUUAGUACAUUUAAAAUAUGUUAAAAGUGAGAACCAGUGGAAGUUUAGGCAGAUAAGGGUACUUGCCAUGAAUAACCGGAACAGUCUGAAUGGUAAUUGUUUCUUGUGCAUAGACCCAGUGAGCACAGACCAGGCUUGGAUUAAUACUAGCAAACUGUGCAUGAGAUUUCCAAGUUGGUGAAAAGGCUUGCUUAUCUUUAGAUUUUAAAACUAAUCAAUUCAAAUCAUGGUUGGCCGCAGCAUUUCGAGGACUUUGUACUGGGUCAUUUCCACAAGCGUGCUAAUGAUAUUCUGGUGGCAUGUAAAGCCUACAUGGAUGGUGCUCAGGUAGGGUGUCUGGUCAACGGUGGGGUUCAGGAUGUUGACGAGGGUGAUAAGAGCUGCUCCAAGAGUUUUAAGGACUGCUUACCUGCCUAUAUUGAUAUACUAAUGAAGCAGUUUUCACAAAUUGGAGUCCAGGACACUGAAAAAUUCCGAACAUCAGGAAACGGGGGUGAUAACUUAUCAGGCAAUGGACCCAUGGCCGCAAUAUAAAUGAGUUAUCGACGAGUAAUCAAUUUUGAGAAGUGACGGAAAGGAUCUUUACAUACCUGACAUGCAAUGCAGGUCUCCUAAUUCAUAUUGAGAAGUACAAAAUUUUAUUAUGGACAAUUAGAUGUUUAUUUCUAUAUGAUUUUUAUUUUCCCAAAUUGUACCUGUACAUGGAUGUAGAUAAGGAUGAGAUCAUAAAGUUUUAUGUACUUGUUCAGUUGCAAUGUAAAAAUGGUGUCGGCAACCUGCAAUCAUGUUGAAAUGCUAGGUACUGGCUGCAACUGUGUUCGAAGUUUUGUUCAUAGAUACAUAACCGAAGCGACAGCUUUCAGUAUUUAUUUUGAAAUUGGUUGUUGUUGAAUUUAGACAUUGUUUUUAGUGAUUAAUGAUUUACUUGGAGUUUCUGGAUGAGUUCUUUUGGGAACUUCUGAAAGUGGAAACAUGUUAGAGAACUUGAUCAACGAUUCAUUCGAAGAUUACACUGCUUGCUUGCUGGCUGUUCAUAUCUCCUGGUAAUCUCGGAAGGUGAUGCUGAUUUUGGGAGAGCUCAUCACAAGAAAUCUAGUUCGGUUCUAAUAAGCCCGUUCCUGCCUUGGGAUCUCUUUUUCUCUUGGACACUCCUCACGGGUUUCACUUUGAAGAUGCCUAUUUAGCACAUAACCAAUAUAAAACUUCUUGUUGUUGUCGGAUUUUAUUGUUCUUUACUUGCCAUAAAAUAACUAACUUCAAAAGUAUUCCAAUAACUCUUUAUUUAAGUGUAUUCAUAAACAAGGUUUAACGAAUUUAAGAGAAUAUAGAUUUAAAUAUCUCUUUAUAAGAAAUAAUCUUUAACUCUAGAAUAAAAAGAAAAUAAAGAGGAAAAAUAGAGCUUGAAAUAGAGGAGUAAAACUGGAAAUAUAGGUGAAAAAGAGUGUAAAAAACUAUAUAGAAUUUGUGCAGAAAAACCAACCCUUAAAACACUCUUUCUUCACCUUGCCUUUUUGACAUGAAGAACUUUUUUUUUAUUAUUUUUAGUAUAAUUAUUUUUACUAUAUUAUUUCCUUAAUAGUUAAGAUUUUUCAGGUCUUAAAGGAGUUCUAGAAGAGUCCAUCACAUAAUCAAGUAAAAUAAGUAUAACUUUUAAUCAUUUGACCAUUAGAUCAAGUUAAAAUUUUGAUAGAAAAUUUUAAAGGCUAUUUUUUAUAUAGGGUUAAGAUUCCAUUGUCAUAUGAGGUCAAUAAAGCUUUUAAAUAAUAUCUGGAAGUUACCAUAAGACUUUUUUUCCCCUUGUAUUUAGAUUGUUUUUUUCUAUUUAGAUUAAGGCUUUAAAUUUAAUUAUAAUUUUACUAAUUAUGAUAUUUUUCUUGUAUUUAAAAACUAUCCUAGGAUAUUUUUUUAUUUGAAGAUUAUUGAAUUAAAUAAUUUUCUGAAUUAAUCAGAGUUUUAUUUACAGUUAAAAGCUGUAACAUGAGGGCUUGAGAACCCUAGUUUCUUUCUCUAUAGUCUAGGGCUAUAAAAAUUUAGAGGGGGGGUGUCAAAGAAUCAUAGUUUUUAUCCAUAUUAUACAUUGCUUCAAUUAGUAUUACAAUAAGUUGGUCUAUUUGAUAGACGAAGCUGAUAACAACCUAUUUCACAAUGUAGAAAUGGAGGUCAUCUAGGAUACUAUGAGGGCUUGAAAGGCAACACGAAAAACCCUAUAAAAAAAACUUGGUUGACGGGAGCAUUCUGUAACAAACUUAACUAAGCAGAUAAAUCAAUUAAGAUGGGUAAGCGCAAAUAAGAAUAAUAAAAAGGAGAGUAAUGCAUCUAGAGUCUUACUUCGGGGCAAGCCUAACCCUAAAUCUAUUUUUGAAAAUUCACCUAGACAACUAGGGCUUUGUUAGAUCAAGGGCAAGCCUAACCCUAGGUCUAUGUAAAGGGUGAAGAUGAAUUUUAUAAGGGUCAUAGGGCUUUGUCAGAUCAAGGUAGAUCAACCUAAGAGACAAAAAUCAAUCCAUAUGAUCGAAGGUCUAUAUGAGUUAUAACCUUUAAUUUAAUUAGGAUUUUACUAAUUAAAAUGUCUUUCUUAUAUUUAGACAUUUUUGUAAUUUAUUUUUAUUUAUUUAUUUAAAAAUUUUUUCUGAAUAUAUCAUAAUACAGUUAAGGGCUCUAACAUUAGGACUUUAGAAUUCUAAUUUGUUUCUAUGUGAUUAAGGGCUUUAAACCUUUAAGAAUUGAGGAACCCUAGUUUCUAUCCAUGCUAUACAUUGUGUCACUUUUAUAGAGAAUAUUAGGAAGCAAAAUCGACAGAAAACCCUCUAUUAUUAGCUUUGGUUACCCUCUAAAAAACUAGAAUUAAACUAGAAUGAUUUAGCUUUAAGUCGGUUGUCUUUUAAGGUGACAAAGCCUUUCAAGUUCUGAGAAUUUUUUUUUGGAAAAAAAAACUAAUCAUAUUCUAUCAUUCAUAGGUUGGAUUAGGCAAAACAAUAGGCCGACAAAAAUUAAUUCUUUAUUGGCCAAAAAAUUAUAAACCCAAGCUCAAGUUUAAAAUAGGUUGCCAAAAAAUAGCCUUUUAUAGCCCAAGAAAAUAUUUUACAUUAAACCCGAGCUCGAGCUGAAACACAUGUGAGUUUAAGCUAAAAACUCAAUUUGCUUAGAUCUACCCUCUAAAAGCUUAAGUGCUUUUUGGGUCCAAUUUUAAUUUUUCAAAUCUCUACAAAAUAAACUACUAGGAAAGCUUGUUUAUCUUCUAUGGAGGAUAAAACUUUUAAAGAGUUAUGAGUUUCUAAAAAAAUGUCUACCAAGGGUAGAGUUUUUUUAGACUAAUUUUUUAUUCACCAUAAUUUAUUUAAGUCAUGUUAAUGUUUUAUGUUAAAGAACUUAUAUUGAAGAUUAAAUUCUAACAAAUUUCUAGCCUAAAAGUGAGUUGAACCCUUAAUCUUGUCUCAAAUGUGUUUAUUGACAAUGAUUUUAAAUGAAAUUCCAAUAAAUUUAGUAAUAACAAAACCAUGAAUAAUUCAAAUUUACUGAAAUUCUAAGAAUAAUGAUGCAGGAGUUAGGAUUUAGAUUGAAACCCAAAUAGCAAUAGCAACAUCCCAAUGAGUUGUUGAAUAAAGUGGCCAAAUAACCCUCAUAAAGGACUAGCCAAAUAAAUGUAAUGGUAAAAAUUAAUUUGAGAACCUUGCAAUAAUAUCUCCAUAUUAUUUGUCUUGGUCAAGUUGACUUUGUGGAGUUUGACGACUAUUUUAUGGUUGCACUUAACUAGAAUUUUAUAAGUAAAUAUGAACUUUAUAGGAGAUAAAAACAUUAACAUUAAAAAUAAUAAUAUUUAUCUAGAUAUUUUGCAUACUAGGAUAACAAACUCCUCCAUAAAUAUAAAUAAAAGCUACCAGAUAAAGAAAAAAAAAACCACACAAAAAUCAUUUUUCUAGAUAAAACCUAAAGUCACUCACCUAUUAAUCUGGAACAAAUUCUUUUUUUUUGUUUAGAUUAAUUUUUUUUUCUUGCAUAAAUUAUAAAAACUAUCAUUGGUAUCAAAGCCUAAGGUUUUUAUUGUGGUUCUUGUAAUUUUUUACUUGCUUCAUAAAAUACUACUUGGUACAUCUUUUUUCUUCCCUCUCAGACCAUCAUUGUGGUUAUAAUUUCACUUUUUUUUCCAAGGCAGAUAAGCAUCAAUGUUAGUCAAUAUGAAGUAAGGUAUACAUAAUUAUAUCAAGGUCCUCCAUUAUUGGUUAGUUGUCUAAUAAUUUUUUUUUAAUUGUUAUAAUUUUGGUUAGGAAGGUUGUUAGUCAGGAAUUAAAAAAAAUUGAGAAAUUGAAUGGUACCAAUUUUCCUAUGUAAAAGCGUUGAAUUUGUCAUAAUCUUUUUCAAGACAAAGUUUAUUGCAUAAUUGAUAUUGGUGUUCCACUUCUAUCACUUGAAAAUGCUAGCUCUUCUAUUAUAAGAGUACUAGAAAAAUCAUGCUUAUUUUUAUGGAACUUGACAUAGAAAUUUUGUUUGAGGAGCAUGAUUUUGCUAAAAAUAUAUUUGUUACCAUCAUUAAUGCUAUUAUUAAAUAUGGUUUUAUAGCUAAUGACUUUGAUCAUUGUGCUUAUUAUUGGAAUAGUAUGGAUACUUUUAUAUUUACAUGUUGAUGAUAAUUUGAUUGUUGGUAAUGAUGUUACAUUGAAAUGUUUUUUAAAAUCUCAUUUUGAGAUGAAAGAUUUAUGUGAAGCAUUAUAUGUAUGGUGCAUCCAAGUUAUUAGAGAUAGAAAAUGUAGAACUCUUUAUAUAUCUUAAUAUAUAGAUAAAUAAAAGAUAAAAAAAGAUUCCAUCUGGAUAAUUCUAAUGCAAUGGAUACUCUCAUUUAUAAACAAAUAAAAUUAUAUAAGAAAAUAUGUCAUGUUAAUGAAGAUGUUGGAGAAAAAUGUUAAAUACUCCAUAUGCUUAAGUUGUAGUAGUAUAAUGUAUGUUAUGCUUUGUUCAGGAUCUGAUAUUAGUUUUGUUGUAAGUCUUGUAAGUAGGUUUCAAAGUAAUCCUAGAGAAGUUUAUUGGUUGGUUGUUAAAAGAAUACUUAGAUAUAUUAAAGGCACAAAAGAUUAUAAUUUGACAUAUGAUAAUAAAGGUAAAAACUCGAAAGUUAUUAGAUACUCUGAUGUUGAUUUCUCAGGUGUAGCAAAAAAAAAAAAAAAAACAAACAAACAAAGUUGUGUAGUUAAAGUACCAUGAAAACUGAAUACAUCGCAUGUAUCAACUUAACUUUUGAAAUUAUAUAAAUAAAAAGAUUUCUUGCAGAUCUAAAAGAAAUUAAUGAUAAUCCAAUCAAAAUUAUGUGUGAUAAUCAAGUUGCUAUAUCUAUCAUAAAAAAUGGUGAGAUUAGUACUAGAGGUAAACAUAUUUAUCGUCAAUAUUAUCACACAAUUGAUGUCUAACAUGUUUAUAUUUAAGCAAUUGAUUUAAUUUAAUUCAAAAUGAAAAUUUAUUUUUUAAAAAACUAAAUUUAACAAAAAAUGAUAAAUAAAAAACCUAAGUUAACUCGAGUCGUUUUCAAAAUUAGUGAAAAACCCUAUAGAAAGCAAAUAAAAAAAUAAUAAAGUUUAAUAUCUAAUUAAAUCAAAUAUUGAAUGAUGAAACUGAAAAAACAAAAGCUUAAAAAAAGAGAAAAAAAAAAAGAAAAUGGGUGAAUCUUUUAAAACUGGGUCAAUCUCUCAAAUUCACAAUUCAUUAAAUUGUAGACCAAGACUCAAUCAAGAAGCUCAAUUCAAUGUUAAAAGAUAAAAUAAAAAAAUAUCAAUCUAAAAAAACUGCCAAAGUAAAAAAAAAAAAAACUUAAGGAGAAUGAAAUCAUAAAAAAAACUAUAAAUGAUAAUAGAAAUUAAAAAAAAUAGAGAAAGAAUUUAACAAAUUAAAAAAUUAAAGGAGGAUGAAAUUGAAAACAAAAUUUAAUUUUAUAAAAUUCAAAUAAAAGAAUAUCAAUUGAAAGAACAUAGAUUAAAUCCAAAGAAUGAAUAAAUUGAAGGGUUGCUUUGAAAUAUUUAGAAAGUCAAGCAUAAAAAUCAAGGAGGAGAGAGGAAAAAAAAAGAAAAAAAAAACAAAUCAGUGUUAAACUAGAGGGAAUUAAGCCACAUGCACCACUUAUAGAGGUAAGCCCUAUCUUGACGAAUCAAAAAACACCAAAGAAAGCUUUUUUGGCAACCAUAAGCCACUGUAUGUACCACUUAAACACAACGAGGCAGCUUAAUUGCUAGCGUGUAUAUGAACCAUUAUAUAUAUAUAUAUAUAUAUAUCAAAUCGCUCUUAGAACUACAUGAUAAUCAUAAGAAAUGAAAGUACGAAUAAUCCUAUGGAAGCAAGGUAAGGAGUUUUUUUAAUUUAAAAUGCAAUACAUUCAUUUUAUUGUGUUGUGAAAAGUAAAAUAUUGAAAAAAUCCCUUCACCUUAGGUAAAUAAUUUUUUUCUUUUAAGAGCAAUUAAAUAAUUAUACUAUUAAAAAAAUACAAAGACCUAGCUGAAUAAAUUGAAGGGUUGCUUUGAAAUAUUUAGAAAGUCAAGAAUAAAAAUCAAGGACGAGAGAGGGAAAAAAAUGAAAAAAAACACAAAUCAAUGUUAAACUAGAGGGAAUUAAGCCACAUGCACCACCUAUAGAGGUAAGCCCUGCCAUGACGAAUCAAAAAACACCAAAGAAAGCUUUUUUGGCAAUCAUAAGUCACUCUAUGUACCACUUAAACACAACGAGGCAGCUUAAUUGCUAGUGUGUUCAAUGCAUAUAUGAACCAUUAUAUAUAUCAAAUUGCUCUUAGAACUACAUGAUAAUCACAAGAAAACCAAAAUGAAAGUACGAAUAAUCCAUGGAAGCAAGGUAAGGAGUUUUUUUUUUAAUUUAAAAUGCAAUCAUUUUAUUGUGUUGUGAAAAUUAAAAUAUUGAAAAAAUCCCUUCACCUUAGGUAAAUAAUUUUUUUUCUUUUAAGAGCAAUUAAAUAAUUAUACUAUUAAAAAAAUGCAAAGACCUAGCUGCCCCCGAUCCAUUAGAUAAUCACCAAUAGAGCUUGUGAAAAUACUCAAUUACUCCUAAUAGAUAGUUAAGUUUUUUAGAAGGGCAAAAUAAUAAUUUUAUUAUUCCAAUCCACAAUGAAUCAAGGCAUUUAUAUUAUAUUUUUCUCAUAAAAAUUUAUCGAUCCAUUAGAUAAUCACCAAUAGAGCUUGUGAAAAUACUCAAUUACCCCUAAUAGAUAGUUAAGUUUUUUAGAAGGGCAAAAUAAUAAUUUUAUUAUUUCAAUCCACAAUGAAUCAAUGCAUUUCUAUUAUAUUUUUUUCAUAAACAUUUAUGAGAAAAAUAUAAUAGAAAUGCCUUGAUUAAUUGUGAUUGGAAUAAUAAAAUUAUUUUAUGAGAAAAAUAUAAUAGAAAUGCUUUUAUUCAUUGUGGAUUGGAAUAAUAAAAUUACUAUUUUACCUUUUCAAAAAACUUAACUAUCUAUAUAUUCAUGAGAGGAGGAUUGCACGCUUGCAAUCAAGCAAUCUUUUAUUCAUCUACUAUUUUCUCACGUUCGUUACAAUCAGUUUACAUGUUUUUCGAGACAAAGUGACAAUAUUAUAGGUUGCUUUAUACAUUUAUAAAAAUUACAAUUUUUUUAGAUAUUAUUAUCAAGAUUUGAAAUUCUUUCUUAGAAAAAUCUUUUUAAACGUCAAGCGAACCCUUCAAGGUUGAUAAGUUUUAAUUUAAUAAUAACAAUUAUCAAAUUAUUUGUUUGGGGUGCCCUUCAUGGAGUCUUGAAACAAUAAAACAUAGGGAUAUUUGUUUAGCGUAAAAUAAUUUAUUAAUAAAAAAUAUAAGAAAUUAAUAUAUUUUUUUACCAUAUAAUUUUGUAAAAUACUUUACACGAAAAAUAUUUGAAAAUAUAAUUAUAAUACAACAAUAAAGACUAGUGAUAUUAAUUAUUGUAGUAACGUGAAGUUGGAGGUGGAGGUUGUUAUAGAGGUUGUAAUGAUAGUGAUGCUAGAGUAGUAUCAAUGAUGAAAAUGAUGAUGAUAAUUAUUGUAAAGUGAUGUAGAUGACGGUAGUAAUAUUUAGAGUAACAUAAACGAUAAAGAUGGUGAUAAUAAUUGUUGUAAAAUGAUAGAGAUGACGGUGGUAAUUUUGAAAUAGUGAUUGUGGUGAAGAUAGUAACAAUAAUAAGGUAAUUGUUAUGAGGUGUAUGGUGAUAAUGAUGAUAAUGAUAAUAUGGUGAUGAUGGCAAUGAUAUAGAUAUUUCGGUAGUUGAAAUAGUUGAAUAAUAAUAUAAGUGAAUUAGAUUGUAAAAUACUUAUAAAAGAUAAAUAAAAAAACAGAAUAUAUAUAUAUUGCUUGAGUUUUUUCAUUAUUUAUUAAGGAGCAUUAUAGGGAAGGAGAUUAAAAUUUAAAAUCUUCCUAGCAAAGCAACUUGGCCUCGACAAAUCAUCACGAACACGGUCUCUAGAAACUUCCUUCAACCUUCCCUACUGCCACGUGUUCAUGCCCUCCACCGUCGUAAAACCCUAAACCCUCCCUAUAUAAAGCCCCUGGACAAGAUCACUACCCGCCUCCAAAACAGAGCAAGCAAAACACUUCUCUAGUCUCUCCUCUCAAAUGGCAACCCCAGCAACAAGGAUGAUGCUGUUCAAGAACGGCAAGUCGUUCCCUCUCAAUCUCCUACCCGGCUCUCUUUUAGGUGGGUCCAAUAACAUCACCAGCCAGUUCAUGAUUUCUGACCCUGCACUAUUCCAACCACAGCAAAAGCCCAUCUUCAAUUUACUUGGGGGUCUGUCUAAUGCUGGUCUUGUGAGUGACAUUAACGGGGCUUUGAAUUGGAGAUUUGGUCGGUUCGGAGAGAUGGGUCGUGUGGAGGCACGUGUGAAGAGCGAGAGAGUGAUCAGUGAUGAGGAUGAAGAAGAUGAUGAGGACGUUGAUGAUGAUGAUGAGGAGAUUGAGGAUUUCGAUGAAGAUGUGGAGUAUGAGGAUGGAGGUGAUUUUGAUGAUGAUGAUGACGACGACGAAGACGAUAGGAAAUGAAAGUAGAGUUUUUUAUUUGUUUAAACAAUGUUUGCCAUUUCUCUUCUGAGGUUUUUGUAAGGGGAUAUUAUCAGUCUAUUCGAUGAACUCUCUUUUCUUGAUUACAGCUUCUUUGCACUUUUACUUUCCACAAGUAUUAUACGUGUUUACCUUACUGAUCUUUCUUUCUUUUUCCUUUUCUUUUCAAUUUAUGAUUUUCUUUCGAGUAAUACACUCGUCUAUUCAAGACUUCGAAGUCCUGCUGCCUCCUGCAGGGCUUUUCAGGUAGGGAAAUGGCACUGCUCGUUCGGUGGCCAGUCAUCUUUUAGCCAUUAUGCAUCAACUUUCUUGCCAUUGGUAGGCGAAACUAUGCAAUCAGCUAGCCCUGGGCAUGGAGAUGCUGCUCUACAGCGCGUCAGUGGGAUACAAGCCAUCAGUGUUGGCUUUUUAGGUGAAUCGAUUGAACGUGCUUAAAACUAAACCGCCAUGUAUGCCUUAUUUGCAGAUGAAAACACUUGAAUCUAACUCAGCAAAGUGCAGGGACUGCAAACAACAGAACGUUUACUUGUUCAUUCUUGAUAACUCUGUACAUCUAAAGUUGAGCCUUCGUGUAGACCCGUGUUAUUUGGAAGUGUCGGGCUUGUCAAAUUCUGAACUUUAGAUACGGUGACACCAUUAAUGAGUUUCAAGAUUUUAUACAGGGAUACGGAGAUGCUCCAAUUGAUAUCUUUAUACGCCCACUUUUGCUAUUUGGCUCCGCCUAAUGAAUUGAUGUCAAGCCCAAUACUUAAAUAGCUUCAGCACUGUACCCAUUGGAAAUUGCAUAAUUAGGCUAAAUUAUAAGUUGAAAAACUGAGGCUAAUGUGGAAUGGAGGUCCAAAACCACCUCCUUCUUCUUCUUCUUCUUCAUUUUUUUUUUUUGUCUUUUAGGUUAAGUUAACAGGGAGUUUUCGUUUUUGUGAUUAACCUACUUUUUAAAAUGUUUUUAAAUUUUUUUUGUCUAAAAAAAAUAAAUUAUUAUUUUUUUAGGUGCUUGUUGAUAGUUCUAGAUGUAAAAAAUAAUAAUAUUUUAGUUUAUUUUAAAUUAAAAAAUAAUUUUUAAAAAGACUAUCACAUUAUUAAACAUACAUUUAGUUCUUUACCUCAAAAUUCAAAAUUCAAAAAAAAAAAAGACAAGUGAAAAAUAAAAAGAAGGGUAAUUUAUUAUUUUUUUGGUUAUUGCAUCCGCCAAAUAUUUCUGGUUAUUGCUUUUCUUAUUUUUUUUUAGUUUUUUUUUCAAAAGAAAGGUAAUUUAAAAACUCAUUUCCCUAAACAGGGUUUUUUAAGACUUAAUUUACUAAAAUCAAAAGAAUUUUUGCCACAGUUAUUAAGCUUGUUCCAUUCAGGCGGGAACUAGCCUUGGGAUUGGGUGAGCAUCCACAUUCUUACUCACUGCCAUGGCUCUUUAGCUAUAAUAGCUGCAAGAUAGAAGUUUUUGCAGAGCAUCCUUGUUCUCUAAAUAACUCGUUAUUUUGUGUCUGUGAACAUUACUGGCUACGCAUAGCGAGUACUGUAGCACUCUUCAAUUUGUAGCAGGAGACGAAAGGAAUUUGCAGGAAAAGGAAGAAGGAGGGCUUCACAUUAGCUUACCAGAUAAUCACAAUCUUAUUUCUGCUUUUCUUCUCUCUUUGGAUGUUUGUUUCUAGUUUCAUUGUUGAUUUUAUUUUUCACCACUGCUUUUAUGAGUGCUUCUUCAUUAUUAUAGAAGGUUCCAAAAGGAAGGAAAGAGGGUGUUGGAGUGAGUUCCUUGGUAAUUCCUUUGCCUACUGCCACUUUUUUUUUAAAAUUAAUAUAGAUGUUCGGACCAGUUUGCGCAUACCUCGACUGAUUUUACAGGCCCUGAAGUUAAUAAUCAUGUAAACUUCCAGUGGCAACCACACCACAGGGGGAGCAAACCCUCUAAUUCCAAGUUCUUACCACUAGGCCACCUACUAAAUAGUUGACCUAAUGCUACUCUUUUUUUUUUUUUUUUAGUUUAACAUGGGUGUCCGGGCCAGCUUGCGCGCACCUCGACUAAUCUCACGGGCCCUGAAGUUAACGACCAUGUAAGCCUCCAGUGGCCAUCAUAUGAGCAACCACAGGGCUCGAACUUGAGACCACAGAGGAAGCAAACCUCUUGAUCCCAAACUCUUAUCACUGGACCACCACCUAGAUACUCUUUAAUCUACCAUGUAGUAGUCUUGAAACUUUUUCUUGUUUCUUUCUUGAUUUGCCUCUCAUCCUCAAAGUGCAUGGACAUUUCUCAUGUUUGUAUGAUUUACACGUGCCAAUUAUAUUUUUUAUUUAAUUAAUGAUUAAUUUGUAUAAAAAAAUUAAAUUGCUUCAAUAAAACUGGUAAUAACAGAAUAGUCAGAGUGAAAAGACAAAAAAAUCUUUAGAAAAAUGGUUUAAUUUUUUUAUAUGAUAAACCUGUCAUUUUACUUUAUUUAAAAAAAAUAAAAGGAAAAGAGUAUCCAUCUUAACUAGUUUUAAAAAAUAUAACUUAGAGGGUAAUUAGAUUAUUUUACAAUUGAAAAAACAUAUAUAUUCCUAGCAAAUUCAUUAAUGAUUAAUGGGCCGAAAUCAAAACUACCCCAACGCAAGAUAAUUAUUUAAAAAAGCAAAAAUAUAAUUACAAUACUAUAGUGAAUAAUAAAUUGUGUUUGUAUAUAGUGAAAAUGCCUUCAAUUUUAGCCUAGUUUUUAUUUUCAGUUAAACAUUACUCAUAUUACUAAAUUAAAAUUAAGAUAAACAUGAGUUGUAGUUGCGUUGAUAAGUUAAAAUAUAUAUAUAUAUAUCAAGUUGACUAGACUAGCAGGGAGAAUCGAGCGAAAUUUUCAUUUGGUGGGCAAAGCUCGGGGAAGAAAAAUACUGAAACUUUAAGUAAUGAGGUCGAGGUUCAAGUUCCAUUCUAGAUUUUCUCGACUUUGUGUUGGGAGAUCUAUAUUCCAUUAAUUAAUAUUAAUAUAAAAAGCUGAAUUAUAUGAAAAAAAAUAUUAUAAUUAUUCUCACAAACCACUGUAAUUGCUAUAAUAUUUUUCCAGCAUUGAUUAUGCUGACAGCAGUUGCAAUGGAGGGUUAUAUGGCUUAUUAGCCACCAAUUAACCCAAAAAAAAAAGAAGCUAAUUUAUAUGAAAAAAAUAUUAUAUUCUGUGGAUUGCUAAUCUGAUAUAUGACUGAUACUUUUGGUCAAUGGAGCAAAUUUUCAGAUUGAACGAAGCUGGCUUUAAGUCUGAUGCAUGAAUGACUGGACUGCUGAACGGGAGAGGGAUGGGACACUUAUAACGUGGAAGACGGACUCGACAUUUCCAAGUUCUUGCUGGACCUUAUGUUUAAGGAAUGGACUCUUGUUCUCGAAAAGAAAUGGAUCAACUUUAGAAAUUUCCAAGUUCUUGUUGGACAUUCUGUACAUUUAGGAGAACAUACGUUUAAGCAAAUCCUUGUAUCAAUCAAGGUGUUAUUAAUGUAUUUUUUAGUAGAAUUUUUUUUUUCUUCUAAACUAUAUAAGAGUUGACUUGAUGUGAUUUGAUCAGGUUGGUAGAUUCAAAGAUAACUCGGAUAACUGAUAAAAUUAUAGUUUGACUAAAAUAACCAAGAUAAUAUUUUUUAAAAUAUUAAAAUAAUAACAUAUUAAAUUAACAUGGUUCCACUUAGAUUCAUCUAUUGAAUUCGUUAUCCAGGUCAUGAGACCCUGAUGAUCCUAUAGAAAACAAAUAAUUUUUUUUAAUUAAACUCAAUUCUCAAUCAACCUAAAGUUUUAGGAUGAAAUUGAAAACAACUUUAAUAAAAAAAUAAGUUGAGUCAACUCGGGUUAAACUAACAAACCUAGAUCAUGAGAUCGGGAUAACCCCAUAGAAAGUAAAUCAAAACAAAUAAUGAAACUCAAUUCCUAAUCAAUUCAAUGUUGAAGAUACAAAAAGCCAUCUUAUUCAACCCGAGUCAACCGACCAAAUCCGUGAUUCAGGUCAUGACACCAGGAUAACCUCAUAAAAUAAAAACCAAAAAAAAUUAUGAGGUCUAAUUUCCAAUCAAUUCAAUAUUAAAGAAUGAGAUUGAAAAAAUAUAAACUAAAAAAUAAUAAGAAAAAACCAAAGGUCACCGGCCUAAACCGCGACCCAGGUCAUUAGAAUGUGAUGACCUCAUGGAAAGAAAAUGAAAAUAAAAUUAUGAAACUUAAAUUCUAACCAACUCAAUAUUGAAGGAUUAAAUUGAUAAUAAAUAAAUAAAUGAUUUAGGUCAACCUAUCAAACCUUGAUCAAGAGAUUGAGAUAAAUGGAUAGAAAGAAAAUAAAACAAAUAUAAAAGUCAAUACUCAAUCAACCCAAUGUUGAAAAAUAAAAUUAAAAAAAAUAUUCAAUAAAAAAAGAACAUAAAAACCUAAGUUAAUCUGGCUAACUCAUAAGACUCGCGACCCGAGUAAUGAGAUCAUGAUAAUCCCAUAGAAAAAAAAUUAAAAAACAAUUCUGAAGCUUAAUUUCUAAUCAAUUUAAUGUUAAAGGAUGAAGUUGAUGAAAAUAUAAUUAAAAAAAAAAGACAAAAGAAUAACCCAAGUAAUAUGGGUAACAUGUAAAACUCUUGAUCCGAGUUAUGAAACCAAGAUAACUUUAUAAUAAGAAAUCAAAAUAAAUUAUGAAGUUCAAUACCCAGUAAAUUCAAUAUUAGAGAAUGAAAUUAAAAAAAAAUAAGCUUGAAAUUAUAAAAAUAAAAAUAAAAAUCCUCUAAAAUUUUGAGGAUCAAAUUAAAAAAGAUCUUGACAUUUCACUAUUUAUUUCUAUAUUUAAAUUCUAAGACUUUUUUAACAUAUGUUAAUUUGGACUUUGAAUUUUUAUUAAGACAUUAGUUUGACAAGAAGGUGUGUCUCUAGAAUCUUUUAAAAAAUAAUAAAUAUCUUGCUUGAUACUAAGUUGCCUUAAAGAUAACUCUUAUUAUUGAACUAAAAAAGAAAAACUUUGAAAAAUUCUUUCGUAGUUUUCCCAUUAUUGAUUAUUGAUUAUUUUUAAAUUUUUAUUACUUAAUAUUUAGUAAAUAACUGUAGUUGAAAAUUCUUGAGAAAUUCUAAAACUUGAUAAAGCAUUAGACCUUACAUUAUAAUAUUUAUAUUUCGAUAUUAUAAAACUAAAAUUUCAUCUUUUACCAAGAUCACUAUUAUAUUAAAAUAUUUUUGAAUUAUUUCCUAAGGAGUUUUGUUUUAGAAAUAUAUUAAAAUAUUUUUGAAUUAUAUUUAAGGAGUCUUUUUAGAAAACAAUUUAUAGUAAUUUUGGUAAAAUAUGAAUUUUUAUUUAUUUAUGGCUCUAUUAACUUUUCACUUGAAAAUAUUAGAAUUGUAAUUUUUAUGAAUCAUUUUAUUUUAUAAAAGUUCAUUUUUAUCAUAUUUGAGAAAAAUAUUAUAGCACGAAUAAAAUUUUAUACUACCUUUUAAGAAGUCUUUUUUUAAUAUUUAGUAGAGUUUAUCAAAAGCUAUAAUUUUUUUUCAUCUAUAUAAGUCAAAAAUAAUAUAAGACAUCAAUAAAGCCCCUUACAAAAUAAUAACCGUGUUCAAAUAUUAUUAUUUUUCUAAACUUUAAUAUAAUUUUAUUAUGUUUUGAUUUUAAUUAUAUAUGAGUGAAUAAAAAUUAGAAAGUUGAAUUUACAUAUUGACUUUAAUAUCAUAUAUAGAAAAAUAAAUCAUUAAUUCCUUAUAUGGAGUGGAAGUAUUUUUAAUUUUUGCAUAUAGCAACUUUAUUUAAGAUAAGAACACUAAUUAUUUUUUUUAAAAAAAAAUCAUGUGAUGUUUUUUACAAUUUAAGAACAUUUUUAUCAAACUAAAUGUCAUCCCUACCUAAUUUUUUAUAUACUAGAUACUUGACUCGCGUUUUGCCACGAGUUAGAUGUUUUGCUUCUAAACAAAACAUUUUCUAUACAAGCUUUUUUAACAUAUUUUUGUAAUUUAAAAAAUUCUAAGUGAAAAUUAAAAAGUUUAUGCAUAUAUUUAAUCAAAAAAAUCAAGAACUAUAUAUGUUAAUAAAAAAAACUUGUAUCGUGUCAUCCUCUCUAGUUUUUUUUUUUAAAUAAAUUAGAUGACGCACCUGUGGGCCAUAAAUUUUUUUCUCUUACAAAAAAUUUGUACAUGUAGGCUUUUUUGAUGCAUUUUUGUACUUACAAAAAUCUAAAAUGUAAAUUGAAAAGCUUAUGCAUAUAUGUAAUCAAAUAAAUUAAGAACCAUGUAUGAUAAUAAAUGGGAAAAAAAGUUAUUAACAAUAACUAAAAAUCAAAUAGAAAAAUCAAAUGUGUUAAUAAACAGAACAUUUAUCCGGUUGUGUUUACUGAUUUUAUUUAUUAAAAUUAAUUUUUUAUUCAAUCAAAUGAUAUUAAAAAUAGACACACAGAUUAAAAAAAUAUUGAUGAAUCAGAAUAAUUUUUUUAAAAAUUAAAUACGCUAACCACCAUAAAAAAACAAUCUCUAUCUAAAAAAGGUUAAAUAAGAAAACAAAUUCACCGAUGAGAGAUAUUAAUCGAAACAUAAAUUUUUCAAUUAUUUUAAUAAAAGAUAUAAAAAAAACACUACUAAAAAAAGCAAUAUUAGAAAAAAAAUAAUAGCCCAGUUCUUGUGGCUUAACUCGUUAGAUUCGUGAUCUAAAUCACGAACUUAUUCAGGUUUAAUAUUUUUUUCUUUACGGGCCUAAGCUAAUUUUUAUUUUAAUUUUUUUAAUGGGUCCACCUCUAUUUUUUUGAAAAAAAUUAGCAGGCAACAUGUUGGCUGCAAUCCCAGAUUCCUGCGCCACACAAUGGUGGCUGGAAAAUCAGGCGAACUUGUCUUUUGUCCAAAAAACUCAAUUUCUAAGCUAUUUCAACUGAAAAACACCUCACCAAUACCCAAAAAUCAUUUCGUCAACUCCAAAUACCCAAAAAACAAUCCAAAAAUCUGAAGUCAAACUAAUUUAGUUUUGGCUGUCUCGGCUCAAAUCUGGUUUUUCAUGUAACAUCGAGGCUAUAAACAACCAUUAUGAAGUCUCUCUCAUUUCAUGAAACCUGUGGACACCAAGAAAACUCGUUUUGGUGGCCGAAAUUUUUCUCUUUUCGUCGAAUUCCAGCAACCCUCUUUCUUUUCCCUCUUUAACCAAGAACUGACAAAUAACACAAAAAAAAUUGUGUAUGAAAAUUGAUUUUUAAAAAAAUUAAAGGGAUCUAAAUAGUAUAUAUUGCGUUAUUUUUAAAGAUCGAGUAUCUAAGUGGAUUUUUCAUUCAAUCUUUGGCACGCCACUUAUGUUUGGUGCCUGUUUCAAUUCGUAAUUUUGUAAGUUUUUUAUUUUUUUAUUUUAAAUUAAUUUUUUAUAUUUUUAAAUCAUUUUAACGUGAUGAAAUCAACUAUAAAUUUUAAAAAAUAUAUUUUAAAAAUCAACGUUACUAUGGUAAGAAACACCCGGAUGUACCAUGGUCUUCAUCAGGAAUAAUCGAAUUAAUUUGAAGACACAGAAGUCGUCAUUUCUAUUCCUGUGGAAUCGAACCUCCUAGCGUAUUGGUUGGUCCCAUAAGUAGAAUUGAAUUAAAGUCGUCGUAUGGGACAAUGUACCAAAUUUAUUUCUUCUGAUUUUGUAUUCUUCACAGACACAAUCAAUGCCGUUGGUUUGCUAUAAAAGGCUCUCAACUCCAACUUCUGAGUUAACAACAAAAAAUUAUCGACAGGAGCAUCAUUAUGGCUUCACCAUCGUAUGGGCCUUUGUCAUUCGUGUGCUUUUUGACACUAUUGUUUCUUUUAAUAAACACUGUGCAACCACUCUGUCAUGGCGUUGAGAGAUCUGCCUUGUUGCAUUUCAUGCAAAGCUUUUCCAUCAGCAACAACGCUUCCAUUAGUUCUUACGCUUAUCCAAAGACUGCAUCAUGGAAGAUCAGAGGAGAAAGCAGUGAUUGUUGCUUAUGGGAUGGCGUCGAGUGUGAUGAGGACACUGGCUAUGUUAUUGGCCUUGACCUCGGAGGUAGUUCUCUCCAUGGUUCUAUCAACUCCACAAGCAGCCUUUUUCAACUUGUUCACCUUCGAAGGCUUAACCUGGGGGGUAAUGACUUCAAUUAUUCUCAAGUUCCAUCUCGACUUGCCCUUCUCUCAAGUCUAACAUACCUCAACCUUUCCAAUUCUAUGUUCUACGGCGAAGUUCCCUUAGAAAUCACAGAAUUGUCUCACUUGACUUCUCUUGAUCUUGGUCGAAAUGUUGACUCAUCUGCAAGAAAGUUGUUAGAACUCGGAAGCUUCGACUUGAGAAGGCUAGCUCAAAACUUCACCGGGCUUGAGCAACUUGAUCUCAGCUCGGUUAACAUUUCUUCUACCGUGCCUGAUGCCCUCGCAAAUUUGUCUUCAUUGACAUUUCUCAAUCUCGAGGACUGCAAUUUACAGGGUCUAAUUCCAUCCUCCUUCGGUGAUCUCACCAAACUAGGCUAUCUAAAUCUUGGACACAACAAUUUUUCAGGUCAGGUUCCUCUUUCGUUGGCAAACCUAACCCAACUUGAAGUGUUAUCUUUGUCUCAAAACAGUUUCAUCUCCCCAGGUUUGUCUUGGCUAGGAAACCUAAACAAAAUUAGAGCUUUACAUCUUUCAGACAUCAAUUUAGUUGGUGAAAUCCCUUUAUCUCUUAGGAACAUGACCCGAAUUAUUCAAUUACAUCUCUCCAAUAAUCGAUUAACAGGGAAAAUUCCAUUAUGGAUCUCGAACCUUACCCAGCUCACUCUCGUGCAUCUUAGACACAAUGAGUUGCAAGGUCCAAUUCCAGAGUCUAUGUCCAAACUUGUGAAUCUAGAAGAGCUCAAAUUGGAGUACAACCACUUGAGUGGCACUAUAGAAUUCAGCAUGUUUGCUAGUCUCAAACACCUAACAAUGCUCCAAAUACGCCGUAACAAUUUGACUGUGCUCACUAAUAUCAGUGAUAACACUACACUUCCAAAGUUUAAGUAUUUGGCAUUAGGUGACUGCAACUUAAGUGAGUUUCCAGAUUUCCUCAGGAGCCAAGAUGAGUUGAUCUACUUGCAUCUAGGUCGCAACAGGAUUCAAGGCCAAAUACCGAAAUGGCUAGGGGACAUAGGUCACAAAACUCUCUCGAUUUUGAUUCUCCGAAACAAUCUUUUCAGUGGCUUUGAGCAAUCAUGGGAGCUUUCUCUUUUGACGAAGCUACAGUGGCUAGAACUCGAUUCUAACAAGCUUGAAGGUCAACUCCCGAUUCCACCACCUUCCCUCAUCGGUUAUAGUAUUUCAAAUAACUCUCUGACAGGAGAAAUUUUACCAUCUCUGUGUAAUUUGCGAUCUCUUGGUUUCCUUGAUUUGUCUUACAACAAAUUGAGUGGCAUGUUUCCAAACUGCUUAGGCGACUUCAGUGAUUCGCUGCUUGUAUUGAAUCUAUCAAACAAUUUCUUCCAUGGAAGAAUUCCUCAAGCGUUCAGAGAUGAAAGCAACUUGAGAAUGAUUGAUCUAAGUCACAAUCAACUGGAGGGUCAGCUGCCAAGAUCAUUAACAAAUUGCAGGAUGAUGGAGAUUUUGGAUUUGAGUUACAAUAGAAUUAGCGACAAAUUCCCAUUUUGGUUGGCAAACCUUCCUGAGCUGCAGGUACUCAUUUUGCGAUCUAACCAAUUCUUUGGAUCAAUAAAAAGCCCUGGUGCCAUGUUAGAGUUUCGCAAGUUGCAAAUCAUUGACCUCUCCUACAACAAUUUUACGGGUAUCUUGCCAUCAGAGUUCUUUCAGACCCUGAGAAGUAUGAGAUUCUCUGAUCUUAAGGAGUUCACGUAUAUGCAGACAAUCCAUACUUUCCAGUUGCCCGUUUAUUCCAGGGAUUUUACUUACAGAUACGAAAUUAACUUGGCAAACAAAGGUGUGUAUAUGAAAUAUUGGCAGAUCCCAAAUGUGAUUGCAGCCAUUGACCUCUCAAGCAAUGCAUUCCAAGGGGAUAUUCCACAAUCCAUUGGGACACUUGAGAAGGUUAAUGCGCUUAACCUUUCAAAUAACCAUCUCUCAGGUGACAUCCCGUCAGUGUUGGGGAACCUCGCAAAUCUUGAAUCAUUAGACCUUUCACAAAACAUGCUCUCUGGAGAGAUCCCUCAGUAUUUGACGCAGCUCACAUUCCUUGCAUACUUCAAUGUCUCUCAUAAUCAAUUGGAGGGUCCUAUACCACAAGGAAAACAAUUUAAUACUUUCGAUAACAGUUCAUACGAAGGUAACUCAGGACUGUACAUGAAACAUUUGCCAAAGAAAUCCGAAUGUUCUGAACCUCCACAGCAUCCAAACUUGCCAAAACAUCAAGGCUUCAAUAAUAUUCUUCCAAAAGAUAUUGAAUGGAUAGCAGUUGUGAUCGGAUAUGGAAGUGGACUUGUGGUAGGAGUGGUUGUUGGAUUGAGAGUUUCCGCAAGAAUACCUGAAUGGUUUGUGAAGACGUUUGGAAGGACGCAAGGCAACCGAAGGAGAAGAGAGGUUAGGGGCGUGCGCCGUUGAUUGGUUUUUCUUGUUUCUUUUUCCCUCUCCCUUUCCUUUCAGUUGGUGAAGGAAUAUAUUUAUGUACUUGUUCAUUAAGAAUUUAGCUUUGUUUUUCCUUUUUUGAAACUCCAUUUAAAAGGGGAGCUGUCUGGAACUUCAGUUUUUAUAUCAUUCCUCUUUGUAUACACUCAUUGUUAGAGUAUUGACACUUUUCCUACGUACUCGAUAAGGAAGGUCUGGUGUAUGCCUAUAGAGAUAUGCUUGUAAUCUCAGUUGUGAAAUCAAGAAAAAAAACAUCAGUUUACAGAAACAAAAAUGUACAAUUUCCAUCAAGGGGUCUUCAGACGAGCCCUUCCUUAAUACAAAAUAAUAAUAAUAAUACUGAAAUAGAAUUUCUUAUGAUUGAGAAAAUGCAUUAUGUUUUCGACGUAUCUUUCUUUUCUUCCCCUCUCCUCGAUAGGAUGAUGAUUCAGUGUUUACCUCGAUAUAAGCCAGAGUCUGUCAAGAGAGCCGAGACUAGUUCUGAAAGAAUGAAAUAUGUAAACUGCCAUGCUGAGGAAGGUGGUGGUGCGUACUAGUUGCAUGGUGACAUGCGCAUCAUCUAGUAAAGAAAGCCACUGUCGAUGCCACAAAAUAUCCAUGGGGUCCAUUGACCUCGCUAGAUUAGGAAGAAAUUCUUACCUUUGCCAUAUAUAUAUUUUGUGGAUAUAUGGAUGACUACUACGUUGUGGGCGAAUUUAUUUAUUUUUUAAUUAUAGAAAAGAUAUCAAGAUAAUACAAAUAUUUUUUUUAAAAAAAUUAAAAUUUAAUUCAUUGAUUUGAAUGAAUUUAAUACUAAGUUAAUUUAAUAAUAAUAUUAAAAAAAUGUCAACAAAAAAUAAAACAAAAAAAAUGAUUCAAUGCAAAAAUAGAAUGAUUGCCAAUAUUAUGGAAAUAUAUCUUUAUAAUAUUCUUAAAAUAUCUCAAUGAUUUUAUUUGUUAACAAAGUAAAAAUAAAAUAAGAAUAGGAUAAUUGCAUAGAAAAAAAAAUGAAAAACAAAAUGAAUCUCAAUUCUCAGCAAAUAAAAUGUCGAAUUAUAAAUUAAAAAAAAAAGAAAAAAGAAAUUAACUCAAUUCUAUUUGAGUCAUCACAAAGGUGAAUUUUUAAAAAUACUUUCUUCGAAAGAACCGGACAUGAUAAUUUUUUUAUCAUCUGGCUUGAGAAAAUAUCAAAUCAAAUCUAUAACCUAGUCGUGAGACCGAGAUAACUCCGUGGAAAGUAGACUAAAUAAAAUCAUGAAGUUUUAUUCUUAAACCAACCUAAUAUUGAAGGGAAAAAAUAAAAAAAUAAAAAGAAAAAGAAAAAAAGAUCGGAGUCAAACCUGGUGAACUUACUGAAUCCACGAUUCAAGACAUGAUAUCGAGAUAACUCUACAGAAAGAAAAUGUAAAAAAAAACAAAGAAUACCAAUUUUCAAUAACAAAUUCAAUGAUAAUGGAUGAAAUUAAAAAAAAAUAUGACUAAAGCCAACCUGGUCUAACCAUCAGAGCUUAUAACACAAAUCACAGCAUAAAAGGCAAAACAAAAAAAAAACAACAUAAAAUUCCCAACCAACUAAAAUAAUUAGGAAUAAGCUUAAAAAAAGAUUUAAAAAAGGGAUAAAAAAAGAAAAAGAUAUAUAAAUUUUUAAAAAAAAUGAGAACCAAAUUAGAUAAAAAAAAUCAAAUCAAAUCAUAAAUGAUGAAAUUGAAAAACAAUUUCAUUUAAGAAAAGGGUAAGAAAAACUAAAAAAUAACAAUAAAAAAAUAAGGACCAUAUUUAAUAUAAAAAUUAAAUAUCAAUGGAUAAAAUUGCAAAAAAAUAACUCGAUAAAUGAAUCAAAACCAAAUAUAUUGUAAUCAAAAGAAUAAUGAUGUAAUUUGACUCAAUAAACAAAUAACUAGACUUCUUUGUUUUUUUGCAAUGACUACCAUAUUUUUCUAGGAGGAGAGAGAUAAAAGAGAGAGGAAAUAAAGAAUGUUUGGUCAAAGCUCCAUCGUCGGUCCUAUGACAGCACGCACCUCACUACUGUGAUGGGAGCGAUGAGGUGCAUUGAAUGUCGUCCUAGAUGGUGGCGUUCAGAGCUAUUUUGACACUACACACACCACUCAAAUAACAUAGGUCGCCAACCACUAAAAUAUAUAUAAUAUUUUAUAUAUAUUAAAAGAUCAUAUUACUGUUGUAUAAAAAUAACAAAAAAUUCAUAAUAAAAUAACUAAAAUAUAUUUCUAUCUAAUGCUAAAAAAGCUAUUUUUGUUAGGGUUGUUUUAAUUUUGUUUUUAUGUCACAAAAAGAUUUGAAAACCCUGAAAAGCCAGGACAAACAUAAGAAGAUUCUGUUUAUUAUACAUGAAAAUUUCAUUUGGUAAGAAAAAUAAGAAUACGAUGCCAUAGCCUUCAAUCAAGUAUAGCUCCUUUUGAACAAAAGAAAACAAUUCAUUAAAAUUCUGGCAUUAAUUUCCAAAUUCGCAUGUUUGAUCAUGAACUUUGUAAUUAAGAUGUUAGUACGUGGAUUAAUUAAUAUUUGAGGUUGUUCGUGUUUUCUUCUACCAUCAUUAAUUAUUAAUAGAGACAUAAUUAUUAUUUAAAAUUUUCCUUUUAGGACUUUCUGUUUGUAUAUUAUUGUUUUAAAAAAUAAAUAAAAAUUAACCAAUAAUGAGUUUUGAAAACUAUAUACCUCAACUCCCAAGAACCCCACUACCAGGCCCAACUAUGUGUUACUCGAUUGUAUCUAGAGGUCUGAAAUAUGUAGGCUCGAUGUUUGAUGGUCAAUGACUCAAUUGCUUAGGGCAACAAAGAGUAGAGCUAGUUCCGUGUCAUGGAAAUUCUAGAUUGAGCCUAGUUUAGUUUGCAUGUAAAAGGUUAUUUGGUAUUGAAAUGAAUUAAAAUAAUAUUUUUUAUUAUUUAAAAUUUAUUUUUAAUAUUAAUAUAUUAAAAUGAUUUAAAAAUAUCAAAAAUAAUUAUUUAAAGAAAAUAAAAAAAGUUAAUUUUUUUCAAAAAACAACUUCACCGCAAAAACAAAGUGCACAUUACAUAUGAUGGAUUACAAUAAUUUAUAAUCUGCUAUAGCUUCUUCUUUUUUUUUUAAUUCUCCCCAAACAUUUUUUUUCCUAACUAGUUUGAUUCUCUAUGCACUACAAUGUGGGAUGGAGCAGAUUGUUUUCAACACUAAACAGGCGCAAGUGUUAUUAUAAAAUUUUUUACGAUUAAGAAAAAAUUUAAUUAUAAGCUAAAAAGUUUGUACGUGUAUUUAAAAAAAUAAAUUUAAAAAUAUAUGUGCUAAAAAAUAUAUCAAAUAUGUUGAUUCCAAUCAUUAUUUCUUAAAAAAAAAAAGGUUGAAUAUUUGUUUCGACUUGAAAUUAGGUUUCAAUUUUAUUUUUUCAAAUUAAGCAUUAAUUCAAUAUCAAAACUUAUUUUUAAUAUCACAAAAACCUCGUAUAAAGCCAACCAAAUAAUAAAUGAAACUCAAUCACAAGUCAUCAACUUAAGGUAAAAUGGUUAAAUUAAAAAUAAAAAAAAGUCAAAUGAAAAGGAAAAAGAAAGAAAAAAAAAGAACACACAAUUCAUAAUUAGAUUGUAUAUUUAUUCUAAUUAUGAAUUGUUUUUUUAAUGUUUUUUUUUUUAUCUUGCAUUACCUUGCAUGUUCAUAAUUCCAAAUAUUACUUCAUUGUUUACCGAGUGUCAAUUUUACUAUAAUUGUUAAAUGAGAAACAAAAAGACUCAAUUAAAAAAAGGGUGUGAAUGAAAAAAAAAGACUCAAUUAUAAAAAUAUGAAUAAAAGAAAGUUUAAAAUGGUUCAAUAUUCAUAAUUCAAAUAUUAUUUCAUGAUUUAUAAAGCAUUAUUUUUUGCAGAAUUGAAUUACAAUUGUUAAAUAAAAAAUAAAAUUACUUAAUAAAAAAAAGAUGUAAAUAAAAUAAAUAGACCUAGUAAAAGAAAAGGAGGAGGAGGGUGUGAAUGGAAAAAAAAAUUACGAUUAUUUACUAUGAAAAAUGUUUUCAUCUCAAAUCUCAAAUCUUUUAAUGUUUUUGUUAAUUUCAUUGUACAUUAAUUGAAUGUUAUAUAGUGUCCAAAUACUAGCCAAAAACCCCUUAAUUGAUCCAAAAAAAUAAUCAUAAACAUGCCCUAAAAUUCCCAACAGUUCCCAAAUUCAAAUUCGUCUUCUUAUAGGCAAUAAUUAAUCAAUUAUUGAAAGCUUUUGAAGUUGAUUUGACUGAUUAUUAUGGUAAUCUAGAUGAGUUAAAGAGAGCUGUUAACUAUCAUUAACAUUAGCUGAUUAUUUAUUGAAUCAAAUUUGUUCACAAGGACAAGAUUGAAAGGAGAAUUGGAAAAUAUAUAAAAAAUAGAUGAUGGGUUUAAAGUUAUCAUAAAAAAUUAUUUUAGUUUUUAAACUUUAUAAAUUACACCUAUUUGGUUUUUUUAUAUUUUUUCAAUUUAAUUUUAGUAUAAAAAUUUAUGUUUUAAAUUUUUGGUCUCUGGUUUGAAAUAGAAGAGGGAGCUUACUAGAUUGCAACGGUAAAGAAAGAAAAUCAAUAUUAACACAAAUUUCAACUACCAAAAUGGUCGAUUUUGAUGUCAAUAGAUUUCAUUUCAUGAGGGGAGUUCCACUUAAAUGUUUUUUUACCUUCAAAUUGCCUAAAAAAUCAGAUUUAAGCUCAGGAAGAUUUUUUUAUUUUGGGUUAAUUUCAGGUUAUUGUGUGAUUUUUUUGGUUUUUUAAGAUCAUUUAUGGGUUUGUCAAGAUGUUUAGGCUUUUUUUUUCUUGGUGUGUAGAUAAAAAAACACAAACUCUAUUUUUUUGUUCACCACAGUAGCUGGGAUUUAUCGAAACCAGACGAUGCAUCGUCUUGAAUUUUUCUUUUUCAAAAAAUAUUAAGGUAGGCGACAUGUAGUCUACCCUAAUUGAGUUUUUUUUUUUAAAAGGAGCUCAUGCGCUGACACUUUCUCUCUUAUUUUUUACUUUUAGCUUUUUUUAAAUAGUUUUUUUUAUAUUAGUUUGAAUAUGUUUAUUUUUUGAAGAGAUUAUUCUAAUUCAUGUAUAAUGUUUUUUUAUGUUUUAUAAUAUAAUUGAACUUUAUUUUUAAAAAUAAAAAAUAUUUAUUUUUCUAUAGUAUUUCUAAUAAGCGCAAUAUUGUGUGAUAUUUUUUUUCUAUUUAAUUUUAUUAAUUCAAAUGUGUGUGUAUCUUUUUUAUUAUCAUUUAAUUAAAAAAUAAUAAUUUUAAUAAAUAAAAUUAUUAAACACAAGAGUAAAUAAUAUAUUAUAAGAUCAAAUAUUUUUAUUUAUAUCCGUUUCUCAACCCGAACAAGUGAAUAGUGGUUUCUGCUGUAAUUUAAGAAGAAGAGGAGAGAAUUUGUUUACGAGGAGACAUAGACGUAUGAUUCAGGAUUGAUUGUUAGUGUCAUUGACAACAUAUUUAUAAAGUUUUUUAUGCUCAAAGGAACAAUUAAACUAAAGAAUUUAAAGGGCCAAUCUCGCUUCAUGUUAAUUUUAACAAUUAACUUUCAUCUAGAAAUUGCAUUCAUAAGAAGAAAAAAUACAUUAAUUAAUCCAUCAAGAAACAAGGAAAAUUCUUCUGCUGACAAUUGAGAGUUAACAAAGAAGCAUGUCGUUGCUUUUUCUUUCUGUUUGCUCUACUUCUUGCUCGCCAUCUUCGUGAUGGUGUUUCUCUAAUCUUUUAGCUUAGACUGAGAUCGAUUUUCAUCAAGAAAACAAGGAAUCAUGUCAUCAUACAGGAUCUCGACAGAGAGGGCAGCUCUGAUUCUUAUCCAGCCAUUGCAUAAAACAUCCUGAAUGGAAAACAUGUUUGCACGAGGAAAGAACGCAGCAGUUCUCCCCUUUCUGAAAAUCAUCCAAGCAUAUCACACAUCCACUGCUAAAAUUGACUGAGCUUUCAUCGAUUUGAACAUAAUAUAAUUUCAACAUGGAAAGAGGAGCAGGUUCGAGUCUUCCAGUUACCUGCCCACUUUCAACAUCAUGAGGAUGAUGACGAGGAUCUUGGUUACGGAGAGCAUGGCGCCGAUAUUCUAAAUGCCUCAAACAAAAUUCUAACAGUAAAUAAAAUAUCACGAUCAAUAUCGCUGCAACAAGAACCAUAAUUAUAAAUAGUAGAGUAGGGAAGUGUUCAUUGUUGCCAGAAGCAGAAGUAAAAGGAGCUUCUGUCAUGGAUAUGAAACUGGUUAGUUUGUAUAUGAUUCAGCAUAAAAUAUUGUUAACUGUUUUGUACUGCUAUAUAAAUAUUGGUUAUUUCAAUAGCUGUAAGCCUUUUCCUCUCGGAAAACCACUCUCCUUGUCCUCCUCGGUUUACGACCUAGUUUGGGAUUGCAGCUAGUGACAAUGGCAACUUGACGAGAGAAUUUUUGGCACACUUUUAUACUGUUAAAAGGGAGAUUAAAAGAAUAUGCCCCAUGAAUAUAUAUAUAUAUAUAUAUAUAUAUAUAUAUAUAUAUAUAUAUAGAAGUUGUCUGUGACUCUGUGUAUUGUUUUGUGUUGAUUAUGAGAGAAAGCGAGGUUGUGAUGACCCAGAAUCAAGCCCGUGAUCCGUAUGUAAAUCAAGGCAAAUCUAAGUUCAUCUUGCGCAAGCUAAGCCUUGAUUAGACCUGUAGAAAUUCUAACAAAAUCCAAAAUAUAAAACAAAACAAUAAUUAUUUAAAAAUCAAUAUAAAAAUAUUUGUGUAUCUCAUCCCAUCGGUAAAUAAAAAUGCAUUCGAAUUUAUAUUCAAAAUUGAAAAAGAUAGAAAAUUGUUUGGGGACCAUUACCGAAACUUAUUUUACAUUCAAUAAAAAAUAUUUUUUUUAUAUCAUUUCACAGUAAAUAAAAAAACUCGUUUUCGGUAGACUCUACCAAGUUAAUUAAUACAGUUAGAGAAUAUAAAGAAAAAAAAUGCAAGUUUGAAAAAAAAAGUCAAGUUUUAAUUGAAAUUUACCUAUCACUUGUUAGACAGACAUGAUGUAAAAUCAUCUCUGAUGUAUUUCACACUUUGUGGAUCCAUAUAAAACAUAUAAGAAUCAAUGUCAUAUUUUGUUAUUUUCACACUCGACAAUAACAAUAGUAUAAGCAAUAAAAAAACAGUAUAUUAUUUCCACCCAAACCAAUUAUUAAUAACAAUACAUUUUUAUAUAGACUCUUGAGAUGGUAUAUAUCAAUUCUAAUGAAAGGCCUACAUAAAAAAAAUAAAGGCUUCCUUUAUCGUUUUCAAAUAAACAUACACAUGUUUAAAUUUUUAUGGUGAAUGCAUAUUUAUUUUGUUUUAUAUGUUAAACCCUAAAAAUAUAUUAAAACCCGGAUUAUAUUGCUUCAAUAGUUAAAUGUACCUAAAGAGUCUUUUAAAAGACUCAUUUUGACUUCCAUCCAGAAACUCUUUAGCCUUUGUCCUAGCUCUCAAUCAUUGCAUUUUAUAUGGUUAAAUCCUAAAUUUAUCAUCUAAAAUUGUUUCAAGUGAUUGGAGAUGUUUGGGUCAAUACUAAUUAUUGGUAGCAAUUGACUUUGUUAUCAAUGUUGAAUUUACAAUUUUUAUACUUGUAGGUCAAAUUCACUUAUGCUUGUCCCUUAAAGACUUAAUCAUGAAUGUUUUACUACCAAGAACGAGACAACCUUAUAUUCGUCAAUUAAAACCAUAAGCCAUAUGUAUGGUUUCAACCUUCUUUUUAUGAUUAAUAUAUCUUUUAACAUGACAUUCAUGCUUCACCUCAUACUUUCACAAAAUAUCUUUAAAGUGUGUUUAUAUUACUAAAAAUUUGAUAUUCUUCAAAAUUUAUUGAACAAUCAACUGCAACUUUAAAUCUCUUACAUUUGAAAUCAGUAAUUGGAUCCAUUAAUAAUCUUUUUCCCCUCUUCUUGCCACUUUCCUCCUCAUCAAUACUAUCAGAUUGUUCACUGACUUAUACGUCAAUAUCAUCUUCAUCACUACUUAUCCUUCUUUCGUUAUCAGAAUCAGAGGCACCAUACAAGAUUUGACCAAUAGAAAAAUCAACUUGUAAGUUAUCAAUCCAUUCAUCCGUAGCUACAUUAUAAAAUUCAAAUCCUUUAUCGGAAUGAAUAUAAUAAUUGUCUACUUCAUUAUCAUCAUUAGAAUCCAUGUAAACUCUAACAUUAACAUAACAUCAGUAUCAAUGCUCAUUUAGAAUUCAUUCCUUCUUUCAUCCCAACACUCAUUUAAGUGCCCAUUUCAGCACCAACUUUAGCACCACACCUAUUUCAACACUCAUAUUAGAUCAAUACCAGAACAUCAAACAUCACUACCACUAACAUCAUCACCUAUUUCAAUACCCAUUUUAGCACCCAUAUUAAGAUUUUUCUCUCCAUCACCACCAACAUCUAAAUUAGAACUUUCUUCCCCCAAUAAGCAUACCACUUUAUCAACAUCAUCAUCAUGUGCAUCAAAAUAUUUGGUUCUGGGUGGCCUGUUAUUUUCAGGAUUGUCUAAAUAGCACCUCGACAUUUUCAUUAUUAGAGAUUAGCUGUUAGAUCAACAUCAUCAUAUAAAUGCACCUUAUCUUUACCUUUAUGCAUAUAAAAUACCUGUAAGGUCGAAGCAUCAUCUAAUAUUUUGUUGCCUUUGCCAUUCCUUGUGCAAAUCUAUGCACUAUAUCAAAUAUUUUCUUACAUGUGAAUAAUAUGUCUAUGCAAGAAAUGUAGUUAGAGUUGUAAUUUUUUUUUUGACAUAUGAUGAAUUCUUAUCAUACACAAAUAUAUUAGGCAUUUUGUAUCUUGCAUGAUUUAUAGAAGUUAUAGAAAAGUAACACAUAAAUAAUAGUAAAAAAUAUAAAACAAUGACUAAUAAGAGAAGAUUAUAGCCACUAGAUUUUACUAAUUAAUGCAUAUUGGUUUAUGAAUGCAUUUUUUAUUACUUUAUAAUUAGGCAUUUCACUGUGAAGUAGGAAGUUUAACAAUAAUAUUAAAAAAGAUUCAGAAGACUGUUGUAAAUAUAAAUAAAGAGGUUAGAGAAAUAUGUUAUUUUCUUAUCCACUAUAUAAUUCUCUAAACUAUGUAGUUAGUGUUUAUUUUUGUAGUGUACCAUAUCCUUUAAAGAAUUAUUAUUAUUAUUAUUAUUUAUUUUUUUAUAUCAUUUUAGCAUAGUAAUAUUAAAAAUAAUUUUUAUUAAAAUUUUUAUUUUAAUAUAUUUAAAAAAAAAAAAAACAAUAUUUCAGUCUAAAACACUGGAUCAGUGCCUACGAACAAAAAUUGCUCAUUAACUAGAAAAAGGAAAGAAGUAAAAUUCAGAUGACUACUACUACUUCAUGCACGGUAAAACCCUAGUUAGUUCCAGAACAAGAACAGCACCCAUGUUGGUGUCCAUCUCUACUUUCUACCUUCCCCAUAUAUAACCCUACAAAACUAUUCAAAACCCCAGCAAACAAAAACCCUAUCAUUGUUUUCCCUUUCACUGCCACAACAAAACCCAACUCCAAAACUCUUCUCCCCUGUUUUUAUUUUUCAAUAAAGUUAUUCCCAGCUAUGGAAUCCCCAGUUCAAGCCCAAGCAAUUCCUCUUUACGAAACCCUAACCCUAACCCCACUUUCUCCUUCACCCACUGCCACUCCAAUUCGAUCGCCGCUGUCCGAUCCUCUCCAACCCUACUCUGUAUUCCGCAAUGAGAUUUCUCUCUCCGCCUUCAAUUCUGCUGCUGCUGCGGAAUCUGCUGCACCUGAUUUCUUCUCUCUUGAUGUUGGAAGCGGUGAUGAGGAGGAGUUGGAGCUGAAGACGCCUGUUAAUGGAGAGGCUAAGGGGAAGAGGAAAGCGGAGGUGGAGACGGAGAACUUGCCGGAACCAAUGACGGAGAGCGUGUGGUUUAGAGGGGAUAGUAAAUUUAGGAGUCCGAUGUUACAGUUACAUAAAGGUAUACCUUGAUGAUAUUGGACAAAGGAGUGCUUUUUAGUUUUUUCUUUCUUUUUGUUGAUUUAAUUUGUGGGUUCGUCCUACUAAUUCUUGUUAUUGUGUGUGAAAAGUUGAUUUCUUGCACAUUAAUUCUUUAGAUAUAUUGUGGUUAUGGAGGAAAUAUGAGUACUUUUCAUAUUCAUUGAUUUAAUUUGACUCUAGUAGUAUCUUAAAAUCUGGAUGGUACCACAAUAUUGGUUAAUUUCGAUUCCCUCUUGAGCAAAAAAUAAAAUAAAAUAAAACAGAGCGAAAACUAUAAUCUCUUCAAGAAUUUGUUGGCCUUAAUUAUGGAAGUCCAGUGUGGGUGACAAUGUGGGUAUGCUAAAUUUUUAUGUGUAGCUUACUUGGAAUGUUUAAAUUUGUGAACUUUUCAUGUGAUGUUUGGAAUAUGUUUUAGCUUCUUUUUAGUUUUUUGAGAAAUUCUGGUCAACGAGCAUUUAUAGUGAGCUCAUAUCUGAUGGUGGGUGAUGCAGAGAUAGUGGAUUUCUGUGAUUUUCUGUCACCAACUCAGGAGGAACAAGCUUCACGUGCUGAAGCUGUACGAUGUGUUUUUGAUGUUAUUAAAUAUAUAUGGCCCAAUUGUAAGGUAAUUCUUAGUUCCCCUCUCUCUUUCUCACUCACCCACACAAUUUCUUUAUAGAAGCAUAAAAGCUAGUAAAAUUGCGUUGCUGUGUUUGCUUUGUAGGUGGAAGUUUUUGGUUCGUUUAGGACAGGACUUUAUCUUCCAACCAGUGACAUUGAUGUACGUAUAAUGUGACAUUUGUUAAGAAUUUACUGUGGAAUACUGCUGACUAAUCAACUGAAACAAAAGCUUUUGUUAAAUGCUAUUGAUUGUAGGUUGUGAUUCUGGGUUCAGGACUAAAAAGCCCACAGAUUGGUUUAAACGCUCUUUCCAGGGCCUUGUCUCAGAAGGGCGUUGCAAAGAAGAUACAGGUAUGCCUCCAUCAACAGUUGGAGUACUAUUGCUGCCAAAAAAACAAAGGUCUAUUGUGCUCUCUUUUAUUGUCUUAGGUGAUAGCGAGGGCUCGUGUGCCCAUUGUUAAAUUCGUUGAAAAGAGAAGUGGUGUUUCCUUUGAUAUAAGGUCUGUCUAUUUAUCAUUUGUAUUUCCAUUUCCUAGUUUGAUUUUCUCCUUGCAAUGUUUUGAGAUUAAUUUUUUUUCUCAAGGUUUGUAGUCCAUUUCAAUCCUUAUUGAAUUGAUUCCUCUGAAUAAUUGUCCAAAUGCAUUUCAAAGAAAAAAAGGAGAUGAGAUGUAAAGGGGGGAUUGCUUAUACUGUGUUCUAGUAGUUACAAUGUAGUUAUUUUUUUAGUGUGGGUUUGGUAAAUUAGCUUUCUUAUUGGUUCAAUUAUUGGGUGAUUUUAUAAAUAAAUAAAUAAAGGAAAUCCAAUACUGAACUAUGAUUGAGAGACUUGGUCUAGAUAGAAUUUUAGUCAGUAGCUUUGGGUUUAAACUUGCAUGACACAUGGGGGGAAGCCAAAUGAGAAACUGAAAUUAUGAGAUGCUCUAUGAAGGCUGAUCAUUAUAAGAUGCUUAAUUUGUAGCCCGGGUAAGUGCAUAUAGAGAUUGUCAUAAAGAAAUUCUACAUACUUUAGCUAAUAAAUGUUUUAAGGAAUAUUUUAUACUACACUUAAUUAAGCAAAGAUGCCCUUCUUUUUUUCUCCGAACUUUUUAUUUGACAUAUCAAUUUUGUAAAAUCUUUGUAUUUUGUGUUUCAUUUAUAUUAUGGUUCGGGAGCUGUAUAUACAAUCUGUAGGUUUUAUCUCUUUGUCAGCUAAAUUUCUGACUACAUUCUGCAUUGCUUGUUUUGGAAACUGAUCAAUGUUUUUUGUGGAUCUCAGUUUUGAUGUGAACGGUGGACCCAUAGCUGCUGAGUUUAUCAAGGUUUGUUGUCUGUGUUCUUCCUUUCUGAUAUUUCGUUCUUUAUGAUGUGAGUAACAAGUAUAACAAUCAUCUCACUUUCUCUUAACAUGUACACACGCACCCUUUUUUUAAUUGCUGGUGUGUAUAAAAGUAGUUUGAAGUCAAAGCUAAAUGUUGUUUCUUUCAGAAUGCAAUAUCCAAGUGGCCUGAACUACGACCAUUAUGUUUGAUUUUGAAAGUAUUCCUACAACAAAGAGAACUCAACGAGGUAUAUAUCUGUAUACCAGCCAUCUAAUAGCAUUCUCAUAGAUGUCAACACUUUAUUCUCAAUCAUUGUUUUUUUUUGUUUGCCUGAUUCAAGUUUUCUUUAAAACAUGCAGGUAUACUCUGGCGGCAUAAGUUCUUAUGCUCUGCUUGCCAUGCUUAUGGCAAUGUUGCAGGUAAUGAAUUAAACCUUUGAAUGAAUUCUUCAUCUGCAUUCUAGCUUGCAUGCAUGCGCACAUUGUUGCCAGUUAAUCCGUUAAUUCCCUACUAUUCAUAUGCUGUAAGAUGCCAAAACAAUGGUGAGUUUAUCAAAGCUAUUGAAAUGAUGGCGAUCAGGAAGAUCUUGUAUUUGGUCAAGCUGUGAAUGUAAAAUGAAGAGAUUACAUAUUGUAUUUCUAAUAAGACAGAAAAUAUACCUCAAAUGCUACCAUGUUUCAUCUCAGCUGAGGUUUGGAUGCUUGACAGACCACUUUCUGGAGUUUAUUUCAGAUAAGAUAGGACAUUUCUUCCUUCUUGUUAGAGCUUUCUUGCAUUUGACCUCUAGAGAGCUUUCUACUUGUAUGAGGGCAAAUGAGUUUUUCUAUGGUUUAUUGAUAUGAUAGAAUCAUGCUUCUUACAAACAAUUUAAAGUAUCUCGAUGUUUCCCUUGGCAUGUUACCAUUUCCUUUUCUCAUCAAACAAUAUUGCCACUGCCUCAUGACAUUUUUGAUGCUACAGAAUCAUAGGGAGUGCCAGGCUUCUCUAGAACGUAAUUUGGGGCUUCUCUUGGUACGUUUUUUCAAGCCCUUGUUCAGCACAAUGUAACUUCAAGAUAGCAUGGUGUUCAUGAUGCAGUUGAUAUGUUCUUUGUUUUAUUUUUAUUCUUGUAAACUUAAUUGGAGAAUAUAUGAACCCUUUAAUUUUGGGGGGUAACAGUUUGUAGACUUCUAUAUUCUUACUAGUCUGUUUUUGGAAAGCAGAUACACUUUUUUGAUUUUUAUGGACGCAAAUUGAACACCACAAAUGUUGGUGUAUCUUGCAAGGGGACUGGGACAUUCUUUUCAAAGCGUACCAAAGGGUAAAGGAAAAGCAAGGCUUUUAGGAUUGAAAAUUUUUAUUUUUUCUUUUAGCUUGCAGUUAUUAAAAAUAUUACGUUUGAUCUUACCUCAUUUUCUGUUUUAGGUUUAUGAACAAUGGACGGCCAUUUCUCAUUGCAAUUGAAGACCCACAGGUUGACUUUCUUUACUAAGAUGUGACAUUUCCAUAUAUUAAUUGACUAUUAAGCAAAUCAAAGAGUGGGAUUGAUUUGUUGCCUCAAAAAAUUAUUGAUAUGAUUUUUUAAUUACAUCUUUUACUGCUUUCUGUGGGUGUUGGAUGCAUCUCUAGAGCUAAAUAUAGGAUUCCCAAGCAUUCCCCAGGAAAGACCGGGUCCUGUCUUAGCUAUUACAAGUUCACACUUGGUUUUGCCUUUGUAUUCUGGUUUAUGGGCAUGCAUUUCUGAACCCUUUUCCAGAAUAUUGAGAUUGGGAUCAGACUGUACAAUUAAAAAAAAUAAAAAUUGGAGACCUUUUCCCAAAAAGCGGUCAUUAUUUUGUUUCUGUUUGAUGAACUAAAACUGUUUAUUUAUGAUGAAUAGGCACCAGAGAAUGACAUUGGCAAGAAUUCAUUCAAUUAUUUCCAGGUUUGUUCACUGUUAUAAUAUUAUUUUUGCUUGCUUUUCAUCACUUUCACUGCACUAGGAAUAAAGGUUUUUGACGGAAAGGUUCAUUUUAGUUUAAAUGUGGGGGCAGCAUUCCAAAAUCUUGUUUGUAUUUAAUAUAUUUCAUAACAUUUUGAGUUCUAACUUACCUAUUUUUUAUAUCCUCAGUUUGAUUUACCAAGUACCCUAGAUGAAUUGCUUUAGCUUUGAGUUAUGCUGGGUGGGUCGUAGCACUUCACCUCUCUUAACAAGUUUCAACUAAUCGGGUUGUUGCAUUAGAUGGGAUGAGAAACUUGUGUGACUCAUACCAUCCUUUUGCUUCCAUCAAAUGAAUCAAAUUGAUAAUAUAAAAAGCUUUGAAUUUCUUUUGCUAUUCUAAAUUUUACUGAAAGUCCUUUUACCAUCCAUAUUGCAGAUUAGAUCUGCUUUUGCAAUGGCUUUUACAACCUUGACAAAUCCGAAGACCAUCCUAAGCUUAGGACCCAACAGGAGCAUUCUUGGUACCAUAAUUAGACCUGACCCAGUUUUGCUGGAACGCAAAGGAGGGAAAAAUGGAGAGGUAACUUUUAGCAGCUUGCUGCCUGGAGCUGGGGAGCCCUUGCAGUCAAAUUAUGGACAACAGGAAAUUUUGUGCAAUUGGCAGUUGGAUGAUGAAGAAGAAGCAUUACCACGAGGAGGCGGGGAUGCUGGAGAUGGUAGUGCACAUUCCUCUGGAAAGAAGAGGAAAGCUUCUUCUAAAGAGAAGUCUCGGAAGAAAAAGUCGAAAGAAAAUGGUGACAUUGGGAAGGUGAGACAUGAUGAAAGUGGUUCAAAGAAAGAGAAGUCAACAAAGAAGAAACAGCGAUGGAGAAAAAAUGAUAGCUCCAAGGGUUUUGGCAGUCACGCUGCUGGGUCUUCAUAGAUUUGUUAAAAACAUAAACAUAUCUUUGGCAGGCUGGAUGAACGAGUCAGGCAUGGCUGAUGCAGUUCCUUCUCACCUAUGAAUGGUUUACUGCAACUACAACAAUCAUCUAACAUUCUGCCUCAAGACUGCUAAAGACUGCUUGGGAUGGCAUGCUGUCUGAUUGAAAGUAGCAUCUGAAGCAAAUUACUGGCUUUAAGGUGGUUGCGGCUCCUCCCAUCUCUGAAACAUUGUGUCUUGUGAUUGGCCAGUAUUUGACUUUUGUACUAUACUAAUACAGAAGUAUAGAGCCAAGUUCAACGAACAGGAAUAGUGGAUGUGUAAUUGAAUCCAAUUUCCUGAGUCGUACAACAUCAAAGUCUCAGAACUUGAAAACAGGCCAGAUGGAUCUAAUAAUUUUGACACCGUUUGGAGCCUCCAUGUUUGCUAUGAAGGGAGGAGCUGCUUGUGGCGUUUAAGUUUGAAUGCCGAGCACCCAUGCCGUCUGAUAAAUGACAAUAGGGCUGCUUGUAUUUUUUUAUUUUUGUUUUUAUUUAACAGAGUAGUGGUUAAUUGUAUCCCUAUUAAUUGAUUGAUUUAUGAGCUCCAGCCUUGUUUUCUGCUACAUUCCCGCAUAGUGACCCAUGAUUCGCUGGUUCAAAUCCAAACUCUGCAGCAGCGAUACCAGGUUGGCUGUUCACUAUCGGCUAUGAAAUGCGAAGGUAUCUCUUUGCCUAUAAAACCUUUUCUUACACUACUAUUUCCACAUCAAUAAUAGAAGAGAAGAUUGAGAGGCUGUCUUUGUUUGCGUUUAAUAUUAUGUUACUGAGCAUUUUAAAAGUGUUUGAUAUAUAUAAAAAAUUAAAUUAGUGUUUUUUCAGUGUUUUUUUGAUAAUUUUGAUGUGUCAAUAUCAAAAAUAAAAAAAAUUAUUUUGAUAUAUUUUUAAAUAAAAAAUAGUUUUAUUUAUACCAUGAAUUAGAUGUAAUAACUUACAAUAUCAUCCUUUUAGCCAUUAUAGUUGUAGAAAACACUAAAGGGCGUCGACAUAUCACUAUGCUCCUCGCCACACCAUUGUUCGCCAAUAUAUAAUUCAUCAUGAAUUGCUAUAGUGAAUUUUUUUUUUCAUUUUAGUUAUUAAUAGUUUUUCUCUCCUUGAUUAAGUUCUUUUUAUGGUUAUGGUCAACUGACUCUCAAUUGAUGUCAAUUUAGCCCACUAUUCAUGGAUUUUUUUCGAUAAAAGGAGUUUUUUUUAGAUGUUAUUUUGGUUUUUUCAUCAAUUGAGAUAAUAAAUCUCAGCUCAAGAAAGUUUUGGUUUUAGAUUGAUUUUGAAUUUUUGUAUUGAUUUUUUCAAUGGUAGAUAAAGAUGUUUUGGGUAAAAAAAAUGAAAAAAUUCACUGCAUAUUGAAAGGAGCAAGUGAUGUGUCAUUUAUUUUUUUAUUAUCAUAUUAUCUCUUAACUAAAAAAAAAUUAAGUUUAAGCCUAUAUGUUUUUGGCCAUCCAGGCUAGGCCAGAGUGUCCGGGUUGGUGGUUUUUUUGUCCUUUGAUUUUUUUUAUUGGUUUAUUUUUUUUUUACUAAUUUUAUCCUUUAAUGUUUGUUUUUUAUUGAAUUUUUGUAUUGGCUUUUUUCUUUUCAAUUUUAACUCUAACACAUUUUUUUUAAUGUAAUUCAAUUUAAUUUAAUACCAUUUAGUUUUUACUUAAUUUACAAAUAAAAUUUCAAUGUUUUUUUUAUGUUUUUUAUGAUAUUAUGAGGCAUUGUUAUUUAUGUAUAGCUCUAUUUAAUUUUUUUUCUUUAAUUUUUAUUCAAUCUCUUUCUUAAGUGUGUUUUUUAUUAUCAUUUUAUUAAAUAAAUAUUAAUUUCAAGAAAUAAAAUUAUUAAACACAAUCGAGGACCUAUCUAUAUUGUGAGAUUAAAUUUCUUGAUUUAUAACAAUCUCUUGAUUUUUUCAGUUUGGGUUUUAGUUAUUGUUGAUUUUUGUAUGUUUAUAGGCACAAAUGAUUUCUUAUUUAUUUAAUUAAAUGCAUGCAUCAACUUUUUAAUUUACGGUUAUGAUUUUUUAUGUCAAAAAUAUACUUCUAAAAAAAACAGGGUCUUUAAUGGUCAUUGCUCAUAUGAAAGUGAAACAAUUUUUUUUUUGGUUUUAAUUGUACCUUUCAAUUGCCUAAUUAGAUGGAAUUAGUGUUGCAAUUAUUGUAGAAGUACUAAAUAAAAAAAAAGGGACUAAACUUUAAAACAUGGAGAACAAUAAGUCUAAUUUGAAAUCUAUGCCAAUGUUUAUUUCGAUCCAUAAGUUUUUUUUUUGUCCCUAGUAAUAGAGAGACUCGAUGAAAAUGAUAAUAAAAAGAGAAAGUGGUUGGUUGUCGUGACUCAAGCCAUAAAAGUGAUCAAGUUUGGUGCUUAAAUGUUUCAUUCGACGAAGGAGUGGGGAAUUAAAUGGUGGUGGUUAUUGGCUGUCACAUUGCUCAAAAAAAUAGAUCGGAGCUUGGAAAGAUUUGGGAUCUUAGGUUGAUUUUUCAUUUUUUGAUGAAUUUUUGGCAACUUUAGGAGCAUAAGUUUGUUGAGUUGUGUAUUGUAACAUCCUCGUUAGCAAAAUCAUUAUAUCAUCAUUUUCUUUCACAUUUAAACAUGCAUAAUUUAAUAAGUGAAGGGAGCAUGCAAACGUCAGGAAUUCAAACACAAAAUAGUACAAUCUUGUAUUACGACAUCUAAUAUAAAUAGAAUAUUAUUACAAUUUAAGUUACAUAAUUACCCAAAAAAAAACCAAAAUACAUAGAUGUUUUCUUAAAUUCAUGAUUCAUACAAAAGGGAACGACCUAAAUACUACUCCUGAUGUGGGUGGGAAGGACAUAUAAUUUCAUAGUUUUUUAAAUAAUAUAGUAAGGAUAAAUAUAGCUGAGAAGGAAAAAUUAUACAAUACUAGCACAUAUAAUUAAAUAAAUAUAUUCAACAGUAUCCCAUCAUACUUCUUUGAAAAUUAUCAUUUAACUUUACAUCAAUACAUUCCUAUUCAUCAUUCUCGAAACCGUUCAACAUUUUCAUUUUAUAAACAUUCAUAAAUGUAUCUCCCCUUCUCUUUUUCAUAAAAGAUACCAACAAUACUGCUUCUUUCCAAACCUGAAAAGGUCAUUGCUAACACUAAUAACUCUUAUCAUAACCUAAUUUUUAAAUAAAUAAUAAAAAUUGAAUAUAGUUGACAAUAAGAUUAUUAAAUUUAAGAGUUAAUUGAUCGAUAAUUGAAGAAUUAAAAGUUGAAAAGUUAAUUAAGGAUCAAAUUGAACAAUCCAGGAAUUAAGGACUGUUUUGUAAAUAGUGCUAUAAUUUAGGGAUUUAGGUGAAAUUAAUCCAGUGGCAAAAUUAAAAGAAUUUUUUUAUUAUUAUUAUUUGGGAUCCAAUUGUUAGAUUUCCAGAAGCAGGGGUCAAAUUGAAAAUUUCCAUUUCUGCCGAAACGGCACCGUUGCUGGGGAACAGUCGUGCGUCUUCUUCAUCCCGAUUCAACAGGGAAGCUGGAAAAUCAGCAGCAAAGCCGACCCAAUCGUGACCACGUUCUCUGCCCACAAUCCCGUUCGUGGAGGGAUAACAGUCCUGCAAAGGCAGGACUGGUUUAGGGGCAAGCUCUCUGGGCCUUAUAAAAGGCAGAGCAGAGCAGAGGCUAGGGAGACAGAAAAAAAACAGAGGAAAAACCCAGAGAAGAAAAGGGAGCAGAAGGAGACAGACAGGGGAGACGGAAAAUCAGAGCAAAAACAGAGGAAGAUCCAGAGCUAAAAAAAAACAGAGCAUAAACCCAGAAAAAAAAAUACACAGAGAGAAGGAGAGAAUAAGAGAGUAGCACAGAGAGGAGAAUUAUCCCUGCAAUUGUCUUAGUCCCUGCAGAAAAAGAGCAACCCGGAAUCAGUAAAAAAUUCAGAGAAAACAGACAUACCCAUUACCUUCUCAUCUUCUUCAUCUCAAGAACUGAGAAAUCAAAAGAAGGGAAGACAGUGGGCACAACGAGGAGAGAGAGGAAAGCAGUCGAACGAAAGUAGCCACUAGUGUUGCAGCCUUCUUCGCCAUCUCCAGAAACAGGUGCGCCCAUUCCCUUUCAUUUGCUGUGAUUCAAUAACAUUUGAGCAGUGCGCAGGUAAUUUAAAUACCUUCGCACUGUUGAUGCACGCGUGAAAUUGCUUCACGCGUGCAUCUGCCAUCUGCCCAGCCGAUCACUGGCUUGCGCCAGUGACCGGGCUGGCUGGCCCAGCCCAGCCUAAAAAAAUAAAAAUAAUAAAAAUUGUGUAAAAAAUAUAAAUAUGAAUUUAUUAUUUUUUAUUCAUUGAUGCCAGAGUCAGAAUAAAAAUACUGAUUCAAAUUUAUUUCAUUUCAUUGUAUUUUAUUUAGUUACAUAAAAAUAAAAGUGUGCAUGCAAAAAAAAAAGAUAAGAUAAAAUAAAAUAAAUUUAUUGGUUUAUUCACUGACGCCAGAGUCAGAAAUAAAAAUACUAAUGCAAAUUUAUUUUAUUUUAUUGUAUUUUACUUUUUAGCUACAUAAAUAUUUUUUGUAUGUGUAAAAAUAAAUUUAUUUUGUUUAUUCACUGACGCCAGAGUCAGGAAUAAAAAAUAUUGAUUUAAAUUUAUUUUUAUUUUAUAGCUACGUAAUAUUUAUCAACGCCAGAGUUGGAAGUAUCCGUAGUUGAAUAUUCACUAGCGCCAGAGUCAGGAAUAUUAGACGCAAACCAUCGUAGUAUAAACCAACAAAAUGUUAAUAAUCUAUGACAAAAAAAAAUCAGCAAUGCAGCCUGCCUCAAGCAGGAUGUUUAAGGGGUGAUAAUAUCUUUCCUUUUACAUAACCAAUCUCGUACCAUAGAAUCUAUGUUGACCAGUUAGGAUUCUUAGUGACCAUAAUACUAGGUGGUGACUCCUUAAACAAGACCAUUCUCAUCAAAGAAUAGGAUGCCAGAAAUCCAUUCUUUUCCAAAAACAUAAUUUUAAGGCCGCCGCGAUGUCGGGUGCGACAACUCUCAUCAGUUCCUUUAGUCGCCCAUUCCAGGAUCGAUUAAUCAAAUCCUUGGGAAUGUCAACAUCAACGUAACUUGUUGAUGUCAUUGACUAUUUCUAAACUGAAAUAAUCAAUCAAUGUUCCAUACCACCUUGGAGUAUCCUCGAAAAUACUGAUGUUAAGGAUCCUUGAUAUCAUUAGCUUUCACCUCAGGAAAGCUAAUCAAGUUUCAUGAAUUUGCCGAUAUCAAUGUCACCCGUCGAUAUCAUUAAUUAUUCUCAACCCGAAUAGUUAAUCAAGCUCAGCAUUCCUCAUCCUCUGUAAUGGUCAUGCCGAUGUUAGCAAAUCUUACUAACAUCAUUAGCCUUUUAUAUUCAGGACCGACUAAUCAAAUCCAAUGAGCGGUUAUUCGUGAAAUUCAUUAACACCAUUCAUCAUCCCCGAUCAGAUCCAUAACUCAAAUCUAAUUUUUCAUUUCCCAUUCAUUCCAUUUUAUCUUUUCUCUCGUUGGUCUCUUUUACAGGCACAAGAUUCACAAUUUAAAACAAACUACUAAAAUUACCAUUAUUUAGGGAUGGUAUACCUGCCACGGAAGCUCAGUUUGCACUCGCUUGUUGUUGUUGUACUCCUCUUGCAAUUCCUCCUGAAUCCACAAGUACAACCCAUUUUUCUAUAUUCAAAUCACAUUUUGAAAAAUAACAAUAACAAUAACAAUAACGACAACGUUUACUCUUCUUUUAUAAUUGUUUCUCUUACAUUUACGUUCCCGAUACACCUCUUAAGAUUAUGGUUCAUUAUCAAAUCCUAACGAACAAUCACAAAAUUCCAUUCCGAGUAUGGUUUAUUUCUUUACGAAUAUCAAGGCAAGACGCUAUAAAUUUAUGAAAGGAAGGAAACCGGUUUCUACCUUUGACGUGGGUAAAUUUCCCCAUUUUUGCUGAAUCUGCCAGCAGAGAUGGCAACUUGACCUCCCCUCAGAUUUUUACCUAUAUCCGGGGCUCUAGAGCUCUAAAUUAAAUAAGGUCAAACCCGUUGGAAAGCUAACAUCUCAGACUACAACUUCUAUGAAGAAGCUUUUCCAGAAUUCUAUUGUCUCCAGGCUCGAAUCCUUUUGGGAAUCAAGAUAACGAAUCUAUCUAGUUUUCAUCAAUGAGUGAAAUGUAUCUCCAAUUAUCUCCAAUACCCCUUUCCUCCUCCGAUAGAGCCCUACCCACACUAUACAUGGUAAACUUUUGUUAUGUUUUUGGUCUCUCCUUCUCUCAAUUUUGAUAGAAAAUCUAGAAUUCUCCCUCCUUUUUUUAGUGUUGCCAGGUUCUAAAGGAGGAAGAAAUGGGGUAUUUAUAAUCCCCAUUUCUUUUUAAUUAUACUUUGGCCCCAAUUCUAUCAUUUUUCAUAAUUUGGACCACCCUUUUAUGGCUUUCAAAAUUAAUAAAUUUUUUUGUAAUUAUAUUAUUUAUAUAUUCUAUCAAUUUUUUUUUGUAUGAUUUGUUCUCAGGGUUUCACAUGUAUGUUGUUUUUCAUGGGUUUUCAGGUCAAAAACUGGUUGAAAAUGGGUUAUUUGGUCCAAAUAACAAAAACCAGGUUUCUAGGUAGUUGGGCUACUGGAAACUAGGUAAGUGAAUGAUACGUCGUCUAUCUCAACAUUACAUUAAUAAAAUGACGUGUUGUUUGUUAUACUUUAUUUUUAAAAAUAAAAGACAGAUGACAUGUCGUCUGUCACUUUAAUAAAAAAAACAAAACAAAGACCAGAUGCAUGGACCUGGCCUCCAAGCACGUGGGCUUAGACUCUAGGCUUGCAUGCACAUGCUACUAGAGGGCCAGACACUAGAACUGUUUCUUUUAUGUCCUUUUUUUCCCCUAUCACGCAAAAAACUAAAAUUACUAACUGAGUUUUUUGCAGUUUUCUCUUUACACACAAAAAAAAAAUAUUGCUUUCUAACUCAAAUUUUAUAUGUAAAUCCUUAAAAUAAACAUUAUGAUAAAUUAUUUAUUUCUUAGUGAAUUUACUUUUUCUAUUUUGAUUGAAUUUCAUAUUUAUUAUUUUUUAUGUUAAUUUGAAUUCAAUCUGCUUUGAGAAUUAAACUACAUAUAAAUCUUUUAGAUGUUUUACAUAAAACAUUUUCUGAAGAGUUAAUUAAUAAACUUUUUAAGGAAAAAUUGAAAUUUAUAAAAUAUAACGAUUUUUUCAUUUAAUUUUCUUAAAACAAAAAAAAAAACCUUAUUGAUGAACGUAUUAAAUAUUAAAGAAUGUAAUUGAUAAAGAACAAGUAUUUGAGAAGAAAUUGAUAGAAAUUAUACUUCUAGUAGGUAAAAUGAAAUUAAUUCUAAGAAAAUAAUUAAUUAUCUAAUUUAUUUUUUUAUAAAAAAAUAAAAUUAGUAUUUUACUAGUAAACCCUUUUCACACUUUGUAACUUCAUUUUAGCAACUAAACUAAAUAUAUCUGGAGGUUUUACUCUAAACUCACUCGCAUUGUGGAUUGUAAUAUUUCAUUGUAAAUUUUUUUUUUCAUUUCUAUUUUUUAAUCAUUUGACUUUUUUGUUUUUAAUUUGAUCCUUUUAUGUUAGGAUGUUUUAGGGUUAGCCUUAGUGAUUUGUUUUGGUUUGCUUGAUAUUGAGUCCUCACGGUGUUAGGAAACAAAUCCAAUGCUUGGUUGAUACUCGAUUUGAUAAAUUCAAAUUCAAAUUAAAUUUUUGUUAAUUCAAAAUAAUCUAAACUUUAGGGACAAAAUUAAACCUUACACAAAUUUCCAGCCCCCCGUUUAGACUAAUUAGGGGCUAAAAGGAAAACUUAGUUGGUGCAUGAAACACAUAAGCCAAUGUGUGAGGGAAGGCCACCACGUUAUGGUGGCGUGUGUGCCGUCCUCCAAACUCUAAAGGGAUUCCCAUCAGAAUCGUCUCGAUAAUGCAUGCCUUAUAAGGUGGCACAUGUUAGCGAAAGAGCUUCGGUGUAGUUUUGACGACUCAUAAUUUUUUUCUUCUUUCUCUCCCUCUCUCUUCUCUAUUCUCUCAUUGAUUUUGUGUCUGACUCUCUCCAAAAUAUAAAAAAGGGGUUGUUGAUUGUUUUUUUUUGCCAAAUUUAAUCAUCAUUAUUUUAAUUGCUAAUUGUUUUGUUUUGAAUUCUUUUUUUGAAACGAUUUUUUUUAAAUUUUAUUCUUCAAUAUCGGAUUGGUUGAGAAUUGGACUUUGUAUAUUUUUUUAAUCCAUCUUAUACGGGGUAAUCUUGGUUUCAUGACCCGGGUUCUAGGUUAAAAAGGUUAAUCCAUGUUGAGUGGAGUCUUUUUUUUUGUCCUUUUUUUCAUUGAGUUUUUUUUCUUUAACAUUUGAUUAAUUGAGAUUUGAGUUUCGUAAUUGUUUUUUUGAUUUUUUUUCUAUAAGUUUAUCCCAGUUUCAUGACCCGGUCGUGGGUUUGGUGGGUUAACCUGAGUUGACUUGAAUCUUUUUUUAUCGUUUCUUUUAAACUAGAUUUUUUUUUAUUUUUGUCCUUUAAUAAUUGAUUGGUUAGAAAAUGAAUUUCAAAAUUUUUUCAGUUUGAUUUUUACUAGGUUAUCCGGUUCUUAUGAUCUGAGUCACGAGUUUGACAGGUUUAUCAAUGUUGACUUGAAUCGGUAUUUUUAUACUUUUUAAAAAUUGAAUGUUUUUUUUUUAUAAUUUUUUUUUUAUCUUGGGUUGAUUGAGAAUUGAAUUUCAUAAUUUGUUUUGAUGUGCUUAUUAUAAAAUUAUUAAAAUCUAAUGUCUGAAUUAUAAAUUUUAUAGAUUAAAUUAUAUUGAUUAAAAUCAAUUUAAUAUAUUAUUAUCUUAUAAGUUUUUUUAAAAUAAUAUUAUUUUCUCAAUCUUUAAAAAAAAAUGUCGCUCAUUUUUUAUUAGAUUUUGAAUUUAUAAUUAUUAUUUUUUAUAUAAAAAGCACGUUAGCAACAUUUUUAUGUAUUUAUUUAUUUUAGAAAGAAAAAUUGAUCCGACCUGGCCAAGGAUAUAGUGAUUUGAUAUGAGAUCUACAAGUGCCAGAGAAGAGCAGUCAGGACAACCAUAGACAAAAAUGUCGAUGUGUUCUUCUGAGUCUUCAUCGAGCAAAUUUUGGAUCGUGCACAGCAUUGUAGCCGGGGCUGCAAUUGCUGCUGCCAUUGGCGCUGGUGCAUAUCUGGGUCGAUACAGAAAGUUCAGGAGCCGAGUUGUUGGUAUCAUACCCGCCCGUUAUGCUUCUUCUCGGUUUGAAGGCAAACCACUUGUUAAUAUCCUUGGUAAACCCAUGAUCCAGGUACCCUUUUGCCUCCCUUUCUUUUAUUUCAUUCAUUACUUCUUUUAAAGUUUUUUCAUUUCUUGAUUUUUAGUUUUGCAUGUGAUUUUUUUGAGGUGUUAAUUCAGUGAUUUGAUAUGAGAUCUGAUAUGGGUUUUGUAUAUUUGGAUUCCUUCAGUGAUUGGUAAUUUGUUUUAUAGCAAAAGCUUACUAAAGUGCCCAUCUAACCCUUUUUUUUGGUCAACUUUCUUGUACCUUUUCUUAAGAUCUUUUUACAACCAAAAACUUUUUCAAGGGCUGUUUUGUGCGGAAUCGAGCUUGUGUGAAAUUAUUUUAAAUUAGUGUUAUCCCUUUUUACAACAUAGUUGUUGGGGCACUAUAUGUUAAGUGAUCCAGUACUGAAACAAGGAGUAAAGAUUAGCAAACAAAGGUGUUUUCAUUGAUUGAUCUUCUGUACUCAAUUUCUCAUCUUUAGAAUUAACGUGUUUAUCUUGUGCUAAAUCUUUUGAAGUGAGAUUAUUUACUUUAUCUUGUACUAAGUUUUUUGAAUUAUAGUGUACUGUUUGAUAUGGGGAAAGAAAUGGUUCUUUUAAUUUAUAAUUAAUUAAAAAUUAUAAAGUACCUCGAAAGAGAGUUCCUUUAUACUCACACUUUUAGUUGAUCAUCUACAGAGAACUUGGGAAAGGGCCAAACUAGCAAGUACACUGGAUCAUAUAGGUAAGUAACUAGCCCGAGCUCCACCUUAAUUUGAUGGGGAGCUGUUCUGCUUCGUGUAAUAUUGUCAUUGAGAAUAUCUCUAUAGAGGUGUUCCUGGAUUAAUUUAUGGAUCAAAACUAAAAUGCAUUGAGAAUCUCUAUGUUCGUUUGAUCUGGUUAGACUUUUAAUGCAUUUAGAUGCCUAAAGUCUGGCUUUGAUGUUGUGGUCGCCAUCAAAAGUGAUCUAUUAUGUGCUAGACUUGUUCGAUAACUGCUCGGUGUUAGUAGUCUUUCAUUUAUUUUUCAAUUGUGACCCAUAGAAGGGGAAAAAACUGCUUGCUACAAUAAUUGUAUUGGUGUAGAUUCUUUUCUGUGACUUGAAUGGUGUAAUGUGUUUGUUGAUGAUCUUAACAAUCUCUUUCAUAAACUUUGCCAAUGCAGUUGUGGCUACGGAUGAUGAAAAAAUUGCAGAAUGUUGUCGAGGAUUUGGUGCUGAUGUGAUAAUGACUUCAGAGUCCUGUCGAAAUGGUAGGUAUCUCAGUUAUUGUUCAAUGUAACUCGUAAUUUUUUUUUUUUUUUCCAAAGGCCGGGUAAUGAUCUUUCGUUGUUGUGCAGGUACUGAACGAUGCAACGAAGCACUUCAAAAGCUAGAUAAGAAAUAUGAUGUUGUUGUCAAUAUUCAGGGUGACGAGCCUCUCAUUGAACCUGAGAUAAUAGAUAGAAUUGUUAAAGCACUGCAGGUGAAUUUAUUUAUCUUUGUAAUGAACAUCUCUUGAAUCAUGACCAUGAGAACUGAUGAACAAAAGGUUCAUUUUUUAUCUUUAUAAAUUUUUAUAUUUUCACAAGGUUUGUUUUAAGCAACUUGAAAAAUCCUGUGAAGUGAAGAAAAUGAAUGACCUGUGCAGCUUUAAAAUCGUUUCAGAAGUUAUACUGCAUUGGUUUGAUCGUAUUGCAGUACUUGUCAUUAUUUAAUACCUUUAGUUGAAGUUUAUCAUUAUUCAUAUGGAUGCAGGCAGCCCCAGAUGCAGUGUUUAGCACUGCUGUAACUGCUUUGAAGCCUGAAGAUGCAUUCGAUCCCAAUCGAGUGAAAUGUGUGGUGGAUAAUCAUGGCUAUGCUAUCUAUUUUUCAAGGGGAUUAAUUCCUUACAACAAGUGAGUUUAUCAAGUAUUAGUUGGCUGUCUUAAUUUUCCGCACAACUCUUCAUGUCAGACUGUUAAUGAAUAUAUUUACCCACUUGAUACAGAACGGGAAAGGUCAAUACACAAUUUCCUUAUAUGCUUCAUCUAGGAAUUCAGGUAUGAAGAUGGCAUCUUUUUUGGAAGUUCUCUCCAUGUUUGAGUGAUUGCUGGGUUGUCUGCACGGGUUCUGUUUUUCAGCCACGUUGUUUGCCAUCCUGCACUUUAAUAACACUGCAUAUCAUCUGAUGUUUGAUCAGAGUUAUGAUACAAAGUUUCUGAAGAUAUAUCCUGAGCUUCGAUCUACUCCACUGCAACUAGAAGAGGAUUUGGAACAGCUUAAGGUCCUUGAAAAUGGUUACAAAAUGAAGGUAUUAUAAAGAACUUCUACUGUUACUCUACCCCCUUGACUGGCUUGUUUUAUUUGAAACUUCUUGCAUAAUAGUUUUAACAUUGCAAGGCUUUCUCAAAGCUGUUAUUUGUUUCUCUUACAAUAUGGUCUAGGCCCUAGACUAGGCUGUUUCGGUAAUGAAAGCAAAAUAUUUCUUUUGGGUGUUACCCUUUGAAAUGGAAGAAUCUUUCCCAUUUUUUGUAUUCUUCUCUUGUAAAAACUUUGUUUGGAUAGAAAAUUGAAGCCAAUUUGAUUUUUAAAUCGUAUUGAGCGUUAUUUUCAAAGGAAAAUAGGAAGAGAAAUUUGAAAUAAAACGGUCGAUUAAUUUUCUCUAAUCUUUUUGCUAUUCUACUUAUCCAUUAUCUCAUGUUAGAUGCCUUCUUCUCUUCUCUUUAUUUUUUCAGGACCACUGUAUAUUGUUCACUUCCUAAGAAAACUGCAUGUAUUUUCAAAUGUUAUUAUCUAAAAAUUAGGUUUUUGUUUUCCUUUUCCAUAUGAAUGAAUUAGAUUGUGCUUGCUAAAAUAUCAAAAUUUAGAACUGUACACAAAUUUUGCAGGUGAUAAAAGUUGACCACGAGGCACAUGGUGUCGACAUUCCAGAAGAUGUUGAAAAGUUAGAAACUUUGAUGCGUGAGCAAAGCUUUUCUUAGUUCAAUACUAACUAUGCCAAAGGUUAGUUUUUAAGAUGGAUAGGGUUGUAUGCGUGUUUAAUAAACAGGUCCAAUAUACAGUUCAAUACUAACUAUGCCAAAGGUUAGUUUAGAAGAUGGAUUGGGUUGUAUGCGUGUUUAAUAUACAGGUCCAAUGGAUAGGGAUGUCAAGUAGGAUGCUGAUUAUUGGUUGCACAAGCCAGUUUUUAAUAUUAUAGUUAUAUAGUGCAAUGCUAUUCUUUAUAGGUUCAUUUACUUUUUGAUUAAUUUUUUGUGUUACCAAGUUCAGUGAACUAUUAUGCGGCAACGAGUGCCUGUAGCUAUAACAGAAGAAGUGGGGAUAGCUGAAGUCUUUGUUUUUGUUAACUGUAGCUCGUUCUUUUUUUCUAAAUAUAAACCCUCUCAAUUUAUUCACAUUGUUUAUCUGAGCCUUAUAAAUAAAAAGAAUUAAUGGCUCAAUGAUCCUUCUCAACAUCAUGUGUUGUAGUAAAGUACACACUGGGUUGAGAUUACUAGGUUGCAUUAGAGAUGAAUGGUGGGUUUUCAACUCAUCCUCUGUGUGAUUUAAACCAUUCUCUCUAAAAGUUACUGGUUUUGGACCUAAACGUUGUCUUCAGUAGAAAUAGGGCUCGGGUUGCCUUCUUUAACACUGCUUUUCUACAGUGGAAUCUCUGAUGUUCAUGUUCAUUAAACAAAAUAAAAAAAAGAACCCCAAAUAAACUGUAUCGAAGUUGUUAGUGUCCCAUCAAGAUUUAGUAGGUUAGAUGGGCACCGAGCUGGCUAGAUCUUAAUGCCAUACGGUCCAGACCUGUUACUUUGUGGACAUCGUUUGUCAUCUCAAUGUUUUCCAAAUAGAAAGUUUGACCAGGUAAGAGCACUAGCUAAGGCAAAGUAGAGAUGAAGGGCACAGAAAAUCAAUCUACACUAGUGUCAAUAUCAAUUCAUGCUUUCAGCAACAGAAUAUUUGAGAUGAACUUCGUACAUUAUUUUCUUUUCCUCAACCCUGACAUGGGUAAUCUACAUAAUUUCACAAGAUCAACUUGCUCGAAGGAAAAAGAAAUAAAUAAAAUCAUCAGGCCAGUUUCUGGGCUGACUGCUACUGAGAAGUGGAGUAGCUUUAACGUUAACAUCUGGGAAGAUCAGCUGGUGGAGGAAGCAGUUUCUGAUUGGGAAGCUUUCCAUCCAAGACAAUACAAGCCAUCUUCAAUCACUUGAUUGUCCUGCAUAAUGAGCUCCAAGCUUGGUGUUAAAGGAAGCACAACCAGCCUGGUUCCAUUGCUCACCAUAGUGUUGUUUGGUGGGUUUCCAGUUUAAUUAAAGGGAGUUAGCGAACUGAUUGGAAAACUAGGAUUGUAAACACACUUUAAUUGACCAAAAUGGUGGGUUGGAGCAGAGCUGUAGUUGGCAUUGCAAAUGAAACAUUGUUCACUAAACCUUCAAACAUUGUUCCAUUUGGUCCCUGACAGGUUUGAGUUUGAGGACAUGGGUUUGUACCAAGACGCACUGUGAAGAAAAACUGCCCGUGGGCCUUUUGUGGCACGUUGGCAGGGAAUUCCGCACCAGCUAAGCUACGAAGUUUGCUUGUAAAAUUUGUCGCAAAUGAAGUGUCAUUUAGAGGUGGUAGAUCUGCUUUAUAGAGAGUGAUUUUAUUUUUUAUUUUUUUAACUGAGUAGCUUGUUUGAAGGGUUUUGGAUGACACUUCAUGUUCUAAAAAGCCAGCAACAGUUGAAUUGUCAAAAAUACCUUGUCCUGUCGCAUAAGGUCUAGCAGUCAUAACAGGAGCAUCAAAUGGUUUGACAUAAACAGCAUCAUCUGCAACCACUGUGAGUGUAUGGCUUGCUAUGCUCAUCAUCGAGUGCAGCGCUGAUCAGGCGAAGAAGGCAAGUCUUCCCAGGCUUUACCUUAAGCUUGAAAGCAUCUGUCAAGUGCCAUUUGUAUAACGUAGAUGAGAGAAACAUCCGCACGUAAACGCUUAAUUUUUUUAUAGCCAUAAUUUAGAUACUUGCACGACAAACAUUUGGCAGAGCAGUUAUAUAAUGGCUCUGGAAAUCCGUUGAUAGUAUAAGCAUCAGACAGAUUUGGCCCCCCACCUGUUUGCAUUGCCUGGUUUAACGAUUGCCUCUGGAUCUGCUUUGAACCACUCUCUUGCAAUUUGUAUUGCAUUAUUGUUUGUGUUAGCUGAAAUAGGACUACCUCCACCGGAAAAAAAGAGAGUAAAUUUCAAUUACCAAAGAUGAUUGGAACAUUCAUGUAAGGUUUAGCAAAUGGACUAGUGCCGUGGGACGCGCAUCAAAAGUCUAAGUCCAAACGAGUCAAAUGAGGUUUAGCUUAUUUUUGGAUUAUUAAGAUAUUAUUUAGAACUUUUCAAUUCCGAGUCUCUAUAGUAUAUGAGUGCAAUUAAGAUAUUAUUGGUAAGAGCCUGGGACCAAGAGGUUUGCUCUCUCUGUGGUCUCAGGUUCGAGCUCUGUGGUUGCUCAGAUGAUGGCCACUGAAGGCUUACAGGGUCGUUAACUUUAGGGCCCGUGGGAUUAGUCGAGGUGCGCGCAAACUGGUCCGGACACCCACGUUAAACUAAAAAAAAAAAAUGAGUGCAAUUAUAGUGCUUGAGAAACCCUAACUUUCAAUCUUCCAUUAUAAGUUGCAUUAAUUGGAAUUAGAGCGGGUUGACUUGUUUGAUGGAUAAAGGUGUUGGUAACAUAUUUCCACCUGAAGUGGAGGCCUUCUAGGAUGUUACGAGGGCUCGAGAGGCAACAUGGAAAGUACUGACACAUAAAUUUGAUUGGUUGGACAGGGGGAGGCCCAACAAGGGAAUGUGUUGAGGAGAGGGACGUGCCUAGAUAAUUACCUCAAGAAAGACCAAAGCCCGUAUUUAUUCCUACAAACUCAUAUAGGCAUCAUGUCAAUAAGAAAGUGGUAUUUUAUGAUAGAUGAUACAUUGAAGACUUAACUUGCAGCUAACCUUUUCAUAGAUGUAAAAAAAUCAAUAUUAUUUAAAAGAGGCCCUCUAAACUUUCAGUUUGUUUGUAAGAGUUGAAAGCAUAUUUUCAAUUGAAGAAGAUUCCUAGUUAUCAGAAAGGUAGGAUUUGAUCCCUUAAUUUUUAUAAAUUUUCAGUUUGUUCCCUCAAUGUUUAGAAAUUUUUAGUUUUCAAAUUGAUUUUUAUGAAUAAUUGAGGUUUAUUGACUUGUUUUGUUUUGAAUUAAAAUUUUAGAAACCGUUUGAUUUUUGGUUUUUUUUUGGAAAAAAAUUGUUUGGUUCCUAAAUAUAUAGAGUUAUGAGUUAGACCCUAGGAUGAACGUAUUAAAUUGACUUUAUGUUCCUUUCAAGUUUGUUUUGAGCAUGUCUUCUUUUGUAUUCAAAUAUUCCUGACAUUCCACAUAAGUAUAUUAAUAGAAUUUCUUUCAGCAUCUGCUUAUGUGUUUGUUUUGCUUUUGUGUUAAGCGAGUAGAUAAUAUUUUACAUGUAUGAGAAAUAAUAUAAACUAGCUAUGUGACCCGCGCUUCGCCGCGGGUCAAAUAUUUUUAUUUUUCAUAAAAAAAGAUAUAUGCAGGUUGUUUUCAACGUAUUUUUGUGGUCAAAAAAUGUAACAAAUCAAAAAGUUUAUGCACACAUGUAAUCAAAUAAACUAACAAUUAUGUAAGCUAAUAGAUAAAUAAAAAAUCAUUAAUGACACCUAAAAACAAAACCUGAAAAACUGAGAGACAGAUGUAGAUCAAUAUAUUUAAUCUUGAAAAAUAUGACAUGAAAUUGAUUGAAUAAUAAAAAAAAGAAUAACAUGUAAGGUUACACAUAUUAAAAAUAUUAUCUGAAAAUAAAUAUUUUGUAUUUUCAAAAACAUAGUUUAUCUAUAUAAAAGAUAAAAACAAAACCUUAGAUGAACAAGAAAACCUUUAUGAAAAUUAAACGCAUAAGAAAAAAAUCAAUAUUAUUUAAAAGAGGCCCUCUAAACAAAAUAAAAGAGAGGAGGUUUUUUCUAUUUUUUUAGUUUUUAGUUUUUUAAUCGGUCAUGCCAUUUUAUUUCUUUUCAAUUGCAUUCUUUAAAGUUAUAUUUUUAUGGCAACCAUGUCAGAUCCAAGGUGCUUGGCGCUUGGGUCUGGCAACCAUGCCAGCAACAGCGAUGCGUUGCCUGUUUUGCCUAAAUUCCGGUCAGUGUGGUGACUGAAAAAGCAGGGCCUAUGCUCUUAUGACCCAAAAACCUGUUUUGCAAUAUGUUUUUGACCCAAAACACCUAUAAAACACUAUAGAAAUCAUAAUAAACCCAUUCAUGACCUUUAAAAAAAAAAUCCAAAUAUCCGCCCUAAAACCAAAUUUAACCCAAAAUAAAAAAUUAACCCGAGUUCAAAUCUAUUUUUCACAAACUUUUAAGGUAUAAAACACCUAAUAUGACUCCCCUCAUCAAAUGGAACAAUUUGACACAAAAAUCCCUUAUUUUAGUGGUCUAAAUCGAUGCCAACGACAAGUUUCACUCUCUACCGCUAUAAUUCGACGACUCCCCUCUCCCUUCUCUCUCAACUAGAGACAAAAAAUUAACAAAAAUAAACUUCUGCAUCAAAAUAGAAUUCGAACAAUUUUGAGGGACCGAAAUUGUAUAAUCUGUUUAACUCUUUACCGCUAGAAUCCGACGACUCUCCUCUCGCUCCUCUCUCAACCAGGGAUAAAAAAUUAACAAAAAUAAACCUCUGCAUCAAAAUAGAAUUUGAACAAUUUUGAGGGACUGAAAUUGUAUAAUCUAUGUAAUUGUUUAAGUUGGAGGACCAAAGUGAAUGUUUCUGAAAUUUAUGGUACGUCACCCAUGUUUGCCCCGUGUUUCAUUUCGGUCCCUCCUCUUCGAAUCCUAUCAUUUUAUAAGAAUUUGAAAUCAAUUGCUCCUUAAAUAGGACUUGAUCGCCCAAAAACAAAGUUUGAUGACCAAACUGAAAAAAAAACAAAUUUUUGCAUAGUGACAAAUGUACAGUGAAAAUACACCGCGUUUUGCUUUAUUGCCCGUGUUACGUAACAUGCAUGAUGAAUUAUUUUUAGCAAAUAUAUAAACCAUUCAAACAUAAUAAAUUUCUAAAUAUUUUUGUCAUAUAAAGCUCCAAGUGCAUGUAAACAAAGCAAGCAAUAGCAAUAUUAUAAAACAUUUUUUAAUCCGAGAAUUAAUUGAGACACAACGUUGCAUGAAGGCCAAUCAAACAAAAGACAUAAUAUUUAACAAAAUGACCAUAGUGCAACAAAAAGGUUGCAUGGAGUUUGUUUCAACAAUUAUAGUCCUAGAGUAGGCAAAAAGUUAUAGCAACCAACAUGACAUUUAGCAAAAUGAUCAUUGUGCAGGAUGUUGUCUUCUUGAUCUCUCGCUGUUCCUGCAAUAAAAUGGAGGGUAGAAGAAGUGGGUAAGUAUCAUAUGAUUGAAUAUAUACAUGUAGGGUCAAGCAACAAAAUGGAUGAGAUAAUUAGUUAACAAAAUAAGAACGUGGAUAGAAAAUUAAGAGCAUCACCUUAGCAGGUAUAGAAGAAAUGGGUCGUUGUUUCUUAAAAACCGGUUCCGCUGGAUUGUUAUCUCCUAUGAAAUAAUUAUUUUCUGAAAUGUAUACACAAAAGCUACUCAUCUUUUUUUUUUUUUUUCGUUCAAACCAUUCUUUAACCCUGACACAUGAUCCUUUUGUCAAAUGAUAGCAGUUCUUUUCACUAUACCAUAGCAAAGUGAAAGAUAACAAAUCAAAUAACAACCAUAACAACUAGGAAAACCAACAAGCAAUGACCAAAAGAAUAGAAGGUUGGGAAAAUACAUCAACCAAUUUUAAAAAACACACGACAAACUAAAUUAACAAAAACCAAAUCCAGCAAAACUCAGAGAGAAACAAACAUGGAAAAUCAACGAAGACGAAAUGCAAUGUAACUAUGAAAGCAUGAAAACUGUGGCCAACACAAAGUAAAGGAUGCAAAAACAUGGCAACCCUCGAAACAACAAUACGAAAAUAGAAAAAGAAAGUCAAUCAAAUAGUACAUAAAGUGACAACACAACAAACACACAUUAACAAAAAAGAGCAAAUCAAGCAAGUUAACAAAACCAAACAGUAAGGAAAGGACAAACCUUUUAUAACUCACCAAGAGAGGAUAUAAAGGAUCCAAUACCCCUAUACAGAGGAUCCAAAACCCCCAGAUUAAAUGUCAACACCUCAAGAAAUCAUCUAAUCAGAUUCAGUCUGCUCCUCUAAAGACCAACUACCCAGCCUAGCAUCCACUGCAUUAAAUGUAAAAUCCUCAUCGCAAGCCACAUUUCUCUAAGCCUAGACUCACAACCAAUUGAACGCCAUCCUGGAAAUCAAACCCCACAACUAGAGCUCUUACAAACCGACAGAGCUGACAACGUGUCACGGAUGGAAACAGAGAAGAUAGGAACUAACAAGGGAAAAGAGGGAUGUAAUUCAAAUCAAGCAUAACGAUUAUGUUUUACGAAAGCAGGAUUUAAUUCAAACAUAGUUAAACGAUUGUGUUUCACACAACCCGGUUAAAGUCACAAAUAACAAGAUAGCCACGUGUUGAGGUCAGGCAUCUUGUAGAAGAGAAUAGAUGUUUUUGGGUUCUUUAAAUACCCUAAGAAUUAUAACAGAUGGUUAUGACAUUUUAUAUAAUAGAAAUCCAAUAUUCUCUCAUUCCUUUCUCUGACGUGUUCCUUGGAAAUCCAUGUAGAGUGCAUGAACACAACCUUCUUCUCUUCUUCCCAACUCUUUCCUUCUUCACCAUUAUACUCAGCAUACGCUAGUUAAUCUUACACGCAGCACAACACCCAGCCAACCUGAGCCAACACACACAAACUAACCAAAAUCAAACCUUGCCACAACCAAAUCAAAAGCACACAGAUAAGAAAAAAAAAACAAAAUGAAGGGCAAAGAAAGCUCACCUGACCAACCCCCAAACAAAAAGCAAGAGAAAUAGCUGCCAACACCCCUCUAUUCUAGCUGGACCAAGCUAGAUCUAGCCACCAUGAGGCCUGGGAGAACGAAACAAAACCAUGAGAAUAUAGCCAAGACCAAACCACCCCCAAGCCUUACACAUCAAUAGCCGCGAAGCCAAACCAACCAUGCCCACAACGGAGAGGGUCUAGGUCAAUAGUACAAAAAAGUUCUUUCCCCACACAGUAUACUCUUGCCACACAUAUCAUAAUUGAAAAAUUGGAAAACACUGUGGACCUGAACAGUUUUUUCCCUCACCACAUCAUGUCUUUCCUCGAGAAAGAGGAAAAACAUUGUGGACAUGCACAAUGUUUUUCCCCACCAUACAUAAGGAGAGAAUGGGAAAAACAUUGUGGACUAGUGCAAUGUUUUUCCCAUGCCAUUUAGAUUAUAAGGUAAUAUUUGAAGAGUUAACAUGAACUGGAUCAUGCUUCUUGAUAAUAUAUAUUGAUUAUUAGCCUUUGUUAUAAUAAAACAUGAUCAUUUGUUGAAUCUGAAUUUUGGAUAUGAGAUAUAUAUGUGUACGUUUGAUUUAAUAGCUCCUUAUUUGAUUGAUGUUAUGAGUUGAGCUUGGGAUAUCAUUCUAUUUGUUUGAUUGUGAUAUGAACCCUUGGUAUACCAGUCAUAAUACCAAUAUUUAUAGGGUAGUGUUAGUCUUUGUGCACAUCGUAUCUAAACCCUAGUUGGCCAGGGGAGUCACCAACCUAUGAUGACUAAUUAUCCCACAAUCUGAAGCAUCAUACUCAUUGUAUUUUGACGAGUCUUACGUUAUGACAUUUUUUGUUAUGACGUGUAUGCGAAACUCUUUUGUCAAAGCAUAAGCCAAACUUGUAUAUAUAUUCCCCAUUAAUGUAUUACCUUGUAUGUGUAUAUUGAACAUUAUCUACUCACUAAGUUAUUGAACUCAUUCUCUCGUCAUUUAUCAUUUUCAGGCAUAUAGCUUGGUGGUAGGUCACUUUUUUUGAACUUCAGAACCUGAAUUUUGUUGUUGUUGUUGUUGUUGUUGUUGUUGUUGUUGUAAUUAACAUUAUCCAGUUAUAUCUAGUUAGUGCUCCACAAUUAUAGAAUUUGUAUUAACUUUUGUAUUAUGACGAUCAAUUUAUAUUAUUAAGAUAGUUUUAUUAUUAAUGUUGCAAAGAAAUUUGUUUUGUUUAUAUAGGUGAAAAAGUUUGUAUGUUUGUCUAGGUUCGUAUUGGUAAAGAAAUUUUGAGGGAGUCCUUAUUUAUGUGCCGGUCAUGAAUCCGGGAAUCGAGUCGCGACAAGUUGAGCCAUUAAUAAAAUAGUUUUAUAACUUAUUUUUAGAUUAUUAAGAGAUUAUCCAGCUUGAUUAUUUAAAAGUUUUUUUUUUUGGUAAUUUUUAAGGUUUGAAAAACCCCAUCUUUUUAUCUUUUACUAUACUUUGCGUCAAUAAAGAAAGCCGAGUUUGGGAAGAAUAAUCAAGCGACCAUAGACCGUUGAUCUUAGGCAUGUUAUAUGGCCAUGCCACCAAAAAGUGCCUGUUUGUCCUGCAAUGGUGCAGUUAUAUACAUAGUUCUGUCCACAAUCCACCGGCUUCGAAGCUGCCGAAUUCCAUGUAUCAGUGAAAACAUACAUAGAAAUUUAGAAUUUGCCUUCUCAAAAACAGGUUGACUAUUUGGUGAAAUUGUAAAAAAAGUCCGUAUAUUUGUACCAGUGGAUAAAGAUAUUGUUUUGGACAAGGUUAGCCACUUUAAUAAGAAGACGAUCACAAACCCUCCCCCCUCCCCAGCUACAAUGCCAGGCCCUGGGAGAUUGACUGCUACUAUGCUCAGGUGGGACAAAGGCAUGUCACAUUUUAAACAUAACCUGCAAAAUUUUAUUUUCUUUAGACUGUUAAAAAUAACCUGCAUCUUGAUAGCUGAUAUACUAAAUUGUCAAUAGCGUCAGAAACAAAUAUAGAAAACAUUUUUUUUUUUUCCUUUGAAGUUCAAAUUUGAUGUGUGUGACAAUAUUAGCUUGAUAAUUUUAGGUGCCAAAGCUGAAGGACAUAACGUAUCAUUAAGCUUGUAGUGCCUGAUAAUGGCAAGUGUAGGCUUAGGAUGGAGGCACAAACUACAAAUGAUUAAAAAAAAACCCUGCCAAAAUGCUGGUGAUGAUGGAAGAAGAGAGACCCACAAUUUUUUUUUUCUGUUUUUUCUUUCUGGCCAGGUGCACCAAUUUGUGAAUUUUGAAUUGUUGUUUUUAUACUCAAAGGUACUGUUAUGAGCAGUAUAUAUAGAGUGUUGAAAGAAAAAUAUUGGUUGAUUAGGCGAUAGACAUUGUAUAUUUUAAAAUGACAAAACUAAAACAGGCUUCAAGAAUCAUGUGUCCUUGUACAUAUUUUCAGUUUAUUAACAUCCUCAAUUCUAAAUCCUUCCAUGCAUUUCUUGUCUUUGGCUAAACAGACUUCCAUUUACAGCAAGAGAAAUGGAGCGUUGAAUUUAGCAAACCGUAUCGGCAUGGAUGCCUGGUAGGUCAGACUUCCCUUAAUGCUUGGCGAUAAAGCUAACAAGUAACCAAAGGCUGCUAUCAAACAAGUCAUUUCAGUGUUAGAUGUGCUAUGGUUUUUCUGUUGUUUUUGUUCUUUUUCUGUGUCAAAGAAGUCAUUGUUGAUUCGCGGGGGAUCAAAUAUUUUGUUUCUCAUUAAAUCUCACAAAUCCAUAGCCAUGGCCACUUCUGUUGGGGUUCUUAUUAAUGAAGGCAUCAGCCAGACCGCUGUACGAAGAAAAAUCAUACCAUAAGUCAAGAGGCUGGACAUCCUAUGGGAAGUUAUCAACAAAGAAGGAUAGGAUUUGAGAGGGAGACAUGGGAGCAAAGAGGCAGAGAUGGAUUGACCAGAGGAAUAGGUUAAGGUUGGCUAAAAAGAGUAGGGAGUGGUGGAGGAUUGUAAAUGAUGGGGGAGCAUAAGACUAGAGAAAGAAAGCUGUCAUUGAGGCACUAAAGGGUAAACACUUUAAUAGGGAUUUGGAUUGGAGAAACAAAAGGGAUCUGAUGCAUGUAGGCUUGUAGCUUUGGAGUGGUGGCCUCGGAAGAAAGGCAAACGAUCCCAGAUAUAAAAAUUGUGAUAUCUGGAGUUCUUGUAGUGUUAGCUCAAUCCUUUGUUUUAAAAAAAACGAAAAGAAUAGCGAAAUGUUUACUUGCAUUAAAAAGAAACAGAUACGUUCGUUUCCUUUCCUCAACUCAAACAGGGUAAUCAGAAUAAUUUCAGAGCUUUAAUGCUCAGAAAUGGGCAAGGAAAUAAACUGGCUGGUUACCAAAAAAAAAAGUCAUCAAGGAUUUUCUGGUCUCAAUGUAGUUAAGAAGUAGCCAAAAGCCUUGAAUUUCAACACUUAGGAAGAUCAACUGGUGGAGGAAGCAGCCUGUGAUUCGGAAGCUUUCCAUCCAAGACAACCCAAGCCAUCAUCAAACCCCAGCUCAUGUGCAAUUCUACAUGACAAUGCAGGAACCAUACACCUGAUGACAGCCAUCAUCCACAUCGAACAAGUCAGGAAACCAUGGUAUUACUACAUGAAUUUAAUUAUCUAAGCUAGGAUAUUACUUAGCAUUAUAUACUUUUAAUUAAUUACCAACCUGGAUUGUCUGCUAAAAACCGUAUAGCAACCCAGCCUCCAGAGGGCACUCCCACAGUAUUCCUUUCAACGGGGUCGACAAGAUUGAAAUUUGCAGGAUCCUUUUUUGGAUCAAAGUUCCCAAAACCUUGACCAACAACAAAGAAAUUGAAACCAUGCAAAUGAAGAGGGUGGCUCUCAGCACCAAGGAUGCUGGUGUCCUGCAUAAUGAGCUCCACGCUGGUGUUAAAAGGAAGCAUAACUAGCUUUGUUCCAUGGCUCACCAUAGUAUUGUUUUGUGGGGUGCCGGUAUAAUCAAAAGGGAUUAGUGGACUGAUUGGAAAGUUAGGACUGUAAACGCCCUUUGAUUGACCAAAAUGAUGGGCUUCGAGUAAAGCUUUGGUCGGCAUUACAAAUGAUACAUUAUUAACUGAAGCUGCAAACCUUGUUCCAUUUGGUCCCUGGCAGGUUUGGUUUUUAGAGCACGGAUUUGUUCCGAGGCCUACGGUGAAGAAAAAAUGUCUGUCGACCUUUUGCGGCACAUUGGCUGGGAAUUCUGCGCUUGCUAGGCUGCGGAGUUUGCUAGUGAAAUUUGUAGCGAAUGAAGUGUCAUUUAGAGGUGGUAGAUUUGGUUUAUAGAGCGGCAGUCUCUUAGAGGUGUGGCUUGAUUGAAUUGUUUUGCGUGCAACUUCAUAUUCUAAGAUUCCAGCAACAGUUGAAUUAUCAAAAGUUCCUUGACCAGUCACGUAAGGUCUAGCAGACAUGAAAAAUUUGGCGUCUGGGUGGUGGGGCUUGGUCUUUAGAAGAACAUCUGUGGUUUGUCCUGAGGCAAUCAGAAGUGUCUCGGUAUCAAAUGGUUUCACAUAAAUAGCAUCAACACCAACAACUGUGAGUGUAUGGUUUGCUAUGCUGAAGAAGAGCUCCUCAUUGAGUGCGGCAUUGAUCAAGCGAAGAAGGUAAGUCUUUCCUGGCUUUACCUUCAGCUUGAAAGUAUCUGUCAAGCACCAUGCACACAAGGUCAAUGAGAGAAAAAAAAAAAUGCUCUGUAUUGUUGUAGAAGGCCUGCUGCGCUAACAUAUUAUACUUUUGGCAGAGCAGUUAUACAAUGGCCCUGGGAGUCCAUUGAUAGUGUAGGCAUCAGAGACAUUUGGGCCUCCACCCGUUUGCAUUGCCUGGUUAAUGAUUGCCUCUGGAUCUGCAUUGAACCACUCUCCUGCAAUUUAUUUUGCAUUAUCGUUUGUGUUAGCAGACAUAGGACUUCAUCAACAGGGAAAACAAAUGAUCGGAACUUCCUUACUGUAGAUUACCAAAGAUGAUCGGAACUUCCUUGUCAGGUUUAGCAAAUGGAUAAGGAGUGCCGAGUUUGGGAAGAAUGAUAAGUGGACCGUAGAGAGUUGAUCUUAACCAUGAUAUAUGGGCAUGCCACCAAAGAGUGCCUCUUUGUCCUACGAUGGUGUAGUUGUACACAUAGCUCUGUCCAGUUUGUAUAGGGCACUGAGUUACGUAUGCCGGUCCAUCAGCCCACCCACUUCGAAGCUGCCGAAUUCCAUGCCUGUAUCAAUGAAAUCGUCGACAGAGAUUUAGACCCAGCUUUUCGAUACAAGGCUCACUAAAUUUAGAGAAAAUUGAAGGAGGUCAGUCAAUAUAUAUGUACCAGUGAAUAGAGAUAUUGUUUUGGACAUGGUUAACCACUUUAAUAAGAAGACGAUCACCCUCCCUAGCAACAAUACAAGGCCCAGGGAACUUGGCAUUGACUGUUACCAUGCUCUUGGUGUGGCAAAGGCGUGUCACAUUUUGUAACAGAACCUGCAAAAUUUCAUUUUCUAUAGACCGUUAAAAACGAGGUUAAAAAAGAAGAAGAAGAAGAAGAAGAAGAAGAAGAAGAAGAGAGAAAAUUUGAACAAUUUUAUGUACUUUCGACAAAGUCAUGUAUGUAACACAUACAUCAAAUUUGUAGUGCCUGGUAAUGGCAAUUGCAGGCCGAGGAUGGACAAACAAAGUGACAAAAGAGGAGAGAAAAACCGCCAGAGAUGCUGGUGAUGGAAGAAGAUAGACACCCAUUUUUCUUGUCUGUUUUUACUUUCCAACAAGGCUAGAUGAUGCACCAAUUUGUAAUCCAUGAAAUGCUGUUUUUAGCUAUAUGUUCAUCGAAUCUUAGAGAGUAGCAUAUAUCAUUAAGGAAUCAGAUUGUGAUGUUUAAUGGCAAAUCCACACUUGCCGUUAGCUAUUAAAUUCAUACUUAAUGACAUUUAUUUCUAGAAUCUCCAAUCUUGCUGCGAAGAUGGCAACCUAGCUACUCCUUGAAUUAAAUUUACCAAUAAUACUUCUUAUACUCCUGUACAAUGAAUGUCUAAGUAUUAUUUUGAUUGAGAAAAUUUUAAUUUUUGCAAUAAUGUUUUAUUAUCUAGUUUUUAUGUGAAAGUCUUAUUAAUUAAAAUCCUUGAUCUCAUUUGGUUAAACAUGCUUCGCUACAAUCUAACAAGUAAUGUUGCAAUCAGAAAUAAAAGGAUAAACGAGAUUUAUUAUAAUUUAAAUUAUUCAAAGACUAAAAAUACUGUAAUUAUAGAGAGACAUAAAAGAUAUUUAAUUUUUAUUUAUUAAAGUCUUCUUUACCUUUGUAUAAUUAUGAAAAAUCUCUGCUUGCAAGUGAAAGGCAAGUUAUUACUUGGAAGUUUAUGAAAAUAUAAAUGUCAGGAUUGAGUGUUGUGUUAGAGAAUAAUAUAGAUCAUAACUUGAAAUCUCACUUAACAGCUUAUGCUUUUGGGUUGAAUUAAUUCUUUGAUAUGAUAUCAAAGCCUUGAUGAUCAAGCGUUCACGAGUUUGAAUCUCACCAUCCCUAUUUAUUUGAUAAAAAAAUAAGCAUAAGGUGGUAUAAGUUUAUGCAAGUUUUAAGCCCAAAGGGCUUUCACUUGAGAGAGUGUGUUAAAAAAUAAUAUAAAUUAUAUCUUGAGACCUCAUCUAAUAGCUUAAGUUUUCGAGUUGAAUUGGUUCUUUGACAUGUUGAAUAUGAUUUUAUUGAUUUUGAAUUUUAUUUACAAAUUUUCCUUUCAAGGGAAACUGGAUCUUAUUUGUUUAUAAAGUAUAGUUGUUUCAAGGAAAUGUUUGAUUGUUUCUAGUAAAUAGUUUUGAUGCAUGAGAUUAUAGGAUUCUUAUAUAUUAGCUGGUUGUGUUUUUCUCAUGAGGAAUGAGUUGAUGCAUGCCUCUUGAAUUCAUUUAUUUGUUAAAUUUGGAAGAUAACAUCAUUUUGUUGAUAGGAGGAGGGGAGGAUUGUUCAAUGAGAGGAUUGUUCAAUGAGUCUAGGGUACUUGCUUAAGGAACAUGCAUCACCAAUCUUAACAAACCAAGAUCAUGAUUUAUGGUCUAGGAGAUAAAUGAACAACCUAAAAUAAUCUUUAUAGUUGCUUAAAACUUGUUUAAAAUAACUUUUACAUAUGAUUGGAUUAUAAAAUUGUAAAAUUGCACACUCUUAAAAGUACCCCUUAUAAAUAUAAUACAAAAAAUUGUAUUAUUUUAUAUCACUAUUUAGAAAAAUAUUAAUAUUAAUACUAGAUUUAUAAGAAUUUGCUUUAAAAAAAAAAACAGAUCCUAAUACAUUACCUUUAUGAAUGAUAUAAUUGAUCAUAAACUACAUUAAGAAAGGGUUUGAAAUUUUCAAACUAUGAUGCUAUAUAUAUAUAUAUAUAUAUAUAUACACUUCCUGUUUACUAUUUAAUCUGUUAUCUGGUAUCAGAGCCUAUUGGGAUCUGGGUGGGAAUAGUAACAUAAAAGCCAGUAUUCUUAGAAAGAACAAGAGACCAUUAGACUAUAGGUAUGCAACUGAAUGGUGUAAGUCCCGUUUGAGUUUUAGGGCAAUAAAUCCAUAUAACCUGCAGCCUGUUUCCUAGUUUAUCUUUCCUUUCUAUGGAUUCCGUCUUUCACAGGACUACUUCUCUUUCGGCUUCCUCUACCUCUGAAUCUUCUGAAAGCAGAAGAAUAGUACAAAGUGAAGAGAUAACUAUUGAAGACUUUACAAAAAACAUUGAUGACUGGAAAAUUCCAAAAAUUUCCCAAACUCAGAUUUAUCAAAAAUCUAAAUAUGAUAUUUUCAAAACAGAUUUUACUAUCAAAACUGAAGAGCGAGAUAUUCAGCUUACCAAACCUUUUGAAACCAUUCAACUCCUCUCUCAAAAAUCCUUACAAAAACAUCUAGCCCGAAACUAUAAAUAUAUUCAUGUUGGCCUUGUCCAGGUUGGAAUAAAACCCCUUACAAAAGAAGGCUUAAACACCUCCAUUCUAGCUGUCCUCCGUGAUGCUAGAUUUCAAAACUUCCAAGACUCCCUCCUCAGUUCUAUUGAGUCUAGCCUUUGCAGUGGGCCGGUAUCAUUUGACUGUUAUCCAAACAUAACCAUAUCCCUCAAAGACAAAAAUAUCUUGCAAAGUAUGCUACUUCAAAUAAAGACCCACAACUAUGACAUGCUCGAAGGAUCUAUCCCUGUUGCUCUCAUAUUCAAAAUCCAUUACAAAGCCAUGUUCUCAGCCUUUGCCAGCAAACAUAAAUUCCAAUCUAAAAAAGGCGAAACACUCCUACUACAAACAGAUUUAUCCCGCUCAAACACUGUUGUCCCAAAAGCAAUCCAAUGGAAAGACAUAUCCCUACCAGAAGAUUGGAUCCUUGAAGGUGCAGCACCACCAGAACUACCACCACCACCUCAACCCAAUGUCCAAAUUAAAAACAUUACCCAAUAUACAGAUGGAAAAGUCAAACUGUCUUUCCACCGACACUCUACAAGUUCCAGAUUCUCAGAAGCCUCUUCCUCUUCCAGUACAAUAGAUUUGGGAAGAAUUUCCAAAAUCCCUUCUGUUAUCAAUAUCCCUUAUCACGAAAACCUUCCAAGAAAAUCUACAUCCGAUAUCCCUUCUCCUAGUUUCCAAAAUGCAGACUAUACUACAAGUAUACCAAAACCUGUCUAUACAAACCUUGAGCAACCAUCUCCUCCAACUUCACCGACCUUUUCAGCUAUUACUGAAAAUAUCCAAAACGAGCUGAAUGUUUUGACUUCAGAGAAACAUUUCGUCCUUGACAAAACACUUUUCAAAAAGGAUUUCUAUUCGGCCUGUAACUCUACAAAACGAAUUUGGUUUUUUCAAAACUUUCUCGAACAUAGAAGUGAAAUACAAAAACAAUUUUAUAAUUUCAUUGAGCUACAUAAAAUACAAAUUCUAUUCUUUGAUUGGUUCGAAUUAUAUUAUGCAUCUGAACAUCACAUUUCAUAUCCUUUUGCAUCCAUUAAGCAUGCAUGCUCGGUCACAUCAAGGUCAAAAACCCCAGUAUGGAACCUCACCAGUGGACCUACAGUUGAGUCUGAACAUCCACCUUUGAGAAAUAUCCAAAUAACCCAUAAUAACCAGACUGUCGAGGCAGCCCCUUACAAAUUAUCCACUGAUGACACCCUUUCCAAUACAAAACACAUCAUUAACCAAAACAACUUUACAAACACCAACCUUAAUACCUUGGGAAAGCAGCUUACAUGGCUUGAGAAACAAAUACAAAGAACUGCUACAAGUUCAACUGGCAUUAAAACCUCAACCGACUUAAAGCUAAAAAACCCAGUCUUCAAACCCUACCAAAUUACAAAAACCAGCCAAACACAGAUCCAAGAUAACCAAACAGAUUUUCUUAAAUAAGAAUAGUUGGUUCAGUAGUUAUGGAAAUAUCUGGGGCAAUGGUUGUUUUGGGAGUUUGCCAAGUAAGUCUGUUUAGGGUAAGAGGUUUUUGUGGAGAAGUACCUUCAUCAGAAGAUUCCUGAGGACUAUUCUGUAACGUGUUGACUUGAUUUGUAGAGGUAGAAGGGUUGGUUGUUUGUGGUGUGUCGGGGACAGUUAAAGAUGAACUGUCAAGGUGUUGUAGAUGCAUUUUAAUAGCUUUAAGAAAAUCUGUUUGGUUAUCUUGGAUCUGUGUUUGGCUGGUUUUUGUAAUUUGGUAGGGUUUGAAGACUGGGUUUUUUAGCUUUAAGUCGGUUGAGGUUUUAAUGCCAGUUGAACUUGUAGCAGUUCUUUGUAUUUGUUUCUCAAGCCGUGUAAGCUGCUUUCCCAAGGUAUUAAGGUUGAUGUUUGUAAAAUUGUUUUGGUUAAUGAUGUGUUUUGUAUUGGAAAGGGUGUCAUCAGUGGAUAAUUUGUAAGGGGCUGCCUCGACAGUCUGGUUAUUAUGGGUUAUUUGGAUAUUUCUCAAAGGUGGAUGUUCAGACUCAACUGUAGGUCCACUGGUGAGGUUCCAUACUGGGGUUUUUGACCUUGAUGUGACCGAGCAUGCAUGCUUAAUGGAUGCAAAAGGAUAUGAAAUGUGAUGUUCAGAUGCAUAAUAUAAUUCGAACCAAUCAAAGAAUAGAAUUUGUAUUUUAUGUAGCUCAAUGAAAUUAUAAAAUUGUUUUUGUAUUUCACUUCUAUGUUCGAGAAAGUUUUGAAAAAACCAAAUUCGUUUUGUAGAGUUACAGGCCGAAUAGAAAUCCUUUUUGAAAAGUGUUUUGUCAAGGACAAAAUGUUUCUCUGAAGUCAAAACAUUCAGCUCGUUUUGGAUAUUUUCAGUAAUAGCUGAAAAGGUCAGUGAAGUUGGAGGAGAUGGUUGCUCAAGGUUUGUAUAGACAGGUUUUGGUAUACUUGUAGUAUAGUCCAAACACCUUGACAGUUCAUGGUUAGCUAAAAUGCAUCGAAAUAUGCAUCUGAACAUAUUUUUUAUACAAUCAUAAUUUUGAAAAAUUACUCUACUAUUAAAAAGGAAAUCCUUUCAAUUGUUCUUUGUAUUACAAAAUUUCAAAGUGACUUAUUAAAUCAAAAAUUUCUCUUACGUGUUGACUGCAAAUCCGCAAAAGAAGUUCUCCAAAAAGAUGUCCAAAAUCUUGCUUCCAAACAAAUCUUUGCCAGAUGGCAAGCCAUUUUAAGUAUUUUUGAUUUUGAUAUUGUUUACAUUAAAGGAGAAUCAAAUUGCAUCCCUGAUUUCCUAACCCGAGAAUUCCUUCAAAACAGGUCCUGAUGCCUCCUAAAGCAAAAGCCAAGGACAAGGGAAAAGCCCCUCAAACACAGCCUACAAAACCAGAGAGCCCCAAGCCUUCUACAAAACUCAUGUCUUCAGCCAUCCUCGCUGCCAAGCCUAUCAAAUCUUGGUAUGAGGCAGUUAUUGAAGAUGAAGACACUACAAAACCACCACAAGUACAAACAGAUGCAGUUCAACAUUGGGUUGACACUAUAUCCAAAUCGCCAGAAUUACUCCUGGCAUUGCAAAAAGUAUCUCAACAAGCCUCCACUGACUCCGUGUCUCCAACAGGUAGUAUUUCCAAAUCACUUUCAAAACCCCAAGGAGGCAUUUUAUCUUCAAAACCCCUCCUUUCCUUACAACAAACAAGUUUUCCAAAAACCAAAUCCAAAUAUAUUUUCAAAAAUGCUUUCCAAAACAUUUUAACUAUGGAAGAAGGAUUUUACCAUGAAAACCCUUCCAUUGCUGCUUCAAAAAUUUUCCCUCCAAAAUGGCACUAUAAACCUUGGAAUCUAGCUCAACCACAAUCCUAUUAUGCAACUAUCCUUGAAAUUACCGAUUUCAGGUCUUUUUAAGGCUCAUCUGUUUAGAGCCCAUUUCUUUUAGACUCAGAUGUUUUGAGCCUUUUAUUUUUCGGCCUAUCUAUUUUAAGGCCUUUUCUACAAAAGUUACCGGUUACUACAAACCCACCAAUCAAGUGUCGGUGGCAAGACGACAACAAACGAAGCUCAACCAAAAACGUGGACAAUUUCCAUUCUGUCGCCAUCCAAUCAAGGCAGACAGCACCACAUGGGCUCCUAUAGGUUCUGCCAAAGGCCACAUGGGUUCACAUGGGUCCUGAAGAGCUUCCCCAACAGGACAAUUUGGCCUCUUCCAUGCCAACUCGCCUAUAAAAGGCCACUUCAAAACCCUGAGAGGGCGGACUAAUCUUUCCCCUAGAAAACUUUACUCUCCCCUAAAAAUUUGUAACCCAUUCUCCUCUGUAACCAAUAUCUCCUGUCUUAAUUUUGUUACAAAUUUAAAGUAAGAUAAUCUUAUCUACGUUUUUUGUUAUAUCUGUUGGCCAUGGUCAUUUGUUGGAGAGUGUUUAGGAUAUUAUAUUCGGACAUUCCAUCUAUAUUCCAUUCAUAGAGGGAGGAGGCAUUAUACUUGUGUUGAGUAAGAAUAGUUGGUUCAGUAGUUAUGGAAAUAUCUGGGGCAAUGGUUGUUUUGGGAGUUUGCCAAGUAAGUCUGUUUAGGGUAAGAGGUUUUUGUGGAGAAGUACCUUCAUCAGAAGAUUCCUGAGGACUAUUCUGUAACGUGUUGACUUGAUUUGUAGAGGUAGAAGGGUUGGUUGUUUGUGGUGUGUCGGGGACAGUUAAAGAUGAACUGUCAAGGUGUUGUAGAUGCAUUUUAAUAGCUUUAAGAAAAUCUGUUUGGUUAUCUUGGAUUUGUGUUUGGCUGGUUUUUGUAAUUUGGUAGGGUUUGAAGACUGGGUUUUUUAGCUUUAAGUCGGUUGAGGUUUUAAUGCCAGUUGAACUUGUAGCAGUUCUUUGUAUUUGUUUCUCAAGCCGUGUAAGCUGCUUUCCCAAGGUAUUAAGGUUGGUGUUUGAAAAUAUUAUGCAUCUGAACAUCACAUUUCAUAUCCUUUUGCAUCCAUUAAGCAUGCAUGCCCGGUCACAUCAAGGUCAAAAACCCCAGUAUGGAACCUCACCAGUGGACCUACAGUUGAGUCUGAACAUCCACCUUUGAGAAAUAUCCAAAUAACCCAUAAUAACCAGACUGUCGAGGCAGCCCCUUACAAAUUAUCCACUGAUGACACCCUUUCCAAUACAAAACAGAAUUAUUGUUUACAUUAAAGGAGUAUAUAUAUAUAUAUAUAUAUAUAUAUAUAUAUAUAUAUAUAUAUAUAUAUAUAUAUAUAUAUAUAUAUAUAUAUAUAUAUUGAUAUAUAUAUAUAUAUAUAUAUAUAUUCUUUUUGGCUUUCAAUAAUUGCUACAAAGGUGAGUUAUCACAAACCACAAGAUAUCCAUGUGUUCACUCUCUAACGGUAAUCUACACGAACCAUCAAUGAGAAAUCUCCUAAAUUCUUUUAGAAUAGAGGAAUUUCUAUACCUUUGAGUGUUAACUCUUUUCUUUUGUGUUUAGAUAUUUUUGUAUUGCACUGUCUUGUAUAAAAAAUAAGUAGUAUAACAUUCUAUUUAUAGGGAAACCUAAAAACCCUAUAAAUAAAAAAAUAUCAAUUCACACUUUAAAUAAUAUCACAUAUAUUAUUUUAGAAUAAUUUUAGAAAUUUAUUCAAUCAAGUCCCUAUUCGAUUUUUUUUCUAAGUCUAGAAUUGUAAUCUCUUAUAUUCAUUACAUUAUAGUACUUAAUUUCUAAAACAUAAUUACAAUCAAGUCACACUUGAUUAAUCAUUCCAUUUUAAUUUCUGACUAAUAAUUCUUUUAUGUGUGAGUCAAUACGUUCCCUAAUAAGAUAACCCAAAUAUAAAUUAUAAUCCUAAAUAAAUAGGAUUAAAUAAAUUAAACAAUUUAAUUUAUUAUCAGUUCAACAAUUGAUUGAUUUAUAUUUGAAGAUCAAAUAAAUAUAAUGUCUAGCAACCUUUCAUGAUCCUCUAAGUAUUUAGAAAGUCAUAAGUGAUUCGACUUAAUCUUUUAUUGACCAGUUUCUCAAUGUAAUUAUUAUCAUUUAUCAAUAAUGUUUUAAUUUAAACAUUAUAGCAUGGAGUAUGUCAAGGUAGUGACUCCCUGAUCUUGACAUCCCGUUACGCUACGCGCCCACAUGCGACUCACUCAUUCCACUAGUUUACCAAGUUUUAUUGCUAAAAAGGAUAUAGGAUACACUCAUGGAGAUCAGUUAUUUCUUUAGAGAUAUAUGCUCCAACAAGUUGCAGAUAUAACACAUGGAGAUGCUUGAAAUGAAUAUAGUCUAGACAAUUUACAAACUUGAAAUGAUAUUCCUUGCAUCUUUCUUUGACUCAAUAGAGCAUCUACUCAUACAUCUACCGUUUAAGGCAAAAGUUGAAGACCCAGUCCAUAUAGAUAGAUGUAUCCAUUCGAGAAGUUAAUGAUUACACAUACAUCAUAAUUAAAAUUCUAUUGUUUUUUUAUUAAUUCAAAAUAUUCAUUUAAUUUCAUGCAUGUACUUGUUCAGCCUUAAGAGAAAAGUAAAAAAAUAAGGCGUAUGUUGAGGCUUCGAUAUAUGAAGCUUAUAUUGUUAAAGAGAUCUCAACAUUUAUCUCGUACUAUUUCGAGCCGUACUUGAGAACAAGAAUCAAUUGUGUUUCAAUACAUGACGACGAUGGGGAAGUGACUUCAAAUGGAAACUUGUCUAUACUUUUCUAUCUUGGACGACCCGUACCAAAACAUGUUGUGAGGAGAACAUAUUUAACAGAAAUAGAAUUCAAACAAGCACAUAAUUAUGUGCUAUUUAACUCCAAAAAAAUUUCACAUGGUUUAGAACAUUUGUAAAAACUGUUUAAUUAUUCUUAUAUCUCGAGAUAUUUAAUUUCAUUACACAUUUCUCAUUAACUAUGAUGGAGAUGUAAUUUAUGUACCAGGUUUAUCAAUUGAGAAGGAAUGCUAAUGUUACUUUGAAUUUACUAAGUCUGGAUCCUGAAAGAAAGGUGAAGUGCUAUAACAGGUAUUUCAUCAAUAGACAUAUGUUUCAUACUGAAGAGUAUAGUCAGAGUAGAAAGACAUGUAACAGUGGGAUCUGUGUUAAAGGAUCAACUUUUAAGAGUUUGAAGUUGACUAUUAUGGAAACUUAGAAGAGGUCAUUGAAUUGCAAUAUAAUAGCGAGCAAAAUACAGUCUUUUUAUUCAAAUGUUAUUGGUAUGAUACUACUAACAAAAAAAUCAAAUUAAAUCUCCAUCAUGGUUUGGUCGAAAUUAAUACAAAGGCUAGACUCUGCAGCGUCAAGGAUAUCUUUGUUUUUGCCAAGCAAUGCCAGCAAAUUUAUUACACAUUCACUCCAUUUAAAAAUGAUUGUUCAAGAGUUGAUUGGUUAUCUGUAGUGAAAAUCAAACCCAAAAAUCAUGUCCAGGUUGUUCAGAAUGACAACUAUGAAUUAACUGUGGGAGAUGAUGUUUUUCAACUUGAUAAGUUAGUUGAUCCAUAUCGAGUUGCUCCAUCUAAUGACUUAGAAGAAAAAUCAAAUUUUCGCAUCGCCGCGAGAAUACUUUGGUUAAUGUUGACAUUGGGGAUUUAAAUGGUGUUUUGAGAACUAACGGACAUAUAGAAGUUGAUGGAGAUGAUGAUAGUGAUGAAAUCAACGUAGAAGAUUGCAAUGGAGAUGACUUAGUCCGUUGUUAUAUUCCAGAGAGUUGGAAAAAAAUUACUGCAAAUGCUAUUGAUUUUCUGUUUUUGUUUAGUAGAUUUUUUUUUAAAUCUAAAUUAUUCCUGAUGGGGUUACCUAAAAUCUAAGUUCAUCGGUAUAUUCCAAAGAGUUUGAAAAGAGUUAUUACAAAUGUCAUUGCCACUGUUUACUCACCAACGGAAUAACAAACAGUUUGUUUGACAAUUAUAUGUUAAAUUCAACGAGUGAAAUACUGACGGACCAAAACAGAACCACCGAUGAAAUGACAUACGGUUUUUCUGUCGGUGAUAUAUUAUAUUCAACAAUGGAAAUACUGAUGGAAUGAAGCGGGUAAAAAAAAAAUUAGCAUUGUUUUUCCAUCAGUAAAUCCAUCGGUAAAAUUAUUACUGACAGACCUCAAAUCACUUAUGAGAGUUUUUUCAACAAAUUAUUUCUAUCCGUGAGCCUGUUUUCUAAGUAGAAGUAUGGACAAAAAAAUCUGUCAAUAAAUCUAAAAAUUUUAGUUGUGUUUGGAUGUCUUAUUCUUAUAAUAAUUCUACAAUUUUUUUUAUUGCUUUCGUUUAUUGUCUAAUUAUUAGUUCUGAAUAUUUCACUUUACACUAAACAAUUGCAAUUUUUACGAACAAUUCCAACCUCCUCUAGCAGCGUACUCAAGGAGGACAAUAGCUGCAUAGCAUGGCUUGACAAGCAAACUCGUAAAUCAGUUAUCUAUGUAAGCGUGGGAAGCGUACUUUUCAUGCAGGAGAAAGAACUAGUAGAAAUGGUUUGGGGCCUAGCCAGCAGCAAGCAGCCUUUCUUGUGGGUGCUUAGGACUGACUUUCCUGAUGGUAUAAGGAGAAAAAAAAAAAACACUGUAUGGGAUAGAGAUUGCAAUGUGAAACGAACAGCACAAAUGGAAGUGUUAGCACACGCUGCAGUUGGAGGGUUUUGGAAUCAUGGUGGCUGGAAUCCCACAAUGAAAAGUUAAUCCGAAGGAGUUCCAGCGAUAUGCAAAACUAACAUACUUUGGGGAUCAAAGGGUGGAUGCAAGAUAUGUGAGUCAUGUAUGGAAAGUAGGCUUUUGAGUUUGAGCCUGAAAUGGAGAGGGGGAAGAUUGAAGAAAGAACUGUAAGAAAACUAAUCGUGGACAGAAAGGGGGAGAUGAGGCAGAUAGCAAUGGACUUGAAGCAGAAGUUUGAAAUGAGCAUAAGCGAUGCGAUGGUGGUUUUUCUUCUAAUUCCUUGAAUGGAUUAGUAGAGUUCAUAAUGUCUUGUUGUUGAUUGCCUACAUUGAUUAGUUUAUGUUAGUUUCCUCACAAGCUUUUUCAAUAAGUAGCUAAGUUUGUUCGAAAGUGCAUUUUGGUGAUAAUGCUAGUGUGGAUUUUAGAGAUGAGGGAUUUGAAUCACUGGCCAAAUUGUACAUUUUCAAAGUUAAAAGUUGUGGUUUGAGUCUUCUGCGCUGGUUUUGGACAGGCUCAAUCAUCAUUUUGUCUUACGCUUUGUUAGUUUUGAUCAGUUCACUAGCUCACUUUUAUUGUUUUAUUCAUUGUUCUUCGUUCACUGGCUCACUUUUAUUGUUUUGUUCUUUGUUCUUAACCCUUAGCAAAAUCUUCCUUGCACAUUAAAUAAUUAAUAGGUUGAAAAAAACAUAGUACAUUCGUUUCCUUCCUCAACUCCGACAUGGGUAAUAAAGAUAAUCUCGGAAGACUAAUGCUCAUAAAAAAAUUGCUCAAAGGAAAUAAAUUGACUAGUUGCAAAGAAAAUCCGAAGAAAAAAAAUCAUCAGGGCAGUUUCUGGUCUCAGUGUAGUGAAGAAGCAGCUCGAAGCCUUGAAUGUCAACACUUGGGAAGAUCGGCUGGUGGAGGAAGCAGCUUCUGAUUGGGAAGCUUUCCAUCCAGGACAACCCAAGCCAUCUUCAAGCCCCAGCUUGUGUGCACUUCUAGAUGGCAAUGCAUGAACCAUACACCUGAUGAUGCCAUCAUCCACAAAUGAUACAACUCAGCAAAACAUGGUACUACGUACAUACAUAAAUCUAAUUAUCUAAGCCAGGAUAUUACUCAGCACAUUAUAUACUUAUAAUUAAUUACCAACCUGGGUUGUCGGCUAGAAAACGUAUAGCAACCCAGCCUCCAGAGGGCACUCCCACGGUAUUCCUUUCAACGGGGUCAACAAGAUUGAAAUUUGCCGGAUCCUUUUUUGGAUCAAAGUUCCCAAAUCCUUCACCAACAACAAAGAAAUUGAAACCAUGCAAAUGAAGAGGGUGGCUCUCAGCACCAAGUAUGCUGGUGUCCUGCAUAAUGAGCUCCACGCUGGUGUUAAAAGGAAGCACAACUAGCUUUGUUCCAUUGCUCACCAUAGUAUUGUUUGGUGGGGUGCCGGUAUAAUUAAAAGGGAUUAGUGGAUUGAUUGGAAAGUUAGGGCUGUAAACGCCCUUUGAUUGACCAAAAUGAUGGGCUUGGAGUAGAGCUUUGGUUGGCAUCACAAAUGAUACAUUAUUAACUGAAGCUGCAAACAUUGUUCCAUUUGGUCCCUGGCAGGUUUUGUUUUUGGAGCAUGGGUUUGUUCCAAGGCUUACACUGAAGAAAAAUUGCCUGUCUACCUUUUGCGGCACAUUGGCAGGGAAUUCUGCACUUGCUAGGCUGCGGAGUUUGCUUGUGAAAUUUGUAGCAAAUGAAGUGUCAUUUAGAGGUGGUAGAUUUGGUUUAUAGAACGGCAGUUUCUUAGGGGAGUGGCUUGAUUUAAUGGUUUUGUUUGAUUCUUCAUAUUCUAAGAUUCCAGCAACAGUUGAAUUAUCAAAAGUUCCUUGACCAGUCACGUAAGGUCUAGCAGACAUGAAAAAACUGGCGUUUGGGUGGUGGGGCUUGGUCUUUAGAAGAACAUUUGUGGUUUGUCCAGGAGCAAUGAGAAGUGUCUCGGUAUCAAAUGGUUUCACAUAAAUAGCAUCAACAUCAACAACUGUGAGUGUAUGGUUUGCUAUGCUGAAGAAGAGCUCGUCAUUGAGUGCGGCGUUGAUCAUGCGAAGAAGGUAAGUCUUUCCUGGCUUUACCUUCAGCUUGAAAGUAUCUGCCAAGCACCAUGCACAUAAGGUGAAUCAGAGGGAAAAAAAAAUGCUCUGCAUGGUUGUAGAAGGCCUACUGCGCUAACAUAUUAUACCUUUGGCAGAGCAGUUAUACAACGGCCCUGGAAAUCCAUUGAUAGUGUAGGCAUCAGAGACAUUUGGGCCUCCACCCGUUUGCAUUGCCUGGUUAAUGAUUGCCUCUGGAUCUGCAUUGAACCACUCUCCUGCAAUUUAUUUUGCAUUAUCGUUUGUGUUAGCAGACAUAGGACUCCAUCAACAGGGGAAAAAAAUUGAUGCAAGUUUUAACGAGCUCUUAUUCAAAGUAGCUUAAUUAAUUCCUUAUAGUAGAUUACCGAAGAUGAUUGGAACUUCCUUGUGAGGUUUAGCAAAUGGAUAAGUAGUGCCGAGUUUGGGAAGAAUGAUAAGUGGACCGUAGAGAGUUGAUCUUAGCCAUGAUAUAUGAGCAUGCCACCAAAGAGUGCCUCUUUGUCCUACGAUGGUGUAGUUGUACACAUAGCUCUGUCCAGUUUGUAUAGGGCACUGAGUUAUGUAUGCCGGUCCAUCAGCCCACCCACUUCGAAGCUGCCGAAUUCCAUGCCUGUAUCAAUGAAAUCGUCGACAGAGAUUUAGACUCAGCUUUUUCUAUAUAAUGUUCACUAUAUUUGGAGAAAAUUGAAGGAGGCCAGUCCAUAUAUAUGUACCAGUGAAUAGAGAUAUUGUUUUGGACAUGGUUAACCACUUUAAUAAGAAGACGAUCACCCUCCCUAGCAACAAUGCGAGGCCCCGGGAACUUCCCGUUGACUGUUACAAUGCUCUUGGUGUGGCAAAGGCGGGUCACAUUUUGUAACAUAACCUGCAAAAUUUCAUUUUAUUUAGACUGUUAGGAAUCAAGUUAAAAACAGAGGAUAAAAAAUUUGAACAAUUUUAGGUACUUAGACAAUGACAUGCGUGUAACACACACAUACAUCAAAUUUGUAGUGCCUGGUAAUGGCAAGUGCAGGCUCUGGAUGGAUAGACAAAGUGACAAAUGAGAUGAGAAAAACUGCAAGAAAUGCUGGUGAUGGAAGAAAUGAAGCACCCAUUUUUAUCUGUUUCUUCUUUUCGAGAGGAGCUGCUCUUUUGGGACUGUAUGUACAUCAAAGCUUAGAAACCAGUAUAUAUAGAGAGUUGGAAGGCAGGGUGUUUCGUUGAUUAGGUGACAGAAAUUGUAUAGUUUAAAAAUGAAAAGAAAACUAGAACAAGCUACAUGAAACUAUGCAUAAUUUUCAGUUUAUUACCAACUUUAGAGUGCAGUCAAAGCCAAUUGCCUUUGUGUCCUUCCUUUUGAAGUAAAAAACCUGUCUUCCCUACUUAAAUAAUAUUAUCCCAAUUUUACUGGCAUGUCAUUUUCCAGAUUUCUUACAUGCAUUUUCUGUCUUGGGUAAAAAAGACUUCCAUUUUCAGCAACAAGUAGGGUUUCCAUUUAAACCGCUUCCACCCAUCCAUGGUCAUACUGGUGUAACAGUGAUAGGUUUCCAUUUUCUGUUGCGUAUCAAUGCUGCUACGUACCAUAACAGCAAUGCAUUGGUUAGCUAGCUCCCCGCCAUCAUCAAAACUUAAGAUGGUAUUUUCAGUUGGUCGAAAUACUAAUUGCAAGCAGUUUUUGAAAGAGCAAUCUUAGCCAACAUCAAGAAAGUUUAACUAUAAUCAUAUGGGGUGGAGCUUAACUGGUUAGAUUCUGAAUUUGCUGUUGCUAAGAGAUCAUCAUUUCGAGUAUUACAAAUCUCAGGGUUAUUGAAGACUUACAUAGUUAUUAACUUUAGAGCCUCGAAGGAUUAAUCGAUGUAUGUGUAAACCGAGAUGGUUAUAAAAACAAAAAAAAAAAACAAAGUUUAACCACGUAUGUAAGAUAACAGCGCAGUGCUUGCUGACAAAGCUAACCAAGAUUGGUGUUUCUAUCAAAGAAAGUCUAUUUCAGUGUUAGAUGUGUGUAAUGAAGUACAGGCUACAGAUGAAUAGGAGGGAGACCGCACCUGAAGCAAUUUUAUCUCAAGCAAACAUAGCAACAUACUAACUACCGUGGGAAUAUAUAAAUAUAAUUCCCAGAGAAUUUCUACAUUUUGAGGUGCAAAAUGCUGUUUGAUUUUGAUGGGCACAAAUCGAGCCUAUAGCUGAGAAUUUCAUCUUCACAAUUAUGUCAAACUACCCUUCAUUUCGAUGGGUCGUGAUUUUUAAAAAAUUCGUUGGCCUACACAGCCAUGGGACUUAUAUUCAGGGCGGCGCAAGAAAAAAAAAAUAAAAGGAUCAAAUUAAAAAUUUAUUUUUUAAAAAUAAAAAUUUCAGUUAUUUUAUACAAAGAAUAGACUGAAAAAAACAUUUCGUUGCAAGGGCCGGAUCCCUGCCAGCCCCCGCCUCCGCCACUGUGUAUAUUGCAGCUAUUUGGACUGGAAAAAUAAAUAAAUUGAUAUUUAUGUUAAUUUUGAUACAAGAAUGUCAAAACCAUCUUAAGACAAAACUAAAAAAAAUACAAAAUAUUCAAAUUUAAAAUAUAUUUUUGUAAAAAUAUCGAUAUGAACCAUAGAGUAUCUUGAAUGAGUUGUUUUUUGAUGGAUACAUCCCAACAUUCUCAAAAGCAAUUAUGAAAUUAAUAUCCAAUAAAAAUCAACUCCUGUUGGAGCUGUGGUUGUUGAAAAGCAUCAAUACCCUGACAAAUGUUCUCUCUUUUUAAAGGGAUGCGUUUUAAUUCGAAAAAAAAAAAACAAAAAAAAUCCUCGCAUUUCUGGUUUUCUACAAAAGUGUAAAAAAAACGACACUGUUCCGUGGUUGGUUCUAUCUCCAACCUUCACCAACCCAAAUAAAACACUAAGUUAUUAACCAUCUAGGUGAUGGCCCAGUGGUAAGAGCUUGGAACCAAGAGGUUUGCUCCCUCUGUGGUCUCAGGUUCGAGCCCUGUGGUUGCUCAUAUGAUGGCCACUGGAGGCUUACAUGGUCGUUAACUUCAGGGCCCGUGGGAUUAGUCGAGGUGCGCGCAAGCUGGCCCGGACACCCACGUUAAACUAAAAAAAAAAAAAAACACUAAGUUAUUAAUGGUGUGUUUUGGAGUACGGUCAAAUCAUGUUUUUUAUAAAUUUAAAUAUUUUUUAUAAAAUUAAUUUUUUUAAUUUUUAAGUUGUUUUGAUUUGCUCAUAUUAAAAAUAAAAUUUUAAAAUAAUAAUAAAAAUAUUAUUUUAAUAUAUUUCCGACUGAAAAACACAUUUUAAAAUAGAUCCUAAAUGUCUAAUUAAUUAGUUAAUUCAGCUGUACUUAAUAUAUUUUUGACAAAAAACACUUUAAAAAAUAACAUUUAUUACACUUUCAAAAAGGUCCUAAAUAUCUAAUCAAUUAGUCAAUUCAGCUCUACUGUAAAUAAUUUGUUCAAUUGAGUCUCACAUUUUAAAAUUGCAGUCAAUUGAGACAAAUACUCAACUUAAUCCGAUUAGUCCGUUACCAUGUUUGUUUCUCGGAAAGUGGUUUCCCGGAAACUACUUUCCAAACUUUCCUGUAUUUAUUUGCCACUAGGAAAGUUGGUUAACAGAAAACACUUUCCAGUCAAAGGAAAAUUUGGCUUGGUUUCCAGGAAAGUGUUUUCCUGGAAAAUUUGAGCGGAAAACACUUUCCGGAAGUUGUGAAAAAUUAUUAUUUGCUGAUUAUAUCAAAUUUGGUCCUCAAACUUUUGAUUGCUAUAUAUAUUUUGUUUUGAAUAUUUAUUUUUCAAUUUCAUCUCUUAAAAUUUAAUUUUUAUAUUAACUUUGGUCCUCAUUUUUAUAAUUGUUAUUUAUUUUUUCCUUAUCAUUUUCUUAUUGAAAUUUUUUAUCUAUCAAAUUUGGUCCUCAUUCUUUUGAGUGUUACUUAUUUUAUUUGAAAUAAUUUAUGAAAUGUUAAUUAUUAUUAUUUUAAUUUUUUCAUCUUUCAUUUUUAUUUUACUUUUUAGAUUUGAUUUCUAUUAUUUUGAUUAUUAUUUAUUUUAUUUGAGAUAAUUUAUGAAAUUAUAUUUUUUUUCAAUUUCAUCCUCAUUCAACUUUUUAAUUUGUAAAAUUUGUUCCUCAUUAUUUUAAUAAACUUGAGAAAAUAAAACAUUGAUAAGUUAUUUUCCAACUCAUUUUCCAUGACAUAACCAAACACUGGAAAAUGUUUUCCAACUUAUUUUUCAUUACACUACCAAACAUCGAAAAAUAAUUUACUUUUCUGGAAUUCACUUUCUCGGAAUUUACUUUCCAAAAAGAAACUACUUUCCAGCAAACAAACGGGGUGAAGUGGACUGUGGGGGCAUAUUUUUCUAUUUGUAUGGGACCUUGGUAUGGAAUUAAAAUUUUCUUUUCUUUUUCAAAUUUUAUUUAUUAACAUGAAACUUUCUUCUUCAAUUUUACUUUUUGUAUUUCUAUUUUUAUGUUUGCUCUGUUUGAACAGAAAAAUCCCAACUCCAGCUCAUUUCACAUAGUAAUUCGAAGGAAAUUAUAUAUUGUACUCGAUUGACUAUAAUUGGAAAACAUGGGGCUCGAUUGAGCAAAUUAUUUAUAUAAGGGAUACAUUGAUAGAAUGGGGACUAGUUAUGUGCCCGCAUCAUACAUGACAGGAAAAUAAAUAACUUUUUAAAGAAAAUUAAAGAUUAAGUGAGAUAAAAAUAUAUAUGAAAACAUCUAAUCUAGGAGUUUUUAAUUAUUUUUUUAAUUUUUUAAUAUUAAAAAUAUUUCUUGCUGUUAUGUUUAAGAAAAAAAAAUCAAAUAAAUUAUGAAGCUAAAUAUCCAAUCAACUCAAAUGUCAAAGCACAAAAAUGAUAAAAAAAAAUAUUCAAAAGGACAAAAAAAAAGACUGAAGUCAACCUGAGUAAACUUGUCAACUCACAACUCAAGUUAUGAGAAUAAGAUAGCCCUAUAAAAAACAAAUAAAAAAAAUAAAAAGCCAAAUUCACAACCAAGCCAAAUUUUAAGGACAAAAUAAAAAACAUAGAUUUAAAAAGAAUGAUAAAAAAAAAAAAAGACUUGAGCGAAACCCCGGUCAAACUUGUCAAACCAUGAUCUAGGUCAUGAAAUUGGGCUAAUCCCAUAAAAAGAAAUUAGGAAACUUAAUCCGCAACAAAACCAAUGGUGAAGAAUGAAGUUGAAAAGAAAUAAUUUUAAAAAAUGACCCAAGUCAACCUGUAAACCCCGGGAUAAAUUGAAAAUAAUAAUAUAAUAAAAAUUAAGGUGUAAUGCAAUGAAAUAAGAAAAGAAAAGGAAAAUGGUGUUAAGGAGAUAAAAGAGAAGAAGAAGAAUAAGAGUUUAUGGCUGAAAAUGCCUAUUUUUCCAGUAGCGAAAACGGUCUAGCCGUUGCUUAUAAACCAGUCGGAUCGUUUUUUAAAAAUGAUUAGACCAUUUUGACUACUAUCUCUGUUAUAACUUGAUGGUCUGCAGCAAGAGUGGAAAGGGCCAUUCCAUUUCUUCUUCUUUUAUUUCACCUUGAAUGACUAGAAAGUGAUGGUUAGGAGUAAAUAAAGAGUAUUUUGAUAGAAGAGAACACAUCUACACUAGAAAUUUAUCAAAGAGAGAAAAUAUUGAAAUAGAGAGAGAAAAUGAAGAAAGAAAAUGAAAAGACAGAAGCUUUGGGAAAUUCGGAUGAAUCAACUUUCAAAAUAUGUUUGGAAAUCGGGUAAGGUGUUUGAAACCCAUUUAUAUCAAUUUGAACAAUAGUUUAGUGAUUUGAGCAAAAAGAAAAAAUGAUCAAAAUUGAGUUAGGGUUGUGAGAUGAAAUUUUAGGGAAAAGUAAAAUUCGUAGAAAUUAGGUUUUUAAGAUCCUUAGAGGUUGUUGUGGGAGUGGAAUCAUGUUGAAUUAACAAAGAAAUUUGAAUGGGUAAUGAAGCCUAAGGGCCGACCAUUGAGAGAUAAAAACAGAGGUUUGAUGAAUUUGUGUUACUCUUGUAAAUUGUGUUGAAAUUGUGGUAACUAAACACAUGGGUAAUAGUUUAGAUGAGAAAUUAACGAAAUUAAAGUGAGUUUUAGUUGUAUUAAUUCUUGUAGUGUUAUUGUGAUGGGCUGCAUGUUGAAUUGAUGAGGAAUUGAUGGUUAAUUGGAUGAAUAAGAAAUGGUUGAGGUUUCAAUCCAAGAAAAAUUAUCCUUUAUUUUUAUAAGGUUUCAACCAAAACAAUAAAAUGAAGGGGGAGAAUUGUUAACAUGGGAUUUUGUUUAGAAUGUGUUAGGUUGAUCAUUUGAUGAAUGGGUGAAGGAUUAAUGAGAAAAAAAAUAGAAAGAAAAAAUAUCUUCUUCUUUUGGUAUUUUCAACUAAAAGAUAAAUGAAUUGUAUUAACUUGUUUACGUGAAAUAAAGUUAAUGCAAGGGUAAGAGACGUUUGACAUUGAGCUGUUAAAAUUGUAGGAGAGAUUGUUUUGAGGUACCGAGACAGGAUCCAACACAGAGCUCAAAUGUCUGGUAGGUGCUCAGCACCUUAUUAAUUAUAUUCUAUUUAGAAAUGUUAAAACAUCGUACUUAGAUUCUUGAUUAUUCAAUGGUAUUAUUCUCUUAUAUGAUAUUAUUGCCCUGUUUUGGACAAGAUAGCUAGUUCUUGGUUUAAGAAUUAGUAUCAUGUUUUGGAUUGGAUGACUAAUUCUUGGUUUAAGAACUAGUGUCAUGUUACAGGCUGGAUGGCUAGUUCUUGAUUUAAGGAUUAACGCCUUAUUUUGUGCUAUGAAUCUAGAUAUCUUGAAUAAGAUUAAUGCCUUGUUUCUAGGCAAUAUGGAGGUUACCUUGAAUGAGGGUUUACUACCUGGAUCCGGGUUAAGGAAUUGUUUUAAUUAAUAUGAGGAAAAGAUAAAGAGAACUUACUUAAUUUCCAAUGGUCUACUUUAAGUUAUUCAAUAAAUUUAUUAUAUGAUGUUGAAAACUUUAUGUCAUAUUAAUUUAUUAAUGAUAUAAAAUAAAUUCAAGAUCCUUGCAGCUUCAUCGGGUCUAAUUGAUAAUGUAACCCUUGCAUUUUGUAUUUAUAAGAAUAUUAAUAAAGUUGCAUAUUGUGUAUAGUUAUUUUUUUUUUUGUUAUGAUAACAAUAUUAAUGAUGUUGCAUAUUAUGUAUAGUUUUGGGGAUGACAACAUGAAUGUUAAUUAAUUAUUGUAAUUACUAUUAUAGGAUCUUAUGAUAUGUUGGACUUAAAUAUUAAUUAAAUCCAUGACUACUUAUAUAGAUUUUAUUUUGAUAAUGUUUGUAUUAAAUUCUUAAUAUAGUAGAUAAAUUAUCUUUAUUUUAAAUUAUAUGUUAUCAUGUUCUAAUUAUUGUAUGAAUGAUUCAAUUAAACCAUAAUGAAAUGAGAUGAAUGUGAUGCGUUGAUUUGUGAUGUGAUGAGUCCAAGAUAAUUGUAUAAUUUAACCAUAAUGAUUGUAUGAAUGAUUCAAUUGAACCAUAAUAAUUUAGUCAUGUGUUUAAGAGUGUGGUAGAAGUUACUUUUAAAAGUAUUUUUUAUUUGGAAAUGUGUCAAAAUAAUGUCUUUUUUAUUUUAAAAAAAAUUAUUUUUUAUACCAGCAUAUUAAAACAAUCCUAAAACACCAAAAAUAAUUAAUUUAAAGCUAAAAAAAUUCAAAAAAUUUUAAAAACAAGAUUUAACCUUAGUACUAAACAAUACUUAAAUGCGCUCAAAUUUCACCACCAAAUGGUUUCAAAAGGUUUUACAUCCAAAAGAAAAUAUUUAUUUCUUUUAUAAUGUGUUAGGCCCAUCUAAUAGGCCAUCUGUUUCUGGGCCGACUUUUACAAGUUCUAUACGCUAAGAGAUUUUUCUUAGGCUCUCUCUUUGUGAUUAGACCGGGCCUUUCAUGGAUUAUUUAGGCUGGAUUUGGGGGUUUUUUAAGUAUUGCACUGGUGCAGCAAAAAUCAAUACCCUCUAGGCCUCUUAGUCAACAAAGUAAUUCAUAUAGUGGGCCUAGUAGAGCUUAUGUUCAUAACCCGCUUAGGAUUUUGGGUUAUUAGAUUAACAAGGGUUACUUAUCCCUUGUUUGUUUCCAUGAAAAGUGCUUUCCUGAAAACCACUUUCGAGACUUUUCUAUAUUUGUUUAUUAUUAGAAAAGUUUGUCAAUGAAAAACACUUUUUAGUUAAAGAAAAAUUUAACUUGAUUUUCAAGAAAGUGUUUUCCUUUUAUCUUGGGCUGAAAACAUUUUCCAGAAGUUGUGAAAAAUUUAGAAAUGUCAUGUUAUUUGUUGAUUAUAUCAAAUUUCAUCUUCAAACUUUUGAUUGCUAUAUAUUUUGUUUUGAAUCUUUUUUGUCUUCAAUUUCAUCCCUUAAAAUUUGAUUUAAUUUGAUUUUUAUAUCAACUUUGGUCCUUAUUUUUAUGAUUAUUAUUUGCUUUUCUCUUAUCAUUUUUUAAUUGAGAUUUUUUAUUUAUUAGAUUUGAUCCUCAUUCUUUCGAAUAUUAGUUAUGUUAUUUGAAAAAAUUGAUGAAAUUGUAAUUUAUUAUUUUUUAAAAUUUCAUUAAUUUUGAACUUUUUUUAUCUAUUAGAUUUGAUCUUCAUUAUUUUUAUUGUUUUAUUUUAUUUGAGAUAAUUUAUGAAAUUAGUUUUUUUUUUCAAUUUCAUUACCAUUCAAUAAUUUGUAAGAUUUGUUCCUCAUUAUUUUAAUAAACUUUAAAAAAAACAUUAAUAAGUUAUUUUUCAACUCAUUUUCCAUGACAUAACCAAAUACUAAAAAGUAUUUUUCAAUUUAUUUUCUAUGACACUACCAAACAUAAAAAAAUAAUUCACUUUUCAGGAAUUUAUUUUUCAAGGAAACUACUUUCCAAAAAGAAAUUACUUUCCAGCAAACAAACGGGGAGUCAACUAAAGUUUAUUAUUUUUGUUUAAAAUAAUAUUGUUUUUUUUUUAAUUAUUGAUUUUGUAGCCGAGUUGUAUCAUGUCAACCGAGUUAUGACUCUUUCAAGUUUAGCCAGUUCAAUAUAAAAAAUAGCUCAAAAUAAAAUCUUGUUUAAUGCCUCGUUUGUUUCCAUAGAAAGUGAUUUCCUAAAAACCACUUUCUAGACUUUUCUAUUUUUGUUUAUCAUUAGAAAAGCUAGUCAACAGAAAAUAUUUUCUAGUCAAAGGAAAAUUUGACUUGGUUUCUGGAAAAGUAUUUUCCUUUUAUUUUGGGCGGAAAACAUUUUCUAGAAGUUGUGACAAAAUUAAAAAUAUCAUGUUAUUUGCUGAUUAUAUCAAAUUUGAUAUUCAAACUUUUGAUUGUUAUAUAUUUUAUUUUGAAUCUUUUUUUUCUUCAAUUUCAUCUCUUAGAAUUUGAUUUAAUUUGAUUUUUAUAUCAACUUUGAUCUUUAUUUUUAUGAUUUUUAUUUGUUUUUCUCUUAUUAUUUUUUAAUUAAAUUUUUUAUCUAUCAGAUUUGGUCCUCAUUCUUUUUAUUGUUAUUUAUUUUAUUUGAAAUAAUUUAUGAAAUUGUAAUUUUUUUUAAUUUCAUCAUUUUUCAACUUUUUUAUCUGUUAGAUUUUAUCUCCAGUAUUUUGAUUGUUAUUUAUUUUAUUUGAGAUAAUUUAUGAAAUUAGAUUUUUUUUUUCAAUUUGAUUCUCAUUCAAUUUUUUAAUUUGUAAAAUUUGUUCCUUUUUAUUUUAAUAAACUUAAAAAAAAUAAAACAUUAAUAAGUUAUUUUCCAGCUCAUUUUUCAUGACUUAGCAAAAUACUAGAAAAUAUUUUUCAAUUUAUUUUUCAUAACACUAUCAAACCUUAAAAAAUAAUUUACUUUUUAGGAAUUUAUUUUGCAAUAAAAAUUAUUUUUUAGAAAAAAACUACUUUAUGAUAAACAAACAGAGUUUAAGUUAAGAAUGGAGCAACAAGGUCAUUUUUUGGUCCAAACCGGUGUUUAAAAACCAUUGAAAAAACAACAUUUAACUAAAUAAAUACGAGAUUUUUUAAGACAAUUUCAAAAAACCUUGGCGCAAAAAAUCGUCAUUUUCAUCCCUGAGACAGUAUCAAUUCAGCAUAUAAGUAGCUUGAAAAAAAAUGACGAACACAGCGAAGUUAGGAGCUCAGUUCACCUGCAAAACUAGAGUGCUACUGGAAUUGAUCGUGAUAGCCAUUUAAAUUUGUAUCAUUCAUGGAGGGACAAGAGCUUCACUGCAUAUCCUCCAUUGCCCACAUAGUCACAUUGCCAGCUUUGAAGAGAAAUUAACAAAAUGGAAAAAAGAAAAAUAACAGUAGUAGAAGAAUAUGUAUGGAUGGUGGUGAAUGAGACAAAAGAUAAGAAGAAGAAGAAGAAGAAAGGCUAAAACCUGCUCAAUGAAACUCACCUGCCCCACAUUGAAGAUAUCAACAAAUCAAGAUCUGGAAGAACAUAUAGGACAGGUCUGAAAUGCCACCCAACAGACAAAAUCAUCUGUGUUCAUCAAUGCCGUGAUGUCCAUAUAUGUUUACGUGUCUUCGUGGAUGGAACAAAUAAGUUGCUGCCAAGGAAAACUUGUUCGGUGAGGCUUUUCAAUGGAUUCCAAUAUAAUUUUUUUUUAUUAAUAUAAAUAUUCAAGUUAACUUGCGUGCACCUUACUUAUUCCACGAGUUCUGAAGUUAAUGACUAUAUAAAUCUCUAGUAGCUCUAAAAGAACUCAAACUCGUAACUAUUGAAAAACAAACCCAAAAUCUUAUCAAUAUUUCAACAUAAUCUUGUAUCUAUGCAAGGUGUUCACAUUAUUUUGAUCUGUUUCUGGAAGACAAACUCAUCAAUGAUUGGAUCAGAAUGUCGGUAAAUCACAAGUUAAUUGUGGUUAUAGAGAGUGUUCUUGAAAUUUUCUUUCUCUCUCUUUGUGUUCGUGUUUCCAUUUCAUAAUUUAAGCAGAGUGUCCUUUCUUAGAUCAGGAUUCAAGGAUCAUGACAAGAUCACUCGGAAGUAAAAAAAAAAAAUUAAUCACGAACAUGAUUUAAAUAUUACCUUUUAUCAGCUUAAUGCUAACAUAACAAAAUGCAAGAGAAAAAAUAAUUUUUUGUUUUUAAUAAUGAAUAUUCUUAUAUCAGUUUUUAUAUAUUAAGGUCAAAAAAAUUCUCUUUCCGUAUCAAAAUUAUAUAUUUAUAAGGAUCUUUUUCGGCUCUUUAAUUUUCUUAGAUUCAAACUAUUUUACCAGCUACUAAGUGGAUCGGAUAAAAAAUAUUUAACAUGUUAAAAAAUAUUUAAAUUGUAGAAAACUAUUUAGCUUUAUUAUUAAACUCGGUUUAAUGUCAACCUUAGAGUGUGUUUGUCUAUACGGUAGCGGUUGCGUUUUGAAGAAACCAUAAAAAAUUGUGUUUGGUUAAAGUGUUAACCAGUGUUUUUAAAACAUGGGACCCACCAAAAAACAAGGUAGAAACACAGUUUCAGGAGAAUCAUUUUGCACCAGCUUUACUGGCACUAUUCAUUUCACAAAAGUGAACAGUGUGCAGAGUGAAUUAAUUCACUCUGCACACAAAAGUGAACACGUGAACAAUGCAAGUGAACUUUGCACUGUUCACGUGAAUAGUUAAAAAAUUCAAUUUUUUUAAAAUUGUGUUUUAUUUGAAAAACUAGUGUUUAAUAUUAUUUAAUGACACUACAUAAAUGGCGUAGCAUUUGCAGAAUUUGAUCGUAAUCUCAAUUUUGUUCCUGAUGAUAUUUUACCUGAUUUUGUUGUACGCUAAAAAUUUUAUUUUUAAAACCUCAUGAUUUGACUCCUUAUCUAGCCCAUGUUUAAAAUUAAACUGUGUGUAAGUUGUUCUAACAUAACUCAGACAACUUGGUCAGCUCAAAAAAAACCCUACUGACUUGGAAAAAAUUCUAAGGAUAAAAUUGAUAAAAAAAAAAUCACUCAACCCAAUUCUUGUCUAGCUCGGGUUUAAAAUCAAAUUGUGUGAAAGUUUUCCGAACAUGAUCUAGUUAACUUGAUUGGUCCAAAAACAAUCCACGUGACCGAUUAAAAAAAUAUUGAGGACAAAAUUGAGAAAAAAUAAUAAAAUUGACAGAAAAAACUUCUCGACUUAACUCAUUGCCUAGUCUGGAUUUAAAAUUAAUACAUGUGAAAAUUAUUUCGAUGUGAUCUAAUCAACUUGACAUUUCCAAAAAAAUUGAAUGACUAUCAAAAAUAGUUUGAUUAUGAAAUUGAGAAGAAAAUGAUGUAAUUGAAAAAAUAAUAGGGGAUUGAAAAUAAAAAGGAGGGGCUGAAUUGAAAAAAAAAUUAUUAAAUUUUCCAUGUUUUUUUUAAUUAGAGCAAUUCCACUUACCAUCACUCGUGGCUCUAAAAAAUUGAAAUGGAUUUGUUGUUCAUGUGCAAAAGCUGGACUCGAAGUUGAAAUCUAUUGUCGGCUACUAUAUCGAAAUGGAUAGCUAUCUGGAUGAAAUUGACAUCCAGAAGUUUGAAAAGAUUAUUUAAGACAUGAUAUUGAAGUUAUGUUUUCCACCGCUUAUUUUUUUACUAUAAAUUUGAAGUUUUUUUUUUUUUUAUGUGGUAUUUUGUUAUAGAGAUAUUAACGGGCAAAAAAUAACCACUUAAUUAAAAUUUGAGAUUUUUAAUUCUGAAGUUGAUGAAUACUGAUCUAAUUUGAUUUGAAUGAGUGAGUAUUUUUUAGACUCGAUAAAUAAUAAAUAGAAUAUAAAUAUUGUCAAAACCUAUUCAAAACUCACCCGAAAUAUAUAUUUAUAUCAUAUAAAUAUAUUUGUGGAAUAUUUAGAUUUUUUUUAAUACAAUAUAGUAUAUACAUAUUUUAAUAUUGACAUAAAACACACACAUAAAUAAUAUUUAUCAUUUUAUUAUUCAAUAUACAUAUACAUAUUUUAAAUAUAUAUAUAUAUAUAUAUAUUAACUAUUUUUUUAUUGAUUAAUUAAUAAUAAUAAAUAGUGGAUACCUAUUAUGAGAUAUAUAUAUAUAUAUCUAAAAAUUUUAUUUGUAAAAUAAUAGAUAAAAUAUGAAUAUCAAGAUAUCCAAGAAUAGUCAUUAUCAUUCCUAAUUAAAAUAUCUAUUAAUACCAUUUUGUGUGUUUUCUUACAUCUUCACUUUUAAGUGGGGGUCUACCUUAAUCAAGAGGAUUAAUUGCAUCGAAUUGUUUAAAGAAUCCAUUUUUUCCAUUGAAAAGAGGAGGGAAAACACACAAGAAAAGAAAAUUGUGUUCUUGUUUCUUUCUUAAUUAGGUGGAAAAAAGUAAAAACAAACAAAAAUUCAAGACAGGUAUCGUUUCUCAAGAGAUGGCCUGUGCCCUGUGGCAGUCAAAGUCAGCAACUACACAGCAUUUUCGAAACCUUCAAAUCGAGUCAGCUGAUCUGGGAAGAAGGUUCCAAUUCCGUGACCAUCUUCACCUCUGUUUUGAAGAGAACAAUAAACAGCGAGUCGAUAGAGAAGUACAUGAACCCACCUGGUGAGUGAGUCACAAACGACCCAAAACUGUUCCCCGCCACACAGUGCCAGGCCACCCCAUAUACCGAGUCAAAUUCCUGUCCAAAUUAACCCUCUCAGUUCUUGAGACUCAAAACACAUUGGCUAAAACCAGUUUGUAAAUGCUAUCAGUACUUAUUAGCGAUUAGCAAUUGAUAAUCUAAUUAAUCACUAAUUAAUCUUCUGAUGCUGUAAGAGUAUCAAAGAGCUACUGAACCAAACAUAUAUACGUGUUAUUAGGAGAUGGAGAAGAUGAGAUACACCUUUUUGAGGGCUCGAGCAAGGAGGGUAGGAUUGGGGCGGUGUUUGGGAGCUGAUGAUAUUGAUGGGUCGUCGAGAAAUGAUCUUGCAUAGCGAAGGGCACGUUCUUGCAUGUCGACUGGCAUGUCGGAAGAUCUUAGCCUUACAUUUAAGCUUAGUGCAAUGGCAGCUAGCUUCAUGACUUCCUCUGUCGGAGACCUAUCUUGGGCCAUUAUUAAUGUCGCUUCUUCUUGUCUGUUUUGAGCAGUGAAAAAAUGUUGUUUCAAGCCAGCAGCUUGCUCCUCUUUCUGUCUUUGGGAUUUAAUGAUAUCCAUGAAUAAUAAACAAAGAGAAUAAAUGUUAAGACAAAGAAUGGAGCUCUGCGGAGAGAAUAAGCUGUGCUAGCUUGCUUGCAGUGCUGGUUAAGGAGAUUUAUUGUGUUUUAAAGUUUUUUUUAUUUAAAAAUAUAUUAAAAUAAUACAAAAAUACUAAAAAUAUUAUAAUUUAAAAUAAGAAAAUUAAAAUUUAAUAAAAACUCAGAUCCAGACAUAUAUUGAUUUGUUGUGUAUGUCAUGAGCAGAGUUUAGUUAAGCAUUGGCCAAUAGUAGGUGUACAAGUGUUGAAGUUUGGGUAAGUUUGAGUUGUGUGAUUGGACAGUUCUUUCAUGUGAGUCACAGGGCGUGGGGUUAGUCAAGGUCACUGUACCAGUCUGGGUAUGCAUGCCGACACGGGGAAAGCAUGGAAAGGGUACGGUGAAAGGUAUGAAGUUCUUUGUUGACCACCGUUGAACAAAAUCAAUCAUAUUAAUCACGAAUCUUUCUAUGCUGAUGUUUUUGCCUGUAGAAAUCGAUGGGAAAGUUGCCUUAGAAAUUCUGUAAAAAUUAGGUUUGAAACAAUUUUGAAGAAAGGAUAGAGGUUGCCUUAGUAAUUUUCAAUUGGCAUCUGAUUGUAAAUUUAUUUCAAGCUAUUAUAUGCCAAUAAUUUUAAUUAAGAGUUUCAUCAAAUUGGACUUGUAUCAAAUUAAUUAUGAUCUAUAAGAUAGAGGUUCAUGAUGUUGUAAUUGGUGUGUUAUAAUGUAAGAAAAUAUUUUUAAGAGUUUCAGUGUUUGACUAUGUCAUGAAAAAUAAAUUAUAUCAUCUAAUUUAUAAUUUUAUUAAUUUUAGUUUUUAUUUUAGUACUAUUUAUUUUGUUUUUGAUGUUUUUUGAAGUUUAAUUUAUUUUUUAUUGCAUUUGUUUUUUAAUCUGAUUUAGGUUCUCAUUCUUCUAAUUGCUAUUUUGUUACUCUUUUUCUUGAUUUAUAUUUUUUUAUUUAUUUUGUCCAUCAACAUUUUAUUUUAUUUUGUUUUUUUUAUGUCCUCAUUCUUUCAAUUACAUUUUGUUUAUCCUUUUCUUAAUUUUUUUUCAAUUUAGCCCCUAAUUAUUUUCUUUCAUUUUGUUUUUAUACCAUAUUGUUUGAGUUUUAAAUUGUUUUACGGUUGUAAAUUUUACUUUGUUAUUUUUUUAUAAUUUUUUUUCUACGGAGUAAUCUCUAUCUCAUGACCCGGACUCGAUUAAGUUCGGCCUUUUUUUGGGGUCGUCUAUUUUUUUUUUCAUAUUCAUCAUUUGACAUUUGGUUAUUAGGCCCUUGACUUCAUUGUUUGUUCCACUUUCGUUUGUUAAGUUAUCUCGAUCUCAAUCUUUUAUCUUUGUUUUGUCGCUUUAAUAUGACAUUUCGUUAUUUUCUCAAUUGUUUUUUUUUCAUCUCUUAAAGUUUUUAUUUUUUAAUUUCAUCAUUCUAUAUUAUAUUUUUCAACAUUUUCAUUUCAAAAAUUUCUUUCAUUCUGUAUUUCCUAGUGUGUUUAUAGUUUUGGACACCGUUUCAUUAUUUAUCGGACAUCAAUUUUGCAAAAUUAAAGUAUAAAUAUUGUAAAAAUAACAAUUAAAAGAAUGAGAACCAAAGUUUACAUUUCAAAAAAUGAAAAGUCUCCUUUGAAAUUUUAAUAGAUCAAGAAUGGAAACCAAGACAGAGAAAGAGAAGAAAGAGAGGGAAAGAAAAAAGAAAAAAAAAUGAUUGUUGAAGCUACUCCUUUCACCACACGCCGCUGUGAAGGAAAGACCUUGCCAAGACAAUUCCUAUAGCAUUAAAGAUGGCCCCCAUUAUUAGAGCUUAGAGUAAGAUGCACGUGCCAUCACAAUGUGCGGCCUUCCUCACAAGCUGGAGGAUGUGUUACACACGCUAAAUAAUUUUUCUCCUUUCAUUCAACUAAGUCCCUAAUUUUCUAAUAUCUCUUCAAUCUAGACCUUGAUUAUUUAAUAUCUUUUUUUUUGUUUAAUUUUGUCCAUGAUUCUUUAGUAACUCUUCAAUUUAAUCCCAAAUUUUAGCUCAAUAAAGGCAUGAUUAUGAUAUGAGAAAAGAAAGAAAUAAAAUGGCCUAACUGGCCUCAAGUGCAGCUCGACCAAACACAAUAGGUUAGGGAAAAAAAUACUCACACUUCGAAAAAACAUUGCCAUGCUCUUUUUUAACUAUUCAAUUUAUACAUAUCAAAAUAUUAUAAUCUAUCAUUAAUUGUAGAGAGAGAAAAAGGUAUUCAAACACUUUAAAACCUAGGUUAGACAAGGAGUUUGUCAAAAAGUUUCAAGUUUAACCUAUUUAGGUAGUGUUUGACAUUAUGGUAGUGAUUGUUUUUCAAAGUACUUUUAUCUUGAAAGUGCAUCAAAAUAAUGUUUUUUUAAAGUUCAUUUUUGACAUUAACGCAUCAAAACGAUCCAAUAACAAUAAAAAACUUGAAUUAUAAAAAAUUAAAAAGCAUGGUCACACCACAAUAACAAACAAGCUCUUAAUCGAGUUUAUUAAUAAUAUUAAGAGUUCCUUACAACUUUAACUUUGUUUUUGUUUUUGCUAAAACAUAAAUUUUAUGUGAUCCGCGAUAAAGCACAUGAAAUAACCUCAUUAAGAAAUACUCUAAAAGGCAGGGGGGAAAUAUUGUUCCUCGUGCCACUAUUUACCAAUGAACAAAUCAUUGCAAUGAUUUGUCUUUUUUAGCCCUCCUUCUCUGUGUUUUUAUUACAUCCUUAUAAGCCUAAAUUAAUGGUCAUUUAAGGCACAUUUAUUAAGAAAAGCCAAGAUUCAAAGAUAGGAGACUAAAAUGAAAAAAGCAGGAAAAAAAGAUGGUUUUUCUAAACUUGAGGUUAAACAUACAUUUUUGUCCUCCAACUUCUCAAAUUAUAUACUUUCAGUACCUAACAAUUUAUGAAAGUCAAUUUUGGUGCCAAACUUUAUUUUUCUUAAUUUUUGUUUCUAGUUUGAGAGAUGAGAGAGAAAGUGGCUCGAUUCUGAUCGUAAAGAGAGAAAGUCUCGGUUGAAACCGUUUCUGGCCAUGAAAACGGGUGGUUUGGUGUUAAUGGGUUCCGUCUAAUGAGAAAUAUUUACAAAAUGUGUUUUUUCCUUUAAACUUGUCUGAAAUGGUAAAUUUGAACUCGAAAAGUUUUUUUUGUUUUGAGCUGAUUGUGAGUUUUAGAGCCAAUUUUUGGGUUGUUAAAGGAUAUGAAUAAAUUUUAGAAGGUAUUUCGGGUAUUUAUUUUUUUUAAGUUUUUUCGAGUUAAAAUAUGGUUGAAAUUAGGCUUAUCUGGGUUUGAAAUAGACCAGCCCUGUUUAUAUGAUCAGAGGUUAUUGGAAUUUGGGCAAUGCAAGUUAUGCGUUGCUUGAUAUUUUUUUUCAAAGCAUUAAGGGACAAAUGACCUAUAAUCCACCACUGAAGAAGAUUGAAAAAAAAAGCCCAGGCCCCUGGAUCUUUUUCUGAAGACCUAAGAACUCUGGGCCUUUUUAUCCCAAGAGACUAGGUCUUUUUUUUUUUUUUAUCCAUUACAGUUGCAUUUUUUUUCUUGCAUUUUUUUUUUCAAUUUCAUUACUCAAUAUUUGGUUGGUUAUUAAUUGAGCAAUGUGAUUUUGUUUUAACUUGAUUUUCUUUUCCAAUCACUUUGAUAUUUUGUUGGUUAUUGAUUUUAUAGUUGUUUAUUUUAGAUAAAAAAAAUUAUAUAAAAAAAAUUUAUUGAAUCCUAUUGAAUCUAUAACCCGAGUUAUAACAUUGACUGAUUAAGUUUGACUAGGUAGGGAUCAAGCUUAAUAAUUUUUUUGUUUCAUGAAUAAUUCUCGAGUUAAAUUUUUUGAAUUUCAUUUAUAAUUUUUUUUAUAUAUAAAAAAACAUUAGUGUGGAUGAAAUGGCUAGUUAAAAAAAAACUAAAAUUUCCUGUAGCAUGUGAGGAGAAUCAUUGUGGAUUUAAGCAGUGUAAAGAUUAUUUUGCCUUCAUCGCUAACAAUUGCCUUGACAUUAAAGGUAAAAUCAUCUUUUCAAAUGGAUUCAAAUGUCAUAUGUGGAUUGAUCUGGAAUAAUUUUGUCAUUCAACUUUGAAAAUGCACAGUUAAAAUAAUUUUUUACCUUUGAAAUCUGAAAAAAAAAAGUCUUUCGUUAAGGGUUUGUUUUGUCAUUUUCUUUUUAUUUGCAUAGUAAAAUAACGCUUAUAUCCUUAGUUGCUCAGGAAAAUGACCUUGCAGAGAGGGGUUUAUUUGUCUUUGCAUUCUUCUUGUACAAUAAAAUUACAUAGUUAACUUUUGACUUUUCAGAUUUAAAGAAUGACUUCGGAGGGCAUUUUUUUUCUUUGCGCCAUGGUUGUUUUUGUAAUAAUGUUGUGCCCUCAGCCCUUUUUUUGUGAUUUAUCUUAUUAAAAUAUUAAUAAAUCAGUAAAAUAUGUUGACGUGUGCCACACAGACGUCAAAGUCCUCCGCGCUAUUCCGGAGGUGCGUGAGGACAAUUACGGUGGCAAAAAAAACUCGAUCGUCGUCUCAUCAUAUGCACAAGGAUGUGGCACUGUUGGGGUGGCACGUUUGCCAAAGCGGGCAGUGAUUCUGCUACGAUGAGUUUUUUUCUCCUGGCUUUCAUUUCUCUUUUAUGGGCCUUGGUAUUCAUGUCAGGCCUUUAAAAAUUUAGUUGUGCCCUCCAUUUUGUAUUUGUUUUGAGUUUGAUCCUCUACUCCUUUAAAUUUUUAUUUGCUUUGAUUUUAAUGCUUCUUGAACUUUAUUUUUUUCAAUUUCAUCCCUCUCCGCAUUUAAUUUAUUUUAUUUUUUGUAUUCAAUCUGGUCCUUAUUCUUUUGAUUGCUAUUGUUUUUUAUUCUUUGCAUUUAUUUUAUUUUUUUGAUCUUGUCUUUUAGAAUUUUAAUUCAUUUUUUUUCAAAUUUUGGUUCUCAUUUUUUUCAUUACUCUUUUUCUAUCCUUUUCUUCAUUUAUUUUGUUGUCAAUUUAAUUUCUGAUUAGUUUCUUUCAAUAAUUUUUGGUGCAAGAUUUAGUCCUCAUUGUUUAUUUAUGUUAUUUUUAAUUUUUUAUAAUUGAGAAUUUUUCUUUGUAAUUAUUUCUGCUUUUUACAGAGUUGUCUCAUUCUCAUGACCUGGUCCAUCACUUUCAAUGAUUUACCUGGUUUGAGUUUGGUAUUUGUUUUUAAAAUAUUUUUUGAAUUUUUUUCAUUUGACAUUGACUUAUUAAGCUAUGAGCUUUGUGAUUUGUUCAGUUUUUUUUUGUUAUCCCUGUCUCAUAACUCGGGUCGCGAGUUAGUCAAGUUAAAAUAGAUUAACUUAAAUUUUUAAAAAUUAAUUUUUAUUCAAUUUUAUUCUCCUUCGUUAAAUUAUUAACCUUUAAACAUUGUAAUUUUUUUCAUUUUACAUGGAGUUAUUCCAAAUAUGCGAUGUUCAAACAUCUCAAUAUCUCUCUUCUACUUGUAUUAUAUAUAACAAGAACUCCGCAGUCCAAAAAAAUCUUAUAGAGAUGAGUGCAGUAUAUUUGACCCUAGACAAGAAAAGGACUCCAGACAUAAAUGGAAGGAAACAAAUGAGAUGCAAUUUUUUUCACCAUGAAGUGGUUUUUGGUAUGUACGCAGUGAACUUUUCUGUAGCACAUGUGCUUAUCUAGACAAGUGAGCUGGUAGUGAGCCCACUCGUUAAUUCCCAAAUCUAGUUACGGAAAUGAACAGUCCUUCCUUCCUGACAUGUCCUGUCCUGGUUAAAAACAAAUAUUAAAGAAAAGCGUAAUUUCCACUUCUCAGGUAAACUCCAAAUAUCAUCAAUUCCCCAUCUCUCUCUGUCUCCGCAAACCCAAUCCAAAGCCAGUAAUCCGAUUCUCCUCAUGGCUGCUCUUCUUGAAUCCCUCACCGUUCCUCCUCUCACCUUCCCUAAACCUAAACCUACUACUACUACACCUCUCUGCGCUUUUGCUUCACCUAUUCACCGGAGAUCCCUUCGGUUACCACACGUCAAAGGCCUCAAGCUCUCCUUUAAUUCGUCGACUAUAAACCGCUCUCCUGGAUCGUUCGUGACUCUCACCAGUUCCAGACUCUCUCGUGGUGGACGGAUUGUUUGUGAGGCGCAGGAGACUGCUGUCGAAGGUCAUCUGGAUCGUAGAUUUUUUUUUUCGACUAUGUUUUGGGCUUAUUUUGUUAAAACCUAAGCUGGGAAAAGAAAAGGAAUUGUCAUUUAAAAAAAAUGUUUUCUUUUGGAUAAAUAAAAUUGUAGAUAUAGAAAUUGAAAAAGUCAUAAUUCAAGGGUUUGUUACUGAAAUAAUUGAAUUGAAAAUGGAACUGCAGUGGCUUCUGUAACGGAUGCAACAUGGAAGUCAGUGGUGCUCGAAUCGGAAUCCCCUGUGCUGGUUGAAUUCUGGGCCCCAUGGUGUGGUCCGUGCCGGAUGAUUCACCCUAUAAUCGAUGAACUGGCCACGCAAUAUACUGGUAAGCUCAAAUGUUACAAAGUUAACACUGAUGAUUGCCCUUCCAUUGCAACCCAAUAUGGGAUUCGAAGCAUUCCCACUGUUAUCAUCUUUAAAAAUGGUGAGAAGAAAGAGGCGAUUAUCGGUGCUGUUCCCAAAACUACCUUAACCACCACCAUUGAGAAAUUCUUGUAAGUGAAACAAGCACUUGCUGCCAAUAAACUAUUUAGCUGCCACUGCUCCAUCUCCAGAUGCUGCUGUAUUUUUAUGUUACCUUCAGAAAAUAUUAGUAACUAUAUGUGUCUUGUCUUACGUAGCUGAAUGCAUGUUUGGUAGCUUGUUCUUGCUUAGUGUAGAUUAAUAUGAGAAGUAUUGGCUUAUCCUUCUUUACAUCCCUCCUGAAGUUUGAUUGUUGUGUGCGAAAUGCAUUGGGAACUGAAAACUGACGAUGCAUUUGGGUUCAUGUGGUUCGAUUAUUUGACCACUUCAGUUAAUUUUAAAAUUUUUAAAAUUUCAGUUUUGAUUUGGUUUGAUUUUCUUAAGCUAAGGAAAUCAAGAUGACCAAAUUGAUUUUUUUUUUUAAUUAUUUCACAUGAUCCACGUACAGAAAAAUAUAUGGUAUGAGAUUUGUGUGAGUCCUUGUGCCUUCUACUGUUAAGGAAACUGAAAAUUUCAAAACUAACCUAUGAUACUAUAUACUGAAUAUAUAAAUGAAAUGCUUGCCAAAAGAUCUUGGUGAGCUGGUGGUGGUGUGGCCAAUCGGUCUAUAGUUUUAUAUAAUGCUAAUAUUGAUUGGUGGAAAUAUUUGGUCUUGGAUGCUUUGAAGAAAAUAUAUGAGAAAUUAAGCAGAGUUUCUCAGUUGGCCUUGUGAUAUGAAACAUCAAUUAUCUCAUCCUAUUCCCUAGGUCUCUGCUUGUUGGCUUAAGUUGAUCUGUGGGUGCAUCAAGUUUAGAACAAGUGUGUUUCAAUUUAACACACUGUUCAUGAAAUAUCAGAUGCGUCCAAUUGUUUGUAUUAAAAAGCAUGUGUUAAUGCUACACUAGGCAACUGGUAAUCCAUGAUGAGGAUCAUAAAGCAGGUGUGAUUACAUGUAAAUUACGUGCUUGUGUCAUAUGAUAAGCCAUUGAUAUCUCUGUUCUUUAAUUUAUUAGAAGGGGUGACUGAUUGUCCGUCUAAUGUUCUGUGUUUUGGUAAUAAAGUGGGGGGUGGGGCUUAGAUUGUUUGGAAUGUGUCCUAGUAGCUGCACUCUUACCCAGUUGCUCCCACUUGUUGGCUUUGUUUGGAGGCUUUAGUUCUGUAUCUUUCUCAAAGAUGGAUAAUGUGCAUCCUGGGAGUAGCUUUGAGUACCUUCUUUCUGAGGAAGCAAGCUAGAACAUGUCUCUUUAAGUCAACCACUCAAGACCAUCAGUUCAUUGGAUUCUAAGUUGCAAUUUUUAAGUAUAACCACGCCACAACUUCAAGUUUUAGUAUCUGAAAUUGAUCCUGGUCUGUUAAUUAUCACUAGUGUCAUUAUAAUUUGUUUAACUCAUAGCUUAGACUCGGAUGGCUUUCAUUAGCUUUUGGAUUAAGACCUUGUUCCUUUUAUACAGUUCCUGGAUGGUUAGUACUGAAGUGUUGGUUCAUUUAGAAGCCAUUUUUUUUUCCAUUUGUUGUUCAUCUGGAAUGAAAUGAAUAAAACUUUUGAGGAAUUCUGGUUACUGAACGCACAAGUGGCUUAUAGCAUAAUCAUGUCUCCAAGGUGCUCUAUCUUCAGAUUUCCUUGGGUCUUUCUUUACGACCACCAUGUGAAAUUGUUUUAAGCUGUGCUGUAGUGAUGUGAAUGAGAAUGAAGGGACAAUUUGUUUUUCACAUGAUUUGGAUUGUGUAUCACUGUAGCUACUCUUCUGGAAGUGUUGUCAUACCCUCUUGGGCAUGAAAAUGUAGCCACCUGACAUGUUCUAACAUGGAUUCAUGUAUAAACUCUGCCAGGACAAUACUAGACCUUUUUUGCUCCUUUGUCUAGAAAUUUGGUCAUAUAAAUGAGGGUCUGAUAGGACUAAGAGUACACAUUUAAGAAGGUUAUAGUUUCUGCUUUUCAAUGUUCUGGGUGGAUAGUUUUUUUGGUCUCCCACCUGGGAUAGGACCUAUAUUUUCUGGACAGAAGCUUUUAGUAGAGACAACAACGUAUGGGUAUCCAAUAGCCUCUUGCUGGAUUGUCAAAAGUGUUUAUGCUCAAGAUUAUAUUUGAAUUCAGGAAUAUGCUGGUCAUUUUAGUGUAGGCGCUGGAGGGGUUAAAUCAUGAGGAAAGCAUCACUGGGAAUUUCUGAAGCAUAUCCAAUACUAGAGAAGACAAACGUUUUUCAGGUUGUGGUUGGAGAGAACGAAGGAUUGGAAAUGCUUGUUGGCGGUUACCUGAAGCAUGGAUGUUGGCCUCGAACUUCAGAAUUAUCUUUUUUCUUGAGGCCACACUUUGAAUUUGGUGUUUUUCCUAGCGCAUUUGUUGGUUUCCUGUGAGACCUAAAGGCCACACGUUAGAAUCUGAUAUUUUUUUUGUCCUAGAGCAUUUGUUGAUUUCCUGUGAGACCAUGCCAGGAGCUUAUUUAUUGGUUUCAUGCAAGACCGUAGCAUGGGCAAAUCUUUUUCAUCUUGAAGUCUUGUUCAUCAAUAAUCAGGUAGAAGCUAAUGGUUCUAAUGGUUGUUCAUGUUUUGGGCCAUCAUUGGAUUAAUUAUUAUUAUUAUUAUUAUUAUUAUUUUUGAGGAUAAGAUUUUCUCUCUUCCAGAUGGCAACACAUUACAUAAUUUAUCAAUCUAGUGCAUUUGACCUUAUAGGGCACCAAAGAUCAUUUACCUUAUUAUUAUUUUUUUAUGGAAGUGUCAAACAUGUAGACAUGCAUGCGAGGAGGUUUUAUAUAUAAUAAUAAUAAUAAAUAAAUAAAUGAACCAACCUUUCUAUUGAUUCAAAGAAGGAUAAUUCUAAAUCAAGAGUGUGAGGGAGUUGUUUAUGUUAGAUGUAUAGGCCUGUCUUUGCAUUUGCUUGAAAGGAUGUAUAAUUCUAAAAUCCGAUUUGAUUUUAAAAAAAUUAUUUUUAAAACAACUCUUUAUUGUUUUUAAAUAAAAAUUAAAAUGUUAUUAUUUUCUGCGCUUUCCCUCGAGCUAGUAAUCCAGUGGGCGGUCGCCUGCAUUCUGGUGUCUCCAGGUAGGUGGGUGCAUCGCAUGCCGAGAUGGUAGAAGAGGUCAAAUACAAUUCGACCAUGAAUAUAGUCAGCUUAUCUAGAUGAACUUACGUGACAGAAUAAUCUAGAUGGUCAUUAAACUUAUCUUUAAUUCUGCUGAUUUUUUUAAUCCAAGUUAAGACUUUUUAACAACUUUUCCCCCAAGAUAUCUCUUUAUUAUUAAAAAAAAAAAAAAGGUUCUUUAACGCCAUGUCUUUCGCAUCUAAUUAUACUAUACAUUAAAAAAACAUAGGGGUGGAAAAAAUGUUCAUAUAAAUGGUAAACCGUCUCAAGGUUUUUUUUUUUUUUUUAAUUUACAUCUUUUCUUUUACUGGGUCCUUCAAUUUUUCUCAUUCAUGUUCUUUUUUUUAUCGAGUUAUUUGUUUCUCAGUUUAGUUUUGUAAAAUUAACUCUUACUAAACAUAAAUGAUGUUUGGAAUUAUAUGUAUAUGAAACAAUGCAAGAUGGAUAAAGAAUAAUUUCAACCCAAUAGCUUAAGUUGUUAGGUGAGGUUUCAGGAUAUGAUUUAUAUUAUUUUCUAACACACCCCUUCAAGUAAAAAUCUUUUGGACUUGAAACUUGUAUAGACUCACAUUACUUUAUACUUAAUUUUUAUUAAAUAAAUGAUGAUGAUGAGAUUUGAACUCAUGACUACUUGGUCAUCAAAACUCUGAUAUCAUAUCAAAGAAUCAUUUCAACCUAUUAGAUGAAAUUUUAAAAUAUAAUUUAUAUUAUUUUUUAAUAUAUAAUUAUCCGGCAGCAUAUUGCGAGGAAUCAAACUAGGAAAAGAGAUUAUGUUAAUACUGUAAUCUUAGUAAAAUCCCUUCCAAUUAACUUCUUAUACUUGCUUGGUCUUUCGUUUGGAAAACAAACCCUAGUCAUCAUCGACUAUUUUCUCACUGACAAUGUAUAGUGCUUUGAUCAUAUUUUCAUGCAAUGAGAUGAUAAAUAAGGCACGCACACGUGGUGAAAUGCAAGCGGUCUAAAAAAGUACGGGUCUACGUAGCAAAUCUAUGUACUACCAACCCACAGACAGACGGUCCUGUCAAAACGAAAGGCACACUGUAUUUUUUUACCCCAUUCUUUUUAAUUAAUUAUAUUUAUCCUUAAGAUCCUUCAUCAAAUCUCUCCCUCCUCUCUCUCAACAAUUUCACAUCUCUCAUCUCAAGAAAAUAAAAAGAUUUGGUCUUUCUGCGUUAAAGUUUCUAAGCCUAUUUUCUGUUUCUUCUGAUCCAGCCUUCUCGUAAGAGGUAUCAUCUCCUUCUCUCUGUUCUCUUCGUGGGUUUGUUUUCUUGUUUCUAGUUUUUAUACUACAAACAUUGCGGGGUUGUUUCUUUUCUUCUAUUAGAUCUUGAUUGGAUUCUGAGUAUAAUUUAAUGUAGGGGUUCUGAUUUUAUUUUGUUUUCAAUCGUGAUUGAAUUGUAGGCUGUUUCUUUUUCAUGGGAUGGUGAGAGAAGUUUUAAAUUUAUCGGGUUUGAUAUUGUCUUUCUUUAAUAAUGCCAUGCUUUAAUAAUAAUAAAAAAAAACAAUGGGAAAGGUGGAUAUGUGUUGCUAUUUGUAUUCAAUUUGUCAAGCUGUUGAUGUUUAAUUGUUUUUGUCUUGGAAUUACUUGUAUGUUUCCUUCAAAGUUUUGUUUGAUUUCUCAAAGUCAUUUAAGCCUUUUGCUUUCUUCUGAUAAAGAAGGUUAAUGAAUUUCUAUGUUUUUCUUAAUCUCAAGUCUUAAAGGAUGAUGGGUUCUUUUGGGGUGUGAAAAUCUGUGUUAUUUUCUUGAUUUUAUAUGUUAAGAGGGCGGAAAACUAGUUCUUUGAAACCAAUAUAGGUAGUGCCCUUUUGGCACUUCUCAAUGUGAAAGAAUCUCAAUUCUUUAGAAAUCAGUUUGUUGUAAAAAAACCCAACAAUUGUGUUUUUUUCAUUUCUUUUUUUCAGACUAGAAAUUUGUAAUUUGGGAGCACGUUAGGUUAUGAUAGCUCUAACUGGCCUACUAGUCUUAAGGUGCUAGAUAUGUAAGAUUAGCGAACUCUAACAUAAGUUAUUCUGCAGCCGUUCUUGUCAUCAACCUUUAGAUCUCUUUAUUUGUUUGGGAGACUGAUAGUAGCAACCCACGUUUUGUUCUUCUCAUAUAUCGUUGAUGGGUUGAGGAAUCUUUGUAUAUGGCUCUUCAUUUUACUAAUUUCAAGCCAGUUCUUUGUCAUUUUCUUGUAGUCAACCUCAAGAUUUUAACCUUUUGCUGUUUAGAACUUCAGCACCUCCGGUCUUGUUUGUUUGUGCUUACUUGGAUGCAUAACUUAUCGUGUUUGAAACUUUAAAUAUCUGGUCUCUGGGAAGGAGAUUUAUUGGCAAUUGAACUCUAUUGCAUAUAGCAGCUUUUUUUUUCCCUGGAAAAUUUCGUUUUUCUUUUGUUAUUGCCGAUAGAUGGUUUUUUCUGUAUGUUUCUGUGUCUCUCGUGCAUUGUCACACGCGCACGCACAUAAUUUAUGCACACAAUGGUUUCUCUUUGAAUAUUAUCAUUGAUAUGCUAAGAAACCUCGCUUUUAAUGCGGAACUUGCAGAUAUGGAACAACACUUCUUUGAUCAUGAGGCACAUUUUGAAUCUGAGGAAGAUGUUGGACUUAAGCAGAAACAUAAAUUGAUCCCAGUCCCAACAGCAGUCUCAGACAAUGACAGUGGCUAUUUUGAAUGCAACAUAUGCUUAGACUCUGCACAUGACCCUGUUGUCACCCUAUGUGGUCAUCUAUAUUGCUGGCCAUGCAUUUACAAAUGGCUCCAUGUUAAAACUUCCUCCCCUGAUGCUAGUCAGCAGCAGCCGAGCUGCCCUGUCUGCAAGGCUGACAUUUCUCCAAAUUCAUUGGUCCCUCUAUAUGGCCGGGGCCCAUCUACAUCUGAAUCAAAAUCCAAGAAAGACCCAGCGGAUGUAGUCAUACCCCGUAGGCCACUCCCUUCUGAGUUGAAUACAGUGAAUGCUAAUACUUCGCCACAAAAUCGGCAACUUCAUUCAAAUUUUUUCAAUCCACAGCCUCAGUCAUUUCAACACCAACAAUACUUCCAUGAUCCUCAUGGAGGUUAUGCAGCCUUGACCUCUUCAAACCUUGGGGGUACCGUGAUGACAGGUUUUUUAAAUCCAAUGCUGGGGAUGUUCAAUGAGAUGGUGUUCACAAGGAAUUUUGGGACGUCGAUCACCAAUAUGUUUGCUCGCCCUUACACAAAUCCUCUCAUGGGAAGUAACAGUCCUAGGAUGAGGAGGCAGGAAGUGCAGCUUGACAAGUCUCUAAAUAGAGUGUCCAUCUUUUUUCUUUGCUGCAUCAUUUUGUGCCUCCUCUUAUUUUGAUUAGGUUAUCUUUCAGCUUUUGUAAAUAGGUGAUGACAUACACAUUGCAGGGACAAUCUGCUGUAAUUUUUUUUUCUGGAAACUCUCUUUUAAGAGAUUUUCCUCGACAGUUUUGCAUUUUAUCUGUCAUUCUUUACUUGCAUAUGCUAUUGUAACUGUUGGAUUUCAUGAGUUGUAUUAGAUUCUUGAUUACAAAAUGUAUACGCGGCUCAUUUUGUAUUUUCUGUAAGGAAAUUGCCAUUUCUAGUUUGAAUUUUGUAGUAUUCAUAUAAUGUUAGGGGCGAGUUUCUUUCUUUGUUUUUUUCCCCCCGCCUUUUUCUUGAAAAUUUUCCCUCUGCAAGUUUAUAUUGGAGUCUUCAUGUUGGAAUGUCAAGUGCAAGAUGCUCCAAGUCAUCAAGUACGCACACGACCUUGAAGCACCCUGGUUCCAUGUUAGCCCUUAUUCUUUGCCUCCUUGUAUGAUCAUAGUUUCGAAGCCAUUCUUUUCCUUUUUCCUUUCUUUUUUUUAAUGAUUUUCGCUUUUAAAUGAUGUACAUUCUCUCAUCUUCUUCCAUAGAUUUUGUAAUUUUGAAGAUAGGUUUCCAUAUAGUAGAUAUUGAAAUAGAUUCAGUAGCAUGCACAACACAACGGAAAGGUGGGACAAAUACAGUGUGCAGAGAUGCAUUUCUAGAAUUUGAAAGUUCAAAGGGGAAAAUAAACAAACUUCGAAUGUCACUUAGUCAGGUUCAUAUGCAAGAUAAGAAUGUCACUGGGUUGUAUUAGAAUGUCACUGGGUUGUAUUAGAAUUUGAAAUGAUUUUUUUAAAAUUUUAUUUUUAUUUUUAACAAUACACAUCAUAAUUAUAAGAAAAUACUAGAAAAAAAAUAUUAAUUUGAUAUAUUUUUUUAGUCAAACAUACUUUUAAAAAACACUUUCAAACAUAUUUCUAAACACCUUUUUAAUCCUUAAAGUUAUUAAUUAAAAAUAAAUAUUAGAAAAAAACACUAAAAUAACCAAAUUUAUAAUUCAUAAAUUCCGAUUUUUUUUUACAAUUAAAAAUAAAGUCAACUAAUCAAUAAACUAAACAAGCAAAUAAUUAUAAUAAAUCAACCUCAAGAUUUAAGUGAAAAAUUCUAUAUGUGAAAAAACUAGUUCACCUAUAAAUUUCCAUUAUCAAUACUAAUAAUGAGUAUGCAAGUGUUCUUUCUUAAUUAAAACUAAAGAUUACAACUUCAAUUAUGGAGAAUAAAAUAUUUUUAAAAUAUAUUAAUAUUAACAAAAAAAAAUUCAAGAAAAACCUUAGAAAACUGAUACCGCGCUUAUGUGAACGAUAAAUCAUCUUAGAAACUCAAUGUCAAAAAUUCAGCAAGAUCAAAUUGUGAUAUCGCUAUCCUCUCCUCUUUUUUUUUUUUUCUUUUUUUUUCUCGCACAUGUCGGUGUCUAACUUGAAAAUAAACUACAAUUGACAUUUUAUACCUAACAAGCUGUAAUAUCUAAAAGGCUUUAAUUUAUAUGAGUUAUGGCUAAAAAAAAAGGAGAAACCAAACCCAAAAAAAGAGUGUAGUGUGGAUUCAUCUUUCACUUAUUACUUUUCAAAAUUAUAGGAUUUGUAUAAAUUUAUUUCUUAUAACAUAAUUUAAAAUUUAAAUUCUCAUAACACCGUACAUUUUAAAUUAAUCCCGUCAUGUAGCUUAAAAUAUUAUAAUCAGAACCGGAACCAGAUUUUCCUUUGCGGCCAUAGCACCUGUAAAGUUUUGAAAAUUCUCAAUUUUACCAUUGAAUAUAUUAGUUUUUCAUAAUAGUUAAGUAAUUAGAUUAUUGUGUGCGCUAUGUUGUGGAUUAGAUUAAAUUAUAAGAAGAUUGAUCUAAUAUGACUUGAUUAACUUGAUAAAUUCAAAAAUAACUCGAACGAGCAAUACAAAUAUAGUUUGAUUUUAAAAAACAACUAGGACAACAUCUUUUUAAAAUAUUAAAAUGACAACAUAUUGUAUUGAUUCAGAUCAACUCAGGUUAACCUGACAAAUUCACCAACUAGGUCAUGAGACCCUGAUAACUCGAUAUAAAGAAAAUAAAAAAAAAUUAUCGAACCCAAUUCUCAAUCAACCUAAUGUUGAAUGAUGAAAUUGCAAACAAAAUUAAACUAAAAAAAUAAUUUGAAUCAACUUGGAUUAACCUAUCAAACAUGGAUCAUAAGACUGAGAUAACCUCAUAUAAAGAAAAUCAAAAUAAAUUAUGAAACUCAAUUCCCAAUCAACCUAAUAUUGAAGGGUGAAAUUAAAAAAAAAUCAAUUAAAAAAGAACACAGAAAACCACCCGAGUCAACCGACCAAACUUAUGAUCUGGGUCAAGAGACCUUGAUAACCUCAUAGAAUGCAAAUCAAAAUAAAUUAUGAAGCCUAAUUCUUGAAUAAGUUCUAACAUCGUGUCGGAAAUCGGUGAACAUGUUCCCUCAAAUCAUCAAGAUACAAUCCAUACAUCAACCUCAUAUCACCAAGAACAAAAUUGUGACGGCGUUAAGGCCCAAAGCGGACAAUAUAUGGCAAGUUGAGCCACAAUAUAUGACAAGUUGGGCCUGACUGUUACUAUUAUUAUUACCACCACCACCACCACCAUCACUGCUACUACCAAAAAUGUAUUCUUGACACGACACAGGAAAUGCAAUAUAAACUCGGAUUGUAAAAUCAUAAAAUUACAAGUUAAUCAAUCACAUUAUAUUGAGAACAUGCUUGAUAAGUUUAAGCAUCUCAAUAUAAAGGAGGUUAAUUCCCCAUUUAACUCUAGUAUGAAGUUAAAUGAUAAUUGUGAUAAAACAAUAGCACAACUAAAAUAUACUAGUGUCAUUGGAAGUCUUAUGUAUGAUAUGCAUUAUACAAGACCAGAUAUGACUUAUGAUACAUGCAAGUUAUCAAGAUAUACAAGCAAGCUGAAUAUGGAUAAUUGAAAGGCUAUUAUAAGAGUCUUUGAUUAUCUAAAAAGAAUGAUCGAUUUUGGCUUGUUUUAUUAUUAUUUUCCAGCUAUGUUGGAAGGAUAUUGUGAUGCAAGUUGGAUAACCAGUUCAAGUGAUAAUAAGUCCACACUAGGAUGGAUUUUUUUCACUUUGAGGAGGUGUAAUAUUUUGAGAAUCUAAGAAACGAACGUGAAUCUCUCAUUCUGCAGUGAAAUCAAAAUUUAUUGUUAUGGUCGUUGCAAGUAAAGAAGCAGAAUGACUAAAAAAUCUAUUGUUAGAUAUUAAGUUGUAGUCAUAAUCUAUGUUAGCUAUUUCUUUAUACUGCGAUAGUGAAGCAAUAAUGUGUCGAUCUUAUAGUAAUAUUUACAAUGGUAAAUCAAGACAUAUAAGUAUUUGACAUGAGUAUAUUCAAGAAGUUGAUUGCAAAUGGGGUAAUCAUCAUUGUCAAUAUAAAAUCUAUGAAUAACUUAGCGAAUUUGCUCAUAAAAAGACUAUUUAGAGACAUGGUAAGGAAAAAAACUAGUAGAAUAGAGUUGAAACCCGUUAUUAAAGAUAUUGAUAGUAAGAACCCAACUUUGAAUUAACAAGAAGUUUAUCUAUAAGUUUAAUGGGUAAUGAUAAGUAACUGUUUAGUAUCUAUUAGACAUUGAUAAUUAAUUUUGGACCAUAUUAUUAUAGUAUUACAUGUGUUCUAUUACAUAAACAAUGAUGAACGUAGGCUUUUAAAGGAAUUUAAAGUUCAAGUUUAAUGUAAUAAAGAUAUGUAUAAUUCCACCUAUAUGAAUAUAGAAGUGGUGUCGUUUAUUUUUUAUAUUUAUAAGAGUUAAGGUUUUCUCUUAUAGAUAUUCAUGAAAAUGAGAUUUUAACACAUGACCAUAAUAAGUGCUAAACAAUUGUAAACUCUUGCAGGGUUGUUGAGUGGUGUGAAGGUUGUCUUGCAGGGGAUGGUGUGCAGUCAUUAUCAUGCAUUAAAUGCAAGGUGUGAUUGUCUUCGUCCUUUUUCCUUUUAUGAUCUCGGGGCCUGGUUAUUGCUCUGGUGGAUUGGAUGUUGAUUCAUGUAUGGGGGUUUGGUUUCUAGAUUUUUAGUUUCUUUGCCUUUGUUUUCUCUGCGUUUGGUUUGUGGAUUUUUUAUUUCUUGGCCUCUGUUUUUUCUUCUAAUGUUUUGGUUUGGCUUAUUUUUUAAAAUUAUAGUCGGUUUUAUUUGCGUUAUGUCACUUCAUGUCCAAUUUCAUGUGCAGAGUCUUUUUUAUUGUCAUUUUAAAUGAUUUGUUUUUUUUUCUUUUCCUCUUGAUGGCUUAUCAGGUUUGGCUUCCCUGUUAGUAGAAGCAUUCUCCUGUGGUUUUCUCAUCUUUUUAGCUCCCUGUUUUCCUACUGUUGUUUUCUAGGUUUAUUUCUUACCUGUAUUUUCAAUUUUCCCCAUUGUUUUAUCCUUCCAUAUUUUACUAUGUUUUUUUUUUUUUUGUGAUUUCAGACUAAAUGCUUGACCUACACUUUUACAAUAAUUUUUUUUUAAAUCUUUAAGUUCCAACCACGUUAUAUUCAAAAAACGAGAGACAUGUGUUGAUGUCUCACAAGCCAAAAUAUUUACCCGGAUAUCUUUGCUAUAUUGAAUUGGACAAUUAUUGACGUACAAUAAUUAUAUAAUUUGUAUUCUUUAAAAGUUGGAGGACCAUAGUGUAACAUUUCCUAAACUUCUAACACGUCCCAAGUGUCAUGGGUCUAGCAAUCAUGCUAGACCAUGACGACAUGGGCCUGACAACCAUGUCAGACCCAAGUCAUGCCAGCCCCAAGACACUUGAGUCUGGCGAUUUGCAUUUAUUUAAAAUUUGGAGGGCCAAAUUGUAACUUUCCCUAAAUGUCUAACACAUCAUCAUGUUUGGGGCCCUUUUCUUUCUGGUACCUAUUCUUUUGAAUUCUCUCUUGAUAGAGAAAUCAAAAUCAAAAGGCCUUUAAUUAGGAUUAGAUCACCCAUGAUAAAACUUCGACAGCCAAAAUGAAUCAUUAGAAAUUGCACAAUAUAUCCACAAUAUUUUUUUGUUUGUGUGGGUAUUGCUAAUCAAGGGCAAAAAAGCCAGCGCCUUUUAGAUUUUUGCUUGAUGUUCAUAGUUUUGAUAUUUUGCCUCUAUUUGAUGUUUUAGUUUGAUCUUCACACAAUCUUCAACCACGCCAGGCAUAAGUGACUAGGGUCUGACGAUCGUGCCAGGCCCCAACGAGUUGGGUUGGCAGGGUUGCCAGACCCAAGAACUGGUGGGUGAGAGGAAAGGAUGGCUGAAAUCCGGCCUAGAGAGAGAAAAUUGUCAUUUCUUCGAUUUCGGCAAUCAAAAUAUUAGAUUUUUGUUCCAAAUAGUUUCAUAUGAUGAGAGAAGUUUGACUUAGGAAUUUUUUUUUUAUCUUGAAAGUGCCUAAAAAUAUCAGAUAUGAGAUCGAGAAGAAAUUGGUUUUCAAGUUGAUUUUUGGUUUUUGAUCGGUUUUUUGUGCUUUUGAAGGUUAAAGAUUGGCUUAAAAGGUUACUAAGGUGAUUUUCUAGGUGUCUUGGGUUGAGAAUGGUUUGAAAAUGGGUUUCUAGAAGAAGAAAAAACAGUUACCUUGAUUUUCUAGCAACUAUGGUGGCCAGAAUCUGGGUAUGAUGAGCGAUGUGUCGUCUGACGCGUUUUUUUUUUAAAUCAAUUAGGACGGACGACAUGUUGUUCGCACCAUUAUCAAACAAAAAAUAAUAAAGGCUCAAGAUACUUAGGUCUGGAAACCAUGCCUAAUCCAAGUGCUUGGGUCUGAAAACUGUGUCAGAUCCAAGUCGUUUGGGUUUGACUUGGUUGCCAGAUUCAAGCGCCAUGAGUCUGAAACUAAGCCAGAUUCAAACGACUAGGGUCUGGCAACCAGCGCAAUGAUAUAAAAAUAUGUCGCAACGGAGUGCGGAGAUGUAUUAUAUAUAUAAUUUGAUUAAGAAACUUCAAGCCAAGUCAAUAAAUGCAUGUCUAACUCAAACUCAUUAAAAAUAAGCAAGAGUACUUACUAACUAGUAGCAUCUAACACAUUUUAAUUUAUCACUGCUUCCUCCAAGAGAAACUGAAAGAUAAAAAGAAAAAAACUGUGUAUGUUUUCAGCUUUAAAUAUUAUUUUUGAUAUCAUGUGCAUGGAAAUACUUAAUAUAUUUAUAGGUUGGAAGUGAAGCUUUUUCUUCCUUUCUCUCUUUCUAAAUAAGACUAAAACCCGCGUAUAUACAAACAUUAUAUAACGUCAAUGGUCAGCACCCUUUUAAUUUUUAGAGCGAUAUAGCUAGUUAGGCUGUCAUCUUUAAAUUGUAAAACAUCUCAUUGGCUAUAUAUUCCUCAAUUUUCUUAAGAUAAUAAUAAUAAUAAUAAUAAUAAUAAUCUCACUUUGAUUCAAAAGUUAUUAAUUAGUAUUCAACCAGUAUUUGUUUCCCGACCAAGAGUAGGAGACUUAAUUAGUAGAAGUACAAAAGGACACUCAUAAAGUGUUCAUAAUUAAUUAAUUCUACAAAAGCAUAGUCAUUGAACUCAUUCAUUCAUCUGAAAGGAAAAAGAAUCCCAAGAAAUUAUUUAAAAAAAAAAAGUUGUCUAUGAUAAGCCUUAUAGUACAUGGAUAGCAUACUAUUAUGAUAAAAUAUUUAGCUGGAGAUAGAAAACACCGACAGGUGACUUUCAAGAAGAUCAUGGCACACUAAGCAUCACAUGCAUUUGCUUGCUUGCUUGCUUUCUUCAUCUUGUACAUAUAUUCCGUACUUUAAAGGACGUGAAAAAACGCGUUUUCAUUAAUUUCCAUCGUUAAUUAUCUGUUAAUAAUAUCCUCAAUCAGAAAUAAUAUCGACAUAUUCCCAGAAAGAAAUUAAUGCAUCGAUUCAGAUUCUAAAAUAAACACCGACAACCGCGUAUAUGGGCAUAUGUUUGCCUAUAAAAUGGAGACACUUUCCUCGAGAAUUUUGUGUACUAAGUUUUUUGAGAUUAUUUACAAAGGAAAAUGGGACCUUUUGUCACUCUUUCUGUUUUGGUUUGCCAAUUUCUUUUCUUUGUUUGCUUGCUUAGUUUGAAGGGGAUUAAUGGUGGUUGGCUCAAUGCUCAUGCAACCUUCUAUGGCGCCAAUCAGAGCCCCGCCACUCUUGGUAAGUCUUAGUUUCUUAGAAAAAAAAGAACCCAAGAAUAUAUAUUGUAAUGCAUGUCACUCUUUCUGUUUUGGUUUGCCAAUUUCUUUUCUUUGUUUGCUUGCUUAGUUUGAAGGGGAUUAAUGGUGGUUGGCUCAAUGCUCAUGCAACCUUCUAUGGCGCCAAUCAGAGCCCCGCCACUCUUGGUAAGUCUUAGUUUCUUAGAAAACAAAGAACCCAAGAAUAUUAUUGUAAUGUGAGAUAUAGAAUAUAUGCAUAAAAAUGUAUUAUUUUUAAUAAUGAAUACGCGUAAAUUACAAUAAAAAAUUGUAAUUUUAGUUUGCUUAUCUUUCUCUCUCUUUUUCUCUUCCUUCAAUGUUUUUCAGGCAAAAUUUCAUAUAUUUAAUAUAAUCAUCAAUAAAAUUUGAUCAUCAUUAAAACAAAUCAAUCAAAAUGUCCAACAAUUUAUAAUUUUUUUUCUUAAAAGUUCCAUGUAAAUUAAUUAAACCACUUUAUGUACGGAGAAUUUAAAUGCAUAGUAAUUACUUUGGUGUGUAUUCUAUACGUCAGGAGGAGCUUGUGGAUAUGACAACACCUUCCAUGCCGGAUUUGGAGUGAACACGGCGGCCGUGAGUGGUGCACUGUUUAGAGGUGGAGAGGCAUGUGGUGCUUGCUACCAAUUAAUGUGCAACUAUAGGGCAGAUCCCAAGUGGUGCCUCCGACGUGCAGUUAUUACGGUAACUGCCACCAAUUUCUGCCCUCCAAAUAAUAAUGGAGGGUGGUGCGAUCCUCCUCGCCAGCAUUUUGACAUGUCCAUGCCUGCUUUCUUUCGCAUUGCACGACAAGGCAAUGAAGGCAUAGUUCCUGUGCUCUAUAGGAGGUAAUAAAAUCAUAUAACACGCACACAAAUUCCCAUAUAAAUUUAUAUUUUCUUUAUAGUAUGUUUAAAAUAUGAUUUUGAAAAUGCAUGAAUUGAAGGGUAUCGUGCACAAGAAGAGGAGGAGUUCGUUUCACUCUGAGGGGACAAUCAAACUUCAACCUGGUCAUGAUCUCUAACGUUGGUGGUAGUGGUGAUAUCAAGGCUGCAUGGGUUAGAGGCUCAAGGGCAAGAUCAUGGGUGCCAUUGCACAGGAAUUGGGGUGCAAAUUGGCAAAGCAGUUUCGAUCUUCGAAACCAAAAACUGUCUUUUAAGCUCACUUUAGUUGAUGGAAAAACACUGGAAUUUUUUAAUGUUGUUCCUUCAACUUGGAUGUUUGGACAGACAUUUUCUUCUCGAAGUCAGUUCUCUUAAAACUAAGGAGAUUUUUUCCUCUUUUUACAUGUCUUGAACUGGCAUUUUUCGAUUGUUCAAGAACAUGAAGAUGCAUUUUUUUCUUUUUUAAGUAAAACAUCUUUAAUUUGGAGGAACGACAUAUUAUAUAUAUUUCGUGGAUUAAGAUUUAUGUUUAACAAGUUUUUGUUACAUGGUGAUUUACUUUUGCAAAGCUCAAUAAUCAAGAGCAAUGCUAUUUUGUAACCUGGAUUGAAGAUAUAUUAUUGAUAUAGCAAUAAAAGGAAAAUUACAAUAAAUCUAAAUAUAUAUAUAUAGCAUGACUGAUACCGAAUUUUUGCAUCCUUCAAGCCUAUGUGAUUCACAUUUUUCAUCAAGGAUUUGUUCCACUCAUGUCAAAUAACCAGGUGUGUGCUUCUCAAAUUCAAUUCCUAACCGUCACAUCCAAACAAUUCCACGUUUAGCCCAUAAAACGUGCUUCCCUUGGUUGAUUUUUUUUUUCAAUAAAAAAAUGAAUAAAGAGACAUUUUCAUUGUAUUUUGAUUAUAAAAAAAAAAUACCUAAUUAUAAAUUGAAAUGCUUAUACAUACUGCACCAAAUUAAGUCAAAGGAUGAAAUGUGAAGGAAAACAUAAAAAGAAGCUUGAAAAUCAAUUUUCAAAAUACAAUAAAUGUCUAAUAAUGAAAUUAAAAAAAUCAAUUUAAAAAAAUUCAUAAAAAAAUAAAGUUAACCUAAGUAAACUAUCGAAACUUAUGACCGUGGUCAAAAGGCCUGAACCGACCAUAUAGAAGGUAAACCUAAAAAAACAAUGAAGCAAAGUUAUUAAUAAAAAAAUAUUGAGUGAUGAAAAUGAAAAGAAAAAUAAAAAAAAAUAAAAAAAAUCCUAGUUAACCUAGGCUAACCCCCUAACUACACAAAAGGAAACCUUACAGAAAUGAGGAUUGAGAUAACCUAACAGAAAAAAAAAAAAAAGAACAAAAACUAAUUAAAAAAAUCAAAUGUUCAAUGAUGAAAUUAAAAAUAAAUCAAUUCUAUAGAAAAACCUAGAGAAAAAAAUCAAAAUCAAAUCAUGUUAACCUUCGAAACUCGUGACUUGGUCAUGAGGUUGAAACUAACCCCAUAGAAAGCCGUUUAAAAAAAAAAAGCUAAUGUUAAAGGACAAAAUUAAAAAAAAAUUAAAAAAAAAAUAUGUCGACCUGCGCUAACUCUCCAAGCCCGUGACAUAACAAAAAAAGAGCAAAGUCCAAUCUCUAGUAAAUUAAACGCUAAAGGAUAAAAUUAAAAAAAAUCAAUGCGACAAAAUGAUAUAAAAUAUAAAAAAAUUAUAAUUAAAUGAAUGAUUGUGAUUAUCAAAAUAAAAAUUAAAUCAAAGGGCAAUAAAAAAAUUUAGAUCAAAAGGCUAAAUUGAAAAAAACUUUAAUAGAAGGGAAAAAAAUCAAAAAAAUGAGGAAAAAAACACCAUAAACUACUAGGAAGAGGUGCCGCCCAAUCAAAAGAAUGAGGAAAAAAGCACCAUAAACUACUAGGAGGUGCCACCCACGUGGCUUAAGGACGCAACACACUAGCUUUUUCGAAUAAAAAAAAUAAUUAAUAAAGGAAGAAAGACCAAACUACUCUUAAUGGCAAUGAAAUUAACAAAAAAAAACUAUAUUGAAAAGAUCAAAGUGCCCCUAGACCUAUGUUUUAAUUCCAUGGGGUCAAGGGGCAAAUAUGUCUUUUCUAUGUAUUUAAAAAACUUAAAAGACCUAAUUCUUUUCAUCAAAUAGUUAAAAUAAAAAUAUAUAAUCUAUGGAGCAAAGAGAUUAUUUUAUUGUUCCAACAAACUUGAAAAGUUACAUAAUCACCCUCACAAAUCAUUAAUUAUGAAUGGGAUAAAUGAAAAGAUUAAAAUACCCUCAACAAUAGUCAUCUCAGCAAUGAAUAGUAAAAACAAAGUAUGUCCAAGUGUUUUCCAUAAUGUUUUUGCUUCAUGCUUUAGAUGUUGUUCAUUUACACAGCCACAUCAUGUUUUUUAUAAAUUGAUAUUUUUUUGUUUUAUUUUUUUUAUUUUUAGAUCAUUUUGAUAUAAAAAAUAAAUUUAUAUAUAUAUAUAUAUUAUUUUAAUAUAUGUCUAAAUAAAUUAUUUUUUUAAAUUAUCACCACAACUUUUUAUUAAUCGGUUGUUUAUGCUCCAACAAUGACAAUUAAAAAAAGAUUUGUAAUUAGGUAGCCUCGAGUGGGAUUUUGUUCAACUUGGGUGAAGUUACUCAUCUAAUUUCCUUGGACUGAUAAGGAAAAAGUGGCCCUCUAUGCAUAGAGGAACUAGCCUUAGGUUAGCCAUGUUGUGUGUCCAGCCCAACUUCCACUCAGGCUUGACCCACUCCUUUUGAUAUAAUUCCCAAAAUAAAUAAACGCUUGCUCCUUUCUUUUCUGUCCCUUCACUCUCUCUUUUUAACACCAUAUUUUGUUUUUCUUUUUUUAUUUCAUUAUUGUUUGAUUGGUAGAAUUUCUUUUGAAAUUUCGUCCUUUGAUAUUAUUAUACAACUUCGCAUACUAUUGCAAAACGCGGCUGAGAGGGUAGGCCUUGUAGCUCCAUUGUCCUUUGUCAACUUUAAUUAAUAUAUAUAUAUAUAUAUAUAUAUAUAUAUAUAUAUAUAUAUAUAUAUAUAUAUAUAUUUGUCUAGUCAAGACAAACAACUUGUGAGUUCGUGUCGAUGUUUCUCUUAAUCAUUAAGUCACUAUUAAGUGCUUAAUUAGUUAAUUGGCAUUUAGUAUCACGACAAGUGGCACAUUAAAAAGCUUCAUCUCUUAAUUACAAGAUUCAGGCUUAAUCACUCUCGAGUGCUAGAUGGAGUGCAGCUAGCCGUAUAUAGUGGGACUUUACAUCUUGUGCAUGCUCCCACUAAAACAUCUUUUUAUGCUUUAACAAAUUCAAGUUGCUAUAUUUGAUUCUAUGGGCUUUAAGCGUUCAUAAAACCAUGCGCACUUGUUCCUAGACUGGAAGGAAGAGACGGUGGACACAAAUUAACCCAGAUAAUUAAUUAAUUUUCUUUAUUUAGAAGAUCAUAUGACUACAAAAUCCCACUUGCUAUUUGAACCAUGGGGCAAUUGGGUGUUCGUCUUUCUCACUUUCUCAACGCAUAUAUAACACGAUCAACUAGUAAGUUGUGAGCUGUGGUGCUGAUAAUAAGCUCUGAGGACUGAGCCAUGAAGCCUUUUUACUUGAGUUGCUUUAUCUUAGCUUUGCUUCUCUUGACCUCCUCGGGUACGUAUUAAUAAUUCUCUCUUGUUAAUUUAAAGUUUCCCAUACAACUCCUUGUGCGUUUCCCAAUGUAUUUAAAGAUAUCUAGAGGUGCCUUUUGAUCGUCUUCAAAGAUAUUGGAAAAAGCACAUGACAUUCCUUGAUAGUUUUAUAUCUUUAUCUUGUUUCUCUCCCAUGGUGUGUGUGUGUAUAUUAGAAUAAUGUGUUUUAUAUACCAAUUGAGUUAGCAACCAUGCACGCAUGUAGAAUAAUAGUUUGUUUGCAUGAAAUACCAGUUUCUAUGGCUUACAUGGAUAUUAUAAAGUUCCUGCUUCUCGAUUUUCUUGGUAAAAACAGCGGAGAUGAUGGAAGUGAUGAGAGAUAACAAUGGAAGGUGUGCCGCAGUGAUGGACCCUGACGGAUGCAAUCUUUCAUCUUGCAGGCAACGCUGUCUUCAGCAGAAGAAUGGCAAUGGUGUUUGUCUGGCCAAUUUGAAGGGGGGGAGUUACCAAUGUGUUUGUUACGUAAAUUGUUAAUCAAGCUGCUUCCUGUUGGGAUUAGAACGAAAGCUCCUAAAGUUAAUUAGCACGGAUUAACGUUUGCAAAAGAAGCAUUUUCAUUACAAGCUAGUGUUGCACGAAUGUUUUGUUGUCUUUCAAUGUCUUCGACAUUUGUAUUCUUGCAAAGUAAGAGAAGCGAGGUCUUUGAGUUCAAGUCUUCCAGCACAGUUUUACUGCAAAUCAGCUUAACGAUAUAUCAGAAAAUGAAAUAUCAUUAUAUCGACGACCACCAUCAACCACGGUGCCGAUUAGUGUAAUAAUGUCUAAUAAUGUUUUACAAGAAACCAAUUAGAAGAAGGGCGUUGCCUCGAGAAUUACACUAAUCAAUCUAAAUAAAGAAUAGAUCGUUCAGGAAAAAGACUUUAGACAGAUAGCUGCAGCUUCUUUUCAAGGCCUUGUGGUGAAGGCUGAAGAAUGGAAUCUGCAUUGUAAACAACCAGAGCAGGUAUAAUGGCAUGUCAACUUCUGUUUACAAGGACUAUAAAUUAUUCUGUAUGCUCAGCAAAUUGCUCUUCCUUCUCCCCGUCAUGCGGGGUGCAAUAGAAAUGAUCACACGUUGAUUCAAUCACGGGGAGGAAUAUGUACCGUUUAUAUUGAAUAAUGUUCUGCAUCCAGACAUUCUUAAAAAAAAAACGAAAGGGAAAGAAUACGGAAAUAAUCUCACUAUAUUUAGGCACAGUUUUGAAUUUUUUUUUGUUUUUUUAAAUUGUUUUAAUUAAUGUGUUGAUUUCGUAAAUAAAUUUUAAAAAAUAAAAAAUAUUAAUUCAGUAUAUAUAAUAUAUUUUUAAACAAAAUAUACUUUAAAAAAUAAUCAUUACUGUAAUAUUGGGCUCUUAAUCAUUAUUUGGCCAAUCUCAGCCACCACCUUAGCUUUUAGCAACGCAGCUGGGGUGUAUUUUUGUUAAAAUUAAUUUAAAUUUUUUUAUUUUAAAUUAUUUUUUAUAUUUAUGAAUCAUUUUGAUUUAUUGAUAUUAAAAAUAAAUUUUAAAAAAAAUAAAAAAAUAUUUAUUUAAUAAACUAUAAAAAAAAUUAAAAAAACAUAUAAUCACAAAACCAAUCAUUACAGCUCCACCGCCAGGUCCUCCAGUGCUGUUGUGUGAUAAUAAAACAAUUAGUUCUCGUAAGAUAGCACCAAGCCACCAACCUCAGCAGCUCAGCCCCAUUUCCUUAACAAGAAUAGAACAGGAAGAAAGACUCCUCAUUGCCAAUGUGAAUGCAAAAUCUUAUAAACAUCAAUCAGAAAGAAAUAGGUGAGUUGUUUCAGCAUUUUCUUUUGAAAAAUAAAAUCACCACAUUUUUUUCUUAAAUAGAAAAGUAUUUUCUUCAUAUAAAAAAGAAAAGUAUUUUCUUUUAAAAAAAAUUAUUCUAGUAUUUAUCAGAAUUAAUUUUUGUUAAUUUUGGUUCAAAAAAUGGGGUUGGAGGAAGAGUUGUAUGCACAAUUUUUUACUAUUUUUUUCAUAAUUUUCAUACUCUUCCUCGCCUAAUAUUUUUAAUUUUUCUCUUUGUUUUUAUUUUCAAUCUAGAAUUUAGAUUCAGUUUUGUAAGAGAUAUUUAUAUGUAUUUUCUCGUGUUUGUAAAUCUUGUUUAAAAGUAUAUCUAAACAAAUUAAUAUAGUUAGAAUCUUGUUUAAGCAAAAUGUGCUGCUUUUAUUUGUAAGUAAGGAUGUCCUUUAACUCUCUCUUUUUUUUUAUAUAGUAGAUAAAUGACAUGAAUUCUCAAAAACAAAUAAGCUUUUCUUUGGAAAAAUAUUGGAAGUUUGUUGUGAGUUUCGAAAUAUAAGUUUUUCCUUCAAAAGAGGGGAGUUAAUAGAUAAAAUGAGAGUAUAAUACUUUCUAUCCUUCUUUAAAAUAGGAGUAUUUUUGGAUUUUUUAGAAUUUUAAAUAAAAAGGUUAACUCUGCUAAUUUGAGGAUGGAAACCAUAAUUUCUCAAAAAAAAAAAAAUUGCAAAAUAUAACGGUGUUUAAAACGGAGGAUGGUGGAGGUAAUUAACUCUCAGCAAAAACAAUUUGGAGUCACUUAUACUCACCAAGGAUGCAUAAUUUUGAAGGCAUGUUGCAACUUAUCACUGCCCCCACAACUGAGAAGUUACUGGAAUUCAAAGAGCCCAUGGACGAGAAAUACGUGAUUCUCAGAAGCAUGCUUCUUCCUAGGCCUGAACAUUUGCAUAGCUAACAAUCUGUAUAAGAACAAAUAAAUAUGAUGAGAUUGAACAAGGCCUUUAACAUCAUCAAAUGGACAGCCAAGAUACAUGCAUGAUCAGAAUUAUUAGGGGGGCAUCCAAAGAAUUGAAGAUAGAAAUAAAAACGGGAAAUUGCAUGGGGCAUUAUUAGUGUCGCAUCGCAUUCAACAAAUUGAAGAGAAAAACAACCAUAAUAUCAGCAAAAGGCUUACAAAUCAAUGCAAUUAGCUGGUGAUGCUUGGAGGAGAUCAGAAGGAAUUAAGUUGAAGUGGAUACUUACAGAAUACAACUUCAGAACCUGUAGAAGAACUCUGUCAUGAACAAUAUGUCAAUACGAAAGGUUUGUAUUCUCUCUACCUUGCAGUUGUAGAGCACAUCUGUAACAAAAACGGGUGCUGGGAACGAACAAUUCAAGGCAAAAAGUCAAUUUGAUAAGCAUAUGCAGAGCCCUUUGGACAAUUUAACAACCUCUGUAUUACAUCUUCUUUUGAAUUAUCAAUCUCCAUCUCGUAUCUGAUAGUCAUCUUCUUCAAGACCCGAGCAUUCCUUAAGCAAUAUUCCACAAUUUUUAUCUCUGCUAACUGCCCUUCAAGAUUUUUAAACUCAAUCACCUCAAGGCAUGACGACAAGCAAUGGGACAGUACCGCAUUUCCAUGAGGACCUCGCCAUUGAGGGGUAUCCUGAUUAUCCUGAAUGAAUAUUAAAGUUAGAAACACACAAAUGCAUGCAUGGGUUAAUUAAGAGUAUUUAUAUAAUUGGAACUAACCUUCUUAGGGAUUAAAACCUCCAAACUAGCACAUUAUCUGAGUAUAAGAAGCAAAAUCAACCACUUAUCUGCACUGGCUUCAACCUCCAAACGAGUAAGAUACCAAAAAGGCACGAAAUUUUGCAAGACAAGACAAGUCCAGUUCAUGUGCAUCUUUUAAACUCCGAGGAGGGAAUAUGCGAGUUAGUGAUUAUCCAAACCACAAUUAGGAAUAUAACCAUUGAAAAUAUAAGCAUAAAAGUAAAUGGGGAUGGGAAUCAUUCCUUCCAUAGUAAAAUCAGACAAAACUAGAAUCCUAACAUCAGAGAUCGAUCAUUAUGAAAAACCCAACCACCGUUUCUGCAUAAUCAUCAAAAUAUUUGGUUAAAAAAGGUGGAUGGCCAUGACUGACAGUUGCCUCUGCUAGUGAGAGUGUCUUGUGCAAUAUGUUCAACUCCUCGGAUGCAGAAUCAGUGAGUUUAAGAAGCUCAAGGUUCGGGGUGUCAAGAGUAAGUAUUCUAUAAGCUCGAAGAUCAUCAUCUUCAAGGUAGUCAUAAGCACGUAGUAAUUGCAUCAUCAAACGUUUCAGUGAUAAUACUAUCUCUAUGCAAGCAUUACCAUGCAUUGGGGAAAGACAAUCAAGAUGAAGGACCUUUAGACGUGGAAAGCAUACAGUGCUUGGAUAAACAUGAAAAGCAAUCCGAUAACUAACGUUCAAAAGCACUAAUGUCUCACAACUAAAAAGACUAUGCUUGGUGUCUUCCGCAAGCAUAAGCAUCUCCCCAACUCUAGCCCUAACUGCUGAGGAAAUCCAUGCACUAACACUGGAAGAAUGAUAGGUUCCAGAUAUCCUGAGCCGAGACUUUUGCAUGGGAGUGGAGCAGUACGUAGAUUAAAACACCACUCCACGAAAUUCGUAAACACUCUUUAACAAAGAACUAAAUUAACUUAAAAGUAUUAAUUCGUAAACACCACUCAACGAGUGACACGUGUGAUUUAAAAGUACGAAUAUAGUCUAGGGAAAAAAGUCACGGGUCAGCAAGAUCACCGAGUCAACUCACCUUAAAAUUGUAAAUUGAUUUGCAGAGUUUCAGCCGCAAUGACUUGCCAAUCAACAUCUUAAGAGAGACUUUUACAGAACACAGCUCAGUUUGGACCCAGGAUAAACUCUCCAUUUACACAUUAUCUAGCCCGCAAGGCACAAACAUUAUUUGGAAAUUUUUAUCGACUGGCCACCCUUAAUGAUCAAAACUUCAACCCACCUUUUAAAGGAUAGUCAAGUCUUCUGCUUGACAGUUUAGCAUUGAGUUUUUCUAGUUUCAGACAAGUUGCUGCGAGACUUGAUAACCUAUGAUGCCAGAUUUUGGUUGUGAGCUCCUAAACAUGUAUUUUUCCGCAAAACUCAAGUGCUUUGGGUCAAUCGCAUCCACUUGAAUUAGUAUUAUCUGACCAUUCCCUUCAUCAGUCCAUUUGAUUGAUUCCUUCUCCAGUUGUUUCAUGAUCUACACAAGAAGAUAUGCAAUGAUAAAGCAAUUCAAGAAGCUUACAUCUGUAUUAGCAUCAAGCACCUAAACAGGGCAUUCUAUUUUAAAAUACAUCUCCCCUGCAUAAUCUCUAGAUUAACGUUACAAAUUCACUAGAAACUAGACAGAUACGUAUCCUACAUCAGCCAAACCAAAAGGUUAAAGGCAGAAUAAUCACAGACACCUAGAAUGUAUGCCAUAUAUGGUUAAUUUUUCAAGAACAAUCAAGUCCAGGUUCGUCUUUUCAGUUUUCACAGGAAGCGAAAAAUAGUUGUUCUUCAAUUCAGAAAAAGAAAUGAAGAAGAUAAAAUGGAAAAUCAUUUGGCACAUUUUUUCAUAGUGAAUUUUCUUUUUUCUUUUUUUUUUCAAUCAAUUGUCAUUCCUUCUAUUAAUGAAACAACUGGAAGUUUUUUUUAAUGUUAAAUAUGUUGAACAGAACAUAGUCAAAGCAUCAAAAAAGUCAUCAAGGGAUCUACUAACUUUGCAUAUGAAUCUGACUAAAUCUUUAUUGUUCUCCAUUUCCGGACUUUAAUUUAUAAUUGAUUAACUCUUGUUAUAGAAUUAUUGGUUUCUUGCAAAUCUCAGCAUCCUUGAAUAUUCUGUUACUAAUCUAUUUAGGUAUCAAUUAAGAACCUUGCUCAGAGACAUUUAGAAGAUAAAGUAAAUCCAAUGUUAUGUAUCUGAUGAGGAUAGAAAAUCUAUGGAAGAAUUGUCUCCUUCUCACUUUUCCAGUUGAUGCUGUAAUAUCAUUGGAACUUGACUGCUCCCAAUCUACCAAUGUAGUUUAAAAAAAAUGCCUAAAGCUAACAGAAAUGAAAUUUAUAGCAGAAAGUAACCUUUAAUCUAGUCUUACCAGUCUUCUCCGUUUUCCUUUUGUGGUAUCUUUUUCAUCAUUCUCAAUUACGACUCUGAGGUAUUUAAUAGCUGACACAAAGCAAGAUGAACAAAUCACAUAGUGCUUCUCUAAUACUAUGUGGAAAUAGAAAGGAAGAGAAAAGUAGCCUACACGGGAUGCCAGAAAAGGAAGUUAAAUGAAACCUCAAAGAAUGUAAAGCUUCCUUGGGUUCAAAGCCAAGCAAAUCCAGAGAUACUAUUUCAUCAUCUCUACGUUCAUACUCACAUUUUGUUACUUAUCGUAUAAUAUAUAGACAGAAGUCAAAAGCAAAAUAUAAAUUUUGCACCAACCUGGUUUCCAUAAGCUUUUGAAAAGAUUUUUCAUCUGCUUCUCGAGCCUUUUCGUUAAAAAAUUGUCCCUGGACAUUCAACACAUUCAGAAAAUCAAGUAUCAUUGUCUUAGCUUUUUUAAAAGCAUCAUCCAGGUUAGAUGCUCAUGAUGCUUGUACUUUUUUGAACUUCCAGUUAGUAUAGGAAAUCCUUUCCUUCUUAGAAUGCCAUGCCAUGUUAGUUAAGUUUACCUUGAAUCACAAUAUCUCAACUGCCUAGCAAUUAGAUUUAUGGCAAAGUUACAUACGUUGCUUGUUAUUUAUUACCAUAAUGUUGAAGCAUUGAUUUACUAAUUGAAAGGAAUUUUGCUUAAGGUAAUUUUUUGAAAAAAAAAGGGAACUAAUUGACGGUACUGAUCUGUCAAUGAGAGAAUUACAUCUGUAACAAUGGUGAUUGCUAAUAUUGAACUUUACACGCAUAAGUAGUAUGUUAGUAAGUGCAUGUGGAAAUGCACACACGCAUGUAUAGAAAAAACCUGGUCCAUGAGUUUGUCUGCCCUUGCAUGAUCACCCUCAGCAAACGCAUCAGCAGCCUGCAAAGCAAUGUGGUUAUGAGACAGAUCAACAAUGACAUCCAACCCUACAGGUAGCAUAGAUGAUCAACUUAUCACAAUUUUAAGACUGCAAAAGAAAAUAAAAGGUAAAGAGCCAACCCGAAAAAAGUUCAAAAGAAACAGAAGAGUAUGUAGUGGUUAUUCAAGAAAAAUGAUCACCAUUAUAUCUACGAAUGCAGUGCAAAAAUAUCCUGCAAAAAUAUUUUCCACAAGUUUAUACAGUAAAAAGCUUACAGCUUUGUAGAACUCUUUCUUUGUGAUCCAAUAUUCCUUGACAGCUUUGCGUAAGACCUCAUAGCUGUUUUCAUCGCCUUCUGCUUCUACCAACAGAAAAAUAUUCAUGUGGCAUGGAGCAAUAGCAUUAGAAAAAAAAUACUAAAAGAUUAGAAAGGAAAAUGUUAGAAAAUAAACAUAAACACAAACAGUAAACCAUGAAAUUAAAUUGGACAACAUGGAAAGUUAAAUCACCCAACAAACUUAAGAAUAUUUGCUAUUUGUGACUUCAUGAUUACUGGGUUUCAGUGGGUAAUAUAGCAUCUUAUAUUACAAGAUCAGUCCAUGUGCAGGUGAACAACGAGUGGACCCUAAUGAAUCAUAAAAUCUAAAUCACACAUGAAAACUUAAUCUGCAUAUUCAAGAAGGCUUCCAUGUUUGUGGUAUCGUGAUUGAUGGAGCUUGCAUGAGAUCAAAUGGCAUCUACCAUAGCCCUAGGAGAACCAAUAAACUCAAUGCUAUGAUAGAGAAAGCAAUACCUAUGAACAACCAUGGGGUGUAUGUAGGCAAUACAAUUAAGACAGACUGCAAGGAUCAAUUUAAACUACCCCGUCAUCUAUAUAACUCAAUGUGCCAUCUAACAAACUAUUAAAAGCAAGACAGCCCAAUUAAGGUGAAUCAACAUUUGGAAGUCCAAGUUGUUGAAAAACCAAAGAAUAAACAGGAACCUGAAACUUCUUAACUUCAUAAAUGUCCUCCCUACUUUCAUCUACUAUGAAAAUAAUCUGUGGCAUUAACAACUCUUUGAAAACUGUGAACAGCGUAAAAAAUACAGUGGGAACCUCCUCUAGUAUCUGCUAGUGGCUUUGCAGCAGAAGGCUUGUGUUCUUUAGCAGUGUCCUUGUGAGGGGUAACUGCCGGUUUACCAAAAACACUCCUUGCUUGCCUCACUAGGCGUGUCUUCUUUGGUGCCUCCUCAGAUCUUUCUGGAAGAUCAAAUAAAGAUUGCAGAAUUUCCCUCUCGAGACUUACUCUAUUGUGUUCUCUCUUCAACGAUCCAGUUAAAUUUUCUUUGUGCAACCGAGCUCCAUCACUUCUUUGCAUAAAAGGUAAAACAAAAAACAAGAGAGAGAUAAUGAUUUAUGCUGCUAGUGGACAAAUUUGACUUAAUUUUAAGCGGCCUAUUCCAUAAAUAACAAAUUCUCUUGGCAAAAUCGAGAUUCAAGGAAGUAAACUAGUAAACAACAAAAAUGGAGAUGUGUAUGGGAAACCUUUGGGUUCCACGUAGCUGCUGCGUCUGUUCUUGAAGGGAAAGGGAUUCCUGGUCUGAACAUUGUUUAGUGGACUGUUUAAACAAAAUAAAUGAAAAAACACUUUAUCAUUGUAUUCUGGAUUACAUAUUUUAUGAAAGAUGCAGCUAUUAUAUUUACAAAAACUGGGUAGCAUACAUCAAAGGCUAAGGCAAAAGCUUACUUCUUCCAUGGCCAUGCUAACAGCAUCAUCGGAUUUUUCCAAUGUUGAAGCUGAUAAUUCAAGAAGUUCAUCAAUGCUCUGCAUGACCAACAGAAGCAGUUUCAGAGGUUGUUGCUAAAGUUACAAUGUUGAUAUGUGCCAACACAAAAAUGCAAAAAUGUACAAUAUAUAUGCUACUACAAAAUUAGGUGACAGUAUUCUAAAAAUUGUAUGAGCACUUUGGAUAUAAUAAAUUUCUCAAGGUUAUUCAGCAGUAGUUGAUAAAUUGAAAAAAAUCACUCAAGGAAAAUUAGUGUAUAUUAGGCCAAGAAUUGUUACGCCAUGCAGCUUGGUUAUAAUAAACCCAAAAAAAAAAAAAGAAUUUGGAAGAAACAGUGCAAACAGCUAGGUUUAUUCAUCUUCUAUUUUGUUAAACAUGCAAUUAGUUUCUGAAGACAUGCACUCAUAACAAAAUUCCAGUCAAUCAAGUAAAAUAACAAAUGCACAAAACAAUGGCUCCCAACCUGUAAUUUUUUCUUUCUUUUUUGAACUUUCAACAAUGAAAAUAUGCAGUGUAAAAAAUAGAUGAUAAUCUUUUCCUUCUAGAAAACAAUAAAAGAAAGGCCCAAAAAUACAAAGACAACUGUAAUUUGUUACUUUACCUUUUGAAUAUCAUACCCACAACGGCCUGCAAGCCACAUUUCAAAUGACAGAUUAAAGAGCAAGCCAACGAAAUAUGAAAAAGGAAACCAAACAUGGACUAAUUUUAGGGGUAAAAGACAGAGAAGCUUUACCAAGAACUUCUUGAAUCAGAGUCAUGUCAAGUUGAAAGCCAUUUCCAAGCAUUUGAAAAAGAAAUUCCUCAACGCCAGCUUGCAUAAUGCCAUGUCUUGCUACCAUACUUGGUGGGUUUUUCUCUCUCCAAACGUCAGAGACUGGAAAAUCUUUGGAGUCUAAUUUCAAAGGUUUUGUAGCUUCAACAGAACGAUGCGUUAAUGGCUUGGGUUUAGCAUAUUCUUUUCCAAGUACACUUGAAACGGCUCCCAUUGAUACAGGAUAUCUUUUUGACUUAAAUUCUCUGGUAUCUUUUUCUCCAAUAGGAGCCAUCUUAAAGACUUUAGGUGACAGUUCAGAGAACAUUGGUCUCAUACUGUCUCUUCCAGAUGCCAACUUCAUAGAUACUGCAUUUUCAGCCUCCGAUUUGCCAGUAUUAGCGGUAGUAGAGUUGCUACCGUGAAUUCCACAAAGAGUUUCACCGGCCAGAUUUUUAUCAAAGUUGGCACUGACAAAAGCUGAUGAAAUGUCCUCAAGAGAAAAUCCAGACCCAAGAACUUCAAAUAACUCUUCUAAAUCCUUCUUGUCAACAUCACAGGAUGCCGUGCAUGAAAUGUCCUCCAUUUUUAUAUGCUUCACACAUGAACAAGAAUGGGAAGCAACAGAGGGAAAUGAUGUCAGCAUACAGUAAGAAAACAGUCGACAAGGAAGAGGGUCAAACCAGCAAAAUGGUAAGAAUUUCAUCUUGCACAACUUCAUGUUACUGUGAAUUCCCAUGACUCUAUCCCUUCUAUUAGAUAAUUACGUAAAAAACACACAGCUCCAUCUUCGCUAUCACUACUAUUCAUCAAAUUUUAAGAAGUUUAAUAAUUUCUUAAAUAAGAAACUAAUUAAUAUUAAAAUAAAAAAAAUAUUCCCUACAUUAUCUCCCUAAUUACUUAACAGAUUAAAAAUAAAGACAGGCAAAACACAUAGAAAGGAACUUCAAUCUAAACAAAUCAUAAAUUGAUUUCUUUUAUUAAGAUAUAUACACAUACACACACCAAACAAAAUUUUCUUUUAAUUUGUUUUCUCUACAACCAAACAGGAAUACUCCGAAAAUGUGAAGAACAGUAACAAGCAAACAAAUAGAGAUUACAGCAAGCAUUGAUCAAUCGCAUUUCUUAACAACUAGCGAUUGAGCAAAAAUCAUAUGUAACAUUAUAAAACGGAAAAAAAAUCAAUCGACAAUGCUAAAUUAGUUUCAAAUCAGUAUAUGAGAAAAUUAAUGGAGUGAUUAAAGUACUUACAUUGAGAUUGAUUGAUUGAUUUUUGGGAGAGAGAACAAAUGUGUUUGGUGUGGGGGUUGGCUCUAGCUAUUUCCAGGGGUUUGCUUCGUAUGCAAGUUAGCAAGAAAGUAGGAGGGUGAGAGAGAGUUUUGGUGUUCGGGUAUACGAAGCUUGGUAUAGUAAUUAAAAUAAUUAUUUUUUAAAAUUAUUAAUAGUCAGUUGAGAAGGUAAAUGAUAUAUUAUUUAAUUUUAUAUGGACCUUGUUCCAUUGAAGUAAGAGAAAUGAUUAUUUAUUUCAACUUCAUAAAUUACACUACAAAAUAAAUAUUACUAUGCAACCAAAAAUGAAGUGAUAAAAUUAAGAAUUUAUGUGAUAAAAUUAUUAAAUCUCCAUUGAAUGGCAUCCCAGAAGGAGCAAAUUGAGGCGUUAGAAACUAGCUAGCUUGCAAACUGUGAGCUUGUUGGUAUCUAGGAUAUUGUCCACCAAUGGAUUAGCCACACAGAGGAGGUGAUCAUGAAGGGACUAGGGAGGCGCCAACUGAAGCAUGGACUUUUUCACAUAUAUACAAGCAUUCCAGAUUCUUCUUGAAGUACACAGCACUCGAAUAAUUUUAAAAAAAAAAACUAAAAAGGCUCGGGUUUUACUUAGCUCCUCUCCUAAUUCACUACGGAUUUGCACCAUAAAGUUAUCAAAUUAUAUCCCUAGAAAAGAGAAACACAAAAGAUGGUGUUAGGGGGUAUUUUUAGACUUUUACAUGAGAUAUAUUUGGUAUUUUCAAAUUGGUGAGGGGUAUGUAUGACUUUUAUUCUUUUUAUUGCACAGUGUGAAGUCCUCGAUAACGUUAGGAGCAGAAUUUCGGUUUGCUUCGGGAGAGGGUCUUUUUCGGUUUUUCCUUUUCUUGAGAAUAGUGAGAUUGCCAAAAUAACUUUGGAUUUUAAAAUAAAUGCUUUUGUCUUUAGAGGUAUUGGCAUCUUUUGGACUUUGGUUUUUUGUAAAUUUUGUGUGGGGUUUGGAGUAUUUUAGUAUUUAAAAAAAAAAAAAAAAUUGUUGGCGCUUGAUAAAAACACGCUAGUGUGUGAAGGUUCUUCAUGUCAAUUGGGCGGUGUAUGACACCUCCUUUGGUAUCAAAAAAUACUCAAUCACGAUAUUGUCCACCAAUGGAUAUUGUCCAGACCAACACGUGUUGACCUAAGGGCUAUUAUUAGGUGGCGACUCGAUUUUUUCUUCUUCAUCUUCUUUUCUCUCUCCUCCACUCAUCUAAAGUUAAAAAAUACCCUAAUCUUUUGUAGUAUUUGAAUUGUGGUCCUCAUAGUUUUUAUUAUUCUAUAUUUGUUUUAAAUUAUUUUUAUGAUUUUUUUCAAUUUCAUCAUUUAUCAUUUUAUUUUUAUAUUAGAUUUUAUCAUCUUUCUUUUAAUUAAUAUUUAUUUUGUUUUUCACCCUUCUUCUAAUUGAUUUUAUUUUCAAUUUCAUACCUAAUUUUUUUUUUAAUUUAGUCCUUAUUCUUUUCAUUAUAAUUUCUUUUGGUCUCAUUUAUUUUUCUUAAUUGAUUUUUUUUUCAGAUUCAUCGAUCAUUAUUUGAUUUUAAUGUCAAAUUUGAUCUUUAUUUUUUCAAUCUUGAUUUUUAAACCCGAUCUAGGGGUCGACCCUGGGCAAAUUCUAGGUUACAAAUCGAGUGGGUUGGUCAAGGUUACCCAGAUCAACUUAGCCUAAAACAAUAUUCAACGAGUUUUAAAAAAAAAUUACAAGUUGCAUCCUUAUUUUUUUAAUUAUGGUUUUUAAACCCGGUCCGGAGGUCGACCCCGGACAAGUCCCGGGUCACAGGUCGUGUGGGUUGGCCAGGGUUACACAGGCAACAAAUUUUUUUAUUUCACAAAUAUGUAAAAAUGACAUUAUUUUGGUCAAAAUUUUACAAAAAAAAAAUCAAUGGGUUUUAAGAUGGGUUUAAAAAAAUAAAAAUAAUUUAGUGAAGAAAUUGGGUCCUCAUUCUUUUGAUCAUGGUUUUUAGACCCGCCCUAGGGGUUGACCCCAAGCAGCUCCAGGUGCAUAGGUCGAGUAAGUUGACCAGGGUUACCCAGGUCGACUGAUUUUUUUAUUCUCCAAGAAAGUCAAAAUUAUUUUUUUAUAUAAAGAUUUAGCAAAUAAAAUCAAUGAAUUUUGAAAAAAAUUUAGUAUUCGUGAUCGUGGUUUUUAAUUAAUUGUUUUUUUUGUUUCAUCCCUUGGCAUUCAGUUUAUUGAGAAUUUUGCUUUGUAAUUUUUUCAGAUUUACCUUAUGUAAUGUGGUGUUGGCCUCAUAACAGGGGUUACAAGUUUAAAAGGUUAGCUGUAAUUACUUUUAUUUUUUUAGCGUAUUUUUAAAUCUUGUUUUUCAAUAUUUGGUUAUGAAUUAGCUUUUGUUAUUUUUUAUUAAUUUAAUUUAUUUGUUAUCAUUAUUUUUUUUAAGUAUUAUUAGAUUAGAUGAGAUUCUUAAACAUGUCGGUUCAAUAAUUCAAUUCUCUAAUUUUUUUAAAAUUUUAAAUUUCACAUGAAGUCUUUUUAUAUUAAAAAAAUAAUCUAACCUACAACAUAUCACGAGUUAUCUAUCUACUGAUCAUCUAAAUUUGAAUUGUUUAUUUGUUAACAGUUACAAACAAGCAUUCCAGGGGAGAAGAGUGGUUCUCCACACCACGGGACAUAAAGUACAAGAAUUAACAAUUAACAAAGAAAACUAAAUCAUGUGGCAAAAAUGUUGUUCAUCCACGCUCAAUCGUAUUGUGGGUACCAAUAAUAACCUGCAGUAGAAUUCAAGAUCUUCUUCUCUAAUUCUAGCCGUGCAAGAAGCAAUAUGUGACAGGUUGCUGGGCAAUAAAUGCACUGGCAGGCAUUUAAUGCUCUGACAAGCAAGUAAUCCUGUCAUGGCAGGCAAGAAAUCUCAAGUAUAGAAAGCAAAUGGUUGGCCAUUGCUAAAUGAAAUUCUGAGAGAAAGGAAAAGUCAUGGCAAGAAUUAAAGCAUGCUAUAGGGAAAGAGAUAGAAAAUUUAGAACCAAGUCAAUAAACUUGCAGGAAGUCGAUGAAAAUAUUGUAGGAAAUGGGCCAUUACAUGGAGAUAGAAUUAAUAAUCACAAGUUUUUUAACCACCCAUUUACUUACUCUUCCCACAAGCUGGCCUGCCAUCUUUGGCAAUCCCUUCUAUGUCAUCGAGACACCUUCUCCGAGACUCAAAAAAGAUAUUUAUGUUGGAGAGAUGCACUUGCUGAUAUCUAACACUGCUCAUGCGAGCUCUUUAAUGUGACUUCUAGGUGUCGCAUGGUUCUAGACUCGUGGCGCUGGUUUCUAGGUCUAAGACGCUUAAGUCUGGUGUGGUUGUCAGAUCCAAGUAACUUGGGUCUGACGCUUGGGAUUUGCAUAAUUUUUAUGAGCCAGGCAAAUGAAAUGGUUUUGUUAAGAAUCAAAAUACUCAUGAAAUAUGUUGAAUGGUCUGAGAACAUCUAAUUAAUAAUUCCUUGUAAACUUUUGAUGUAUUGUUAAGAAAAAAACAAUAAAUAUCUCUGUCAAACACUAUUGAAUUUCAAUAAAUACAUGCAGAAUUUAAGCUAAACUUUGUUAUGUUGAUACCAAUUGUUCUUUGCAAAUUCAACAUUAGUCUUGCAAAAUAUCACAAAAGUAUGGUAAUGAUUUAUCCAUAAUGAGCUAAUGAACACCAACAAAAGAGUUUCUAGAUCAUGGUAAAAACAAAGCAGUGUUGAGGCAAAUAACGAACUAAAAAUUCCAUUCCAAAAGUGAGGGUCAAUCCAUUUCGAGCUAGUUGCUCUGCGUGAAUCGGGUAAGCCGGGCUAGUACGGCGAACCUGUGAACUGGAUUAUGGACUCCACUGGGAUUAUAAUUUUUUUUUUUAAUUUUUUCUUUAACUACAUGGUAACAAAAAUAGAUGAUUGCAAAAUCAAAUGCCAACUCAAUACUGAGAUAUUUUUUUAGAUCACGAUAACCUCAUAAAAGGCGAAUAAAACCAAUUAUGAAACUGAAAUCCCAAUUAAUCCAAUAUCUAAGGAUUAAUGUAACAUCAAAUGAUGAAUUAUCAACAUUAUUAUUAUAACAAUUAUUAUUCUUAUCUUAUUAUUAUCAUUAAUAAUAUUGUCACUAUUAUUACAGCUACCACCAUUACUACUAUCAUCAAUAAGUAAUAUCAUAAUUGAAAUUAGUAUUAUUAUCUUGAUCACUAUCAUUAUCAUUAUUAUUGUUGUUAUCAUUGUUAUUAUUAUUAUUGUUUAUAUUAUUGUUAUAAUUAUUUUCACCGCCACCAUAACUAAUAUUAUUAUUAUUUUUAUUCUUAUUACUAUCAUCAUCAUUAUUAUUACUGUUAUAACCACAAUUAUUAUUAUUGUUGUUGUUGUUGUUGUUAGCACUACUACUACUACUAUUGCCCGCGCCCCGCCACAACAUUUUUUUUCCUGUCAUUGCUCUAAACUUGGUUCAUGUUUGUGUUAAAUAUGUAAGAUAACUUAAACUUUAACUACUAAUAAUGUAAAGAGAAAUUAACACAAACCAUAAGCAGUAACAUAGAUAGAAAGGUUUUAAGAUGUAGAGAAGUUAAUACACAACUAAGACAGCGAGAAUGGAAUCCAAAUAAAAAUUAAAGCUUGUCCAUUGUAAUUUUUGCCAAUUCCACAUAACAUGGGUUAAGCAUGCUUGCCAGACCCAAGAUGCUGGACCCAUGUUGCUUGGGCCUGACGUGGUUGCUAGACUCAAGGUUCUUGAGUCUGACAUGGUUGUCAGACUCGAGUAACUUGUUUAUUGAGGACUAAAAUACUCAUGCAAAUGUGUUGAAUGGUCUCAGGAUAUCUAACUAAUAAUUCAUUGUGAACUUUUGAUGUAUUGUUAAGAAAAAAAAGCAAUAAAUAUCUCUACCAAACACUGCUGAAUUUCAAUAAAUAGAUGCAAAAUUUAAGCUAAACUCUAUUAUGUUGAUACCAAUUGUUAGAUACAUGUCUGUGCUCUUGCAACUUUAAAAAACUAUGAUCAAAUGCAAGGAUAUACUUAUUGUCCUCCAAUAAAUUAUUGAUUCAACAUACUCAAAGUUCUCUUGUUCUACCCAUUAAUUUGUUGUCCAAACUUUUUGUUACUCAUUUCUAAUCCUCCUAAUAUUAUUGGAAAAAAAAAACAACAAAAACAUGUUAGAUCUUUGAAAAAGAUCCCACCUUUGAUGUUAGAACCCAUAAAGUCCAAUACUUUUCCUUAAAAAUUUAUGGAUUUGAUGGUGAGAUCAAGAAUGUUCUCAUUAGAUACAUCCAUUUUGUUAAUGGAAGAAUAAUUAUCAUAUCAAACUCUUAAGAACAGACAAAAGCAAACCACAUAAUUUUCUCCCAUUAAUCAUACCAUAAAAUUCCACACUCUCUUUGUUGUCCUUUUCUCUUCGUCACAACUUUGUCCUCUUCUCUGUCAAUUUGAUGCCCUCUUCUCUUCCAUUUCUUCUACCGAUUUGGUUGAGAAUAAGGAGAAGGACUAAACUCAGGAAGCACCAUCUUCAUCCUCUCUCUGCAAUUUCCUCUCAUCUAAUUCAUUUUCAUUCUCUUCGUGAUCUGAGUUGUAAAAAAUUAAAAGAAAAGGAGAGAGAAGAAGCAAUGAAUGAGAAGAAAAAAAAGUCAAAGAAAUAUUUUUCCGCUUGCAAAAAGAUGAGAAAUUAAAAGUAAAAUUACUAUUACAAUCCACAAUAAAAGAUCUUUUGAUCCACAAUGAUUUUCUCAACCAUUUAGCUUUUGGUUCCGAGAACUUGAUAAAACUACAAUGCAUUGAUUUGAGUUUUUGUUUUCUUGUUUGUACCUUUAUUUGUUUUACUAUCUGCUUUAUAUAAUUAAGUGAUAUCAACUCCUAAUAACAUUUAUUUUUCAUAGUGAUUUCCAGAAUCUCACGUCCACAGGAAUUAUUGCUCCUUUCUAAUUACAUAACUUAUUAUACAUGUUUAUUUACAUGUCCCUUCUUUUAUAUAUAUAUAUAUAUAUAUAUAUAUAUAUAUAUAUAUAUAUAUAUAUAUAUAUAGUAAACCUUAGUUGCCAGUGGUGGAUUACUAGAAGGCCACCGGAGCUGAUAAGAAUUAUUGCUGCCAUUCUCGGGUCAGAAAUUAUCGAGAUGAUAUGAGGUUCUCUCUGGGAUAUGAAUUAAAGUGACACUAACAAUUGUUCUUUCAUGGGUUUUGGAUUUAAUAUUAUAUGCACACAAUGUUUGAUAAAUUUUCAAUUAUGAAAGUUUUUUUUAAUUAUAACAAAGUAGACAAAAUUAUAAUAUUUAAUAUGAUUCCCUAAAUAAUUUGAUUUUUUAUUGAUUUUUCUUAGGCGAGAUGUAAAAUAUUAUAAACUUUAAAAUAUAAAUUAUAAUUUUCAAGGAAAAUUAAAAAAAAAUCAACCUAAUUAUAUAAUGGUCAGGGUGUUUUUUUUUUAUUAUUAUUAUAUUUUCAAGGGACAGGCCUGAGCUGUAUAAAAAUCAACCGGGUCUGACCUAGGCUCGGCCCGGACCAUGAACAGGUCUACACGCUUAACGAAACGUGGAGACCUUGCUGGAAAGAGCUAUUCGCACACCGCGAUGUCUAUUCGCACAGCUAUUAUAUGCUGAUGGACAAAUUUGUCCCUUUAACUCUAGAUUAACUUCCAGUCUGUGCUCUGGUGGAGCACAAAUUAACAUUUUUCAAUUUAAUUAAUUAUUUACAGUCUCUCUUCAACACUACGGUAGUGGCACUGCCAGUAGUUCCUUUGGCUUUCCUUAUCCUACAAAAAGUCUCAAUUGUUGUGGGGUUGUAAUUGUUAGAUUGCCAUAAGGACAGAUAAGUCCAUUAACUCGAAAUUGGUGUGCGGAUAGAUAAUGAAGCUCUGCGAAUACCAAUCCCCGACCUCACAAUAAAAAUUAAAAUCCCUUGAUCUAGCUAAAACCACACUCCCGUUAACAGUCUUCUUCUUUGAAGAAUCUGCUUCAACUCACAAACCAAGGUACUGUACUCUCUAUACUCCAUGUUAUUCUUAAUUCUAAAUCAAGAAUGGUAAAAUAUCCAGAUGGGUCUUUUACAAUUUGCUUGUGUUUUGAUCGCAUCUUCUCUUAAUCCUUUCCUUUUGGGUGUGUAUCAUAAUGAUAUCUAUUUGUUGUUUAGCCCGAGUUGUAGUUACUUAAUUCUUGAUCAGUUCUAUUUCAAUUCCUUAAAUUUACUUUAGGAAUCUGGAUCAAAGAAAAUCUAGCCAAGAUGCUAUUGAUUUCUUCUUUUUUUUCACGAGCUAUACGGGUUUAGAAUGAUUAAUUAGUGUGUUUAUCUCAUCGUGGUGUAUUCUUCCAUUUAGAUAAAGAAACUGUGUGAUUCUAAACCCUUUAACUGUAGAUUAGAAAGUGUUGGCUUGCAUGCCCCAAGUCUCAUAUAGGCUUCUUGUUCUUACUGUAAAUUUAUUUAUUUAUUUUUGUUAAGGGAAAGUGUAGUGUAGGUAAAUGACUAAGGACUAGCAACAUUUAUUUGCUUUGCUGAAUAUAAUCCACUGGUUGUAUCAUGAGCAAAUGGGAAUUUCGAGCUCGUUUACACCUUCAAUGUUAAAAUGCCCACACAUUUCUCCAGAAUCAUGCUUCUUUUGUUUUAGGAGGUUGAAUUUGGGAAGUUAGGGAAAACGGGAUUUUUGUUUUAGCUGAUUAAUUCUUUGAUCCUUUUUAGGGUGCUAUUUGUUGAUCAUGGUAAUGUUAGCAAAAUGCUUCAAGGUGGAAGUACAUUUUUUUCUGGAAAUCUUUUUUCUUAUGAAUAUUAGAUAUCCACUUCGGGAUUUCUUUCUGCGAGCAAAAGGUUUUCUUUCGUUAGCCAUUGUAAAACUCUCUUGCACUCCCCUUUUUCCUGUUAGUCCAUAAUUUCCCCUCAACUGUUAGUUGAUUAGCUGCUCAUAGUUUUCUCUGCUCAAAAUUUUCUAUCUGUUACUUUUCUUACGAGAUCUUCCUUCUCAGUUCCCCAUUACUGCAUUUAUUAUGUUGCUUAUGAGAGAAAUAAUGAAAAGAAAAGUAGCCAUCCAAGAAAUCAACUUUGGCAUUAAUUUGUAGUGUAUAAUGGUAUGUACUCAGCAGUACUUUAGUGGCUUUUUGCAGCGAAAGAUGGGAGGCCGAGGAGUUAUUGGUGAUAAAUGGUCCUCGAGGGUUCUUUGGGCCUGUGCUAUUGGAAGUGUAGUCAGUAUGUUUUCUUUACUCAACUCCUGAUUUAUUGCUAAAAAUAUUGUAAGACUGACAACCAUUUGUUUUAUUGGAAUUGUUGCAUCACGAGCUUUGUUUUUCCUCUAGGUUACCCUCCUUCUGAUAGUUUCUGGUUAUCUCUUAUCUAGGCCUGUAUAUGGUUGUUGUUGAAAGACAAUUACAAAACAGGGAACGAAUGAUGGCUGAAGGUUUAAAGAAUAUUGAUGCGGAAUCAGGCGCUGGUGACAAUGUUUAAACGUGUGACUAAAUGCCAAUAAACUCUGCUGUAUUUUCUUUUGAAGAGCUUUCUCACUGUGCUAAGUUGAGCCCCCUGUUAAUGUAAAAGGUUGAAGAUUUCCUCUUGUUUUGUUUUGCAUUUGGAGCUUGAGGGUUCGUCUCUGGUAAUAAUUCAUUUACUUCAGAUGGAUGUUAGUGUUUCAUAGAUCGGGAUUUAACAGUUCACACCAAGGAAUAUAAAGGAGCAGCCUUUUAAUUUUGCUAUGCUCUGGUUAAAAUCUUUUGGUUGUGUCAUCAAUAUGGAAAUGCUAUGCCGUUGAUGGAUGACCCAUUUUAGGUGAUAUGUUUUCUUUUUUGCUUAUACAGCCAAAGAGUCGAAUAUUGUCCCGGCAGUCUUGCUUGAGGCAUCUUACUAGAUCUUCCGGGAAAAAGGUUUCCAGCUCAAGAAAAUGAUUACCACCACCCUUUCUGACGUUUUGGUAAGGAAAGGGUUCUUUUCUGAAGGACGAAGAUUUUGAUGUCUAAUCAAAAUCCUGACCGGAGGACGGAAAAGACCAAAUCAGGGGGUUGCGCAAGGCUGUGGGCCGAUUUAAUUUUUAAAAAAAAAAUCAAGCGGUAAAAAAAAACACUAAAACUUGGAUUAUUGAAUUGAUUAGAAUUUAAUAAGUUUGGUUUAUUUAAAUAAUAUAAAUAAAAAAAUACAAUAAUAAUAAAUAAAUAGUUAAAAAUACUAUUAAUGCAAAACAGAUAAAAAAAAGAACCAAGUUUAUCCUGAUUAACUUAUUAAAUUUAUAACUUUAUUGAGUUACCAGUGUUUAUGCCUUAGAAGAAGGUAGUUGCAAUGGAUGGAAAAUUGAAAGUAAAUUAAAUAAAAUCAUGAAGUUCAAUUAUAAAAUAACAUAAUGUAUACGGGCAAAACUAGAAAAAAAUUAAUUAAAAAAAAGAUUUGUGUCAUCUUGGGUUUACCUGCUAACUCCACGGCCAUAGAUACAUGAUUAGGAUAACCUCAUGUAAAAGAAAGCAAAAACAAAUAUCAAUUCUUAAUAAAUUAAAUGUUGAAAAAAAAUUAAAAAAAAUUAAUUUUAUAAAAGGACUUUUAAAAAAAAAACAAAAUCAACCUGUAUUAACUUUCAAAACCCGUGACCCUGAGACUAACUUAUAAAAGACAAACCCUAAAAAAACAAAGUAAAAUUAUAAAUCAAUAAAAUAUUAGGGGAUAAAAUUAAAAAAAUGCAAUAAAAAAGUCUCCAAAGCAAAAGAAAUGACAAUUAAAAGAAUGAGGAAUAAAUUUAAUAGAAAAAUAAUUUGAAAUCAAAUGUUGAGGGGUGAAAUUGAAAAUAAAUUUCAAAUGGAUUAGGGAUAAAAAAACAACAAUCAAAAGAAUAAGGAUGAAAUUUGGUAUAAAAAUCAAAUCAGACCAAAUGAUAAGGGAUGAAAUUGAAGAAGAAAAAAUUAAUAAAAAUAAAAUAAAAACAAAACAAAUAACAAUCAAAAGAAUAACAAAUUGGGUAAAAAAAAAACAAAUGAAAGGACACAUUUAUUCUUUGGCAAAGAGAAGAGAGAGAAAGAAAAAGGAGAAGAAAAGAAGUUCAUUAAGCCCAACCACUGCUAUGAUGGCAACACGCUCAGCAUCGUUAGAAAAAACAUGGCGAGUUGCUUUAAACACCACCCUGGAAGACAGUGUUUGGAAAGAGAAAGACGCUACAAACAUCGUCUAAAAAACGCUGACAUCAUCGACUUGCUAGCACAUACUAAAAAAACCAAAUCGCUCCCAAUACAUAUUAAUUACAAAAAACCAGCUUGAAAAUAUGCAAAUACCUCUAGUUCUAAGGUUUAUUUGUUUUGACUUUUAAGGGAAUGAAUAUCCUUAAAAUGAAUAUCUUUACACUCUUUUUCAUAAAUAUUAAAAGCUUAAAUUCAUCCCGAGCAACUUGUUAAUUAAAAAAAAAUCAACUUCAUUACAAAAAUAAUCCUGCCUGAAAGUCUUUACAAUGUUUUUUAAAAAAUAUAAAAAAAAAUUAAUUAUCCUUAGACAAAUUUAACAGGUAAUAUAUAAUGCUAUUGAAAGGUCAAAAGACCAAUUAUCAACGACUCCUAGAUUUUAUUGUCUCUUUCAAAAAAAAUUUAAUUAAAUUUCAAUUUUACUUAUGCAUGAGUUAAACUUGCAGUUUUUUAAUAUAUGAUCAGUGGUUCUUUACAACUGAUAAAUUGGUGGGCACAUGAAUCCGAGUUGUUGUUUAUGUCCCCAUUUGUUUCAUCAUUCUAGUUCAUAAUAACCACUGGACUGUUGCUGCAAGAAGGUUUUUUUUUUUUUGUAAUUAUAGAUAUUUUGAUUAGUUUACGUAUGCUUUGAUUAAUUUUUAAAAUUUUAAAAUUAAUUAUCAUAUAAAUUUUCAGUUACGGUUAAAUAUAUAACACUCAAAUUAAUAAUUAAAAAACAAACUCAACCUUACCGAUUAAACUACAUUCCAUUCGAUGACAUUGAAUUCAAAAUUUAGCCGUAAUCUCCAGUUAUGCCUGUUGGGUUAUAGGUUUGGUGUUACAGCUACAACACGUAAAUUCUCACACAAGCAUCGUGGCUGCGGGUUGCAAGAACAAACCAAUGCAGACAUUUUGCGCUUUUAUUAUUACACCAUAAAUACCAAUUUAAUUUUCCUCUUAAGCUUUCAGUAUAUAAAGCCAUGUCUUGAUUUGCUGUCUUGCAGAUCGAUACAAAACAAAAAUGGCAGCACUAAAAUGUGCCUACGUGGGUCUCUUGGUCUUGCUAUGCUCAAGCUUCAGUUUCGCUCACAGAUUCUUUUUGGACAAUGAUGACCAAAUGCAUGAAGGCGAACGCCAUGGUAGUACUGAUGAUCCUGGGACCGGGACUGGAAUUGGAAAAGAUUUUGGGUUUGGCAGUGGCGCCGGGUCAAGUGGAGUAGGUGUUGGGUUUGGGUCAGGUUCUAGUGGACAUGGCAAUGGACUCGGGUCAGGAUCUGGUGGUUAUUGGUUAGGGUAUGGAGUCGGGUAUGGAUCUGGUCGGAAUGGAUAUGAAGAUCCCGGGACUGGUGGAUCCGGCUGGGGCAUUGGAGUAGGUUCAGAUGGGUCUGUGUCUGGAACUGGUGGAGUAGGCUUCAUCCCAGGAUUGCCUGGUUUUGGUCUUGGGGGUAGCAUAAGAUGGCCUGGCUUUGACUUUGGGGGUAACAUAGGUGGAGGGAUUGGAACAGGACAAGGCAGCGGUGGCAGCAGUGGUGGAAUAGGGCAAGGUGGCAGCAGUGGUGGCACGAUAGCAGGAAUUGGUAUGCCUCCACCACACUUCAUUCCGGGGUAUGGUCAAAUAGGCAAUGGAUGUAACUGCAGCCCAGAAUGUUAUAAUCAAGUUUCAACAAUGAAGGGAGGAUCAGCAUCAAAAACAAAUGAUGAGCACAACAGUGGAGCUCAGAAUGAGGUCUCUAGAGACGAGGCUCAUGAGUCCAUCGAUGUGGCCAUGGAGCCAUGGAGUCCACAUGAGACUCAUGAAUCCAACGUUGCAACCACGGAGCCAUACAGUCCAUGAGCAAGGCGCUACUAAAAACAUGAUCAAACACAGCGCAGAACCAAUAAGUGAGAAAAACAGUCUGUGCUUUCCCCCGAAUAAGUAGCUGAAUGUUUCGAAUAAUUCCAUCUCAAAUUUCAUUCAAGAAUUGUUUAAAAACGAAUAAAAAAAACCCUAAUUCUGUAUUAUUUGGGACAAGAAACAAGGAGAUUGUGAAGGUAGAAAUGUAGAAAACAUAUAUAAAAAGUAAAUUGCCAAAAUAAAUAAAUAAAUAAAUAAAACUUAAGGGAAAAACGGAAAAGACAGAUGAUCAUCAAAUCAAUCCUGUUGGGUUAAAAAAUCCUUUUGUCUCUAAAAAAAGAUCUUGUGCGUUAAUCAUUGCAUUACUUUAGCAGUCAAUGUUUAUGCAUGGUAGAGUGAUCGUAUCAUACGUGAAAAUUCCGUGCCUUUUCUUCCUCCUAGCUAUGUCUUCCCUAGCCAUGCAUGGAGUAUACAUUGUCUCCCAUAAUUAUUCUCUUGAAAUGGAGACGCUGCACAGUCUAUGACUUUGUUCCCAUCUGAAAAGGGGAGAAAGCCUUGGAUGAGGAUGAUGAUGAUGGUAAUCGGGCUACGAUGUUAGAAAUACUCCUCGCUUGAUGCAUGCAUUGCGUCAACAACAGCUUAAGGAUGGUUGCAGUCGAAUAGGAGAGCUAUACAUAUUUUGCACUACCAAAGAAUUGGCUCACGGAUUGCAUUCUGCCUCUGGCUUGAAGGUUGGGGAUCGAUCUUCCUAUCAUGGCUCCGGAUUACCCACUACCAAGGUUGUUAAAAUCACGAAUUGACUUUUAAAAUCUUACGAUUUUACGAGUCAACAUGUAUAUAACGUGUCAAAUCGGGUUAAAACUCGAAAUCAGUCAAACUCAGUUAAAAUCGGACCGAUUUUAUGAGUUUGACUGAUUUCGAGUUUUAACCCGCAAAAGUUAAAAUAUUUACUGUCUCCCUGUCCGAGUCCCCUGACACUCCACUACUUAGUCCCCACUCCAUAGUCUCCCCUUUCCCCGUUGCCCAAAUCUUAAAUUUUCAAUCUUAAUAGACUAACACUAGCAUUAGAGGAUCUUGAGUAUGGGAAAGCCUUAUACUGUAUUUUAGGCCAGGAAGGCAUGAUCGGAGGAUCGAAACCAUGGGAAGACAGAGGUAGAUGGUGAGGAAUCAAAGGAGUAAAAUAAGAGAUAAGAAUACUUAUAUAGAGAGAAAUAUUGUGUUUAAGACUAACCAUUUGUUAAUUACAAAGAGAGACGACAAAGACUCAGAGAGAACUUGAAAUACAUGUCUUGCUUGGUGGGAUAUUUGGACAUUAUUUCUAGGACUUGUUACUAACAUAAAAAAGGUGGAAGGUGAGGUGGCAUGAGAUUAAAUUGAUGUCAUUUUGUAUGUUUUUGUUCUCGUUGUCACGGGUUCACUGUAUUGGUCUUUGUUAAUUUUUUUUUAAGUUGGUGAUAUACCUUAGAAUGUUGUAUCAUCUCACUAGUUGCUUGCAGUGUGUUUCAAGACCUGUCCUCUAGAAAAUGUUCUGAAACUCUAUCAAUAAAACAUAGUUGUUCAAUCUUAUUUUUUUUCUUUUCGUAUUUUUAAGUUAUUUAAACCAUUUAUGAAUUUUUAUUUGAAGUAUGUAUUUUAAGGUGUUUGGACAUUUGUAUUGUUUAUUUCAGUUUUAUUUUAAUUGUGUUAUAUUAUUAUUUACUACUUGACUGAAAUUGUCAAUAUAUAAAUAAUUAAAAUAUUUUUCUUGCGAUUUUACGAUUUUACGAUUCGAGUUUAUGAUCCGAAUUUAUAUUAUAUAUUUCGUGUCGUGUCAAAAAAGCAUUUUUGAUAACCUUGCCCACUACCCAUUUAGGAAGCGUUUGGGAACGCAGUUCAACCCGCGUUCCCAAAAAAUUUGAAUUUUUUUUUUUUUGCUAAAAUUUAAUAUGGUUUGUACGUUUUGGAUCGUUUUGAUGUGCUGAUGUCAAAAAUGAUUUUUAAAAAAUGAAAAAACAUCAUUGGCAUGCAUUUUGGCACGAAAAGUUAUUUGAAAAGCACCCGCAACCACACUGUCAAACACGCUCUUAGUCUGUCCCUUAAGCUUUCACUCACUAUAUAUCCAAGACUUGAUUUGCUGCCAUGAAUAACAAAUCAAAUCAAAACAAAAAUAAGAUGACUGCACUAAAGUGUGCCUGCGUGAGUUUCUUGGUCUUGCUAUGCUUUAGCUUCAGCAUUGCUCACAAGUUCCUUUUCGACACUAAUGACCAAAAACUCGGAGACUUUCACCAUGAUAGUUCUCACGUUAGUGGGGCUGGAAAAGGUAUGGGGUUUGGUAGCGGAUCGAGUGGAGAUUAGUACUUCCCGGGGAUCUCUUGCUUAAUUAUGGCUAUGGGAUUGAAAUAGGUAAUGGGGGUAGCGGCCACAGCACAGUACCAGGAAUCGGUAGAGGUUUUGGUAAAUUAAGAUGGUGUUUGGAUAUGCUGGUGCGGCUGCGGUUGAAAAAAAAGCAGUGUAACACAUGUUUGGUUAACCACUAACCACAGUUUUUUUUUACGUGGGUCCCAGUUCAAACUGCGGUUGAAUUGCAAAAAUUGAAAAGCAAUUACGCAUUGCUUUUCAUGCGUUUCUCCUCUCUCUCAUCACCGAUAAUUUGCAAUUACUUUCCCAACUGUCCUUUGUCCCUCUUUAACCCAAUUUCCCAACGGUCACAAAAACCCAACAAAUUGUUCACAUAAGGUUUUAGAUCAAUGUUACCAUUGAUCUAAACUCCCAUUUUCAACCUUCCCCAUACUGUUCCUUCAUGCGUUUUACUUCUCUCUCACCACCGACACUUUCCCAGUAACCAUGGUCAAUUACGGUCUUCUACCUCACAAAUUUUUCUGUUACGGUUGCAGAUCAAUAUUAGCAUUGAUGAACUAAACCCCAAUUUCCUUCCCCAAACUGUUCUCCUCUCUCGUCUCUUACUACAACCCCGUUUCUAUUUUACCCUAAAACCACCAACGCACAGGACGACGCCAGAGCAAGCUUCUUCCCCUCUGUCCCUUCUUUCCAAAUGAAGAUUAAAAACACAAACCUUCAUCGAUCUAUCCCUCCAUUGUUACAAUUGCAAAAAAACCCAAGAGAUUCGUGCUGGGAAAGGUCCACGAGCGAGAUACCCGUAAGUACUAUGCGUUCCCCUUGUCAAUUUUGUUUAACAUGUUGCUCAAAAUCUAAUUUCUGUAAUGGGUCUCUAUUGUUUUUGUUUUUGCAGAACAAAGCUGCAGCACCGUGGUGGUUUGCAAAACAAAGAGAGAGACUGAGGUAAGUUCCUGCCUUAUCUCCAUCUUCAUUUUCAUUUUUUUAGAUGAAAAAUUGCAUGUUUGUGCUGCUGCAUGCUCGAUUAUUGUUAACACUGCAAUUGUUGAAUUGAUCUACAAAUUUCAUUGUUGUUGCUGCUUGUGUUCUAUUUACUAUGCCUUCGUCAAAUUGUUUGAAUUUAUAGCAAAUUUCAUUGCUUCUUCUGCUUGUCUUCUGCUUUGCAUAUGUUUUUAAAUUUUUUUUACUUGAAAACCUGCAUUUCUGUGAUGCUUCUGUGUACUGUGUUACCCAUGUCAAUUUUGUAGUAAUUGUAGCUCAAAAUCUAAUUUAUGUUCUGGAUCUCCAUUGUAUCUGUUUGCAUGACAAAGUUGUAGAACCGUGCUGGUUUGGACACCUAAAGAGAUAGACUGAGGUAAGUUCCUGCCUUAUCUCCAUCUUCAUUUUCAUUUUUUUAAAUGAAAAAUUGCAUGUCUGUGUACCUGCAUGAUCAAUUACUGUGUGUUCUGCAAUUGACAAAUUUCAUGGCUGUUGCUGAUUGUCUUCUGUUUAUUGUGCCUUCGUCAAUUGUUUUGAAUUUAUCAAAAUUUAAUUGCUUCUAUGUACUACUUGUCUGUUGUUGUUCUUUGUUUAAAUCUGGUUUUGUUUUUUAUGUCUACUACCAGCAGACAAUGCUGAUGCUGGAUUAUUUGCUUACUGGAAACAAUGUGAUGCUUUGAAAUUUCAUUUAUGUGUUGUUCUUCAUGGUCUGAUAUGUUUACUAUGCACAUUAAUGUUGUUUCUGUUUGAGCAACCGUAGAUUUCUUUACUGUGCGUGUGUUUAUUGUAAUCGUAAUGAGUGCCCUGUUAGCAUGUCGUGUAGGAUUACUUUUAUUUCUAAUUGUGCAGUCAAAAUCAGAAUUUUGAGUUUCCUUUUGUGUUUGCAUGCUGCGAAAGAAAGCUGGGUUACUUUGAAUGUAGAAAUAGAUUCUGUUCUGUUUGUUUUUUUCCCUCUGUUUUCAGCUUCCAAACAAUAUGAUGACAAUGAAGUGUUGCUUGAUAAUUCAAAUAUUAUAUCAUGGCUGAAACUGAGUUUUCUGAACAGUUGAAAAUUAAUGGGUUUCAAUUAGUUUUCAUUACAAAUUAACAGGAACAUUCUCAUUCAAAUACAUGCAUGGUUAAUGUUUGUUGCUAACCACACAGCUUAAAUGCUGAACAUUGAGUGUUUUAUUAUUGUUUUAGUCCACGGUUUAUGUAUGUGCCACAAUGUAAUUAAUAUCAUUGAUUGAUUUCAAACUUUUGUUAAAUGUGUUAAAAGCUAUCAUGGAAGGUCUUGAAUAUUUUGAUAAGGCUGCUUGGACAAAGGAAAUGUUGCAUAUAUUUUGUGAUAUAUGCAUUAAGGCAAUUGAUAUGGGAAUGAGACCUAAUACUCAUUUCGAUAAAACAGGGUGGAAAUUUCUUAUAACAUCAUUUAAAGAACAAACUGGCCAUGCAUUCACUAAAACACAAUUGAAAAACAAAUGGGAUGGAUGCAAAAAGGAUUGGAGGAUAUGGAAUAAGCUGAUUUCUGAAACUGGUGUUGGCUGGAAUAGUGAAUUAGGCACAAUUUCAGCUAGUGAUGAGUGGUGGAAACAAAAAAUUCAGGUACAUUCCUUGUCAUCCUAACAAUUUCUUUUAUUGUUGUCAAAUUCCAACACCAAAAUUUUACUAGUCUUGAUCCUUCAUUACUUGAUUUAAUUUAUAUGCAGGAAAUUAAAGGAGCCAAAAAAUUCAGACAUGUCGGUAUUGAGCCGUCUUUGAAGAAUAAAGUUGACCGAAUGUAUUCCAACAUUGUCGCAACUGGAGCGUUUGCAUGGGCUCCUUCAUCAGGUGUACCUGAUGGCAGUGAUGUUGAUCCUGGUACAAGCAAUGCCGACAUUGCUCAUGAUGGUUUGGAAGAGGGCAGCGGUGAUUCAGAGAAAGAUGUGAUUCCAGAUUUCCAGACUGACAUGGCUCGAAUGGUUGGAGGGAUAAAUAUGUCUACCAGCAGCAACACAAAAAGCGGUGGCAAAAGAAAAGAACGAGAUCAUUAUGAUGUGCAAGGUAGAAAAAAGAAAACAUCUGGAAUUCAGCUAUUGUCAAGGUGCAAUCAACUACUUGAGAGUAUGUCGACUAAGAGUGAUUCCACGUCUAUUAAUUUGGAUCGCGAAGGCUGUAGUAUUAGCAAGGUGAUGGCUGAGCUGCACUCAAUUCCUGAAGUUUCAAUUGAAGAUGAGUUCCACGACUUUGCUACGGAGUAUUUGAGUUUAAGAAGGAAAAGAGAAAUGUGGGCUAGUAUAGGUGAUAAGGAGCAGAAGUUGAGAUGGCUGCAACGAAUGUAUGCACGCACUAAACAUGCUUAGCUGACAUGGUAUUAUUACAUUUUCUUAACCGUUAAUCAAUUAACUAUUCACUUGCUUAAUGUAUUUAUACAAGUUUAUUUUAUUGUUGCAGAAUAAUGGGAUGCCGGUUUUAAAAAAGAGUUUUUUCCAAUUGACGAAGUUUAUCUGAGUCAUUGUAUUCUUCCACAUUUCGUGUUGAGAUAUAUGGGCAUUUCCAUUUGCGGUAAUUUGUUUACUAUUGUAUUUAUAUUAAACUGCUUUUCGGGAGCUAAUAUACUUGUAUGAGGAUAUUGUUGGUUUUUAAUGUUGUAUUUUAUCAAUGAAUUAAAACUGUCACUUUUGUUGUUAUUAAUGUUAAAUGGUUGAUCAUUGGAUUGAAUUUGUUGGUAAUUUUCCUUCACUGUGUUGUUCCCUGAAGGUCUUGAAUAUUGAGUGUUGCUGUUAAAAUGUAUGUUCUAUUAUAAUAUACCAUGUGCAGCCUUGUUUGUUUUCUUUUAUACCAUGAGUUAAUGGGAGUUGUUGCCUUGUGUGUCCAGCUGUAAUUGUAAUAAACCAUGUGCAGCUACUGUGUGAAAUGUUGGUGUGUUUUCUUUUCUGCCGUGAGUUGAUUGGUGUUGUAUGGUGAUAAGAAAGCUGCAAGUAAUUGAUAUACAAUGUGCAGCUACUGUGUGAACAUUUGUUUGUUUUCUUUUUCAGUCGUGAGUUAAUGGGUACUGCAUGGUUAUAAGAAAGCUGCAAGUAAUUGAGAUACCAUGUGCAGCUACUGUGUGCUUGUGCAGUGUGAUAAAGAGCAUUUGUUUUCUUUUCUGCCGUGAGAAUUGAUGGAAGCUGAUGCCUUGUUUGUUAAUGUUAUUCAUUGCUGUUAACAUGAUUGUUUCAGCUAUUGUGUGCAAGUGAGUUUUGAAUAUUGUCUCAGCUACUGUGUGCAUGGGAGCCAGUGUAUGAAAUAUAUGUGUAUGUGCUCCUAUAAAUGUUGUUUGAGCUGUCGGAUUUGUCACCGAUUAUUGGAAUACAUGUUGCUCUCUUUGGUGCGUUGCUAUUGGAGUUCAUAUAUAUAAAUUAUGUUUAUUUUGUGAGGUGUCAAUUGAAUCUCCAGUUACAGUUCUUGGAAUACAAUAUUUGUUGCUUUUUAGAUGAUUUCUGUACAUGUUGGUGUGCACUGUCAUGGUGAUAAGAAAAGGAAAAAAAGUGGGCCAAGGAAUCUUGACUAAUAGAAUGAGAACAAAAAAUGAAAAAAUACAUGUCAGAAUAUAUUAGCAGUAAGAUUAACAUUAUAUGUUACUUUUAUAGUCUAUACAUGUGAUAAUGUACUUCUAUUGAAAGCUGAAUAAAAUAACUUGUAAAAGAGACGUAAAAAGCAGUGAGUUUUUUCUAUAUAAAGAGGAUUGUUGGUAAGCCAACUUUCAAAGAACUUUUUUGCUUCAUAACAAACCUCUCAAACCUCAACUGAAUUUCAUACAAGCAAGUGGAACAUUGUUUUUGUUGGCUUUACAGGUAUGAAAAAACUUAUGUUGCACCAACUAUUUGAUAGUUCUUUUUUAUUGAAUGAUAUUUAAUUAUUUAAAUAUUUUUAUUAGCAACAUAUAAUAUUUUUUUUUGUUUUCAUGUAAUUGAAGUUAUGGAUGAUUCACGGUUUAAUGACAUAUUUAAUGGGGAUUUCGAUGGCAAUUAUGAUAAUGUAAUGAACCGCAUUGUAGACCACAUUAAUUAUCCUAGUUGUGAAGGUAUUGGUGCCUCAUUUUCUAGUGCUGGAGAUGACAGUGAUGGAAACGACGCCGACGAUAGUAACCAUUGUCGCACCCGACAUCGCGGUGGCCUUAAAAAUUAGUAUUUUUAGGGAGAAUGGAUUUCUGGCAUCCUAUUCUUUGAUGGGAAAUAUUCUUGUUUAAGGAGUCGACACCUAAUAUUAUGGUCACUAGGAACCCUAACUGGUCAACAGAGAUUCUAUGGUAUGAGACUGGUUACGUAAAAGGAAAGAUAUUAUCACCCCUUAAACGUCUUGCCUAAGGCAGGCUGCAUUGCUGAUCUUUGUCAUUGAUUGCUAACAUUUUUGUUGGUUUAUACUAUGAUUGUUUGCGUGUAAUAUUCCUGACUCUGGCGCCAGUGAAUAUUCAACUACAGAUAUUUCCAACUCUGGCGUUGGUAAAUAUUACGUAGGUAUCAAAAUGAAUAAAUUUAAAUCAUUAUUUCUUUUUAUUCCUGACUCUGGCAUCAGUGAAUAAACAAAUAAAAAUCAAUUUAUUUUUACGCAUACACAUUAUUUUUAUUUUUAUGUAGCUAAAUAAAAGCAAAAUACAAUAAAACAAAAUAAAAUAAAUUUACAUUAGUAUUUUUAUUCCUGACUAUGGCGUCAGUGAAUAAACCAAUAAAUUUAUUUUAUUUUAUCUUAUGUUUUUUUUUUGCAUGCAUAUUUUUUUUAUAUAUAUAACUAAAUAAAAUACAAUGAAAUAAACUUGAAUCGGUAUUUUUAUUCUGACUCUGGCGUCAAUGAAUAAAAAAAACAAUAAAUUCAUAUUUAUAUUUUUUACAUACACAAUUUUUAUUUUUUCUUUAUUUUUUUAUUUACAUUUUUGGUCUGGGCCCAGCUCAGCCCAUAUGGGCUGGGCUAGACCCAGCCAGCCCGGCCCGGUCACUGGCCCAAGCCAGUGACCCGGCUGGGCAAAAAAAACUAAAAGCACGCGUGAAGUGACUUCACGCGUGCAUGAACACUGUGUGAAGGUAAUUAAUUACCUUCGCACAGUGUUCUUGUAACAAUUCAAUUUGAAAUGAAGAUGCAAAGGUGAAUGAAGAAACGGGCGUACCUGCUUCUGGAGACCGAAGAUGCUUGCAGCGCUGAUGAUGAUUCUCGCCUACUGCUUCCCUUUGUCUUCCUUCUGUGCUCACUUGUCUGUGUUUUCCUUUUUUUUUUUCUCAGCUGCUUUUAAAACUAAGAAGAUGAUGUCGGCCUGCUGUGAGUUUGUUUUGGGUGUUUUCUUUUGUGCAGGGGUGUCUGCAGAGAUGAAGGCAAUGGCGGGGACAAUUAUCUUUGAAUGCUGGUUUCCUUUCCUCUCCUUCUCUCUGUGUAUUAUUUCUUUCUCUGGUUUUUCGUCCGUUUUUGCUCUGGUUCUGACUCUGUUUUUUUGCUCUGGUUUUUUUUCGGUCUUUUUCCUUUUCUGGUUUUCUUCUUUGGUUUUCUGGGUUGGUUCUUCUUCUCUCUUUUUCUCACUGUGUAUUAUUUCUUUCUCUGGGUUUUUGCUUUGUUUUUGCUCUGGUUCUGCUUCUGUCUUUUCUUUUCUUUUCUUUUUUUCAUUCUGGGUUUUUCUUCCCCUUUUAUCGAGAUCCAGCAGCUUGCCUCCAACUAGUCCUGCCUUUGCAGGACUGUUAUUUUCCACUAACGAGAUCGUGGGCAAGAGACGUGAUCCACGAUUGGUCGGAUUUGUUGCAGAUUUUCAGCUCCCCUGUUGAAUCGGGAUGGAGAAGACGCACGACUGUUCCCCAGCAACGGUGCCGUUUCGGCAGAAACGGGAAUUUCCACUUUGACCCCUGCCUCUGGAAAUUUAACAAUUGGAUCCCAAAUAAUAAAUAAAUCUUUUAAUUUUGCCAUUGAAUUAAUUUCACCUAAAUCCCUAAAGUAUAGCACCGUUUACAAAACAGUCCUUAAUUCCUGGACUGUUCAAUUUGGUCCUUAAUUAACUCUUCAACUUUUAAUUCUAUUGUCUUAACCCUAUUUUCUACUAUAUUUAAUUUUUAUUAUUUGUUCAAAAAUUAGGUUAUGACAACAAUGACGAUGACAAUGAUGAUGACGAUGAAUUUAUUUUAAUGAGGCAUUUUGAUACAAAAAAAUUAAUUAUAUGCACAGCUAGAGCUAUAAACAUGUAUUAUAUUAAUUAUAUCUAUAAAGAAUCAUGUAUGAUUUCGUAUAAUACAGGGAUGCGUUGGUUGACAGAGGUUUUAAGAGGUCAUUGGAAACGAAGUGUUAACAUGUUUAGGAUGGACGCAACCACUUUGUUGAGUCUGUGCACUGAAUUAGAAACGCACCAUGGCUUAAAACCGUCAAGAAGAAUGAGCGUUAUUAAAAAGGUGGCAAUGAUUUUAUUUACAAUAACAGUUGAGGCGUCAAAUAGACAAGUACAAGAACGAUUUCAGCAUUCAGGUGAAACUAUUAGUAGAUGUUUUAAAGAAGUGUUUAAAUCAUUACGUUUGUUUGCUGUGGAAGUCAUAAAACUAGUAGAUCCACAAUUUACGAGCACACCAAGAGAAAUUGCUAUGAAUCCAAGAUUUAUGCCACAUUUCAAGGUAAGAUGAAUUUUUGUUUAAUUAAGUUUAAUUAAGUUGUUUAAAUGAGAAUGAAAUAUGUUAUAAAUGUUUAUGAGUACUUAACGUUUUUGUGGGUUGUAGAAUUGUGUCGGUGCAAUUGAUGGAACACAUGUCCGUGCCUGCAUAUCAUCUGAAAGUCAAAUUCCAUUUAUUGGAAGAAAAGGUGUACCAACACAAAAUGUCAUGGCCGCUUGUAGUUUCGACAUGCAAUUCAUGUUCGUGUGGGCAGGAUGGGAAGGCAAUGCACACGAUAUGCGUAUUUUUCUUGAGGCUAUUGACAAUAGCAAUAUCAAAUUUCCAAAACCUCCAAAAGGUUGUGAUUUUGACUAAAUUGAAGAUUUGGUAAUUGAAGGAAUAUAAUAUUUUUUUUUAAAGUUCUGUUAUUAAUUACCAUGUUGUUAUUAUUUACAGGAAAAUACUAUUUGGUUGAUGCUGGAUAUCCAAAUGAGUAUGGGUAUUUAGGUCCCUACAAAGGCAAGAGGUAUCACUUCUAAGAAUUUAGGCGACGUGGACAACCAAGUGGUCGGAAAGAAGUGUUUAAUCGUGCACACUCGUCACUACGUAACGUGAUCGAACGUUCUUUUGGGGUAUGGAAACAAAGGUGGAAAAUUUUGCAAAACAUGUCUGCUUACCUAUACAAAACACAAGUUGAGAUUGUGGUUGCAUCAAUGGCACUACAUAACUAUAUUAGAAGGAGAUCGCAAGAUGAUGCAGUUUUUUCUGAGUAUGAUCGCAACCCCAAUUUAAUUCUAGAUGACUUUUUACCUGAUAUUGUUUAGGCUUCGGCCGUUCAAGGCUCACAAAAGCCUUCACGUAUGGAUUUUGUAUGUGAUGAAAUUGCAAAUAGUUUGAUGGAACAAUAAAAGAGUACAUUAAUGUAUAAGGAUAUUUCAUUUUGUUAUGUAAUCAUAAUUACAAAACACAUAUGUUUUGGAAUUAUAUAUAUGUGUCUAUAUAUGUCCUUUUAAUUAAUUCAAAUCAAAUAUAAAACACAAACCAUAUUAACCAAACAAAAGAAACUAUUUUUUUUAACCACAAUUUAAAUCACAGUUUUACCAAACACAAAAUUGCUUUUUUUCUACCACAAUUUCAGCCACAGUUUUUUAACCAAACACAAGAAACUGUUUUUUUUAAAACCACAACUUCAACCACAGUUUUAACCAAACACCAAUUUUUUUUAAAAUCAACCUCAUAAAAAAUACUUUUUAUUAAACUAUUUUUUUCAAAUCAUAACCAGAAAAGUUUUACAAUACCAAACACGCAGUAUCGGUUACAGAAGCAGUUCCGAACGUCAUCCAAGAGGGAGAUCAAGAUCAAAAGCAAAUGAUGAGCCUGACAGUGAAACCCAAAACUACGUCAACAAAGAUGAGGCUCAUGAGUCCAUCAUUGCAGCCAUGGAGUCCACAUGGCUCUUACGAGUCCAUUAUUGCGGCCUCGGAACCAUGGAAUCCACACAAGGCUCACGAGUCCAUCCUUAACGCCCCAGAGCCAUGGAUUCCUUAUGAAGCUCACGAGUCUAUCAUUGUGACCUGCCAUGGGGUCCACCUAAGGCUCACGAACCCUUCGUUGCAGCUACAAAGCCAUGGAGUCCACGUGAGGCUCAUGAGUCUACCGCAAGCAUGGAGCCACGGAGUCCAUGAGCAUGGUGCUACGAAACGGUUGCAAGGCCACUCACGGUGCAGAGACCAGUAACUGAGCAAAACAGUCUGCAUUCCCUAGGCAAAGGGGAGAUGGUGUUCUAGAAAGUACGAGUUUAUUCUUGUCUUAUCUAACUUGUUUUUUAAAAUAUUUUUUUAGAUGUUUUUAAUUAAUUUUAUAUAUUAAUAUAAAAAAAAUCUAAAAAACAAUAUAUAUAUAUAUAUAUCAAACAUGAGCAACACACACUAAAUAUAAGUAUUAAGAUCAAGAUUGUUAAAAUCACGAUUUAGAAUUUCAAAAUGUACUAGUUAUUGUUUUUUAAAAUAGUUUUUGCUUGAAAAUAUUAAAAUAAUAUAUUUUUAAUUUUUUUAAAUUAUUUUUAAUAUCAUAUAUCUAAAAAUACUAAAAAAUUAAUUUUAAAAAAAUCAAAUUUUCUUGAAAAAUAUAAUAAACCACGGCUAGCAUUGUUUGAGUUGACACAUUGCAUGCUAUCAAUUGAAAAACACGAAUCAGCCUGAUACAAACACAUCAAUUACCGAAAAAGGAAAAAUAAAAUCAUAAAACAACGGGGGAAAGAAAUAUACACUCAUCAAAUCUUGUUGCCUUGAAAAAAACAACUUUCUCGUAGGUCCAUCAUUACUUCAAGCAAGAAGUUGGUUUGGUUCCAUAGGAAACAUAAAACAUACAGUGGAUCAAUUCAUAAUAACUUGCAUCAUUUCUAUUACCUGUAAGUUAAUAUUACAAAGAGCAAGAUUCUAUUACAGUAAACUAAUGUAUUGAUUUCCUUCUUCUAUGUACUCAUGCUACGACUGAAAUCCUAAGAGUAUAGUAUGAACCUUGAUUCGAUAUUGGAAAAUACCACAUACGAUCAAGAAAAGAGUACCUACUUUAGCUGGAUCCUGAAAAGAACGAGGGAAAAGGGAACUGCUCAAAAUACUAGGUUCGCUUAUUCGUACGCUUUUCUACUUUCAAUUUCAUUCCCUUGUACUUCACAGGAUCCCUGCAAAGCCUAAAUUUGACGACAGAAUACCUCCAAUUUAUUACCUUCUAACUGGCAUAGAAGAUGACCUAGGAAUACCUUCCACGUUAAGAUUUGGUGUUUCUGAUGAUGACACAGAAGCUGAUGGACGAAGAAGAGGAGUGCCAACCCUACUUGAAGUUUCGUUGGCAACUGGGCCAGGACUAACUGAAAUAAAAGCAGACUGCAACUCAAUUUGAGUGACUGGACCAUCACCAAUCUCAGGAAUAUCAAGCAACUGAUGAUCAUCUUCCUCAAGUGACAUUACUGUGCUUGUGUCUGUGUGUAUGGUAGAAUCAUCUGUGAAAUUUCCAUGCCUUCUCUUCCUCCUAGCCGCCUUCCCCCACCCAUGGAUUGUCUCCCUUAUUCUUUGCGGAAUUAAUGCUGCCUUGUAGUUUGUUCCCAUCUGAAAAAACAGAGGGAGCAUUACAUGAUAUUAAUAAUAACAGGAAAUAAUUGAACCUAAAAAUAUGAAACAAUCCUAACCACCUUAACACAAUGAAAACCUGCUCAAACAUGAUUCACGUUACUAGUCCUGAGGAGGGGGGCAUGUCCUCCUCACAAGAGGAUAAAGAUGAUUUAAUGCCAUAAAAAAAUCAGGGCAAUCUAGAGGACUCAACUCCAUGACUUGUUCUCAUGUCUAUUAAAAUAUGAGGUUUGCUCCACAACCCAUGCUCGGUGAUGGAUUGUGAUACAAAACUACAGCAUUGCUCCCAGAAAAGAAAGAGCAGAGGAGAUUUAAAAAAAAAAACCUAAGACUUGGUAGCUGACAAAUCAGUCCGUGAAGGUACACCCAUAAACUGGGUGCUUGCGGAAUACUGCAUAAACAUAUAGUCACGAGGAACUUCACUCAUCCUACUUGGACAUAUCAAUGUAUCUGAUUGCCAUUCAAUAGUUAUGUAACUCCGGCAUUAUUUAUACACUGCAUAGAUAACUAUAUAUAGAUGAAGUGCCUUCUCUCUUUCUUUGAGAUACUGUGGUUGGAUUCAACAAUAGGCCCAGGAAUGGAGAUAUAUGCAACUGGCAUAUGCUGGUAGGCUAUAUUGGCAGUCAAGAGUCUUUAUCCCUGGAAGUUCCUGUAUAUCUGUACUGGAUACAGGUUAAAACUAGCUUACAGUAGAUUAUGCAUUUCUAAUUUAUUGCUCAUGAUAUUUGUUUACUAGUAGAUUAUGCAUUGGUAUCUUGUUGCCUAUAAAUAAAAAUUAACCAGUAAUUUUCCUUGGGGAAAAGCACUUCCCAAUGAAUAUGAUACCUGAGUAACUAGUGCAUAUAGUGGCAAGGUGCUGUAGCUACAGAGGAACUGCCCAGCAAACCUACAAGAUAAUUCAAUGAUGCAGUGGCUGUAAAAAAGCUGUUAAAUCCUCAAGAAAGUCUUAACUAUCUCAGAUGUAUGCAUACCCCAAAACAAGUCGUGUGUACACCAGCCAAUGGUUCCUAAUAAAGCAGGAUUUGUACCCAAAUUGCCACUGUAAAUCAAUCAACAAAAGACAUAUUAGUUCAAUGUACAGAUUCAAAAUCUCAUUAAGCAAGGAAAAGAAGAUUUUUGUAUUUCCUCAUUUGUGAUUCCUCUGGUCCGCUAUAUCAUUCUUUAAGCGAUUUCCAAAUGUUUGUCAAAUGAAUUUAUUAAACAUUGAGGCGACAAAACCGAGGAAAAAGUGAGAUUUUUGUUCAACCAAAUCAUAGAAAUUAUAAUAAAUUUGAGCUUGGUAGAUGUCAAGAAGGACAAAAGUGAACUCUCACAGUCCAGUGAAUACCAAUCAAGUAAGGGAAGAGGAGUUACCCAAAACCAAAAGAACGAAGCCAAUUCAAAUGCAUUCUGCAAUGAAAUUUCAAAGGAAAAAAAAAGUGAUGUCAGUUCUACUACUUUGGCACACCACCAUAAAACCAUUUUCUAGGAAAGAAUGAACUGAAAGGAUGGUAUGUGUUACCAUUUUAAUUUGAGCAAUUGAUCACGGUGAGAAUUGCUUACCUGGAACAGAACAAAAUGAAUCAAUGACAACAUUAAUUCUGGCUUCUUGAACCAGAAAAGAUCAUCUCGAGGCUUCAGUUUUGCUCCCACAGAAUGUCCAGUUAGACCAGCAGUCUCCAAAGCCAAGGUUGCAAUUACAUGCUGUAGCUUUGCACCCACAAGAAGAACAAGCUGCCCAUGAUGUGAAACAUUAGAGAAACCCAAUACAAUUGCAAGGGUACAUAAAGCUUUAUUCACUCUAGAUACAAAAUUUGUUAGGUGCGAUCAGUUGCCUGUUCAAGUGUCUGUUCCUCACAGCAUACUUGUGCUACUACCUAAGAAAAUGCCUUUUGCAGCAUCCAAGUGAUUGACAAAACCAAAACUCAAAAGAACCAGUACUCACAGUGAUUGGAAUGAUUGCUAUCCAGAAAUAGAGAUUAGAUCCUGUAGGAGGUUCCAAAUCAAACAAACCAUAAUUUAGUAAGUUUAAGACCUGGGAUAACCCUGUCAUACACUACACAACAUAUGACGUAGAUCACAUUAUGUGCAGUCCAAUGUAUGAAAACUGAGGCUGGUAAUUGUCGUGGUAGAUUGAAAAGAGUCACAAAUAAUUCAAAAGAAAAUGCACAAAUCAUCAAACUUGUAUAUUGUUAUCCAAAAGCAAGUGCAAAACAAAAGAAUUUAUACCAUCAUUUUUCACCUACAUAACUGUACCUUUUACAUUAAAAAGCAUGAAUGCAACAACAAAUCCCCACAAUGGACCACUGCAAGGAAUUGAACAAGCAGGCAUUUAGCAGGUCCAUUUUCUCCUACCUCAAUCAUACAAAUGAAUGACCUAAAAAUACAAGAAACAUCCAAAGUACAUAGAUGUUACCUCACACCAACAAUUCUUUGGAAUUCUUCUUCCAUAGAGCGAAUCAUGUAGCUGUGAAAAUCAUAUUUCAAUGAGAGGUUGUGAUUCUGCCAUGAUUAAGAAAAUAGAAGGGAUGGAUGUUAAUAAAGCAAUCACUAAUAGUACCACCAGUCUAUCAGCAAAGACGUUCCAACUGCCAGAUGCCUCAAACAUGGAUUUGGUUCUGACUCCGAUUCAACAUCUCAUUUUAAAUAUCAAAAGAAGUAAUAUGGUGUCAAAAUAUUUUCCAUUUACCAUAAUUUGAGGUUGGUUUCAAAAUAUUCCAUGACAAUAUAAUACCCAUCUGUUAUGGUCUAUCUUAUAUUAUGUUUUUUACUGCAUGAGUUUAUCUAUGUAUAUAUACUCCGAUAUCUUCUUUUUUUAUAAACCCUAGUACAAGCCCCUGCCUUCCUUCCAUACCAUUGAAUUCCUCACCUGAUUCUGGGAUCAUAAUUCUCCUACUUCCCUAUUUCUCCAGGAGGAGAGUGCCAUCUUACAUUUGUAGUACAUCCUAAAUGCUAGUAAAUUAAAUUUCCCUUUAUGCACCUUCAAUGUUGUAAAUGCUAUUUGAAAAUUAAACUUCACUUAAAGUAUGGGCUAACAAAUAACAACAAAGUAUACCAUGAUGAAGCCCUUACGAAGAGUAAGGUAGUCUGUGCGAACCACUGAACACCCAAAUUGCCGGAAGAAACAUGUCUGCAAGUUGAUAAAACGAGCAACUUCAGCAGAAAUUAUCAUCCGGACCCAAAAAAAAAGUGGCAAGCAAAUAUAAACAGAUGCUCUUUCAAACAAUAGAAGUAAAAUGACAACAAAAUGAAGAAAGAAAGGAGGAAACUAACAAGGUUAAAAUGUACAUUAUCAACAAACAUGAAAAGGAGGAAAUUGCCUAAUGCCCCUUCCUAUACCUUCAUGAAAGAAGAAACACUAGCAUCUCAAAAACCCAUAACAAAGAAGCUCCAAAUGUAAAUUCCAAUGCUUCAAUUUCAGUGAUCCAUAUUUAUUUAUCUUUUUGGUGAGUUAUGAGAUUGUUUACAAAGUGGAGCAUGGAGGAUAGACACAAGGAUUGUUUUGGAUCAGGUGUGUGACAUGAAGAUCAUAUUGUGAAUGCUGUCAAUGUAAAAUUGCAAUACUGUCUCUCUGGUAUUGAAAUACAUCAAACAAAGAUCAACACAAAACAAGGCCUGGUAGCACAGCUCCAAUUUUAUCACAGAAUUAGCUUGAAUAACAAGCAAGCAUGGACUACCAGCAUAGAGAGCAUUAAAAGAGCAAGAAAAAGAGUUUUGUACCUACCACCCAAAUAAGAAAACUAUUCUUUACCAAAGGACCUGAUGUAUGAUGUCUUACAAAGGUUGUUUGCCUUCGGAAUGUCUUCUCUCUAUUGAUUUCUGUUACAGAAUAAAUUGCUAAAGUCAUUAUUUCUGUCAUAAAAAUAUUUCUUAUAAAAAUAUUUCUUAAAUACGUAUUUGCAAUUGAAAUGAUUGGAAUGUGAAGGUAUCCCUUGCAAAACAGUGCUUUUUUAUCACACUAAUUAUGGAAAGCAUAUCAUAAAUAUGCUGAACUGCAUCAGACGUAACGAUAAGCCCAGGCCUACAGAGAUCUGUCAUGUUUCUGCUAUAAGGAUGAAUGCUCAAAUGAGAACUCAGGAGCCAAAGUAAUAUCUUUUCCAAUUACUGUCUUCAAUUCUACCUUCCUUCAGGCUCCUUGCUGACUUCAUGUGAGGUCUCCAGUUUUCAUAACCAAAUCUACAGAGAUCGGUCAUGUUUCUGCUAUAAGGAUGAAUGCUCAAAUGAGAACUCAGGAGCCAAAGUAAUAUCUUUUCCAAUUACUGUCUUCAAUUCUACCUUCCUUCAGGCUCCUUACUGACUUCAUGUGAGGUCUCCAGUUUGCAUAACCAAAUAAACCCUUUCUCUUGUCCAACUCAAAAAAAAAAAAAAAAACACUAUUGCAAGUUCCUGUUCUUUCCUAAAUAUCUCAAUUCCACCUUUGACCAUCAAGAUACAUAAGAUCAAGUCUCAAUCUCCUUAAAGGUCUAGCAUCUAGACAUAUAUAUGUAUAUAAGAACAAGCUAAAUACUGUAUACUGAAGAGAGUGAGAGAUUGGGCAUGCAUAUUCUAGAUCAGCCAUCUUCUAUAAAGCUGAAAUAGGCGAAAAGAAUUAGGCAACACAACUACUGUUUAAAAUUUUAAAUCUAUCCAAAACCACUUUCCUGCUUAAAGCUUACCUGUUAAUACAUCAUGUCGAUCCAUAUGAGCCACAUCCUCCCAUAUCCUCCAACUGUGAAUCUGGUGAACCAAUUACAAAGUUAGACAGAUGGCCACAGUGAUAACAACAUUAUGGUUCUCUAGUUUCACAAUUCAAAUAAUGUCUUGUCUUUAAUGCAACUACAGUUCAGGGAAGAACUUGGUUUAUAUGGUCAACAUGGUUUCCUCUCCUUGAGUCAUCUUGACAUAAGAUAUCACAAGUUUGACUUGCAAAUACUGGAUGGGUCAGCACAUAUAUUCUUAUCACAGAACAAACAGAACCAUAUUUUAGAUACAAAGGACCAAAGGUUGAAACAGCAGAUGCUGAUUGUAAGGCAAGCAUGUUGCUUCUGAGAAUGCUGUUAAAGCUUCCAAACAAAAAGCUAAUGCUUGUAGGAGGAGAGACACAUAUCACGAAUUAUAAAAGGCAACUAAACAAGAUCAAACUGUAUACUCUUUUCAUAGUCAUGCCAAACUUUAUACUUAUCCAGUAAAACAUUACUCAACAACCCCCCUGAUGUCCAAGCUUAACAGAGAGCACUCGGGCAUACUUGAUAGCAGCAACCAUGGGCCCAGCACGAGGGGCAACAGCAACAACAGAAAACAAAAUGGACUCAAAAUAACUUGAUGUUUAACACCAAAGAGUUAAACCUAUAGAAGGAGAGGCCCGUAUAAAACAUGAGAACAAGUCAUAUUUAAACCAAAUUGAAAUCAUUCAACCAACGGGGAAUGCAUACCUGGAACAAAAUUUACAAACUCCUUUCCAUCUAACAAUAAACCAAAACAUUUUAUUUCUUCAAACACGAGAAUAAAUUGAAUAGUGGAUCUUGUUCUAUACAUAAUUUAUCCUUUUUCCUUUCAUUAUGUUGUGUAAUUUUUUUAUUAUGUGAACUUAAUCAUUCCUAAAAUCACUCCACCAUUAAGAAAAGCAACAACUAUAAUGGAAUACAAAAAAAUGCUUAACCUUCACAAUCGCCAGCAACAUUGUUAAACAACUGUAAGAUACAUGUGUGAUUGCCAUGACAAAAAUAAAGCGAUGCAACUGCUCAAGACCUUGAUAUGACACAAACGGCUCAUGUCCCUGCACAUCAAACAGUUUUUAGAAUACUAAUUUGCCUUCUAAAAGUGACCCAAAAAGAAAAUCUCUUUUCUACAUAUUUUAUCAUUGAGGAGACAAAAGCCAUAAUAAAUCAAUUUUAUCAAUACACUGUGUUGAAAAUUCAAAUAUUUCAGACACCAUAGAUAAAUCUCUAGCAAGAUCAUCAGCAAUGUUCAUAUAAGAUAAAUGACAUACCUCUUUGCAGGUAUUCCGAUCCAAGCCAUUCAAUAUUCUUCGAAGUGGAUGAGGAAGAACGGGAAGCAUCAGCAGUUUACGUCCCUGGGAAGAAUUAUCUUCAACUUCCUCAUCAAUCUCAGACCUAGUGCAAGGAGCAAAAUUACCAUCAUAGAACUUUGAUGGAAUGCAAAUAUUGGCAAUGGUACUUGAGGUAGCUGUUAGUAGAAGUGAUAUGAAUCCGAGCAGCAUCAACUCUGAAGACAAGUACAAAACAAUACUUGUGAAUGAAAAUUGCAAAAAUAUAUGAAGGGGAACUAAGAAUCACUUGUAACCAAAAGAACAAAAAGAACUUUCUGCAGCAUCAAAUGGUGCAUUUAGAACUUGGAAAAUACCUUCUUUCAUUUUCUCCACGGCUGCAAGCAAAGGUUUCCUGUUGGUUUUUCGCAACCACUGAAAUACAAACAUAUAAAGCAUCAAGUUUCAGAGCAGUCACCAAAGCUCUAGAAACUAACACAGUAUUGACAUUCCAGAAAGGAAAAUAGACAAAAUAUGAGCUAAAAUUACAAAAAUGAUCUGACAGAUUCUGUUUCAAUUCAUCUGUCAAUAUACAGUUCUCCUAAAGCAAACAGAUUAAAUUUAUCAUAACAGUCAUCCAAAACGUAAUUUUCAAAUCUAAAGCAUUUGAUGCAAUUGAAACAAUCAAUGAGAUCUCAGCCUACAGCCAUGACUAUGACACAAACAGGAAACUAGAAGUAUCAGCUAAAAGCCCUCAAAAAAGAAAUAAAAGCUAUUUCGCAACUCAAAGUCAUCAAAACAUGGGAAAAGAAGUAGUGGCAGAAAUCAAUUACCAAGUAAAGUGCCUUGAAAUUUCAAAGGGCUCAAAUAUAUAAAUAAAAUUUUAAGAGAAUUCAUUCUAGACCUUGAACUUUAAAUAGAAUGAAAGAAAAGAACAACAAUCAAAUUCUGUAUAAACACAGACAUCGCAUGUCAAAGUGAGUCUGCUAAAUCAUAACAAUGAGAAAAUACAACCUCUGGAACAACAGAUGAGAAAAUAAGAAAAUUACUAUACAGUGGGUAGACGAUGCCACUUACAUUACUUAGUUUGUGAAUUGAGCGCUCCACAAUCAAAGAAACAACUACAAAGAUUGUCAGCACAGUUGCUACUGACCAUGUUGGAGUUAAGGCCAAGGAUCUCAUUUCUUUGGUAUCUCCUUCCAUUCUAAGCAAUCCUACUCGGAGACACACGAACCUUUGUUUUAAAUCUUUAACCCCCCAAAGUCUCUCUCUCUGUUAAUUUUAAACCAACAGCAGCAAGCAACCAAAUUUUUUGCCUAGAAAGCAAAACCUUUCUUCAAAACCACAAAAAAACACAACUUCAACUCCAGAUUCCUCCUAUAAUGAAUUAAUCAUACAAAUACAUAUUGUACAAAUACGAAAAUCAAAAUCCUAAAUUUUGAUCCCCUUAGUUUUCCAACUCCAGAAGCAUUCAUGUACCAGGGCCAAGUUCACAUCUUUAGCUGUAUAAAGAAACACACCAAUAAAAAUAUCGUAAAUGCAGAAAUGGGAUAUGUCCCAAAACCUGAAAUCUCUCUUACAAUUGACUCCAAACUUUGAAUUCUCUACAGAAUCAUGAAAAAAUCAAAGUUCCUUCCUUUACCAAUUUGCCUAGAGAAAACGCCAAAACUCCACCAUUGGUGAGUGACGUUUUCUCAGUUGCAUAUCACAGUUGAUUCAGGUACCAGAACCUCUCUCUCUAGAAAGUUUGUAUUUUUCUCUCUCAAAAAAAAUAAUUCCUCAUGGAAAAGCUCACUUCUUUAUGUGGUACGUGUAGGCUGUUUGGUUCUGCGGUUGAACCUGCUUUUCACUGAAUUUUAAAUUUUUUUUUUUUUGCUAAAAUUGAGUACGGUUUGUACUUUUUGGAUCGUUUUGAUGUGCUGAUGUCAAAAAUGAUUUUUAAAAAAUAAAAAAACAUCAUUGGCAUGUAUUUCGACACGAAAAGCUAUUUGAAAAGCAACCACUACCACACUGCCAAACACCCUUAACUUGAGCUGGUUACUUUAUUGUUUGGGUUACUACAUUUUGACCAGACUGGAAAAACAAUAAAAUCCAGCUCAGAGACAACUGUAGAAGGUUUAAGUUGGUUUUUCCAUACUAUAGCCCCUGAAAUUAUAAAGGAGGAGACGGGUUUGUUUUUGGUAAAGCGGUAAAUAUUAUUUUUUAAAAUGUAUUUUAUUUAAAAAUAUAUAUUAAAAUAAUAUUUUUUUAAUUUUUUAAAAUUCAUUUUUGAUAUCAACAUAUAAAAGUAUUUUAAAAAAAUAUUAAAACUAAAAUAUUUAAAAUUUUAAAAAAAUAAAAUCUAUCUUAAUUUCAAACAAUACUUUAAUUUCGGUAUGAUAAACAAAGAUAAUAUGUUUAUGAUGGUAUUGUGUUUUUAAAAACAUUUAUUGUAAAUUAAAUUUUUGUUUUUUUUAUUGUUUUGAUAUAUUAAUUUUUAAAAAAAUAAUUUUUAAUAUAUUUUGAAAAAUAAUUAUUAUACCAAUCACAAUCACCACCCAAAUAGAUAUCUGUCUUGCCUACCUUGUCCCAUCUGGCUGUGAUCAUAUUAACAAAAUGACAGCUCAAAUUUUAUUUGAAUUUAUUGGCAGCCCGUUUAAUGCCAAGUCCAGAAGGUUGCUGUAUUAAUGGUCGGGUUUUAGUAUUAUUAAAAAAAAACCUAACUAAAAUAGUUAGACAUUUCACUAUAGAUGGAACAGUAUUUUCUUCUUCUUGACCUUAGAAAAAAAAAGAUCCUUCCCAUGUGUUUAAGGGUAAAAUAGUCUUUGUCUUAGGAUAAUUUUGGUGUUUUAAAAUUAAUUGGGUGCAUGAUGAGUAUUUUGUGUUUUGAUUAUACAGUAAAUUUACAACACUACUUUGAAAAGAAAUAAAUUUUUGAACUUUUGCUUAAGGUUAGUUUUGUAUUUUCAAUUAAAAAUACAGAGUAAACUAACCUUUUUCCCUGUAGAAUAAUAAAUAAAUAAAAACUAACAGGCAGAUGGCAAAUGGACGGUGUUUUUGUUAUUUUCAAUAUUGUUAUACAGUAAAAAGACUUUAGCGUUUUUGGUGUCAAAUAAUUUAAGUUUUAGGUUAAAGGGUAUUUUGUGUCAUUUGUUACUAGUUUUUUUUUAUAUAAUUAAUUGGUCGAGUGAAGUCAUUUGAUUAUUUUAAUAAUUAAAAAAGGAUAAAAAAAGCUAACGCGUGCGACUUAUUCCAACAGCCAAAAAGGUUAUUCCAGGGUGGUCUUAGUUUCAUCUCAACAUCUCCUCUCUGGAUAUAUGGUGCAUGCAUCGAUAAAAAGAUUUGGUUUGUCAUCGGCAACCAUUUUUUUUAUUUCCUCUUUCUUCCUCGAUGUUUGUGCCCUACCAUUCUAUUUUUUAAGUCAGCCCUUAAACUUCUUUAUUUUAUUUAGUCCCUUUUCUUUUGGUUAUAAUUUUUUUUUUAAUAAUUCAUUGAAUUAGAUUUUUCUUUUGAUUUCAUCCUUGUUCAACCUUUUGCUUUGUCAAAUUUGAUCUUCAUUCUUUUAAUUGUUGUUUUUUAUGGUCUAAGAUAAUUUUUAGUUUUGUAUUUUUGUUUUCAAUUCCACCAUCUGUAAAUUUUUUUCCUGAUAGAUUUCAUUCUUAUUUUUUUUUAUUCUUUUGGUUUUUUUUUUCUUUGCAAAAUUUUCUAAAAAGGUAUUUUUUUACCCGAUUUAAUUUUUCAACAUUUAAUUUUUUUGGAUUUAAACUUGAGCCUUUGUCUGAGAUUUCACGAGUUGCAAACCUUGAAAACUAACCUAGCUUCAUGAGGUAUGCCUAGGAUUGCUUUAGUUUUUUUAUCAUUUUUUUAAGUUAAUAUUUUUUCGAUUUUAUUCUUUAAAAUUUGUUUUAUUGAAGAUUGAGCUUUGUUUUUUUUUCCAUGCUUUCUAUGACCUUGAUUUUAUCAUUUUUUGUUUAUUCUAUAUUUGAAUUUAAAAUUAUUAUUUGAAAUCUUGAAUAAUAGUUUUUCAAGUCGGUAGCCUUUUCAUUUGAAUUAGGUCAGGUACAUAUUUUGAAUAUUUGAACUCAAUCCAAUCAGCUUAGGUAUUUACUAGAUUGGUGAUUGUGUCGUGACUCAGGCUGUACCAAAUUUUUUUUAACUAUAUAAAUAAAAUGUUGAAUUAUAAAAUAAAAAAAAUUAAUAAAAAAUAAUAAAAAAAUAAAAUAAAUAGCAAUAAAAAAAUAAAGGUUAAAUCUGACAUAAAAUCAAAGGAGCAAAGAUAUUGAGGGAUGAAAUUGAAAAAAUAAUUCAAUUAAAAAAUUAUAUAAAAUAUUGAGGGAUGUAAUUGAAAAAAUAAUUUAAUUAAUUGAAUAAUUAAAAAAAAUAACUUAACAAUCAGAAAAACGAGAAUUAGAUCUAAAAGGUAAAAAAAUCAAAUGAUGGUUGAAUUGAAAGAAAAUUCUAAUUCUAUUGAUUAUUUAAAAUAAAAGAAAUAUCAAUAAAAUGAAUAAAAAUUAAAUUUAAAAAAAAAGAAUCAAAUAGCUGCUUUGAAAAUAUACAUAGAAAGGCUUUGAAACCAAGAAAAAAAAAGGAAGGUAAAAAAACUGUAAACCAGAUGUUCUUUCACCACACACGCCACCCAAGAAUAAAGAUGACACUGAAAGGAUUAAAAUGUUGUUAAUGAAGCCAAAACUUGCCAUCCGAACAGUGUGGAAACACCAAUGCAUGUUUGCGUGAAUUUCAAGCGCAGUCAAUUUUUAAAAAUAUAUAAAUAUUAUAUAUAUGUCAAAAUAUUAUAAAGUAACCUUCAUCGAAUCUAGAAAAAAAAAAGAGGAAAAGACAAAAAAAAAAUAACCUUGACAAAAGGCAAAGAAAAUUAAAUGCAAGGGUACGUGACAAUAAUCUAGUUAAUACUACUAUACCUUGUAAUUAAAUUUUAUCAAAAGAUGUUAAUUACUAAAAUAACCAAUGGGAAAUUUUUCCUUUCUUUGUUUCUUCUUCUUUGGGGGUGAAGUGGUUAAACAACACUAUUAGGAUCUUGGAACUCGAAUGACGUAUUGUAUUUUUCUUAAUAGUUAUUUAUGCUGCCCGAUUUCAACCUUUUUUUUUUUAUUAAUUUUAAAGCCCCCGCUAAUCUUGGAUACUAAGAAGAAGACAAGAACACAUGCUUUGGUUUUCUUUCUUGAUUAGUGGAUGCCACAUGAUUUGCUUCAAAAAAUAAUCCCACCAGACUCGACUUCUGGUCCCAUUUUUCUUGCCCAAUAGUUGACUUGUGCAGUACUGAUCAGAUUCCCUUUUGUUUCCCAGGUGAAAUUCCUUCUCUACUCUAAACAACCAUUUACCAAGAAAUGUUUAGAUCCAUGUAGCUGCCCAAUCAAUUUAUGUCUCCAGCUGAUGAAGUCGGAAAAGAAUCUUCACUUAAAAAUCAAGUUUUUACAGUAUAAAUUAUUUAAAUAUCUUGAUCAUGUUGGUUUAUCUUGAACACGAAAAGAAGUGUUACAAUUGAUUGAUAUAAAUACUGGUGUCAAACUUUGAGAGUAUAACUCAAUUGAUCAGGUUCUGGGUUUGUUCUCUAGAGAUCAUCAGUUCGAGUCUUACAAACCUCAAGGUUACUGGAGGCCUACAUGGUUGUUAAUUUCAGGGCUCGUAGGAUUAGUUCAAGUGCACACAAGUUAGCCCGGACACCCAUGUUAAUCUAAAAAAAAAUAUUGGUAUCCAUCAUUAAAUAGUAUCUAAUACUAUUAUUGAUUGGUAAAUGUCAAUCCGUGAUAUAAUCACUAUUUGAGAAAGUGGUGCUUGAGUUGGGUAGAAAAUAGUUUGUAUUUAUACUCUUAAUUAUUAACUAAAAAAUAUGGUGAAUGCUUAAAAAUUUAUGUUUGAAAAGAAUCCAUCAGAAAAUUCAGAAAAUAUAUCAAUUAAUUAUAAAAAAUAUUGUAUGUGUGAACGAUUCACGAUGCCGCAUUUUGACUAAUCAAAACUCAAAAAAAUACGUUGAAACUAAUUGAUAAAAAAAAAGGGGGGGUGGUGUCCGUUAGGCCAUAACUCAAAUAGUUGCGAUCUUAGAUUGUUGAUGUCUGGGUCACAUGGUCUAAACGGACGGGGACAAAAACAAAAGAUUAUUGUCGUUGGGGCAACAAAUUAGUAAUCAUGCUAGAAUCUUUGGAAAAUCAUGCUAUAUCAUUAUAUCCUUGAAAUUCUUAUAAUUCCAUGGGUGGCUAGAAUCUUACUAAUUAGGUGUCCCUUAAAAUGAUGUCAAGUAAUUUUACAGACUAAAUAAUUUAUAUAUCUAUUUUUUUUUACUAUUAAUAUGAGUAUCCGAGCCAUCUUGUAUGUACCUCGACUAAUCCCGCAGGUUCUGAAGUUAACGAUCAUAUAAAACUUCAGUAGCCUUGAAAUUUAUGGGAAUUGAAGUGAUAAUCUCUGAAGACCAUUCCAUUUAUAUAUCUAUUUUUUUAUUAACGUGGAUGUUUGAGUCAGCUUGUGUGUACCUUGACUAAUCUCAUGACCUCUGAAAUUAACGAUCAUGUAAGCCUCUGUCGCCCUGAGAUUUAUGAGACUGAAACUGGUGAUCUUUAGAAAGUAAAUUUAGAACCUGAUCAAUUUAGCUACACCCCAUGAAUUUUAUAUAUCUAUUUUAUUUUAUACAUACGUGUGUGUCAAAAUGCUCAAAAUUACAGUCAAAGUUUUUUCAAUCCUAUACAUUGAUCAGGGCGGGGGUCACGGGUCGCAUUGAUCUGGUGUCUUCUAACUACCGCAUCCUAUCACGGAGUAUGGCAUCAAGCCACCAUCCAUGUGAAUCGACGGCGAUGCCCAAUUGCAUCAUCAUGAUUCAUGAGCCAUGCCCCUUGUACACUCUCUCCAUAUCCCUAUUGGAAUUUUGACUGCUAUAGCUUUGCUAGUCAAUUGAUUCCACAUAAAUUGAGUGGUCUGGUUAAGAUGGUCUGACUUGAAAACAAUUUUUUAGUUUUGACUUUGGAAUGAAUCAUUCUAUUAGAAAAGGCGGUUGAAAUUAUAAUUCCUAAAAGUUUGAAUUUUUUUUAAAAAAAUUAUUAUUUUUAUAUAUUUUUAAAUCAUUUUAAUAUGCUGAUGUUAAAAUUAACUUUUAAAAAAUUAAAAACAUUAUUUUGAUGUAUUUCCAAACAAAAAACACUUUGAAUCGCAACCACUACCAUACUUCUAAACAUCCUUUUAACUACAUUGAAGUUUAGGUUUUAUUCGAGGUGGUUCUCGUAGGUUUGCAUGCUCUAAUGCCAAAGUUUGUUUUUUUAGGAUGCUUGCAUUUUAGAUCAACUCUUAUGAUCUUAGAUUUUAUUUUAUAGUCUUAGAAACAGCUCAAUCAAAUAUGUCUGUCAGAUUUAAUUUAUGAAGUUAAUUUUAGGGUCAACUAGCAUAACUUACAAGGUAUAUGAAAGUCCUAACAUUUAAGAUCUAAUUUAAACAUAGAAAAUGGAUUCCAUAGAUGAGAGGAAGAGUAGUGAUGAUGCAAGCCAGGGACCAGCUUGGUCUUGGUCAUGGGUUGCAUAGUAGUGAUGAUGCAAGCCACGGACCAGCUUGGUCUUGGUCAUGGGUUGCAUAGGUAGAGCUUUGUCCUGUGACAAAAUCAAAGUGAAAAUGACAAGCUUAGAUAGAUCUCACCUUGCACGUCUUCUAUUCACCCGUCAAGGAGGGAUUGCCGGAUGGUCGCUCAUGUCCUUCUCAAACAUACCUAUGCCUAUAUACAUACAUAUAGGUAUACCAAGCACCUUUUCAAAGAGCAGUCAUUGUUUGGUUUUUCGGGGAGGUAUCGUUGUUAUAUUUUAAAGUAUUUUUUAUUUGAAAAUAUAUUAAAAUAGUAUAUUAAAAUGAUUUGAAAAUAUAAAAAAUAUUAAUUUAAAAUAAAAAUUAUAAAAAAAUUUAAAUAUUUUUAAAAUGUAAAAACAACAUAUUUUAUGCAUAGUUUUUAGAUCCGGUCCAGUCUAAAGCCCGGGUUCUGGGUUUUGACUUGGUCGCCCGGGUUAUUUUUUUUUAAAAUUAAAAUUACAUCGUUUUAGUAAAAAAAAAAAAGUCAACGGGUUGCAACCAGGUUUUUGACCGGGUCUUGCGGGUUAACCCGUCAGGUUACACUGAGUUUUUUUUUUUCCUAUUUUUUCUUCAACCCGGCUUCAUUUCAGCUCUAGAUUCAAGAUCAACUUGCCAGGCCGGAUCAGAUUUCAAAAGAAUGGUUUUAUGCCAAUCGUUGUCGUGUGCUAUACUUUCGAUCGCUUUCUAAUCUAGACCACUACACAUGCCAUGCAAAAACAUGACGAAAUCGACCAUUCCUAUCCCAGCAUGACAUAAGUUUGGCCCAUCCAUAAAAACCAAGGCCAUGAUGAUUUGAACCAAUGGCUCACAAGCAAGGCCAUGACGAUGCCAAAUGUUGUUUUCUUGCAAUCUUGCUGCCAUGUUUAGAGAGCCAAAACGACAAAUGAAUGAUCCAGUUUUUGGAUGUCUCGCCGUGUUUGUGAAAAAAAAACACAGAGGAGUGGAAACUGGACCAGAAGAGCUGAUGGUUCUCCUUUACGUGUCUGAAAGUGAUAAAAUUGAAGUAAGAAAUUAUGCCGCUAGAAUUACAUUUUUGCCCACUAUUCGACCUUCCUAGCAACAAGGACUGAUCCCUCUAGGUUUGAAUAAAGUCACAUGACAUGUUGGCUCUGAAAUUUUAUCUGCUGCUCUAUUAAUGCAAGUAGAUGCGCAUUCAAUUAUAGGGUUUUCUCCUCUAAUUAACAGAUAUAAUAAAAGAGAUUCGUGGUUUAUCAUGCUGCUAUUAUUCAUCCUUUCUCAUCUCAUUAUUCAUAGCACUGCUUAUCAGGCAAAUUCCCUUUUUAAAUCCCCCAAAUCUUAGAUGUGUUUUAGUUUGUUCACCGAACUUUAUUUUCAUUCAAUUUAGUCCUUAAAAGCUCUGCUUUCAUUGUCAUGGGGUUCUUUAUACUAUUCAGAUUGCAUGUUAUCGCGUGUCCAAAUACCAAAUAUCAUUUUGAAGCUCAACGGCAGGUGGAUUUUGCAUGAUUCACCUUGGUGAUCAUUUCGGAGUUCAAUAGGAAGUUGAUUUGUAUACUUUAAUCUCUAAUUAUUGUAAGAAAAAAUAAUCAUAAGAACAAAUAACAAAGUUGACAUUGAUAAAAUCAGAAGGCUUUCCUCAUUAUAUUGUUCAAAAGGCGUGUAAAACUACAUGUUAGCCCUUAUGUUUUUACUUUUUUAUAUCAUGUCCCUUCUAUUUCUAGAUUCUUCAUUUGGUAUCAAAGUUUUUUUUUAACUUUUCAAUCCUUAGAUCUUGAGAGAGUUGAGAGAAAAACACCAAAAAAAAAUUAGGAGAGGGAAAGCUCUUGGAUGACAGGAAUUCAAUCACUGAUAACUUUGAUUUUGAUUUCUAUGAAUUUAUCUUUAAGAGAAAGACUCAAUGGGGAUGGUUUCCACCUUCAAUAAUGCAAAAAAACCUAGAUCAAAAGUGGGAAAUUUUUUUUAUUUGAUUUGAUAAUGAGUUUUUAGACUGAUUAAAAUGUGUUUCGUUGUUAGAUAUAUGGUUUAAGAAGUUCAUGGAAUGUUUUAUUUUUUUAAUGUUUUUUGGAUGAAAAUUAGUUGAAAUUCAGAUUUUAAAGGUUAAAAAAUAUGAACCUUGAUUUUUCAAUCAUUAGAGCCACCUCUAAUAACAAGAAAUGUUGUAGAUAGAUGACAUAUCGUUAGCCUAGAUAGGUGACAUAUCAUCCAUUUACUUUUUUAAAAAAAUAAAUAAGGACAAACGAUGUGUUGUACGACCUAUAAGGAAAAAAACCCAAACAUGUGGGCCUAAGCUUCCAGGCCCAAGCACACCUAGGUUUUAAAUGUGGCUUAGGGGUGUAAGUUCAUUUUUCCAGCCUAUGCAUGUCUAGUCCUUCAAUUUUUUAAAAAAAAUUUAAUUAUUUUUUAUUUGCAUUUUAUAAUUAGAUUCUUUUGAAAUAAAUUUAUUGAAAUGAUAUUUGAAUAAUUAUCCAAUUAUGUUAUCGUUUCCAAAUAAUUCUAGCUUCUUUUAUAAUAAUUUAACAAUUAUUUUUUUAAUAAUUAUAUAUGAACCUUGAAUAUUUCAUACAAAUGAAAUUUUGUUUGUUUAUUUUUAUAUUAUAAAUUUUUUAUAUAAUUUUCUCAAGUUUAUUUUUCUUAUAUUUUUUUAAGAAUGGAACCCCGAAAGUCAAAGGGAGGAAAGAAAAAUGCAAUUGCCACCUCGUUAUAUAAAAAAACUAAGAAUUUUAAAUAUACACUGGUCUUAAAGAUAUAAGUAAGGAGUUAGUUAUGCUUAAGAAAAUAUAGAUAUCUUUCGUACGACAUCCUUCCAGCCGAAAGGUUAACUUUAUCAUAUAUUUUCUUUUAAAUUUGUUUUAUGCAUGCUAUUUACUAUCUAAACUAUUUUAUGAGCUUACUCGUGAGUUAUUUAUUUUUGGUUGAUGUUUAUCUAGUUAGUAUUGGAGCCUGAAUCAUGAGUUUCACAACAAGAUGAUUUUUAGUUUUAGUUUAUAUAAAUAAUUUAUCUUGACUCUUUAUUAUUAUUGUUGUUGUUAUUGUUGUACCAAAAUAUUGAAAAGAAAACCACGUUGGUCUGUAUUUGAAGAAGACUCGUGGACUUAAUAUUGAACUCGUUUUAGGCUUUAAAGCAUCGCACUGGGUCUACGCCAGUCUUUAAAACUAGGAGACAUAUCGAUCUAAUUGUUAAAAAUUAAGCUUUGGUGAAAACAUGAUGUUAACUUGAUGAAAACUCGUCGAUGAAUUUUUUAUUCUUUGUUAGAAAAAAAUAUGAAUAACUAUACAUAAGCAAAAAUUUCAACACCUAGAACAAAUUAAUAAUUACAUCCCGGAUAAACUUGUUGAAACCCAACCUCGUCGCAACAUAUUGAUUCCACUCUUAGUCCAUCCCACAAAUGACGCCAAAUAAUAAGGCUGAAAAAAAUCACCAGGAGAAAGAUUGCUGGCACUUUUCAUGGACUGAUAAAAUUGGACUUGGAGGAUUUGGUUGGCCUGACGACACCUACAAGAAAAACACUCUGAUGAUUAAGUCAAUAUAGUGUUUGUAUAGGUGACGAGGUGAAUGGGUAUUCUCCUGGCUUAAAUAUUCAUUAAACCUUGUUUAAAUCUUGUGUUUCUCUUGGCUUAAAUAUUCAUUAAACCUUGUUUAAAUCUUGUGUUAGACUUGUAUUGUGUUAGACUUGAAGUCUAGAAAGAUAAUCUUUUUUAAGAUAAAUAUCUUAAAAAAUAUCUAAAAUAUUUAAUAUAAAUAUUUUGUAUAAAUAUCUUAUAAAUAUAUAGGAUAUUUAUAGAGAUAUUUAUAAAAAAGUAUACAUUAUAUAAAAUAUUUAUGUAAUUUUUUAAUGUAUCAUCAAUUAUGAUGUGAAGCCAUGUAAACACAUGCGGAGACUUCCUUUCUAACCCUUGAGUUAAAGGUCGCCCAACCACCAUGGUUGGAUAGCAUAACAUCAUUGUUGAAUAGUUUAGAGUAUGUUUGUGUUUUUGUAUUAAGAAAAUAUUUUUGAAAUGUUUUUAUAAGUUUUUAUUUUUCUAUAUUUUUGGAUUAUUUUGAUGUGUUAAUGUUAAAAGUAUUUUAAAAAAAUAUUAUUUUAAUGUAUUUCUAAAUUAAAACACUUUGAAAAACAAUCGUUAACAUAAUAUUCCAGUACAACAAAAUUACGAGGGUUGAUAGGAGCAGAGGUUCGAUAUGUACAACCCAAUGAAUUUAUCAUCUGAAAACUAAAAUACUCGAAGGAAUUAAUAAUGUUAUCACGGUACGUCUUUUCAGUAGGAAAUGAAAACAGUUGCAGACUGAAUUCUACAGGCCAGGCAGCCUCAAGAACAACAUGGAACAACAGACCGCGAAGACCUUAGGGGGAGGGGAUCACAAAAGUAUGAAUACCUAAAGCUAGCUCUAUACAUGAAAAAAUUGCAAGCAAAUCGGUAUAGACGCUGCGAUUAAGUAAGGUGUGACGAAUAUUUGACCUUCCAAUACUUUCCAACAAGGCUCAGUUUCAAUAAUAACAAAAUGUUCUCCAUGAUCGCGAAGAGCCUGAAAUAAAAUUCUCAAGCCCGUCACCCUAUGCUGAUGAGGCAAUCGCAACCCAUGACAGGCAGAUGGCAACAAAAAUCCUUGCUUUUGCCAGCUUACCAUCAAGAACUACGAAAUUUGUCCGCUAAUGGGUAUCAUUGGCUGCCAUUCCUCUGUAACUUUCUAUCACCAUUGUUCUUAUUUCGUAUCCUAAUGGGUUGCUUCUACAUUACAAUCGAAAUCCUCCAAUUACAGACCUAAUUAUUUUUGCAUUAAAAAAAAAAAUUAAAACAUCUUGAAAUUUUUUGUAUUUUUAAAUUCAAAUUAAUAUUUUUUUUAUAUCUUCAUAUCAUUUUAAUAUUUUAAUAUAUUGAUGUUAAAAAUAAUUUUUUAAAAAUAAAAAAUAUAAUUUUAAUAUAUUUUCAAAAAAAUAACACUUUCAAGAAAUAAAUGGUAACAUACUGCCCGGAGUUUUUGACUGCGACUCCUCUGCCUUGCAGAACAGGUGUCCUAGAAGUGAAACUCAGGCUCAAACCAGCCCUCGUUACCUAACGGGAAAGGAGAAAAAGGGAGACAGUGCUAAGCCUUUAUUACACAGUAGGGGGCUGAAAAACAAGAUAAACGACUACGUAUACUGGCACAGUUUCUUGCAAAAUCUUAGUCGUCUAUUCAGUGGUUGGAAGCUCGUCAGCCAUAUCACCUUCUGUCCCUGAAGGCUCCUCAGGGAUCUCAUCCUCAGUUGCUACAGCCUGUUCAUCAUCAUUGCCCUUUAACUCAUUCUCACUAAAAAGAUCCCUUUGAACAGGGACAGUUUUUUGUUGCUGGGAUGACAUAACAUUUGCAAUAGCUUUCAAAGCUGCAGAUGCCUGAUUACUAUCCCCUGCAUCCUCCGUGUCAAUACCAUUGACGGCAUUAGGCUCCUCCUUGGACUCGUCUUCUAGGCGCGGUGGGGGAACAAAGAAAGGUAUCUUACCCCUCUGCCAGUCAUGAAGAACCAUCUUUGCUGCAGUCAUUUGGUCAGGUUCACCACCCUGAACACAAGUUGUUCAAAAUAUAGAGUUAUAAGCAUAAUCCACGCAAAACAUUGGAUGAAACUUGAUAUUUAUGUGUUUGAGAAGUGCAUUUAAAUGGUAUAAGCAAAGCGAAGUGUUUGCAGUCGAUACAUCAAACAUGCUGUUAUCCAAAUCUAACCCAGUAUAUCCUAAGUCAGACGCCAUUAGCUCCAUCUAGAGAAAUUUUCCACUACAUCAUGCAAUGCCAAAUUAUUUAUCACUGUGUAAAAUUGAUGCUCUCGUUUUGGUUUUGCUUCUUGUGCAUUCAUUUUCUCUACAUGUUAGGAUUAAUCAGGAGUGAGAAGCAUUCUUCUCCUAUGCACUUGGACAGAUUUAAAGAGCUUGAUGAGCCUACUGGCAGUCCCCCACUAUUUCAAUAGCACCAGGAUAAACAUGCAAUCAUGACAAGCAUUUAACUGAUUCCUUUUCUUUUCCUUUUUAUUCCUCUCGUCUGAUAUUUAGGGUUUGGAAAUUGGAAGCUUAGCACUCCAACAGCCUAUCAAUAUUUGAUAUCAAGCACUUACAGGUUAAAACACAUGUUCUGCUCUCACCAAUAAACAAAACAUACCUUCAAAAGUUUGCCCGUUGAUUUGCAGAGCUGAAGCAGAAAGUCAUUCUCAUCAUCCCUGACAACAAUGAGGUAUAGUUAAUUGUAGCUCUUGCAUGCUUUAUAUCAAAUAAAGACUUCGGCGAUAAGAAAUGCAUGUUUGGGAAUCUCAAAACUCCAUUUAAGGUCCAUUGGUGCAUCACAUAGAAGUUAAGGUAUACUUCUCAAAUGACCAAAUCCAAUGAAGCAAAGUGGUAAAUACAAAUCAGUUUUGGCACAUAUUGAUAAGUCGGAGUUUAUAAACCCUCCAGUCCUCAUAAGUCUCGAGAAUCAGAUGAACAGCAGAACAAAACAUGGUGCAUUUGUCAAAAAUAAAAUGCAUUUCAAAUUUAUGACAGUCAGAAUAACUGGCCACAGGCCCAUGCUUCAGAUCUAAUGAGGAUUCAGGGCAAGGGAAGAGCACUUGUAAGUAGCAAUAUGGUAGGGACAUGGGCAUAAAACCUCUGACACCCAUCUGGAGCAGGAAGGCUUAUAACUUAAAUAGGAGAAUUUAUGGUAGGAGCCAAGCUCAUCAUUAGGCAUUAGCCCACAGUCAUACUGUUGGAUUAUGCAUAAAGUGCAUGGGAAAAUGAUGAGCCAAGAUCACAAAAUAAUUUUUCUUUCACUAGGUGCUCCUUCCAAUAUUCUAGUUACAAACGCUCAUUCCAGGUGCUCCUUGAAAAGAAAAUCAUAGACAAUUAAGUAGCUCACCACUCUUUGAUCUUAUAUGCUCUUCUUAGGUGCUCCUUCUUAACACGUUUCAGAACCUCUCCUAUGUGUUCAGUAGCAUCAUGCAAGUUUGUGACACGUACCUGGAAAGGGCCCAUUCAUAAACAAAUAAAAGGUAAAUUAGAGUUACAGACUCGAGAGCAGAGACAUUCACUAGAAUAUGCAUGACUAACAUAUCUUUACCAAAAUAAGCAAUCAUGGAACAGAAAACCCAUGACCAUGCAUGGCUUACUUUGCAGUUACCGCGCAUAGCAUGUUCCAAAAAAUGAGAAAGGAAAACAAGCAGCAGAGCAAAUUCUGUUUCACCUAUUUUUUGGUUUCUGAGAGAAAUUUCUUCUAUUGGAUUAAUUUUCUGAAAGCACUCAAUAAAAGUUUUUCCUGGUCUCAAUAAUCAGACAGUUAAAAUACGAUGACCAGAAAAAGUAUUGCAGAAAUUAUGAUUUUCUGGUUUUGGAAUGCCUAACAGUUAUUGAGAACAAACAAACAAGCAGCACCUAUGCUUAAAUUGAAUUCCAGUGCAAAAAAGGUCAUGUCCAUGUGUCAUUGCUAGACUAGCAAACUCAGUAAAAUAGUAGGAAAGCCAAUAAAGAAUAGACAUGAAGAUUGACUACCACACUUGUAUAUAGGUAAUUUCUACAGGCAACUGAACAAACAACAUACCACGCCCUUCAAUACAAUAUCUGUUUCUGAGUCUUGGUUCUGGUAUACAACCCCAGGGCAGUCAAUCAAGAAAAUCCUCUUUGUGAGUGUUAUAUACUGCCAGACCUUAGUUUCCCCUGGGAUAGGAGCAACCUUGCAAACCUAAAAGGAAGGGACAAAUUUUUAUCAAUUAAAUUGGAACUAACAAACUUUGUGGCAACACAUAACCAGAAGUAGCAAAAGGAGAGUGCAAUGUUUACAUUCUUGGUACGCAAUGUGUUGAUAACUGAUGAUUUUCCAACAUUGGGGUAGCCAACAAAACCCACCGAUAUUGCUUGCUUGUCACUUUUUAAGCGGGCAAACUGUCUCAAUACUGACAGAAGAGAACCCUAAGUUCAAGAAAAACAAUUUAAAAAAAUUAGGAUACAGAUUAACAUCAAGAUUAAAAAAUGAUUGAAUGCUAAAAUACGAGCACAAUAGAGCAAAAAUAAAAUGUAUGCGGGGGAGCAAGACAUAAUUUUUAUAAUUCUCAAGGUAGAAAGCUUGAAUUUUUCUAUCUAUAUUUUCCUUUAAUUAUAAUUCUUUUCAUAUGCAGGUUGCAAAUAAGAUGGUUCGUUUGAAGAUUAAAUAAAAAGCUGAGAGAGACAAUGGAAUGAAUACUGAUUUAUAUCAAAAAAUGUUAUCAAAAAACAAGAGCAUCCAAAAAGAAACAGUCCAAUCACUCAUGAGAAGGUUGCUAGGUGCAUGGCAACAACUACAACAUUAUGGAAAUCAUAGAAUUCAAAGAAGUAAAAACAACAGCAUAUAAUCUUUAUUGCAUCUGAACAUAUUAUAAUACCUUGCCAAAUGACUUGUUGAUGCUUGCAUGGAAUGCUAGAGUUGGAUACUCCUUGGAUAAAACACGAAGCCAUCCCUUUGUUGCCCAAGCAGGAAUAAGAUCACACUGUAGGAAAAGCGAGCAAGAAAGUACCAAAUUAUCAAUAUUUACAAGCAGCUUCAAUUGAACAAGCAACAUCUUCCUCAAAUAAAUGUUACAGAAGCCACAGAAAGAAAAAAACCAACUAACCUUGUUUAACAGAAGAAUCAUAUGUUUGUGUUUGCAAUGUUCUUUCAGAUGCCUCUCUAAAUGAUAACAUCUUGUGCCUUGGGGGUCCCUAGCAUCUAUAACCUGUAGUGGAAAGAAGGUGAUAUUCAGCAUUUGGCAUCAAGAUUCAUGGAAAAUAUUAGUGAAUCUAAAAUAUACUUGAAAAUUCUCAAGAAAUAUUUGGAUAUCCUGAGUAUGAGAAGGAAUGGUCAACAUGCAAUGGACAUCAUACUAAUCACUAAAUCACGGUCUGGGUUUAAACUUGCUUUUUUUUGGAUAAUCAGUGAAUUUAUGAUGUAUUUUAUCAUUUAUAAAAUCUCGUGGUUGUUGAACGUGACAUAAUUCUACAGUAGUAGAGCUCCAUGUCUUUUGAUUUAACCACAGAAAAUUACACUAACCUGAACAACAACAUCUGAAGAAUCUAUAACUUUGUAUAGUUCACCCCAUAUACGCUUACUUUGGCCCUUCUCAAACAUAUUAUGACGGACCAGAUCUCUAAACCCAUCUGCUUCAGUUCCUUCUCUAGUUGCCUCAUCACCACACUUCUGCUCAAAAUCAUCUGCCAAGUUGCCAACAAAAUCAUUGAGCUUGUCAUCUCAUUAUCUCACUCAGAUAUCACAUAUUCACAUUCAUUUACGAUUCUAAGAAAAAUAUAAAAACAAAAACCAGCAGUUACAUCUAAACAAGGCAAAGCCUGUGUAUGGAAGGACAAAGAUUUAAUGAACCCCAAAAAACAAGGUAAUCAAAAUAAAAAUCAAAUCAUUUACCCUGAGAACCAUCAGCUUUCUUAACUAAAGACUCAUAAUCUGCUGCCAAAAGCCUUGGGCGUUUCCUCUUUGUCUUAGGUCCAAAGGCAUCUUCAAAAGGCUGUGUAUCAAGAAGAUGAACUCUGGCUUGCUUCACAAAUUUAAAACAAAACAAAAUUUCAGAAAAAACUAAAAUUAUUAAAUCAACAAAACCAAAACUUCACUCCCAUGCAUUGCAUAACAAUAGUUACCGUCAGACAACAGUUUCAAGAAAAUCACCAGGAAGAUAUAUUGAGAAAUUACAAAUUUACCUAAUUGAGACUCAUUACACAUUGUUUAAACUUUUAACAAAACGGCAUAGUCAAUCAUUCACUACCAAAAAAAUAUCGAAAUCAUCCAAUAUAAACAAGCAUGUCAGUCAAUAUUGCAAGCUUAUAAUAGUAAAAUUUCUCCAUCUUUAUCAAAAAAAAAAAAAAAAAAACAAAAAUGAGAAGGAGAAGCACUGGUGCCCUUAUUUCAUCAAUUUUAAAAUAAGUUCAAAAUACACUACCUUCUGGUGAUCAUUCAAAAGCGACAAAGGCAGCUUCCUCUCCUUCAAAAUAACAUUAUAACUACUAGACAUCCGACUUUGUAACUCCUCGCGAAAAAAUUCAAGCUCUUUCUGAUUCACAACUCGUGUAUUCCCUAAAAUAAAUAAAUAAAUAAAAAUUAGCUAAGAUAUUUAUAACUAUGAAAUUAGGACACUGCAAAAGUUAGUCAUAGUCUGUUUGUAAAUUGUAGAAAUACAUACCGAACCAACGGCGGUCGGGUUGGAUGCGAGUGUUGGGAAGUUCGUUAGAUUGAAAAUCAUGCUUUAAGAUUUUUCCUUUGCUGUCACGUUUGGGCCUGACGUUGUACAUCUGGAGGCGGCGCACGGUGGCGGCGCUGCGGGAAUUGGUGUUUUUGAUAGUUCCAUUGCUGCGAUUUGUGUCUAGUGAGUGUUUCGGCUUGCCGGAGAUGUUCGACUUCCUCUCUUUCUGCUUUGCCAUUUGUGAGGUUGGCGGUGCUAGCGAUUGCAGACGAGAUAGCUAGGGUUUUUCAAAAGAAUGAGGAAAUGGACAAUUUGGGGAUUUAAAUCUAACUGGACCGGGUUUUGGAGUCGGUUCGAUCCCCGCCCCAUCAAGCCCAUAGGCCUGAGCCUACUAAAAUUCAUUAUAGCUCUAGCAAAAGUAAAUAUUUCUUUCCCUCAAUGUGUGCACCUUUUUUUUUAAAAAAAAAAAAAAGUUUAAUCCAUUUCUUUAACGUAUUUUAAUUUUUUCUAUUUUUUAUUUUUUAAAAUAUUUAAAAUAAUUCAUUUUCUUCGGGCUUUUCAAUUUCCUCUUUCAAUUUUUCAUUCUACUAUUUUGUUUGAAAUUACUUAAUAAUUUGCAAAUUUGUAAUUUUGAUUUUUUUCUAAUAUGUCUUGGCUUUUUUAUAUUUUUUCUAUUUUUCAAAAAAUUAAAGUUUAAAAUUCUAUAUUUUCUUAUAUGUUUUUUUAUUUAAUAAAAAAUUUGAUGAAAUUAUAAUAAAGUGAUUAUAUUAAGAAAAUAUUUGGAGUUGAAGGUUAGAUAAAUACAAAAAAAGAGGGAGAAAAUUAUUAAAGAUAGAAAGACUAAAUGUGCUCUUAAUCUUUAAAAGGACUAAUAUCCUUUUAUUGUUUUUUUAAUAAAUUAAAAAAACCUAAAUCCCUAUUUGUUUAAUGAAAAGUAAAUUUUUUUUAAACUUUUUCAUAUUUGUUUAUCAUUAGAAAAUUUAAUCAAAGAGAAAACAUUUUCCGAUUAAAGAAAAAUUUAACUUAUUUCUCAAUAAAGUAUUUUUCUUUUAUUUGGGGUAGUAUUCACUUUUUAAAAGUUACAGAAAAUUAAAAAUAUUAUAUUAUUUAUUAAUUGUAUCAAAUUUGAUCCUUAAUUUUUUUAUUGUUAUAUAUCUUGUUUUAAAUUUAUUUAUUUAUUUUUAAUUUCAUCCUUUUAGAUUUGGUUUAAUUUGAUUUUUAUAUCAACUUUAGUCCUUAUUUUUUUUAUUGUUAUUUGUUUUCUUAAUUGAAACUUUUUAUCUAUUAGAUUUGAUUUUCAUUUUUUUAUUGCUAUUUAUUUUAUCUGAAAUAAUUUAUGUAAUUGAAAUUUUUUCAAUUCCAUCCUCCUUCAACUUUUUUAUUUAUCAGAUUUAGUUCACAUUCUUUUUAUUGCUAUUUAUUUUAUUUAAAAUAAGUUAUAAAAUUUGAUUUUUUUUUCAAUUUUAUCCCCUAACUUUUUCAUAUGUCAAAUUUGGUCCCUGUUUUUUAUUGUUAUUUGUUUUAUUGUCACCGAAUACGUCUUUUGUCAAUCAAAAAUGGGUCGUCAAUUUUGUCAAUCUUGUACAUUCUGUUCCUUCAACUUUUCACUUGUCAUUUUGAUCCCUCACCACCAACUUAGACAAUCUUCUAGGCUUUCUUCAUGUGUAUCCUUUUGUGUUAUUUGAUUUUCUUUUUUUUUUUCUUAAUUUUUUUAGGUAAAAAAUGAGUAAUAAUAGUAAUUCAAAUAAUGAUUGAAUUGAGAAUGAUGAUUAUAUUCAUGAUGAUAUAGGAGAGCUUGCAGGAUCUGAUCAACAUCAGGGGACCAUUUCACGAGUGCAGACACCAGGUAGAUGAUUUACACAUUCUUCACUUCAUAAUAAUGUUAGGCAGAAAUAAUUGUAAAUUAUUUAAUUGCAAAAUUUUAUAUAAAUGCUUGUUUGCAUGUAACAAUUUAAAAAGGGGAAGAUCGACUAGCUACCCUAAAUGAGACUAGUGGCAUCAAUUGUCUGACGACCGAGAUAUUUAAUUGACUAGUUAUCUUGAACAGGACUAGUGGCGUUAAUUGUCCAACGACUGAGAUAUUUAAUUGAAUAGUUACAAUGAACAGGAAUAUUUGCGUCAGUUGUCUAACGACCAUGAUAUUUAAUCGACUAGUUAUCCCAAUGCAUACUAGUGACAUUAGUGGGAUUGAUAACCAGGAUUCUUGAUUUGAUAAAAAUUAUCUAAUGGAACCAUAAAAGUAAAUUGAAAGGAAAGUAUAUAAUCGUGUUUGAAUAUUAAAAAUGUAUUUUUUUAUCAAAUAAAAUCAGUCAUUUGAAUUGGGUGAAUUAAUCAUAUGGUUAUAUUUAUGCUAUGUGUUAUAUAAUUUUAGGUACAUCACAACCUUAUACGAAGCAGUAACUAUUCUUAGAUAUUAUUGUGUCAUAAUAUAAAUCUUUAUGGGAUUUGUUUUGGAAUGUGAUAAUAUUAGAAUAAAUGAUGUAUAUAAUUUAAUUAAUAGUAUUUACUCAUGAGCAUAUAAAUAUUAAGAACUUCACCUUUACAUAUUAAAAUUUAGCGUGAUGAUAAAUGACUUGAAAUCUGCACAGCAGGUCUCGAGUUUGAGUCAGGAAGUGCACCUCUUGUAAGAGUCUGGGACAACCAGAGCUUUCCUCGCUCACCUGAGCCCACAAAGUGCGCUUUCCGGGGGGUGGGGUUUCCUCGAAUCCAAAAAAAAAAAAUUAAAAUUUAGAAAUGCAUGAAUUUACUUUCUAAUGUCUUUGUAUGAAAUGGUAUAUAUAAUUUGUCAUGAUUGUUUAUUGUUAUGUAUCAAUAUAUAAAAUAUGAAGUGGUUAAGUUGUGAGAUUAUACGUAGUCCAAUCUUGAAUUAUGAUGAGUGAAGUCCAGGAUGGUUGGACCUUAAUGACAUGUUUCUUAGAAUGACAUGUUUAUUGAGUUGUCGAUAACUUUGUACCAAUAUUUUUAGAAGAAAAUCUGUUGGGAUUUUGGUAAAAUAUAUUUAAAGAUUUUUCCUAAUUUUUCAUUUAUCUAUAAUGGUAAAUGUGUUGAUAUGUGUUUUAAAAAUUAGGGAUGUUACAAGAUAAUUCUAUAGAAAGUAAAUCAAAAUAAAUUAUGAAGUUCAAUAGCAAGUAAACUCAAUUUUAAAUGAUGAAUUUUUUUUUUUAAAAAAACUAAGUUUAUUAAAAAAAAAAUCCUAAAAACUUUUAGGACUAAAAUAAAAAAAAACGUUAGUAUUUUAUUGCUCUUUACCACAACUGAAAUGACAAAACCUUUUAAUAUAUAUUAAUGAGUGGAUUAAUGGCUAUGCAGUGAUAGAGCUUAACUGCUUCUUAAGAGAUGGUGAAACCAAAUAUGAUAUAAACUCCAGUCAUAAUCACAAAACUACAAUAUAUUAUCAAAUAAAAAAAUAGAUAUAAAAACUAUAUACUAUAAAUAAUUGUAAAAAUAUAAUGUGUAAAAUAUAUGAAAUUGCAUAAUGCAUUAUUAUUAAUUAAAUAUUAACAUUAAAAUAUGUAUUUAAUUAUAAAUUUUCAUAUCACUAAGUAGAAAAGAAUUUGGUAAUUCAUUUUAAAAACAUCAAAUAUAAUUAAAAAAAUCAUAGACAUAAAUAAUCUAAAAUACAAAAUACACUUCAAUAAUUGAAAAUUAAAUAGAAUUAGAAACUAAAUAAGAAACAUAACUUUUCACUAUAUAUCAUUUGAAGAAAGGAAUGCUAGGUGGCCUUUUUUUCCUAGACUUAAACAUGAGAGGUGAUAUCCAUACUCCCCUCAUGUUAUUAUUAUUAGUAUUUAUGUUAUAUAGCUAAUUGUUUGGUUAUAUCAUAGCAUUGAUUUUAUUCAUAUAAAAUAUAUUUAUUAUUAAUAAAUACAUUUUUUAUCUUUAAUAUUUAUUUAUGUUUGAUUAAUGAGUUUAGAGUAAAGACUAUGUCUUUGAGACCAAAAUGUUUUGUAAGAAAAAUUAUAAAGUUGUUAUAAUUAUGAUAUUUUUAUAGCUUCAUGUUGCUCAUCGAUAUUCUAUUAAGAUUGGACAUUAAUUAUAGUAAAUGAAACCGAUACAUAUCAUAUUAUUUUCUUAUGAAAGGAAGCAAUUGUUUUUAUAAGCUGUGUUUGAGAAAUACCUGAAAUUAAUAUGUAAGUGCUUGUUAGAUGAUAAAUAUACUGGAUAGAUCACAUAUGUUUGUGAAAAGGCUCAUGUAACCAUUGUGUAAGUAAUCCUAGACUUGAGAUCAUCAAGUUAUAUUAUAUAGAGAAUAUUAUGCUUUGAUCAUGACUACACUUUUUCUUAAUCAAUGGUAACAAAUGGAAACAUAUUGAGUAUAUUAUGAACUAUAUAAAAGUAUUUGAAUGUUCAAGAAAUGAUUCAUCACCCUAAGUGAAUUAAGAAAAAUGAUAUCGAAUAAUAUUGAUUAUGAGAUAUUUGCGUAAGGUGGAAUAUGAUUUGAAAUCUUAUUCAAAAAAUCAAUCACUAUGAUUUUGAGAACAAACAUAAUUUGAUGAAGUAGAUGCAUUCCAUGCUAUAAAAAACCUAAAAGGGAUAAGGGUUUCACUAUAGCUCCAAUCUCAUUGUACUAUGGAUUGGAGCAGUGUGAUGACCAUGUUGUCAUUUCAAAAAAAUUAAUGAACCUGUUAUUUGGGGUAAUAAAGUCUUUUAAACAAUUCAUUAGUUAUUAUCAUAUUAAUUAGGUAUAAUUCGGUUUUCUAGAUUUUUUAAAGCAUGGUGAAAUGACUAAAGUACCCUUUAUAGUGAAAAUUUUCAAACUAGCAUCCAAUGGUUCCUUUUUAAAUUAUUUUAGGUUCUUUUUCAAAAUUGAUUUUUUUUUCAAUUUCAUCUUUCAACAUUUGGUUUAUUGAAAAUUGAUCUUCAUGCUUUUUUUUCCCCACUUUUCUUUAUCCUAAUCUUAUGCCUAUAGUCUUGAGGUCAGCGGGUUAACCCGUGCUGACUUAGAUUUUUUUUUAGCUCUUAUUUUUAUUUUUUAUUUUUAAUUUCACCCUUUAACAUCAAAUUAUUUGAUACUUGAACUUCAUAGUUUUAUUCAAUUUUUUUCAAUAGGGUUACCUCGAGAUCAUGAUUAUGUCACAAAAUUUGCAUGCUAACUCGAAUAGGCUCGGGUUGGGUUUUUUAAACCUUUUUUACAUUAUUAAUUUUUUUGUUGUAUUUUUUAUUCAUAUUAUUUAAAUCACUUGAGCUUACCAGUCACAUCAAUGACCCGAGUCUUAAAUUGUUUUUCUUUUUUAGGAACACUUGUAUUGCAUUAGCAUUUUUUUAAGAUGGAAAAAAAUUGGAUUGGCCUGCGGCGUAGCGUGAGUCACCUAUGAAGUAAUGUCUAAAUCAAAAUGUUCACCAUAAUGAGAUAUUAAUUACACUAAGAAACUAGUCACUAAAAGAUGAAAUCAAACCACGCAUGACUUUUCUAAUAUCUUAAUAAUCAUGACACGUUGCUAGAUGAUACUCUUGAUCUUCAAAUGUAAACAAUCAAUUAUUUAAUGAAUAAUAAAUUAAGUUAUUUAAUUUAUUUAAUUCUAUUUUGAUUAAGAUUAUGAUUUAUAUUUGGGCCAACAUAUUAAAAACUUAAUGGGUCACACGCACAUUAAGAACCAUUGGUCAAGAAUUAAAUUAGGAUGAUUAAUCAAUUAUGACAUAAUUGUAAAUAAAUUUUAGAAAUUGAAAACUAGGAUGUAAUUAAUACAAGAAUUAUAAUUCUAAACCUAUACAAAACAAGUAAGGACUUUAUUGAAUAGAUUUCUAAAACUAUCAUGAAAUAAUAUGUGUGAUAUUAUUUAAAUAAAAAAUUAAUAUUUUAUCAUUUAUAGGAUUAUCAAGUUUUUCUUAUAAAUAGAAUGUCAUGUCUUAUAUUUUGUGAAAGGUUAUGUUACAAAACAUAUGGUAUAAAGAAACACCUAAAAAAAAGUAAUUACUCAAAGGCAUAUUGAUCCCUAUUUUCUAAUAGGGUUCUAGGAGAUUUCUCACUAGUGACUUUAUGUGGAUUAUUGCUAGAAGUCAGACACUUAGAUAACUUGUUAUUUGUGACAAUUCAACUUUGAAGAAGUUAAUCAAACCUCAGAAAGAAGAUAUGAUCUCCAUUUAAUCUUUGUUCAAACCUUAAACAACCAUAUAUUGUCAAACAUAGUCAUUUAAAAUUAUUGUUUCUACUGUAUCUAAGAUUCUCGGGAAACCCAACAUUGGUAGCGAAGCCAUAACUAGAUAAUUAGGAUUGUUAAUUGUAUGUUUUAAUUGUUAUUGACAUUAAUUAUGAAUUAAAUUUAUGUGUAAAAAAAUUAAAAUAAUGAAAAUCAAACUUGAUAAGAAAAAAAAUUAAAAAAAAUGGAGACCAUAUAUAAAAAGAUUGAAGGAUGAUUAAAUAAAAAAAACCAAUUAUAUAAACUACUUUAAAUAAAACAAAGUAAUUAAAAGAAUAGACACCAAAUCUGUAGGAAAAACAAAUUGAAGGGUUGCUUUGAGAAUUUAUAGGGUUAAACGUGAAAAUCUAGUAGGAGAAAAAAAAAAAGAAAAAAAAGUUAUCAAUACUAAACCAAGAUUUUAUUUCUCACACACAUUGUCUAUUAAUUAAGGGGUCAUCGAAACAAUCCAAACACCGCCCUUGAAGUCGGCGUUUAAUUGGCGAGCAUCACCUAAAAUGCGCAACCACCACCCACCAGUUGAAACUUACAAUGCAUAUGUUAGCCGUUAUUUGAAUAACACUUAUAAUUUUAAAAGAAUAAAAUUAUGGUUCAACCAACCUGAUAAUAGCAACGAAAAAAACCCGGAAAAAAAAACGUGCUAGUCCAGCUUUAAGAAAUCUUGAAUCAAAUUUUGUAAUACAAGGACAUGUCAUAUUUUAACGGAGGACACCAGACAAGCCAUGGGAGUUGGGACCAUCCACUAGCUCACAACAUUUUUUUCAUUUUAUGUUAGACCCAACCAGCUCGCAUCAUAUAUAUAUAUUUUUUAUCAUUUUCUCAAGCAUGGGUCCGUCCAGCACAAGUUUUGUCAGAAUUUACAAAAAUGUCGUUCUCAUAAAUUCAAAUCAGCUGUGCCGCUGUGGCUAUUAAGAGGGCGUUUGUUUUAGGCUUUUUAUGGUUGAGAUUGUGGGAACGUUUGGGAACGCGGCUGUGGUUACGGCUGCGUUUCUAAAAAAAUUAAUUUUUUUUAUUAAAAUUUAAUAUGGUUUAUAUGUUUUGGAUCGUUUUGAUGUGCUGAUAUCAAAAAUGAUUUUUUUUUUUUUAAAAAAUCAUUGACAUUCAUUUUAGCACGAAAAAUUAUUUGAAAAGUACCCGCAACCACACUGUCAACUCGCUUUAUGACUGUGUGUUUGGCCUGUACAGGAAAUAAUACGUGGAUUAAAGGAGGCGUGUGAAAAUAGCUUUAGCAUGCCACGUGGCUUUCAAGAUAAGAGCCGUUGCCUGCCCCUCCUCGAGGGCUUCAUUUCUCUAUAAAAGAAGGGAUCGUCUCCUCCAUUUCUCACAACUCAAAAUCCCUCUGUAAGUUUAGCAGCUGAAUUUCUCAUCCCCUGCAUUCGGUAUGGCCCCUUUCCUUUCUUGGUUUUAACUCUUAAUUAUGGCUCGGCAGUGCUAUUUUUAAGCUAAUGUUUGUAUGAUCAUUAAAUCUGUGUGUUCUUCUCUUCUUUUUUUCACUAUUCAUCGUUGUUGCUGCCCGGAGGACAACAAGUUUGGUAGUCCUAUUUUUAAAUUAAAAUGAUAUAAUUGUAAAUUCUCUCGAUUUCUGUAAUGUAACAAUGGAAAAAUUGUACUUUUUGGUGUUUUUAUUAAGAAAACAAGAUUUUCUUGUACUUGAAGGGAGCGUUUGGUAGUGCGUUUCUACCUGUGUUUUGUGAAAAUUUGAUUUUUUUUUUUUUUGCUAAAAUUGAGUGCGGUUUGUACUUUUUGGAUCGUUUUGAUGUGCUGAUGUCAAAAAUGAUUUUUAAAAAAUAAAAAAACAUCAUUGGCAUGUAUUUCGGCACGAAAAGUUAUUUGAAAAGCACCCGCAACCACACUGCCAAACACGCUCGAAAAAUAGUACAAGGUACAUGGCCAGGGUAUAUACGUUUUUUCAAUCUGACCAGAAGCUUAUUUCCGUGGAAUCAUUUCCUCCGUCGCCAUCGAAUCCACAUCUCUUAUCGUGUCGUGCAAGUAAUAUCUACGUACAACCAUGCAUUUGACAUGCACAUUUUAAAUUAAUAUUUUUUUAAUAUUUAUAUUUUGACAUGAAAAAUAAUUUUUUAAAAUUAAUUUAAAUAAAAAACAAUUUAAAAAAUAACCACAUUUAUAUUAUCCAACACACUACAAUUAUUAUGAGUUGAAAGUGAACAUGUUGACUUUCGGAAAAAUUGCAAAAAUCACACUUGAUUUUAUAUAAUAUAUAAAUAUAUUUUCUUCAAGAUGAUUAAUGAACAUAUACAGUAAGUCGCCGGAAAGAUUAUCACGUUCUCGUAGCAGUAGCUACUAGCUAGAUCAAGUCAGAACAGUACUAAGAUUGUGACAAAAGGUCUCCGGUCCUUUUCGUUUCAGUUAAUAAUGCUAAUUACUUUAUCUUUUUUUUUUUUUUUGAUAUGUAGUACUUGUUCAAGAAAGUUAGUCAACACAACUGGCAUCCAUGGAUUUCGACUUAUCUCCAAGGUUAGCCCAACAGUUAUUUGAUGGAGAAGCUGGAUCUUACUACAGCUGGUCAAGUUCUGAGUUUCCGUUGCUAGCAGAGGAAAAGGUUGGUGCAGGAAGACUUGUCCUUCAGCCUCGUGGUUUUGCUCUUCCCCAUUAUGCCGAUUCCUCUAAAAUUGGCUAUGUUCUGCAAGGUAUAUGUACCAAUUCAUUAAUUCUCUCCUCCUCCUCCUCCUCCUUACAAAUCAUUAGAUAUUUUUUCCUUUAUAAUUUAUUAUGGUUGGUGAUGGUUAAAUUAAGUGGGUCCGGUACAAGUUUUUCUGGCACGCGUGUCUGUAGUAAAAGACUGUAGAAUUCAAUUAUUUGAGCUUUGAUCAUAAUACAAUAACACAACUAGCCAUGAGAAAAAAAUAUAUUUUAAUAUAUAAUAUAUAUAAAUUAGAUCAUGAGAUCUUAUCUAACGAUUUUAAAUUAAAUAACUAUUUAGUAUAGUAUUAGAAUAUUGUUAUUAAAUAAUCACGAUCUAAAAUCUAUUCAUUUUAUUAUUUUUAAUUAUAAUUAAUUAAUAUUACAAUAUAAUAUAGUCUGAGUAAAUAAUUUAAAGUCUUCAUUGUUUUUAUACAAUUAUUGACAUGUAUAAUCUUGGUCUCCUGCAGGUAGUGAUGGAAUAGUGGGAAUGGUGCUCCCAAACUCGUCAGAAGAGGUGGUGUUAAGACUCAAGAAAGGAGACGUAAUACCGGUGCCUCUUGGAGCAUUGUCUUGGUGGUACAACAAUGGAGAUCACUCAGAAGAAGUCGUUGUAGUUUUCUUAGGGCAAACUUCCAAGGCACACAUCCCUGGCGAAUUCACCUACUUCUUCUUAAGUGGAGGCCAAGGUAUCAUGGGAGGGUUCUCGACAGAAUUCAUUAGCAGAGCUUAUAAGAUGAACGGAAAGGAAGCGGACAAGCUUGCUAAAAGCCAGACUGGGAUUUUGCUCAUUAAGCUAGAGCCAGGAAUAAGCAUGCCCCACCCUAACACGGAAAUUGUUGAAAAAAUGGUGUACAACAUUGAUGCUGCUUUGGCUGACGUUGAUGUCAGAGGGGGUGGUGUGUUUAAGGCAUUGACAGCAGCUAGAUUUCCUUUUCUUGAAGAAGCAGGCUUAAGCGUUAACCAUGUGAAAAUGGAAGCUAAUGCCAUGUACUCGCCAUCAUACACCGCCGACGGCACAUUUCAAGUUUUUUAUGUUGCUAGAGGCACCGGCCGCGUCCAGGUUGUGGGGAUUGGUGGUAAGCGUGUCCUGGACACCAAAAUACAGGCUGGUCAAUUACUUGUGGUGCCAAGAUUCUUCGUGGUUGCUCAGAUUGCUGACAGUGAAGGAAUGGAGUUUGUUUCCAUUCUCCCUGGUACAAGGUAUAUAUUGCAAUUUCUAUUGCAAAAUUAAAUUAAUAUAUUGGUUUAAAAAACCUCAUAUUGAAUCCCAGUAUUUCCAUACAUGUUUAUAAUUCAAUCCCAGUAAGAUUCUUGAAGAGUUUGAAUUAUUGUUAAUGUUUUUUUUUUCUCUUGGCAGCCCCGCCGUUGAAGAGUUUGCGAGCAAGAAAUCAGUGUGGAAUGCUUUAUCUCCAAUAGUUUCACAAGUUGCUCUAAGCGUGACUCCAGAGUUUGAGGAAUUUUUCAAGUCCAAUAUGCAGAAGACCACUAUUCUUAUCCCGCCCACCAAUUAAAUCUGAAAAAUUAAAAUUAAUGUCUGUACGUGUAUGAUCAUGAUCUCCCCUUUCGGUCGAUCAGGCUGUAAUGAAUAAUAUGUUGAGGUGUUAGAUAGCACAUCAGCAAUGGUGGGAGCCAUAUGAAAGAAUAUUGAUGAUAUUUGAGAAUAUUAAUUAUGACUUCUGAGGAUUGCACUCGAACAGUCUCUGAUUUAAUUACUUUUGAAACUCUUGAUCAGUAAGAUGUCCAAAUCUCUAUAGAUGGAUUUUGGUAUUUAUCAAGAUAGCAUAAAUUUAAUUUAUAAUAUUUAAUAAAAACAAUAUUAUCUUGAUGUAUUUUUAAUUAAAAAAUAUUUUAAAAAAUACUUAAUUUACAUUACAAUGUUAAACACAUAUAUGAUUUGAGUAUUAUUUUUGCCUAACCAUUAUAUAAGAAAAUAUUUGGCUUUGAUAUUUAUAUCUUUUUAUUAUUCUAUACGGCAUCAAUUGGCAAGACCAUAAAAUACUAGUAAUUUCAUUGAUUAGAUAUCAAGACAUGUUUGUUUUUAUAUUUAAAAAGUGUUUAUAAAAAAAUUAAAUUUUUUAUUUGCUUCAAAUUAAUAUUUUUUUUAAUUGUUAAAGAACCAUAACUUAAGCUGUUAGGUAAGGUCUUAAGAUAUAAUUUAUAUUAUUCUUUAAUAUAUCACCUCAAGUGAAAACUCUUUGAUCUUGAAAUUUAUACAGACUCACAUUAUGUUGUGUUUAAUUUUUAUCAAAUAAAUAGAAAUAGUGAGAUUCAAACUUGUGAUUACUUGAUCAUCAAAGCUAUGAUACCAUGUUAAAGAAUCAUCUCGACUCAAUAGUUUAAACUGUUACACAAAGUCUUAUUAUAUGAUUUAUAUUAUUCUUAAUAUUUUCAUAUUAUUAAAAAUUGUACCGUAAAUGGAUACUGCAUGUGGGAGUGGUUAGAUGCAUGCAAAGUAGUCCUAAUUUUAUGCAAUCUUUUAAUAAUCACGUACAAUUCCAAUUUAGCUCCAUAAAAUUCUUCCCAUAUUGCUCAAGUUUUCAUCACUUUGUUAAUGUUUCCCCGAGGAAUAAUCUUGCCUUUAACUCCAAUUGGCAGAUAAUCUAAGAUAUGCCACCGCCACAUGCAUUAUUGCAUGGGCAGUCCUCGUUUGUUGCCGUCGUGUAACGUUCUGCCGUAACAAAACUUUCCUCUGUCUUGAUUACAAAUUUGACUGCCGCAUCGUCAACUUCGUUGCCGUAGUCUUUUUGGAAACCAAGACUAAACAUCUGGCCAGAGGAAUUCGGCGCCCUUUAGCUAGAACAGAGGAGUAAUCAAAGUUUGAAUGAGAUCUAAUCAGUCUCGUGAUUCUGUUUCCAUGCAACUAUAUCCAUACAUAUCCGUCUAAAUUGUGGAACUGCAGCAUUGCACUGGCAUAACUAAUGUAAUGUUGGCCUUUCUAACAGCUAUAAUCCUCGGUGAAAAGCAUGAUUUCCUGACGUAAAGUGCUGGAUGCAGACCUAUUAAUAUCAAAAUUACUUGCAGGAAGAUUGAUUUUUGAGGAGUCGAAAACGAGGACAGCGAAAAGCCUCUCCGCAGGAAAUUAUAAACAGAGUGUUACAUUAUAUACGUGUGUGUGUUAAAUUCAAUAAAAUUGCCAACUACCUGGGACCUGGGAGAACCUACUGAAAUUACCUAACUAAGAAGAAUCAGUUGUUACUAUCAUUAACAUCGAAGUUCUAUCAGGCUUUCUCUAUUCAAGAUUUUCAGGUUGCUGAUGUCAUUUCAGCAUCUUCAACAUUCUAAAAUAAUAUAAAUUAUAUCUUGAAAUUUUAUAUAAUAAUUUAAAUUAUUAAAUUAAGAUAAUUUUUUAAUAUGAUAUCAGAACCUUAAUUACUAAGUGGUCACGAGUUCGAAUCUUACUAUCUCUAUUUAUUUGAUAAAAAUUAAACACAAAGUAAUGUUUUAGAAGAGUGUGUUAAAGAAUAAUAUAAAUAAUAUUUUGAAAUUUUAUCUAACAGUUUAAUUAAUAUAGUUCUUGAGAUUCAGUAACAGUCUAAACUGUAGGAUCUUUUGAACUUUGAAGUUGUGCAACUGGCUCCACUUCCUUAGUUUGAGCUUGGUUUGGAUCUAUUUAUUAUAUAUCUACCUGCAAAAAGGUUCGCUUCUUCUUGAACCAAAGGGGCAGCUUCUGCAAAGACACGUUUUUGCUGACAAAAUUGCAGUAACAAACAGGAAUCAUUCAAUUAUCUUGGUGAACCAUUGCCAGAAACAAUUGGCUGCAAUCAGAAAGCCAAAGCUGACUUGGUGACCCCGAGUCCUAGCUCAUGCACCGAAGAGAGACGCGCUAUCAAAAUUUGAUGCAAGGAAAGCAGCUUCUUAGUCUAGUUCCUUAAACCAAAGAUGACGAAUAGAGAAGAGCUCACCAUUUUCUGAGAAAACAAAGCAUGUACCAAUUGUAUCUUCAUACUUGCCAAUCUGAGAAACCAAAAAAAAGAGAACCAAAUUUAUAUUUGUUCUUAAUUUGUCAACCAACUGAGAAAAUACUUGGAACAUGCAGGCAUGCAGUGCCCUUCAAACUCAACAUGAAGGCAAAAUACGUCAAAAUAUAUACAUGAUACCACAAGCCAUACCAGCUUCACUUUGUCAUCUAUAAUCAUUAUUGGCUCCGGAGUGUCAAGACCCUGGAAUUCAAACAAAUGAUUAACUAUGACAAAAAUGAAAGUUUUUGACAUUAAAAAUAACAUCAAUAGAGAUCAAUUGAUUCCAAGGAAAAGGCACACUGAGUCAACAUAUUUCGGAGCCAAAAAAGAGUUUAGAAGCCAUCAUCACCCUUUCCAGCUAUUUCCAACUAAAAACAAAGCACACAGCCAAGGCUUUUCCUUUCCAAAUCAUUCAAGCAGCACCAUCAGCCAAUUUUUUAAUAUGGGCUGGUGACAAGUAAGCAAAACGCCUUCUUCUUCAUUACAUAAUUGUAAUAAAACUUGAAUUGCAGCAACAAAAAAUCAAUGAAAAGUAUCCGAACUAGAAAAUUACAAAUCAAAACACGAACAUAUAAUUGUUUCAGCCUAUUUUAGAAAAAGCGCACACAAUUUGAAUUCAAUGAUCAAAAUGAUAACAAUAGCAUGGACAUGUGAACUCAAAAUAAGAAGACCUCCUCAUUAAUCCAAAAGAAGAAGAAAAAAGUCAUAAAGCAUGAAAUGCAACAAGUAGAAAUUAAUAGAAAAGUUUCCAAAUUGUAAACCACGGUACAGACUGUGUUUCAGCUUAAAUAAACCAAAAAAAAAUAAAAUCUAAAUUCAAUGAGCAAAAAUUAUAACAAUGGCAGGGAUAUAUCAAAGAAAUUGAAGGGCGAGGAUGCCAAAGAAGUUAAAGAUAUAAUCUUGAGUGUCAAAAGACACGAACAGAAACUUGGCAUAUUGUAAGAAAGGGAUUGAUUAGAACGUACAGAAAGAACAUAUGGUGUAUUUGGAGUAAUAUCAACUUGAGCGAAGACAGCUUCAAGAUCAAGAAGAACAUAAUCUUCUUCUUCUAGUGCUUCUUCAUCAUCAUGGUGCAUCAACUCUGCUUCCAUUAUCUUUCUCUAUGAACACAAGAAAGGCUACACUAGUAAAUUUGAAGCAAAAAAACUCAAAGAUUUUUAGAAGCGUUUUUUGUACUGAAAAAACAAAUAUACUCUAAGAGAGUGUUUGGAAACGCGGUCCAACCGUGUUUUUAAAUUUUUUUGUAUUUUUGUAUUUUAAAUUAAUUUUUUUAGUGUUUUUAAAUUGUUUUAAUGUGUUAAUAUCAAAAUAUAUUAUUUUAAUAUAUUUUCAAAUAAAAAACACUUUAAAAAACAACCUCUACCACUGUUUCAAACACCCGUUAAAUGUAGCAUAGGCAAUGUGAUAUGGUGAGGUGCCCUUCUCCUUCACUUCAUCCAACAUCUCAUAGGCUCAAUCUAUAUUUUUAAUUCUUUGAUACCCAGCAAUUAAAGCAGUAUAUAUAUUCACAUCAGUUGUGACAUUAUUUCUCUUCAUAUCUUCAAUCAACAUGUUAGCCAUAUCCAAGCGUUUUAACUUGCAAAAUCCAUCAAGUAGACAAAGUAUACGUCUUCACAUCGGGCGUGAUAUUGUUUCUCUUCAUUUCACACAUGGGAAGUCCUAAAAUUGUGGGAAAUUUGUGGCAAGAGAAAGAGCCCAUCAUGCUAAACAGGUCUAAAAUUUGGCAAAUUUUGAAAAGUUGAUUGUUCCUGAACGUGAAAAAUCUCUUUUGCAGAAAGUUUUUAGCCCACUGGGACUCAUGAUCCCAUCAACCUGUGUUCCUAUUAAUUCCACUCGGCUGCAGAACAAGACCCCAGACAGCUUUUGAAUGAGGGCAAUUAAAGAGAAGAUGAUUUCUACCCUCAUCGCCACCGCUGCGAAGCAAGCAAACAACGUCCAAAUUUCUACCUGAAGAGGCUUGCUUGUCUGGUACUUGUAGAUAGUCUAUUGAGUACUGCGACCCGUGAAACAAAAUUAUUACUCGGUAUAAAUUUGAGGGGUAUAGCUAAACUGGUCAAGUUGGAUUUAUUUCCUAGAUGUUAUCGGUUCUAGUUCUAUAAACCUCAGGAUUACUGGAGGCUUACAUGAUCGUUAACUUCAGGACCCGUAGGAUUAGUUGAGAUGCAUACAAGCGGGUCUGAACAUCCAUGUUAAUCUAAAAAAAAUUAUCCCUUGGUAUAUGCAAGGGCCAUACUAGUUUAUACCAAUAUAUAAUAACUCCUUUGCUUCUAACAAAAUUCCAAGCACUCUUGGCAGAGAUUUUUCCAUCUGAACUAGAUUUUCAAUUCAUCUGAUCAUCGAUUUAAGAGGGAAAACACCACUGAAAUGACACUAUACACAAUCACCAUGACAUCAGAUCUUGUUGGGGCCAACACCAAUCAUUAUGUGGCUUUACAGCUACAACCUUGGCAUCAAGGGGACCUCCCGCUUCAUAAGCAAGUCUCACUCAAAAUUUUUUUUUUUUUGAUUUUUUCUUAAGCCAGGGAUUUGUGUUUGGGUUUUUUUUAGAUUUGUACUAGUUACAUGACCCGCGCGAUGCCGCGGGUCAAUGAUUUUUGUAUAAAAAUAUCAAAAAAAAUUAAGAUCUAAAAGUAUGAGGUCCUUUUGCAAAUCUAUACCCAAGAGUCUUGGGUGUGGCUGCAACGCCUGACCCAAAAGUAAUAUUUAUAAUAUUAAUAAUAACAUUAAACUUGCAUGACCCAAGUUUAAGUGGGUAUGACUGCAAUACCAGACCCAAUAGUCUUGGAUGUGGGUCUGGCUGCAAUGUUGUGUCAUAAAAGUGUGAUAAUUAAAGAUUAAUUAAAAAGAAAAAAAACAAAGAAAAAAACCAAAAGGAAGAAAAAAAUUAAUGAAGAAAAAGAAAAAAAUCUGAAUUAACUGGGUUAACCCGUCAAACCUUGGAUUCGUGUCGUGAAAGUUUGAUAACUAAAUAGAAAAAAAAAUUGACAGGUUAACACAAAAUUAACUGGGCUAAUCCGUCAAACCAGGUUAACCCGUUUGAACAUUAACAAACUAAAUUAAACGAAAAAAAUUAAUUAAAAAGAAAAAAACAAACAAAAAGGCAUCAAUCUUUUCACUGUGGACUAUAGUGUGCAGUCCACAGUUAAAGGCAUAAAAACAACAAAAAAGCAAAAAGAAAAACUAAAGGCAUCAGUCGAUAACUAAUUAAAUAGAAAAUAAUUUAAUAUUGAUGAACUAAAUUAAAUAAAAAAAUAUUAAAUAAAAAGAAACAAUAAAAGAAAAAAAACUUAUAAAAAGAAAAAAACUAAUGAAGAAAAAAAAAUCUAAAUUAACUGAGUUAACCCGUCAAACCUGAGAUCCGGGUCAUGAAAGUCUGAUAACUAAAUAGAAAAAAAUUUAAUAUCAACAAACUAAAUAAAAAAAAUUAAUUAAAAAGAAAAAAAAAGUAUCAGCCUUUUUAUCAUGGACUGCACUGUGCAGUCCACAGUGAAAGGCAUAAAAAAAAGCAAAAAAAAAAAAACUAAAAGCUUCAGCCUUUUCACUGUGGACUGCAUACAGUAUUAAAAGAUGAAAUCAGAAGAACAAAACUAAUGAGGAAAAAGAAAAAAAAUCUGAAUCAACCGGGUUAACCGGCCAAAUCAGGUUAACCUGUCAAACCUGAAAUUCGUGUCAUGAAAGUGUGAUAACUAAAUAAAAAAAAGAUUUAUUAUUAAUGAAAUAAAUUAAAAAAAAGAUUAAUUAAAAUGGAAAAAGCAAAGAGAAAAAAAACUACAGGAAGAAAAAAACUAAUGAAGAAAAGGAAAAAAAAUCUGAAUAAACUGGGUUAACCCGUCAAACCUGGGAUCCAUGUCAUGAAAGUCUGAUAAUUAAAUAGAAAAAAUUUAAUAUUAAGAAACUAAAUUUAAAAAAAUUGAUUAAAAAAGACAAAAAAAAAUAAAUAAAGGCAUCAGCUUUUUCACUGUGGACUGUAUUGUGCAAUCCACAGUAAAAGGCAUAAAAAGAAAAAGAAAAAAAAAAACAAAGGCACACGCCACGGGUUAAAUUUUUUUUCUUGCAUAAAAAAUAUCAAAAAAUGCUAAGAUCUAAAAGUGUUAGGUCUUUCUGCAAAGAUAUGCCCAAGAGCCUUUGGUCUAGCUGCAACGCUUGAUCCAAGAGCAAUAUUUAUAAUAUUAAGAAUAAUAUUAAACUUACAUGACUCAAGUUUAAGUGAGUCUAGCUGCAACACCGGACUCAAGAGCCUUGAAUGUGAGUUUGGCUGCAAGGUCGUGUCAUAAAAGUGUGAUAAUUAAAUAGAUUAAUUAAAAAAAACAAAGAAAGAAAAACCAACAGGAAGAAAAAAACUAAUGAAGAAAAAGAAAAGAAUCUGAAUUAACUGGGUUAACCCUUCAAACCAGGUUAACCCGUCAAACCUGGGAUUCGCGUCAUGAAAGUUUGAUAACCUAAUAGAAAAACAAAUUAACGGGUUAACCCGUCAAGCCCGGGAUACAUGUCAUGAAAGUCUGAUAAUUAAAUAGAAAGAAAUUUAACAUUAAAAAACUAAACUAAACGAAAAAAAAUAAUUAAAAAGAAAAAAAGCAAAAAACAAAUUUCGGGAUAACUCGUCAAACCAGGUUAACCCGUCAAACUCGGGAUCCAUGUCAUGAAAGUCUGAUAACAAAAAAAAAAAUUAACAUUAACAAACUAAAUUAAAAAAAAACAAUUCAUUAAAAGAAAAAAACACAAAAAAAGCAAAAAAAAAAAACCCAUAAAGGCAUAAAAAGCAAAAAAAAAAAAAACAGAAAAAAAUAUUAAAAACGAAAAAAAAACAGCUUAGCGUUUCACUAUGGACUGCAUAGUGAAACACUGAAUAGUUUUAGUAUAUGUUAUUAAUUAAAAAGAAAAAAACAAAAAAAAAUUGAGGUUAACUCGUUAAACCAGGUUAACUCGUCAAACCCGUGAUCCGUGUCAUGAAAAUCUGAUAACUAAAUAAAAAAAAUUAACAUUAACAAAAAAAAUUAAACAAAAAAAAAUUCAUUAAAAGAAUAAAACACAAAGAAAAAUGCAAAAAAAAAACUCAUAAAGGCAUAGAAAACGGAAAAAAAAUCAAAACAGAAAAAAAUAACAAAAAAAAUAAAAACAGCAAAAAAACAAAAAAAAAAAGGGAGAAGACAGCUCAACGUUUCACCAUGGACUUGCACAGUGAAACACUGAUUAUUUUUAGUUUAUUGUUAAUGUGAUAAGGAGAGCUUGAGAGGAGAGAGAAGAUGAGCAUGAUAAGAGAGAAUAAAUAGGAUGAUAAUGAUUAUUUUUCAUACUUUAAUAUAAUAUAUAUAGGUGUAUUACUAUUAUUUCAUUGAUUUUUAAAACAUGUUUUAACUCACGAUAGAAUUCGUAAUAUUUAAAAACUUGACUAUAAAGUGAAAAAAUAAAAACUAAAACAUGCUCGUAGUAAUUUUUUUAAUAAAAUAUAUUAUUAUCAAACUUACAUAUUGAAAAAUAAUUAUAUGUUAUUUAUAUACUUUAGUUUAUAUUGAGUAUUGAAAUUAAUAAUAGUAUGAUAACUCUAAUUAUAAAACUCGAACUGACUCAAUUGACACGGGGCCUGUGCCAGUACAAGUUUUAGAAAAAAAUAGAAAAAGGACUGACCAGUCUAAUUUGAUCAAAAUCUGUGACUCGGUCAACUUAUGGUAAAACCUGGUGAAAAAUUAAAAACUUUGUUGAUUUUUUUUUAUAAUUGUUUUUUUAGUCAAACCAUGUUGUUUUGAUCUUUUUUUAAAAUCUUUUUACCAAAAUCACGACCUUGGUCUUACCCCAAGUUGAUCAUUGAGUUGAGUUUUAAAACUAUAAUAAUAAUUAUUUUUAUCUUUACAUGUUUUAGUUGAACAAUUUUGAAAUUAAAGUUUUUUGUAUAGUGAUAUUUUAGAGUUAAAACAUAAUAAAUAUUGUCUCUAAAUACGUGUCUUCUCUUUGCUUCAUGUUUUGAAAGUAUAGAGGUAUAUAUUUUUUUGUCCUUUUCUCUUUAACAAAAAUUGUUUUUGACUUCAUUAUUUUUGUCUCUUCUAUUUUAAGAUAAUAACCAAACACUACCUAAGAGCUUUUUGGGUUAGUUUUUCAGUGUUGGCAUUAAAUCUUUUAAUUUGGAUAUUAAUCAUUUGUGUUGAUAAGCCUUUUUUAAGAUAUAUUCUAAAAAUCAAAUCAAUUAUAACCACUGUUAUUAAACCUAACCUGAUUAAGUGGGUUGAUCAAGGACCUAGCUAUUUGUUCUUGGUUUAGGUCGAGUGUAAAAACAAAGCCACCUUGAUGCUCACUCAAUAAAACUGAUCAAAAUUAAAUUGGUUUUUUUAAAAUAAAAAUUUUCAAAAUAAUAUUAUUUUUAUUUUUAAAUUUUUUUUAGUAACCCAGAUUGAUUUAUAUAACUCGAGUAUUGCAUUAAGUCAACCCUAUAGUUAGUUUUAAUAACUAUUAUUAUAAGAUAGGAAGUAAGAAGCAACUCCCUCGUUAGCCACGCUUAACCUCAAAGGUAUAUAAAAAGGAAAAUAAAGAGUAACAUUAAUAGCUCUAGAAUAAUAGGUGUUUUUUUUUUCUUGGGAGAAGGGAAAAUGCAUAUUCUCUAUGAAAUAAACCUAAAAUUCUAUGUUAUAUUAAAAAAAACAUGGAAUUUGAGGAUUAAAAUGGAAAUUUUGUCAAUCUUGGGGGUGAUGGUCCUCUAUUCUUGUUAAGACCAGCCAUUUAAAUCAUGAGUUAAUGGUUAAUUUAUGUUUUUGAAAAUUUUCCUUAAUAUUUUUUUAAAAAAUCUGCAGCAGGCCUAGUAGUUGAUGACUGGCCCAAAUUGUGCGAUUAUGGUUCAAGUUUCAGAAUUGAGUUCUUUGCACCUUGAAAAUCUUCAGCGAAUUAUCUUGCUUCGUUACUCAUAAUAAUCAUUGCUGUCUUUUUGGUUAUAAGAGAUAAUUAUGAAUGUCUUCAAUUACCUUUCAAGGGUGUUACUUCUCGCAGAAUGUGUUUAUAUUUGUGGUUAAAAGUAUUUUUUUAAAAUUAAUUUUUUUAUAUAUAAAAAUUAUUUUGAUAUGCUAAUAUCAAAAAUAAAUUUUAAAAAAUAAAAUAAAAAUAUAUUAUUUAAUAAUUUAAUUAGGAAUAUGAUCUUUGAUGACUUCAGCGAGUGCCAUUGCCAGUUCUCCACGGGAGAAGAGCAUGCAAAUAAGACUGAGAAACAAACUAAAUAUCAUUAGUAUUAAGAACAUCAAAUCACAACUCACACAACCAACCUUGACUUCAACUUUAUACCACCCACGGCUAACAUCGCCAGCUUUUAUACAAAAUGUUUUUUUUUUUUUAAUAUUGUGAUAGGUGUUUUUGUUAAGAUAUAUUAAAAUAAUUUUUUAAAUUUUUUGUUUUCAAUAUUAAUAUAUUAAAAUCGUUAAAAAAUAUUAAAAAUUUAGUUUAAAGCCUAGUUUUUAGGAGAUUUUUAGGAGAUUUUAUUCAAAAUAUCUCCAUUAUCUCGUUCGCAUGUUAUGCUACGUCUAGACAUGGUGAAAUUAAUUGCUACCAAAAAAAUGAAAAUAAAUUGAAGGACUUUUGAAAAUAAAUUGGGUAAUAUUAUACUUGGUUCCCACUAGUCUCUGGAGAUUUUAGAAGGCUCUAGAGUCGAGUCUCUCCUAGGCCUUUGGCGUCAAAAAAACAUUGCACGCGUUACGCGCCGGUAUACAACCGCCGCUUGUAGUUGUGUGGUCAAGGGUGCAUUUGUUUUCUACUUGUUUUUAUGUUUGUGGUGUAAAAAACACAGAAAGAUGUUUGGUAACUGUAAAAACUAUAUUUUAUACUGUAAAACCCACUAAAAGAUGUUUGUUUUACUGAAUUUUGUAAAACACGUUUGUUUUUGCGUUUUAAAAGCGCUUUUGAAAAAUUUUAUAAUUUUGUUUUAAAAGCGCUUUUGAAAAAUUUUAUAAUUUUUUAUUUUUUCUUUACUUCAAAUUAAUAUUUUUUUGGUAUUUUAUAAAAAUAAAAAUAAGUUAUUUUAAUGUAUUUUGAAGUAAAAAAAACUUUGAAAAGCAACCGCAACUAUACAAUUACCAAAUAUUUUAUACGUGUUUUUUGUUGUACAUAAACCUCAAUCACAAUUUUUACCAAAUAUGUAUUUAAAUCCAACUUACCACAUCUAAUUAUAUUUUUUAAAAACUUAUUUUUUUCAAACUACAACCACAAAAGUUACCUAAGAAAAAACUUACUCUAAAAAAAGAGAGGCUAAUCUCGUGUGUGGCCACUCAUCCAUGAGUGUGAGGUGUUCAUAAGCCGCAUCUUUUAAAGCUUGAGAAUUAAAGAAUAGAUUACUAGUCUUGGUUAUUGUGCUUAGUUGCGAGAUUAUACUAUUUUUUUAAUUACAAAAAAUAAUAUUAAAAUAUUAAAAUAAGGUUAAAAAAUAACAAGCUUGAAAAUAUUAUUUUAAUAGUAAAGUACCGGGCCAUCCUUAUGCAACGUCUCCUGUUCGUUGACGUGUCUAUAACACACGUCACCAGCUUUUUCUAAUUAAAAAUAUUAUUUUAAUAGUAAAGUACCGGGCCAUCCUUAUGCAAACCAACAAUUAAAAAAAAAAUCAAAGCUAAAAUACUCUAAGAUCCCUUACCUUAAUGCAUUAAAUUUCUUGGAUCCAAAUGUACAUUUGUAAUUCAACUAUAUAUAAAAAACCAAAAAUACCAAUAUACCCCUACCGAUACAAUUGUUUUUUUUACUCCAAAGAGUAUUUUUGUUAUUUUACUGGUCAUAAAAAUAUUGCAUAAUAAUGAAUAACCGGUGUAAAAAUACCAAAAUACCCUUGAAUCAAAGACAAACAAUUUUUUCCUCAAAUUUAUAGACGUUAGUUUACUAUUGUAGUGAAUAGUGUCCAUGCGUUUUAGUAUAUUUGUUAUUUUCAUCACUUAAUUGAUGCAACUUGCCCAUAUUGAAUAAAAUCCAUAAAUCUUAUAGCACUAGCAAACUUUAGUUGCAUAUUAAUAUCAAUUUAUUUGUAUUAUAUUUAAGUUAAAAAAAAACUUUAUUGAUUGAUAUUUGUUGUUGGUUUAAGUUAAUUUAAUUGAAGUUAUCUAAUUAGAGAUAACAAUUCAAUUCAAUCCAAAUCUGAUCGAUACCAAUUUAACCUAAAUAAAUGAUUUUUUGGAUAAGUAUUUUUACAUGAUAAAUAUUGAAUAAGGUCUAAAUAUUGUUAAAUAUUUUGAAUAAUUAUUUUAAGGACAUUCUAUGUGUAAGUUGACUAAUGAAUGAGAAUCUCAUUUACUAAAUGCUCGACUUGUAGACCGAGAUAAAAUUUUGUUUUUGAUCUCAAACUCUUUUUUUAAAUAAUUUAUUGUCUUUGGUAUCUCUCUAAGAGUUCAUUUAAUACUUAAAUCAUCAACAUACAUGCCAAUAAUAGCAAAAUUAGAUUCUGACUUCUUUAUAUAAACACAUGGGCAUAUAAGAUCAUUAUUAUACCCUUUUUUUAAUAAAUAUUUACUAAGAUAAUUAUACCACAUGUGUCCUGAUUGCUUUAAUCCAUAUAAGGACAUUUGAAACUUAAUUAAGUAAAUUUUUUAGAGAUUUGAAUUAUAUGUUUCAAGCAUUUUAAAUCCUCAAGGGAUUUUCAUAUUAACAUUAUUAUUAAUUAAAUCAUUUAAAUAGAUUGUAACUAUAUCCAUUAGACACAUAUCUAAUCUUUCAUGAGUUGUCAAACUAAUGACAUGCCAAAAUAUAAUUAUAUCUACUAUAGGAGAAUAAAUUUCAUUAUAAUCUAUUUCAGGUCUUUGAGAAAACUCUUAUGCCACUAGUCAUGCCUUAUAUCUUACGAUUUUAUUUUUCUCAUUUUGCUUUCAUUCAAAUACCUAUUUUACACCUUUAGGUGUUUGGACUACAAGUCCAAUAACUUUAUGUCUUGCAAAUGAAUUUAAUUUUGUUUGAAUUGCUUUUUUCUAUUUUGGCUAAUCAUUUCUACAUUAACAUUCUUCGAUAAAUUUAGGCUCAAGAUCCUUAUUUUUACUAAUAAUAUCAAAUGAUAUAUUAUAUGAAAAAUAUUUGUCGAUAACUAUCUCAUUUCGAUUCUAUUUUUUUGUAGAGAUAUAAUUUAUCCAGAUCUUUUUUUUUUUUUUGUUGUUCUUAGGUACUUGAACCUCUUACGGGGUUUUAUGAUUAGUUAUGUCUUUAUCCUUAUAAAUGCUUACCUCCUCAAUAAUGCCAACUUGAUUAUUUGUUUCUUUUAUUUUUUUGAGGAUUUUUGUCUUUUGAAUCAGUUGGUCUACCAUGAUUCUAGCAUGCUUUAAAUUCAUUUGUUAUAAUUUUAGUGGAUUAUCCUAUAAGGACUUUAAUCCAGGUCGGAGCAUUUACAACUAGUAUAUGAGAUCUGAUUACUUCUUUUGAGUGAGUGAAUGCAUUUGAUAGUUGAUUUGCUAUGUUUUGCAAGUAAAAUAUUUUUUGAACUUCUUGUUCAUAUUGUUUUGUACGAGGAUCAAAAUUCAAUAAUGAUAAUACACUCCAUGUAAUAUCUUUAUCGAACUAUUUAAUUUAUCCCUCUAAUGCUAGAAAUGUAGUCUAAUCAAAAUGACAGUCGGUAAAUCGUGUUGUAAAUAAAUUAUCUGUUAAGGUUCAAGAUAUUUAAUUAUCAAUGGGGACUCAAACCCAAUAUAUAUUCUCAACCUUUUUUGAGGACCCAUCCUUUUACAUUGUGGAUAAUAAAUUAAAACAUAUAUCGCAUAACUAAAUAUUCUUAGAUGAAAAAUGUUUGGCUCAUGAUCGAAAACCAAAUGUAAUGGGAUAAUUUAUGAUAUGAUGUUGGCUUAAUGCUUACAAGUGCUGCUACAUAUAAAAUAACAUGUUUCUAAAUAGAGUCAGGGAGUUUUUUUUUUCUCAUGAGUAAUGGCCUUGUAACUAACUGGAAGUGUUUAAUAAAUGAUUCAACAAGAUCAUUCUGAGUAUGAACAUGAGCAACAUGUUUCUUUAAUUUUUAUCUUAAGUCACAUGCAAGAAUAAUUAAAUGAUGGGGAUGUGAAUUCACCAGCUUUGUCAAGACAAAUUGUCUUGAUUAUAUGAUCUGGAAAUUAUACUCAUAAUCUAAUGAUUUGAGAAAGUAAUCUCGUAAAUGUCAGGUUACAAGUUGAUAAUAAACACAUAUAUGACCAUCUUACAGAUGUAUCUAUUACAAAUCUUGGGGAUUCAAUCUCAACUUUAGACGGUGAUGGUCUAAUAACCAAUUUUCCUUGAGAACAAACAACACACAAGAAUUCUUUAAAUUGAAGAAUCUUUUGGUUCUUUAAUAGAUGACCAUGAGAGUUUUUAAUAAUUCUUCGCAUCAUUAUUGAUAUGGGAUGGACCAACCGGUCAUGCUAAAUAAUAAAAUUAUUUGGUUUAUUGAACUUCUGGUUCAUUAUUGUAUUGACUUCAAUUGUACUAAUACUUGUAUAAUACAAACUUGAAGAUAAAACGAGUAACUUUUCUAAUAUUUGUUUUUUAGUAGAGACAUUUGAUACAAUAUGAAGAUAUUUUAUACCAUUUGUCAUUGGAAGUCUCAAUAUGAUACCUGCUACGAUGUAUAUCUUUAAAACUUAAUAAAUUUCUCAUUGAUUUAGUAGAGAGCAAAACAUUAUCUAUUAUAAAUCUUGUUCUCCUUGGAAGCAUCAUGUUGGCUCUUCUAGAGCUUUAAUUAAGUCUGUUAAACCUGAUAUUGUAUUCAUUUUUUCUUUCAUCAUUCUCGGAUUUGAAAAAUAUUAUUUAUGUUUAAGAAUGAUGUGCGUCAUUGCACUAUUGGCUAAGCAUAUAUCUUUACCAUUGAUAUUAAACUCAUUUACAGUAUGAUGCAAGUCCAUGUUUUCUUCAUGAAAAGGAAUAAAUAUAUCAUAAUCUCAUAAGAAGACAUAGUUCUUAAAGUUGCAUAUGACAAUUAUUAUAACACAAUCCUUUACAUUAAAUAAGAUAACAAGAAAGGAACAAAUCAAAAUGUAUUGAAAUAUAAUAGCAUAAAAGAAACUCACCUAAAAGAUUAACAAAAUUUAAAUUUUGAUAGUCUUAUAUUUAACUAACUAAUUAUUAUCAAUACUAGAAAUAUCAACUUUCUUACUAGUUUGCUAAAAAAAAAUAACAACAUCAAGGAGUGCCAUAUCUAAAGGAUCAAAAUAAAUAUUAUUAUUAUCAUGAUAUUGGUGAGAAAAAUUUCUUUAUAUGUCCUUCUCCUUUCCUUUCAAUGAGAACUAAUAUAAAUCAAUAAGAUGUUUGACCAUAUGACAAGCAUGUGACCAAUGUCUAGUCAUUCCAAACCUAUAACAAAUAUUUUCUAUCUCUUGGUAUCUCUAUCAUACAUAUUUUCCUCUUUUCUUAUUUCUCUUUAUUCUAUGAAGGCUUAUUAGAAUUGUGACCAUUAUAAUUGUAAAACUUAAUCCGUCUUUGCCUAUGGUCAUGUCCACGGCUUCUACUAUGACCACGACCACGACCAUAAUUAUUAUUAUAUCUCGUAGCAUUCACUUCAGGGAAUGAACCAGAACUAGUCGGUUAUUUUAUUCAACCAUAAAGAGACAAUAUUUCUUAAAACCUCGUUCUCUAUAUUGCUGUUGCAAGAGCACAUUCAUGGAAUGAAAAGUAGAGAACGUUUUUUUUUCUAAUAUAUCUCCAUCGGUGAUAUUAUCUCCAUAUAAUUUUAAUUUAGAAUUGAUGUUAAACAUUGCAAAAUUAUAUUCACUUGCCAAUUCAAAAUCCUGCAAUCAUAAAUUUAUCCAAUCAUAACAAGCUUUUGGAAGAAUAAUUCUCCUUUGAUGGUUGGUUCUUUCUUUUAAGUUUUUCCAAAGAAUAAGGAGAUAUUUGAUUGUAAGAUACUCAAUUUUCAACUCUUUUUUUCCAUGGUCUUUGCCUUUUUUUUUUUUAUUAGAUGCUUCAUUUUCAUGUUUAAUAGUGUCACCAAAACCCAUGACAUCCAGAUGAAUUUCGGCAUCAAGAACUCGUGAUAAAUAAUUCUUACAUGUAAUAUCAAGUUCCACUAAAUCAAUUUUGACAAGAUUUGUCAUGGUUACUUUAUUAAAAAUAUCAAAAUUAUUAUAAAUUUGGUUUAAAUAUUAUAAUGAAAAUUGAACAACCAUUUGGUCAAAUAUUGAAUAAGUUUGUUAUGAACUUAAGAAAAAAUAUGAUUCACUUAAAUAACUAGAAGUAUUUGAAAAAAAAAAUUAAAUAGAUAAACAUACUUUUAAAUAAAAAAUCAUCUGCUUCAAAACGAAAAUAAGGAGCAUAUGUGCCAAUAAUGUUUAUUAAACUAUAUAUUUAGAAGCACAUAAUAUACUUAGUAAAGAGAAAAUGAAAUAAAUAAGAAUAAUAAAAAUUAUAGAAACAAAAAAAAAAAUUCUACCUCAACAUCAUCUCAAUAAUAUUCAUACUUAUAAUCUAACGUACAUUAAUACUUGUACACCUAAAUGCUAUAAAAAGAUAUAAAAUUCAAAUAAACUUAGAAAUAAUAAAUAAACAUAAAAAUAAAAAGAUAAAAGAAGAUAAAUAAACAUACACAUAUAUAAUUUCAUAACAAUUCCUCGUAUUAUUAUGUAAAAUUUGAAUCAAGAAUAUAAAAAUGAAAACUAAAAGCUUAGUGGGGGCGAGUAUGCCCAUGUAUCUACUCGCGAAAACUGGUUGCAGUUUGCACAAUCAUCCUUCUUUCCAUGGGUGCAAAGCUGACGCAUAAACCACUUCAUUCCACCCACAUGGCAACUCCAACGAAUUCCACGUGUCAAUUACAAAAAAGUCUGACAAAAAAUUAACGGUGAAGUCAAAAAGUACAAUCCACAAAAGAAGCCAAAAGACUUUUUCUUCUUCCCUUCUUUCUGUGCCCUACCUAAUUCGCUCCACUGCAAUCAUCUCUCUCAAAUCCAACCUUAAAAUAAAACAUUUAACAAAAAUUAGAGUCUAGAGAGAGAAACCAUGACUGACAACUAAGAAAAAUGUGGUCCUAAAGAUACCUCCAAAACCCUAGCUUUCAUUAAUUUUCUCUUCCUUUGCACUUUAUGUGCUCAUUUUACCUACAUUUCGGUUUAUAAAUUUGAGAUCAGCUCUAAAAAAGUGAAAUUCUAUUGCUUUUUUCGUUGGUUUGGUAAGUGAUCACCAGUAUCAAAACCCUUUUCUUGUUUAUUGAUUUUGAACCCAUUUUUUCCCUCAAAAUCUCACAAUUCAUUCACUGUUGUGUCAAAGUAGGCAACUUUACUGAAACCCUUUCCUCUUUUAUGGGUUUUGAAUCAAAUUUUAGUCUCAGAAUCUUGCGUUUCAUUCAGUUUUGUGUUAAAAUAGUGCACUUUGGUCUAAUUUAUUGUUGAAUUGUACUCAAUUUUGCAGGUAAAGCUGUUGGUUUUGUAGAAUUUGACUGAUUAAAUUUUGGGAGGUUGUGUGAGAAUUUCGUCACUUCUGAUGUUUUGUUUCCAAUCAUUUUAUCAAAAACCCAAUUUGAUUUUUUCUCUUAGACCCCCUUUCUCGUAUUCUAUUCCGUAUAUUUUUCUUCCCUCUGAUGUUGUUUUCUUCAUAUGUUGCUUUAAUUGCAAUAAAUUUCGCCUAAAAAUUUGAUCUGUUUUCUUAUUUACCGUCCCUGUUUGAGCUUGGUCUUGUCAAAUUAAGUUCAAUUGUUACCGCUUUUGGAGAGCUAGUGUUGGAUUUUGAGGGUAAAAGAUUGGUGGGCUGUUAGCGUGGAGGUGAAAAGUGAGGAACUUGAUAUAAAUGGCUAAUAGGUAUAGGCUGGCUUCUAUCGAGGAUUUUCCAUCACAUUUGAUUUUUGAAAUUCUGACAAUCGGUAGGCUUAGUGCUGCUGACCUCGUGUGCUUAGAGUUGACUUCUAGGACAUUUGGAGCGAGUCAUGGGCUGUACCCUCAAAAAUUCAGGUCGUUGGUGGAUUUUGCAGCACAUCAGUUAUGUGUGUCGCAUAGAGUGUAUGGCGGGAUGGGGUGGAAUGCUCAGAAAGAGUUGUUUGAUCGUUGUGGAGGAAAUUGGAAGCGGGUUUUGAGGUUCUUGCAGGCUGUGGAGGAAUCAUCAGGCAUGGUCAAGACCUCAGCAUGCAAUGUAUGCUCUCUUUUCAUAUACUUGCCUUUACAUUUCAAAUAAAAGAAAGAAGAACUACACAUGUGCAGAAGUAAUUGUAUUGUUUUCACAUGCACUCAACAUUUUUUUGCAGUUGUGUCAAUUGUUUUUUGCUGUGUGCAGUUCUUCUCUAACCCCCCCCCCCCCAGCAAACAAUUCUCAAUGAUGCAAAUGUUACUAGGCGUUUGGGCUCAUCAUAAAGUGUGGUUAUCACAUUAAGGCUUUGUUGCUGUUAUUCUCCUCAUGGAUCAUCAUAAAUGUGUGUAUCAUGGCUUGGAACAUUUCUGCCGGCUUUCUCAUUAUGAAAUAAGAUAAGGAAAAACCAAUAUUAGAGAGGGAUCUAAAGUUCUAAUGAUCAUUAUUGUUCUAAUGAUCAAUUGGCAUACGUCACAAGAAGUGUCAGGUUCCUAGAAAGUAAAUAUUAGGAAAAUUAUUUAAUUUCCCCUUUUCUUAACAAAAGGAAAUUACAAUUGAUUUUUAAGAAGGAUGGCCUUUAAUUUCACGUGGUAUUACCUAUGUGGUUUGUGCCAAACCUCGCCCACUUUUUCUCUGUCUUUCUUUUCAUUAUAGUAUUUAGGCUGAUGCUUCCAGAAUAGUUAUUAACGUUUAUUAUCUUUGGCUUAAAUCAACAGAUGCAGGUUACAACUGGAAGAUAUCACACGUUGCUGAUCAGAGAUUCAUCUGUAUAUUCUUGUGGUUCCAGUUUGUGUGGUGUUCUUGGACAUGGUGCUGAAACAACACAAUGUGUAGCAUUCACACGGAUUAGAUUCCCAUCUUUGGCUAACGUGGUCCAAGUCUCAGCCUCCCAUAAUCAUGCUGCUUUUGUUUUGCAGUCCGGAGAGGUUUGUAACCAUUCAUAUUUCAUCAGUCAUCUGUUUUGCUCUGAACUAAUUGCUAGAUUGAACAGGCUUAAGCGUAGACCUUUAGGGGGCCACUGUGGUCAUGAUAAAAUUAAGAUAAUAAUAUUGAACAAGUUGCUUCAUGGUUAGGCUCUUAGAUUUUGGUGGUUUCUUGUGUGAAUGAUGUUUGACCCAGCAACGAUGGUAAACACCAAGUGUGAUUUGCACUGGUAUUGUUUUAGGGAUGCUAUUGUUACAUAGAAUUGGAUACCUAGAAGAAAGUUGUGUUGGUGCAAGUAAUCUAGAUCACUGCCUUUUCUCAUUUUCAUAUUCCAUUUUGUAAUAUUUUAUUCUUUUGCCCAUGUCUGAUGCCUUGGUAUGGGCACUCAGGAACUUUUUGUUUAGAGGAGUUAGGAGUUCAAGAUUUCCAGUUACAAAAAGGUACUGAUACUGUUUGGCAUAUUAAUGAUGAAUAUGCUAUAUAAUUGUGGUAACCUUGGACUUGUAUUGCUUUUGUGUUGCCUAGAAGCCUCAACUCUGUGGCAUUUAUCUCCUUCUGUUUUCAAAUGAUGCCUCUGAUUCACUAAUGAUGUAGAUGUUUUUUAUGCAUGACAAGCAUAAUAUAUCAAUGAAUUUUCAGACACUGUAUUCUUACUGGCAGUUGACAUAUAUGGUAUUAUAAUCAUGUGUUUGGUUUUGAGAAGUGGUUGUCAUAUCCGUCAGAUGAUGCUAAUCAAUGAUGCAGGUUUUCACUUGUGGUGAUAAUUCAUCAUUUUGCUGCGGUCACAAAGAUACAAAUCGCCCCAUAUUUAGGCCCAGGCUUGUUGAGGCACUAAAGGCAGUUUCAUGCAAGCAGGUAACAUUCAUUUCACUAUACUAUAUUCUAAUUGAUGUUGUUUCUUAAGAGUGUUCAUACCUUGUUUAAUGGGUUCCUAAGCAACAGGCAUGUAUUUUAGUUGGUGUUGCAUGUUCAAAGUAAUAUGAGCGAGGGGACAUAUGCACAUGAUAAUUCCUAUCCACAUUCAAGUGCUAUUGUUUCUUAACAAUACUUGCCUUAUUUAGCUUGGUUUUUUUAUUUUCUGCAAUAUCCAACCAUUAUAUUGAGGUUGAAUACCAAAUGCUUGUGUUUGAUUUAGAGCCAGUUGCCUGUGAAGUAUCAAGCUUUUUGUCAAGCUGCCUGGAUAAUGCAUUGUGCCAUGCCUUCAAUGCCAAGUUAAUUUUCUGAUAUGUCAAAUCACCAUUUAAUUUUUUAAGGGCAGCAUCUAUGAGUAUAUUUUGAAAGAAGAUCCGGACCCCCUAGCAUCAGUGACUUUUUUUGCUGAAUCACAUGUUACUUGAUUGUUUCUUGAAGACUUGAUUAAAUUAAGGAAAAAAGCAUUUAGCUUAUGCAUAGGAGUAGUACUUUCUUCCUCCUAACAAUUAUAUGGUUCUUUCUUCAACACAAAAUAUUGUUAGUGUUAUUGGACCAUUUGGCUUUUCCCACCUGCUUUUGUUUCUCUCGUGAUUUUUUUAUUAAAAUUUCAAAAAAAUAAAAUAAAAAUGGGAAUUGUUUCAGGUUUCUGUGGGCCUUAACUUUACAGUGUUCCUCACAAGACAAGGCCAGCUUUAUACAUGUGGGUCGAACACACAUGGGCAACUUGGUCAUGGUGACACGCUAGACAGACCAACACCCAAAAUCAUUGAACUGCUUGAGGGAAUUGGUCCUGUGGUUCAAAUAGCUGCUGGUCCCAGCUACGUGUUAGCUGUAACUGACAAUGGUGUAGUUUACUCUUUUGGUUAUGGUUCUAAUUUUUGUCUUGGUCAUGGAGAGCAACACGAUGAGUUCCAGCCACGUGCAAUCCAGACAUUUAGAAGAAAGGAUAUUCAUGUGGUCCAUGUUUCUGCUGGGGAUGAGCAUGCUGUGGCACUUGAUUCAAGUGGAUUUGUUAGUCUCUGUGCCCAAUAUGAACUUGUGUUUCAUUGAUAAUUGCUUUGUUUGUCUGAUCUAAACUCUUCAAAGAAUUUUUCUUACCUUGUCGUGGUGGUUGUAGGUCUAUAGUUGGGGAAAAGGUUACUGUGGAGCAUUAGGCCAUGGGGAUGAGAUUGAUAAGACUCUUCCUUCCCUUGUGAACUGCCUUAAGAGCCGCCUUGCUGUGCAGGUUUGGUCAACUUUUACUAUUGUACCUUGAAGUAAAUUGAGUAUAUUCAUUGAUUUUCGUUGAUCUCCACUAAGAAUGUAUGCAUAUUGUGUAUUUAGUUUCUAGGCCAUGUAUGGUUCUUGGUAACUGAGGGUAGAACUGAAAUCCCAGGAUGUGCUUACAAUAAGCAGUUAAAUGUUGUUUAGGGACAUGUUUAGAAGAAUUUCAGUUAGAAUAAACCUGUUAGCAAUAAUCCGUGAACAGUAGCACAGAUUUUAUAGCAUAAAAGAAGAACAAGAGGAAAAUAGAAGAAUGAGAGGAAGAAAACUCUUAGGCACCAAGCUUUCAAAAAACUCUAGUAGCUCAAUUUUAUUCCACCAUUCCACUCAAUGAAAAAAGUUUUCACAUAGGCAUUUAUAACAAGUAAAAUAAAACUCAUAACUGGGCCAUAAUUCCCACAAAGACUUGGAUUCUUAUGUAGUAUUAAAACUUCUAACUAAAACAGGAUUGCUAAAUAGACUAGGUAUAUUAGAAAUACUUAAAUAUAUAGAAUAAAAGAUUAAAUUAAAAAUCAUUUCCUAAUUUCUCUCCAAUUGAUUGCACCGCCCUCCUUAUCGUAUGAAUUAUACUAGAACAACUCCAUAACCUUGGUAACAUGCACUGUGCCUGCUGGUUGUUUGCUGUGUCCUUUAUGUUCUCUUUCCUUCUAGUUCUCUGCCUUACUCUUCUCUAAACAUAUAGCUGCUUCAUCUCUCCUUUCUGUAAGUUUAAAAAAUAUUUUUUUCAAGCAAAACCAUCCUUCGAUGACAACUGUGUUGGCUUAAUUCAUGCAUCUCAUGUCUGUUUGCAUGUUGUGUAUUCUUUUUCCAAUCUAUUUUAUCUGAGACCCAAUCAGUGACAACGCUUGUUAUUUUAUAGGCUUGUGCAAGAAAAAGAAAAACAUUUGUUCUGGUCGAUGAUGGUUCUGUUUAUGGCUUUGGGUGCAUGGGAUUUGGUAGCCUUGGCUUUCCAGAUAGGGAUAUAACUGAAAAAGUGAUGACACCUCGAGUCCUUGAUAGCUUAAGAGCUCAUCGUGUUUCUCAGAUUAGCACAGGCCUCUACCACACUGUCGUGGUUACCAACCAGGGCCAAAUGUUUGGAUUUGGAGAUAAUGAAAGAGUACAACUUGGGCACGACACAUUGAGGGGAUGCCUGCAACCAACUGAAAUAUUUGUUCAAGAAACAGCAGAUGAUACAGGCCUUACUUUGGAAAGGAAAUGACUGUCAAGUCUAGGAAACCUUCUCUGCUUUGUGGAUGCCACUGUUAUAUCAGAAGUUUAAACUCUCAACACAACUACUCAAAUGAGUUAAUAUUCUCAUACCAGAUUGAGUCGUCUCAUAUUUUUGAAAACUUGAGUUAGAUUGCUUUAAUUGGACCUAUGAAAUGCACUUCAUGUAAUAGUUGUCCUGUGAAACAAUUGUCACUCAUCGCAACGUUCUUUCUAUUGAUUCACAUUUAGCUGCGUAUUCUGUGGAUACCAACUUCCCCCCGUUACCUGCCUAUUAUUUCCUAAUGCUCUUUUCCCCCUGUGAUCGCCAUUGCUGUUUUCUGUGCUGUUAAGGUUCUUUGAUUCAUUACUUGCUUUCAGUUGCUUUGCAAGGUUAUUUGCCACUAAAGUCUGAAGGAGCAUGAUUCAAUAAUAGGUUGACCUCUCUUCUUAUCUUAAUUUUUGAAAAUUUCAUUAUUACGUUCAUUUUUUGUCAAGUUUAAAUUUGUGUCUGGUCUCAGUGCUUGAAUUUGAUCAUAGAUUAUUGUUCAAGGCCUCAAAUAAUUCAACUAUGUUAAUUAAAAGCAGCAGCUAUCUUGUUUAGUGUACGAGUAAUUUAUGGUAAUUGUUUGUGUAGUUCUGGGGUGUCUAAACAAGCAUUGGUUAGUAGUAAUGAUCAGCUAUUAAAUUACUAAUCCUUUGCUCUCCAUCAUGUUUUGUAAUUUGUUUUACUUUCUCGUCUCUGGACAUCCUACAAACGCUACCGAAUAGUCUACUUGCGGCCAUUGCAAACGAGCCGAUGGGGGGAGAUGCUGCGCUGCUUUAGUUUGUCAUGUUGGAUGAUACAACUAGCAUGGACCGCUUGUUCUUGGUCCCAGCUUGAAGGAUCUAUGAUACAUUACGUAUAAAUUCACAUAAAUUGGUAUAACUCCAUGGUACUUAACAUAAAUUCAGACGGUUUUUGUUGUUGGGGGAGUUACUGCAAAAUUAUGUCUGGGACUCUUGCAUUAUUUCUCGGAUCAGAAGUGGAUGCGUGCAGCGAGUGCACUGUAGACGCAUCUAAAGCAGCAACCGAGAGUCCUCAUCUGGUGGUGGGAAUAGGGAAGAAAAACCCUCUCAUUUACUGGAAACCGUACAAGCCACCAGAAGUAGGUGAAAAUUAAAUUUAAUGAAAGAAAAGUAAUAGGGCUGCUAAUUGCAGUGAAAGAAACCAAGUGGAAAUUUCAGGUCCCUCUCUUUUCCAACAACGUUUUUAUCAUGAGUUGAAAUACCUUCCAGCUGUAUUGACCACACCUAACUGAACCCACCAGCUAUAUAUAAAUAUAUAUAUUGGAAUAUUUCACUUUCUUCCGAAAAGAUGCAUUGAAUUAAGCUGUUUUUGUUCGAGGGAAAUGAUGACAAAAGUAGGAAAAAUCUGAAUGAUCCUCAUAGGGUCCAUCUGUAUUUUGAAAAAAUUAAGCAUGUGGAAAAGAGAUUUAAAGAUACCUGUAUUAGAAUUUAGAUUGUGUAACGAUGAGGGCAUCUGGUGUUUCCAAUUCCCUACAGCAGUGUGGACUUUUUGAGAGGUGACAUUUUUUGCAAGGAAGAGAGAACCUGGCAUGCACUCCUUGCAAUGACCCCAGUUACUUCAUCUGUUUUUGCCUUGCCGAAGGUUUAUUAAGAAUGCCAAUUCUGAGGAGAAAGAUACAUGGUAUUGCAUUGUUUCCUGUAGAUUGCAUGCUGAAACAACUGAAUGAAUCAUCGAAGGCUGUUGCUUUUGUUAGUGCCAUGCUACCAUGUGCAAUUCAAGCAUGUAUGUGCAUCACUAAUUAAGCAUCAGUGUCUUCCUGCCUGCAGAAUUUUCAUAUUUCUGCAGGAAUGUUACUUUUCCCACUUCAAUGAGCUGUCAUCAUAAAGACUAGCAACUCUGACAGGUUGCUGGUAGGAAUAGGUUAGUGUCGGAAAGACCAACCCGCCCACAUGUGGGCUGAUUCACACACGAUGCUACAAGAAUUUCACUUCACUUAAAACUAUGAUUUAAUAUACACAUGACAUAAUCUUCAGCAAAGUCAUGAUCCACAAGGCACACACUCUAUAAACAAAGGACAGGGUGUCAAAUCUGCCUAUACCAGCUCUUCAGCUUCAAUAAUUAAAAGUAGAAAAGAGACAAACAAAAAGACCAAGAAAAAGAAAACACAUACAUUUUGUUAUACAACCGAAGGCCAACUGUCCUCAUCUCAAAAAGUGUUUCAAAUUCACUCAAUUCUCUUACCACUUAUUUCCUUAAUCUAAUCUCACCAUGAUCAGGAUUGAGCCUAGCAGAUGAUAUAGCCAUAAAAAAAAAAAAAAAAUUAACACAGAAAGCUCCUCAUCUUUUUAGGCCAUAUCCUCUAAACUUUCCCUGAAAACUUUUAGCAUAUCAUAAAAUCUGACAAUGCCAACCAAGCUACAGUCAUCCUCUAUGACCCACACGUAAUUUACUCUAUGAGCAAUUGCUUGAAUCAUCACUGCAACAAGUGAACUCUUGGGAUGACAAACUAUUGCCUCCGCCCUUCUCACCAUCCUGGCUGAAUAACUCAUGGACCUACUAUACUUUCCUGAUCUAUGCAGUGUACUGACUGGGGUGCUGCUUGCUGACUCUUCAUCAGAUGACGAAGAUUGUGAUUGACAUGAACUGGUAGUUGAGUAGCAACUAGAAUUAGUGAAUUCUUGAAGCAUUGCUUCUAGGCCUCUCUCUUUAAGUCUUUCCAUGACCACCUUGACAAGGUCCUCUGGGGGUCCUCCACAAUCAAUGUAGGCCAUCAAGUCCCCAGAGGAAAGGGUAGUGAUUGCAGCUGCAACACUGUCAUCACAGCAGGCUAGAGUGAAUGGAGAGAGCUCCCCAAUCAAUAUGCCAUCACUGUCAAUGACAGCAACUGAAGUCUCGUCUGCUAGAGAGCGAGAAAUGGCUUCAAGUUCUGAGAUAGCAGGGGAGUGAUAAUCAAUUGUAAGAAAUUCAGUGCUUAUAAUGCCAAGUGUAUCAAUGGAGAGAGCUGGAAGUGGAGCAAAGAGGCCAAUUGAGCCGAGGAAGAAUCUGAUUAUGUCUUCCUGUGUUAGCCAGCAGAAUUCCCGGCCAUUGUGGAUGGUGGGGCUGGUGAUUGAGAGUUUUUGGUGCUGUUUUCUUCAUGAGAUCAAUUGCUUCCAAUAAGCUGAAGGAUCAAAAAAGUAUAGUGAGGAUGAGAUCAAUUGCUUCCAAUAAGCUGAAGGAUCAAAAAAGUAUAGUGAUUAUUAAUAGAAUUGAAAGGUGCUGUCUAUUGAACACACACACACACACACACACACACACACACACACACACACAUAUAUAUAUAUAUAAUCAGAUUUGAUACCACACACACACACACACACAUAUAUAUAUAUAUAAUCAGAUUUGAUACCAAAGCAUCCUGAUUUGUAUAUCAAAUUGAGAUUAAGAAUUGGUCUUGAUUAAGGAAGUAAGUGCCACAUAACUAACGGCAGAGCAUCAUAAAUCUUAUGCUAAAGGGAUUACUGCCAAGCAUGCCUUUGAGCAAAAAAUAAAUAGCUUGGAAACUCCCAUAAAGAAAAUAAAACUGAAAAAUCAAUAAAAACCCAGAUAAGAACACCAAUAAAAACAGAAUAAGAAGAGCUGCAGAUUUCAAGAAUAUGCAAAAGCAUAAAACUUCAAGAGAUAUAGCAAAACUCCAAAAAACACAAUUCUCAAUACCUUGAAGUUGGUUCCACAUGAACAACCAUUCCAGGAAUCUCAGGCAAGAGAACAGAAACAGGUGCUUUCAAAGCAUCAGAAGGGAACAACAAGUUCUCAUCCUUGCAAAGAUAGCAUACCACAUCCACCAUAGAAACCUUACCGACACAUUUACAUUCACAAACAUCACAACCUUCCUCUUCACAAUUGCCUUUGUAAUCGUUGUUAGUCUUUGCUGCGUGAUCACAAUUCCAUACACUUAUAAAGUUAUCAUCAGAGUUUUUAAGAGCAAAUAGAGCUUCAGCUAUUGUUGUGGUGAGUGCGAGAGACCUCAAAGCAGGCUUGCCUAAGCAGAGGUCAGAUACCUCAUGUGCAAGUAAACUCACUGCCAUGCAAGGAUUAGCAAAUCAAAUAAAAAACUCCAAACAAAGAGAAUAAAAGAGCAAAUUCAGUGGGCAAAACUAGUGAUUAAGGGUUGUUGGUGUAGGGUUAUGAGGGGGGAUAUUUAUAAGGAAAACUUGGAGUUAUAGGUGGGUGGGGUUGAUGAUGAUAUUAUAGGUACGGUAUCAGGUACAAAAAGCUGUGGGGUCUAUGAGUUUUUGCUGGCUUCUUGGUGUUGCAGAUUUUACAGAUCAGCUGCUGGUGUGUUCAGUUUGGGUUAAUGGGUGCUGCUGUGUGUUGCAUGUGCGUUUCGACUUUGAACUUUGACGAGCAUUUAUAAAUAAUUUUAAGAUAAAAAAAUAACUCAAAGUUAUUUUUUUAUAUAUAAAUCUUUAAAAACAUGAUCUUAAUGUAAAAACAAACAGUGAAUUGUUUAAAGCUUGUGUCUAUCUGGAUAUUUAUUGCAAGUUUGUUUGGUAGUGUGAUUGUGGUUGUUUUUUAAAGUAUUUUUCACUUAGAAAUGUAUCAAAAUAGUAUUUUUUUAUUUUUAAAAAAUUAAUUUUAAUAUCAGCGUAUCAAAAUAAUCUAAAAAAACCAAAAACAUAUUAAUUUGAAGUAAAGAAAAAAAAUUAAAAAAAUUUAACUUUUUUAAAAACGCUUUUAAAAGUAAAAAAAACAGAAAUAAGAGUCUAACAUCAGUUUAAAAGACAUAAUUUAUUAUUCAAAUAGUAACCGAAAAAUUUACCACUAAUAUCAGAUUACCACUAAUAAACAGAAUUGGGAAUGUUCUUGCCACAAUAAAAGGUAAUGUGAUUCGUUAUAAAUCAAAAUUCUCAAAGGUGAAUAAUAUCAUAAUAUAAGAGCUUAAAAUAUUUAUUUUUUUAUUAACUAUAGUUUAGCUAUUACGAUAUUUUAUAUAUAAAAAAACUAGAAUAUUAUAAUAAUACCAUAUAAAAAAAUAAAAUUUUAAAUUAAAUAAUUAAGAAUAAAACGAUUAAACCGAUUAAAAUUUUGAAAAAACCGACCGGUUCGGUUCGGUUUUUUAAGCCUGGAACCGGAAAAACCGAACCGAACCGGAAAAAAACCGAGCCAAACCGAAAAAACCGAGUCAAACCGAAAAAACCGAGCCAAACCGGUUUGAACCGGUUUUUUCUCUAAAAAACCGAACCGAACCGAACCAAAACCGGUCAGUUUGAACCGGUUUCGGUUUUUUUUUUUAAAAAAAAAAAUUCGGUUUGGUUACUUUUUUUGAUAAAAACCGAACCGAACCGAACCGUGAACACCCCUAGCUAUUACGAUAUUUUAUAUAAAAAAAACUAGAAUAUUAUAAUAAUACCAUAUAAAAAAAUAAAAUUUUAAAUUAAAUAAGAAUAAAAUUAAAAAAUAUAUAAUUUUCUUAAAAACUGAUCAAUCAAUCUCUCCGGUUUAGAAAGAAAUCAUCCUGAGUUCAAACCUAAGUAAAACAUUGUCCUUUAAUCAUGUCUUCUACUACCGUCAAUUAUGACAAUAAAAAAGCUUUACAAAAACAAAUGAUAACAUGUCUUUUCAAUAAACUUAAUUAAUUUCAAUAAUUUUUAUCAUUUUAUUUUAAUUUUUAUGUGUCAAGUUAAGUUAGAAAUAGUAAAAAUAAACAAAAAAUAAAAAUAAAAAACACUUGCCAAUAUAAUUUUAAAAAAGUUAUGAUCUUAGAUAAAAAAAAAUUCCCAAAAUAAUUGUUAGCCAAUCUACUUUAAUGUAUUGAAAUUAAAAACAUUGAAAAAAAAAAAACAAGCUAGGCAUGUGUGCCUAAAUAGACCCCCUGUGUGCCAGGUCCAUAAAGAAGGAGUCAUGAACUAUAUGUCAGGCCUCCCUUUUUCUCAUCAUGUUAAAGGAUGGAUGACACAUCGUCCAUUCUUAGAUUUAUAUAAAAAAAACACCAACACAAAUGACAUGCCAUUUAGAACAAUAAAAAACACGUCGUAUGUUGGUGUAGUAUUUGAUGACCGAAGAGGUCGCUGGAAAAUCAAGAUAGAGAGUUUUUUUUAUUUAAAAACUCAUUUCAAGUUAUUUUUACUUGAAAACACCAAUAACAACUUAAUAAGCCAAUAUCUUAACCAAAACACCCUUAAAUUGAUCAAACAACAUAAAAUCUAACGAAAGAGAAAUUUUAUUUCUCAACCCUAAUCUAUUUUUUCAUAAAGAUAAAUGAUAAAAAAAAACACAUCAAUGGAACUUUGCUCAUCAAAUAAAACACAUUGAUACCGAAAAUAAGUUUUUUUUUUUAUCUUUAGAAAGUGGACAAUCAUUCGCUUUCCCUCUUUUCUCCUGUUUUUUGGCAACUCUCUCUCAUUUCUCAAAAUCAAGGACUGAAACAUGAAAAAUAAAUUUUGGAUCAAAACAUAAAAAGCUUCAAAAAACAAGGAUCAAAAUUGAAAAAUGAAAAAAUAUUGUGGACCAAAUUAAAAAAUACACCUCAUAUACAGUUAAAAAGAAUAAAUAUGGGUUGUAAUUUUUUUUUAUAUCAAUUUUGGCCCUCAAAAUCUUAAUUUGCAUUAUUCAAGUGAAUGGUAUAAUGUGAGGGGAGAGUGAAAUCAACAAACCUUUUAGGUUAUUAUAUUGUUUUUAACACAUUAUGCCAAUUAUAAUUAUCAAAAUGUUUUUUAUUUUAUUUUAACGUGCUUUUAUGAUUUUGAUGACAUGCCUUAAAAAACAAAAAUUAUGGUAAAACAUGCUAAAAAAAAGAGCAUGUUAAUAAGAUAAUGGAGUUUUAAUAUAAGAGAUUCUUUAUUUAUCCUUAUUUUAAAUCAUCCAAAAAACAAUUUAGGUGACGAUAACAUUUUUAAAUAAGAGAAAUUCAAGAGCCAGGUUAAACCUUGAUCAAUUUGAUAAUAUGAUAAAAAAAAAUUAGCAAGAACAACAACAAAUAAAAAAGAGAGAAUGAUAUUAAGUUAGGUCAAGUUAGGUUAACAUGUGAAACUCGUGACCUGACGCAUAAGAUCGAGAUGACUCCAUAAGAAAAAAUCAAUUAUAAAAAAUGACCUGAAAAAAAUAUUUAAUCCAAAUUACUCUAAUCUUUCAAACCCGUGACCUAAAAUGUUAACAAAGUCUCGAUCAAUAAAACUACGAGGGAUAAGAUUGAAAAAGAAAGUUUCAAUAAAAAAAAUUAAAAAUAAAAAUAGCAAUCAAAAGAAUAAGUACCAAAUCUGAUAUGAUAUAAAACAAAAUGAAUUAAAAUAUUAAGGGAUGCAAUUGAAAAGUAAUAAAAAUAAUAGGAAUCAAAUCUGAAAGAAAAAAAUUUAAAAAUUGUUUUGAAUAUAUAUAAAAAAAGAAAAAGGAAAGAAAAAGAAGACAGUCACCAGCAUAAAACCCUACAUUUUCUUGCUGCUAUCCAAGAAUGAAAACGACGUCAUGAGAAUUAAAAUGCUGUCGUGCAAGCCAUCAUGUAAACAGUAAUAAAGCUACAGUAGCUCUUUUAGUUUCUUUUGACGAGUCACUGAGAAGAAACACUUUGCUACUUGACUACCUCUCUUUCGAGACCUUCCCUAGUUCUGAUCAUCUCCUCGGUUAGUACCUUCUUCUUUCCACAAACUUCCUAUUUGCCCGGAGAGAAAUUAGGUUUUUUUGUCAUCUUUUCCUGUCCCUUUGUGAAUUAAAUACUGAUGACAAUAUUGACAUUAGCGGAGGUAGUGCUCCUUUAAAGGAAAAGUGUUAUAUAACAUUAUCCUUUGCAAUAUCACAGUAAGAAAGAAAAUAAAUAAAUAAUAAUAAUAAUAAGAGCAUUUUUUAUUUUAUCCCUUCUUCUAGAACAACCUCGUAGAGAGCCCAAUAGAAAUACAAAAUCAUGGUAUGAAAAAUUGUCAAAUCUACGUACUCUGGGCUCUUGGUCUGUCUCUUCUAUGCCAAGUUUUCAAAGAUUUCUAGGUUAAAUAAAAGAAGCCUCGAUAAUGACUUCUUCCCUGAAUCCAUGACACAGUGUAAGAUUGGUCCAUCAAGGGUCGUUUUUCACAUGAAAGUUAUAGAGCAAGAAAAGGUGAUGGGAUAUAUUAACUUUAUAUUCUCUAGCUGCAUGCUUAACCAAUCUGUGAGUAGAGUGAAUGGCUUGAACUUGCUGAAAAUUAGCUUGAUGUGAUGAAAAGAAAGAAGUGCCCUGCAUUAUGGCCCCUCGUUUCUAAGAUUCGAAGUCUUCGAUUUGUGUUUUACGUUUCAUGAAAGGCAAUUAGGAGAAAUGAACCGCUGAUAAGUUUCUAACACUGUUAGCUGAAUAAAUUAUAUGACCCACGUAAUUAUUGUCCUCUCUCAAGUCGAUCUCAAACACAUCAAGAUGAAGUUCAUAUUGAUGGAAUGAUCUGACCAGAUGCAAGGUGGUUGAUACUGAAGUCAUGGCCAUGAGUCGUCAAAACAGCGCUGAGCUUGUGAAAAUUUGUAUAUAUAUUGGAAUUUGUCUCCACCUGGUCCACCGUUUCGAUUAUCUCCCCUAUUUUGGACUAACACUCAUCCCUCCCGUAUUUUUGUAUAGUAAUGAAGUAUCGAGCAUGAUCGCCCCGACGACAUCUAUGCUCUAGCUGUAAACACAAUCAUGCCAAAAUAAUUUGAUUGCUUGCCACAAAAAAUAAUGACAACUAAUAUUUCUCAAUAAAAGAAUUUGAAACAUUCAUUCACAUCUUUCAUCUCGUCCAAUAUCACUUCAUAUAUUAGAUGGGGUUAAAAUCUUUACCUCCUCCUAUUUAUAUUUUGGUGCCAUAUGUUUAAUUUCCCUUUCUUUUUCUUAGUUAUAGGGAUUGAGAUCUUGCGUUUACUUCACAAAGAUCCAACCCUGUGCUUCCACAAGCUAGUAUAUAACUUUAGUUGUAAUUAGGAUCCUUAUUUAUUCGAACAUCAUGUUCGCAGGGUUACGUAACCCAAAACCAAGAUUGAGAAAUAAUCUCGGAAAGCCAAAAGAAAUCUGAUAGGAGUGUGACAUAAUAAAAACAUAUUCCAAAACACUCGCACUAUUGGAAUGAAAUCAAAUGAUGCCACGAAGUCAGUUAAUCUUCGAUAAGUGAGAUUCAAUUCGUUUAAGAACCAAAGAAUGCAAGAAUCUCUCUCACAUGUUAAACUGAAAAGUUCAGAAUUGUUAUUCAUCAAAGGUGUCAAAAUUUAGGCUUAACAUUUGUUUAAAUAGUUCUGAGAAAUUAAUCAUAAUAAAUUUAUCAUUGAGAGCUGAAUUGACUCACUUACAAAAACUAAUCCAAAACCUUUAAUAGUAAACUCAAAUCCUAAUCCAAAUUAACAAGCCUUAAAUCUUAACUGAAAUCCAAAGAAUUAAUUAAGCUUAAACAUAGAAAUAAUAAUAAGAAUAACAAGUCUAAACAGUAACUUGUUGAUGCCAUAUAUAAUAGAAAUAAAACAAGAUAAAAUAUCUUAAUUUCCUAGCUUAAAUAACCCUUGGUCGAGAUCCACCUUCCUAGAUACUUUAGAAUUGCUUCGCUAACUUUUAAAAUCUUUUAGAUUCUAGGAAAUCUUAUCUGAAUAAGAAUUUAAUUGCCGAAAUCUUUUUUUUGUAGCACUAAUCCCUUUAGAACAUGAAAAAUAAUCUUUGAAAUUAAUUCUCCUUGUAGCUGCCCAUCAAUUUUCUUGAUUGACUAGGAGAAUCAAAUCUUUAGCAUUAAAUAAUUCUUUCAAGUCUAGGAUUCAGAUAUAACAGUCCCUUUAGUUUCAUUAGAAAACUUCCUCUUGACGAUUUUUAUAGUGUUUUUCGAUGAAUUUUAUGUGUUGAUGUUAAAAAUACAAAAAAAAAUCUAAAACAAUAAUCUUAAUUUAUUUUUAAAUAAAAAAAUAUUUUAAAAAACAUUUUAUACUACAAUACCCAACACAAGAGAGCAGCUACCCAGCUUACUGACUUCUUUUAAAUUGUCUUGUUACUAGUUUGCUUGUUCAUUUAUGCGAUCCAUUUUUUAUAAUGAUAACUUGUGGUCCACUUAAUUUUAAAUGGUGUCGUAUCAUUCACCCUAAUAUCACUUAAACCACCAACACCUCCAGUACUCUCACACCCAACACCCACCAUCCUGCAACCACAAUUUCACUUUAAACCUUUUUGUAAAUGAUCAAUCACUUAAAUCCUUGAUCACCAUAUAUACAUCUUUUCUUCCUCUUUUUUUAAUUACCUGGAGAAAAAGUGCUAAUAAUUAAUUAUUUUCUAUGUGAUUUGUAGGUAUAAACAGGUAAAAGAGUAUUUCGCCUGGAGUCUUGACCAUUGGAUCUUUAAAUCAACCAUGAAAGAUUAGUUUUCAACAAAGAUUUGAAAAAAAAAAGAACUAAAAGAAAAGAAAUGCAGUGUUGAAUCUUUAAGAAUCACUCACGUCUUAUUGAACCAGAAUCAUUUUCACACUCGAAAGAUGCACAAGCAACAAAAUUAAACUAUAAAGUAUAAAACAUUGACACCAAUUUUAGCAAGAUCCCUUAAAUUUAUAACACCAACUUGAUCACCUGUGAAAAUCCCAUAUUACAAUAUUAGUGCAGACACAUUUACUGGGUCCGCCCCAGAAUUGUGAUCAAUUUUCUUCGAGCUUCUCCUUCUAUAUAUUAACUCCAACUAAGUCAUCUAUGAAAGGUACAGGACGAAUUAUUAAUAAACUAAGUGACAAAAAUACAGGUGAGUUCUUAUCUUACCAAAUUAAAGAAGGCAUGCACGUAGUUGUUGCUCAUUCAAAUCAUUUACCGCACAAGGACCCAGUCACCCAGUCAAAGACAUUUUUAUUUUCGUACUUGAUGUAGGAGGCUGGUGGGCUAGAACAUAAGGAAUAUUUAAAGGAGAAUUUCCAGCACCUUGGCUUCCCAUUUCUUAGCUAGAAGUUCCUGUGAUUUAACCAUAAUUUGCAUCCAUCUUGACAAUUUGCUUAGAGCUAAACAACUAGUGAAGAACCCGUCUCCAAAAUGAGUCGGUGUAUCCGAAAUGACCAAGCUAGCUCCAUACUAGUGUGAUAACAGCAUAUACCUGUGUUGAUGGUGAACCCCUUGCACCACAAUCCCAAGCUCAAGCUGUCUCUUAGAAUCCCUCCAGCUACUACAACCAUCCGCAUUUAAUAAUAUACCCAUUCUUGAGUAGGAUACUUCCACCCCCACAGAGCUGGUCUGCUCUCUUUUUUGAACAAUAUUUGCAUGGAAGUUGAUGAGUAUGUAGAAAUGGGCCUUGAUGUUACAGUACUUUUUUUAUUAUUAUUAAUGUGGAUGUUCAGGUCAACUUGCGCGUAUCUUAACUAAUCUCACGGACCUUGAAAUUAACAACCAUAUAAGUCUCCAGUAACCCUGAGGUUUGUGGAACUCGAACCAGUAAUCUUUAGAUAAUAAAUUAAGGAUCUUAUCAGUUAACCUAUACCCCUUUAUGUUUUUGUUUUUACAAAAAGAAAAAAAGAAAAGACAGGCUCCACGCGAAUGCGUUGGCCCCUCGGCUAGUUGAUUACUAGAAUUAGGUCGUGCUGGUUCGUGCUUAAACGGUGUGAACCAUCAAGUUCAUAAUUGUCCUGUUUCCCUCAUAAAGAAUUCUGGUCUUUAAAAAAGGUGAUGCAUGUGAUUUGCUGGUCAUUCUCAUAGAGAAAUGCAAAUAUCAGACGAACCACAUGUUUUCGAAGCUUCUUAAUUACAGAGACUGUUUUCUAUAACUAUCAGAAGAUAAGACAGUGCAACCCUUCCAAGCUAAUCCUUCUAUUAGAAUAUGCUAUUGGCAAUCGGUAACCAUUUUUAUGGAAGACAGAUACCUGUACUUCGUGUAGAGCUGCAUCUCUUGAAGACCCAGAUGAUGAAUUGAGAGACACAGGUAAAAUGGCGAGCUAGCUUGUAGCUAUCCCACGCAUCUGCAUCAUGACAUGCAUGUUUCAUCAAAAUAGGAUACAAGAUUAGACAAGGGUACAACGCCUUUGAUUUUCACUGAAGAGAGAAAUGGAUGGUGAUAAUCAUGUGUCUGGGGAUGGACCUACCUACCAUGUGGGUUACUUUUAUUUUUUCAAUCCAUGUGAAAGGUUUAAGAUUGGCCUACAUUCAUGGACAGCAUUAAUUGCAUAUUAAUCUUGGUAUUAUCAAAUAGAGGGGUGGUGAGGUCAACUAUAUCUUAAAAAAAGGUAAAAACAUAAAAAAAUAAUUGUUAUUUAAUUUAAGGUAACUAAAAUAUUCUAACUAGUCUGUUAAAAACGUGGACAAAUAGUUGGUCAUGUAAUAAAAUAAAAAGAUAGCAAUCACUUUAUAUAUUAUAUCUAAAAUAAGUUGUAUUGUUAUUUGUUUUUAAUUAUUAAUAUGUUUAAUAUACUUACAUGCUAAGAUUUGUCUAAACUGGUACAUGUUUAUUUUGUUAUUAAAUGUGAAAUACUAUUAUGACCUAAGACAAAUAUUUUAAAUCUGUGUCUGGUAAUAAGAUCAAAUUCUCAUUUUUAAAAUGCCAAAACAUGAACACCAGAAUAAAUUCACACCCAUCAUGAACAUAAGAAAUUUUGAUUUUAAUAACUAAUGAAUAUUUACUUUUAAGGUCCUGUUUGUUUCAUGGAACACUACCAGAAAAUCGAUAAAUACAAACGGCAAUACCUAGAGAAUAUUUUUGUCUAUAAAUUGCCGACGGAUUUUACCAACGGAAAUAUUCCCUCGGUAUUUACCGAAGGAAUUACAGUGGGAAAAAAAUUUAAAACAAAGCAAAAAAAAAUGAUGACUAGCCAUUUUUACCAACGGAAUUACUGACGGAAUUUAUUCCAUCGGUAAAUGUCAUAGGUAAAAUCGUUGGUAAACUAUUAACACUAUCCAUCAUGUCAAUUACAAAGGAAAUCACCGAAGGAAACUUCCGUCGGUAUUUUACAAAAAGCUCUAGAACUAUUUACUUCCCAAUUGCACUUUUAAUUAUUGUUCUUUACAAACAAAAUCACCGACGGAUUGAAAAGUCGUUGUUGUUAUUUGGUGGUUUUCUGAAAAAUUUAGCUUAAAUUAAAAUUUUAAAUUAAAUAUUACUGACGGAAUCACCGACAUAUUGAAAAGUCGUCGGUGAUAUUUGGCGGUUUCUGAAAAUUUUUUAUUAAAUUCAAAAUUUAAAUUAAAUAUUACAAACGAAAUCACCGACGAAAUGAUUAAAAAUAUUAAUAUUUAAUUAUCCGUUAGUAAAACGCCCCAAUAAAAAGCAUAGAAUUCCUAAUUUCACAACAGACCCGUCUCCAUUCUUCUUCUUCUUCUUCUUCUCUUCUCUCCUUAACUCCUUCACUUCUCCUCCAUGCUCAGGUAUGUCUUCUUCUCCUUUCUUAUUUUUUCUUCUCAGUUUUUUUUAAUUAGUAUACUUUACGAAUUUGUUUUUUUUUUCUCUUCUUAGCUUCACUUGCAACUACAUUAAGGUAAAAAAAAAUUCUUCUUUUUUCGUGUUUUUUCACUAUAUUUGUUUUUUAUUUUAUUUUAAUUGUUUUUGUUCUUAAUAAUUGUAUGAAUGUUGUUGUAGGAUUUUUUUUCAUAUGAGAUCAAUUUUUAGUUGAUUUAUUUAUAGGAUUUUUAAAUUUUUUCCUAUGAAUUUUUUUAGUUGAAUUUAUUUUUUCAUGUUAUUUAUUUGUUGCAAAUUUGUUUGAGUUGAUUUUCUUCUUCUUUUUUUCCAAUCAUUUUGAGUAUUAUAGAGUGUUGAUUAAUAUUAAUUUAAUUAUUUUAUAGUUUUUUAAAAUAGAUUUUUUUAAAUAAUUACCAACGGAAUUACAUACGGUAUUUUUCCGAGGGAAUUACCGACGGAAUGAAGCGGGUAAUUUUUUUUUUGCUCGCUUUUUUCAUCAGUAAAUCCAUCGGUAAUAAUAUUUUUUUAUUACCAACGGACAAAAAAUUACCGACAAAAGAUUCACAGACAGAGCAUUUCCGUCGAUGAUUUCGUUGGUAAAUUAAUUACCAACGGAAUGGUAGUGCAAAUACCGACGGAAAAUUCCGUCGGUAAAUCUAAAGAUUGUGGUAGUGGAAAUGGUUUCUUAGAAACUACUUUCUAAAUUUUUCUAUGUUUGUUUAUUAUUAAAAAAUUUGGUCAAUGAAAAACAUUUUUCAGUCAAAGAAAAAAUUGUCUUGGUUUUCAGGAAAAUAUUUUCCUUUUAUUUUGGGUGAAAAACACGUUCUAGAAAUUGUGGAAAAUCCAAAAAUAUCUUUUUAUUUGUUAAUUAUAUCAAGUUUGGUUCCCAAUCUUUUGAUUGCUAUAUAUUUUGUUUUGAAUAUUUUUUUCUUCAAUUUCAUCCCCUAGAAUUUGAUUUUUAUACCAACUUUGGUCCUCAAUCUUUUGAUUGUGAUUUGUUUUUCUCUUAUUAUUUUCUUAAUUGAAAUUAUUUAUCUAUCAAAUUUGGUUUCUAUUCUUUUGACUGCUAUUUAUUUUAUUUGAAAUAAUUUAUGAAAUUGGUUUUUUUUCAAUUUCAUCAUCUUUCAUAUUUUUUAUCUAUCUGAUUUGGUCUCCAUGUUUUUUAUUGCUAUUUGUUUUAUUUGAAAUAAUUUAUGAAAUUGAAUUUAUUUUUUCAAUUUCAUCUUCCUUUAAUUUUUUAAUAUGUCAGAUUUGAUCCACAUUCUUUUAAUAAACUUGAAAAAAAUUAAAAAUUUAUUUUCUAGUUCAUUUUUCAUGACAUAGCUAAACACUAAAAAAAUAUUUUUUAACUUAUUUUUCAUGACACUACCAAAUAUAAAGAAAUAAUUCAUUUUAUAGGAAUUCACUUUUCAUGAAAAUUAUUUUUCAAAAAGAAACUACUUUCCGACAAACAAAUUAAUAAGAUUUAAAACUUUAUGUUAAGGAUUUUACAAAUAUUUACAUUUAUAAUUUUAAAAAUAUUAACCUCACCGGUAUUACGAGGACAUCCUCGAACCCACAGGUCUAGAUUAACAAGAAAAGAAAAACAAACUAUAUUAUUGUUUUUCUUUCUUAAAACAAAAUCUCGAGAAAGAAAAGAAACAAUAUCUUGAAAAUAUUUUUCUAAUAACACCCUGUAACACUAUUUGGUGUGAGAGAGGAAGAAGUGCCUUAUGUUUUUUUUUUUUCCUUUGUUUUUAUAUAACCUUUUCUUCUCUCUGCACACUACUCUCUCUUCUAUUUUGUUUUCUCAAAAUCUCUCUUUUUUUCACUUUUUUUUUCUUCUUUCACUCAGUUUUUUGUUUAUUUUUCAACCUGAUCCCUUAUUCCUUAAUUAUAAGUUGACAUACUUUUCAUUGAUUUUCUUUUUACAAAUAUUUCUCAAUAAUUUAAUUUUUAAAAAUUCAUUAACAUAAAUAAAAAGGUUGAAAAUCAUGAAAUGAUAUAUAUAUAUCGUUCACCUCAUGCAAGACAUGAAUUUGCAGUGUGUUUCAUUUAUUUAUUUAUUUUUCUUCUAUUUUAAAAAUAUAGUAAUUAAUUAUAAGGUAUAUUUCAUUAAGAAAAACAAAAUAUUUGGACUAGAUCAAUAAAUAAAAAAUUGAACAUGAAUCAUUUAAUUUUGUCAAACUUUAUUAGUAUCACACAAAAUUUAUUCUGUUAGAGGUUUAGAGAGUUUAGUUUUAUUCUAGAGGUGUUGCCUCUAUAUAAGACUAAUAAACACUUUAAAAACAGUGUUUUCAAUCCUUAAAACAAACUUUUUAUUUAUUUUCAUAUUAAACAGUUUCUUUUACAUUCAGGACAAAUAACUUAAUUUUCAUUUAAGAUUUUAAUUGGUUAUAUUUAUUUAAGUAUUACUUCAAAGCAUCAAGAUGAUGUUUUUUUAUAUAGUUUUAAUGUGAUGAUAUCUAAAAUUAAAAACAAUCAUGCAAUACAAUAUUAAACACAAUAUUAAACCAUCUAGCAAGUGGCUCAGUGGUAAGAAUUUGAGAUUAAGGAGUUUGCUCCUCCUGUGGUUUCAGGUUCGAACCCUGAGGUUGCUAAUGUUGAUGGCCACUAGAGACUUACUUGGUCGUUAACUUCAGGGCUCGUGAGGAUUAGUCGAGGUACGCACAAACUUGCCCGGACACCCCUAAUGAAUAAAAAAAAGAAGUAAUUUGCAAGUGUGAAACGUUACUGUUUCUUAAGGGAGCCGCUCAACAAUAAUGCUUGAUCGAUAUAGCUUGUUGUCAACAACAUCUGAGGUCAUGGAUGAUGGGAAAUCGAAAGCUUAAUUAGCAACGUUAUUCAUGCUUUAAUUUUGAUCAACAAACAGCUAGCAAGACACACACAGCUAAUUCACUUUCUUUUCUCAUCUAAUUACUUUAUUUAGCUAUCCAUAUCAUCAUUUCCAUGUGUCCCUAGCUUAGCAUAUGCAAAGCAAAGCAUUAGAAGUAGACUAAUACAAGUUGGGGGAUUGGAAAAUGGGUUAAAUUGCAGCCUGUUUAAUUCUCUAUUUGUUCAUCUCCAACUUGAAUCAUGUGCCUUUAUGAAAAGUUGAAUUAAAGCAACUUAAUUAUCUUUUAUUUUUUUAAUUUUACGUUAAAUAUUGAAUGCGAAACAUCAAAAUUGGUAAUUAAGGUUUAUAACUUAAUUAAUUCCACUUAUUAAUCCCCAACUUAAAAUCACUUUUAAACCCUUUAUUUGUUUUUUGGUUUUUUUUUUAAUGAUAAAAGAGAAGCUUGAACUCAAGACUUGUUGAAGGAAGGAGAGGUGUUAAUGUCAGUUGAGCUAACUUUUAAACUUAAAAGCAACUUCUAAUUUCAAGAUGUUAGGCUGAAUCGCAAACGAAUGUGAAACACCAAGAUUGACGAUGAUAAGUUAUUACUAUGAACAUCCAUGUUUUCUUGUUGAAUCACGUAUAUACUUGUAAAUGCUAUCUUCAUGCCAAAAGUUGUAUGAUUAAGGGUUAUUUAUUUUUGUAUUUUAAAAGUAUUUUUUUAAAAUAAUUUUUUUUAUUUUUUUUAUUAAUUUUUUUGAUAUUUUUAGAUUAUUUUGAUGUGUUGAUGUCAAAAAUAUUUUGAUACAUUUCCGAGUGAAAAACACUUUGAAAAGCAACCACGAUCACACUCUCAAACACCCCCUUAAACCUCAUACAACUACGCGGUCAUGCCGUGUUUUAUCAAAAAAUUGAUUUUUUAUGCUUUUUAUUAAUUUUUUAGGUGUUUUUGAAUCGUUUUAAUAUACUAAUAUCAUAAAUAAAUUAAAAAAAAUAUUUUGAUAUAUUUAUUGGAUUUCUUGAAUAUAAUAAACGUAAGAGAAAUAAUAAAAUAUAAUUAUUUAGCAUUCUCUAGUAUCCUAUAAAACAAAUCUAGAAAUUUUUUUUAUGAUUUGAUUUCCUUUACCAAGUCAUACUAAUCAAACUCUAUUUGAUCCCCCCGUUAAGAAUGUAGAACAUGCACGGGAUGCGACUAUUAACUUAAAUAUUUAUUAAUAAUAAAUAUAUAUAUUUAUAUAAAUAUAAAAAAUAUAAUUUUUUUUUAUGAUGUGUGAUCAAUUAAUUAAUUACAAUACAUAUUAAAUUAAUAAUAUUUUUUAACAAAAAUAUUAUUAAUUUACAACUAUUAAUAUAAUAUCAAACACGACUAAAUUAGUAGAAUUGUUUUUCAUUACAUGAAUAAAUUAUCCUUUUAUCAUCACCGUAGUGGCAUGAUGAGCCCAAUAUUGUACAAAAUUUAUAUUUUGCUAUAGCUACAUUCUUCACGUGCUGGGGUCAGUACCCUAGUUACUUUUGCACUCUGUUCUCUCAUUAUUAUUAUUGUUAUUAUUAGUAAAAGGGAGAAGAGGCGGAGGCCGUGAUAUUUUAAACAGGAGAAGGAAUCAAGAUCAGAUGAAAUCUGAAAGUAGGGGUGAUCAUUUUUGGUUCGGUUCAGUUUUUAUCAAAAAAAGUAAUCAAACUGAAAUUUUUUUUUUGAAAAAAAAACCGAAACCGGGUCAAACCGACCAGUUUCGGUUCGGUUUUUUAGGGCAAAAACCGGUUCAAACCGGUUUGGCUCGGUUUUCUCGGUUUUUUCGGUUUUGGCUCGGUUUUUUCGGUUUCGGUUCGGUUCGGUUUUUUCGGUUUUUUGCUUAUAAAACCGAAUCGAACUGGCCGGUUUUUUUAAAAUUUUAAUCGGUUUAAUUGAUAUUUUUUUCGGUUUUUUUUUUUCGGUUUUCUCGGUUUAAUUAGUUUUUCAGUCUUUUUGCUCACCCCUAUCUAAAAGUGGCUGCUUGUACUGUUGUCUCUCAACCCAUUAAUUACUAGCUGACAAAUGCCUACUCUAGACAUGACUAAUAUUAAAAUCCUGCUUAAAAGUAAUUUUAUUUUGAAAAGUGAAUUUAAAAAAAGUGAAUUAAUUUCUGAUAUUUGAUAGUGUAGUGAAAAAUAAGUUGAAAAAUAAUUUCUAGUAUUUGGUUAUGUCAUGGAAAAUGAGCUGGAAAAUAACUUAUUAAUUCUCAAAUUUAUUAAAAUAAUGAGGAACAAAUCUUAUAAAUUAAAAAGUUGAAUAAGAAUGAAAUUGAAAAAAAAUAUAAUUUUAUAAAUUAUCUCAAAUAAAAUAAAUAAUAAUCAAAAUAAUAGAGAUCAAAUCUAAAAAAUAAAAAAAUUAAAAGAUGAAAAAAUUAAAAUAAUAACAAUUAACAUUUCAUAAAUGAUUUCAAAUAAAAUAAGUAACAAUCAAAAGAAUGAAAAUCAAAUUUGAUAAAUAAAAAAUUUCAAUUAAAAAAUAAUAAGGGAAAAGCAAAUAACAAUUAUAAAAAUGAGGACCAAAGUUAAUAUAAAAAUUAAAUUCUAAGAGAUGAAAUUGAAAAACAAAUAUUCAAAACAAUAUAUAUAUAUAUAUAUAUAUAUAUAUAUAUAUAUAUAUAUAUAGCAAUCAAAAGUUUGAGUAUCAAAUUUGAUAUAAUCAGCAAAUAAUAUGACAUUUUUAAAUUUUUCACAACUUCCAGAAAGUGUUUUCUGCCUAAAAUAAAAGGAAAAUAUUUUCCUGAAAAUCAAGCCAAAUUUUUCUUUGACUGGAAAGUGUUUUCCGUUGACCAACUUUUCUAAUGGCAAACAAACACAAGAAAGUUUAAAAAAUAGUUUUUCAAAAACCACUUUCUAGAAAACAAACGCAGGCUAAAAAAAAGCCCUUAUGUUUUAGAAAGAACUUAAAAUGGAUAGAAAUUGAGAUUGGAUCAAUACUUAAUUAUAAAUUAGAAACACAAGUUAAUUUUUGGCCACUUAUGAUGACAUGAUAAGGCAUCGAACUACUAGAAAAUGGGAGCUGAUAACAUCAUUUCUUGUUGACGAAUAUAUCCACAUGAUUGGAAUGGAAAUCUUGACACGAUGCCGUCUUGCCAUUAAAGAAUUCCAUGACACCUUAUCAAACAAUUCAAUAAUGUAAUUUGAUUAAUAACCAUAGCAUAUAAAUUCCAAAUACAAAUUCUCACGCAGGCGAAUAUUCUCUUUUAUCUCUGUUUUUGCUCAAUUUAUAUAGCUACAUUAUAAUGACACUGAGAAAUUAAUUACUAUAAAUUGGGUGACAGUGCUGGAAAAUCGAAGUGUCACGCUACCAAGUGAUUAAAUUUAGGUGUUGCUUACCAGUGCAUAACCGCGUAAACCGCGUAUCAAUCAAUCAAUCAAAUAAAUAAAUAAAUAUAUAUAUAUAUAUAUAUAUAUAUAUAUAUAAAAGUUGGUGGUCACAAUUGCACCAACUCUAACUAGCUUGUAUAUAAAAACAAAUCAUGCAAAGUCAAGAAUCUUUUCGGUCAACUGAAAUAAUACGAUCAAUAACUUAUAUUGGGCAUUUGCUCCAUUGGUUGCAAAACUAAACAAGGAGCAAAGACAAGUCUUGAGAUCUAUGGACUUGUGCCCUUCUCAUCUUAUCAACCAAACAAAUUUAUUAUAAAAAAGACAAGAACCAAAGAAAUUAUUGCUCGAGACUAAAUUAUUACUCCUAUGGAUAUUGUGUAUUGAAAUAAUCAAGUCUUUGAGUUUGUUUGUUAAUGCAGCCAAUCACGUGAUUGGCCGCUUAACAAACACAUAUUUAGACCAUGUUUGAUAUUGAAUUUUAAUAUUUUUUUAUUUAAAAAACAGUUUGAAAUUCAAUAUCAAACAAGCAAUUAAUCUUGAAGAACAAAAUCUAAUAAGAAAUUGAAUUUUGUAUACAGAGACAAGUCACCUACUAGACUUGUGAUAAAAUAAAUAAGAAGGAGAGAAAGGAAAUAGCUAUUAGAUUAUUUAAAAAAAAAAAAAACUAAUGCAUCUUUACCCUAUAGUAUUAGAAUACAACUUUACCCUGUAAAACUAGCUCAUGCAUAUGCAUUGUGUAUGUGUGUAAACAAUCAAUCAUAUAAGAGCACACAAAGAAUUUACUUGGUUUGGUAACUUAUGCCUACUUCACGGGCAAGACAAUAAAGGAAAUUCAUUGUGAAAAAGUAGGAGAUUACUGGGUAUUAUACAAAAUUGAUUUCUUUCUCACCUAAAAUCCCAAAGUAACCCAAACUUGGGUGACUCAAAAUUAACGCACCACAACCGAUAUUCCUUCACCUUAGAUACAUAGCCUAGAAAUAUGUAUUUUCUCGCUCUCGGCCCAAGUUUAUCUUUCUUAACAUAAACAGAAGUAGGACAAUCAAAUAUUCUUAAUUUAGAGUAAUUGGUAGGAGAACUAGACCAUACUUUAUAUAGAGUCUUCAGCUCUAAAAUUAUUGAUGGAUAUCUAUUCACCUAAUAACAAUUCAUGUUAACUAUUUUAGCCUCUAAGUCCUCUGAUAAUAUGAAAGAUUUAUUCUCAACUUGUGAAAGCAUACAACAGCUCUUUCCAAGAGUGUCCUGUUUAUACAUUAUGCAACCCUAAUUUGUUGUUAUGUAUUUCUGACAGUACAAUGUCUAAGAAUUCCUUUAUUAUUGUAUAACUCUUCAAAAUCACCUAAGCAUAAUUCCAAACCAUUAUGAGUUAUUAAAUAUUUGAUCUUUUUAUUAAUUUGUUUUUUAAUCAAGGCUUUUCACUGCUUGAAUGUAACAAACACAUCACAUUUUCUCUUUAAAAAUACACUCAGAACUUCAUAGAGUAGUCAUCAAUAAAUAUCAAUAGAUAUUAUGCUCCAUCUUUUCACAUAACAAGAGAAGGACCCUAAAGGUUAGAAUGAACAUAAUCCACAGUACCUCUUGUUAUGAUGAAUAGUAUUACUAAAUUUUACCCUAUAUUAUUUACAAUAAACAAAAUGUUCACUUAAAUUUAAUUUACUUAUUUUCUGACCACAUAGCAAAUGUUAUUUGCUUAACUCUAUCAUCCCCCUCUCAUUCAUAUGUCUUAGUCGCACGUGUCAUAACUAAGUAGAACCAUAAUCCAAAUAAACAACAUAUGAUACAUGAUACAUGAGUUAAAUCAAUAAUUGUUGAACCUUGAAGAUGGUAGAGGUCAUUAACCAACUUUCCUUUCAUCACGACAAGAUCAGCCUUGCGAACUUUCAGAACUCUACGUGUAUUAGAAUAACCAUAACCUUUGAAAUCAAGAAGACUAAAAGAAAUUAGAUUUUUUUUCAUCUUCGGAACAUGUCAAACCUUUAGUGUCCUAAUAAUAUCAUCAUACAUCCUAAUUCAAAAUGUACCCAUACCAAUAAUUGAAAAUCCUUUGUUGUCUCUGAAUAAAAUAGUAUCAUUAACAACUUUAUAAAUAUCAAGCCAGCUUCUAUUAGGAUAAAUAUAAAAUGUGCAAGCCACAUCGAGAAUACAACUAUCAAUUAAGCUAUCAACAGACACAAUUAAAGCACUUUUAGCAUCAUCAGAAAUUUCUCCUUUCACUAACAAUAUUUGCAGCAUCAAAAGUUCUCUCAUUUUUCCUUAUAUUUUCACUGAAGAGAGUUCUUCCUAAAGUAUCCUACUUCAUGACAUUCAAAACAUUUAUUUCCCUAAAUUUUGAUUUUGAUUUAAAUCUAUCCCCACUACCUAGACUCUUAUUAUUUUUUUAUACCCCUCAUAAUCAAGCCCUCUGCAUGAUCAUCAUUAUAACUCUCUAACACUCAUUUUUUUUACUCUACAAAGUUUACGAAGCUUUGACAUCUUCUGAACUAAAAAUAUACCUUCCAUAUAAAAAAGUUUUUUCCUUCGUUGUCUUCUAAUAAAACAGUAUCAUUGAUAUAGACAUUUCCCCACUACUUAAACCUUUUUUUUACCUCUCACAAUCAAGCCCUCUAUAUGAUCAUCACUAUGACUCUUUGGCACUUAUUUUUUCAACUCCCUAUAGUUUAAGGAAGGUUUGACAUCUUUUGAACUAUGAUUAUAUCUUUCAUGCAAUAAAGUAUCAACAAAAUGAUCAUAAGUUAACAUCAACAUCAACAUUUUAUAAAUCUAGAAUUACUCUGUUGAAUUCAUUAAGAUGGUCUUUAAUGAGUAUAACUUCUUUCAUCCAGAGAGUAAACAAUUAAUGCUUCAGAUAUAAUUGAUUUGUCAAGGAUUUGGUUAUGUAAAGAGUUUGGAACUUUAUCCAUAAUCCAAUAGUUGUAAUCUCCUCAAUAACCUCUCUCAUAACCUAAUCAGACAAACAAAAUUGAAUAACAAUAUGUGCCCAUUCAUAAAAUCUUUUUUCUCCUCAUCAUUCAUUUCUUUGUGCAAAUUAUCUACACCUUUCAUUUUCUUAAAUAAACCUUGUUGAACUAAUAAGGCAUGCAUCUUGAUACAUCACAAGUUAGAAUCGUUUUUACCAUUAAAUUUCUAUACAUCAAAACUAGUUGUCGAUGUUACUUUUAUCGCCAUCACAAAAGCCAACUGAUAACUAGGCAAAUUAUCAAUGAUUAUAAUGUUGCGAACAAAUAUGAUUUGAUAUAACAGACAUACUUCAUGCUAAAAUAUCUAAAUCAGAAUAUUAUUGAUGAAGGGAUAAUAAUUACAUUGAGAAACCGGUCACUGAAAGGUUAAGUCAAACCACUUAUGAAUUUUCUAAUAUUUGAAGGAUCAUGACACGUUGCUAAACGGUGCACUUGAUAUUCAAAUAUAAAUUAAUCAAUUAUUGAAUUGAUAAUAAAUUAAAUUUUUUGAUUUAUUUAAUUCUAUUUAUUUAUAAUUAUAAAUUAUACUUGAGACAACAUAUUAGGAACCUGAUGGGUCACACACAUUAAGAACCAUUAGUCAAAAAUUAAAUUGAGAUGAUUAAUCAAGUGUAACUUGAUUGAAAAUAAUUUUAUAAAUUAAGCACUAAGAUGUUUUUAAUUCAAGAAUUAUAAUUCUAGUACUAGAAUAAUGAAAUAGGGACUUGAUUGAUUAAAUUUAUAAAAUUAUCCUUAAAUAAUAUAUGGAUAUUAUUUAAGGGGCAAAUAGAUAUUUUGUCAUUUAUAGGGUUUUUAGGAUUCUCUAUAAAUAUAAAGCUAUGCCUCUUAUUUUUUUAGAGAUUAUUUGUUAGACAGAAAAACUAUAUAAAUCAUUAAAUAGAGAGCUAGCACUAUAGGUAUAACAAUCAUUCUCUCCUAAAUAAAGAUUUAUGAGAUUUCUCCCUAGCAGUUCGUGUAGAUUAUCAUUGGAGACUAAACAAAUUAGACGGCUUGUGGUUUGCGACAACCCAACCUUUAAAGAAUUAUUCAAAGCCGGAGAAAAUCAGAUCUUUAGUUAAUAAAUUUCUAAAUAAUUUUAAAUCUGUCUAAUGCAAUCCUAGAAAUUUUUAAAUAUUAUUUUAAAUUUAUUAUUUUUACUGCAUGUAUAAAUUAUAGAAAACCAACAGUUAGAAUAAAAAAAAAAAGAAAAAAAAAAGAAGCAUGCUUUCAAUAAUUGAUACGGCCUUGAACAUAACAUGCAAUACCCCGACACUUUUUCCAAACUAAAUAAAAUUCAAUCUUUUUUAAAACGAUCACAAGACGGCCAGUACAUCAUGUUUUGUGUCAUUGCAAAUAAAAAGGCAUAUUCUUGACUACGAAAAGAACGUGAGUGGCAUCUUGAGUUGGGAAUAUAUGAUAUUUUAGUUAAGUUUAUUUUUUAAAAUAUUUUUUUUGUUUAAAAAUAUAUUAAAUUAUAUUUUUUUAUUUUUAAAAUUUAUCUUUGAUAUUAAUAUACUAAAAUAAUCUAAAAUACUAAAAAAAAAUUUAAAACAAAUAAAAAAAAUUAAAUUUUUUUAAAAACACUUUUCAAAAUAAAAAUAAACAUACUUUAACACAGAUCUAAACGCAACUAGACAUGUUCUCCUAUCCCCUGAUUGUGUUUACACGUAUCUUUUUAUGUUUGAAAAUCUUAUUUAAUUUGCUCUUUUAAACUUAUGAUAGAACAUAAUUGAGACAAAGACACCAGCCUAUGACCAUAAUAGAUCACAUGAAGUUGAAGUUUGAGCUAAUUUUUCAGAUUUAAUCCAUUCUUAAUUCAUGAUAACGUGAGCCAUGCUAAAAUAUAUUAUUAACAAGCUAACUAAAAUCUUUAAUUAAUAUUUUUUUCCCCUUUGUCAUGCCAAUAUAUACAAAGUGUUACGUUUUAAUCUUGUUACAUGUUAUCUUGAUAAAUAUAAUACAUAGACAGAUAUUGGAUAUAACAUAAACUAUAUAUAAGUAUUUGAGUGGAUUCAUCACCCUAGGUGAAUUAGAGAAAAUGUUUUACAUUUUCUCAAAGUAUUGAUUGUUAAAUCCUUGCGCAAAGUGGAAUGAGAUAUGAAAAAAAAUUAAAUCUUAUUCAAAUGAUUAAUGAUUAUAAUGUUGCGAACAAAUAUGAUUUAAUAUGACAGACAUACUUCAUGUUAAAAUAUCUAAAUCAGAAUAUUAUUAAUGAAUGAAUAAUAAUUACACUAGGAAAUCAGUCACUGAAAGGUUAAGUCAAACCACUUAUAAAUUUUCUAAUAUUUUGGGGAUCAUGACACGUUGCUAGACUGUGCACUUGAUAUUCAAAUAUAAAUUAAUCAAUUAUUGAAUUGAUAAUAAAUUAAAUUUUUUGAUUUAUUUAAUUCUAUUUAUUUAUAAUUAUAAAUUAUACUUGAGCCAACAUAUUAGGAACCUAAUGGGCCACACACAUUAAGAACCAUUAGUCAAAAAUUAAACUGAGAUAAUUAAUCAAGUGUGACUUGAUUGAAAAUAAUUUUAGAAAUUAUGCACUAAGAUGUAUUUAAUUCAAGAAUUAUAAUUUUAGUACUAGAAUAAUGAAGUAGGGACUUGAUUUAUUAAAUUUAUAAAAUUAUCCUUAAAUAAUAUAUGGAUAUUAUUUAAUGGGCAAAUUGAUAUUUUAUCAUUUAUAGGGUUUUUAGGAUUCCCUAUAAAUAUAAAGUUAUGCCUCUUAUUUUUUUAGAGAUUAUUUGUUAGACAGAAAUACUAUGUAAAUCAUUAAAUAGAGAGCUAGCACUCUAGUCAUAACAAUCCUUCCUUUCUAAAUAAGAAUUUAUGAGAUUUCUCCCUAGUAGUUCGUGCGGAUUAUCAUUGGAGACUAAACAAAUUAGACGGCUUGUGGUUUGCGACAACCCAGCCUUUAAAGAAUUAUUCAAAGCCAGAGAAGAUCAGAUAUUUAGUUAAUAAAUUUCUAAAUAAUUUUAAAUAUGUCUAAUGCAAUCCUAGAAAUUUUUAAAUAUUAUUUUUACUGCAUGUAUAAAUUAUAGAAAACCAACAGUUAGAACAGAAAAAAAAAUAAAAAAAUAAAAAAAGUAGCAUGCUUUCAAUAAUUGAUACGGCCUUGAACAUAACAUGCAAUACCCGAGACUAAAUAAAAUUCAAUCUUUUUUAAAACGAUCACAAGACGGCCAGUACAUCAUGUUUUGUCUCAUUGCAAAUAAAAAGGCAUAUUCUUGACUUCGAAAAGAACGUGAGUGGCAUCUUGAUUAGGGAAUAUAUGAUAUUUUAGUUAAGUUUAUUUUUUAAAAUAAUUUUUGUUUAAAAAUAUAUUAAAUUUAUUUUUUUUAUUUUUAAAAUUUAUCUUUGAUAUUAAUAUAUUAAAAUAAUCUAAAACACUGAAAAAAAAAUUUAAAACAAAUAAAAAAAUUUUAAUUUUUUUUAAAAACACUUUUCAAAAUAAAAAUAAACAUACUUUAACAUAGAUCUAAACACAACUAGACAUGUUCUCCUAUCCCCUGAUUGUGUUUACACAUAUCUUCUUAUGUUUGAAAAUCUUAUUUAAUUUGCUCUUUUAAACUUAUGAUAGAACAUAAUUGUGACAAAGACACCAGCAUAUGACCAUAAUAGAUCACAUGAAGUUGAAGUUUGAGCUAAUUUUUCAGAUUUAAUCCAUUCUUAAUUCAUGAUAACGUGAGCCAUGCUAAAAUAUAUUAUUAACAAGCUAACUAAAAUCUUUAAUUAAUAUUUUUCCCCUUUGUCAUGCCAAUAUAUACAAAGUGUUACGUUUUAAUCUUGUUACACGUUAUCUUGAUAAAUAUAAUACAUAGACAGAUAUUGGAUAUAACAUAAACUAUAUAAAGGUAUUUGAGUGAUCAAGAAAGGAUUCAUCACCCUAGGUGAAUUAGAGAAAAUAUUUCACAUGUUCUCAAAGUAUUGAUUGUUAAAUCCUUGCGCAAAGUGGAAUGAGAUAUGAAAAAAAAAUUAAAUCUUAUUCAAAUGAUCAAUGACUAUAAUGUUGCGAACAAAUAUGAUUUAAUAUGACAGACAUACUUCAUGUUAAAAUAUCUAAAUUAGAAUAUUAUUAAUGAAUGAAUAAUAAUUACACUGAGAAACCGGUCACUGAAAGGUUAAGUCAAACCACUUAUAGCUUUCUUAAUAUUUGAGGAAUCAUGACACGUUCCUGCUAAACGGUGCAUUUGAUCUUCAAAUAUAACAGUGACAAAGACAUCAGCUUAUGACCAUAAUAGAUCACAUGAAGUUGAAGUUUGAUCUAAUUUUUCAGAUUUAACCCCUUCUUAAAUUCAUGAUAACGUGAGCCAUGCCAAAAUAUGUUAUUAACAAGCUAACUAAACUCUUUAAUUAAUGUGGGAUUGUCCUCUUUCUUUUUCUCAAGUUGCCAAUUGUUUGGUAUCUUUCCUUUUCAAAUCGCUACUAAUAGAAAGCUAUGCAUCAACAAUUCCAAUCACGCAGAAAAACAUCACGAGGAGAAGAGAACAAAAGGUUAAUUAACUCAGAAUUUCCACUCCUAAUUUCUUUGAGUUUGGCAAACUAAUUUGUCCAUGGCCAACCCCAAGAAUGGAAGUUACUCGUUAUUCAUAACUUAAUUCAUCAUUUUAGGCCACAACAAGGCAGGCUAAGCCAUGAAAGGAGAUGGAAUCCAGUUGUCCAUCCCAAGAAUAAAAACAAGAAGAAGAAGAAGACGACGCAAUGCCGUCAAAGUACAAAACGUAGAAAAGUCCAGAUUAGGAGAUGGAUUCACUUGAUCUAGAUUUGAGAAAUUUAUGGGUGGUAUUAGCUGUCAAGAGCCGUACUUUUCAUGUGCGACAAGAUAAGUACUCAGAUUUGUCUGGUGCUCUCUCCCUGUUGAAAAAUCAAGAAACUAAUUGAAACAUAUUAUUCCAAUAUUCAUAUUCCUCAUCUGUCGACAACCCGAGUGAUGGGUGAAAUGUGCGGCAGGUUAUCAUCAAUGUCUUUUUCUUAGUUGUCCUCUCAUUACAGCUAGGACUGCUCUACGCCAUGGAUCUUUUAUUUUCCCCCAUUUUCUUUAAAAAAAUAUGUGCCUUGCAUCGUCCCCAAGUCUCUCUGUGCUCUGUAUAUGCAUGCAAUGACUGGAAAUAUAAGAGAGAUCUAUCCUCUUGAAUAUCAGUUGAGAUAUCUUCAAAAUCACAUACGCUGUGUCAAGAUGUCUUUGUGUUCAACAAAAUCUCUCAAAAUGUUUCAGAUUUUAACUAAAAAUUAAUAACAGAGUUUGGCAGAUGUUCAACAUGAUCGUGGAUUAUCAUGUUAUGUUUAAGAACACGAAGUUAAACUAUAAUUAUAAAACUCAUGCACAUGGUUAACGUAAGAAAAUGGAGAGUCUGACUUGGUGAAAAUCAUGGUUGAGUUUUUUAUGAUUUAUAUAAUUUAAUCAAACAUGAUCAUGAUCCAAACCUGAUUGGAUCAAUUGAAAACCAAUUUUUUUAGCUUUUUAAUGUUUUCUAAUUAUUUUAAAUAUAUUUAAAAAUAAAAAUAUAUUUUUAUUUUAAUCUGAUUUUCACCAAGUCAGAUUCUCCAUUUUCUUACGAAAACUAAGAAAAUUAAUUAAAAAAAUAAUCUUUACCAUAUUCUGCCGUAAAUACAUAAACUUUAGCUCUACCUUGAGAAAGAGAAAUUCAGCGGCAGUGGAAGGCUCACAAGACCACAUAAGGGCUUUCUCACAACCAACCAGCUUCAUCCAUGGCGUCGAUGAUGAAUGCGAAGGAAGAUCAAGACUGGAAGGGCGUUGCAAGUCCGAAGAAAGCAGCAUGCAAGGGAGAUAUUGGGCCUGAACAAUGUUAUUAUAUUGCAUAGCGAACCCCAUGACAUGGGCUGGACCAGUUGUUUGUAGCUUAGGCCCAUCUAAUGACAAAGGAUACGAAAGUCCAAUCUUCGAAGUCCAUAUACAACGUCAUUCGUAUUUAUGUAAUGGGCUUUUUAGGACAUCAGGCUAUGGUCGUUAGUGACGGGGGGCCCUAUCCAAUUCAUGUUCUGCCUCCCAAAAAUUAAAAUCUAAAUUUUAUAGUUGUAGUCUAAAAAAACAAAAGGAAAUAGUACUCAAGUGCAGAAAAGGGAAGAUUUUUACGUGCAAAAAUACUUUUGAAAAAAUUAAAUAAAUUUUAUAUAAUAAAAAAAUAUUAUUUUAAUAUAUUUCUAAAUAAAAAAAAUACUUUAAAAAAUAAUCGGUCUCACUUAUCAAACCUCCCUUAAUCAAUUUCUUUCACCGGUUUCUGUUUUUUUUCUACCUAUUUGAAAGUGUAUUUGUGGUUGCUUUUUAAAGUGUCUUUCAUACCGAAAUAUAUUAAAAUGAUGUUUUUUUAUUUUUAAAAAAUUAUUUUUGAGAUUAACGCAUCAAAACAAUCCAAAACAUGUUAAAAAAUUAAUUUUUAAAAAAAAUUAAAUAAAUUUUAGAAAAAAAAUAUAUUGAAUUUUUUCUAAGGUUACAAGUUUCCAUGUAUAAAGAUUUGGUCAAUAUUCCUCCAUGUGAGUACCAUUAUUAUAUGGGGCUCACUCACCUACACCAUCAUUAUGUCCUCGGCAUGGCUCCGGUGAUAAACUCAUAUCGGUUUAACAAAAGAAAGAAUUAUAAGAAGAAGAAAAAAACUUAUGUGAAAAGCUAUUUUAAUCAAUUUUAUAUUUUUAUCAACUUUCUUUUUUCAAAAAUAAAAAAAAAAUAGAUAAUAUUAACGAGAAGGAGCACAUACAUCCUCCAGGAAUUUAAAAACUAGGAGUAAUAUAUAAUUUACUCAAAAAAAAAAAAUUCCUCAAGGAUGUUUUACUAGAGGAGCACCCCCACAAAAACAAUAAAAGAAAGAAAAAAUUAGUCAUCUAGUAAGUGAUCUAGUGAUAAGAGUUUGGAACUAAGAGGUUUGUCCCCCUUAUGAUCUCAGGUUCGAGUCUUGUAGUUGCUAAUAUAAUGACCAUUGGAGACUUACAUGGUCGUUAACUUUAGGGUUCGUGGGAUUAAUCGAGGUACGCACAAGCUGAUUCGGACAUCUACAUUAAAAAAAAAAAAAAAAGUUAAUUUUCCCUUUCCCUUUCUCUUUCUUCUUUUUCUAAAUGAAAGGCUGCUAGUAUAUUUUUUCUCCUCUGUCAUGCCAAUCUUCAAGGAGUUAAAAGUAAAAUACAGUAUGCUAAGCCAAACCACCCACGGAAUACCUAAAAAGGCACACUGAAUGAUUAGCAGCGGACCUUAUCCCUGUCACGAUUACCACUUUUUGGAUAAGCCCUUCCAUCACCCUUACCCAAACGUAUCCAAUUUAUUCAAGAAAGUUCAGCUUAAUAUAAAGAGAAAAAAAAUGUUGACGCUGUUUUGACUGCAUGCUUCCACGUAAGAUUCUUUGGGAUUGGAAGCCUUUGGAUGUGGAUUUUUUUUUUAGUUUAACGUGGGUGUCCGGACCAGCUUGCGUGCUCCUCAACUAAUCUCACAGGCCCUGAAGUUAACGACCAUGUAAGCCUCCAGUGACCAUCAUAUGAGCAACCACAUGGCUCGAACCUGAGACCACAGAGGGAGAAAACCUCUUAGUCUCAAGCUCUUACCACUGGGUCACCACCUAGAUGGUUUGGAUGUGGAUUUUUAGAUUUUUAGAGAUGGCUAUUUGACUAUAAGAUCGAUUUCGCAUUUUUUAUCGACGUGUGUUUUUGUGUGUUCAGAGUUUUUAAUAUGAAAAAAAAUUAAAUUUAUGUUUUGUUUAAAAUAUCUUUAAAAUUUUAAUGUAUUAAUGUUAAAAAAUUAUAAAAAAAAUUAUUUUAAUAUAUUUUUAAAUAAAAAUAAAAUUUUAAAAAUAUCAUACAUCACAAUAUUAAACACAAGCGUAAUAUCCCAACCCAUAUAUACCCAAAUAAAAGGAAUUAAAAAAACUAUUAUUUACUGAAAAUAAACAGUUGAUUAUAUGCGUCAAAAUUUAAAUAACUCUAACUAUUAGUAUUAUUAGCAAUGUGAUACAACAACAGUACCCAUCACCAUUUACUCGUGAGGUUGAGAAGAACCUCUAUUAACCCCCUUUUUUUCUAUUAUACAAAAUUAUUACAAGAAAAUAAAACAAAACAUAAUAGCUCAAUUAUACAACAUAAUAAUGCAAGAUGUCUUAACACCUUACACCUUACGACCACCACCUCUAACGGUUUCAUCUCCACUAGUUAUAUUACUAUUUAUUUCCGUUAUUUCAUAUAUAAAAAUUUUCACUAAUUUUAAAAAUACAAAGUUAUUAAGUUUAAUAGAGUUAAUAAUACGAAUUGUGGAUUUGAUAGGUUAACUCAGGUUUACUCAGGUUUUUUUUUAGCCUUUUCUUUAAUUAAAUUUUUUUAUUUACAACUUUGUCUUUCAAUAUAGGGUUGAUUGAGAAUUAGAUAUUAUAAUUUAUUUUGAUUUUUUUUUAAGAUGUUAUUAUGAUUUCAUGACCUGAUUUCUAAGUUUGGUUGGUUGAUUUAAGUUGACUAGGUCGAUCCAAUAUGUUUUCGUCUUAAUAUUUUUUAAAAAAUAACCAUCUAAUAUAUCACCAUAUUAAUAUUUAAAAUAUAUCAUCCAACAUGAAUUUGAUUUUGAAUUCAUUAUUAAAAAAACCUUUUAGAAAACACAUCAUCAAUGCCUUGAUAUUUUAUUUUUUUUACAUUAAAAAAAAUUAUGAUCUGCAGCAUAAUACAACCAAUUAGCUAAUUAAAAAAACAAAGUUAUGUGGUGAAUUCACUAUAGCAUUUGUAUUAUACACUCUCUUACUUUCUAUGGAUUGAAAUAGUUAUUUUUUUAUAAAUUUUUAAUUUGACUCUCUAACUUUUCUUUGCACAAUUAAGCCAUUUUAAGCUCAAAUUAGCAACCAAUAACUCUUUUUAUUUAAGGAAUAACUGGAUUGAAAGACAAAUAACUAAAGUAAAAAAAGCAAUUAUUAUAGGUGGUGGCUUUAAAUUUUAGUUGAAAAGUUCCUUUCAAUCCCCUAUUUUGUUUUUUAGUUAUUAAAUAAUCGGUCACUUGAAUUAUUAAAAAUUUUAUUUUAGUACCAAACUUUAUUUCCUUCAUUUUUCAAAUCCUUUUUGUGAGAGGAGAAAGAGGUUUGUCAAAUUUCAAUAUAGAGAGAUAAAGUCACCAUUGACAACUAUUCCAACCACAAAAAUGAUCGAUAUCGAUGUCAAUGGGUUUCAUUUCAUGAGAGGGGUUUCACAUAGGUGUUUGUUUUAUCCUGCUCCUUUUCUUAUGAGGCAUUUCUGACUGAAGGGAUAUAUUUGAGUUCGGGUUGAUUUUGGUUUUUUGAGUUGUAUUUUAAGUUUUUUGAGGUCACGUAUAGGUUUGUUAAGGUGUUUAGUGUGUUUUUUGUGUAUUUUUUCAAAAACAGGUUUAAAUGAGUUUUUUAACAAAAAAAACACUUAAGGCCUUAUUUUUCUGGCAACUUUAGUCGUUGGACUUUGUAUAAAGCAAACGACACACCAUCUGUUAUCCUUUUAAAAAAAAUGGGGCGAACAACAAGUCGCUCACGGGCUGAGCUAGAAGGUCUAGGCACGCAGACUAGGCUGUUUUUCUUUUAAUUUUAAUGCCCAUGCAAGUUAGGCCACCAUACCCAUAUGCCUAGGCUCCUUUUAGUUUUUUUGUUUUUGAUUUUAUUUUAUUAUUUUAUAUUUGGACUAGAAAAUAAUGAUAAAAAAAAAAUCAUGGACCCAAUUAAAUUUAUAAGUCAAUUGGUAGGUUUAAUGAGUUAAUUUGUAACAUUCAGGCUAUUAUUUGUUUGUUUUUUUUUCCUUCAAUUUAAUAUAUAUAUAUAUAUAUAUAUAUCAUUAUUUUUUUAUUGAUGGUCUAUUUUUUUAUUUAACUCAAACAUAAAAGAAUUUUAUUACUUGUUAUUAAUAAUCUACUUUUUUUAUCUCAACCCCACACGCUUACCACGUUUUUUUUUUUUUUUAAAUCAUACAAUAAAAUUAUUAUGCAUUUUGUUAUUAUAUAAUUUAAUUAAAUGAAAAAUAAUAUCUAUGAUAAAAAAAAUUAUUAAUUCAGAUGAUGUGCGAGUCUUAUUUAUUAACUUGAAUUCAUUUAGAUUUUUUAAAUUAAAUAUUAUUUUUUAUUAAUUUAAUCAUUUAAUAUUAAAUUAAUUAAAAAUUAAACAUUCUAUUUUCAACUCCGGAAAAGCAUUCACAAAUGAGGGUGAAGAUAGUGGCAGGCAGCAUCUUCUACAUCAGGUAAGAUGUUGUGGAUAAACAAAGAAGACAAAGAAACAAACUCAAAUUUAGAUAAGACUACAUCGAAGUACGAGAAUCCUUAUCACCAAUCACACUAAGCUCCACGCCCCCAAAGAUGGAUAAUAUUACCUAUGUCCACCUUGGAAAAACAUAACCUUAAUGUCUGAAAGUGAUCCUAUAAAUACUACUUCAGACCUUGGUGGUCACCUCUCCCCGUCUGUGAUCGUAUAUCAAUUCUGUAAACAAAAAACAAAGGCAUAAAUUUUAGGCAAUUUUACAGGUUUAUUUUGUAAGUGUUGGCUUGGAAAGCAGAGGAUUAGAAAAUGUUGGCAAUUUUUCACAAAGCUUUUGCUCACCCACCUGAGGAGCUUAAUAGUCCAGCAUCUCAAAAUGUUACUAAGAAGCCUAAGCUUCCUGAGGAAACACUCAAUGAUUUCCUUUCUCACCGCCCUCAGAAAACUUUCUCCAUGAACUUUGGUCAAGCUGCUGUGCUUGCCUAUGCUCCCCAAGAUAACCCUUUCUCUCCUCAACAAAAGUACUUGCAUAUUGAUUGAAUUUCCUUUCCAUUGUUAAAUAUUUGUUGUUUGAUUCAUUCAAAAAUUGUUAAAUUACUGUCUUGUUGAUGGUAUAUGUUCUGCAGGCUGUUUUGUGGUUUUGAUGGUAUAUACUGCCUUUUCUCUGGAAGCUUGAACAACUUAUGCACACUCAAUAGGCAGUAUGGAUUGACAAAGGGGACUAAUGAGGCCAUGUUUGUGAUAGAAGCUUAUAAGACUCUUCGUGAUCGAGGUCCUUAUCCAGCUGAUCAAGUUGUUAAGGAUCUUGAUGGGAGCUUUGCUUUCGUUAUCUAUGAUAGCACGGCUGGAAGUGUUUUUGCUGCACUGGUAUGUUAAAUUCUUCAUUUUGACUCCUUUGGUCAAUUGGUUAAUUCCAUCUAAUGAGCUAUGUUCAAAUCAUAUCCAAGCAUGUUUUAUUUUCUUGGUCUAGCUUCCAAGUUUACUGUAUGGUCACAGGGUUCUGAUGGUGGAGUUAAGCUGUACUGGGGUAUUGCAGCAGAUGGCUCUGUGGUGAUAUCUGAUGAUUUGGAAGUCAUAAAAGAAAGCUGUGUCAAAUCGUUUGCUCCCUUCCCAACAGGUACUUUGUAUUGUAAUAGCAAGGGCUAAUCACAGAUGACAAACAACAUCAAUGUUUUUGGAGCUGCAUUAAUAUCACAAUCUGGAUUUGCAUUAUAAUCAUCUCUCUUUUACAUGAGAAAAUGUUGCUGUGUGUCAUAUAUAAUGGUUGAUUUACUCAUCAAAAUGAUGAUGGUGAUGGAUGUACAGGAUUCAUGUUCCAUAGUGAAGGAGGCUUGAUGAGCUUUGAGCAUCCAAUGAACAAAGUUAGAGCAAUGCCAAGGACCGACAGUGAAGGAUUUCUCUGUGGGGCAAAUUUCAAGGUUGAUGUCUACACAAGGAUCAACAGCUUACCCCGUAGAGGAAGUGAAGCUAAUUGGACCGAGUGGCAAUCACACAGCUAAGAAUUUGUUGUGCUUCAAUUCAUAACCGGAUCAAAAAAUGUUAGCAUCAGCUACCAUCUUCCAAAUUGUUAUCUAUUCUUAACGUUUUCUCUGCUUUGUUUUGUUUUCGUUUCUAUUUUUGUUUAUUUUACUCUGUUUUCUUUUCACUCGGUACAGCCCUCAAUAAGAGGGCAACGUGUUCAAUCGGUGCCCAGAACCUUUUAUUUAUCUAUUCACUUUUAUGAAUCCUUUAAACCCCCAAUCAAAGCUCGGGCAAAAAAUCAUUUCUGCCAAUCACAAAAUUAGAGAAUCAAUCUGAAUUUGCAGUUUUGCACACACUUAAAACGUAUUGAUCCUAAGGAAAAGGCAUAGGCAAUGCCUCUCAACAAAUACUCACAAAAGAAUCUGCUUUAACAGCAAAUACCAAAGCUGUGAAAGCAUUUAGAGUCUAGUUUUAAGAAAUUUUUUGAAAAAAAGUUUAACUUCUGAUAUUUACUUGCCGCGUGAUUAUGUAUUGAAGAAAUCGAAGCUCUGAGAUGCGGAAAAGGAUGGCGUGCCAAAAAAUACCAACUUGAUUAAAACGCAUGAUAAGCUAAUCCAAGGCAGGGACAAAAAACUUGUAAUGCCAACGAGGGCAAUAAUACCAAAAUGGUCAUAUUUUCCAUGUAGGAUACAAGGUGAUAUAAUAAAACCAACAACAUGAGGAGGAGGAGGAGAUCAUUCCUUCCACAUGUCUGCAAAUUCAUCAGGCUCCAAUGGAUUUGAUAGCUCGUGCAUCUUCCUCCUCGUCUUGGCUUUGACUUUCUUGGCAAACUUCCCAGCCUUCUGCUUUUUCUCCAGUGCUCGAAUCUGCAAGAUUGAAAUGAAUAUCAUGCCAUUGAUGCCAAAAUACUAGAAGAGAGAAAAAUGAAUUAUAUAUAAUCACAGCAAUUGAGGACAAACACCUAAUAACCUCUGAACAAAAAGGUCAGUGAAUGAACAGACAGUGCAUGGUCGCAUUGGCUUGAACAUUUGUUGAACUCAGUUAUUAGGCAAACCCAGUAAGGGGGGGAACUCGACCAUGAAUCUAGCCAGAAGAUUCUUGACGGUUUCAUUUAAACAAGAAACUUAUCACUAUGGAAAACCAUCAAAAUGGUGGAUAUUUUGAUACAGCUCAUCAAACGAGGAGCUCUUCUCUAACUAAAGAAAAGUUAAUCAUACUUGUGAUGCCAAAAUGAAAAUUAACGUGAAGAAAACUCUGACCUGGUUAGGUGAUACAAAAAAGGGAUUUUCAUACAAUGUUGGGCCUCCAAAGCUGCCACCAAAAAUCUUGAUAGGAUUCAAGCAAAAUCUUGGACCAACCUGCACAAAAUCAUUCUAUCGAAAUUAAAUAACUACCGUAGGUGUUUCACUGUGUGCAUAAAUUCAAAAGUACAUCAGAGCAAAACCUCAACAAGGGUCAUCUUAUCCAGGCCUCCUCGAGCUAUUUUAUCUGUUUCGUUAUGAGGAACAGAUAUCUAUAUCAAAGAAGAAAAGGAGACGGUUAUGAGUUAGUUCAAAAAAAAUAAUGAAAACAGGGUGAAAAAAGCUUCAUAGCAAAUAAAAACAAGGGGUAUAAAAAACAUUUUCAAAACGCUAGAGAGCAUUCCAAAAUCAUGCAACUAAGACACUUGUAUGCAAUUGCAACAAGCGUUGUGCAUAAAAAGUUGAGGUAUAUACAUACAUAUAUAUUCAUAUGCAUAAAAAUUCAGGUAUUUUUUGAAAGUUUGAAAGCAGUGCAACUGCUGAUUUUGAGCAACCACUUUAUGGGUCCAGAAUUGUUCUCUACAUCACAUUGCUCUUGCACUAUUAAAAGGGACUCAGCGCUUCAAGCAAAGAAGAUUUCUGAGUGCUCACAUUAGAAUAAAAGAACUGGGACUGAGUAUCGGUAAUUCUAAUUGCAAUAACAUGGUUCUAAUUGGUGAUUACGGAUGCUGAUAGCUACAUCUGAGAAAGUUAUCCCACAGAAUAAUGGAAGACAACAUUGUGUGCUCGUCAAUACAGAUUUUACUAUGACAGCCAACACCUUUAAAUAAAUAAGAUAUUAAAGUAAUUUCAGUCACUGAAUCUGCAAGAGCACCAGAAGUAUAGUAUCUCUAUAACUGCAACUAUAAAACCAUCUGUAGUGGAAUUUGGAUGGCUGAACCAGCCUCUAAUAUUCAAGUAGUGUAUCCCUUUCAUUCCUAAAGCAGGCUGUAAGUAACACGGCAUAACAAUUUAAGAAUAUAUGUGAAAACAAGGGAUAAUACAGAGGAAUGAACAUCUAUCAUGAGUGAAGAAAAAAGUAGGAAGAAGAGGCAAAAGAUAGAAAAUGCAGCCAAAGGGUUAUCUGGGCUUUAUGGCCAGAAAAGAAAGAAAUCUUUCUUGUAUAAAUUUAUGAAAAUAUAAAAAAUGUGAUUUAUCACAGCAGUAGCAGCCAUUAAAUAAUAAGUAAACCCUAAAAAAAAAAAAGGAAAACCUGGCCCUUAAAAAUAACUAAAUCUUAGUUGUCCAAACCUCCCUAAUAAAUAGGGCAUAAUAAACAAGGGAAGGAAAAACCCUAAUUAUAUGAAGCUGGUACAGUAUUGUGAACUACACUACUUAGGAUUUGUCCUGCAUCAAGAUGUCCAAUGAUGAAAGUGGCCAUUCUGCAAGUCCAAUGAACAGACUAUUUGAUUGAUAGCUGUGCUUAAGGUUCCAAACUAAAAUAAGGAUCCAAUCUGACAAACUGAACAUCUCGUUUAUCAAAGGUUAACCUGAGACAUGCAACAUCUAUCUGGAAGGGUACAGUCAAUUAAAAACUGUUUUGAUAUUUAGUAGAAAUCCCAGCCUAGGAAAUUUGCAGAAAAGGUGAAGAGGAAAAGGAAAUAACUUUUUAAUAUAUGUGGGUUUCUGACUAGGGAUUUCCAAGUGAAUAAAGUAGCACAUUGUUUAGGAUUCCAAAAUACCAGACAACUAAAAGGUAGCCCAUACCACUUCAUAUGUAAAUUUCUAGCUUGAACAACUUGUGGAAGGGGGUAGUUCAUUAAUUUGUCGACUUGUGGAAGGGGGUAGUUCAUUAAUUUGUUAUAAUUUCCAAGUUAGAAACAUAAAGCUAGGAAAAACAUUAAAAACCUCAAUGCACAUUAGCAAGGCAGAAAUUGUAUGAAUGCUUCAAUAAAAUUUGACUUCCAAAUACGGUCUAAUAUACCUGGUAAUUCCGAAACCAUAUAUGGUCAUCAACAAUGGAGAAAACAAAGACAUGGUCAUAAAAAGGCUUAGAUUUCCUGUGAUCUUUUGGAGUUCCAAAUAUCUGAAAAAAAAGAUGAUAAGGUCAAUGUCCAAGUAUCAUAUAAAAUGACUUUUGAAGUUAACACACAGAGUUCAUCAUCAACAAUUGGUAUAGCAUAUGAGAAGGAAUCAGAAGUUACAUUUUGCAACCUUGAAAGAAAAGUUUGAGUGUUGUAUCCGUGCAGUUAACAGAUCAGUAUAUCCUCAACUAAUCUUAAAAAGCAAAAAUGACUAAAUCUUGAGCUAAAAAAGUUGCUUUAUGAAUGUAUCUGAUUCUACACAGCACCAGAAACAAAAAAGUCCAAAAUGGUCAUCUCUCUCACCAUACUGUUAUGAACAAGGCCAUAAGAUGCGAGAGGAGCACUUGUAUUAUUGCAAAAAUUGUAGAUACUAGAAUAUCAAUCAUAUUUGUUUACCAUAUUUCCUGGCAGACUUUGCCAUUGGAAGAUAUUUUGGAAAGGUAUUUCACGAUUGUCUUUUAGAGAAUGAAGAAUCUGGUGGUAUAGUCAUGCAUUAUAAGAUAGAACACAGAUAAAUGUUGCUUCUAAGGUGAGAAACAAAAAUCAAAAUACCUGAAUGAUCAUCUCCUUCAGGAGUUUCCAGUGGGCAUCUUUAUCAAAAUUAGCUGAGAAAGUCAAGAGGGGUCUUGACCCUUUCAGAUGAUUUCCUGUAAGCUUCAAUUCUUCCAUUGUGUGCACUAAAAUGAACAAGACAGGUUGCAAUGGUUAGGCUACUUAGUCAUAAUACAAGAAAAGAGCUAACCAUGUGAACAAAUCAAUUUAUUAGAUUAAUCACAACAGCAGCUUCUUUUUUCUUUUCUUCCUGUUUCUGUUUUUUUUUUUUUUUGGUUAAAGAGAUUAUACUAUCAGAAUGGGAACAGAAGAAAAUUACAAAAAGGACUGCAGGGUAUCCUCCAUAGUAGAGUGCAAGAAAUUGGAUCAAAGAAAAUCAGGAAAUGGCUCUCCAGUGCCACUGAAUACUAAUGGAAGGAAAAUGUUCGAAUGCCCAACCCAAAACACCACAAGAAGUCAGAAGGACUAUUCUAGACCAUAACAACUGCUUAAAAAUAGAGAAUUUUUGAGAUUUUCAAAUUUUACUCCACACAAAUACUCAAAGUCAAAGCAGACAAGGUACAUCUCUAUGAAGAUUUCGCUAUCUUCCACCUCCCAAUACCAUUAAAUGCAUGUGUUAAAAUUGUGAUGCUACAAACAUUAGCAUUUGAAUAUAAUAAGUGCAAGCCUAUUAAAAAACAUGAUUAUAAAAAAUAUCACAAAAAAAUAAAAAAUUAACAUACCAGCAUUGACUAAGAAUUUCACAGACGGACCACUAGGGCACUUGACCAUCCAUAGAUACAAAUCUUUAUGUUUCCUGCACUGAAAUAGAGAGAGAAAGGAGAACAAAAAAAUCAUCAACAAACAAUCUAAAAUAUGGCAACUUAAGUUCAUCUUUUUUUCCUAAUCUCAAAGUCGAUAGUUAUAUAAUCACCACACCUCCUCUCAAAGUUACCUAGUUAUUUUCCUUCAAAUUACCAAACCACGCAAACAAGUGGAACAAUUAUCAAUAUUAAAAUUCAUGUGAUGAGUUAUCGUAGGUAUUAAACCUGCAACCACUUGCACAAAUAAUAUGGAAUUAACCAGGUCAAAUUGUUUCUUUAAGGAAGAAAACAACUAAAUUUGAAGUUCACCUCAAAGAACAAAGAGGAAGAACCAUUCUUCAACUCAACAAGCUCAUUCAAUGUCGCGCCUUUAGUACUUGUAGACUCAACCUUACUAUCCUUCUUACAAUGCGGCAGAAGUGACACCAAAUUCAACAUCAAGUGCCUAUACCUGCAACACCAACAAUUCUUUCAAACACCAACAAAAUCCAGCAACCCCCCAAAAUCCCAACAAACCCCGAAAUCAAAUAUAUAAGCAUUAAUAUAAAAGGAUUGGAUCUUUAUGGAACCUGAAAUUGAUACGCCUAGAACAAGUAACCAAGACUUUCUCUUUAUUUCUAAAACCACCCUGUUGAGGAGGUAUAAAUUCAGUCUCUUUCACUUCGGGUUUAUCUUUCCAACCCAAGAGCGUCCUUUUGGGUCUCUCUGGUGCACCUUCAUCUUUCUUUGCAGGUUCAAUGACCUGUGUCUCAACGUGCUUUCUCUUCUUUCCCAUAGUUUUCUUUGGUUACGUACAGAUACCUGAAACACAUGAAAUCUUUAGCUUAAACACCAUGAAAACAAUACAAAGUCUGUAUUUAGUUGUCAAGAGAACUAAGCAGGAGAAGGGUUGGAACCUAAAGAGGGGAAAGCUAGCUGCAGAGAGACAACGAGUUUCUGUCAACGAGGAGCAAAACCGUGAUAAAAACCUAAGUUUUAAAAAAGGUAUUGAAAGUGCUCACGGCCCAAACUAGUCGAUUGGACUCUUAUAGCUUAGAUGGAUUGGCCCAAUAAAUGAUGAGCUCAAGCCGAGUAAUCCCAGAUGGGUGGAUUUUUAUGGAGAAAAGUGUCCUGUGUUUUUUUUUUAGUGUUUAACCUUUUCUUAUGUUAAGAACUCGAAAACUCUUUCUAUUUAUAUGGUAAACACAAACAAAUUAGCAGAAUGCUUUUUUCUUAUUUUAAUUAAACAUCUAAAUUGUUUAUAUAUAUAGCUUUACAAAGAUAACAUGCUUAUUAAUGCGGUAAAUCUUUAAGAAUCAAACAUCUUGUUCAUAAAAAAUAGGAAGUGUGGUUGUGGUUGUAUUUUAAAGUGUUUUUCACUCAGAAAUGCAUCAAAAUAAUAUUUUUUUAAUUUUUAAAAAAUUAUUUUUUAUAGUAGCGCAUCAAAACGAUCCAAAAACAUUAAAAAAUAUUAAUUUUAAGCAAAAACAAAUUUUUAAAAACACAAGUUGGACCGCUUUCCCAAACGAUCCCUCAAGUCCUAAAGACUAUUAAUUCUAACAACUAAUAGUUUUAAUAUCCUCCGUCUUGAACUUAUGUCUUAACAUAAGAACAUAACCUAAAGUACUUAUUCUGAUAUAAACCUGGUGGAUAUAAAGAUACAGAAACUCAUGGUCAAGAUUGAUCAUGAAUCCUAAAAAAAAACUAAAUUCAAACUUUUAAAUUGAGCUUAACACUACGAUGACUUGUAUCGAGACACCAAGAUUAUAAUAAUUGAGCCCUCCAAUGAUUAUAAAGAACUGCAAAUGAAAAGAAUACAAGACUCUAUGAAGAUUGGUUAAUACUUUGAUAAUUCAAUAGAAUUUCUUUGCAUAACCAAAGCAAGAGAAAUCUCUCACAACACAUAAUAAUAAUUGUUGAAAUCAAAAUCUAAAAAACAAAAACCUAAUUACAAGAUAAAUAACAUGUUUAUAAUAGGUAAAAAUAUAUUAAAUAAUGUUGGAGAAUAAUAAAAGAGUUCUAAAUUAAUUAAAUAAAUAUAAAUUAACUAGGAAACUAAUACAAUUCUUGUAUAGUAGAUUAUGGACCUUAUCGUAAGGCCUUAUCGAUGUCCGAUUGAUCUAAACUUUUAACCCAAUAUAAAACAAGGCCUCUGAAAUCUUCUGAUAAACUUCAGCUUGAUCCAACAGUCGGAUAAAAAAUUAUGCAUUUUAGAUUAAAACUAUAUAUUAUGAAUUUAUUAGCCCAUAAAAUAGAUGGAUCAGGCCCUUCUUGUGCAUAAAUUAAAUUGACUAAGAUCUGAUCAUCACUUGUUGAAGAUGUAGCCUCGUUGACCCAAAUACUCCAAAUAAACCCAUUGAAUGCAUCAUUGAGCUUUUUUGCCAUUGAUAUUGUAAUAUGCUCAUCUAAACUUCUAGUGGAUUAUUUGGUGUAGUUUGGAUCGCAUAAUCCUUUAUGUCCUUAAUAGGAUUUGACCUUGAAUCUCCACCAAUAUCAAAUAAAAAAAUAAAAAAAAUAUUGAAAGUAAUACUAACACUAUACUCAUUUGGUAAAUUCACUUUACAGACAUUAUCGUUAAUUCUUUCAAGGAUUUGGAAUGACUCAUCUCCUCUCAACAUCAAUUUAGAUCUUCUUUGUUUAAUAAAUCUCUUAUUUCAUAUAUCCACCCAAACCUAAUCACUUGGUCUGAAAAUAUCUAUCUUUCGCCUUUUUAUUAGCUUUGAAUGUAUAUUACUCGUUUUUUUUGUAUUUGUCGCCUCGCAUUCUCAUAAAAAUCAUUUACUACCUGUGAUUUUUUAUUGUCAUUAAGACUAGCCCUUUCAUCAAUAAAUUAAAAAAUUCAAAUCAAAUCCAAAAAAGUUAAAGGAUUAAAGUUAUAGACAAUUUCAAAAUAAGAAUAUUCAAUAGUAGAGUACACACUUAUAUUAUAAGCAAAUUCAAUAAAUGGCAGACAAUAAUCCUAGUUUUUUAAAUUCUUUUGAAUGAUAGUUCUUAAUAAUGUAGUUAAAGUCUGAUUAACUACUUCAAUUUGAUCAUCUAUUUGUGGAUAACUAGUAAAAAAUAACAAUUUUAUUCCUAAUUUCCCUUACAAAAACCUUCCAAAAGUGACCUAGAAAUUUAACAUCAUGGUCGGACAUAAUGCUCUUAAAUACUCUAUGAAGCUGAACCAUCUCACUAAAGAAUAAGUCCAUUAUGUUAAUUGCAUCAUCGGUUAUUGCUACCCAAUGUUUUCCUUCAUUUUUUGAAAAUUUUUGAAAAAAAACUAAAAAUAGCAAAAAACAACAAAAACCAAAAAAAUAUGUUCUUGAUGUCUUUGCGUCAGUUGCAAUGUCUUUUUCUAUGCGAUCAGUUAUUAACGCGUCUUUUUAAGUCAACAUUAAUGUUACUUUUUUUUAAAAUAAAAUCAAAAUAGAAAAAUAGAAAAAUCAAAAUUUACAAAAAGAACAAAUGUGAAAAGAAAAAAGUUGAAAAACCAAAUUGUUUUUUUGAGUUGUUUGAUCAUCAAGUUUGCUUAGAGACUAAACAAUUAAACAUAAUAAAAUCUUUUACUUAUAAAUAGAUGAUUUCCCCCAAAAAGUAGGAAUUAGUUAGAGAAGCAAACAAGAAAUCAAUAAAUAAACCUUCUCUCCCUGAAAACAUAAAAAAAGAUGACCCCCUCUCAUUCUCUCCCCAUCUACCAUCGCUGGUUAGGACCGUUUUCCCUUAUUCUUUUCCUUUAUUAAGAACCCUCUCCAGACCAUGCAAGCCAACACCAUUCACCAUUACCAUCUUUAACCCAUGAUCUCCUUAUCCCAUCCACCAUGAUGGCCCAUCAGACGCCAACAAAUCCAACCAUAGCCCAUCGUUAGCAGAGUUUCGAAAAGAAAACAGUAGCAAUGCUAAUAUAGUGAUAGUAGCAGCGACUGUCAUUUCCUUUUAUUUUCUGAUGUUUUUAGUGGGGUCUAAAAAGACUUUGGGGUCAGCAACAACACCUGUAAGCAAUAGUAAAGGUGAUGAGGAGGGUUCAAGAACAUCAACAAUAAUAACUUGGUUGAUUUCCUUAGAAGAGAUUUCGUAGCAGUCCAACCAUACCUGUUUGAUAUUGCAACAACAACAACAAUAGCUUUCAGCAUCUGUAGCUCCGAUCCCCAAAGUCCCAACAACUGUAAUUUCUCCUCUGUUUCCUUCAAGAGCAGCAGUCUCUCCUCAGAAGGUGCGAGCACCUCCACAGUGAUUUUCCAGCUCCAGCACUUCAGCACAGCAGCGCUGCAUCACAUGAACUCCAAUGGUAUCAGCUUCAACACAAAAGCCCAUCUAUCAAUCCAAUCAGCAGCUCAACUAAAGUCUCCCUAUACAUGGCAACCAGCAACAACAACAACAUUCAUUUCAUCAUCAAUCAACUACAACAAUGAAGGAUUUUUCUACAGUGAAAGAUGAAAGAAUAAAGAGAGAAAGAUGUGCAGAAGAAGUAUUACAGAAAUAUAUUUACUUAAUUAAUUUCUAUACUGUUACAUCAUGGUCUUAUACAUAUUAUAAGAUAUACACUUAAUUCCUAGAAUAUGUGUUGCAAAUAUGAUUACCAUUAUCUUCAGUAUCAGUAAUCUCUUAUGCAGAUAUGAUCAGAGAUCACGAUUAUCUUCAGUAUCAGUGAUCCCUGAUCAUGAUCUCUUCAGUAUCAGGGAUCCCUGAUUAUGAUAGCAAUCCCUGAUCAUGAUUAUCUUCAGUAUCAGUAUUAUCUUCAGUAGAUGUGAUAUUAUAUUCAGUAUCAAUAAUCACUGAUCAUGAUUAUCUUCAGUAUCAGUGAUAAUCUCUUGUGCAGAUAUGAUCAGAGAUCACGAUUAUCUUCAGUAUCAGUGAUCCCUAAUCAUGAUAGUAAUCCCUGAUCAUGUUUAUCUUCAGUAUCAGUAUUAUCUUCAGUAGAUUUGAUAAUAUCUUCAACACACCCCCGCAAUCUGAACGGGAGGUUACAAACGUUGAGAUUGGAGCACAGAAUAUUGAACCGAGCAGCAGAGAGUGGUUUUGUAAGGAGAUCGGCUAGCUGAUCACGACUAGACAGAAAAUUGACAGUUAAUUUAUUUUUAGAAACAAGAUCUCUGACGAAGUGAAAAUCAAUCUCGAUGUGCUUUGUGCAUGCAUGAAACACUGGAUUGGAGGAUAGAUAUGUGGCACCAAUAUUAUCAUACCAAAGAGUGGGACUUUGAGGUAGGUGCAAACCAAGUUCUGCAGCUAAAAAUUGUAACCAUUGGAGUGCAGUUGCAGUGUCUGCGAGAGCCUUGUAUUCAGCCUUGGUAUUGCUACGAGCAACUGUAGCCUAUUGUUUGCUACGUCAGGAAAUUAAAUUUGAGCCAAGAAACACACAGUAGGCACCAACAAAGCGACGAUCAUCUGUGUCCCCUGCCCAAUCUGCAUCAGAGAACGGCUGAAAUGUGAAGGAGCUGCUGCAAGACAAUAGUAAACAGUAGGAGAUGGAGUGUUUGAGAUAGCGCAGGAUUCUCUUUACACAUAUCCAGUGGGACUGUUUUGGUUGAUGCAUGAAUUUGCUAACAUGAUGAACAGCGAAAGCAAUAUCAGGCCGAGUGAAUGAGAGAUAAUGAAGGCUACCAAUAAUGCUUCUGUACAGGGUAGGAUCAUCAAAUGCUUCAGUAUCAAUUGUUGUCAAUGCCACAGUGGUGGACAUUGGAGUGGAACACGGCUUAGCACCAUCCAUUUUGGAUUUUGUAAGAAGAUCAGCAAUGUAUCUGCGUUGAGUGAGAUAGAGACCUGUAGCAUCACGUAUGGCUUCAAUGCCUAAGAAAAAGCUGAGAGGACCAAGGUCAGUGAUAGCAAAUUCCUUAUGCAGUCGCUGAAUGAUAUCUGUGACAACGACAGCAUUAGAACCAGUGAUGAUAAUGUCAUCAACAUAAAUGAGGAUGUAGAUGAUGUUAGAGGUGUCGGUGUGCACAAAGAGUGACAAGUCUGCCUUGCUGCCAACAAAACCGAAUUGUAUCAACACAGCAGCAAGGCGUGAAAACCACUGGCGAGGUGUUUGUUUAAGGCCAUAUAGGGAGCGUUUGAGCUUACAGAGAUGAUCAGGAAACUGAGGAUGUUUGAAGCCUGGAGGUUGAUCCAUGUAAACCACUUCUGACAGAUUGCCAUGAAGAAAUGCAUUUUGGACAUCCAGCUGACGAACUGUCCAAUUGUUGCAGACUGCAAUGGAUAAAACAAGCCGGAUAGUUGCAGGUUUUACAACUAGACUGUAAGUUUCAUGAAAAUCCACCCCUAGCUGCUGAUGAUAACCUUUAGCUACCGGUCGGGCCUUAUAUCUUUCAAUGGAGCCAUCAGCUUUCGUUUUAGUCUUGAAAAUCCAGCGACAACCAAUGACAUUUAAGAUGGCGUGAUGGAGGGACCAGUUCCCAAGUUUGAUUGCGGAGCAAGGCAUCAAAUUCAAAAUUCAUUGCAGAUCACCAGUGACAAGAUUUGAAGGCUUCAGUAAAUGAGGUAGGUUCCUUGCAGGAGGGAGAGGCAAAAACUUGUAGUGCUCGAGGUAGGGGAUAUAAGCUGUGUCCAUCAGGGGUUCUUUUUGGUUUGGAAAUGUGAUUUUUUGAUCUUGUAACCAUCGGGUGAGUAUUUGAAAUGGCUGGGAUUGUGUCUGUGGGAUGUGGAACUGGUAUGGGAGGAGAGGCAGGGGUAGUAUCUGCUGGGGAUUGAGGUGCCGGCUCUGGAGUUGGAGACGAUGCUGGCAGAGGAGAGUCAAUGUGUGGCGAUGGUGAAGUUACACAUGUACCUGCAGGCCGGGUCCCGGGUCGACCCGCCGGGCCGGUCCGGGUUUUAAAACACUGGUCUGGACAGAUAGAAGGUUGGUGAUCAGGACUUUUAUAUGGAAAAUGGUUUUCAUCAAAAACGACAUGACAUGAUACAUAAACUUUACCUGUUGCAAGAUCAAGGCAUUUAUAUCCAUGAUGGUCCAAGUUAUAACCAAUAAAAAUACAGUUUUUAGAUCUGAAAUCGAAUUUUAUGUUUGUUAUAUGGUCGAAGAUAAGGCCAGCAUGCACAACCAAAAACUUUAAGGAAAUGAUAGUCAGGAGUAUGACAAUAAACAAUUUCGUAUGGAGAUUUUUUAUUGAGAAUAGGAGUAGGGAGACGAUUGAUAAUAUAAGUGGCCGUGAGAAAAGCAUCUUCCCAAAAUUGUUGUGGAAGUUUAGAAUGUGAGAGUAAGGAAAGACUGACCUCAACAAUUUGUUUAUGACGACGUUCAACUGCACCCAUUUGCUGAUGAGUGUAUGGGCAUGCUCUACGGUGAUGAAUGCCAAUUUGAGUUAAAAGUGUAGACAUACGGCGAUAUUCGCCUCCCCAAUCAAAUUGAAUGUUUUUUAUGGUACGAUUAAAUUGUCGUUCAACUGAAGUUUUAAAGAGUAGAAAGACUUUCUCAACAUUAAGUUUAAGAGGAAACAACCAUAUGAAUUUAGUGCAAUCGUCUAAAAAACAUAAAUAGUAUCGAGCACCACUGGUUGACAAGAUGGGUGUUGGUCCCCAAACAUCAGUAUGCACUAUGUCUAAAGGAUUAAUAGAUUUGUGAUUGCUGGUUUUGAAAGACAAUUGACUGCUUCUAGCUAGUUGACAAUCGGAACAAACUGGAAGCCUUUUAUUUGCAACAGGUAACGUAAAUGUUGAAAUAGAUUUUUGAAGAACUGGAAAGGAUGCAUAACCAAGCCUGUUGUGCCAUAUUUGGUAAAAAGCUCGUACAGCAGUGAGUGCAUGAGGAGGGAGUGUGUCUGACAGGCUGGAGAAUGAAUACAGACCAUCUUUAAAGGUGCCGUGAUGAAGGAUUUUCCCCGAGUAGUCCUUAAUGAGAAAAAAACGAUCAUGAAAUUCAAAAAACACAAGAUUAUCACUGCAAAACUGUUGAACAAAAAUUAGAUUUUUUUGAAUUUCAGGGACAAUAAGUAAUUGUUUGAGCACAAAAGGUGUUUUUUAAGGAGUUAAAAUAGAGGAACCAAUUUGAGAAAUUUGCAAACCUGCACCAUUGCCAACAAGGACUUGAUCUGAACCAGUAUAGUCUUCACUCUUAGAUUUAAGUUGGCCAUGUUAUUGGUGAGAUGGUGUGUAGCACCUGUAUCAGGAUGCCAAUCAGUUACAGAAACAGAACUUGUUGUAGCCAUCAGACCUUGCACAUUGCUGGAUUUUGCAGCAUUGUCACGAUAGGUAACGUUAAACCGAUGAUAGCAUUUUUUUGCAGAAUGGCCAGGUUUAUCACAGACCUGACAUAUCAUAGUAUCUCUAUGAAAUGUGUUCCUGCCAUUGGAACCAUUAUAGAAAGAGACUUCUCUGUAAUUCUGACCUCUGCCUCUGUAUGAAUUUCGCCCUCUAUAGGAAGAAGAAGAGGACUGACGAGUAGCAACAUGAACAGUAGGCUGGACAAUGGGUGAAUUGUGGUGCUGCAGACAUGACUCAGUGGUGAGUAAGAGAGCAUAUACUUCCUCUAAGGUGAUAGGAUCUGUGCGAGCUGUGAUGGUAGUAACAAAGGAGUCAUAAUCAUGGCCAAGACCCGAUAGGAGAUAGGAGAUGAUUUCAUCACAGUGAAGAGCAUGGUCGGCAACAGCAAGUUCAUCUAUCAUACGUUUGACCUGCAUAAAAAAAUCAUAGCUAAUUGUGCACCUUUACGAGUGUUGACGAGUUCAGUGCGGAGUUGAAUAACCCGAGCACGUGAUUGAGAGGAGAAGGAUUUGGCUAGAGCACACCAGAUUGCAGCAGAGGUGGUGUGAGAGACCACUUGAAUAAGAACGUUUUCUGAAAUUGUAGAGAAGAGAAUAGCAACUAUGAUGGCAUCUUGUCGUUGCCAAUGUUCAUAGAGAGGGUUAGAGAUGGCAGAGGAGGUUUCAGCCAUGGAAACUUCUUUGGGUGGGAUGGGAAUGGUUCCAUCAAGGUAUCCAAAGAGACCUUGUCCACGGAAGAAAGGAAUUAAUUGAGCUUUCCAGACAUGAUAGUUGUCUUUUGAGAGUUUUGUAACAUUUAUAGCUGGAGGAGAAACAAGUGGAGGAUUGCCAUUAGUAGCAGGAUUUGAGGUGUUUAGUGAAGAGGAAGCCAUUUGUGUGACAUGAGUUCAUGGCUCUGAUACCAUGAAAGAUAAAAGAAUAAAGAGAGAAAGAUGUGAGGAAGAAGUAUUACAGAAAUAUAUUUACUUAAUUAAUUUCUAUACUGUUACAUCAUGGUCUUAUACAUAUUACAAUCCCUGAUUCAAAAAUCCUAUCAUUAAGAAUGCAAUUAAUGAUAAGAUAUACACUUAAUUCCUAGAAUAUAUGUUGCAGAUAUGAUUACCAUUAUCUUCAGUAUCAGUAAUCUCUUGUGCAGAUAUGAUCAGAGAUCACGAUUAUCUUCAGUAUCAAUGAUCCCUGAUCAUGAUCUCUUCAGUAUCAGGGAUCCCUGAUCAUGAUAGCAAUCCCUGAUCAUGAUUAUCUUCAGUAUCAGUAUUAUCUUCAGUAGAUAUGAUAUUAUCUUCAGUAUCAAUAAUCACUGAUCAUGAUUAUCUUCAAUAUCAGUUAUAAUCUCUUGUGCAGAUAUGAUCAGAGAUCACGAUUAUCUUCAGUAUCAGUGAUCCCUGAUCAUGAUAGUAAUCCCUGAUCAUGUUUAUCUUCACUAUCUUAAGUAGAUUUGAUAAUAUCUUGAACAUACAGAAACUUACCUUCUAAGCAACGUCAUCUUCAGCAGUAGCAAUAUAUGAUCUUCCAGUAGCAGUCAUGGAAGUUCCUCUAUCACAACAACACCAUAAGCAUUUUUUCUUAUAGUCAUGGUUUUCUUUAGCAACAGCACCGUAGGUUCUUUCUAGCCAGACCAGUAACUUUUGGUAACAGCACCGUACGUGAGCCUCUCUAGAGCAACCUUGAGCCUCUCUAGUGCAACCUUUUUUCAUCUCCAACAGCUUCAACCAUGGACCACCACCAGUCGCAACCCUUCUUAGCUAAACCACCACCAUCAGCAAAGAUUUCCCAGAACCAAUAAAUGCAAUCGUGGCAUCCUCAACACAGGUAAUCUUUCUCUUUCUUAUAUUCUUUUGCAUGUUAUUUUGAUGAAAUGUAAUUAAUGGUGGGAGAAUAGGAAUGCUGGAAAUGCAGACAUGAUAUGUAUGUGUGUAUAUUUAUUUGUUUAGCCGAGGAUAUCACGGUAUUAUGCUGAUGAGUUGUAGAUUUUACAUGUUAAUUUAAUAUAUUUUAAUUUUAAUUUUUUUUAUAUAAAAAAGAUGUAUCUUGAAAAAAAAAAACUAUGUUUUUUUUUCCCUAGUUGUCCAGUUUUUUUUUGGACUUGUCAAGUUGAUCAAGCCACAUCGGAUCAAUUUCUACAUGAUUUAUUUUUUCCUUCUUGAAAACACGUUAGCAAUGCCUAGAUAUUUUCUUUUAUUUUUAUAAAAACAAUUGACCUAGCCCACAACAUAACCCAGGUAAAAUGAUCUGAUGAGUUGCUAAUUAAAUUGGUAUUUAACCCAUUCCAUUUUUAGAGAUGACACUAGUUAUUUGACUACGAGUUAAAUAAUUUUUUUUGGCAACAAAAAUAAAUAUGCAAACUUUUCAAAUGUGUUUUUUUAAUCUAAUUAUAAAUCAAAAAGCUUAUGCAUGCAUUAAAUUAAAUAUAUUAAGAAUCGAAUAUGCCAAUAAAUGCAAAAAACAAAAUAUUAACGUAUCUAUUCAACACGCUUCGUUGCGGGUCGAACAAUUUUUUUGAAAAAAAUAAAUAAAUAUGCAAACCUUUCAAAUGUGUUUUUUUAUAUAAUCUAAUUAUAAAUAAAAAGGCCUAUGCGUGCAUUGAAUUAAAUAUAUUGAGAAUCAUAUGUGCCAAAAAAUGCAAAAAACAAAGUGUUAACGUGUCUAUUCAACUCGCCUCUCUGCAGGUCAAAUUUGUUUUUUUCUAACGCAAAAGAAUUAAUAUGUAGAUGUUAUUAAUGUGUUUUUUGACAUUGAGUAACAAAUAUAACCAUGAAUCAAAAAGUCAAUACUUACAUAUAAUAAAAUAUAGUAAAUAUCAUAUGCAUUAAUAAAAACAUGUAAGAUCUCAAGCUAACUUUUAACGUAGCAGAAGAAUAGAGCAAUGUUAUAAUUGUUAUUGUGAAACAUUAUUUUCUUAGUCUUUGUAUAAUAUAUUUUUAAAAUAUAAAUAAAAAAAUCACAAAAAAGUAAUAAAGAUAAGACAAAAAAUAUAUAUAUAUAAAUAGACAGAAUGUAGAGUGAUAAAUAUUCAAAGUAUAAAAAAUAAAAAAUAAUAUUUUUUUCCCAAAAAAAGUGUAAAGAAAAAAAAAUAAAAACUAAGAAAAUAUUACAAAAAGUGAAAAUAAAAAAUAGUGAUAAAUAGGCUAAGUGUAAAAUGCAUAGUUUUGAAAUCCGGCCUCUGCCUGGCAGGCCAACCCGGGGCUGGAACCGGGCCGGGUUGAAGAAAAAAAUAGGGGAAGGAAAAACCCAGCGUGACCCGGCUGACCCGGCAGGUUGACCCAGCGACCCGGUUGCAACCCGUUGACUUUUGUUUUUUUUUUAACAAAAAUAACGUCGUUUUGAUUUAAAAAAAAUAAUUGACCCGGUGACCCGGUCAAAACCCGAGACCCGGGCCUUGGACCGGGCCGGGUUUGAAAACUAUGGUAAAAUGAUAAAAAUAUCAAGUAUAAAGAGAAAUAAAAUAUAAAAAAAAAACUUGUUUUUUUCAAAAUAAAAAUUAUAAUCUUGUCACCGCUACAAUGCCACUACAGUAAUAGAUAAAAUUUAUAAUUGAACCAUCUAGGUGGUGGUCCAGUGGUAAAAGUUUGGGACCAAGAGGUUUGCUCCCUCUGUGGUCUCAGGUUCGAGCCCUGUGGUUACUUAUAUGAUGGCCACUGGAGGCUUACAUGGUCGCUAACUUCAGGGCCCAUGGGAUUAGUCGAGGUGCGCGCAAGCUGACCCGGACACCCACGUUAAACUAAAAAAAAAAUUAUAAUUAUAUCAUUUUCACGUAAAAAUAUCAUUUUUUUAAUAAUGAUGAUGAAGAAGAAGAAGAAAUAUUUUGACCAGGGACAAAAUUGAUUAACCCUAAAUAGAACGGAGACUUAUUUGUCUAUUCGUUUCAUUGAAACCAUGCAACAUGUCGCUUCAAGAACCAACGACAUGCCCUCCACCAGAUAUUCGCAACCCAACUCGAAGGUUCUCUCUUCUUUUUCAUCGAGUGAGAAGUGAAGAGGAAGUUGAAUUUCAGAGACACUGUGACUGUAAAGAGAGAAAUGGGAGACCGCUCCUUCCCAAAUGAAAUGCCAGACUACAUACCAGAAACAACGACAACAGCAGUGGACGAAACAGUCACUGAAAGAAACAACAAAGACUCACUUACAAAUCUCCUGUCUUUGCCGUACAACAUUCUCUCUCAAAGACUUAAAGCAUCAGCCCUGGACGUCAAAGACACAGUUAAGUUUCCCCUUUCACUCAACUCUAUCCUUUUGACUUCUGGCUUCCAUUUGUUUCUAACUUUCAGACACACCCCAUCAUGUUACUCUAGUUUUUUUAAUGUUAAAUAUUGAAGGGUUUUCUUUUUUCUUAUUGGUUGUGUUUUAACUUCAGGUGGUGAGGGAGACAUGGGGAAUGAGUGGGAAGAGAGUGAAAGAUUAUAGUUUGUACACCGGGGCAUUAGGGACUGCAUACUUGCUUUUUAAAGCAUACCAAGUUACCAAGAAUCAGAAUGAUCUUAACUUGUGCUCUGACAUUAUCAAGGCUUGCGAUUCUGUUUCUAGAGAUUCUGGGUAUUCUCUCUCUCUCUUUUUUCUCUGUCUGUUUUGUUGCUGGCUCAUCCAAGAAUAGGUGUUACUACUCUUGGAUAUUUUAAUGCGGAAGUUGCUUUAGUUGUAUGGGAAUUGAGGUUCUAAACAACUAUGGAUUCAAUUCUUGCUUUAUCUGAGGUUUAAUCGGGAUAAAUUCAUAUUGAAUCGGGAUAAAUUCAUAUUGAAGCUCGUCGAUGUGUUGUGCUGCGUUUGAUUAUUCUAUUAUUACGGGAAUCAUGCACUCAGUUAUGGUUGUCUCGCUUUCUAUUAGCAUUUUUCUCUUGUAUUUGGUUAUUUGGUUUGUGGAAAUGCUCAAUUGUGUAUUUGAUCCUGGCAUGGCUUGUCACUGUAAAUGUUUAAAUUUUUCAAUAUGUUUGAAGUCGGCACUUAAUUUUGUAUGCCAAGUCUAGGUUAAAUUUUAGGUGCAAGUGUUACUUCCCAAUCCUUGGGGAAAACAGAUAAGUCAACUUGAUUUAGUUGCUUAUGUGAUCCGUUGGGGCUGCAGACGUGUGACAUUUAUAUGUGGACGGCAGACGUGUGACAUUUAUAUGUGGACGGGCUGGUGUUUGUGCUCUUGGUGCUGUUGCAGCAAAGCAUGCUGGGGAUGGAAGGUUAUUAGAUCAUUACUUAGCUCAGUUCAAAGAGGUGCCUGUUGCAUUUCUUCCCCUUCUAUGCAUUUUUUUUCCAUCAAAAGUUGGUUGCUUUUAUAUAUCUUAAUUAAUAUUUUUUCAUCUUUUUAUAAACCUAAUUAAUAUGAUUUUUUUUUUUUUUUUUACUCGAGAGCAGAUCAAACUUCCUAGUGAUUUGCCAUAUGAGUUAUUAUAUGGGAGAGCUGGGUUCUUAUGGGCCUGCUCAUUUCUAAAUAAGCAUAUUGGUAAAGAAACCAUAUCUACAAGCCGCAAAGUAAGGCAUUUCUUUUAUUUCUUUUCAAUCCAGCAUUCAUUAUUGAUUAGAUGAACCCUUUGCUAAGUUGGCUUUGAAACUUCUGCAGAGAGCAGUUGUGGAUGAAAUAAUUAAGGCUGGAAGAUUGACACGCAAGGGAAAAUGUCCACUGCUGUAUGAAUGGCAUGGAAAAAGGUACUGGGGUGCUGCCCAUGGACUGGCUGGAAUCAUGCUUGUUUUGAUGGACUUGGAACUGACACCAGAUGAGGUGGAGGAUGUCAAGGGUACUUUACACUACAUGAUUAAGAACCAUUUUCCCAGUGGCAAUUAUCCUUCAAGUGAAGGAAAUAAAUCUGAUUGCCUUGUGCAUUGGUGUCAUGGGGCUCCUGGGAUUGCUCUUACCCUUGCGAAAGCAGCUGAGGUAAUCCUUGUAUAGUGAUGCAAGCUGCAUAAGGUAGCCUAGGUGCUAAUGGAAUUUGUCUAGGCAUGUAUGCUUGUGUGGGUUGUCUUUUACCAUGUGCAUUUUGGCUUGCGUACCUGCCAAUAAAAAUUGGUGAAAGUACCUCAUUAGUUGAAGAUUUAAUGCUAUUUUUUCAUGUAAAUGGACAAAUAAAUAUUCCAUUGUUUGAUGACAUUUCUGAUCUCGUCCAUAUUAAGAAAUGAAGAAAGAAUUUCAGUCUCAUAGAGGAAGAACCAUUCUUCCAAAGUGGAACGAUCACCUGUCUUUUUCUAGUGCUAAAAGUUCAAAACAUGAGAUUGAACAAGUCAUCGCUACCACUUUCCAGAUGUCUGCAUCCACCUUUUUGUUUUUCAGUUAAAGACCAUAAUCUGUAGUCUUAUUUGUAAUAUAGAAAUGAUACUGGGACCUCAUUAUGAAUUUCUUUGCAAUGUUUGAAUUAUUCAGGUUUUUGGAGAUAAGGAGUUUCUGCAGGCAGCAAUGGAGGCAGGGGAGGUGGUUUGGAACCGGGGUUUGCUAAAGCGAGUUGGCAUAUGUCAUGGAAUCAGUGGAAAUACCUACGUUUUUCUUUCACUCUACCGAUUAACAGGUAAUGUGGAGUACUUAUACAGGGCCAAAGCCUUUGCUUGCUUUCUACAUGAUAGAGCACAAAAACUUGUAUCAGAAGGGAAGAUGCAUGGAGGUGAUCGCCCCUAUUCACUGUUUGAGGGUUUUGGAGGAAUGGCUUAUCUCUUCCUUGACAUCCUUGAACCAUCGGAGGCCAGGUUCCCUGCUUAUGAACUUUAGAUCGCCAUAUAAUAUUUCGACUGUUACUAGAUGUAUCAUAUCAUGUUUGCUUGUAAACCUUAAUACAGUCUGUAUAUAUUUGAAAGGAUUUAGCUACUUGAUUAUAUGGCUCUAACUUUUUGAAUUGCUUUCUUCUCAAGUAUAGAAUGCUCAUCAGGGAACACUACUAAAGAUUUUUUUAGCUUCGGGGCAUCUUAUUCAUACUGUGUUUAGCCACAUCUAGGGCCACGCCCACCAUGUGCAAUUCUCUGGUUUUAUCUGAAUAACUAGGUUCUUUUUCUUCGGAUAAAUAGAAAGAAUUUUACUAACAAGGAUAGGCAUUGUAGAUGAACUUUUAUUUCAGUAAUCUCUCUCUCUCUCUCUCUCUCUCUACAUGAAUUCAUUAUUUGGGGAACACUUGCGGUCUCUUUCUUUCCUUGAGCCUGUGGGUUAAUGGCAUGAUUAGUUGAUAAAGACCAGGGAAACUUUUCCAAGUCUGAUAUGGAAAAGUGAAAAUGAUGAGAAGCAACAACUGUUUUCAAGCCGCUGAUCCUUAUUAUAGUCAAAAGUUAAGGAGGAAGCUUAAAAUUUGGAAAAUGGAUUGAGAGGGGUAGAAAACUGUAUACAAGGCAACAACAAGUGAUUUUGCACAACAACGAUUUUGCAUUGGCCUUGACAAAAUACCAGCAACAACACUUCCAGCCAUUUGGCUUCUAUAAGUGCAAAACAACGAACAGACAGUUAGACACCACUUAUUUAUUGCAAAAUGGUCCAUUUAGCUGUUAAAUUGGCAAUAAAACUCUUUUUCUGAUUUGAAAGUGUUGAACCUGCCAACAUUAAUCAGAGAAAUCUGAACUUUGCAGUACGGGUGAGUGAUUUUAGUGCCAAUUGAUUGAUACAGAGUCAUCUACUCCUACUAAGUGAAAAUUGUUUACAGAAGCAAAUCAUCCAAAUCCAAACUCACGAAAGGACGCAGUAUUUUUAUUUUUUUUUUGCACUAACAUCAUCCUCUCCCAUGGCAAAGAUUAGUACACAAGAAACUCUCUCCAGCCUUUCUUAAUUAGGCCAAACCAACGAGUUUCUCGCUAACCUCCCACACUUUACGAGCCUUCUCCUCAUCACUAGCUUCUUGAGAUAGCUGAUUCUCAAAAGAAGCCGAGUCCUUGUUCCAACUCCAGUAGACCCCUGAUUUUGUCAAGCUUGGAUCACUCACAACCUAAACAAGAAAGAGCAGAUUAUGUUAUUGCACGUUAUACAAGCCCAUAGCAGAGCAUUUUUAUUUCUAUAGUCUCCCCUGUUUUGGUUACCUGAGCAAGUCUUUUUCCAGCAUCUUCCUCGGAGACGAAGCCCUUAGUGAUGUACUUUUGGAAUGGAGGGAAUAGAAGCCUGAACAAAGGAAUGUGCUCCCUGAACAAGCCUGUUGUGGCAAUGCAACCUGGGUAAAGGGAAGCAAAUGUAAUGCCAGUUUCUUCAUGGAAACGCCUGUGGAACUCUUGCAUAGUGAGCAUGUUGCAGACUUUGCUAUCCUUAUAGGCUUUGGCACCAUCAAAUUCACCACCAUCAAUCAUAGCUGAGCUGUUUAGCCCAUUCAAGCCCCCUGCAAGUCCCCUCAAGUCACCAAGAUUGGCCUUGGGAGGAACAUUGCCAGCCAAUGUAUUUGUGUUCCCUAAAACAUUUCACAGAAACAACACCAAAUUUAGUGUAAACAAUCGAAACAUAUUCACAAGAAAGUGAACCUUAAAUGUAUUAUAGUGUAUAUACCUGUAAUUGAGCCAACAAUUAUGAGACGUUUCGAUGGGUAAUCAGAUUUCUUCAUGUCCUCAAGCAACAAUCUUGAAAGGAGGAAAUGACCCAAAUGGUUAGUUCCAACACUAAGUUCAAAUCCUUCAGCAGUGAAUGUAGGCUCUUUUGCAGUUGGCAGGUAAACAGCAGCAUUGCAAACUAGCACAUCAAGUGCCCUUCCUGAUCGCUUAAAGGUAUCCACAAAUUGGCGGACACUGUCCAGUGAAGCAAGGUCCAGAUGCAUAAUGGUGCAGUUCUCUUUGGCAAUGCCAGCUGAUUUAGCAGCCCUUUCUGCCUUAAGGAAGUCUCUGCAGGCCAUAAUUACAUGCCAUUUUCCAGUUUCAGCUAGAGCCUUAGCUGCUGCUAGACCUAAUCCAGAGGAGGCACCAGUGACAAUGCAGCAUCCCUGUCUAAGAGUUUUCUUGCCGUCUGAAGAAGCCCUGUUGACUGCUGGAGUAGCAGUGGCCAUUGAUUGGGCUCUUACAGUCCUAACUCUUUGGUUGAAUUCCCUCUGCGGUGAAUAAUAUUAUACAAAUGAAUUCAUUAGAAAAAUCCCUUUUGAUUGCGAGUUUGAAUUAAUGCAUUUUCAGCCAAAAAAAAAAAGCAAGAAUGAACCGGCAUAGUAGCUACCUUCCACUUCAAUGUAGAAGAGCUAAAGUCAGCUUUGACAUGGUCUGAGAGUGAAACUCCAAGCAAGCUUGACUCCUUCAAAGAUGCACUAGAUUUUCCCUGCAUAGACAAAACCACUGCCAAAAUCAACACUAAAUUUUCCAUCAAUGCAACAAGUAAAAACAAAAACAAAACAAAGCACUACUAGUAUCUGACCUCUUUGGGGACAACAAAAGCAGAGGAAACCAAAGAAGCAGCCUGGAGAGCCAUUACCGCUUGCAAAGCAAACUCUGUGCCUCGUAAAAUGGGUUUUCAAAUCCUUUGUUUUAAGGACUGUAGAUUUUGUAUACAGUACUGGCUGGAGUGAAGAGCUCAGCUUAGAAGUGUGCAAAGCUUGAGCUUGUUUGGAAUUAUAUGUGAUGUGUGUGUUGGGGGGAGGAUAUGUUUGGCAGACAGGAUAAGAUAAUUAGCAGUGAAUGUAUCUUCCACAUCACUUCCAAGCACCAAUGAGACUUUGAGUUUUGGAUUUCCCAUGAUAUUGAUGGCCUUGUUUUUUUGUUCCUUUGAUAAUUGACAAAUAGUUAGGGAUAUUUGGGUGCGUUUCCCAAAAUGUUCCACUCCUCUUAGCUAUGGGCUGGGAGAUAUGGAGGUGUUGAAUAUGACAGGGAAUGGUGGGGGCAUAUUUCUGGAUUAUGGAUUAAGAGGCUGUGCCAGUCGAGCCAAGGUUUUGCCAGCCUCUCUAUGGUUAGGGGGGUUGGUUGCAGACUUGGAGCCAAGGCGCCAUGACAAAGUGGAGGGUCCCCGGUUGCAGUGACGGGGACAUAAAUGUGUUUGGAUCUUGGUAGCCGCAAUGGGCUUCCACAGAAUUUUAUUUUUUUUGGUUCAGGUCCAUUUGUACUAUCACCCGCAAGCUCUCAGCUAACCCAUCACUAUGAGUUGGGGGAUGGUUAAGAGCGGCCCUCUUAGCUGCGGAAAUGUGCUUGCCUGCCAAAGCUCACACCAAGUGGUAACUUUUGGGAUAUAACCUUACUAGCUGUUAAGACCAAGCCUAGGAUUAAUGGACAAAAUGAUAAGCCAAUCUUCUUCAUUGUAAAUGUCUAAAUUAGCUCCAUGGAAAGAAAAUGGCACAACUCAUUUGGUUCUGAAACAAAAGAACUGCAGCUGUGAGGUCGCUUCAAGAACGGAUAAAAACAGUGCUGCUGAGCGCCAAUAAUUGAAUAGACAACAAUGGGUUAAAAGUUAGAACCUACAAGACUAGACAUGAUCAUUAAAGAAUAUGAAAGAAUUUCAUUUUAAUUGAAUAAGGUUUUUCCAUGCUCAUAACUCUACAUUUCCCGACUUGACAAAUACAUCGGUUUCUAAAUUCAUUGUGUAGCCCGCCCGCCCCCCCUUUUUUUUUUUAACAAAUCUAUUUUCUUCUCAAUGCUCAUCCAUCGGCACUCAAUAUCCAAUGAGCUGAAGCACAAGGAAAGAAGAAUUGGAAAUCGCUAAAUAUUACACAUCUCACCAAAUACCUCUGUACAUGUUUUAACAAGUGGCGAAAAUGAACUGCAUUGAUUUGCCAUAUCAUUUACCCCCUACUCAGAGACUGCCUCUCUUUUCAGCCCCUUAAAUCCGAACUGGCAAUCCAAAAUUUUGGAAAGUUCUGAUUUCCCCUCGAAGGCCGGCAGUUACAAUCACCAUACCAUAGGCAGACACACUUUCGCUUAACCCGUUGGAGAUAUCCACACUGGCAUGAGGACUCCUUGUUCUAGUCGCUAAAUUAAGCUUUUCCUCUGGCCAUGUUGCUGAUAUUCUGUCAAAGAAGUAACCAUUGGUUGCACUAGAAAUAAUUCCAUUUAGAGGACUAUUUGUGCACCCGGAUAAAGAUUGUGAACCCUCAAUACUUGCUUCCUCAACAGGAGUAGGGGGGUGAUUGACAAUGGAAACCUCAUCAAGAUGGUUAUCGAGGCCACUCUGUUCUCCAGAUAAAGUAUCUUGUAGUUCCCAGGUGUCUCCCAUGCCAGGCCAUGGGAUCGCCACCGAUGCAUCUUGACAAUGGAAAUGCUCAUAGGAGCUUGUGACAGUAACACCUUUGCUUCUGCUAAGUCGGGAAUCAGCUUCAUGCUUCCAGACAUAAACAUAUGAAUCCUCACUAGCAGAGACCACAUAUUUUCCAUUUGCUGUGAGAGAAGCUGAGAUUUGGCUGUUGGUGUUACGAAACCCUAUCACAGAAUCAUCAACUUAAUCUUUGAGAAUGGAACAAUCCUAAAAAUGCAUGCAUAGGAAAGAGGGGGGGGAGCAAAGACAACAAGCACUGCUAAAUAUAUGAUUUUCUAUGACAAGCAUUAAAAUGGAGGUUAAUGAAAAACCUUUCAGCUUUUGCUGAUUGAAACAACCAUUGAAGCAGCUGAAGAGAUCAAUUCGUUUCUGUUCAAGACCUACACUAUCAAAUUAUUACUCCAGAAGAUUUUCACCUUCAAAGUUGAAGAAACAGUAUUAAAGACCUUGAAUUCUAAAACAAGAUCGCAUCACUUGUCAAAACCUUAAAUAGAUAUAGAUAAUUUAAAUACUGUUACCAAGUCUAAAGUGGAAUCACAAGCACCAAAUUUUACGCCUUUGAUACAAGUUUUAGCCUUGGGAACAUGGGUUCAAAUGUACAAAAAAAAAACAAAUAAGCUACAUGCAAUCAAUUUCCAAAAAAAAAAAAUUGAAUAACAGUAAGAUCAAACAUUUCCUAUUCCACCUCAUAUGAAGACUCCUUAAUAUAUGCCAUUUCAAGUUGUUUAAAACUAAGGGUGUCCAUGAUUUGAUAUUGUGUCAUUGUAUAUCAUAAAAAAUCCUAAAAAUGCUUGACUUUAUCUUCUUACUGCCUGCUCAUACAAAAAACUGUGACUGAUUCCCAUCGACUCUUGAACUUAAGCAGCUUGUUCUCAUUAUUUCUACCAACAAAAUAUCUAUUAUAUUAUGGUCCACUAUACAAAGCCCAUUAGGAUAAGCUUAUCCUAGGUUUAGUUAAAUCAACCCCUAUAUAUAUAUAUAUAUAUAUCAACUUUAUUGACUAAUACCUGAUUACAAGCAUGUUACUGAUACGUGGGGAGGGGGAUGGUAGAUGAGACCUAUCAUACAGGGUGCACUUGAGAAAUCAAGGCAGAAAAUCAGGUUUUUCAAAGAUUCCACUUAUGAUGACAAAUAUACCAUAUAUUUUUCAAGAAGAUUAUGAUCUAAAUGCAAUUCAUCCUCUUUUCACUAAUACAGGAUCAACGUGUUUUUUCGACACUGCAUUACCAGCCCGUAUUCAAGCACUAGGCAAACCAAAAUAGUUGAGACAUUAUGAAAACUUGAGCUAGAAUAGCAUAGUUUAGUUAAAAGAUCUAUGUACACCAAACGCAAAACUGCCAUACAGAAAUUCUCUUCCAACACCCAGAAUAACCCAAAAAUCAAACUUAAUGUUAAAAUUCAGAAUUGUGUAAUCUGGGAAAUAUAUGCUGCUUACAGCAUACGUGAUAUUAUGGGGCAACAUAACCUUUACUCAGUUUUUUAAGAUAAGCCUGGAUAUCUUCAAAUAUUUUAACAGCAUAAAAAAGCCUGACUCCUAUAUGUCACUAGCUAUUGGAUAAGCAGGAAAGGAAAAGAAAAGGCUGCUAUCAUGGAGAAUUAAAUAAACAUGAUUUACUUCUCGUCCUCUUAAUUUUACAUCCAAUUUCUGUAUAUCUCACUUCAAAAGGCGGGAGAAAUUGUAGGAUUCAGUUCUUUAGGAUAACAUUUUAAAAGGCAAGAGUAGAAUGAGGUAUUUUACCCCUCGCAAGGCAUAAGCCUUGGAUUUUUACACACAUGCUAAGCAUGUAACUAGGUAUUAUAUCAAAUAAACAAAAUUAAGUAUAAAUGUAAAAGAAUAUAUUUACACUACCAAUAUAUGUUACUAACGAAACCAAGGAAAAUAUUGGCAAAUGAAGAAAUGCUUAAUGACAAAUUAAUAUUCCAUAAAAGUAAAUAUUGUCAAUAAAGUUUUUCAAAAAACAAAUAUGCAUAAUUGUGCAAAGUUAAUCUUUAAGGCAAACUGAGACCACAGUGCAUCAAGGCAUGCCCCAAAACAGAGAUUGGGAAGUUUGUUAAGGUCUCCAUGAGGUUUAGACCUGGGAGAACUUUUAUUUCAACACUGAUGUGUGGAAAAGAACUGGCAGCAUUGCUUUAAGUCACACUGAUAGGCAUGAUGUGCAAAGUUGUAUUCAAUGCUAGCUUUUUUCUAAAUCAUUGAAACAAAGACCUGAUGGACUGGGGUUUACUAUUUCACAGAGCCAAAAAGUCUUGGCUCAAAGUAUUUUUGCUACCUAAUUGCUUUGGUAUUAUUAACUUAAUCAUCCUAGUCAGGUUACAAGAUAAUGUUUUUCAUGCAUGAUUUCAUUACAACGUGGCCAGAAAAGAUCAGAAAAGAAAUGAUAAGCCAACAUUCUUACCUUUGAACUUGUGAACCAGAUCAACACCAUCAAUAACUCGAAUUCGAGAAUCAGCUGACGUGACGAUCACUUCUGAUGAACUUCCUGGAGCAAACUGUUUAAUAAAACUGAUCAGAGGACUGAAAGCACCAUAAAAGGUACUAGUGCAAAAAAUGCACAGCAGGUUGUUCCUUGUGCAAAAAAAAAAAUGUAGCAGGAAAUGGAUUCAAGUAUUUUUCAAAGCUAAACCAAACAUGUUAUCUCUGGAGUUGAACAUCAUACUAGAGCCACCAAAUUACCUGGAAUCCAGUGAUUUUUUUUAGAUGAGCUUUCUUCUUCUUAUUUUGCAGAUUAAUUUGACAUUUUUGUUGCAACUUAUUCUCUGAGAAGAAAAGACAAAUAACAAAAGAAUAAUUAGUAGUCAGUGAGUGGGUGAAAUUUGAGAAUGGUGGGUAAGAAUCAACUUGUACCACAUGUAUUGUAUAAACAGCAGCUUCCCUUGUACGAACCAACAAGUGCACCCUUCAGAAAACCAUAAAAAAAAAAAGUUAAGCAAAAACCUUGAAACCUUGAAUAUUAUAUACAGAAGGCAAAACGUGGCCUACCUGACCAUCUGGGGUAUAGCAAGCCGCAGUGACUAUCUCAUGCAGAUCAUUCCAAUCAACAACUUGACGAUCAGGAAUACUCCAAAUGCGAACCUUUGCAUCUAAGGACCCACUAAUGAAGUAUCUAUCAUCAACAGGAUUAAACUGGAUGCAUGUUACUGCAUCAUGGAAAUCCAUAAAUAAUGCAAUUAGCAAAGUUCAAGGAAAGGAGGAAAAAGAUCUUUGCUAGUUUUGACCAUCUCAUAAAAGAAAAUGUUAAGCCAAUCUACAAGAAGUCACAUUAAAUGUUAAGAAAAUCUAGAAUGUCAUUGAACCAGUGAAAUAGGGUUUUGAAAAUGCAGUUAAGUGUGAACUCCUGUCUUCCAUGCUUAUCACAGAUGAGAUCUUCUAUUGAAAAGGGGGGCAAUUGUAACAGUAGCUUUUUAAGUAGUAGGUUGCAAAGUUAUAAGCAAUGCAAAGAAUAAGCAUAAAAAGGUAUGGCAAAACAUACUUACCAUAAUCACUGUGAGAAAAGAUUUUCAAACAAGUAUUGCUAGACAAGUGCCAUAGGCGUACAGUUUUGUCCAUAGAAGAAGAAAGCAGGUGCUGGGAAAAGAAAAAAAAAUGAAUUUCGUUAGGAUAGGCAAGAAUAAACUGGUGGUUCAUGAUUCUUAACGAAGACAUUUGUGCACACAUCUCAGUUCACAGUAGAGCUAAGUAAACUUAAAUGGCAACAAGCCUCCCCAGGGCUUCUGAAACACCAUCCAGAUGAGGUUAAAACCUAGAACUCAUCAUCUCCCUCCCUCUCAAAAUCUUCACAGCAAAAUGUUAAAUAAACUUAAUUCAUAGUUGAAUAUCAACUUUUGUACACUUCCAAAAUAUGUUUAAGAUACUGCUUAUGAUCAAUAAGUCUGUUAUAACUCAUUAAAAUAUAAACAGACAACAAAAUCUGUGGUAGCAUCACUGCUUUAGAGAACAAACUACAGCAAUCCUCUUGUAGCCAUGCAGAAGUUCAUGAAAUCUCGACAACAAAAAAGAAAGAAAGAAAAGAAAAGGAACAUGCCAACAGAUAAAAGUUGUCAAUAUCAGAAAACUAAAACUAAGUUGAAAGAAUGAGAUGAGAUCAGAAUAAGCAGAAUCUGAAGGCAAGGAAUCUUCAGAACUUUUCCAACUUGAAAAGCUGCCCAAAAUCCAUGAAUUUCUACUGUAGAGAAAAAGGUAGAGGUCCUUCUCAACAUAGCCAAAAUAUCACAAAUUCCCACUCAGUUGCCAUUCAUCUAACUUUUAAAAUACACCAUGGUGACAGAAACAAUACCAAAGGAUUUAAGGUGUUUGGAGGUGUGGUAGCAAUUGCUUUUCAAAGUGCUUUUCGCUCGGAAAUGCAUCAAAAAAAAUUAUUUUUUAAAAAACAUUUUUGAUAUCAUCAUAUUAAAACGAUCCAAAAAAAAAACUAAUUUUAAGCAAAAAUAAUCAGUUUUUUAAGAAAUGUUGUUUGGAACGCAAUUCCAAACGGCCCCCUAGUCAUUCCUUGUGAAAUUUCAUUGCUAGACAUUUCAGAUCCUAUGAUUUGAGGGUGGUCAUAAGUGGAAAGCUAUGCGAACUACCUAUGGAUCCCACUUUUAUGUGAGCAGGGGAGCGCUAAACUGGAAGAACUUAAUAAUCUCUCAGAUACUAGACAAUAGUAGUUUCUUUUGCACUCUAAACUGUCCACGUAACCAACAAUGAAAUAUUGAGAAACUGAACUAAGAUAUACAUAAAGCAAAAGAACUGGCAUAAAUUCCACACUGGCAAGUGUUAAAACUCUAUCUGGUUGAACCUUCUAUCAAGACAGGAGUCGAAAAACUCUCCAUAAAAGAAGACCUGAAAGUGAAAAAGAAAUUGGAAAGAAAAGAACGUCCCGUGUAAUGCUGCAUGGGUAUGGAAACUUUUAAAUUGCUCAAAGCAAUUAAGAGAAGAAUUACUUGAACCACAUCAUAACAAGAAGGCGUGUAAAUAACUAAAUCAGUUUUGCAUUUGCACUGCAUUCCACAUUAAAGAGCAAGAAAAGUUAAUAGCCGGAUGGUAAUGGCUAAAGGGAGAGAAUUUCAAAACGUCAAUCAACUAUAACAGAUGCAUAUAACUGACCUGAGACUUGGACCUUAAUUAUGAUUGAUGAAUGUGUGUUGCUUUUAGAACAAAAUUAAUAAGUAAGAAUAACAGAGUUGUAAAUUAACUAACCUGAGACUUGGACCAUGAAAGGUCGAGCACGUCAUCAAGAUGCCCUUCGAAUGAACAAAUGGGUUUAUCCGUGAGAGCAAACACAGUCUCUGGCAUGAUGAUAUGGUCCAGGCUCAAAGAUUUUCUGCUUAUAGAUGACCUCCCUCUCCUCUUCUUCUCCUGAUGGGUAUCCACAAGUGGUGACAACAAAUUAGGUUCUGGAGAUCCAUUUGCCAUCAACAACAAAUUCAAGCCCCCAUCAUAUGGUUUCUCCAUCAAUAAUUCUCCUUUCCUCUCCGACUCCACAACCUGCCAAAUGUUAAUGACACAAUCCUCACCUGCACUUGCUAGAUACCUCCCGUCCAAACUGAACUUAAUACUCCAAAUCGACCCAUUAUGAGCCUGUAUCUCCUGGCUCUUAUAAAGUGCACUCAGCUCUUUAGACGGCCUCCCAUAUUGCCUUACCCUCACUCUCUCUGGCCCGUGAAAUGACACAUCCUGGCUAUCAUCCGUAGCAGAACUUGACCUCCUCCCUCCCUUCUCCGAUCCAGUAUCCCUCUCAUCACUACUUCUCCUCUCCUUAUUGCCUGUCACACUAUUCGCCACGCUCUUUAUACUCCUAAACCAACUGCCCUUCUUUUUAAACUUUGAAACCCCACCUCCAAUCCCUCCAUUAGCAUCGGCAUCGAGAUUUUCUCUCGUCCCGUCCUCCACGAUUUGCCUCCUCAUCAAUUCUUGCACGAUCGGCGAAUGCCCAACAGACAUUUCAAACUCCUCCAUAGUCAAUUGCCUCCCAGUCCCAACUUCCUUCAGCUUAUUCCACAUCCCAUCUUCUCUUAUCUCAUUAACAACAAACUCUUUCCCAUUAUCAAGAUUCUUAAUAGUACAAACCCGCGAACCUCCCUCGUCCACCACUGCCCCAUCGGUAUCUCCCCCAUUACAUUCCAACUCCUCCGCCAACUCUUCCGCAAACUCCACCGAACUCCCAACUGACAAACUGCCAUUCAAAUCCCCAUUAGAAUUCGCAGAAUCUGAUCGAUUCACUUCCAUUUUCCUACAAUGUUGUUUCCCCGAAGGCGGCUUAUUAGGCGAAACAACAUCAACACUAACACUACCCUCUUUCGGAGAAGACCCAUUUUUGCUUUUGCAUUUUUUACCGCAACCAGCAACAAAAAGCCCAUUAUUGCUGUGCCUGUUGUUAUUAAUAUUAUUAUCACUACAGCUAUAAUUACUAUCAUUACUAUUUACAUUAAUUGAAUCUUGCAAAAAAAUGGAAGAAGGCGAACAAUAAACAGAGGAAGAGUAACACGAAUUAAAUUCAUCAUCAUCAUUGUCAUGAUCUACCGAACCGCCACUUUCUGAUUUCGAUCGGGCGACAGCAGUGGAAUCACUUGGACACAGACCAUGCAGUUUCUCUCCGAUCAAACGAUCCGAUGACAGGGAGCGGUUAAAAUAAAAAUCUCCGUUGUGGGCUGUUUCGGGUUUGGAGCGAGAAAGAGAUGGGUCGGAGCUGAGACCCAUCUGGAGAAGAAGGCGUUGGCGGCGUUCGGAAAUGGAUUCGGGUUGAGAGAUCCAAACAUGAUAAUUACUGGCAAGAAGACGAGGGGAAUUGGAACGGGUCGGGUCAGGAUCGGAGUCGGAGUUGGAAGUGGAGCAAGAACAAGAAGAGGAAGCAAUGCGAUCCAAUGACUCGUAGAAAUGUUCAUCUUCUUCUUCUUCUUUUUCUUCAACUAGUUGUUCUUCACCGUUACUGUUGUCGUUUUUGUCAGUAAUGGUGUCGUUUCUGCUCAUUUUUUGAGGGGUCAUUGUUGAGAAUUGAGAUAGCGUUAAGGGAAAGGGAGGGGGGCAUUUCAUUUCAUUUCAUUUCAUAUUUUCAUAGAAAUAGAAAUAGAAAUACAAAUGGAAAUGGAAAUGGAAAUGCCCCUAGUGAAAUGGGUUUCCAACCAGGAAAAACAAAAACGGUUUUCACUGGGUUUGUUGGGGGGCGUUGUGAAUGCUGAUGUUAUGUGGAAUGACGACGGAUGACAAUGUGAGGGAGGAUCGGAGGUCCGGUAAGAGAGAAAAGAGAGGGAACGAAGCCCGUCUGGUGUGGUGUGGUGGGAGGAGAUGUGCCACCGUUGGUGGAUGCCCUUUUCUGUGCGUGUUUUUGAGUUCGUUUUGUGUUUUUAGACAUUAGUGUUCAGGAGCGCGAUAAAUUCUGUUUUUUUAUGCGUUUUGUAUUUUAAUUAAAAGAAAAUUAAAUUAGUAUUUUUGAUAUACUAAUAAUAUAAAUUUAAAAAUUUUAUUUUAAUAUAUUUUUAAAUAAAAAUAUUCCAAGAAAACAUUUUACGUUACAGUGCCAAAUAAGGGAGAUUUGAGUUUGGAAUUUCUUUUAUAUGGGAUGAGAGUGGAAGUAUUUGUUAGAAAAAAACUAAAAAAUUGAUUAAAUUUAAAUAAUUAAAAAAUCAAAUCGUUAAAAAAAAUCAAUUAAACCAAUUAUAAUUUUUUAAAAACCAACCAGUUUUGUUCAGUUUCGAUUUUAUAAGUCUGAAACCGAAACAAUCGAACUGAACCGAGCUCAAACCGGAAAAAAAACCCAAGCCACACCGAAAAAAAAACCAACCAGUCUUGCCAAAGUUCUUUUUGUUCCUUUUAGUUUAGAGAUAAAAUAUUUUGAUUCAAAAUUUUAUUUUAUUUUUAUUUUGAUCCUUUUGUUUUUUGUUUUUUGUUUUUUGAGAGGAGAAAAAGAGUUCCUGAAAAAUAAAAAAUAAACGUCUGGCCUUUUUUUUCUUCUUCUUUUAAUUUUUUAUUCAAACCCUGCAUCUUUUUUAUACAUGUAUUUUUAGUUUAUGUUAAAUUUUUUAUUUUAAAUUUUGAUUAAGACUUUUAUACAUGUAUUUUUUGUUUAUGUUAAAUUUUUUAUUUAAAAUUUUGAUUAAGACUCUCCCUCUUGUUAAGGGCUAAGACCUAGGUCAUGGAUUGGAUAGGUUUGACCCGGGUCUAUCUAAAAUAUUGUUACUAUGGUAUUUUUUUUAUAAAAAAAAAACAUUGGAUCAAAGUCGUUUUAUUUUUAAAAAAGCAAAUUGGAUUUUUACCUUGUUAAUCGAGUCAAUUGAGCCACAUUUUAAUACUCGGGUUCACCUAGAGCAUGGUUAUGUUAAUAUUCAUACAAAAAAAAAACAACAACAACAACAUCUAUAAUUUUUUUAGUCAGACCAGGUUUUGAUUUAUAUCAAUCGAGUCGUAUUAAUUCAAUUAUCACACGAUUUAAUUUGAAAAUCAUAUUAAAUAAGAGUCAGGUCAUGGAGCUUCGUGUUGAUCUACAUGGUUUAAUGAGAUAAAAAAAGUUUAGACUAGACAUAUAUCUUUUUUAUUCUUAUUUUAAAGAAUCCAAGAUGUUUCUUUUAUGUUGAUGGUGAUUGUUUUUUAUUUUUAUCAAAUGAAUAACAUAAAAAAACAAAACAAACAUAUUUGUUUAGAGAUAAUAUAUAUCAAUGAGAGAAUGAUGGGUUAUAUUAAAAAAUUAUUUUGUUUUAAUUAAAUUUAAAUUAUUAUUUUUAUCAUAAAAAUAAAUAAAACUUUGAUAGCACCUUGCAAAACAAUUCCACCAUGUGCUGGUAAGGUUUAGCAUCAUAGCUAGGUAACAAAAAGCCAAGUUUGCUCCUUUGGACCAGUGAGCAUGGAAAUUUAAUGACAAAAAUGAUUAUAGUUGCAUGGUUGUCCAUUACCACAGCAUUGGUAGUACCAAUUGUAGCUGUGACCAUCCACCGCCAAACCUCCAUGUACCAAAAUUGACAGUACUAAAACCUGUAAAAUCACUGCAAUUAUUACUAUUCUUAUUCUUUUUUUUAUUAAUGUUAUUAUUGAAAAAAAAACAUAAAUAAAAUUAAAUGAAUAAAAUUAAAAACCAUAAAUUAUUAUUAUUGCGAUUAUUAUCAUUAAUAUAAUUAUUAUUAUUAGUAACAUCGUUACUAAUAAUGAUAGCAACGAUUGUUGUUGCUAUUAUUCUUGUUCUAUUGCUAUCACUAUUGUUGUUGUUGUUAAUAGUAGUAGCAACAACAGUAUCAUCGUCGUCAUCAUUAUUUAUCAUUAUCAUUAUUACUACUACAAUUAUUAUAAUAAUUAUUAUUAUUAUCACAAUUAUUAUUAUUGUUAUUGUUGUUAUUAUUACUAUUAUUACUAUUAUUGUUACCACUAUUAUUAACAUUAUUAUUAUUAUUUUGCCAACAGUGGAUGUUCGGGCCAGCUUACGCUCACCUUGACUAAACCCUCAAGGCUCUAAAAGUUAACAACCAUGUAAGCCUCCAGCAACCCUGAGGUUUAUGGCAUUCGAACUGGUGACUUCUGGGAAACAAACUCAUGGCCUGACCAAUUGAGCUACACCCCUUUAUUAUUAUCACUAUUAGUGUUGUUGUUGUUGUUACCAAUAUUAUUAUUAUCAUUAUCACCACUGCUUUAAAUAUUGAAAAAACAAAAACCAUACACGCGAUUUAAAUGAUGAAAUUGAAAACCAUAAAAACUUUGAUAAAAUAGCUAAAGAAGAAAUUAAAAAAUCAAAAGAAGAAUAAUCAAAAAAACAUUAUAUAUUACAAAUUAUAAUUGAAGGAUUAAACUAAAAACAAAUAAAAUUUUAACAAAAGGAAAAAUAUAAAAAACCAAAACCAAAAGGACUAAAUAUGAAAUACCAAUAAUAACGAGGACCAUAUCUCAUUUUUCAGGCUAGAAGAAAGAAAUAAAAGGGGGGGAAGAAAGAAAGGUCAACCAACGAUAAACCGGUUAUUGUAAGCUGGCACGGGUCACCUAGAAAGGAAAAGGAGAUGAUAACAAAUGAAACGAGAAGGAGAAAGUGUAUUUUAAACUACCAAGAGACAUCACACGCGUUACUCAAAGUGCACAGCAUCCCCUGUGCGUCAACAACUUUUCCAAUAAAAAAAUGUUAAAUAUUGUUGAAUGAUGUUAUUGCCCUUGAUCAAACCAAUAAUUUACAACAUACUCGAGGCAAAAAUACCCUAUUAACCUUGAUUCCAUGUGUUAAUUUCUCUAGUUCUAAGGGCAUGUGUGUACUUUUAAUGUGUAGAAAAAAUAGAAAAGGAAAAAAUACCCCUACUUGACAAUGCUAGUUUUUUUUCGCUCGAGAAGCUUUUUGGUUAUUUAACUAUUUAUUAAUACAUUGAAGAGUUGAUAAUACCUCUAAACAAAUAUACUAAUUCGCGUGCAAAAAGAUAAAAAAAUAUCUAUAAUUCAAAGAAAAUUUUUUAUUUUGGAAUGACAAAAAAAAAAAAAUACCAUGGUGAUGAAUAGAAAAACAUGACUGAGCUACAAUGAUUUUACUUUCCAUUUUAGCUAAAGAGGGUAAAAUCUUUAAAUCUACUAUUUUUCUUCAAAAUAUGCCUUUUUUAUGUAAGAUUAUGCACUCUCUUGAAUGGUAUCUACCAAAUCAUUUUAUCAAUAGAAUGGUUGGUUGGUGAUUGUGGCUAUUUUUUUAAUUUAAUAAUAAUGAAUAUUUUCAUACCAUUUUAGGAAACUAAAUUUUGUUCUCAAACGAUUUUAAAAGUAUAUCCUUCACGUUGAUUUUCUGUAUUUUAAAUUUUUUAAUAAAUUAUAUUUUUAAAAAUAUUAAUAUUAAGAUUUUAACCUAGAAAAUCAAGGAAAAGAACAUGUUUUAUUAUCACUAAGGUUUGAAUUCCUAGAAUUAAGAAAGAGGACAUUUUUCUUUUAGCACGGGGUGAAUUCCUUCGUACUAGCUAUGGCUACAAUAUGGCAGGAGAAAUGCAACGGGAUAGGCUCCUAAUCCUGAGAUAGUGAUAUAAAUUGUUUUUUUUUAAUAUAUUAAAAUAAUAUAUUUUUUUAUUUUUUAAUAUUAAUAUAUAAAAAAAAUACAAAAAUACAAAAUAAAAUAAUUACUUUUUAAAACUCAAGUUUAACCAUGGAACCAAACACCCUAAAACACACAAAUGGGAUAGCCAAGAACUGCUGCACAAAUUGAGAAGGACAUGGAUAGUGGGCUUGAUAAGAUCCUGAGGGUGGAUAAGUAGUUGGGCUUGAUCUGCUGGUUGGUGGAUCGCAUUGAGGCCCACUGAACAAAACAGGACAGACUAGGAAGUAGGAACACGUGAUGCUGAGCAAGUCUACCACCUAUUGUGCUCUCAGGACACGCGCAUGCUGUCAAGCCCAUUACUUUGGUAAUUAAGGGAAGUUGACAAUGACAUCCCAAGCCAAGGCUUAGGCUUGUUAUCCCCUACCAUCUAGGAUGUUGUUCCAUUUUUCUCUGCGGUGUGAUUAUUUCUUUUUUUUAAAAUUAAAAUUAUUAUUUUUUAAUUAUUUUAAUACAAUGAUAUUAAAAUUAAAUUUUAAAAAUUAAAAAAUAUAUUUAAAAUAUCUUAAAAAUAUAGUUAUUAUUACUUUUCAAAGUAUUUUUUACAAAGAAAUAUAACAAAAUAAUUUUUUUUAAUUUUAAAAAAUUAAUUUUAAUAUCAAUAUAUCAAAAUAAUCUAAAAAAUAAAAAAUAAUAUUUUUUUAAAAAUAAAUAUUUAAAAACCAUUAUUUAUAACACAAUUUCAAACAACAUAUUAGUUCAUUCUUAUUUGUGUUUCAAAAGCGUUUUUGAAAAAAUUUGAAAUUUUUUUUUUAUUUGAAAUUACUAUUUUUUAGUAUUUCAGAUUAUUUUGUUGCGCUGAUAUAAAAAAUAAUUUUUAAAAAAUAAAAACAAUAUCAUUUUAAAAAAUUUCUAAAUAAAAAAUAUUUAAAAAAAUAAUUUCAACUACACUUUCAAAUACUCAAAUGAAAAGCCGGAAGCAGUGUGACAAAUUUUAUUUGAUCCAAAUUUCAAGAAAGAUGAAGGGUCAGGAUCCAAGCUAGCUAUCUACUUACAGAGAGCACUAAUUAAACAAUGUAUGAUCUUGCUAGGAAAAAGUUCCAAUAAAAUUGUUUGGUUCAAUUUUUAUAUGAGCAUAAUAAUAUAUUGCAUGUAGAGUAAAAUUGAUAGUAUAAUAAAAAUAAUUAAUUUAGCAUGCUCAUAAACACAUACACAUGACUUUUUGAAUUUGUAAGAGUUUAUUAACUAGGAAUUCUUUAAAAUAAAUUUUUUAUUUAUAUAUAAAUAGUUUUGAAUGUAUUAAUAUUUUAUAUUAAAAUAUUCAUGGUGAUAAAAUAUUUCUUACAAAGUUUUAACCCGUGCAACACAAGUUUAAAUUGUCAUUACCCGUCAAUCAUGUCUCAAAACCAAUUUUUUAACGGUUCUCACAAGCUAGCUAUGUCCGUUUAUUUGCAUUGUUGUUUCUGCAUUUGAAGCAACCACAGCAAAAAAAAUAUUUGAUUACAUAAAAAAUACAAUUUAUUUUUGGUGGACCCAUUAUAAUUCACGUUUGAAACACGAUUUUGCCGAAGCACCUUCAAGCUGCUUUUCUUCAAAUAGUGUUUUAGUGAACAAUGCAAUUCACUUGCACUGUUCACGUAACCCGUGCAACACAAGUUUAAAUUGUCAUUACCCGUCAAUCAUGUCUCAAAACCAAUUUUUUAACGGUUCUCACAAGCUAGCUAUGUCCGUUUAUUUGCAUUGUUGUUUUUGCAUUUGAAGCAACCACAGCAAAAAAAAUAUUUGAUUACAUAAAAAAUACAAUUUAUUUUUGGUGGGCCCAUUAUAAUUCACGUUUGAAACAUGAUUUUGCCGAAGCAGCUUCAAGAUGCUUUUCUUCCAACAGUGUUUUAGUGAACAAUGCAAUUCACUUGCACUGUUCACGUGAACAGUGCAAGUGAAUUACACUGUUCACUCAAAACAAUGAACAAUGCAAUUUACUAGCAAUGUUCACUUAAUGAACAGUGCAAUUCACUUGCAUUGUUCACGUGAACAAUUUUUUUAAAAAAAAACUAGUUUAGAGUGAAUUAAAUUCACUCGCAUUGUGAUGUGAAUAAUAUUUUUUUUCCUGAAAAAUUAGUGUAGAGUGAAUUAAAUUCACUUGCACUGUAAUAUUAAUUUUAUACCUGAUAAUAUUUUAUCUAAUUUUAUUACACGCUCAAAAAAUUAUGGAAACUGUAGUUCUUAUCGGAUAAAUUUUGUACGUAAUGGAAUUAUAGAUGGUUUAAUGGAAUAAUAAAAAAUAUUUUAUAUAAAGUAUUAUUUAUUUCAUGAUGUAAUAGUAGUAAUUAAUUCUACAAUAUUUAUAUAUAUAUAUAUAUAUAUAUAUAUAUAUAUAUAUAUAUAUAUUUUACUUAUUUUAUAACCUCAAUUUAAAAAACAUUAUUAACCAAACACAUUAAACUACUUUUUGUUCAACCUCAAUUUUAACCACAGUUUUAACCAAAUAUAUAUAAAUACCAUACCAACCUCAACUAAAAGUAUUUUUUAUAAAAUAAUAUUUUUCAAACCACAACCACAAAAGUUACUACAAUACUAAACACAUAAUAUUUGCACUAGGUGUAUGACUUUAUUAGUAGAGAAAAAGAAAACUAGGAAAAUGGUUCAUAACAUAAAGACCCUCUUGUGGGAUUUUUUUUAUCAACUCUCUAUAAAUUUAAUUGCAUCAAACAAAAUGGUAGCGGGAAGGCAAUUUUUUUUUUAUAAAUUCUAAUUUAUACGUAUUUCGAUUAAACUUUCAAGAUCUUAAAAUUAAUAACUAGGUAAGUUUCUAGUGGCUCUAAAGUUUGUAACACUUGAACUGAUGAUAUUUGAAAAACAAACUCAGAAUCUGACCAGUUGAGCUACACCGUAUUAUUUAUUUAUCAAUGUGAAUGUCUAGGUCAGCUUACGUGUCCCUCGACUAAUCCUAUUUGCCUUAAAAUUAAUAUUAAUGUAAGUUUUUAAUAAUCACGAGAGAUCUCAAACUCAUUAUUAGAUAACCAAUCCAAAACCUAUCCGGUUAAUUUAAGUGAAUCAGGGAAGCUGCAUUAUUAAAACAGCAUAACCUUGCUGUAAGUUUACAGAGAAGCUUGGCAGGGCAUACAUGUUAUAGCUAGAACACAUUAAAAAAAGAAGAAGGGCGAGUGCAAGUACAUAGACAACAGAGUCUAACCCUAAAGUUAGGCUAUAGGCUGAAAGAUUUGAUUGUGAUAAAGAUCAACGCGUAGAGAACUGGAAAAGCAUGAUGCUCUGAUGGAGAUAGAGAUCAGAAAAAGUCAAUGAAGGACAUGGUUUUACUGUGCCCUCACCUCUCUCUUUUUUUAAAAAAAGAAAUGAUUUUAUCUGUGUUUAUUGUACUCAUACCCUAGUCACGUGCUAUUAUUAGGAACUUCCCUUGAUGUCCAAUCCCACGCCUCCUGUAGGUUUGUACUUUGGUGGUAAAAAUUAAAUCAUGUUAUUUGUAAUUUUAUCAUUUUUUAUCUAUCUCUGAAAUUAUUCCAAAUAAAUUUAAAAUAAUUUUAAUUAAAUAUAUCAAAAAAAUAUCUAAACUCAAUAACUUAAAUUAUUAGAUGAGAUCCCAAGAUAUAAUUUAUAUGAUUCUCUAAUACAUCUCCUUAAAUGAAAGCUCCUUAAACUUGAAAUUUGCAUAGAUUUACAUUAAAUGAUGAGAUUCAAACUCGUGAUCACUUGGUUAUCAAGGCUCUAAUAUCAUAUUAAAAACCAUCUCAAUCCAAUAGUUUAAAUAGUUAGGUAAGAUCCCAAGAUAUAAUUUAUAUUAUUGAGCUAUUUUUGUAGGGGUAUAAAAACUAAAAUCAUUGGUGUCUUUAAAAAAUAAUGUGUAGAAAAGUCUGAUUUUUUAUUUUUAUUUUUUUAGAAUAUGCAUAAUUGAGGACUGUAAUAAAGAAAUGGUGUUAACAUGUGAUGUUUCUUCCAAAGUUCCAAUAUGCAUGUGCACCAGUUAAUGAGAGUUAAUGAAAAGUUUUAUAAUAUGCAUGUGCCCUAGUUAAUGAGAGAUGAAAAGUUUUACGGUAUGCAAGUAGAGUAAUUACAGAUAUUAUUUUAGUUAUUUUAUGAGAUUUUUUUAAAAAGACAUAAGAAUAUAAAAUUUAUGAUAUACUGAAAUUCAUUAAAAGUGAUAAAAUACUUGCAUUGAUGAUUUUUUUUAAGGAACGGUUAAAAAGAGCUUUUAAAAAUUUUUGAAUUAUUUUUAUUCCAAAUUAAUAUUUUAUGUUUUUCGAUUGUUUUAAAUUGUUGAUGUUAAAAAUAAAUUUUAAAAAUAAAAAAAAAUUAUUUUAAUGAAUUUCAAAGCGAAAAACAUUUUAAAAAGCAACCGCUACCACAAUUUCAAACACUAUUUUAAUUAUAAUUCUUUAUUUUCUUAAAAUGAGCCUUAGAAAUAAUCAAUGAGUUAAUGAGUUGUCGCUAUUUAUUCUUUGAGCACUAUAAAACUAUAAAAUUACUCAAGAGAGACUUGUACAAUUAUAUAAUAAUAAUAAUAAUAAUAAUAAAUUUAUUAGUUCGGUGUUGUGCAUGAUUAAUCAAGCAUCUUGAGGUUUAUAUAUAUAUAUAUAUAUAAAAGCAUUUUGAGGGUUUUUUUUUUAAUCAUAGGAUCUUGAGGUUUAUUAAUUAGUUGCUCACAUUUCAUAUGUUCAAUUAUAUCUUGGUUUAAAGAUGAAAGGUGGUAGCAAGCAAGAGAAGGCAUGGGUUUUCAACAAUCGCACCAUGAUCUCCAGUGGAAUUGAUCAAUUACUCACCACCAUCUUAUAAAAUAGUUACAUUCACCAAUCCAUAAUAGUAAGUUGCACCUUUAUAAAUAAAAUAACAAUUAAAAUAAUUAGAAUAGGAGGGUGGAAAAAUUUGGAUAAAAAAUCAGAUAAUAAUAAAUGAUUAGAGUUAAUAUAUAUAUAUAUAUAUAUAUAUAUAUAUAUAUAUAUAUAUAUAUAUAUAUAUAUAUAUAUAUAUAUAUAUAUUUAUAUAAGUUGCACCUUUAUAAAUAAAAUAACAAUUAAAAUAAUUAGAAUAGGAGGGUGGAAAAAUUUGGAUAAAAAAAUCAGAUAAAUAAUAAAAGUGAUUAGAGUUAAUAUAUAUAUAUAUAUAUAUAUGAGAGAGAGAGAGAGAGAGGUGCUCUAACAGGAUGGAGGAGAUUGAUGGUUGUAUUUGAUAUUGAAGUUGGAAAGUGCUUUUGAAAAAUUUUGAAUUUUUUUUAUUUUUUAUUUACUUUAAAUUAAUAUGUUUUUGAUGUUUUCAGAUCAUUUUGAUGUGCUGAUAUCAAAAAUAAUUUUUAAAAACAUUAAAAAGCAUUAUUUUAAUGUGUUUUGGAAUGAAAAGUACUUUAAAAAGCAACUACUACCACACUUCCAAGUACCCUGCAACCAUGUGACUAAAGCGGCACGUUAAAAAACAACACAGGUUUCUUUUUCUUUAAAGCAGCGGUUUCAUUUUUCAACGUUUAAAGGCACCGUAUGAUUUUGCAUUAUAAAAAUGUUUUUAAAAAAAUUAAUUUUUUUUAUUUUUUUACCUUAAAUUAAUAUUUUUUUUAUCAGGGAAGUUUAUGGAUGUAAAACAUUAUUUUUAUGUAAAAUAUUUUUUUGUGAAUUUUUAAAUUUUUUUAUGUUUUUAAAUUAUUUUGAUAUAAUAAUUAAAAAAAUAAAUUAAAAUAUUAUUUUGAUAUAUUUUUUUUAAAAAACAUUUUAAAAAACAACAUUAUCACAAUGUCAAACUGGAUCAUAAUUGUGUUGGCUUUCAGCUUAUAAUUAUAUCCAAUUUAACUUUGAAUUUUUGCAAAUUAUAAACCUUGCUCAUUUUAUUUUUUUACUAACCAGGAAUCUACCAACCUUAUUGACCUUUUUUUUCUCCGCCUAUGCAAUACUUGCUUGUGCUGCUUGAAUUCUUAUGUUUUAACUUAAUUCAUCAUUGUAAGCAUUUUCUUUAAAGAAGGGAUGAUGAUUUUUAAACCUAAUUAACAACCUCCAUUAUUAAAAAUCAUGCAUGUUCUCAAAAUAAUACCACAAGCUCCCCCCACCCCGUCACCAAAAAAAAAAAAAAAAAACAAAAAACAAUAAUGGAACCGGAAACCAACUAAACAUGUUUAGGUUCCAUUGAUAUUAUUAUUUAAACAAAAGAAAAUAUACCCUUUCUUCCACCUUCUCCAACGAAACAAGCACUUUCCCUUUCGAUGAAUCUCUGAUAAGAUUUAUUCUUUGAACAAUCAUAUGGUAGAAAAAUGAUAAAAGUCUAGCACGACUCUAGAUAAUAUGAAUAGAGAAGCCAAGAGUUUGGGAUUAAAAUUUUUUUUUUUUAUGGUUUUAAGUUCGAACUAUAUGGUUGCUAAUAUGAUGGUUACUGGACCCGGCCGACCCGGGCUUGGGACCGGUCCGGGUCUAAGUAAAAACCCGCCUGGAAGUUGGCCCGGAAAAACCCGGUCGACCCGAAACCCGGCUGAGACCCGGUCUCUCUCUCUCUCUUUUUUUUUAUACAGACACAUUAAACUACAUCGUUUUAAACGAUGAAGAUGAAUAAAUGCCUCCUAGCCGGGGGGGCUCUGUCAUUAGUUGGAAAAGUGGAUCUCCAGGAGAGAAGCAAGAUGCCUUUCUUUGAUCCACCUUCACGGACAGGAAAGAGAACGAAAAGAGACGCGCUAAGGUCAUGUGAUUGAGGCUCACAUUUGAUAGAUAUGGUUGAGGCUGAGCUGCCGCUAAUCUUGACCAAAACCAAUGUUGGGGAUGAGAUUCUUAGUCGAAAGCAAAGUUGUUGAUGCUUGGGGAUGAACUCAUGCUAUUAUUGGCGUGAUUGAAGCUCACGGUUGCUAGAGGCUGCUUGCUGCUGAAGAAGGAAACUGUUCACGUUUGAGAUCACAAUGGCUGAGCUGGUAUGUGACCAAGGUGUUGUUGCUGGAGAAGAAGAAGUCACCAGCGGCUAGCAGAGAAAAGUUAAUUAAUUUCUCUCUUGCUCUCUGGGUUUUCUAUUUUUUUUCUUUCUUCUGUGUGUGUGCGCGCGCGCUGGGGAACGAGCCAGAUGCUUAUGGAAGAGAACAUGAAAGAUCAGCCACGCUGGGGAAUGGCCCACACAUGUUUCAUGAUCACUUUGCUCUAAGCGCCACUGAGAAGUCAAUGUAUUGAUUUUUCUUAAACAUCCAAGGCCCAGACUUGAAUUCAAUACCCCUUCUGCUUGCUGGUUUUUUUUUGGGUUGACCCGGGUCAACCCAUCUGACCCGUGACCCGGUCAUUAGACCGGGUCGACCACCGGGUCGGGUUUCAAAACUAUGGUUUUAAGUUCGAACCAUGUGGAUGCUAAUAUGAUGGCCAUUGGAGACUUAUAUGGUCGUUAACUUUAGAACUUGAGAUUGUCGAGGUGCGCGCAAGGUGGUCCGAAUUGAGACUUAUAUGGUCCGAUCACCGAUAUUAAUAAAAAAAUAAAAGAAAAAAGAAACAAAAAUAAUUUUUCUCAAUUGAAUUUCAAAUAUAAAAAUUUUCCUCUAAUUUUUGCUUCGAAAAAAGGUCACCAACCUUGUAUAUUUAAUUAUGAUAAUGAUGGAAUUAUACACAACUUUCCAUGUAUAAUAAUUUGUUACAACGUGAUAAAUUUUGCCCACCACACAUUUACAAGUGUCACCUUCCCUUCAAGCAGGAAACAACUAGCGGUGCAUAAUAAUAUGAUUUCGACUACUGGAUUUUGCUGUUUGCUCUCAAUUUUUGUUCUUGGGUUGGAAACGCUUGGUGCCCCACAUGAACAUCAAAUCAAGUAUAAAAAUGGGGUCAUGAAUAUCAAUAAUUAUAUACUCUUUCAAAGAAGUAGACAACGUAGCAUCUUUUGAAACACAUCAAGACAUGCCCUACACACAGCAACUCGUGUAAUAUAUUUGCCAAUCUUUUCUGAUUUGAUCACAGUCAUGUAUAGAUACGAAGAAGAGGGGGGAAAAAACAAGAAAAAAAAAUGAUAUGGUAAAGUAAUCCAGUUUCUGGCCUAGCAGCCAAAGGCAAAAGGGGCCAAAUUCUUUGAGCUUGUGUUUUUUAAACUCCAAGUCGUUCUGGCUUAGAAGACUGAAAAUUGUAUGCUGUCUGUUUGAUAUUUUUAAAAAAUAUAUUACGAUAAUAAAUUAUUGCUAAUUGUUACUUAAAAUUAAAAGUAAAAAAUAAUAUUUUAUAAGUAAUAUAAAAAAGACUCUUGAUCAGUAGUUAAAAUCUGAAAAUGAAUUUUUCUUUGCCAAUAAAUUUUUAAUGCCUAUAAUCUCGCAAUUUAAUUGUUUUAAAAACAGCAACUUGUAAAGCUAUCAACAUGAAUAUUAUCUACGAAAGACAAAAUCGUUACCACAUUAAUUUUUUUUUAUUUUUUUAUUAACGUGGGUGUCUGGGCUAACUUGCACGUACCUCGACUAGCCUCACGGGCCCUGAAGUUAACGAUCAUAUAAGCCUCCAACAACCAUUAUAUUAGCAUCCACAUGCUCGAAUCUGAGACCAGAAGAAGAAACAAACUUAUUUUCUUUAUAUUUUUUCUUAAUUCGAUUAUUCAAGCUUCCCAAUGAUUUUGUCCACAAAAAAAAAAAAAAUCCUUCUUGGAGAUGCAUGCAAUCAGAGAAAUUGAGAAGAAACUCGAUGGAUUAUGAAUUUUUUGAGGUUUGAAAUGGAUGCCUUGUUUUCGUGUUAAUAAUUCGGAAAGUACAUGCUUGAAACUUUUAAGGAUUAGGAUCAACUACACAGGUGGCUUUCGCUAUAUCUGCCCUACAAGUGCAUGAAUAUGAUAUCUGCCCUGCACUACUGCUCCUCAAUCCUCUCUCAGGGUCUCGGAGACGAUAUACUAUACAAUCUCAUCUUACUGUAUUAAGAGCGUGUGUUCAGUAUUGCUGAAAUAUUCUUUAUUUAAAGUUUGAAUUUUAAUUAAAAAAAUUUAAAUAAUUUUAAUACAAGUACAUUAAAAAAUAUAUAAAAAUAAUACAACUUUUAUAUAUUUUCCAUUUUCCGGGUGCUAGUUUCCUCAUUGGUUAAUUAGUUCCUUUACCAAUUACCGGGCAUUAGUUUCUUUACUAGUUAAUUAGUUCUUCUACCAAUUAUAAAGCAUUAGUUUUUGUUUAUGAGAAACUAUCUUCUUUACUCAUUAUCGGGCACUAGUCCCUUUACCGGGAAGAUAGUUCCUUCGCUCAUUACCGAACACCAAUCUCAUUAUCAAGAAGCUAAUUCUUUAAAUAAAUCAUCGCACACACAAAAUUAUGGAUUGAUAAAUUAAAAUUCAUUUAAAUAAACAUAUUUCCAUCAUAAAUCAAAUAGCGCCCCUUGGUUGGCCAUAAAUGCCUUUCGGAUUACCAUGCUUUCUUCAUUGAUUCUCACUAAUUUAACAACCAAUCCUAACCCAAUUGAGUGAAUUUAUCAUCAAUUUACCCCCCAGGGUUAAUAUAGUCUUUGAAUCUUAGCUUGUUGAGAUUUAAAGGUGGUGAUUCACAAUUCCUCUUCAAUUUUGUUGGUUUUCUAAUGGUUUUUCCCCAAGUACUGUCUUCAAUUUUGUUUUUAUUUUUUCUUCUUUUCUUUUUACUUCUUGCUAGCCAUUAAAGAGGGAGGGAGAGAGUUUUUAACAGUCAAUUCUUUGACUAAUUACACAUUAACCCCACCUUUUCAUUUAAUUCUCAAUUUAUCCCCAUAAUUUUCUAAUUGAUUUCUCCUCUUGUUAUUUCAUUUCAAUUUUGCCCUUGAUAUUAAGUUUUAAUUCCCUCAAUUUUAAUUUAACUCAUUUUAUUUCCAGGUUAAAAUUUUAAUAUUCCAUGAAGAGUUUAGCCAGGACUUUACAAAUAUCCUAAGCCAAAAACCCCAAAUUAGUUGAAAAAUAAAAAUCAAAUUAAAAAAAAAUUCUCUCCCCAACCUCAAUUUACCUUUUUCAAGCGAUAUGAAGCCCAAAAAAUAUCUCAAUAACACUCUUUUCGUUAACAAUCUCCUUUUUCUUUCAUCAUUUUCAGCAAUUCUCUCUCUUUUGUCCUUCUCUCUUAAGCUCAUGGACCAAAACGUGAAGAAAAAAAAGCUAUGAACCAAAAUAUAAAAACCUUGUAAAAUAAGGACUAAAAAUGAAAAAAAAAUCAAGGUACUUGAGAUGCUAAAACCUCGCCACAACUAUAGUGAAAAACAGCAGCCUAGAGAUUUGUUCAAGUGUUGUAUUUGAUCCUUAAAGUUUUAAUUAUAUCUAAUUAUGAAAAUUGAACUUAAUUUUUUCAAAUAAAGAAUCAAUUUAAUUGCGGAACUUUUUGAAAAGCCAUGAGAAACCCUUGAAAAGCUCACAAAGAUAAAUCACCAACCCUAACCUUGAACUAACUAAACUUGUAAAGAUAAAAUUAAAAAAAUAAUUAAAUGUAUGAAAAAAUAAUGGAAAAGAAAAUAUGUGUGAUUCCACAUUAAAACAUUGAGCCAUCUUAGUGUUUUCUUAAUUAUCAAUCCCCUUUUUGCAUCGUGGCCAUGGUUCCAGCUUUUAUUUUUUAUUUUUCCAAUUCGACUUUUAUUUUUCUUUAGGUCAGAAUAUAUUCUUCGCAUGAUUGAGCAACUGAGUUACAUCCCCCUUGGUACAAGAGAAGUCACACUGUCCUCUGCUUGUAUCUUCACAAAUGAGACGUAGGCCACUGCUUUACAGGGGUAUUUAGUACAGUAGUAUUGAUUGUUUUUUAAAUUUUUAUUUAAUAGUAGUACAUUAAAAUAAUUUAAAAAUAUAAAAAAUAAUUCAAAAUAAAAAUUCAAAAUUUUUAAAAACUCCAAGUGCUGUAUUAAACGUGCAUUUAAUAAGUUCAGUGACCAAUUCUUCCCUUACUGGUUCUUGUUGGUGUUCGAUUCUAGAAAAUGCAUUACAGAAUAAGUAAUAUAUGGCAUGUGUGGGAGUGUAAUUAUGGUUAUUUUUUAAAGUAUUAUUUGUGUAAAAAUAUAUUAAAAUAAUAUUUUUUAUUUUUAAAAAUUAUUUUUAAGAUCAGCACAUCAAAACGAUAUAAAAUGUACAAAAAAAAAUUUAAAUUUUUAUAGAACGCGAUUUACACCGCGUUCCCAAACAGUUUUUAAAGCAAUUCCAAUUAAUUAAAUAGUCGAAUUCAGCUUCUUAAAACAUCUAAAUAUUCUGCUUCUCUUGCUGGCAAGAUUUGAUAUAGGAAGGAAACCUCCUGCUGAUUACCUAAACGUGCUGUGCUUUGCUUACAGCGUGAAUCAGAUAAAGAAUACAUGAUUAAUAAUAAUUUUAUAAAAAAAUAUACAACUCAUGUACAUAGAAGCAGAUUAGAUUUGAGUUUGACAAAGAGGAACACACCACGUGGCUUGAUUCCCCACGGCCUGUGCUAAGCUUGGAAUGGACUCCUUGUUUAUACAGACAGGAGAUGGAAGGAAAUGUGCGGUUGUGACAGUGAUAUAACAUGCUUUCCACUCAAGAUUUUAGUAUUCCCUUUUUCUUUUAAAAAAAAAAAAAAAACCUUUCAUCGCAUUAUAAACUCUCUGUAUGUUCUAUUCUGAGAGGGAUGGUUUUUUUUUUUAAUUGUCCGAUAAGAAGGGUAGACAAGCGGGGUGUUUUUUUUUGAAGGGGACAGCAUUAAGAUGGCUGUUUGUGCCCUACAAUUAUAGCCCGCUCAGGCUGUGAACUGGGUAGUGGUUCAGUGACUGUAAACCCAUGGCUCGGGCUUUAGUUGCUGCACCAUGGACCAUGACUAACUGGGCUGGCCCUAAUUGAAAACCCAAUUGGAGAUCCUGCUUUGCUAAACUUGCCAUGUACUUCCUUGCCUUUGAGAUUUUUUAAGAGCAUCAAAAUAUUAGAUUGGGAUCCUCGUAUUUUUUCUUCCAACAUAUACACUUGAUGCUUGCUCGAUGGAAGCUCUUAAGAUCUUUUUUGAUUGAAAUUGAACCUUUUAAAAUCAAUUGAACGAUUGAGAUUUAACUCAGAAUUCUUUUCAUUAUAAGAUGAUAAGGUCACUUUCUUUCUUUAUGCAAAUCCAUGUAAAUGGAAAGGGAGAAACAAAUCUUAGAAACAAAUUCCUAUUCUUCUUGGUAAUCGGUGAUCAGCCAAGAGAUACAAGCCUGUGUUCUUUGUAACGAGAAGGCUUUUGUUCAAAAGGGGGUUGCCGCAUUGAAUAAAGCUAUGUUUUCGGCCUAUCAGGAUAGCAUAAAAGAAAUUCACGAUGUUCAGGGAUCACUCGUAUAAAUCGUGGCAAGUGUUUAAAGAGGAGAGAUAUUGGGGGUGAGAGAGGAUCUCAAUCCGAGAGGAAGCAAACAAUGUAAAAGAUCACACAGGUUUUUUCUUAACAAGUAGAAUCCUUGAAUAAAGAGGUUAGAUUUUUAAUGAAGUCGUCUGCAUUCUAUUAUGUAUUUAUAGUUACAAAAGACUACAAUAAUCAGAAGGACUAUAAUUUCUAAGAACAAUAAUAGUAUUGCACAAUAUCAGGAAUCGAUGUUGCUAAUAGAGUUUCUUAUUUGGUGUUCUGCAUUCCUCAACGAUUUAAACCAGUCAGGGUUUAAUCAUGUUGAUCACCUUGAUUAAGUGAAGUGUAGGUUCCCAAUUCACAGCUGCUGCUACUGCCCGUCUCAAAUCCUCCAUCGGAGUUGAAAAAGCAGACAUAGCUCAUCUUAGAAACUAUGCUGGUGAUCAAUAUGAAGGCUGCUCCUGCCUCAAAAACUCCCGCGCUUAAGGUCUGGCAACGAAGCCCAUCAGUGCCUGAUAUGGUCCUGUAUUUGGUGUGUUGAGCAUUCUUGAUUGCACCACCCAGUAAGCAUGCCUCAGCAAUGAAGAAUGUAAUCCUGAUUUAUCAUACCAUGUUGCAUAAUUUUUUUUUUCAAGUAUCAAUAGUAGCAUGGAAACAUUGUUGCACUCAUAAUUAAAAUCUAUGAACAACUUUAAAGAUAGGAUUAAAAGAUUCUGAUAACUUGACUUGUUAUGAUCACUUACUUACCAGCUUAUUAUGGAUGGGAUGACAGCAGAUGUCCUACUACCUCCAUAGUUCAUACCCUUUCGAAAGUAGGAGCUAGCACCCAUUGAGAAAACUUGACUUGCCAAAAGUAAAACAAAUGCAAUAGCUCCCAACUUUGUUGCAAUGUCUGAGCUGUAGACGCAGUAGCUAUAGCUUGAGUCACUGUCAGUAGCAGCCUUGGCCUGAAAACAGAAAAAAAUAAAUUAUAAUGCAAUUAGUAUCUUCUGGGUUUUAAUUAUUAAACAUUCAGUUGUUGUUAGAGCAAUCAUAUACAAAAGUAUUUCAGAGAAAAUCUCAUUGUGUUCGCUGUUAAAUGGGUUCCGAGACAGUUUGGGUUUUGCCCUAGAUGUAUUAAUUAUUUCUCAAAAAAAAAAAAAAACAAUUUAUAAAGGAUCAAGUUAAAUGCUGUCCUGAUCUCCAAUUUGGCUCACAUAAUAGACAAGACAACAUCAUUGCAAGGAGUGGAAUGAAGAGGUAAGAAGCAAUACUUACAGUACUUCUCAUAUGUUCAGCUGCAAGGGCAAGGACAAAAGCAAUGAAAUCAAUGGCAAAGAUCGCCAUGAACACAAGUGUUGAUGCCAUUGCAAUCCCCACCAACCUCUCUCAAGCAAUGAAAUCAAUCAAAUCAGCUAGGCUUUCUCUUUGGGGUUUGACAAACAUCAAACUAUUCGAAAUAAAAUUAGCGGUUUUGAAACACAAUUGAUUAAACACAAAAAUCUAAGGUUAAUUGAGAAUAUCAAAGGAAAAAUCAUAAAUUCUUGGGUUUAGGAUACAACUAACCAAUUUAUUUCCUUGUGAAUGAGCAAUCGAUCCAAUAGAAUCCUUUCAGGGUUUUGAUUUUGGUUUAGAUACGGUAGGGGAGCACAACGAAAGGAAAAAAAGAGAGGAGGGGGAGAGUUUAUAGGUUUGAUUCUGUGUUUUUGUACCAUUGAUCUUUUUUUUCCGGUGUUUUAAAAUUUUUGUACCAUUGAUCUUUUUUUUCCGGUGUUUUAAAAUGGAUUCAGAAGCCAACCCAAUCCUGACAAGUUUGAUGUCAUUAAUUUAAUUUUUAUAAAUCUAUAUGGUGAUUGACAACAACUGCAGGAAGAGAGAGAGAGUUUCUAUAUAUAUAUAUAUAAGUGUUAAAAGAGUUCAAGUUGUUGUGCUUGCCGAUUUACAAGUUUCUCCUUCAUCUCUUAUAAAUAAUUAAAAAUAAAUUUUAUAAAGAUUUUAUAUCAUUAUAUUACAUAUUAUUAAAUUUCUUAACUUAAAACAUAUUUUAUAAUAAUAAUUCUAAUAAUAUAUUUUAUAAUAACAAUUCUAAUAAUAUAAAAUAUAUUUAAUUUAUGAUAAAUAUUAAUUUUAAAUAUAGGUUUAUAAAAUUGAUAUAUUUUACUAUUUAAAGAAUUAAUUCAUGUGUUUAAUUAUUGAAAUUAAAGUUUAACAAAAAGAGAUUUUAAAUAUAGGGAUUUGUUGUUUUUAUUGUGGAGUCAAAUGAAAACAUGUACAAACACCAACCUCUCAAUUCCCAAUUUUUUCUCCAAAUUAAAACCCUAAUAAAUUAUUAUCAUUAGAGAAUAUAAAGCCGUGAUAAAAAAAUGAUUGGAUUUGUGAGGAUGAACCAAAAAUUCGUCGACAAACGAAAUUGAAUUGUUUCAUAUUGAACUUCUAUUUUCUGCAAGGGGAUCCUUCACUACUUCAGUAAAAAGAGAUUUUCACUUGCAAGGCUUCAAGUUUCUUCUAAUAACUCUUCAUACCCUCCCGUCAGAUGUUGAGUUGAAUCUACUAAUACAAACGUGAAUCUUCAUGGAUGAGAAAUUUUCCUGCAUGGGGGCCGUCCUUUCUUGAUCUGGUUUUAAAAUUGAACAAACCAUCCCAUAACAAAGACUUUUCGCGUUGUUUGUUUCACGCUUUGAAGAUGCUUAGACCAGAAAAAUGCGGGGAUUCUUUAUUGAAGAGGCCUAGAUAAGAUGCUAUGUGAUGUUAGAUUGUAAAGCUUUGACGUUCAUUCCUGGGAUCGACUGAAAACAGGAUUUCUGUAGUAAUUUGAGAUGAACCUGCAAUUCCUCCAUGCAGGGACCAGAAGAAGAAAAAGGGUCCGGCAACACCAGUGAAGAUCAUGUAAAUUGUUUCUUGUUCAACAAGGUUACAUCACCAAUUCUUUAUGCGCUACGUAGAUACACAAACUGGAGUCUUCUAUUAUUGAUAGGUAUGGGAAAAACAAAAAAAUUCACAUCAUGUUGAAAGAAGGAAAAAAAUCAUGAAUAUGAUCUAAGAUACAAACUAUCACAAACUGAAUUGAACCCUUAAUGCAGUCUAAAAAUGAGGCCAUGGAGGAGGCAAAUUGAUGUAGAGAUCUAUGGUUACAUCAGAUUUACCCAGCUCACUUGUAGGUUCCCAUACCCACACCAACGUCUCCACUGUAUGGAUGGAAGCUGUCACUGGCCCUGGAAUAGCAAACAUAGUAGAACUCGGAAACUAUGGCAGUGAACAAAGUAAAUGCAGCUCCUGCUGCAAAAACUCCUUUCCUCAAUGAUGGGCAAUCCAGGUUUUCACCGAAAAAAUUCUUGUACUUGGUGUGGUAGGCAUUCCUUAUUGAACCCGCAAACAAGCAUAUUUCAGCAAUGAAGAAAAACACCCUGGAGAGGACAAUUGAAAAAGUUCAGAAAAAGAAAACAUGGGUUCUAUAAGAUACAUUGAAAGAAAUAGACCUAAUUUUAGCUUGCUCACAAAAACAUGGUUAUGGAUAAAGGUUAGCAGCAUCUAUGUUCAAUAAUGGAUACUUUUCAUAGUUCAGCUUUGGAUUAGCAUCACCUACCAGCAGACUAUAAACAGGAUAACCGCACAAGCCCUUGAACCUCCAGGACUCAAAGGCUUGCCACAGCAGAAACAUUUACUGGCAAACAUAAUAAGGACUUGGCUAGCCAAUAGGAACAAAAAUGCGCCAACACCAUAGCCAGAUGCAAUGUCUGAAUCAUAGAUGCAGUAACUGUAAUCUUUUUCAGAAUCUGGUCGGACAGUGGCCUGCAAAACAAGGUAUUGUAAAUUUGUUGCGUCACUACAAAUCAACCACUCAGCUGCCAAUAGGUGAUUGCUACAAUAAGAGGUCUACCAGACAUGUUACAAUCUUGGGGAGCAUUUUGAGUAGUUCUCAUAUAGAUCGCACCACCAAGCAGUAUUAAAAUCUAUUCAAGAGCUACAUAUUGACUUUCAAGAUAUAAUUUUUUAAUGUUCAAUCUCCAGGUUGUCUAUAAUGACUCAUUGUUUAAUCUAACUGCUGGCAAAAGGUUGGCAAAGGUAAAGAAAGUGAAGAAACUUGCUUUUUGGAACUAGAUUUACAUCAUCAAGGGCCCCAGAAAAGGAAAACCCACCUCUCCUCAACUUAGACAAGUACAGGUAUUAGCACCUAAACUAUGUGAUGGCCAGGGAAGUUAUGUGUACUGGGUGAAAUGUAAGAAUCAAUCUAGAUCCUUCUCUCUCCUUGUGAAAUUGGUAGCCGGUAAGUGUCGAUCAAUAACAGGGUGAAAUAGAUACCAGAAUAUUAUCCCACAGACACUUUGAGAAAAGGUUCUAAAUAUGCUCCAGGUUAUAAAUAAAUUUUGCAAACAAAAUCUGCCUGGAAAAUUUUCUUUUUCCUUCCCAUCUCAUUCAAGCUUCAGUUUAUUUCUAGUAGUGUCAUGGACAUAUGUGGUGAGAAAGGAAGUGAUUUGCUGUUUGCAUUACUAAAAAGUCCAAAACACUAUUCAUAUAAACAGAUCUGGUAAUUUGAUUGCUAAUACACUUUCAAUACCAAUUCAACAUUGAAGAUUUUGCUUCAUCAAGUCAAAAAUAUUAUUGCAUCUAGAUCUGCUAGUAUGAAUCCCAAAAACACUACCAAUACCCCUAGCCAUAUGAUUUCCAAGAAAAUCCUAGAGAAAAGAAACAAAAAAGGAUAUGGUGUCGCUCACAGCCAUACCAUUAACAAAAUGCACAGCUUAAGUAACAAAAAUAACAGAACUUAUUCUUGCUCAAUUAAACGUAUUAAACAUUUUCAGAUAAGAAACUGAAAAUUCAUGUCAGUUGGUUCAUAGUCAAUCAAGAUUCAGUAUUUCUUCAUUUUCUUCACAAUUCUUCAGAUUUAGUACUUCUCUCUCUUAUUAUUUCAUUUUUCUUGAAAACCAACAGACCCCUCUAGCAAAACCCCAAAACCUCACAUUUAUAUCUUCAAGAAAACCAGAAACCACGAAAAAAACAAAAGAUUGCCCAAACUUGGUACACAUAACCAAGGAAGUUAAAGAAGGGACUAUAAACAUAUACUUACAGUGCUUCUUCUCUGCUCAGCUGCAACAGCCAAGCCAAAUGCUAUGAGAUCGAAGAUAAAGACAGUAAUCAACAGUAGUUUCGAAGCCAUUGCAAAGCAACUUUACUACCCUCUUCACAGAUCUUGCUGCUUUCUCUUUAUUUCUCUCUAGCUUCUUCCCUGCCUCCCUCUGUCCCUCUUUCUCUAAAUAUGCAAAAAGACCACCUGUGCAAGCAUAGAAGGAACAGGGAAACUAGAGCCAUUACAAAAAAAAUAAAAAAAUAAAAAAAUAAAAAACCUAUAAAGAAAUAGACAGUAUACCCAAUUCAGUUCAUUGAAAAUGGGUAUGUCACCUGCCAAUCGUAAAGUUAGAUGCAAGGGUGUUUUGGGAAUUGCAUGUUGAUAAAGAAUUUCUGUUUUUGGUACAUUGUAAUAAAGUAUUCGGCAGCUUAAGCGAUUUUCGGGAGCGCGUUAUAAUCGUGUUUUUUAAAAUUUUAAUUUUUUAAUUUUAAAUUAUUUUAAUAUACUAUUAUUAAAAAUAUAUCUUAAAAAAUACCCAGCUUGAUGCGACUGAUUGUCGGUGAAGGAAUGAAUUGACGAGAAAUUAAAAGAGAUCUGAAUCUGAUGCUUCCGUAAAGUAAAGCCUACCCCAAAUUGUUAUUAUUAUUAUUUUUGUUAUUUUUUUGUUCUUACAAAUAGAUAGGGACUUGGGGUGGCAAUGCUCUCAAGUCUCAACAAAUUUCAUAAUGUCUCGACGGCUAAAUCAACCGCCGGUCCCCUGUAAAGCAAAGUAUGGCAUUCAUGCUUUGAGUGGCCAUCAACAAACAAACUUGCUUAAGUAAUCUGUGCUUACAAAUCUUCAAAGACUAGUUGUUCAAGAUUAAUAACUACCAAGGUAAAGAACAAUGCCUCAUGGAAAGUAACUAGUCCUCGAGAAAAAAAAUAAAAAUGAAGGCUUUGCAACAAAUACUCAAGCAGCACCAAGGAGUUCUGGGUUUUACAUACAAGCAGAAAUUUGAAUGAAUAUUACAAGAGUUUGAAAAACUAUUUCCUGCAUGAUAUACAGACCCAAAACACACACCAAAUAAAAGAAUAACUCUUUACACCCUCAACCUAGCAAUUCUCAAACCUGAUAAAUUACAAAAUAUACUCGUAUGGCAGCAACACCAAAGGCCUUAUUAUGUAUGAGAGCUAAUUCCUGGUCUCGCUUCUGUUGUUUUUGGGAGGUGGGUAGCUGUUGGCUGGGGAGGGUACGUGGUUUAAGUCAACAGUUAUGCUGCAUCAUCCAACACUUGUUCACAAGUCCAACCACUUGUCCUGUGGGAUCAGUUUGCAGCAGUGGCUCGGCCUUUCCUUCCAAACAAAAGAAGCUUUCUAAAACCUUUUGCAGCUUUAGGAGAGUUCUCAUCACUGUUCCAUUUCUUCCUGGAGUGGAUUGGUUCUGGGUUUAUUUCAUCAGGUGGUGGGGUCGAUAUUUCUAUUUCAGAUUUCUCAGGUAACUCCAAAAUUUCACUGAAUCCACCAUUUUCUCUGAUAUUGACAGCGCAUAGGUUCAGAGCCUUAUUUGGUGACUCUGGCACAUGAUGUAUUGUUGUUUCAGAUGUGUACUCACCAUGAUCACCAGGUGUUUCUAUGUAUUCACAAACAACUGGAGCUACUUUAGAGAAUCCCUCGUCACCUGCAGAUGAGUCUUUGUGGAGAGAAUCACCAUUGCAGCCUUUAUCAUCUAAGCUAUCUCCUGAAAUCAUAUUUCCUGCCUUAUUUUUUGCGGAAGAAACACUCUGCAACUCCUUGAUAUCUCUGAAAUCAUUAAUUCCUUCUGCAGAUUGAGAUGCUUGUGUCGGUAUUAAAUCCACAGGCUUCUCUGCUGUGGCUAUUGUUCCAUCCUUCUUUCGGUUGAUGUCAGAUUUGACCGUGUUUGGACUAGUAUUUCCAGCACCAGCAGCCUUUUGUGAUAAAACAUUUGCCUUCAAGGUUGCCUUUUUGGGUUGGGCAGCUUUUGAUUCAGUUGAUGACAACUUUGGGGUUGCCCGAGCAGUAGCAAGGCGAUCAAUAGUGGAACUCCUAAAGACUGGUUUCUUCGUAUCUUGGCUUGGAGAUUGGGUUUUAGGCUUCUCAUUCUUUAUAGAAAUAGCAGUAGGUACUUUCCCUGCAGGGAUUCUCUUAGAUGUCGCUGGACCACUGCCACCAGAACUCCUUUCUGCAAUUCUCUUCUGACGUUCAAUUGAUAAUUCCUCCAUUCUCUUCCUGUUUUCUUCUUCCUGUUUUCAAGUGGUAAUAUUAAGUGUCAACCAAAAAAGGGAGGUUAAGUAAUGGUAAAGUGAACAAUCAAGUAAGGAAAUUUUGUUUAACCGACAGCAUCUAACAAUUUCAGAUACAAUGAAACUCUUGUAUGGUUUCUCUUGCUCCAGUUUCCAUUAAGGGAAUGAAACAAAAGAGAAAUGCUUUAAUGCUAGCUUAAAUCCUUGUUCAAUACCUUCUCAGAUUUGCUCUUCAGAAGUGUGGUUCUGCUUGCUGAAGUUGGUUUCUUCGUCCUUGACAUGAUGUCAGAUUUGCUCCUACCAAGAGAUCCAUUAGGAACUUUUGACCUGGCUUCUUUACCAGCAACUUUUUUACCAGGAUUUCCACUUUUUUUGCCAUUGGUGUCCAUACUGUUAGAAGGAAGCUUAUCCUGAACAGCAUUUGUUUCAUAAUCCAUUUCUGGAGUCCAAGAUGAUAGAGCAUGCUCAGCAACUGAAUCCCGCCCAAGCACCAUGUAAAGGUCAUCUGGUUCAUGGACAUCAAAUACCUUAGAUUUAUCAAGCGAAAUCUCUGUUCUACCAUUCUCAUAUUGAGUAGCUUCAACUACAUCUGGAGCAAUGCUUAUGUCUGUUCGUAAUAGUGAAUCAGACUGAUCAUCUACUAAAGGUCGAGCUUGGAUCAUGAAUGAGUCAUCCACUAAUACAUCUUUCUUAUUUUUCUCAGUUUGGAAAUGCUCACCAGUUAAUGAUGAAUCAUAAUCACAACUGAAUGCUUUAUGGUCUCUGUGAUCAUCCAUGUUUACUGACCUGUCCAGUUGGCUGCUAAUAAACCAAUCCCCUUCUUUUUUACUUUUGGGUAUUGGAGAUUCAGUGGAGUAAUCAGCAAUGAUAGGAUAGUUCCCCGAUUCUCCAGCUCUUUGAGAAAAUAACAACUCCUCAUAUGUGCUAUCCCUUUUCUUUAUCAUUGGGUGGGCAUUUGCACCAGCUUCAAAGUUUUCAAUACGAGAUUCACCUUCAUUACCAGACUCCCUCUUUGUUGCGAUGAAUGAAUCAUCUGAUAAUGCUCGCUGCUUCCUUAUUCCCUCAGAUCCCAGGUUAAACUCCAAUGACCUUCCCUCCUCAUAGCUCUUAGCUGUAAUGUCAUCUCUCUGAAUCUGUGGAGGAUCAGGUUCAAUUCCGAAAGAGUUUGGCUCUCUUUCUUGCAUGAGAAGGCUCUGAAAGGCACCCCAAUGGUCCUUUCCUUUUUCUCCAUCAAGAUUAUUUGCCAUUAUAUUCUUGCCUUCCUGAUCAAUAGCAUCAUUUGAACCAUCUAUAGUGCUGCGCUGUGAUUUCUUGUGUUGCCGAGAGGUUGAUUUAUGCCGUCUCUCCAACGAACCAACAGCUUCCUGUACUUGCUGCUUGAGAGAUUCUCCAUCAAUAAAUUCAUCCUCAUCAGAUGUGCAGUCAGAUAUGCUGCCCUUUUCUCCAUCCUUCAUUGAAGUAAUGUAAUUGAUGUUGCGAAUGACAACCUUUCUUGAGGACUUCUUCCCAUGCCUUUUCCUGUGCAUCUUAUCCACCAAAGACCUCUUUUUGUCACUUUGCAGAUGUUCAUCUGAUUCAGUCUCUGAGCUGGAAUCACUGGGCUCAGUGGAUUGAUCUUGACUAGAAGCUUGCCGUUCUUUUCGAUGAGAAGACUUCUUCUUGCUCCUGGAGGAUGAUUUACGAUUUUCACGAUCAUCAGUUUCCCAAUCUCGACCAAGGCUAGAAUCAUCAACAUUUGGAGGCCAUUGCAUGUUCCCUGGAAAAUAUGGAGACCCAACCCGCAUACCAGGAAAAAGGUAGCCUUGAUACGGGGGCAUUUGUUGAAAUCCAGGACCUUGAAAAUUGUGCAUGAACUGAGGAUGAUGGUUUGGCCAUGGCAUUGGCAUAUGAGCUUUCCCAUCAGUUGAUUGCAUCUGAGCUGAUGGUGGAAAACCACUAUCUGUAAAGACAUUCAGCUACUUCAAAGAUUGGCCAAUAGUACAAUAGACCUUAAACUAUUGCUAGUUCUCUACUUAUUUUCAUCAGCUAUAAAAGGGGCACAGAUAAUUCAGGAAUAAUGAUCACCAUUUACUUCCUAAAUUGCAUGUGAUUGUGGCAACAAUAAUGGCAAGGCACAUUUGAUGGCAGUUACACCUAAAUGCUCUUGCAGAGAGAGAUUAAUAUAAACCACCAUAGGUUCAUGUCAUGAAUGACUAAACCAUACCUGGGUUUUGUUCUAAACUUCCAGGACUUGUAGCCGAGUCUGAUGCAUCCAUUGAACUAUUCUGCUUCCCACCAGAGAGACCACCAAUUUGACCAGGGUAAUUUUCCUCAACGGAAAGUACAAUACCAGAAGUUCCCAGAUAAGGCAAUUCCAGCUGCGAUGCCUGCAUUGCUGCUAUUUCAUCCAUCCAAAGCCGAUCUUGAUUCUUCUUCUUGCAUAGUUCCAUGAAAUUUAUGCAUGCUUCCCUAAGUGAAAUCAGAUAUAGGUUUUAAACCUUGACUAAAAUUUAAAGCAGGGAGCAGGUUUUGAAUAUAAUGAGGUUGACUUUUGGUAAUUCAACCACAAGUUGUUCAGGCCAAAAAAAUAACAUCCAGAAUCUUGAAGAUAAGAGAAAAAUCAUAAAACUAGAUUGUUUUCUUGAAAUACAAAGUGACCAUAAAUAAAGAUGAUUAAAUGUAUUCAUUUACAAUGUCAUUUGUCAAUGACCAGUUAAACUAGUUGCGCCACCACUUAGCAUUUUGUCUCGAGAGCCAACUGAACCUGAGGAUAGGUGGGAAGGGGUUCCAAAUGGGUGUGCGGGCAUUCCAUUAUGUGUUGCCCGAUGACACCAUAAAGAAAGAAAAAGGUCAUUACGGACAACAAAGAUGCUGAAUGGCCAUUGAUUUUGUCUUGUAUAAGUUGUGUACCUUAAACGUGAAGCUCCAAAAGCAUCAGCAAAGCAGAUAAGAUCAUUUAUAAAGUCUGGUUCAAAUCCAGUGACCAAGGCACGGGCAUAUGCCAUUGCUUGCUCUUUGUGAAGAACAGCUUUCCUAGUUUCCAAAGCACGUUGAAGACGAACCCUGUUCAAGACCGGUUGAAUAGUCAAUGCAUAAUAAUUUGAUGGCAUCUCAAUCAAGUAUAUUAUAUCAUCAGAUAUGGUGCUAUGUAAAAUUAAAUAUUACUUGGAAUUUUCUUCUUGUACACCAUCACUGCUUCCAUUUUGAUUUCCUUUGGACUAAAAAACCAAGGCAUCAAAUACAGGUAGAAUUAUGAUUUGAGGAUUUGGGAAAAAAACAAACAAACAAGGUCUUAUACAUGGAGUUUCAACUAAGUGGCAUACCUUAGAUGAGACAGUUGACUUUUGGUAAUUCCCAGCAGCACCUGAAAGAUUUUUCUCAAAUCCAGGUUAGUCCAGUAAAUGUGAUGUCUUAUGAUCACAGAGAAUUUGUCAUGACAAUUACAAGUUAUGUGCAACCCUACUUUCCAAAUGAACCACCAACAAAAAGCAAAUUCAGAUUUAUAUCAACAGCUAAAUGAGAUGUAACCAAAAGUCCUAAGAUUGAGCUUCAACCAUGAGCAAGGUAAGUAAUCCAUACUAUUACAUUGAACAAAAAAUAUAGCGCCAGGCAUACCUUCUGCAUCUCCAUUUAAUAGCUCAUUUGAUUGAACUGAACUCUCAAUCUGCUCUAUUUCUGUCUCUAUUGUCACAAAUCUCUCAAGAACUUCUGGUGAGCUGACAAACCUCACAAAUCUGCAAUGACAGAAACAAAUCAUAAAGUGACAAAUGCACAAACAGUAACCAGCUAUAAGGUCAUCGUUAAGAGAUUACAGUUUUAAAGCCACCAAUUUGUCAUAAUUUAGAUCCCAAACUCAGGGACAGUGAACUAUGGCUAAUAGCCUUUUUCAGGCAAAUAAAAAGAUGACCAAAUUCACAGGUGUUUGGAUCACGUAAGCCUUCAAAAUCCAGUUCAAGAUUGAAAUACUUCAUGUCAACUUUGAUCUGUACUAACUUAUCAACUUUCAACCUAUCCAAUCAUGAUAGCCACUCCAAAUUCCAAAACAGUGAUCUUGAUUAAUAAUGAGAAAUAAACCACAACAUUUGACUCAAACACUAAUCUCAAACCUCGAAUCUACUAGCCACCGACCAACUAAAAGAUCAAGCUUUUCUACGACUAGAAAAACCAGGAUAAAAAAAAAGAUCCCUCACAAACUCUACUAUAAGUUGCCAGCCAAAUCUCGUCAAAUUGAGCAAGAUUUACAGGGGAAGAUGUUUGCCACAUACUUUUUAUGCCAGUAAAUUUUUUCCGCGACUAACACUUUAUCAAUUACUAGGACCAUACCUCAAUGCAACAAAAUAUUUGCCACAAAAUCAGAUUAUGCAGUAGUAAUAAACAAGAAAUAACAACAUUCUGAUGUGCAAGUAAUUACAUUUGGAGAGUGGCUUUAGUGAACCAGAAGGCAUUAGGAGACAGAGGACGAAGAGAAAUGGAAUACCCUCCUUUUGAUAUCUGAUCUUUAGCAGUUUUUAAGUGUUGAAGGAAAGGUUCUAAAAGCCCAGAUGCCAAUCUCUCAUUCACACCACCAGCAUAAAUCACCAGAUCACACCUUCAUGCAACAAGAAAAAAAAAGAAACCCCCAUUAACAAACACAGAAAGAAAAACAUUUGAGGAGCAUUAGUUGCAGUGUUUAUGCAUUUGGGUGUUGAAUACUAACGUACCUGGUUCUAGUGGGUGUGAGUUGAAAGAGAGCAUGAUCAAGAAAAGUUCUUGAAUCCAUUAUUAGAAACAAUCUUAUCGAGAGAGAGAGAUAGAGGGAGAGCGAGGGAGGAAUGUGUCAAAAAAGGGUGUUAAAACUAAGGGUGGCUGAUUUUACAGUUGGACUUGUCGUUACAUAGCUUCAUGUUUGGAUUCUUGUAUAUAAAACACUACUAGAAUACAAGCAAGACUUGAUGGGAGCUAAAAUCACAUGGCAAGAGUUUUGAGGGAGGUACAGACAGAUGCUUGGCUGGUGGUGUGAGACUGUGAGAGGGAGUUUUUUUUACCGGUUUCAAGAAUGUGGGUCCCAUGUGAACUCGGGUCCCUCGUGAAAUACCGACAGACACUCUCUUCUCAGAUCUGAUCUUUACCACAUUAACUGACAUACAACUGCACAAAGAAUGAAAGAAUUACCUCCACAACUAAAAAAAACAGUUUUUUUUUUGUUCUCCACUUUUUUUUUUCAUUAUCUUUUAUGAAUGAUCCAGAUAAAGUUUUUAAUUGAAUUAGAAAGAGAAAAACUAAAGUAAAAGAACCAAAAUGUAAAACUCACAAAAUUCAUAGUCAAUCCAAAACAAAUUAAAAUUAAGUUUUGAUUUAAAAUUUCAGUCUUUAAAUUAAAGAAAUGAGACACAAACUUAUCAAAAAAAAAAAAAAAAAAAAAAAGAGACAUUUAUCAUUUAGUCACAAUACAACAAUAUCAUUUAUCUUUUAGACAAAAGAAAAAAAAUAGAAAAAACAUAAAGUGUAUUAACGUAGCUUUGUAAGCCCACGAGUAAGGCCUUUAUCUUUUAAUAAGCUAGGUGUUUAGUUUUUUUUUUUAUUAAUUGUUUUUUCAGAAUUUUCUUUUGAAGAUUUGAAAAACACACGUUUUAAUAUAUUUAAAAAAUUUAUGAUAUUUUUAAAAUAAAAUUAUCGAGCAAUAUUGUUUCCUAGCUUUUCAUGGUUUGCCUUUGUUUUUAUUCUUAAGUUUUGGUUUUUCUUUGUAAAUUUUUCUGUUUUUCGCAUGAUUAUAAGAGCGUUUCUUCGCAUGAUUAUAAGAGUGUUUGGAAACGCAGGUCAAUUUAUAUUUUUAAAAAAUUUAAUUUUUUUUAUUAAAAAUUAAUUUUUUAAAUAUUUUGGAUCGUUUUAAUAUGUUGAUCUCAAAAAAAUUCCCAUGUAUUUUUUUUUUCAUAUCUCCACGACAUUAUUAUGAAAAACAAUUAAUUAAGAUCUUCUGUUAUAAUUCUCAUUUUUUUAUGUCCAACAAGUAAAUAUUUUGAAAAAAAAAAUAUAAAUAGCACCGUCUCUUCUAUUUUUUUGUUAAAAUUUUCAGUAAGCAUUUUUUAAUUAGUAAUUAUUUUUAAAAUUUGAUGAUUUUCCAAGGAGAUUGUUUUAAUUUAUCGUUAUUCCUUUUCCUUUCGUAUUUUAUAUAAAUAAGUUUUAUUUCAACGAUGUAUAAUAAAAAUAAAAUUCACAUGUAUAAACUGUAUUAUAUUUUUCAAAGAAUCCCAAAAGCUUGAUUCUGCGAGAGGUGAUGAUGAAAGAGUGGAGUGAGAAUGGGCAGAUGAGUGGUAGUUUGAUUUUAUGGAUAAAGAAAGUUCGAGACUUUGAAAGUGGUGACCAGCAGUGUAAGAUCGAUGUGGAGUGACGAUGCAGCAAAGAAUAGCUGUAGCAACUUCUUCAACUGCCAUUUUAUAUAUAUAUAUAUAUAUAUAUAUAUAUAUAUAUAUAUAUGUCACGAGUAAAUGUUUUUCAAGGGUUGGUUUGGUAUCAAAUCUGGGGUGCAGUUUUUGGAUAGUCUUUUUUUUUUUUUGUGUGGUAGAGGUGCUGCUGUUCCUGUUUUGCUCGAAGAUAGCUCUCAGGUUGCUGCUGGCUUUUCCUUAUUUUUACUCGCUGCUUCCAUGGGUGCGGUCCCUCUCCUGCGGCUUCUCUGUUUCUCUUUUGGUUUUUGCUGUCUCCAGUGCUCUUGCGGCCCUUGGGCGGGCUUUAGGCUCCAGGUUGCUUCUUUUCUUCCUAAAAGGCGCAAUGCUUUGGUAGACAGAUGUUGAGCUUUUUCACUAGACAUGGUUUCCAAAAGCAUGGUAGGGUGACUUGCACCUUGUAUCACAAGCGUGUUUAGUAUUGCGGUAGUUGUUGUGGUUGUGAUUUAAAAAAAAUUAUUUUAUAAAAAGUAUUUUUAGUUGAGGUUGGUUUAGAAAAAUAUAUAUUUGGUUAAAACUGUGGUCGAAAUUGAGGUUGAACAAAAAGUAGUUUAAUGUGUUUGGUUAAAAAUGCUUUUGAAAUUGAGGUUAUAAAAUAAUUUUUAAAAAUAUAUAUAAAUAUUUAUGGUUUUUAAUUUAAAUAUUAUAGAUUUAACUAUUGCUAUUAUAUCAUGAAAUAAAUAAUACUUAAAUAUUUUUUAUUGUUCCAUUAAAUUAUCUACAAUUCCAUCACGUAUGAAAUACAUCUGACAAGGACUACAGUCACAAAUUUCUUAAGAGCGCAAUAACAUCAGGUAAAAUAUAAUCAGAAACAAAAUUAGGAUUGCGAUCAAAUUCUGCAAAUGCUACGUCGUCAAGCGAUCUCCGUCUAAUUCAUGUAGUGUCAUUAAAUAAUAUUUAACACUAGUUUUUCGAAUAAAACACAAUAUCUGUGAAAUUUUAUUGGAUUUUUUUAUUUUACUGGGUCACACCCGGUUCAAUGCAUUUAGGUUUGGAACGGACCCGGGUCAAUGCAUUUAGGUUUGGAUCGGACACGGUCCGACCCAUAUGGGCUGAGCUAAACCUAGCCAGCUCGCCCAGGUCACUGGCCCAAGCCAGUGACCUGGCUGGGCAAAGCAACACGCGUGUACUAAAUUCACGCGUGUUGCUACACUGUUCAAGUGAAUUAAAAUUCACGUGAACAGUGUAAUGUUGAUAAAAGCAAAGCGGGAGGAAGAUGAAAGUUGAGCACUUUUCUAUUCCUCUGCUCUGCUCCUUCUCCUCUCAUAGUGUCUUCUUGGUAUUGGAGUUGGACUCUUUCCCUGUUUUCCCUAGCCCCUCAUUCUUCUUCUUCUUCUUCUUCUUCUUCUUCUGCACUUCCAUGUCUCCACUGUUCACGUGAAUAGUGGAGACAUGGAAGUGCAGAAGAAGAAGAAACAAUGUGCGCCUUUGGUUAUUGGAAGAAGAAGAAAUAACACGUGCAGGAAGUUCAGUUGCACGCCUUUGGUUACUGUGUUGUAACACAGUUUGCAAAAAAAGCAGCUUCAAGCUGCUUCUUCUCCCCCUGCAUUGUAAACGCAAUAAACAAUGUGGCCCAUGCAAAGUAAAUCUUGUUUUUUUCUUUACUACACAGCUUAAAUAUGCGGUUUACUCAAAACGCUACCGCAACAGCGUAAGCAAACGCUACCUCAGACCUUAUUUUUUAAAAUUUUCCGUGCUUCAAUCCCUAUAAUUAUUACAAUAUUCAUUUAGGUCCUCGCAAUGCGGUCCUGAACUUCUUUCCCGGAAUCGGUCCUUAGGUUUGAAGAUUAUAACCCUGUAAUGAUAACAAUACUUGCAAGCAAAUCCUUGAUUUUGAAAAAUUAGCUUACAAAUAGAUCCUUGGUCCUAAGUUCGUUAGGCAUUGGCUUCCUUUUUCUUUUUAUUUAAAAUUUGAUACAAAACCUUACAAGUGUUGUGUAAACAUACCCCCUAUAAUUAUAAUUUGGUUCCAAAAUUUACCCCAAUUAAUUAAAUAUUCAUGCUCAAACUUUGGGUGACAUCCUUAAUCACCUAUUACUAAAGAUUAGUCAUAGCUAUAGCUAGAAUGAGUGUUUUUAUUUUCGCAAUCAAUUAGCACAACGCCAUGUGAAAUAUUGUGUGUUUAAAAGUGUUUUUAUAUUUGUUUUUGAAUGUUUUUUAAAGUAUUAAAUUGAUGUUUUUUAAUGUUUUAAUAUAUUAAUAUUAAAAAUAAAGUAAAAAUAUUUUCAAGCAAAACACUAUUUUAAAAACACUACACUACAAUUUCAAACACACAUGAAAUAUCAAUAAUUCAAGUUUAAAUGCUUAUUAUGUAGGAUCUUCCAUUUGAGUGGAGAGGAAUGAGCCUUCAAAUUGUAGUUGGAUAAGAGAUUGCAAUCAUGAUGUGUGCUUAAUAGGCCAUGAACUUAAGCUAUGUUGUUGGGUGAUCUAUGGCUGUCACAAGUGUUAGAAAAUAUUUAAUUUGAUAUUAAUGCAUGUAAUUAUUGGAUGGACGUGCCACCUUUAGGGGGCCCUAAUGAAUAAUGAUUCUCCUUUGAUUCGAAGACUUCCCAGUUAAACAAACAAUGUACUUUUCCGGUGGCCGUUCAACUGCAAAUUCACUCACCCAAGAUCUCGAUGAGGCCAUAAUUGGCGUUCAUUUAUUGUGGAACAAAUUUAACAGUGGAUCCCAUGCUGACCACCCUUCGUUAUAUUAGGAAGUUUUGGGCUCAAAAGGCUGCAGCACAGCUAACCCAAGAAGCAGAAAUUAAAAUUUCAUUUGUUAUAGUUACAAAGAAAAUAUUAAUUUUAUAGAAAUUACUUUGUUUUACAGGUUUGUCAUAGGUAUAUAUACCUGUUUCUUCUUUCCAGAACAGUCAUUUUGGUGGCUUGAACAUUACAAAUUCAACUCUUCAAAUCCCAAGUUCAAAAUCUAUUAGAGCAGGAACAACAAAUGUCCAAAUAUAUUAGUUCUUCAAACAUUUGCUGACGUUUUUUUAAGUUACUUCCCUGGAAAUCUUAGUAAGCUUCUCUUUGCUUGCUACGGGAGGCAAAGUUGCUACGCAGGAGCACUAGUGAUCAUCAGUCAAAAAGGGCAGCGUUUGAUGAGCCCUCCCAUAGCAAGCAAAGAAAAGCUUAUUGAUUUUUUCAGGAAAGUAACAUAAAAUACGUUAGCAAAUGUUAGAUCUCUAGUAACGUGGAUGCCAUUCCCAAACAUGAAGCAAACAAUCCACCUUACCAGAGCUGGAUGAGUGAUGGAUGUGUUUCAUGACAAAUUGUCAAUGAUGAUGACGACCAGACACCCAUAUGAACUGUGACAUUUCUGGGUCCAGAUUCCCACUUUCAAUCCCACCUAGCUAGUUUAUCCAUUUGACAAGAAAUCGCAACCACCACCAUUACCAAACAAGCAAAACUUACAUCCCACAAGUUGAAGCAGCCAAAAUGCUCAUUUCUCUCGUCAAUGCAUUUUUGCAUUCUCACGUCUUUUUCAUUGGUGGUGACUGCACCAAGUUCGUUCAGUCCAUUCAGUCCGAUCAUGGAUUAACUCGUUGGACCAAUCAUGUUCGAUCGUCAAUAUUUUUCCGAUUCAAGUUCAAACCAGGUCAAACUUUGAGUAGUGAAUUUUUCCUAUCAACAUGUGGAGCUGGCUUAUGCUUGGGUUUAACUACUCUGAUGUUCCCUUUUGAAUCGUUCUUUGAUGCUUCAAUGGACACAACAAUACUAGUGUUUUGAGGGGGAGGUGUAUCUAUUUACUUUAGAGAUAUGUGAAGAUUACUAUCAUUUUUAAAUCUUAGAAUUAACGGAAAAAAAAUUCUUAAAUUAUUUCGAUGUGAAAGGCAUGUCUUUAAAAAUCAAUCGCAAAUGUGAUUCUCAAUCACUACUGCUGUAAAAGUUAAUUUGGGAAUAUUUUUUUAUAGUCAAAUAAAAAGAAAUUUUUUGAAGGCAUUGGUCGGACCCAAAUUGGUCCUUUUCUGUACUCCGCACAACAUUUCACAGAUAUUCGCAUGUGAUAUUCGUUGGCCGUGAUUUACAAGAUGGUCGAGGCCCAAGCUGCAAAACAUUUGGUCGAGGCCUUGCAAUUGUCCACCUUCUUCCUGGGAGAAAAAUCGUCCGAAGACUGAUUUUGAAGACCAUUUCAAUCACUUGAUUGGUGUCAAGAAACUUGGGUUGUGACACCAAAAUUCGGAGAAAUCGGACGGCAUUUUCGUAAUACUCUUUGAUGGUCAGUGUGAUGCUUGAGACAUGGACUACGAUCAAAGUAUACUGUUUUCUGGCAUCAAUAAACUUUAUAAAAACAAAAAAAUAAUUUUUUUCUGGCAUCAGUAAAUCCAAUUCUAUAUCAAAGCAUUAUUUAAUCCGUUAAAAAACAAAAAAAAUAAACUUAAUAAAAAAUAUUUAUCAGUCCCGAUUUACUUUUUCCGGUAAGAUGAAAGUUCAAAAAUAUAUUAAUAACACUCCUCACAUCGGGGGUGUUUAACAUUGAGUUUUAACCCACUUUACAUUAAAAUUUAAUUUUUUUUUGUAUUUUUAGAACAUUUUGAUGUGCCAAUAUUAAAAAUAAAUUUUAAAAAAUAAAAUAAAUAUUAUUUUGAUGUUUUUUUGAGUGAAAAACACUUUAAAAAAUAACCAAUACCACACUUUCAAAUAUCUCAUAAAUAAACUCAAUGACACCAAGAUAAUCACAAACAUCAAAUGAAAAGACUAAUUUUUUAAAAAUAAAAUUCCGUCACUAAAUUGAAAAAUAAAAAGACACUUUUCAUUGAACAAUGUGGUCCCCUAUGAUCAAGACAUUUUUAUAAUAACAAACAGUGAAAGUGUGUUUUGGUUUAUUUAUGUUUAUUGUAUAAUAAUAAUAAUAAUAAAAUAAAAAUAAAACAAAAACAAGAGAAGGAAUGAGCCUACGUACGUACAGACAAAUAGCAACUUCCUCAUUACAAAUAAAUAAAUAAAUAAUAAAAAUAGCAACUUCCUUUGAUUGACUAUUCAACAUUUCUUAUUUAUUUAUUUUUAUUUCAGAUGCUAUAAGAAAAUGAUUUAAAUCAUGUUUCUUCAAGUGCAUCGUGAUAUAUAUUAUACUAGUUAUGUGACCUUGCAGGUUUAAUAUUUUUAUUUUUUAUAAAAAAAUUAUACAAUUUUUUUUAAUAUAUUUUUAUAAUUUAAAAAAUCUAAGUUUAAAUCAAAGAUUUUAUGCAUACAUGUAAUCGAAUUAAUCAAGAAUUAUAUGUGCAAAUAAAUAAAUAAAAAUUAUUAACAAAAUCAAGAGACAAGUGUAAAUCAAGAUUUUUAAUCUCGAAAGACAAAAUAAACCAGGUUAUAUUUGAUAAAUUUCUUUAUUAAUUUUUUUAUUUAAGUAAAUGAUAAUAGAAAUAAAGACACAAAUUAAAUUGAUUGAAUAAAAUAAAAGAAAAAAAAUCAUGCAAGAUUGCACAUAUUAGAAAUAUUAUUUGAAAAUAUUUUUUUUUAUUUUCAAAAAUAAAGUUCAUACAUACAAAAGAUAAAAAAAAAUUAUAGACGAAUCAUAAAAAACUUUUCAAAUUUAAAUGUUUAACUAAAAAAAUAAUCAUUCUCCAAACAAAAUGAAAGAGAGAGGGGUACUAAUUCAAAUAGAAAUUAAAAAAAUUUAGAGAAAAAACCAUAAAAAAAAUCAUUAAUUGAAAAAAAUAAAAAAACAAAUUUAGAAAAAAAAAAAAGCAAAGGCCAGACACUGUCGGGCCUAGCAAGCUAGACUAACUUGUUUGAUCUAUUUUGUCAGGGUCCACGCAUGGACUUGCACAAUUGAGCCCUUAAUUUUUUUUGUUUGUAAGUGGGGCGGACAACAUGUUAUUCAUCACUAUUUUUUUUGGAAAAAAAUUAAACGACACCUUGUCUAAUUUGCUCAGAUUUUGGCCUUUGUGGUGACCGGAAAAUCAGGGAUUACGUUUUUAUUUUUUUACCUAGAAACCCCCUUUCAACCCAUUUUUGACCCAGAACACCUAUAAAAACACCACCGUAGGAACCAUGAUAAACCUAUCCAUGGCCUAAAAAAGGCCACCACAAAAACUGAAAUCAACCCGAAUCCAAAAUCAACCCGAGCUCAAAUUUGUUUUUUUAUGAACUUUAACAGUAAAAAAACACCUAAUAUGAACUCCCCUCAUAAGAUGGAGUCAUUUGACACAAAUAUCAUCAAUUUUAGUGGCCUAAAUCAGUAUUAACAACACUUUUCUCUCUCCACUACGGGAAUCCAGUGACCCCUCUCUCUUUUCUCUCAACCAAGGACUAAAAAUAACAAAAUAAAUUUUUGUACCAUAAUUGAAUUGGAAAAAUAUUGAGGUACUAGAAUUGUAUAAUUAACAUGAUUUUUAAAGUUUAAGGAUCAAAGUGUAUCUUUUACAAAAUUUAUGGCUUGCCACUCAUGUUUGAUGUUUUUUAUUUAUUUAUUUUGGUCCCUCUUUUUUCAAUGCCAUCUUUUUCAUAAAAAAAAAAUCAAAAUCAAUUGGUUAAAUAGCCAAAAAAAUAAAUAAAUUUGAUGAUCAAAUUGAAAAAAUAUAAAAUUUUACACAACUUAUCCAUAAUAAUAUAUGAGGGGAUAAAUAGUGAGUCCUUGUACAAUGAAAAUAUAACACAUUUUAGAAUAAUACUUAAUACUUGCCGAGAUUAAUUAAGGAAUUUUCCGGUUGUCAAAGAAACCCUUGAAAGAGGUAAAAACGUGCAUGAAAUGUAGAUGGAUAUUCAGGCUAAAGAGAACAACGUGUCCUUAAUUAUAAUAUUAGAGAAAACAGUAUACAAGGAAAUAGCACACAAAUAGUGGCCUUUACUUUGAAAUCAAAGGAAAUAAAUUAACACCGUCGAGAGUCUUAAUCAAUGUUAUUUCUUUCUUGCAGUACUUUCUUCCUCAAAACAUUCCCUUGUACUUGUCAAUCCGACAAUAGGGCUGAUAAUUGAAUAAGUUGUCGUCCAUAUGCCUUAAAAAGAUUUUAAAUAUUAAGAUCAUAACUUAUUUGAAGGGUUCAACAGAAUUCCCGAUUGAAAGCUCAUAGAUGGUCAAGGGUUUUUAUUUGCUUUCAUAAUCUGUCAAAUCGAACACACGGUUAUUUGUUGAUGUUCAAACUUUUCAAAUUCAUCAGAAGAAGUAAAACAGUCAACCAAGAAUUAUAAGGUCCUAUUGAACCACCAUGGGAGUUUUUUUUUUAAUUAUUUUAAAAAAAACCCUAUGAAUUAUAAGGUCCCACAAACUGUUAUAUACUUCUCUAUAUAAGGGAGAUCAUACCCACCCUCCUACAACCACGAUUCAAACUACGACGAGAAACAAAGCAAAAUUAAGAAACAUUAUCUCAUCACAGAAGGGAUACUAGAUCUCCAACUAUUUUUUUCGUUGCAGUAACCAUGCAUCGCUCUUCAAUUGUAAACUUCCCACGCCAAUUUCUCCGUCAAUACCCCUCAAUACAGCCGGCGGUUACCAGUCGUAUUGCCAAACCUUGUGAUGUGUUCAUUAACCAUCGAGGGAUCGACACAAAGCGCACGGUUGUUACUUUGCUUUAUGAUCACCUUUUCCGGUUAAACCUACACCCCUUCCUGGACAACAAGAAUAUGAAGCCAGGAGACAAGUUGUUCGAUAAUAUCAACAGUGCAAUAAGGAAAUGUAAGGUUGGGGUGACUGUGUUUUCUCCUCGGUAUUGCGAGUCAUAUUUUUGCCUUCAUGAACUAGCUCUUAUUAUGGAGUCAAAGAAGAAGGUUAUUCCUAUCUUUUGUGACAUCAAGCCCUCGCAACUUCGAGUUGUGAACGAUGGGAAAUGUCCCAUGGAGGAUAUCCGGAGGUUUCGCUGGGCACUUGAAGAGGCUAAGUAUACUGUAGGGCUCACGUUCGACUCCUUGAAAGGGUAAGGAGCACCAUAACUUUCUUAGUUUCUGUGUGUUGGAUUUCGAUUUCAGAAAUUAAAAUUAUCUUGUCUUUCUUCUCACAUUCUUCCCUGUGUUUUCCAGGAACUGGUCGGAGGUUGUAACAAGUGCGUCGGAUAUUGUCAUUGAAACCUUGGUUGAGCUCGAGAGUGAGAAGCAAAUGCAGCGCCAUAAAAGCACUCCAAUAUUCCGUGCCUAGCACAUGUCUCAUUCGUUGAAGAAUAAAGUUUCAAUGCCACCGAGAGAUCGUCCUUCAUCAAAAUUUUCCUGCCUAUUUAUCAUUCAAUUUGUGUUAAUAAAUUGUAAAAUCAAUUUUUUCAUUUAUAAAAAAUAAAUGUUAAACAAAUUUCUUUAUUUUUUUAGUCAAUUCUACUCAGUUGAUUAAUUAUCUCUUUGUAAUAAGAGCAUGGCUCAAUGUUGCAAGCUCAAAAAAUAAUUGUAUCACAUAAUAUUGUAUGAUGUAUUGAGAUAUAUAUAACAAAAGGUUUAACUCUUAUCUUUGUUCAUCGAAAUUUUAUUACUUAUUUACUUCCUGACACACACAUAUAUAUAUACACACACACACACACACAUAUAUAUAUAUAUAUAUAGCACUAUUCUGGAUUGGACUUCUCUCAAUUAAUUUAUUGCUAACAUGAUAUAUCAUGAUAGUUAAAUUAUAGCCAUUAGAUUUUAAUUGAUAGUGAGGAUCAUAAAAAUAAAUAAAUUAUCUAAUUUGAUCACAUAAUAUUUAGAGCAAAUAAAAAAUUAAUUAAUGGUUGUUAAAAAAAAUCCCAAAUCUAUCUAAUUUCUCACAAAAACCAUAUUUUAUAAAACAAAACCAGACAUAUUCUUUUAACUUAUUUUCAUACGAAUCAGGAUCCAUUAAAUAAAUAAUUAACAUAAACUUGAAAAAAAAACUUAGUUCAAAUUUGCGUGAAGCAAUUAGUGUUUAUAUUUGAUUAAUAGAGACAAAAUUAACAACAUAUAAUUAAUUCACAAUAUUCUCUAAAUUUGAUCAAAAAUAGAUUUGUUUAAGUAAAAGAAAUCAUCUAAUAAAAGCUUGGUCUUUCAUUUAAUUUAAAAGGUUAAAAUUUAACUAAUAUGAUGUAUAUCAUGUUAACACUAAUUGAAGGAGCGCAAUCUGUUAUUCCAUAUCGUAUUAUCAGUCAUAUUGUAUACUUGUAGUAUUUGUCAAUGUAGGUGAUUUUACAUUUUAUGAUUGAUAAUUUAAUAUACAGGCAAGGGAAAAAUGCUAUAUUUCUAUCACUAUAAAAAUCACUAACAACUUCACUAAUGAAAAAGUAUUGGUGGUAAGUGUCUCGUUGUGAUGUCAUAUCUGGUGGUUAUUUUAUUAGUUAUUUUUAUACCCGAUAGAUUAUUGUUGACUAAAAUAGGUAUUGAUAAUUUUUUAUCAGCACACCCAUUGGUAAACAAAAUUUAUAUACCCCUCUAUCAAUUUUCAGGUGGUCUCUAAUGAUGUUUGCAUUGAAAUUGCUCUAUCAAGACCUCAAAAGUGAUCAACUUAAUCAAUCUUUACUGUGUUCCUACGGCUACGCAGUGUCUAUGACGAUUUUUGUUCGUUUACUUGUUCAUUAAGAGUCACUAGCUAGUAUUUGAUUCAAGAUUACUAGAAAACCUGAAUAUACUAAUCUUGUCAGAAAUUUGAGAAUAAAAAACUUGUGGUGGCUAGAAAAAAUAUUAACCUCCUAGCACACCCUACCUAAAUAAGCUGAUAUGUUUUAAAAGUUGACAAUUUCUUGUCAGUAACCUAUUAAAAAGAAAGAAAAACUCUCCGAUAAAAAAAUCAUUAUCUUAUUAGAUAAAAAAAAACAUUUAACAUCAACACAAAAAAAUCAAAACAAAUAACCUUUUUUAUUUUUUAAUAUAAAAAAUAUAUGUUACAUACCCUAGAUAUUAAAAGAAAACAAAAUAUAUUUCUCUUUUUUAGUAUCUUUUUUGAAAUAUAAACCAAAUUUAAUACAAAUUAAAACAUUUAAUUAAUUUUUUUGUGUUUUUUAAUUUUUUUGUCUUUUUAGUUUUUAUUAUUAAAAAAAUACAUAAAAAAAAAACAAACAAACAACCCCACACACACCACUUUUCACUAUUUUUACUCAUGUUUACAACAUAACAUAAACUUCAAAAAGAAAAUAUAACAGUAAUUUAAAUACAUAUUCAAGCAUGUAAAAAUUACAACACAAAUUCCUAAAAAUCCAGGAAUUGUAGAGGAGGCCUUCUGGAACUGCAGGAACAAUGGCGGCGCGUCUUCUCUAUGCACCCCGCCACUAGUGGCGCGUGAACCCACGCGACGCCGCCAGAAAAUCCAAACAAACAGGGGGGGUCUGUAACGACCUCCUCCCCUCUUCCUUUCCUUGCUGGCGGUGAGAAACAACGUCACCUGCAAAGCCAAGAAAACACCACAAACAGUUGAUUUUAUUUUGUUUUUUCUUUUCUUCCCCUUUUAGAUCUGUUUUCUUAUGUCUUCUUCCCCCUUCGGUUUACUGUUCUUUUUUUUUUCCAGGUGGUAGGUCUGGUGGUGGGCGGGUCACGGUGGACGCCGACGGGGUUGGCUUCGGGUUGUUGUUCUGGCUGUUGCUGUUGAGGAGAUGGGAGUGGUUGUUCAGUUGGCGGGUUUGGUUGGAAGUGGAUCUGGGUCUGCGGGUCUAGCCGUGUGCGGGGAAGGGGAGGCUUGAGGUGCGUCGGCCGGGAGAGGGUGGUGCCGAGGCCGGUCUCUGUCGGGUGGAGCUGGAAAUGACGAUAGGGAAAAUGAUCGGGGGAAGAGAGGCAGAUCCCUUCUGGGGUUAUGGUCGGUUGGCUGAGGGAAGAACGGUUGAGAAAGGAAGAUCUGUGGAAAUGGGGGCUGUGAGAGGAGAAGGGAGUAAUGUGGUGGCUGUCUUGUAGCUGAGAGGGAGAGCGGCAACUAGAGGGAAGAUCAGGUGAGGGGGAGCUGGUUUGUGGCUGUUGUUGGGGUCCUCUCGUUUUUUUAGCUAAAGGGAGAGACUGCCCUGUCACCGGGGAGGCGAGGGGCGGUGGCUUUGGCUUCCCAAAAAAGAUGAGAGUUAGGGUCUUUCUUCUCUAUUUAUAGAGAAAAAAAUCCUUUUUUUUCCAAAUGCUUAGUAAAAAAUCUGUAUUUGAUUUUUUCAAAAAAUGAGCAAUAUCAACGUCGUCCCGAUGAGAAAAAUUAAUGAUUUUAAAAAUAAUGCGUUAAAAGUCAAACGCGUUCAAAAGACCUUUGAAAAUUUAAAUUCCUUUUUAGACAACGCUGAAAAUGCUAAAAACGAUGCAAAUAUAUCAAGAACAUAUAUUCUUUUGGGUUUUUGUUGUUUUUUGCUAUUUUUGUUUUUUUUUCAAAAAUUUAUUAAAAACUAGGUCAAAAAUUAGGUAGGAACACCGAUUGUGCGAAAUCCACUUUUUUUUCUUAUAUGUUUACACUUGAUAGCUCUUAAAUGGGUUCUUAUUACUGUUUAAAAAUGUUUUCCAUAAGAUCAAAGGGCCAAAAACAACUCAUUGACUUUCAAGUUUAGCAAAACCACUAAAAACUUCAAAAUCAAGUUUGUUACAAAACUAUCAUUGUAAAAUCAACAAAGUACAUAGCUUUCAGCUGUUAAAACCUUCUUAAAACUCUUCCAUUUUGAUUAGAGGGUCAAGUAUUGAUAAAUCAUGAUCAAUCGUUGAGCAAAUCAAUCAAAGAAUCUUAACAAAAGAUUAUAAAUACCCACUGAAAAUCGAGAAAGAAAAAAUAAAAAGAAGGAAAAAAGGGAAGGAAAACCUUGAAUAAAAAACUCUAAGUGUGAAGGUUCAAAAGCCUAACACAAGAAUUUCUUCAACUUCAAGAGAAAGUAGCAAGGUUGGAAAAUAAAGAACAUAAAGGCAACAACCGUCAUUUGAGCUUGGAGGGUAUAAAACAUUUAUUUAGUCUUGUAUAUGAUGUCCACGAGACACAUUUCUAGCUUGUUCAUGCAUAUUUGAUGAUAUUUCUAAGCAAUUGUUGUGCUGUAUUGAUUUUGGUUUUGGUUUCAAUUAAUAUGUAAAAAUGUUAUUUUAUUGUUUAAAUCUUGCUUUGAGUUGGUUGUUAAUGUUCCUGAAUACUCAGAUGAUGUUUGUUAGAUUGAUUUUGAUGAAAUAAAAUGGUUUUGAAAUCUGCCAAAUAUGAAUGUAAGAUUUGUAAGGCUUUUAUGUGCUGGCUAAUACAUGUUCUUGCAUUCUGGUUUUGGUUGAGGCCUAUUAGAUGUUAAAAUAUCAGUUUUGAGCUCUAAAUUCUCAAGUUUGUUUGUUAUUUUAGUUUGUCAGUUUUUGAGAUUAAAACUCCAUGCAUGAUUUUUAGAAUGUGAUGUUUUUUUUUUUUACCUAUUUUGAUUUGAGUAUGUGUACUAUGGGUAGUGGGAUGGGGGUGAACCAAGAAAGCAUGGGUUUUUAAGGGCUUGAAAUGUGUUUUCUAGUAUUGUCAGGACCUGGGAAUUUUUUAGAAAUUUAAUGGGGCAAUGGUUCUGUUCUUCACAAAGAACAUUGCCUUAACUACAUCUUUUAGGAUCAAUUUUGAUUUUAAUUUUUGCAUUAGCAUCUCGAUAUGACAUGAUUAAUCAAUAAUCGAGGAUUUAAUUCUAGGGUUAGUUUUUUCAAACUGAACUCAUUUUCAUUAAAUUAUGUUGAUUCAUGGAUAAUCGAUAUGAAUGAAGCUAGAUUAUUGGUUAGUGAUUAAUUUCCAACAUGUCUGUCAUUGGAUUGUUAGUAACUGGUUUGGAUUUUGAUUCAUGUUGCUAGUAUGUUCUUGAUGUUCUUCAUUCGUUCUUCGUCUUCUUAUUUUUUUCUCGAUUUUGAUAAAAAAAAUUUGGGUUUCUGUGUUUUUAGCAAGCUUGAUUCAUUUUAAGUUUUGAUUUGUUUUUCGGGUCAAACUAAUGGUUUUUGGUUUGGUUUAUGAUCGAACCAAAGAUUUCGAGUCAAAUGGGUAAGGCCUUGUUUGACUCUUAAUCUUUUUGAUAAAACAAUUUUUGGCUUAAGGAUGUGUUUGACAAACAUGUUCUUAGACCUAUUUUGGUAGUUUUAUCCAAAAGAAAAUGGUUUUUUUUUUUUUGCCAAAUAAAGCCUUAAAGAAAUAUUAAUAAUUAAAAAUAUACAAUAUAAUUUUUUUUAAAAUAAUAAAUAAAUUUUACAAUCAAUUUGUAAAAUUCCAAAGAAUUUCGGUCUAUGUUUCAGAAAAUAUAAAAAAUUAAUUUUUGGUAAAAUCUAGUACUCGUUUUUAAUACAAGGAUUAAAACAUGUAUGAGGUUAAUAUCUAACAUAUUAUUAGGAGUAAUAUGACCCAUUCACUUUUGAUAUAAAGAUAAAAAACAUGCAAAUGGUUUUUUUUAUCUGAAAUGUUAUUAAAGAUGACGUAAAAGUACCUAAAAUUAAAGUUUGUUUGAAAUAAGCUUCAACGAUAAUUGGGGAUAUUUCAAUCUAUGUCCCAUGGUAUAAGAGUUAUGGACGUUUGAAAUACCAAAGGGAAAAAUAAAAUUUCAAUAAUUAUAAAAUUUCUUUGGAUUUCUAACCUUAGCUUUUUCAUGACAUAUAAGUUGUGAAUGAGUUUGCUUUCUUCUGAUGUCUUUUUAAGUCGGGAUCUUUUAGACCAAGUUCUUGAUCUAAAAAACUAGAAUUUGUUCAUUGUAAUAAAUUCGCCAUAAUAGACUGAUAGAACUUAGAAACAAGGUUACCUCAGGUAAGGCAUACUAGGGGUGUUAAUACAUUUAUUUUACGUAACCAGUCCCUUACCUAGAAUUUUUAAAAACUAGUUCGGAUUCCUAGUAACCAUAAUACUAGGUGGUGACUCCAUAUCAAACCAAAUACCUCUCAACCCGCCUGAAAAGGAUCAUCAUGAUAUUGCGCUCUCGUGAAAGGUACGACAACUUGUUAAUGGCAUCUUACUGCCAUCUCUUCAAUCUUCCUUUCUUUAGUAAUUUUAUUUACUUAAACAUGGCUCAUCGAAGCCUUUUUUCUUGUCAAGUGGUUGCUGCCACAUUCUUCAUUAUAGUUCUUUGGUCAUUGUCCAUCUUUUCUUUAGGUUCAUUUCUCAUUUCUCUUUUCUUAAAUGAUCUCCUUGGUACCACACCUUCUCUUGUGCAAGGAGUUGCUAGAUUGGACUAAGCCUCUUUUGGAUUUUUUCCCUUUCUCUUGAUGCAAAGCCUUAAUUUUUUUUGUUGAACUCUAUCAUCUUGCACCUCUAUUUUUUUUUUCUUGGAUGUCACUUGUCCACCACUCUCUCUUGAGAUUUCUCUCUUUCAUCUACACACAUGCUUUAAUUUCUCAAAAGCCCCACUAGAUCCUAAAUAAGUAGGGGAGAAGGUAGAAAUGAGAAGUCUAUAUGGACUUGGACUUGAAUACAAUACUUGAACAUUUAUAUUUAUACCAGUGUAGGGGAUACAUCAAGAGACUUAAAAUGAUUAAUAUUCUCUAAUAUUUAUACAUACACCUAAAAAAACUAAAAAACACUUUGAAUUCAAAAUUAAUUCCAUCAAUUCAAUAGAAACUACAAAAAUCAGAGUUUUGACGCAAAUAGGUUAAUGCUCCCCAAAGACCAUAAAAAAACCACCAACCAGACACUCAUGUCCUAAAGAAUUGGCCACACUGGUUUGCCAAGCAUUUCAAGAAACAUGAACACUGACAGAGAAACUCAUUGCCUUAUAGAUGCUGCAAGUAUAAUUUCUUCCAAGUAAAAGAGUUCACAAGCAGACAAAAUCCCUCAAACAAAAAAAUAAUGUUAUAUCCCUUGUUCAUCAAAACUGACCCUAUCUGAUUGAGAGAGCGAAGAACGAUUCCAAGAGCACAUAAUGUUUCUAGGGAACCCAUUCAAUUAAAUUAUCUUUCUCAGAUUUUCCUUACUAAAUUAACUAAAUUAAACAAUUUGACUUGUUAUCAAGAACGUCUAAUUACAUUUUGUAGAAAUAAAUUGCAUUGUGGGCAACCAUAAAAUGAAGCGAGAAUUGGUAACAUGCAUCCAACAAAAUUAGUGGUGGUACUAUAACAAGGUUUAAAAACCUGUGUAAAGUGUGGUUGAAAUCCUCAAUAAUAUUGAGGUUAUUGAUUCUCAUUAUAUAUAAUGUAUAUACAGUUGGAAAGAUCCUAUAUAAUAGGAAACAAAUAAAUGUAACAAAUAUUUAUCUUAUAAACUAGGAAAGAUAAUAAUAAAUAAUCUAAGAUCAAGGAAAUAAUCGGAUUCCUUAUCACCCUCCUUUAAGCUGAUCAUGGUAGAAGGAACCACGUGAAGCUUGUUACGGAAAAGUAUGAACUGAGGCUUGGUGACUCAUUUGGUGAAAAAAUCAACAAGUUGGAGAUGGGAUGAAACAAAUGCGACUUUUAAGGAACCAUUGACAAUGAGUUCAUGAACAAAAUGAUAGUCAAUCACAAUAUGCUUAGAUCGAGGCUGAGUGACAGGAUUGGCUACCAUAAAUAUAACACUUUUGUUGUCGCAUAGUAUCUUCGGAGGGGAAGACAAUUGUAGAUGUAGAUCACGAAGUAGAUGAACAAUCCAAGCAACUUCAACAUUAGCAACGGCUAAGGAUCGAUACUUAAGCUUCGACACUGGAGCGAGGAACAAUGGAUUGUUUCUUGGAGCACCAAGAGACAAGAUUGGGGCCCAAGAAUAUAAGAUAGUCGGUGGUAGAUUGACGUGUAUCAGGAUAGCCAGCCCAAUCAGUAUCAGAAUAAGCAAGCAACUCACGAGAAGGGGUGUGGUGGAGUUGAAGGCCAUGAUGGAAUGUGCCUUUAAUAUAACGCAAUAUACAUUUAAGUACUUGAAAAUGAUCUCCAGUCGGAGCAUGCAUAUAUUGGCAAUUGGAAUUGACACUGAACGAGAGAUUAGGGCGAGUAAUGGUUAAAUAUUGUAGGGCUCCGGCAAGAGACCGAAAUAGGAUGGGAUCUGAAAAUAGCUUGCCUUCAGUGGAGAGAUGUUCACUAACUAUAAAAAAAAUGGCAAUGGGUUUGGCCUCAACCAUGUCAGCACGUUGUAGGAGAUCAAGAACAUACUUGGUUUGGCUAAGAAAUAAGUCGUGAGAGUCAUGUUGGACUUCAACACCAAGAAAACAGUGUAGAGAACCCAAAUCUUUCAUAACAAAUUCUUUGGACAGCCGUGUGAUAAGAGUCUUGAUCAAAUUGGGAUUGUUUCCGGUAAGUACCAUAUCAUCUACAUACAACAAGAGAUAAACUGUGUAUGCCGUGGUAUGAUGGACAAAUAAAAAGGAAUCAGCCUGAUUGAGAAGAAAACCAAGGUUCAAUAAAAACAAACUAAAACGUUGGAACUAAGCACGAGGGGCUUGUUUAAGUCCAUAAAGAGCACACUUCAAUUGACAUAUAUGGUGAGGAAAUUACGAAUCAGUGUUGCCAGAUGGUUGAUCCAUAUAUACUUAUUCAGAAAUAUGACCAUAAAGAAAUGGCAUUCUUAACAUCUAAAUGAUGUAAGAGCCAUCUAGAAGUGACUUCAAUAGAUAGGAUAAUCCGAACAGUAGCAGGACGCACCAUAGGACUGAAUGUGUCUUCAAAAUCAAGGCCAUGAAUAUGAGAGAAGCCAUUGGCCACUAGAUGAGCCUUAUGACGCUCAAUGGAUCCAUUAACAUAGAGCUUGGUCUUAAAGAUCCCACGACAACCAACUGCAUUAUGAUUUAUAGGAUUUGGUACAAGAUCCCAAGUAUCGUUCUUCUUCAAAGCUUGUAUUUCAUUAUCCAUAGCCGAGAGCCAUUUAAGGUGUUUGGCAACAGACUUGAAACCCCGAAGCUCUUGUAGAGCAAGAAGGACCUGAAAAAACUAAGAAGAGGGUGAAAUUGUUAACACAUGAUAGGCCUUAGGUUUAAAUAUAUAAGAUUUCCUUCUAGUAACCAUUAGGUGAAGGUUGGUAGAAGUCGUUAGUAGAGGAACAAAUAGAGAGGGCAGACUAGAAGACGAGACGGUAGACACAGCAGGAGAUGUUUGGGGAAAUGAUUCACUAAGAUCGUCAUUGUAUGGCAAACAAAUAGGAUUCGAAAUAGGAUAAGAUAGUAACGAAUUCGUAGAGGUAGGAGACAUAUUAUUAUUAGAUUCCAAGAAAUCAGAAAAAGUAAUAUAAGGUGUUGAACUAUGAAGUUGUUGGAUAUCAUCACUCGCAUAAGAAAAUAUAGUUUCAUAAUAUGUCAAGAGAUAUAAAGACGUUGUAUCUUGCGAUCAAAACAACAAACACCUUUGUGAAGGGGGUAUAACCUAAAAAGACAUAAGGAGAGGAUUUGGGAGAUAAUUUAUUAGGAAUAUAAUCUCAUAAAUAAGGAAAGCAUAAACAUCCAAAAGUGCGAAGCAUAGUGUAGUUGGGGUAUUUACCAAACAGAAGCUCGUAAGGAGUUUUUCCAUCAAGAGUUUGUGAGGGGAGCCGGUUGAUGAGAUAAACAGCUGUCGAGAAGGCCUCAACCCAAAGAGGCAACAUAACACAUGCAUGAAACAUAAUAGCAAGUCCUGUUUCAAUGACAUGUCGGUGUUUAUGUUUAGCAAUCCCAUUUUGACUCGAUGUAUAAGAGCAAACAAUGCACAACACAAUGCCACAAGAUGUGAGGUUAGAGCAAAAUUUAUUAUUUGUAAGUUCAGUUCCACCAUCACAUUGGAAGGACUUAAUUUUGGAAGAAAAUUGAGUUUUAAUAUAAUGUUAAAAGUUGAUAAAGGUAUAAAAAAAAUUAGAUUUGUGUUUUAAUGGAAAAAAACCAAUUGAAUCUGGUACAAUCAUCAAUUAACACUGCAUAAUAUCGAAAACCAGUAGUGAAACAGACAGGUGAAGGAUCCCAUAAAUCACAGUUUAAGAGAUCAAAAGGCAAAUCACAAAGAGUCUUAUUAAGUGAAAAGGGUAAACGAUGGCUUUCGCCAAGGUUACAUCCAACACAUAAACCAAAAUCCAAACCCAUCAAUUUAUAACUACAAGAAAUAAAACCUGACUUGGAGAGAGAGUCAACAGUACGAAAACUAGGAUGACCUAGGUGAGCAUGUCACAAAUAAGCAAAGACACGCAGUUUAUUGGAAGAAACUAUGGAAACAAGGGCAUGAUGAUGUUGCUCGAGCACUUAUAGGCCAUUGUCACAUCUGCUAACCCCUAGCACUACUCCUGUGACUCAGUCUUGUAUGGUAAAACCAAAAUAAAAAAAGAUGACACAACAAUUAUUAUCCUUUGUAAGUUGACUGAUGAAAAUAAGUUUUUUUGUAAUACUAGGAACAACUAAAACAUUAGAUAAAAGUAGUGAGCUGUUGGUAACAAGAGUGAAAAUGAAGUUAGUGUGAGAAAUAUAAAGAGACUGACCAUUACCAACCAUCACCCUUUCAUUACCAAAGUAGACAACAAGAACAUUUAUACCCUCGAGAUCAUUUGUCAUGUGAGAGGUGGCACCAGAGUCCGGAUACCAGGCAGAGUCGUUGGAGUCCGGGGUUGAACAAGCAGCGUAAGCCUCAACAAGGUUGACAGACUACUUUUUCUUGAGAUUAAGAAAUUUCUAGCAAUGUUUAGCCAUGUGUCCCUCAUUGUCGCAGAGUUGACAAUAAACUGGAGAAAAAUUGAACAAUUUUGAGGCAGAGGCAGAGGAAGGUUUUGACUUUCCUGGUGCUUUUCGGUCUGGUGGAAGAAUGUCGCUGAGCAUAGAACGCUGAGUUGGUAGAUUGUUGAUACACCGAUCUUUCAAAAAUAUCAUGGCUCAAAGCUUUCGGUAUGAUAUCUGCAAAAGAAGGUAACGAAAAUUGGGAAAGCAUUGUAGUUGAGAAGAUCUUAUAAUUAGGACCUAAGGCUCUUAAGAAGCAGUGGACUUUAUCCAGGUCAUUAAUGGUCGAUCAAUUGCUGCCAGUUGAUCAUAGAGGCCUUUGAAGAGUCGAGAAAAUUCAGCCACGGAUUUGGAGCCUCGCUGCAUCAGUUGAAGCUCGUCCUUAAGUUGAAGUUCUCGAGUCUUAGAUCUGUGAGAGAAAGAGGCUUCAAGAGUAGUCCAGGCCUCAUGUGCAUGUUUAGACCAAGUACCUCACUCAUAGAUUCCUCCGGAAAAGAAGAAUUGAGGAGAUUUAAGAGAGUCUGAUCUGUAUUCAGCCAAGAAGUGUAGGUUGGAUUCACCUAGGUUGUGCCGUCAGAAUCAGUAAUCUGAGGAGAAAGGGUUGAGACACUACCAUCUAGAAAUCCAAGAAGAUCAUGGCUUGUUAACACCAAGAUCGUGUUCAGCGGAAGUGAAGUUGAUGAGGACGAUACAACCAUGAAAGGAAUUGGGUAAAAAAAGAAAAAACCUAAAUAUGCUUUGAUAUCAUAACAAGGUUUAAAAACGCGUGUAAAGUGUGGCUGAAAUCCUCAAUAAUAUUGAGGUUAUUGAUUCUCAUUGUAUAUAAGGUAUAUAUAAUUGGAAGAUCCUGUAUAAUAGAAAACAAAUAGACAUAACAAAUAUUUAUCCUAUAAACUAGGAAGAUAAUAACAAAUUAUCUCUAAAUCAAGGAAAGAAUCGAAUUCCUUAUCAUACUGUUUUACUCGUCAACGAGAAAUCUGACUGCUGCCCCUUCCUCUUCCUUUUGCAAGCACUCCAUUGGCACUUUCACUGAAUUGUUGGAACUAAAUUAAACGUCGAAGGCAAAACCUACACUAAUGGUAGGACAGGUUUCGAAGACAGUGAUGUUGGUAAAAAUUACUAUAGUACUUUAGUUUAAUUCUAUAUAAUCAAGAUAUUUUAUAUAAAAAUAAAUUAAAUAAUUAACGAGCAGAAUAAUAACGCUGCAAAAUUAUCAUGAGCAAAAAAUAAUAAUUGCAUACAAUUAUUUGCGGAAAUAUUGUAGAUGAUUUUUGAAUGAAUAAAAGAAAGUAAAAACCAUUGUUGUCAAGAAUUAUAUAAUUUGUUCUUAAAGCUAAAUCACUCAUCACUUGAUGCAAAUGAUUUCUAUAUAUGCAACUAUAUUCUCAAAAUUCCAACACGUCAUCUUAAAAUAUUGCAUUACCAAUCAACCUAAUAAUGUAGGAAGUUUUGAAGGAUAUGAACAAUCAAAUAAGAAUUUAUUAUAAUUUGACCAUAUAGAAUGUUUAAUAAAUAUGUUUAUGGACUAUAUAGACAAAUUCAAGUCUAAAACGAGGUUGGAACGUGCAAAACAAUUUUUCUAACAAAAACAAAUAUAACUUUUAAUUUAAUUAUUGAAAAAUUCUCAAAAAAUUUUAGGGAGUUUUAGGAGCCUUGUUUUGUAAUGGGUUAACUUGAUAUAUUCAUCUAAAAUUAGAAAAGAUGUGUCUGAAUUUUAAUAUAUAUUUUAAUUAAUUUUAGAUUUUUGCCUUUAUUUUUUCUAUCUAAAUAGAGUUUUCUUUUUCUUUUUUGGAUUAGGUGAAUGAGGGUCCUAUUUAAACUAUUUUAAGUUUUUUUUUCUAGAAAAGAGAUGCCUAAAAUAUUUUUAUUAAGAAUAAAUAGUAAGUUUAGGGUUCUUUAAGCCCUUUUUGUAAAUUUCAUCUUCUUAUUUUCCUUUGAUUCCUUGUCAGUCAGCAUCAAAGCCUAAAGUUUUUAAUGGCCUUUUCUGUUGUGAUAUUGAGUAAUCAUGAGUGGAGGUCACAGAUUCAGACGUGAUCAUGGUAAACGGGAACACAUUUUUUUAUUUUUUUAAAGAUUAGAGCAUAGUAAUUAAUUAAGAAAAAGUUUCAAUCAGUGUAAUUUAAAAUUAAUUAGUUAAUCUUUAAAGCUAUAAAGAUUAUUUAAUUCGUCUAAUAAAUAGAAGAAAUAUUUUUUAUAUAUAAAUUACUCAGGAAAGAAAUAGACACCUACCUUUCCUAGAUAGAUCAACGAAGUUUCUCUAUCUACCAGCCAUGAAAUAAGCCAAUAGCCGCCUGUUGGAACCAAAGAAAAACACGUGAAGUGUUCAUCAUUCCGUGAACAAGUAAAAUUCAUCGAUAUUAAUAAUUAAUGCUCAUUCUUUUUUUCCUCUUGUCCUUUCAAGAAAUCAAUGCUUAAUCUUACCAAAAUUAUUUCACUUCAUUAAUGUCAGAUUCAGCUACAAAUUGCAAAAACAAGGAAUAAAACAGCAAACAGAGACUAAUCUAUAGAAUAUCUCUGCCCUGAAAACCAUGCUACCUAACAAGAAAAUCUUGCAAAACUGCUUCUCUUGUUAAUUUGUGCUCUGAAUUUCAGCUCGACAGCUUCUUUCUUCGACUUCUUUGGAUUUGGUGAUCCACCAUCAGUGAAGAAAAGAAUCUGAAUAAGGAAGAUAAGUAGAGAGACUAUAAGAAGGCCUUCCUCUCAGUAUCCGGUGCAGCGCAUUACCCAUCACUUCCAUCAUCUCUCCUGCGUACCUUAUUAUCAAUGGCCGCAAAAACACAGCCCAUAGACCCACCACUGCCACUGCAAUUUCAACUCCUAAGCUCAUGUUCCUUCUUCUUGCAUUUCCUUUAUGAUGACUUGGUCUCUUGUUCUUUCCCUCUCCGAUCUCUUCCUAGUUAGCACUCUUUUAUCUUCUUGGAUUAACUUUUCAUCAUCAGCUAGGUGCUUAUAAACUUACGAGGAAGAUCAUGUAAUUCUAUGAAGUUUACUGGUCGAUUACAUGACCAUUCAAACGUGUGCGCAACUUUCACCUACCAAACCACCAUUCUCAACUGAUGGUCUCAUGGUCUUCAGCUGGAAUUACAAAUGCAACGUUUUUUCCUUUUAUCUUUUUGUGGCUCUCUUCAUUUAUUCAUUUAUUCUUGUAAACUAGCGAGACCACACAAGUACUCUCAUCUCAUAUGAAUAUACAAGGAUCUUUUUUUUUUUUUCUUGGAGAAGUCCAUGAUAAUCCCACAUAAAACAAAUCAACACAAAUUAUAAAGUUUAAUUUUUAAUAAACUCAAUAUUAAAAGAUAGAAUUGAAAAAAGAGCAAAAAAAUAACUCCAGUCAACUAAGUUAACCCGCUAAACUCACAAUUCGAGUCAUGAGAUCGAGAUAACACAAUAAAAAAUAAAUUAAAAUAAAUUAUGAAGUUAAAUUCUCAAUCAAUAUAAUGUUGAAAGAUGAGAUUGAAAAAAAAAUUAAAUUAAAAAAAAACACAAAAAACAACUCGAGUCAAUCAGAGUUAACCUGCCAAACUUAUUACCUGAGUCACGAGACAGGGAUAAAUUUANNNNNNNNNNNNNNNNNNNNNNNNNNNNNNNNNNNNNNNNNNNNNNNNNNNNNNNNNNNNNNNNNNNNNNNNNNNNNNNNNNNNNNNNNNNNNNNNNNNNUUCAACUUUGUUAUAACCCAUUUUUGGGUCCCCACACAAUAAAAGAAGAAUAUAUAUAUAUAUAGGAUGCCGGAGCGCCUAGAAAAUGGUUAGAAAUUGAUUGAGGAGGUUAAAAAAUAUAAAGAUUAAAAUUUGACAGUAGAUACUUGACUGAUGAGAGCCUUGUUGAAAAACAAAAUUCAAUUUUGAGGAGAAAAGUCCAAAAUCAGAUGUUUAUAGACUCAAUUGGAUUUUAUCGAAGGGUUAAUUGAAUUUAUAGAAGGUUUGAUUGCAAGUAAAUUAAUUUUUAAGUCAAUUUAGAUUUUAAUUGGAAGGAAUUAAAGUUCAGGCGUCAAAUUAAAAUUUUUAAGAGUUGAUUUUGUCAAAUCAGGUGCUUAAAUGCAUGAAUAUUGAAGUUUAGUGGCCACUUGGGGACUUCAUUAAAUUAACCCAAAAUCAAGGACCAAACUGGAAAAGACAUGUAAAUAGAGGAAUUGACAUUGAUCGAAUCAGGGACCAAAUUGAAAAAAAAUUAAAGUUUAUUGAUCAAUUGAGGGUCAAAAUGCACAAAUUCAAAACUAAGGAGUAAAGUAAAAAAGGUGGCCAAAUUUAAGGCCGACGAUUGAAGUUGGCAUGGAUGCAAUUGAAUUGAUUAUUAAAAAAAAAAUUGCAUUUUGAGGAUUUAAAUGAACAAAGGAUGAAUUGAGGACUGAUUUGGAAGUUGACGUGUUUUGGUGCCAUUUUAUUUAAAUGAAACGACGUGUUUUUUCCAAAACGACACCAUUUCAUGUUAAAAAAGAAGAAGAAAAGAGACGAAAGAGGCCGUUUCAUGUUAAAAAAAAAGAAGGAAAGAGAUGAAAGAGAGAGAGCAAGGAAAGAAGACAGGGAAGUUUGAAACAGGAGGGAUUUGAGAGGAAAAGAAACAGGGAACGAUGGGAGAAAGAAAACUGGGGGAGUAAUGAGAGUUAAACAGAGAGAACCGGGGUAGAGAGAAAUGAAAAAGACAGAAAAAGAGAGAGAAAGAAACAGGGCAGAACAUGGAAUACAAAAGGGGGAAGCCGAUUGACAAUGAAAGAAGAGAGAAGAGAAAGCAAAAUGAAACACCGGAAAAAGGGGGGUGGACGGUUGCGUCUCGCCGCUGCUUGGAGCUUCUGUCCGUGAGCCACGGCCCAUAUUAUUCCCGGCCGCCACCACAACCCACCGCCAGUUCCGCUACCAGAGCCCCUUUGUUCCAAGUAACACUCUCCUUCUCCUUGUCGAUUUCUUGUUGUUUAUUUGCAUGCAGAAACAUGCGUUGUUCACGUUUCUACAACAAGAAAUAUAAUUAGCCGGUUAAUGUGCAUAAGCACAAUAACCGGCUAAUUUUAAUUAACUGGUUACUGUGCUCAUACACAGUAACCAGUUCAUAGUUACUCCGGGCUGAGUCUGACCUUAUAGAAAUAAGUUUUUUUUUGGGCCGAUCUCGUCCUAGUUUUCCCAAUGGGCUUGCUGUGGCUCGGUGCCUUUUCUUUCCUUUUAGGCCAGUCAUGGCCCAAAUCAUGUUGGGCUAAGACUCAGCCCAUAUAUCUUGGGCCAGCCGAAUCACACCAUAAAUACAUUAAUACUAGUUACAUGACCCACGCGAUACCGCGGGUCAAUUUUUUUGCAUAAAAAUAUUAAAAAAACUAAGAUCUAAAAGUGUUAGGUUUUUUUACAAAACUAUACCCAAGAGUCUUGGGUUUGACUGCAACCUCUGACCCAAGAGUAAUAUUUAUAAUAUUAAUAAUAACAUUAAACUUGAAUGACCCAAGUUUAAGUGGGUCUGACUGCAAUACCAAACUUAAUAGUCUUGGAUGUGGGUCUGGCUGCAAGGUCGUGUCAUAAAAGUGUGAUAAUUAAAUAGAUUAAUUAAAAAGAAAAAAACAAAGAAAAAAAAACUAACAUGAAGAAAAAAACUAAUGAAGAAAAAGAAAAAAAAUCUGAAUCAACUGGGUUAACUCGUCAAAUUUGAGAUCCGUGUCAUGAAAGUUUAAUAACUAAAUAGAAAAAAAUUUAAUAUCAACAAACUAAAUAAAAAAAGUUAAUUAAAAAAAAAAAGGCAUCAACCUUUUCACCGUGGAUUGCACUGUGCAGUCCAUAUUGAAAGGUAUAAAAAGAAAAAAAGGAAAAAAAAACUAAAGGCAUCAGCUUUUUUUCCACCAUGGACUGCAUACAAUAUUAAAAGAUGAAAUCGGAAGAACAAAACUAAUGAGGAAAAAGAAAAACAAUAUGAAUCAACUGGGUUAACCCGCCAAAUCAGGUUAACCCGUCAAACCUGAGAUUCGUGUCAUGAAAAUGUGAUAACUAAAUAGAAAAAAAGAUUUAAUAUUAAUGAACUAAAUUAAAAAAAAAGAUUAAUUAAAAAGGAAAAGGCAAAGAGAAAAAAAAAACCUACAGGAAGAAAAAAAACUAAUGAAGAAAAAGAAAAAAAAAUCUGAAUCAACUGGGUUAACCCGUCAAACCAGGUUAACCCGUGUCAUGAAAGUCUGAUAAUUAAACAGAAAAAAUUUAAUAUUAAGAAACUAAAUUAAAAAAAUAAUUAAAAAAGAAAAAAAAAACUAAAGGCAUCAGCUUUUUCACUGUGGACUGCACUGUGCAGUCCACAGUGAAAGGCUUAGAAAGGAAAAGGAAAACAAAAAAACAAAGGCAUACGUCACGGGUUAUUUUUUUUUUCUUGCAUAAAAAAUAUCAAAAAAUGCUAAGAUCUAAGAGUGUUAUAUCUUUAUGUAAAGAUAUACCCAAGAGCCUUUGGUCUAGCUGCAACGCUUGACCCAAAAGUAAUAUUUAUAAUAUUAAUAAUAAUAUUAAACUUACAUGACUCAAGUUUAAUUGAGUCUGGUUGCAACACCGGACCCAAGAGCCUUGGAUGUGGGUCUGGCUGCAAGGUUGUGUCAUAAAAGUAUGAUAAUUAAAUAAAUUAAUUAAAAAAAAAGAAAAAAAACCAACAGGAAGAAAAAAAACUAAUGAAGAAAAAGAAAAAAAAUCUGAAUCAACUGGGUUAACCCGUCAAACCGUAGAUUCGCAUCAUGAAAGUUUGAUAACUAAAUAAAAAAAACAAUUGACGGGUUAACCCAUAAUUUACUGGGUUAACAUGUCAAGUUCGGGAUACGUUUCAUGAAAGUCUGAUAAUUAAAUAGAAAGAAAUUUAACAUUAACAAACUAAACUAAACGAAAAAAAAUUAAUUAAAAAGAAAAAAAGCAAAAAAAAUAAAAUUUCGAGUUGACUCAUCAAACCAGGUUAACCAGUCAAACUCGGAAUCCGUGUCAUGAAAGUCUGAUAACUAAAUAAAAACAAAUUUAACAUUAACAAACUAAAUUAAACAAAAAAAUUCAUUAAAAGAAAAAAACACAAAGAAAAAAGCAAAAAAAAAAAACUCAUAAAGGCAUAAAAAACAAAAUAAAUAAAUAAAUAAAAACAAAAAAAACAAAUUUUGUUUUUUAAAAUUUAUGUUAUAGUAAUAAUAAUAAUAAUAAUAAUAAUAAUAAUAAUAAUAAUAAUAAUAAUAAUAUAUAAGUACAAUUAAAAGGCGUAGGGAAAGCUAUAGUAUUUUCCCCAAGCCUUCAGGUUAACCUGUCAAACUCGGAAUCCGUGUCAUGAAAAUCUGAUAACUAAAUAAAAAUAAAUUUAAAAUUAACAAACUAAAUUAAACAAAAAAAAAAUCAUUAAAAGAAAAAAACAUAAAGAAAAAAGCAAAAAAAAAAAACCUAUAAAGGCAUAAAAAAAUAAAAACCAAAAAAACAAAACAAAAUUAAAAACGAAAAAAAAUGUUAUAAUAUAAUACAAUAUAAUAAUAAUAAUAAUAAUAAUUAUUAUUAUUAUUAUAUAUAAGUGCAAUUAAAAGGCUUGGGGAAAGCUACAGUGCUUUCUCCACGCGUUUUAGAGUAUUCUUUAAUUAUAUCAUAUAAUAUUAUAUAUUAUACAUUGUAUAUAUAAAGAAAAAAAACAACCAAAAAAUUUUCAAAAAUAUUUUUAAAAAAUUUGUGAUUUUCUUGUGUAUUUUUCUAUCUAUUUUGUGUAAUAUUGAUUUGUAUUUUUAUACCGUAAAGAUACAAAUUCGGUAUUAAAAUACUCAGUUUUCGUCAAAAUAUUGCAAAAAAAAUUCUAAAACAAAACCAAAAAAAAUAUUUUGUUUUCAUGCAUACAACCAAGUCUCUCAAAGAUAAGAAAAUCAUCAUAUCGUAUUUUCAUACAACAAAAAAAUAAUAAAAAUAUAUGUUUUAGCGUGCAUUUUGAAUUUAAUAACCAGUUUAUUAAAGUCAUGAGAACCAGACCAAUAUUUCAAAAAAUACCCAAAAAAAUAUUUUGUUUUUUUCUUUUAGUAUAUGGUUUAUGAAUUUAUACGUAAAAUAUAUUCCUGAUAUUAAAAAGGAAGUUCCUUUUUAUUGAUGUUAGAACGGUUAGGUUUUUUACCCGAUAAGAUAAGGACCUCCUUACUAAGGAGAACUUUUUCUUAAACCAUAGACGGACCAACAAUUAGAAAACACGACAAGACCUUAAUUUUUUUUAUCAAAUAAUUGAACAAUGCAGCUUAUCUUAGGUAGGGUGUAUUUGGGGUGCUAAUACCUUCUCUUUAUGCAACCAGUCCCAGUACCCGAUCUUUUAGACCAGUUAGAGUUCCUAGUGACUAAAAUAUUAGGUGGCGACUCCCUUUCCCACUUUCCACUGAUAAAAGGCAAGGAAACCUUGUCACCCCAUAUGUUUCGAUUUUCAGAAACUUAUAUGAGAGUGGAAUAUUCCGUGCGACGCCGCACACGUACGACAAACUUAAUAUUGAAUGAUAAAAUUAAAAAAAAAAUUGAUUAGAAAAAGGGUAAAAAACUCAAAACAACCGAGUUAAUUUGUUAAACUUAUGACUUAGGUUUUGAAACUGAGAUAACCUAAUAAAAAAUAAAUUAUAAAAAUUAUAAAACUUAAUCAUUAAAUGAUAAAAUUGAAAUUUUUUUUUAAUAAAUAGUAUUUUGUGAUUAGGGGUAGAGUAAAAUUCUCUUCUCUUCUAAUUUUUUUUAUUAAUUUUUAAUUGUUAAUGUGUGUAUGUAUUUAUACUUAAUUGGAAUUUUGAGUUUAAUUCUAGUUGUAGUUAUUGAAUUUGAAUGGAGUAAAGAGCUGUGAAGAGAACUGGAUCUACCAGAUUAGGCCCAUCGGCAUAUGAGACACUUGGGACAUCUUCUUAUCAGUAAUUUCCUUUUACCCCGAAAAAACAAUAAAAAUACAAAGGCCCAGACCAGAGAAUAGAUAAAAGGCCUAAAUUAAAUGGGCUUUAAGUAAAUCCAGCCCAACUACUAGAAGCGGCCAGAAGCCUCUACCGAUUUAAGCUGGUCCAUAGGCCUAAGCAUUAUGUAAAGUUGGACACUAUUUGCUGCAAGAUUCAGCUUGAAAAUCGACUCGGUUUAUGCUCCCAAAUCAGUAUGGCUCAGGAAAGCAGGCCUAAUCCAGGCCCACGUUCUUCGGGCCCAUGGCCUACACUUGCUUGCCCUUUCCUCUUUUGAGGCUAGCUUAUGGGAUUAGACCUUUGUUUAGGUUUGCAAUCACUUUCUUAACAAUUUAAUAGGAGCAUAGUAUGUUAUAAAUUAUAAAAAAAUUCAUAUUAAUAUUCAAUAAGAAUUAAAUAGUCUUUUAAUUGUAAAUUUUAUAUGGUUUUCAUGAAUUAGUUAUUAUUUAAUUUUUUUCAUAUAGCCACAUAAAAAUAAUGAAGACAUUAUUUACUUUUUUGUUUGAAACUUGCUUUUUACAUUGUGAUAAGUUUUUGCUUAAAAAAAUGCUACUGUUAAAAACAAUAUGUUUUCAUAAAAAAAAAUUAAUAAGAAAAAGAGUUUUUUUUAACUAGAAAUAAAAAUUUCUCAUUUAUUUUAAUUAUCUUGAUUAAAAAACAAUAUGUUUUCAUAAUAAAAACAAUUGAUAAGAAAAUGGAGUAAAGUUGCUAGUUUGAUUCCAUGUGUUAUGUUGUGGAAUGAAGUAUUUUUUUCAUUAAAUCAAAAAAUUUGCUGGCAUUGUUAACAUUUUUUUAUCAUUAAAGUUUUUGGUUAACUAUAAACUAAAAGGUUGUUUCAGUUUGAUAACAAGUUUAUAUAUGCUAAUAAAUGAUAACAAGUUUAUUGAUUCCAACCAAAAAUUAAACCGGGAAGCUAAGAUACAAAUGUUAUUUCUUAUAUAAAAAAACAGGAUGAAUAGUUGUUUCAGUUUGAAAUUAAAUUUUAAAAUUUUUAAUUAAUUUGAAUAAAUAAAAUAAAAUUUUAUUUUUUCAAAUAUACACUAUGUUGCAUUUUGCCAACCCAUAAUAGAUUGUCUUUCUUUUAUGUUUCAUUUUUUUUUUUUUUAAUAUUUUUUUCAUUUCAUAUUGCCUUACAUUUUAAUGAUCUCAAACAUUGUUACAUAAUUUAUCGAGAGUUAAUUUUAUAAAACUGAAUUAUAAUUAUUAAAUAAGAAGCAAAAUGACCCAAUAAAAAAUUCUAAUAAAACAAUAAAUUUGAGGGUGUAAAAAUAGUUUGACGGAUCCAAUAAAAAAAUGUAAAAAAAAUAAAUGAAAUGUUUCAUUUUUCAUAUAAAUGUUUCCGCCCAAUGUUUUUUUAAUAUAUAAUAUAAUAAUAAAAAUAAAAAUAGUAUGACAUCCUUAAUUUUUCUAUUAAUUAUUCCUAUUUUGAAAUGUAUUCUUCGUCGACUAUGGAAUCAAUCUCAAAAUUUUCAGCAAUCUCAUUUUCAAUAAAUAUAAAUAGUUGACUUUUUUGAACGAUGUCAACUAUUGGCAUAAUCAUCAACAAUCUUACAAAUAUCAAUAACAUUUCUUCUGGUAGCCACUCGUAGACAAAUAUAAUAAUACAUUUUUAGGCUUUUUUCUUGGUCCCUCUUCACCCCUAUCCAUGCCAUUAUACUGCUGCUUUUGAAGCUUCUGGUCCUCAUAUUAUGGCAUUUGUAUUUCUGAAUGAUCUUAUGGUCAAAUCUUCUUCAUUGUUGUGAUUAGAAGAGCCAUUUGCAAGGAAAUUUUUAUACCACUUUGCCGAAAGCUUUGGCACACGUUCAAGUGUCUGGCGAUCAACAUAAUAGAGUCCAUAUCGCUGGGACUCGUUCAAGUGUCUGGCGAUUAUCUACCAAGCUCCACACGAAAUAUCCACGAACAUCUGCUCCAUUCCUAUGUCAAUGUUUCAGGAAAAACAUUUUACUUCACACAACUUGUCAUUCAAUUUAUACAUGUAAUCAAGAUGCUCAAGACAAGAAAGAAAACUGUCUGAAAAAAGAAAAAAAAAAGUGACCCUUUCACCUUAUUGCUCUAGCCAAAGCAGCAAGAUAGGAUUUAUGGAAGUUGACUCUGUUGGUGUCUUGCAAUAACGCCUGAACUUGAUCAUUCUGUUGCGGGGGAGAAAACCCUAUAGUGCCAAAAUACAUUUUGAGUUAUAUUUUCGUUCACAUAAUAAAACCAAAACAAAUAUGAAAAUUAGCAACGAACCCAUGACAGGAGCAAGAUUAAAAGCAUUUCACUAACAGAACAGAGUGUUUUUGUACGAAGAAAAAUAUAUAACUGUGAUACUUCACCAUUUUCAGUCACAAACAUAGGCAUGUUAUUGUAUCUCUCUUUCAUGUAGUUGACAAUCUUCUCCAUUCCCUCUGGGACCACAAAGAACCUUGGAUUCCCACACUGCAAUGAUCACAAAAAUUAAAAUAGAAGCGGAAAGGGACUGCUAGGAAGAUAAAUGUUAUGAGUAAUACUAUCAUACUCGUCCUCCGAUCGGCUCACCAUCCCGUUCUCCAGUUGUGUGAACAAAGCCUCGAAUAGGGCGAUCCCCGCCUGAGAUGCAAGCAGAAUGGAUGCAAUCUUUGGCAUAUAAUGAAGUGUAAAAGUUCAUACCAAUGAAAUCUAAGCUUCCUUUUACGUAGCUAGUUUCUUCUGGUGAGAAUGUUGGCAGUGCACUUCCAAGAUAAAGGCGCAUUUCGGCAGGGUAAUCCCCAAAUACUACAGCAUCGAACAGCCUGCAUAAGCAAGAAAAAAUCAGCUUCUUACGAUCCAUCUUAAUUAGAGUAAUGCUAUACUGUUGGUUUAGGUUCCGGAACGAUCACCAUUAGUCAAACCAAUGGGACUCGCAGAGGUCCCUUGCGGGGAUCAAUCUGAAGCCCGCUAAUCUGACUAAUUGGAUUGAUUUCAGAACUUUCUAAAACGAUAUAAAAAUUCUCUACAAACUAUUAUGGAUCAAUUCGUAACUCAAACAACAUUGCAAACUUGAUACAAAAAACAAGAAAAAGGACAAACCAUGAAGAUACAAAGGUAUCAUUGGGAAUAUUAAAUUUAUUAAACCCAGUCCAGCUCAAUACCCGAUCACACAGGUUGGAUAAAUUUCAAAGCAAAUUAUUAAACGGUGUGUUUCAAGUUUCUUUUUAAUAAAAUAUAAGUUCAAACAAAGUUGUUUAACCGAGUCUAGAUUUGACCAAAUCAACUUCUAUCCAAUUUCUUUAGCUUAUAUUCAGGUUUAAUAUCACUACUAAUAUCUCAUAUCUCACUGGUGGUUAUAAAUCAUCAUGCAAAAUAAAAGACAGCAAUCUUGUGCACAUUACAAUGAAGUGAUGAACUCUCGCUUUUCAUCCACUGGAUGGAAAUUAUUUAGGGAUCGCGUGCUAAAAAUAAGGUGUUGUUCACAGAAAUCCCUAAAAUAUCUAGGUUGAUGGAAAAAAGAAAUCAUCACUGUGCUGUCAAUGGUGUAUUCUUUUGUAAUUUCAGAGUUAUAAUAAUCAAAUACACACCAUAUGUAUAUAUAUCAGUGUUUUAUCAUAUAUCAUAGAUAAAAGAUGGUUUUGGACCACCACGCAUGUGCUUGUCUACAUCAUUUCCCAUUAUGAUUGUCAGUUGGGUGGUUUGAAGACAAUUGAUCAUAUAUGAUAGAGUGACAAAGCAUAGGCCACGUCUUAAACCUUGCUACCAGUUAGAAUAGGAAGAAGGACAGAACAUAAAGUUUGACACCCACCCACGUUUUCUGAACAUGUCAUAGAAUUUAAUACUUUUCUGCAUCUACUUCUCACUUCAUUAGUAAUCAAGAACAUUUACCAGGCAUUAGUGAAGGCCAGGGCCCUACUCACAGCUUGCCGAUCUAAUUCAUUGUCUCUUAACGGUUCAAAAUAUUCUGUAAAUCCAACAAUCCCUAUAGAACCACCUUGUUUCAGCUGCAACAAGAGAAAUAAUUUUACUAAAAAAAUCAAAGCAAUGCAGCAGUGCAUAUUAUCCUACAACAGUGCUCAUUCUAUCACCUGAAAAUGUUCACGGUAUAGCUUUACUGCCUUGGCAUGUCCCAAUAUCAUGUUAUGCAUAGCAAUGAGAGGCUCUAUAUCAGAAUUUCCGGCAGAACAGUUGCCGAAAGGGGGUGAACAGUGAGCUGGAGGGUACCAUCCCCUUAUAUAAGACAUGUCCACGAGUAGGUUUGGCUCAUUCAUGGUUAUCCAAUUUUUUAUUCUAUCCCCAAAGCUCUUGAAACAAAUUUCAGCAAAAUAUACAAAGUCUUCCCUACAAGAAUAUCCAAAUUUAGGUAUUACAAUAACUUAAUUGCUUAAUGUCCAAAUGAACUUGAUAUAGCAUAUGUAUAACACAAGAACUGUCUCAUCCUAAGUAUCCAAAAUGCAUGUAUUCAAAAACAGCCCUCAAAAUGAAAAAAAAUAAAAAUAAAAAAAAUAAGUAAGAAUUUCAAGGACCAAAUCAGAAUUUUGAUAAUAAUGGCAAAAAAUGAGGAAACCCACCAAAAAGAAGCAAAAGAAUACAACAACAAAAUUAACAGAACCACUAGCUAAAGCUCAAAAUUUUUCACAAUGUGAGCAUUAAUUACUGCAUUAGAGGACUGAGCCAUCCUCCGUAUCUAUCCACGAGCUCUUGUGGGAUGUCGUGAUGGUGUAUCGUCACAAAUGGUUCCAAUCCUGCAUUUUAUUAUAAAAAAUUGCAAUGACUUAGUAUCAAUUUUCUUUAAAUAUCCAAAAAUCUAAACAAUAAAAGAACAAAAUUACCCCUCUCCAAUAGAUUGUCUAUAAGUUUGUUAUAGAACAUGAUUCCUCUUGGAUUAACUUGACCGAACUUUCCUCCUAUUACAGCCCCAUAAACAUCACUAAUCAUCAUAUAUUUCCAAAUUCAAAUCAAAUCAUACUCGAAUUCAUUGAAAUAUGAUUGCAGAUACACAUACUUGGCAGAAUUCUAGUCCAUGAUAUAGAGAACCUAUAUGCAUUAGUUCCAAGUGAACACAUUAACUCAAUAUCUUCCUGUCCACAAAAUUAGAAAAAAAAAAAAAGGUAUCCACUUUGAGAUUCAAGAUGUUUGAUUUGAAAAACAGGCAAGGCAAACGAAAGUCAAACUAAUACCAAGAAACGAUAAUAAUGGUUGUCUGCUAUAUCUCCAUUGUCAUUGUUCUUUAUGUUUCCUGCAAAUGUUUGAUAAUCAAAUUGACAUAGUUAACAACCCAAUUUGUGUCCUUAUAUACAAACUGGCAUAUGUUGAAUUAAAGUUUUAAUAUUUGAUUACCUGGGAUAUGACUAAAAACAUCCCAGUUGUUGAGACCCUUACCAUCUUCAAUAUAAGCUCCUUCAACCUGGAACAUAAAAUGAAAUUGAAAGUUGAAGCUUUUAAGGUGAUUUUGCAGAGAAAGAUCAGUGAACGCUUACCUGAUAUGAAGAAGUGCUUGUUCCGAAGAAGAAACCAUCCGGGAAAUGAGAUCUUUUAACAUCUUGUCCAUCAUCAUUUAAACUUUGAGCAAGAGAUGGAUUUUUUAGAAGGAGAAGAAAGGACAGGAACAGAAACAUAGUGUUUCGGUUUCUGAAAGCACUAUAGAUAAAACGAGUCCUGAUAAAUACCUCGUCUUUCGAGUUUUUUUUUUUUUUUAGUAGGAAAAUAAAUUUUUUUUUUUAAGAAAUAGGGUGCAUAAAAAUUAGUUGAAAAAAAUAGUACAUUUUGAAGUGUUAAGAGUUUAGUUGUUUUUGUAUUUUAAAAGAGUUUUUUAAAAAAUUUAAAACUUUUUAAUUUUUUCUUUCUUCACUUCAAUUUUUUUUUUCAGAUUGUUUUGAUAUGUUAAUAUUAAAAAUAAAUUUUUAAAAAAUAAAAAAAUAUUAUUUCAAUAUAUUUCUAAACAAAAAACACUUUAAAAAUCAAUAAUUAUCACAAUAUCAAACGGGCUCUUAGUUGGAUAACGAACCUAAAUAUUUGUUAUUUUACCAUAGUUAUAAAACCUGAACUAGCCUAGAGAAAUGACCGGGACUCAAUCGACCCGAGACCUAGUUGAUCCAAGUUAAAGGAAAAAUAAGGCAAGCGCGCAGUUAACCCAGUCAAAACCCACCAUUGCAAACCAAUCCAAUUCCAUUCAAUCACCUUGUUAUCUUUCCUUCAUUCCUCGUCAAUCCAUAAUUUCCUUUCUCUUUAACCACCUUCUCAAUACAUUUUUAUAUUAUCUAUAUCUCUGGCUUAUGGUUGAUAGAGAAAAAAAAAAGAUGAAAGAUUGAAAACAAAGAAAAUGAUGAUGAUGAUGAUGAUGAUGAUGAUGAUGAUGAUGAUGAGAGAUUGGAAUAAUAACAAAAAAGAAAAGAUUUUGAGCAUAAUAAUAAUUAUGACCAUGAAAUUGCUUCUUCUUUGGGUGAAGGUUGCGGUGUUUAGUUUAGGAGUGGUGAUUGUAGAAAAGGAAGUGGUGGCUAGGGAUAUUAGUUUGUCUAGGGUUUUUUUUUUCUUUUAUAUAGAAAAUUAUGGGCUUUAAAAGAGGGGUUUUAGUUUGUUUGAGAAAGACUUAGAGAAUUAUAGGCUUUGAUUUUUUUAAAAAAAAAAAUUAGGUCGAUCCAGGUUGACUCUUUCAACCCAUGACCCGAUUCUUGUCCCGAAUCAAGUUUUUAUAAUUAUGCAUUUUACUAGAUAAUGGUGACUUGACUAUUAAUGUUACCUAAUUGACACUAUAUUUGCUUAUGGAAUUUUACUUGUUUAUUAAGGAUUGAAUAAAACUAUGACAAAACGUUAUUCAUUAUUUUUAGAAUACUAGUUGACAUUAUCUAGAGCAUUUAUUAGUUUCUAUUUAGUGAGAAAAUUUUAUAGUGUUUCGAGAGUAAUUAAUGACAUCCUAUUAGUUAUUCAAUAAAAUUUACUUUACAUCAUAUUUAGAACCCUCUUAAUUGAAUUCAAUUAAGAGGUUUUAAUGAAAUUUCAUGUUUAAGACCCUCUUUAAGUGUUAAGAAUUGAAUUCUAAAUGGAAUUCAAUCUUUAAAAAUGUUAUAAAAGUAAAUAAAAUGUUUAACCCCUCUGAUUUACAAUUCCAAAGAGAAGAAAUUUAAUAUUAAAACUUAAAAUAUGAUCUCAACAAUGCUGGAAAAUAACCCUUGGUUUUAGACAUAAUGUUAAAUUGAGUCUCUAAAUUUUCAAUGCUUUUAAGCAAUAAAAUCAAUUUUUAUUUUGUAAAGUUGAACAUUAAUUAAAUGUUAGGAAAUUUCUUAACACCUUGAUAUCCUCGUAGCAAGCUAGCCAAAAUAACUUCUUAAGCUUAAAUAUGAAAUAACACAUUGUAAAAGGAUAAAAUAAAAAAAAUAUUUUGAUGACUAGAAAAAAAAACACAACAUUGUUGAGGUGAUCAAUGUCAUGUGAGGGUUACCUAGUCAUCUUACCCGUGCGCUAUUGUGUUGAUUUUUUUAAUUAAAAUAAAUAUUCAUUGGAAAGAAAAAUAUUUAAAGUUUGGAGAAAAAAUAUAUUCCUAUCAUAAAAAAAAACUCUUAUUUCUUAUUCAUGCAUUUCAUUUGAAAAAAUAUGUAAUUUUUUUUCUCGCAACUUAGUUUUUUUUUUUUAAUAAAAACUUAAGGCAAUUAAAAAAAAUAUUUGAAAGAAUUUAAAUGAUUUAAAUUAAGGAGAAAAUAGUAUUCAUUUAAUCAAAAUGUCAAUCCUUAUUCAUGUAUCUUUUUUUUUGCGCCAAAAACAUGUUUUUUUUUAUCACAAGCAUGAUUUUUUAAAAUAAAAAGAAAAUCAUGAACUAAAAAAAUUCUCAAUAAAACAAACAUGCUUUUACAAUUUUAACGUGAAUAUAUGAAAAAAAAAAAAGAAUAACUAAUAUGAGAAAACAAUAUUAAAAAAUUUAUAAUAGAAAAUAACAAAAUAGAUACUUUAUUUUUGUGUUUGUUGAUUAUUCAUGAGCAAUUUUUUAAAUAAACAUUAUGCAUAUAAAGUUCUUAUAUAAUUAUUUUUAAAAUAAUUAUUAAUAUUAUCAUAAAAAGCAUCCAAUCUUAUUUGAAUAUUAUGACCUAACUUGAUAUUUUUUAAAUAUCAUUUUAAUAAUUAUAUUGAGAGAGAAUUUCAUUAUAAAUUAUAAAAAAAAUAAAUAGAAAAGGGUAAAGGGCCAAAAGAAUAAGGCAAUUUGGCGUGCCUAGCCUUUUAAAAUAAAACUUAAGCACUCUUGGAUAUGGAAGAAAAGCCCAAACAUAUCUGACCUAUCAGAAAAAACCCAAGUAUGCAUGUUUUUUUUUUUAAAAAAAAAACUUACAUGGAUAACACUUUAAUCUUUUUUUUCAAUGAAUGGAUGACUAUGUUUGGGUAUUUUGGGCUAAAAACACAUUAUAUGAACCUCAAUAACUAUGUUUUCAACCUUAAAAUUAUCAUUCAAUCAAUUCAAAAUCUAAAAAUUAAUAUUGAAUCAAAACAAACUUGGAAGAUUCUGAUAUAUUUUUUCUGGCGUAAUUAAAGGUUCAUAUAACCUCCAUCAAACUUUUUUUUUUAAAUGAACUCAUUGACAACAAGAUCAACUUCUUUUAUAGUUAGAAUAUAAUCCAUCAAAACCUGUCUUUAUUGUAUCCCUUUUAAGCUACUUUCUCUCUCUCUCUCUCUCUUUUUUUAACUUUCUCUCCCAAAGUCUUAAGACUUAAAUAUCAACACCAAAAACUAUAGGGAUCCAAAGGUAAAAAUAAAAAAGUACAUUGACCAAAGUUUACUUAUCCAUGCCUUAAGAACAAUAAAAUUUGCACUGCCGAGGAAGAAUAAUGCUUUUUACAUUGAUAGUAAGAUAAGCUAAAUCAAUAUAACCUAAAACAAUAUCAGUUUUUUUUUUAUAUAAUUAAUAAAAAAAACUAAAAGAGAAAGAGUUUUUACUAUACCUCUACUCACAAAACACUAUUUAUUGGAAAAAUGUUUUGUUUUUUUCCUCUAUUUGACUGGUUUUCAAUCAAUGUUUUUUUAAAAGAAAAUUGAAUCAUUUAAUAUUAGAUUUAUUUUUUUUAUUAGGUUAUUUCACUCUCAUAAUACAGAUCUCGGGUUUAGCGAGUUAACACGGUUGACUCAAGUUUUUUUUUUAAUUAAAUAUUUUUCAAUUCCAUCAUUUAAUAUUGAGUUGAUUAGAAAUUAGGCUUCAUGCUUUUUUAUUUACUUUCUAUUAGGUUAUUCUGGCCUCAUGACAUGAUAAUAGUGCUUAACAGAUUAAUCCGAAUUUACUCGGGUUGUUUUUUUGUUGUUCGUUUUCUAAUUGAUUUUUUUUUUCAUUUUCAUCAUUCAACGUUAGUUCAGUUGAAAAUUGAACUUCAUAAUAUAUUUUGAUUUGUUUUUUAUGGGUAUAUCUUGGUCUCAUGAUCAGGUACUCGAUUUUUGGCAUUUUAACCCCGGUUAAAUUUGAUUGUGUUUUCAAUUUUUUUUCUAAGAGAUUAUCUCAGUCUCAUGACCCGAGUUAUAAAUCUUUCAACAUUGAAUUUGAUUUUUAUUCGGUUUUUCUUGUCUCAUAGCUCAGGUCUUGGGUUUGGGGUUAAUCCAAUUGACUCAAUUGUUUUUCUUUUUUAAUUGACUCCCUCCCUAAUUUUAUCAAUUAAUAUUAUAUUUGAUUGAAAAUAAAAUUUAAUGAUUUGACAAUUAAUAAUGUCAAGAAACACUACUAUUAAUGAUAUGAAUAAACUUCCUAAUUUUGUUUGGUUUUCUUAUCUGAUCAUGAUCACAAACCCUACCAAUAAGAUCAAAAUUGACAAAUUUCAAUGUUAUAGGCAAAAUCACAUAAAUAAAUAUAUAGAAUAUAAAGAAAUAAAAAAAAUUAGAUAUACAAAAGAAGCACCAUAUGACAGAAUUCUUUUCCCAUAACUUCCCAACUUACUAGAUUGGGACUUGAAAGAAAAAAAAAGUCUAGCUAGGUAGCUGAGACAAAUACUAUAGAUAGUAAUGGUAUCGUGAUAUAAUAUAACAGAAAAGGAGAUAGAAAUGCUCUAAAUACGGGUAUAAUUAAACUUGUAAAACUUUUGGUAAAGCAAACCCAGCAAAAGCCAAAGUAAGCAGUUCAACAAGUUAACAUUCCUCAUCUUGAAAAGCCAAGCAUCUCUCCCUUUGUUUCAGUUAACCCUGCUCGUCUUCUUCACUUCUCUCGCAUGAACCCUAUUCUAGCCUCCUCUUCUCUCUUCUCCUUUUUUGUUCCCUACUUUUGUGUCACAUACAAUACGUGCUUCUACUUUUUUUUUUUUUGGAACAAUCGUGCUUCUACUUGACAUAUAAGAAUAACAACAGUUGACUGAAACAAAGGAGCUGGACGUUAAUCUCUGUCAUUUGUUUUUAGAUUGAAAGAGAAAUCAUAGAUUGAGGUACCAACAUGGAAGAAGAGAUGGCUGACAUAGAGGCACAAAAUGAGAAACAACCAGAAGUUGCAGCCAUUUUCAAGAAAGCCAAUAGUGCUAUUGCUUUGAAGGUAGGACUGAUAUAUAAGAAUUUAAACUUUUUUCUUUCUUUCCAUUAGUUUAGUGCCAUUUUUAUUUUGAUAUAAAUGGCUUGAUUACAUGAUGGUUUCAUUGCAUGUUUUCUGGUUCAUUUUUUUUAUCUGUUUCUUGCAUUUUUAAGGUACGUAAUCUUGGUUUUGAUUAAAUGCACAGUUUGAGGAUGUAGUCUACAAGAUCAAAUUCACGAAAUCAGGUUUUUGUGGAAAGAUUACCAAAACAGAAGAAAAAAUUAUCUUGAAGGGAGUCACAGGCAAGGUUCUACCUGGUGAAAUGUUAGCCAUGUUAGGUCCAUCAGGCAGUUCCAAAACAACUCUAUUAACUGCAUUAGGAGGCAAACUUGGAGGACUACUUGAUGGGAACAUAACCUAUAAUGGAAAGAGCUUCUCCAACUCAAUGAAAAGGAACAUGGGAUUUGUUACUCAAGAUGAUGUUCUUUACCCUCAUUUAACAGUGGCAGAAACAUUGGUUUUCACUGCCCUUCUUAGGUUAGAAAAUACUUUUACUAAAGAAGAGAAGAUCAUGCAUGCAGAAUCUGUAAUCACUCAACUAGGUUUGACCAAGUGCAAGAAUAGCAUCAUUGGGGGACAAUUUUUGAGAGGGCUUUCUGGGGGUGAAAGAAAGAGGGUUAGCAUAGGCCAAGAAAUGCUCAUAAACCCUAGCCUUCUUUUGUUGGAUGAGCCAACAUCAGGUCUUGAUUCGACAACAGCUCAGAGAAUUGUGUCAACGUUGCGGGAACUUGCAAAAGGAGGAAGAACAAUUGUAAUGACCAUCCAUCAACCUUCAAGUAGGUUGUUUUACUUGUUUGACAAGGUUUUGUUGUUAUCAGAAGGCAACCCAUUGUACUUUGGGGAGAGAUCACAAGUCAUGGAUUACUUUUCCAGCAUUGGAUAUGCUCCAGCAGUUCCCAUGAAUCCUGCCGAUUUCCUUUUGGAUCUUGCAAAUGGUAUGUUUAAUCAUACUAAUCUUUAUUUUAAUCUUUACUUAAAGAAACUACUUGAGGUAUACUAUAUUCAGGAAUUUUACAUAUUUACUUUGCUAGUGGUGAUACUUUGCUUCUACACUUCCUGAAAAAGUUUUGCAUGCAUGCGUUGUUAGUGGUUGUUAAUUUUAGUACUUUACGUGUCUGUGAUUCGAGUUGGUAAGAGGCUUACUAAAAUAGUUAAUUAGCUGAUUGUGUAUAGCAUUGAGCUUUGCCUGAUUUACUUUCUUGCACGUAUUUCAGUUUCCAGAUAGACAAUUACUUAGUACUUGUUUUAGCUGAUACUGUUUUCUAACUAGCAAUGUGAUUAGCUGAUUUCGUGUACGUAUUUAAGUUUCCUCAAGAUGAUUUUAGCAUUCCCCAAAUAGAUAUAGCACCCACUUUCUUUCUUUUCAAAAGCAAAGUGUGGAUAUCCUCAAAAAAAGAAAGAAAGACAGAAACAAUUAAUGACUGAAAUGCGAAUUGAAUGAACUGAAUCCUCUCUUGUUUUCUUUCUUUUUAUUAGCAAUGAGGUGCUUUUUACACUCGGCGGCAAGUUUGAUAAGAAAAUGUUCCCAUGCAGUGUAGAGAUCUGUGGAAAAAUUACUGGUAGGAUCGAAGUCAUGUCCAAACUCGUUAAGUAUACGGGAAAUUGUCGAACAAACCAAGGAAAUGUUUCCGAACUCAUGCAAUUUAAUUCGGUGGAAUUAAUGCUUUUAAUCUUAUAAAUCAAAUGCAAUUAGAAGGUUUUAAUAAAAUCUCAUAUUUGUAACUGUUUUUUAAGAAUUAAAAAUUAAAUUCUAAAUAAAAUUUAAUGUUUAAAAAUACUACAAGAUAUCCAUUUAGCUUUAAAAAAAAAAUUAAAGAUUUUUGAAAAAAUAAAAUGAAAGUAAUAAGAAUAAUAUAGGAAAUAAAUAAAAAAUUAAAUUUUAUCUUCUCUAAAUAUAUAAAUUCAAUUUAUCUAUCAUAUCGAUAAUUCAAAUCAAACAAUUUAUUUACAAACAAAAUGUAUGUUUCUACUUUGUUAAUCGGUCUCUAUGGCAUUAAGUAACUGUCGAUGCAAUAUAUACUUGUAAUUAAUUCACUUUCUACAAGUUUCCUUUGCGGUUCCCAAUUUCCUGCGUUCACAGGAUUCUAUAUAGCAGUAUAUUAUUUGAAUGUUCGGAACUCGAUGAAAAUUAUAUUUUUAAUUUUUUUAAUUUUUUUUAAUGUUUUUAGAUUAUUUUUAUAUAUAAAAAUAAUUUUUAAAAAAUAAAAAAAUAUAUUAUUUUAAUAUAUUUUUAAAUAAAAAAUACUUUAAACCACUUGUAUAGUAUAGAAGAAUCCUUCAGUUCAUCCGUAGUAAACUUCAUUUCUCAAACGUAGAAAAUUAGCACCACAAUUUGUCGUGCAUGCAUGUCUCCCAUUUCUCUAGGGACUUCCAUAGAGUUAAUUCCAAUCGCUGAAAACAUUAUUAAUUCUCCGGACCGAUUUUAAUUUGUCGGUCCUCUUAGAUUAAUCCCUUUUCCAAUUAAAUUAAAAGUGAUUUUUUUAUAUCAAAUUAAAAUUGAAUUUUAAAUAAGAGCUUUGGGAUGGCUAAACAAAAAGACGAAUUGAGAAAUUGAGACAGAAAGAGUAGACUUUAAACAGUAGAAAUUGAAUAGUUGAUCAUCAUACGUACGAAUUACAAGCACAAGCAUUCAACUUCAAUGGACCUUCUCUGUUAGACUAGAAGAAUGCUUAAAUAUUCUAUUUUGGCAUUGCUCUUAGACUGGCCUGAGUGGCUAAUUAUUACAAAUCAGUAAAACGAUCAAUGAGGACCUUGUGUUCUUGUGCUGCAUAUGUUGUACGUAGGUGUAUCAUCAAAUAGUGAGGUUCCUGGCACUGUUAAGCAGAAUCUAGUUUCAGCCUACAAGAGCAAUCUUGCAAACAAGUUGAAGUCAGAGGUUCAUGAAAUUGAUAACCCGUCUCAAGAUGGAUUAAAUGAUAAGCAAGUCUCACGGUGGGCCAUAACCUGGUGGCAAGAGUUUUCUGUAUUGUUGAUAAGAGGAGUGAAAGAAAGGAAGUAUGACUCCUUCUCUGGCCACAAGAUUGGCCAGGUCUUGGUAGUAGCCAUCCUCUCAGGGCUCAUGUGGUGGCAAUCUGAUGUAUCCCAUAUACAAGAUCAGGUAACAUUUCGCAACAAUUCAUCAUUUUCUGAAAGCAAGUUCGUCAACUGAAAGGUUAGUUUUUAAACUGUAUCUAUAAUCUUAACUUUGAAUACAAUGCAGAUGGGGCUCCUCUUCUUUUACUCAGGAUUUUGGGGCAUCUUCCCUUUAUUCCAAGCUAUUUUCACUUUCCCCCAAGAACGCCGAAUGCUCGAAAAGGAGCGAUCUUCCGGCAUGUAUCGACUCUCAUCAUACUUCAUGUCAAGGAUUGUCAGUGACCUCCCAAUGGAGCUAGUCCUUCCUACUAUAUUUUUAACUAUAACCUACUGGAUGGCAGGGCUGAAAGGCAGUCCUGGAAACUUCUUUCUCACACUGUUUGUUCUCUUGUAUUCUGUGUUAGUAGCAGGAGGUCUAGGACUGGCUAUUGGUGCUCUGGUGUUGAACCAAAGAUCUGCUACCAUAACGGGAUCAGUAAUCAUGCUAUCGUUCCUGCUCGCUGGUGGAUACUAUGUUACACAUGUCCCUGCCUUCAUUAGCUGGGUGAAGUACAUCUCCUUUAGUCAAUACACAUACAAGCUGUUGCUGGGGUCCCAAUACAAGCCUGGUGACACCUAUACAUGUGGUGGUGCCGGAGGAGUUUGUUUAGUCGGAGAUUAUCCUGCAAUAAAAAAAGUGGGGCUUGAUGACCAAGUUCUUGGUGCCGUAGCAUUAGGGAUUAUGCUUGUGGGUUAUCGCCUAAUCGCUUAUCUAGCUCUCAUGAGGAUUGGAGUGGCUAAAAGGUAGAGCGAAUGUUUUCCAUUUGUUUAGUUUUAUGUCAGAACAUUGUUGUAAGGUUGGCCAUAAAAUCGAAAAACCAAAGAGGAUGUUUCAUAUGAGUUAAGAAACAUUUCCUCUUCACUUCGAUGCAUAAUAUCCAUGUGUUUUUGCCGUUUUUCUAUUUUUUUUUCAUAUGAGUUAAAGAAUUUUCGCUAAUUUAGAUGCUAAUUGCUUGCACACAUGAAAAUGGAUCAAAGUUGUUUUGCCGUUUUGAUUCUGAAAUAGUUAGCUGUUGAACAGAAUUCAAGUAAUAUGAUCAGCUUUAGUUAUUUUUUAAAGUGUUUUUUAUUUAAAAAUAUAUUUAAAGUACUUUUUACUUGAAAAUAUAUUAAAAUAAAAUUUUUUAUUUUUAAAAAAAUUAUUUUUAACAUUUUAAAAACAUCAAAAAAAUAUUAAUUUAAAAUAAAUUAAAAAUAAAUAACUUUCAAAUUUUUUCAAAAAUUAUUUUAAAAUAUAAAAAAUAAAUAUGCUAUAAAUACAUCACUACCACGUAAUCAAACUGUAAAGUGCCCCAAUUAUAUGUAUUGCAUUAGGAAUAGCGAUUUCUUCGAGGCCCAUCUUUCCCAAGGGUAAAACAUCAACUUUUAGAUGAUGGAUGGGCUUUAUUUGAGUUUUAUAUUCGAGUUCUUCAAAUCACAAUAAAAUAAAAUAAAAUAAAAUAAAAAAGGGAGGGGCCUGGCUAGAGAAAACACGUGCAUCAUGCCCGUGUUGAUUCCAUCGGUCCAAAUGGCAUUAUAGCUCACGAAAAGGGAAAAAAAACUAUAUAACAAACACUUGCCCACUUCAUUCUAGCCUAGGAAUGAAUUAUUAAAAUCACUUGACAUAAUAUGAACGAAAAAGAUAAGCUGUCUGCCCGUCAGCAUGCAAUCAAUGUCUUCUGACAACCUGCAAGAGAUAAUGACCUCCUAACUUGGUGGCUUGUCUAGUCAUAGGUUCAUAGUCCAUUUACCAAAAUGGGCUUCUUAAAAAAAGGUCAUGGAGCACAACUGAAGCACGUGAUGGCAUUUAGAACGAGGUUGAAAUUUGAAAAACAUAUUAUAUAAUUUGAUCUUGACUGUUCCGAGUCAAAUUCAAGCUCGGAGCUUGAAGUUAAUUCACGCUUUCAAUUCAAUAAUAAAGAAGUGUGUAGUCUCAUUAUAUUUGCCACAUAAAUAUUUGUUGAUGGAUGUGCUUACCGCUAUGAUGGUCAAAACGAAUUAAAUCCUGUUUUAAUUGUGCCGUAAUGCUAUUUAUCAUAUAGUGUUUUCAGUAGCGUUUAGAUACGCUUUAAAAGUUUAAUUUUUAAUGUUUUUUUAUUAAUUUUCAUAUAUAUUGAUAUCAAAUAUUAAAAAAUAUAAUAUUUUUUAAUGAAUUUCCAAAUAAAAAUAAUUUUAAAAAAUAUCUCACACUAUAUUUGUAUAACAGCUUUUACAGCCCAUUAAAGGCAAAAAGUAAAGGAGAAUAUAUUAGGUAUUUAUGACACUCGAUUGGUUGUCUCUUAUAUAUCCCAAUAAUCACGUAAUCUCUGUAUUCCAUGAUUUUGGCCAGUGGGCUGCUACGAACGCACGAGUCGCAUACUUUGAAUAAAUUAAGGCCUUUUGAUAGUAUGCUCAUCGAGUCUCAUAUUGAAGUCCUUUAAAGAUUUUAAUUCGACACUUGACCUAAAAGGCUGAUUUUCUUUUUUAAUUUUUCUCAGCAUCAAAAGAGUGAAAAUUUUGCAAAAUACUAUGGGCUUAUGUAGAGAGAAUAUAAUAUGAAACCAAAGUAGGCCAUUUUUUUUUUUUAAAUUAACGUGGGUGUUCAGACCAGCUUCUGCGUACCUCAAUUAAUUUUAUAGAUUCUGAAGUUAACAAUCAUGUAAACUUCCAGUAGUUCUGAGAGUACUUGAACUUGUGACCAUUAGAUAAUAAACUCAAGGUUUGACUAGCUGAGCUACCUCUUAGGAUUAUAUGAUGAAGACUUUAAUUUUUUUUUUUUGAAAUACAGGGGGCUUACUGUGUCUAGGUUGCCCAAAGCCUUCGGCCAAUUUUAGAUAAUUCAAAAAAAACAUAUAAGAUUUAAUAUCUUGAUGUAGCUAUUUACUAUAAAAAAUUGGCGUAAAAUACAUACAUCAUUAUUUAUAUAAACAGUAAAGUGUAUGUUUUUUUUAAAAAAAAUUUUUGUUCUUUCAUUUUAAAGUCAAAUAAUAAUUUUACUAAUCAUUCAUGUUAUUUUCUAACAUGUAUUUGGACUUUUUUCUAGUUUUUUUUUUUUUUUUUGUCUUCAAACUUGUCAAAUCUAUUAAGGAAACUUUCAUAUAAUUUAUUUAAAACUUGGUAUAAAUAAGAAAUUGAGUUAAUUUUUUUUUUAAAUUUGACUUAGACUGAAAUUUAUAACAAUAAUAAUAAAAAAAAAACUCUCUGUCUUAAAUAUCUUUUUAUAUUCAAAAUAUUUUUGCUUCGAUCGGCAGUUGAUGGAUGGAAUGAGAUAUCGAAACGAAUAAUAGUAUAAUACAAACUCCUUUAGAAUUGUGGAAACUUUUGUUGUUAUCCUUUAAUUUUUGACCAUCCAAGUAGGCUGCACAAGCCAAACCUUUUUAUUAUAUUUCUUUCCAAUUCUUACAGUCUGUAGUCAAAUUACCACUUCUAUUAAAGCAACAUGUUUUAAACCAAUUACCACUUACCAAACAAUUAAGAAGCUACUCUCGUUAACAUUAUUAUACUAUAAAAUGUUUGUGCGUGAGUCAAACACUGUAUCUAAAUACAAGGGGUGAUUAUUUUCGGUAUGAUUCGGUUUUUAUAAAAAAAUAACCAAAUUGAAAUUAAAAAAAACCGAACCGAAACUGGUUCAAACCGACCGGUUUUGGUUCGGUUUGUUUUUAGGACAAAACCGGUUCAAACCAGUUUGACUCGGUUUUUUCGGCCUGGCUCGGUUUUUUUCCGGCUUGGCUCGGCUUUUCUCUGUGUUUUUUCGCUUUCAAGCUUAUAAAACCGAAACCGAACCGGUCGGUUUUUUUAAAAUUUUAAUCGGUUUAAUCGGGUUUUUUUUACGGUUCGGUUUUUUCAGUUAUUUUUUUCCGGUUUUCUCGGUUUAAUUGGUUUUUCAGUUUUUUUACUCACCCCUACUAAAUACCACUAGAAAAUAGCAAAAUAUUGACCAAAUAUUCUGUUAGUCUUUAAAGUUUAAUUUUGUUAGAAAUACAAUUCUCAAUAAAAUAACGGAUGAAAAAAUAUUUUAUAAAUCAUAUUAUUAAUGAUUUCAAUUUCAUCAGUAAUAGAAUUAUUGAUUGGUUUACUGAUAAAAUUAUCGCGCCAAACAAAAAACCUUACUGACAAUAAUUCUAUCGAUAAAUCCAUUAGUGAUUAUGCAUAUUACUAAUGCAAUUAAUUCAUCAAAGAAUUACAUUUAUAUGUCAAUGAAAAAAACCAACAAUCUUAAAUCGCACUCAAGCACCGUAGCCUAAAAAAAAAACUAUUGUUAAUUAAAAUUUUUAAUAUAAUACAACAAUUUAAAAAACAUAAUCUUACCAUCUACUUUAUGAAAUGAACGGAAUGGAUUCGCUAGUAUAUAUGGUCAUAGAACCAUGACUUUUCUUGGUUCAGUUCUCCAAACCAAUUGGUGAUUGCCUCAAGAAAUGUUCCGACAUCACAUACUAGAGACAAACAUUUAGAUACCCUCGGUGACAUGCAAAUGUUUGAAAUCUUUCGACACGGCUAUGUCUUCCCAACUUGAAAGACCUUUAUCUUUUGCAUAUUUCUUUGUUUUUUUUGGCAUUGUACCAGGAAUCACACAACCUGGUCCAUAAAAAAAUCAAAUAAGAUAAUGAAAAAUAAAAUUUUAAUUUUUUUAAAAAAAAUAUCAUAGUUUGAAUUCAAUCUUACCUAAUAGUGUUGUGAUUCUCCCACACUCUCCUGAUCACAUCGUCAUCAUCCUCCUCCCAACAAAAAUUUUCCUUUCAUGUCAAUUUCAUAAAAUAACUAAUUUAUUAAAAUUAAAAAUUAACCAAAUUAAAUAUUAAAAAAAUAGUUGUUUAUGUAUAUACUGACAUCAAACUUUUCGAACCAAGCAUCAAUCAUAGGCUUUAAUUCAGGAUCUUUGGGAACUUAACUCCAUUGAAUCAAAAACACUUCUAUUGAAGAUUUCAUCGGUGAUGUUAUCGUGCGACCAUCCUCAACAUUUGUAAAUCUAAAUUUCAAUUUAUUCAUUAAAAUUAAUUAUUCAAACUUUAUCUAUUAUUGUUUAUUUUUUUAUCGUGUUGGAAAAGAAAACAAACUUACAUAUUGUGAUUGGGCUUCCACUAAUUAAUAUACUUUCCAGAGUAAACAUCCUACUCAUAAGGGACACUCACUUUGUGAGUCUCAUUCUCACUCGAUGAGCUUGCGUUGAGAGAGGGUGCCUGAAGUGCCUCAUCAUGGUCGACUCCCAACAGCAUUGCUCAUGCUCAUUAAGAGCGUUGUCAGAAGAACAAAUAAAGUUCUUAUUUGUCCUUAUCUAUACUAACAUUCUAUUCCUCAUCUAAACAAAUUUGAUAAAAAUAAUAAUAAUAAUAACAUUAAUACUAUAUCCUAUUUAAAAAAAAAACAUUCAGCAACACCUCUCUUAUACGAGAGCCUAUCUAAAAUUUUAAAACCUGCAAAUACAUAUUAAUAACUCAUCCCGCAGACCAAUUGAUUUUAUUUAUGACUAAUAUUUAAUUUAUGUAUAUAUUUAGAAGAAUAAAUCCCACUUAAAACUAGAAAGAAACCUUAUUUUCAUUUGUCAAUAUAGGAACUUAAUCAUUCUAUUAUGAAUUACUUAUUUAAAAGAAGCUCGAAUUGAAUGUUAUAUGGUUAUGUUGAAUCCAAUAUGUGCUUUAAUUAUAUAAUAGAUCUCAUUCCAUGCUUGAUCAAUAAAAAGAACAUUAGUAUCUACACACAAUAAUAAUAAUAAGAACUCAAACUUCUAAUAGAAAUUAGAUUUUGGCAACUAACUACUAGCAUUCUUUUUCAUUUGAUAAAUCUCGUACAAGAUUAUAAUUACCAAUAUUUAAAGAGAAAAGUUUAAUAAACUUUGUAUCGAUAAAACUUUUUCUGUCAUCCGUUAUUAGUAACUGUUGAAAUAUUUCAUCUAGUUUAUAUAUACUUGUUUAGUUCUUUUAUUUAAUGUGCCAUAAUAAGUCCCAAGCUCUCUUAAAUGGCAGCACUUUUAAUAUGAAGUCUAGUAAUUGUUUUCCUCCGCUUCUCUAACUUUUACAAAAGGAGAUUCGAUAGUAUGAUUUCGUAAUUUUGGUUAUCUUUUAGGACAGAUUAAUGUAAUUCAAAUCUUUAUCUUGAACUAGUCUUCAGAGUCAAGAACUCGAAGAGGCGAAUUUAGGUUAGCAUUUAGAAACUGAAAUGUGGUGUCUAUCCGAUUGUAGAUCGAGCCUUCUCCUACCAAAACAAAACAACAAAUUAAAUCCAUUAAUUUCUACCCUUUGCAGUUGAACAAUGAGCAAAGCAACUCUCAAUCUAUUUCUUCGUCGGCACUUAAUUGAAACGUUCUCUCUAUCUAGCCACUAAGUCAAAUGUCGUGGUAUUGAAAAUCUUGAAUUCAAAGUGCUUAACUUCACCGCUAAUGCUUUGAAUUAUUGCUUUAAUUUACUUUCAUAUUCAUAAAAAUUGUUUUUUUUGGGGAUAAAAUUCAAUAUUGUUGAAGCUAAUAUGAGAAAAAGCUCAAAUUGCUGAAGCUAAAUUCCAUCCCAUAUAUAUGUGUGAAGUCACCCUAGCUAGCUAGCUAGUCCUCAUUAUAACAUGAGUCGCCGAAUAAUAAUUUGUGGCAUUCAAAAGAAGUGAAAGUUCGAGGAAGCAUCAGUCAUGCAUGACUUUACUUUGCAUCAUCAGACUAGCAAGGUUUCAAAACCCACGUGUGGAACCUCAACAACUGUCUGGAAACUUACAUGCCGCCGGCACAAAGAUUUGGUCACUCCGAAUCUCCGAUUUCCGUGAUAGCUGCAAGUCUCUCGUCAAAGUUAGAACCAUCCACCUCCACUCAGUGCCCAAACGACCGCCUUCAAACACUAUUCAUCUUCACGUGUUGUAUAAAAAUAAUAUCCCCAAGUCUCAGCCUUCACAGCACACACAAAUCACUUUAUCUUUAUAUGUGAUUUUUUUUCUCUUUAUUUGUUUGACAAGAAAACUCUAAAAGGUGGAUUGAAUUUUAUAACAGAGAUAUAUAUAUAUAUAUAUAUAUAUAUAAGCAUCAAAUUGUCAACAAAGAGAUAAAAUACAAACGUGUCACUAAAUGUAUAUGACCAUUGCUCCUUCACCCACCAAACCUCUUGACAUCCUUCUCUCUCUCUACACCUAAGUAUUCGGCGUCCACAUAAUUCUGAAAUAAUAAUUUAUAUAUAUUUUAAAAAAAUUUACUUUUUAUAUCAAUAUAUUAAAACAAAUUAAAAAUAUAAAAAAAUUAUUUUUAAAAGAUAUUUUUUCUCCGCGAAAACAAACCGCUAUGAUUAAUCAUGAGAACACGCCAUAUCCUUUUAUUUUUUUUCUUUUGCUCAAACUUUGACCCACCCGUCAUCAAUCAUGGCCAGCAUAUUCUCUCUUUUUGUUAAAAUGACACAUAAAUGGUGUCACAAAAUAAGAUUAAAAAAAUGUCAUCCUUGGAAGCCAGUUCCUGAAAGGUUUUGAGUGAAAGAAACCCUAAUCGUCCACAUACUCUCCAAAAAAAAAAAAAAAAACCCAGGUUACGUGUCUAAAUAUAAAAGCCUCAGUUUGUAUGUUGUAACGCCAUGUUUUUUUUCCUCUGCUUUCCCUCUCCCACCUUCCUCUCUUCUAAGAAAAAAAAACUCCAUCCCAUGCCUAACUUCACUCAACAAAACACCCACGUGUCGUCACGUGAUAAAUGAUUGAACACAUCAUGUUAAGAAUUUUUUGUUGGGACAUGCAAGAUUAAGGUUUCUAGAAUGUGAUGUUUGUGUUGACACGUGUACAUUCUAUAGAUGACUCACCACUGUCCUUUAGAGACGGUUCAUGCACCAAAGAGACUACAAGUAUCUCUCUCUCUCUCUCCAUAACGUAGUAGUUCCACUUGGAUAAGGUCGGCCAUUUGAUGGAGCACGUGUCGUGCUCUUAACGGUGACAAGCAUAAAGUGGACCCCGUUAACCCAAACACUAAGACAAGGACGACCGUACUUAUCUCUCUCCCGCUCUUCAUCCUCCCCUGUAUAAAUAAGUCCCAUUUCAUCUUGUCAGAGAAAAAAGAAAGAAAAGAAAAAAAAAAAAAGGAAUAGAGAAUUCUAGCUCUAGUUCUUCUCUCUAGUCCAAGAAGCAAUUGUGCGCUAAGCUGCAGUCUGAAAAAUGGGAGUGCAAGAAACAGACCCUCUUGCCCAACUGAGCUUGCCACCGGGUUUUCGGUUUCACCCGACUGAUGAAGAGCUAUUAGUGCAAUAUUUGUGCAGGAAAGUUGCUGGUCACCAUUUCUCGAUGCAAAUCAUUGGUGAAAUUGAUUUAUACAAGUUUGAUCCAUGGCUCUUACCAAGUAAUUAAUAAUCUUGCUCUCUAAUAAUGUUCUCUUACUGAAAAGAAUCAAUUAUUAGUUAUAGCAAUAAUAAAUUUCUUGGGUUAAUAUUCUUCUUAAUUUGUUGUUGUUACCAGGCAAGGCGAUAUUUGGUGAAAAAGAAUGGUACUUCUUUAGUCCUAGAGACCGUAAGUACCCAAAUGGAUCCCGACCCAAUAGGGUUGCCGGGUCUGGGUAUUGGAAGGCCACCGGUACUGAUAAAAUUAUCACAUCAGAUGGACGUAAAGUAGGUAUCAAGAAAGCUCUCGUCUUUUACAUUGGCAAGGCCCCAAAAGGAACCAAAACUAAUUGGAUCAUGCAUGAAUACCGCCUUAUUGAAUCCUCUCGCAAACAUGGAAGCACGAAGGUACCAACGAAAGAAAUUCCACCUGCAGAUUAAUUUUAAUUUGUUUUGAUACGCCUCAAUAUUAAUUAAUGAUUUUUGUUAAUUUUCUUUGUUGUUACAGUUGGACGAAUGGGUAUUGUGUCGGAUUUAUAAGAAGAAAUCAAUUGCUGCACAGAAAUCCAUGUCAGGUGUUUCAAGCAAGGAACCUAGUACUAAUAGUCCAUCUUCAUCAUUCUCUUCUCAUUUCGAUGAUGAUGUCCUUGACCCGUUGCCGGAGAUUGAUGACCGCUUCCUUGACUUGCCUCGAACCAACUCACUCAAACCAAGGCAUCAUGAAGAGAAAAUCAACUUGGCCACUCUGGGCUCAGGGAGUUUUGAUUGGGCGACUCUUGCUGGGCUCAACUCGGUGCCUCAACUCGUUCAAACACAGCCUUGUGUGAGUUACUCGAACAGUAAUGUUCAUGAUGUGUAUGUUCCUUCAAUGUCCCAACUAUGCCACAUGGAUACAUCCGCGGAGAGGAUGGAAAACUUGGUUGAAGAGGAGGUUCAAAGUGGAGUUAGAACUCGGCUGGAUAGUGUUGGUAACCCAGUGUUUUUCCAACAAAACUCGAGCGUGAGGCCACAGAGCUUCUCUAACUCAUUUGACCCGUAUGGGUUAAGGCACUCGAUCCAACCGGGUAGUGGGUUCGGGUUUAAUCAGUAAGAAAAUGUUAGGGAAGAAUUAGGAGUACAUUUCUGUAAAGAAAAGUACAAAGGGAUGCAUUUAUGUAAAUAUUUGGAUUCUUUGGGGGCUAACUUUUGAGUUUAGAUUCCAAAAGAGAGAAGAAGCUAGGGAGCUGCUUCGUUCAAAAGGCAAGAGAAAAUUGCCUUCCCUUCUGGGUUGCUAGAGGAUUAGAUGCCAUGUACACGAAAAAACUUACUAGUAUUUUGCAGCACAAUUUUCUUUGAACAAUGAAUUACAAACAUUGCGAUACUUGGAAAGUAAAUAUUAAUUGGUAUGGAAAUUAAAUUACAGGUCUCUGGAUUUUUUAGUUUUAUUUUUUAAUUGUGGUUGUUUUAACUAGCUUAUAUAUAUAUUUUAAAGUUAACAAUGAUGAAGUAAAUUUUAUAAUAUUCAAAUUGAUAAUCUAUUUACGUGAGUGUUCGAACUAACUUGUUUAUACCUUAAUUAAUUUUAUUUUAUAAAUUUUAAAAUUAAUAAUUAUAUAAAUUUUUAAUAACCUUUAUAAAACUUAAACCGAUAGAAAUUUAAAAUCUAAAACAUAAAGCUGCAUUUCUCAAGGUUAUUGAAUGGCGAUGAUGUGUUUUGUGUGGCUGUAUGGAACAGCUAGCAUGGGGGAUGCAAGUACUGACAAUGAAUUUAGGAUGUUGUGGCACCGGCCGUCCAUGUGAGCAAUGUCAGGGAAUGAUAGUGGUUUUUUCCUUUUUCUUUUUCUUUUUCUUUUUCUUUUUCUCAUUGGGAAAGAAGCACUGUCUAGCAUCGAGAGCAAGCCAUUCAUGUCCAAAUUGAUGUGUUUUACGGCGGAAAUUAUUGUUUUAUAUCAUUGAAUGAUAACUAUUUUACCUUUUUAUGUAUUUUAAAUCGAAGAAUUAUGCAGGUAACUAUUUUAUAUUAAAGAAGGGAAGCAUGUUCGCAGCCUUUUUUUUUUUCCAGUUUCCUAAAACCUUACUUUUAAUUUUUAUCUAAAUUUCUCUCUUUUUUCUUCUAUUAAAGAGUAUUUUAAUAUGAAUAAAAUUUUCAUAAGAAUCCAGAUAAAUAUUUAUCUUUUUAAAAAAAAUGAAAAUUUAAAUUUCAAAUUAAAUUAUAAAUUAAUCAAUAGGAUAAGUCAGUCAUUUUCAAUGUGUGUAUAUAUAUAUCACUAAUCAACAUAAUAGUAUAAUUAUUGUUUUGCCAUUUCAAAACAAAAUCAAUGAAUUAAAUAUUGGGACUAGAGGUAAUAUAAUAUUUUAUGCAUAGUUCAUUAGUUAUUAUUAGAUUGAUUUGGAAUAAUUUUUUUUUUUUUUGUAUUUUGAAGGCAAAGAAAAAUGACUAACUUAUCUUUAAAAGAAAACUUUUCAAGUUGGUGUCCUGAGAUUUUUUUGUAUUUUUAGCAUGAUUGUUUUUGUUAUUAUUAAGUUCACUUAAGGGAAAUUUUUUGUCUUCUAAUAUAUAUAUAUAAGGAAUUAUUUUAAAAAUUAAAGUAAUUGGCACGUGCAACUCAUGCGCCAGCGAGUAGGGGGCAUCUACACCUUUCUGGCAGAGCGUAAGGCGUCGUCGCCAACUCAUGUAUUUUUUUAAUUGCUUUUUAAAAAAAUAUUUUUUUUAAAUUUCUCCCUUCAAUAUAAGGGUGUUUGAUAAUUAAAAUUUGUAUUCCAUUCAAUUUGUUUUUGACAGGGUUACUGUGAGACUUGCUCAGGCCGCCCUNNNNNNNNNNNNNNNNNNNNNNNNNNNNNNNNNNNNNNNNNNNNNNNNNNNNNNNNNNNNNNNNNNNNNNNNNNNNNNNNNNNNNNNNNNNNNNNNNNNNNNNNNNNNNNNNNNNNNNNNNNNNNNNNNNNNNNNNNNNNNNNNNNNNNNNNNNNNNNNNNNNNNNNNNNNNNNNNNNNNNNNNNNNNNNNNNNNNNNNNNNNNNNNNNNNNNNNNNNNNNNNNNNNNNNNNNNNNNNNNNNNNNNNNNNNNNNNNNNNNNNNNNNNNNNNNNNNNNNNNNNNNNNNNNNNNNNNNNNNNNNNNNNNNNNNNNNNNNNNNNNNNNNNNNNNNNNNNNNNNNNNNNNNNNNNNNNNNNNNNNNNNNNNNNNNNNNNNNNNNNNNNNNNNNNNNNNNNNNNNNNNNNNNNNNNNNNNNNNNNNNNNNNNNNNNNNNNNNNNNNNNNNNNNNNNNNNNNNNNNNNNNNNNNNNNNNNNNNNNNNNNNNNNNNAACCGAUCGCGCAGUGGAGACAGAACAAAAAUAUGAGCUUAGGUUAGGUUUUAUUUACCUUUUUCAUAUUGUUUUUUUUUUUUUAGUUUAACGUGGGUGUCCGGGCCAGCUUACGCGCACCUCGACUAAUCCCACGGGCCCUGAAGUUAACGACCAUGUAAGCCUCCAGUGACCAUCAUAUGAGCAACCACAUGGCUUGAACCUGAGACCACAGAGGGAGCAAACCUCUUGGUUCCAAACUCUACCACUGGCCCACCACCUAGAUGGUUACCUUUUUCAUAUUGUUAAUUUUUUGUAUUGUUGUUGCAUUUUUUUGGCCAGGGCAUGAGCUUGACUUGUUAAGCCUAACAAUUUAUUUAUUAAUUAAUUGUUGCAUUCUUGAAUAUAUAUAUUGUUUUUUGGAUUUUUUUAUGAAUAUUUACAUUAUCUCGGGUCUUGUAAUUUUAACACAGUUUAAAUUUUUUUUUUAAAAAAAUAACACAUAUUAUAAAAGUAUGUGAAAAUAGCACAGUUUGAACGCAAUAACUAUUAAAAAUAACAGUGGUACGUAAUCAUUAUUGAGAAUAACAGUUGUUUUAAAAGUUAUUUUUCAAUCAAAUUAAUUAAUAACUUUUUGAGAAUAAAAUUAAUUAAAAACUAUAAAAUUCAAUCCAAGUUUUUAUGAAAAUAUAAUUGCCAAAAAAAUAAAAUUUAAGAUUUAAUGACCAAGAAAAAAAAAUCAUCAGAUACACAUAAGAUCUUUGUUUUUAACAUUCUUAAUGCCAUUAAAAAAAAUUUGACAAACUUAAAAAACCACCUAAUAUAAUUAUAAUUUAGUAGUGAUUUUAUUCGGAUUAAUUUAAAGGUAAUUACUGCCUGGAAUUUUCAAAUGAGUAGAUUCAAUAUGUGAACGUGCUUGAACGGGCCCUUGCCAGGAAUCAUAAUUGUGACUAUUAUUACGGUGACGUUUGUCUUGUAGUCCCAUCAUCAUAUAUUCCAUGACUAGGUGUAACUUCCCUCUUGAAGUCCGAGGGGAAAAAAAAGUAAAUGGGGAAUUUGUUGAGCAGAAUUGGAACACAAUUUCUCAGGAUGAGAAUGAUAGAAUGCUUUUUAUUAUUAUUAUUAUUGGGAUUAAUUAUUAAUUAGACGACUUCAUCAAAUACAAUGCAUCUCAUGCCCCAUGCAACUACGGAUCCACCCCCUCCAGGAUCUCUUCAAGAAUAUAUUUCAGUCAUGUUGAAAUUUGAAACAUAAAUCAAUAACACAAACAAUCCAUUAGUGAGUUUUGUAAGAUCAGAAGUCUUUUUUCAUAGAUUUGGAGGUAUUAAUUAGACACAAAGCUGCUUUUUUCAAGAUUAGAUCAAGCUACGACUACCAUUACAACGUUAAUCGCGGCCAAGACGUGUAUCCUAGCCAGGACAGAGAAAGAAAGCGUCUUAGCUUUUUUGAAACCAGGAUAAUUAGUUGUGGAAAUUACUUGAUCUAUAUAGGUGAAUGUAGAUUUUGACUUCAUUUUCUUUGACAGCACAAAUUAAUAGAAGAAGCGUGUCUCUUGAUGGAUUUUCCUGUCUGGCCCGGUUAGUCCAGCGUCCAGUCCAUGUUCGUUUAAAAAUAGAAGGCUGAUUUGAAGGCCGCCGCCGCCACCGCCGCCGCCCAUCGAUCUGUCAUUAAUUGCUUUCUCUCUAGCUUAUAAUCGAUCUUGCAUUUUUAGUGAUGAUGCCAUAGAUACAUCGUGCUAACGAAUUAGGCAAAUUGAUGCGUGUAAAAAUUAGAGGAGUCGAUUCACAUCUUAUCCUCUUUGGAGUGUGGAAAGGGUAAUUGGCGAGGAAAAACAAAAUAAUACGAAGUUGAUGUAUAAAAAUUGGCAAGGGUUUCCGAUUCAUCGGUCAAAUCAAUGGCCUAAAAGCAGACCAGGUACGUUUAAAAGUCUAUGACAGGCAAACAGGGAAGAAAUAUGCGAUUAUCCAACAAAACCAAUGUUGUCAAUUCCGUUUCGUUUCGUCUGGAAUGAUUGAAAUAUUCUAUAUCAAUUUAAAAAACAGAACAAAACGGAACAAAUUUUAUUUCAUUUUAAAUCUUGGUCCGUUCUAGAUUUUUCGGCUAAAUUCCGCCCGGAACGUUCUGGUUUUAUUCCACAUGUUCCGUUCUGCUCUUGAAAAGCCAUUGAAUCAAAUUGAACCUUGUUCAAUUUAAUUAAUUAAACCAUCCAAUUAUAAUAAUGAUAUUGAUAAUAAUAUUGAAAAUUAUUAUUACUAUUUUCAUUAACAAUGAUAUUAAUUUUUUAAAAUUAGAUUUAUCACUAAUAUAUAUGGUUUAUAUUCAUGUUUUUUUCACGUUUAUACUUUGUAGAAAUUUGAGCAAAACAAGGGAUGCUUUAGAUUGCAUUAGCCUUGAUAACAUUGACCUAACUUUAUAUUUAAAAUAUUUGUGUUAAAACAUUUUAUUUUCAUAAUAUUUUGAUAUUUUGUUUAAGUUGAAUUACUUUAAGUUAAAAACCUAUUUAAUCUUGACUAUUUAGGAAUAUUUUAAAUUUUGAAAUUAUAUUUGUUUGGUAAUGUGUUUGUAUUGCAUAAUUUAUAAUUAAUUUAUCUUGAAUUUGAAUUAUGUUUGUUGAAUAUAUAUAUAUAUAUAUAUAUAUGAACAGUACAAUCUUGAAACGGCACGCCGAAACACUCCAAAACUAAAAUAUUCCAUUUCAAUUAAAAAAAUAAAACACCUAUCAAAACGAAAUUGAUAACCUUUUGCAAAACUACACCAUGGUACUAGGUUUUUAGUUGCAAACAGAAAGCAUAUGGGAUCGUUCUUCAAGAUUCUCCAAGCAAUUCCCAAUAAUUUGUCCAGUCUUUUAACAAGAUAGAUAUGCUUUGACCGUUGAUUUGUCCUCCCUUUUAUUUUGAUUUGAAAUUCUCUACUUGCACGUGUAGUUAACCUCCUCGUGGUGUCUUCGUCGAAAUCGACACAUGCUUCCAAAUAUUUAACGAUCCAGGAAUCGCUAUAGGAUAUAUGACUUAGCCAAUCCAUUUAAGAAUUUUUAUUUUCAUAUAAAAUAUUGAAAAACCCAAAAACAAAACCUCAUUUAAAUUUAGAAGCAAAAAUUAGUUGCACAUGCAAAUAUUUGACCAACUUUUUUAUUUAACUAUAUGGAAAUUAAAAUUGAUAUUCAUAAAAAAAAGAUGACUAUUUAAAUUCUAUAAAAAAAUAUAUUCUCUUAGUCUAAAUUCGUUUUUUUACUCAUGUAUUUUAUCUCAAAAACAUAUAUUUUUUUAUUAAUAAUAUAGUCUAUUAAAUAAAAACUGAAGAAAAUUAAAAUAAAUAUUUCGUAAUUUUUUAAUAAUUUGAAAUAAAAAGAAAAAAAAUGUAUUUUGUUAACCAAAACUUUCUUUCUUAUUCAUGUGUUUCUUUUAUUAGAAACUUUUUUACAUGUAUUUAAAAAAUAAAAAGAUGGAAGCACAUGUAAUAUUUGACUUAGUGACGUGGGUAACUUUUCAAAGUUUUUUAUUUAAUUUUGUGGCAAUAAAAAUAAAUAUUCAUAGUAAAGAUAAUGAUUUAAAUAAUGUAUUUUUUAGUUAUGAUUCUCUUUUUUUAUUGAAGUUUCUUUUGUUAAAAAAAACAUAUCUUUUUUUAUUAGGAUGAUGGUUAAUUGAAUAAAAAUGAAGUCAUUUAAAGUAAAAUAUAGAACAAAAUAAUACUGUUAUGAAAUAAAGAGCAAAAAAUGUAUUUCUCUAAUCAAAACUUCCUUCUGUUUUUUAUUUUAUUUGAGUGUUUUUUUCUUUUUCUUUCAAAAACCAUGUCUAUGUUAUUUUAUAAGAAUUAUUGCUUUUAAAUUAAAACUUAUCAUAAUUCUAAAAAUAAACUUUGAAUAAAAAAAUUUGUAAAUCAAUAAUUUCUACGUGAAAUAAAAAAUAUAUAAAAAAAAUAUUUCAAAAAAUUAAAAUAAAAAAUAAUUAAAUAGAUAUUUUUUCUUCAUUAAAUGUUCAUAAGGGGGUUUAAAAAAAACAUUAAGCAUAUUAGAUUCAUACAUGAUUAUUAAAAUAAUCAUUAAUAUUAUCAUAAAAGUUAUAAUAUUUUAUGAAAAUAUUUAUGACAUAAUCAAAUAAUUAUUUAAAUAUUAUUUAAAUAAAUUUAUUUAAAAUCAAUCAAGAAAAUUAGGUCCAUUUAUAAAAAUGGUUAUGCGUGUGCCUAGGUUAGAGAGAUAGGCCCGUGUACUUGGGCAUAAAAGGUCCAGCCCAUGUGCAUGGUUCUCUUUUUUUAAAAAAAAUCAAUUAUCACAAAUAACAUUAUCUCUGAUGAUUCAAAAAUUAAAAUCCAAGUUUAAACUCUAAGAACCCAUAUUUCAACUUUUUUUUUUAUUAAAAUGUGAAAACAAAUUAUUUUUUUUUUCAAUGACUUUCUCUCUUCUCUAGACAUCUAGAGAUUGAAAUGCAAGACAAUAAAUUUACAGGACAAAACAUUAAAACCAAAAAAAAAAGAUCAAAUAUGAAAAAAAUGAAAGUUGAGGGAUAAAAUUGAACAUUUCCACGCCAUUUGAAAAUGAGUGAAAAUGUUUAUUUUUUUGAAAUGUCUAUUUUAGUUUUAAUAAAAACAAAAAAUUGAUUUUUAUAAAAUUGAUUUCUAAUUCAAUAUUAUAAAAUUUAAUGAAAAUUAAACCAAACAUACAUAAACAUGCAAAUCAAAACAGAUAACAAUAUAUAACUAAUCCAUUUCAAUGUUUCAGACUAUAAAGAAAUUAACCCUCUAAAAUAUUUAAAUCUGAACUAUUCACAUAAACAGAUAAUUAAGUUUGAGCCAGUGAUUUAUGAAUGAGAGAACGAGUCGUCGUACUAUUAAAUCUUAUUGGUGAAAGAUCCAAAACUGCUAAUUAGAAUCACUUUUCUUCAUCAAGUUAACAUACCACCACAUAAACAAAAUCCAAGAUCUUUCUUGAAAGAGGACUUGGCAGAAUGAGAGUUUUUCUACAUUAAUCUUGGGUUGUUUGGGUUGAAAAACUCAUUAAUCAACAGAAAAUAAUAAAAAAAGAUAGGAUUUUAAUAAUAAAAAAUUUGAAAGCCAUCUUGAACAUAUAGUUGUUUUGUCUUGCACGUAAAUAUUUAAAUGGUUGAGAUUAACAAAUAACGAAUAAAGGUAUGUUUUGAGCUGUAAAGGGUGCUGGAAUCUUUUGCAAAUUUGGAAAGAGGUAUAUUUGGAUCUUUUAUGAAAGAAAUAUUUUGAAGUGUUUGAUUGAUAAAGUGUUCAAUGAAUUUAGACAAAAAAAAAAAAAAAACACAAGUCAAAGCGAGAAAUGAUUAAGGACUAUAUAAAAAUAUGAUAACGGUUAUUUUUUAAAGUAUUUUUUUAUUUAAAAAUAUAUUAAAAUAAUUUUUUUAUUUUUUAAAAGUUAUUUUUGACAUUAGCAUAUUAAAACGAUUCAAAAAUACAAAAUAUUAAUUUUAAAUAAAAAAAGUUAAAUUUCAUGAAAUUCUGUUUAGAACAGAAUUCCAUUCCAAAUAGCUUACCCUAAUACUACUGGAUUCACAUAAGCUUCAAUGAAAAACGAUGCAAUUUAAUUUAAUUGGGAAGGAAAUCGUAAGUGUAUUUUUAUGAAGAAUAGUCAGGCGCCUCAAUUUAUAGCAAUUGCACUUGUUUAUAUAUAUAUAUAUAUAUAUAUAUAUAUAGAGAGAGAGAGAGAGAGAGAGAGAGAGAGAGAGAGAGAGAGAGAGAGAGAGAGCAUGUUGAUUGGAAACUUCCCUAAAAUAUAUUCUCUAUAUAUAUGCAAGUUAUUAAAUAAUGCUCUAAAUAAUCAGUGAUAAUGAUGGCCAUAAAGGGAAAGCAUGCAGCAAGUGAAGUGGAAGAUUUAUCAUGAAAUGGGCAUAGCAUGAAACAAGGGUAAGGUUUAUCAGGAAAGCAUGCUAACGAUAAGGUGGAUGGUGCAGUGAGCUUUUUAUAAAGUGUUUAUUUAUGAGAUUGAGAGUUCGAGUUCGAUAUCUCAUUUACUAUAUAGUUUAUUAUAAUAGAUAGUACAUAUACAUUCUCACUUGUAAUUGUAAUUAUAUUUAGAAAGGGUGUGUGGUUGUCAUUGUUUUUUAAAGUGUUUUUUAGUAGGGGUGUUCAAAAAAACCGACCAACCGAUUAAACCAAAAUAACCGAGAAAAAAUUAACCGAAAAAACCGAACCGAUAAAAAAAACCGAAUAAACCGAUUAAAAAAUAAAAAAACCAUCCGGUCCGGUUCGGUUCCGGUUUAAAACAGCUUAAACCGAUUGAACCGGACCAAACCGAACCGGUUUAAAAAAAAGGUAUAAAAACAACAUUUCCUAACCCUAAUAUCACUUUUCUCCUUUCCAGCCGCCACCCCCCCUCUCCCUUUCCAGCCUUCCCUUCCUUUUCCCUUCCCCUUCCCCUUUCCCCCUUUCCCCUUCCCCCUUCUCAGCCGCCCCACGCCCUUCCCUUUCCCCCUUCCCCUUCCCCCUUCCCAGCCGCCCCANNNNNNNNNNNNNNNNNNNNNNNNNNNNNNNNNNNNNNNNNNNNNNNNNNNNNNNNNNNNNNNNNNNNNNNNNNNNNNNNNNNNNNNNNNNNNNNNNNNNUAGUACAUAUACAUUCUCACUUGUAAUUGUAAUUAUAUUUAGAAAGAUUGUGUUGUUGUGAUUGUUUUUUAAAGUGUUUUUUAGUCAGAAAUGUAUCAAAAUAAUAUUUUUUUUAUUUUUUAAAAAUUAUUUUUGAUAUCCGCACAUCAAAAUUAUUUAAAAACAUAAAAAAUAUUAAUUUAAAAAAAUAAAUUUAAAUAUUUUCAAAAAUAUUUUUGAAAUAUUAAAAAAAUAAAAAAGUCUCCAAGUUCCUGAUGUGGUGGGAUCUUUCCAGAUAAAAGGAUAAUGUGAUUUAGGCAUAAUAAUGUCAUCUGUAAAAAAAUUGUAAGAUAAGUACUACCUAUUUUUCUAUUUUCAUUAUAUAUAUGUAAAAAAAAAAAAAAAAACACUCGCCAUGAUUGUUUAAAGAAUCCAAAUUUGAAACCACUACGUCGUUUCCAAUCAAAUUAUAUUAUUAUAACAUAUAGUUUCUUUCUUUUUUUCCUCCCAUACGAGAAGACUUCCACUUAGUAAGCUUAUUAUGAUUAGAGCAGGGUAAUUAUUUUUGGUUCGAUUUAAUUUUUAUUUAUAAAAAUAAUCAAUUUUUUUUUUUAAAUCUGAAAUCAGUUCAAAUCGACCGGUUUCGGUUCGGUUAUUUUAGAACAAAAACCGAAACCCAACCAACCGGUUUUGGUUCGGUUUGAUUAUUUUAUAUUAAAAACUAAAAACUAUAUUGUGUUUUGGGUUUUUUUUUUUGUAAUUUCCAAUGAGUUUGGUUUUGGUUUGGCUCGGUUUUUUGUUUUCAGUUCGGUUUGGUUCGGUUUUUCAGUUUCAGGCUUAUGAAACUAAAACCAAACCAAACCAGUUGAUUUUUUAAAUAUUCUAAUCGGUUUAAUCGAUUUUUUUUUAUGAUUCGGUUUUCUUUAUUUUUUUUCCAAGUUUUAUUGGUUUAAUUAAUUUUUCAGUUUAUUUUUCACAUGUAGACUAGGGUAGUAAUUCAACACAUGCAGUCUAUAGUAAGCCAGCUCUUGCUAGACAAUUAUUGGAUUUAUUUUUAAACAAAUUUAAUGAUUCAAGAGAGUAAGCAUUGCAGCAACACCACAUCCUUAGUAUUACAGAUAUUUUGGAAUGAUAAGAGAAGAAAAAUGUGCCAUUCUCUUGAAGUAGUUUGGAAAAUAAUCUUGGAACCUUUUCAGAAAGAAGAUCAUUGACCAUCCUUUUCAUUAUUCUUCAAAAGAGUGCAGGCAUAUUCUUCUUGAUAGGUUCAUUCCCUUUUUUUACUCACAAUUCUUGCGAACCCAAGACCCUUUUUGUCUGCCGCUUAUUAAUCAACUAUAUAUAAAUCCAUGACUUUUAUUUUCAUGUCUAAAGUAUGUUAAAUACUAUACUAUAUUUUAAAAAACAUGGGACAAACACUGUGUAUAUACCGUAAAUAUAAAUUCAUUGCACUAUAAAUAUCUUGUUAAAGAACCAUAUCAACACAAUAGCUUAAGCUAUUAGGUGAGGUCUCAAGAUAUGAUUUAUGUUAUUCUCUAACACAUCCCCUCAAGUGAAAGUCCUUUAAACUUGAAACUUGCACAGACCUAUAUUACCUUAUGCUUAAUUUUUAUCAAAUAAAUGAAAAAGGUGAGAUUCGAACUCGAGACCACUUGGUAAUCAAGACUCUGAUAUCAUGUCAAAGAACGUAUAUGUUACAUAUGUUUUUAUAUUGCAUAUGGUCUGGUAUUGAUUAUACCUGUCGCAUCUUUUUAAUUAUUUUCUGCAGCACUCGAAUGAUAUAAUUUUGGGCAUGGAAUAUGAGAAAUAUAAGCCGCUUCAUAUAUAUAACUUUAAUGGACACAUUUGAAGCCCUUAUAUAUACUGAGAAAAAAAAAUCUGAUCUGUUUUUGUACUCUUUUUACCAUUCCCAUAAUAACAUAUUUGCAAGAUAAUUGUAACUUUAUCUAUGUGAAAUCGAACUCUCCAAACUUGAAGGAAUUUGAGAGAACAUGAAGAGGGGAAAUAAAAAUUUGUGCCCAAAGCUGAAGCCUUUAAUUAUGAAGUGAAAAUUGAGUGACUUUCUUUGAUCACGAAGAAGAUUCCCUGUCAAAUAACUUUGUUCCUUUGAGGCCUUACAUGAACACUGGAAAAAAGUCAAUGCUAAUGGUUCUGGCGGUUCAAGGUCAUAUUUCCCACCACUCAACCAUGGUUUAAGCACCUGUACCAACAAAAACAGAGGUGAGUGGUUCAAGUGAGUAAGCAUUGCAGUAACUCCAUAUCCUUAGUAGUAGUGAUAUUUUGGAAUGAUAAAAACAUGCAAGGGAAGAAGAACGUGCCAUUAUUCUCUUAAAGUAGUUUUGGCAAUAAUUUUGGAGCCUUUUUAGAACAAGUCAUGACCAUCGUUUUCAUUGUUCUUCCCAAGAGUGAAAGCAUCUUCUUGAUCUUCUCAUUUUGGGCUGAGAUUCAUUCCCUUUUUCACUCAUAAUUGUUGCAAACCCAGGACCAUUCUGAGCUGAAAUGUCUAUCGCUCGCUUACCGAUCAAGUACAUGACCUUUAUUUUAUGUCGAACACAUGUUGCAUAUGCUUCUAUAUUGCAUGUGGUCUUGGAUUGAAUAUACCUACCGCAUCUUUUUAAUUGUUUACAUGCAAUAUAUUAUGAUUUUCUCCCUCUGAUGUCGAUAAGGUUUACAUAGUUUUAUUCUCUCUGUAUUUUUCAGUACUGAUCAAAUUGUUUGUGUUUGUUAUAAUUAAUAUAUAAAUUUCUUCAAUCCCCCCCCCCCCUCUUUUUUUCCAAGUCUUUCCUUUUUUCUUUCCUUUCAAUAUCAUCCUUUUUAAUUCUCUCAAUUUCUUCCUUAGGUUUUUUUAACAAUUAUUCAUGAUGUUUUUGGAUUGCCAAGUCAACUGAAUCAUGUAGAAACAAUUCUCAUACGAUUUAAUUUUAAAUAUAAACUAGGCAAUGAGUCAAGUCAAUAGGUUUUUUUGUCAUGUUUAUUAUUUUUUCUCAAUUUCUUCCUCAUAUAUUUUUUACUAGUUGGUCGGGUUGUUUUUGAAUUAAUCAAGUUGAUCGAGUCAUGGAGAGACAAUUCUCACAUGAUUUAAUUUAAAUCCAAGCUACGCAAGAAGUUGGGUUGAAAGAUUUUUUUUCCUGUCAAUUUCAUAAUUUUUUUUAUAAUUUCAUCCUUAAAUAAUUUUUACUAGUCAAUCAAGUGUUUUUUUGUACCGCUCAAGUUGAAUGAGUUAAGUAGAAUUAACUCUUAUACAAUUUAAUUUUACUCUUGAAUUAAGUAAUGAGUCAUGAGUCGGAUUAAGACAUUUUAAAAUUAACCUGUUAAAUCAAAUUUCAUGAUAAUGUUAAAUAAUUAUUUAUAUUCUGAAUAUUUUUUUGUCAUGAGUGAAAAAAAAAUUAGCUGACCGACGAGAGAACAGAAGAGGACGCCUGUAAACUAGUAAUUUUCUAUAAUUAGUAUAUCCUGGCCCAAUAACAAUUGUCCAUCGGUCUGUUUGUGAGUGGAAUCCAUGUUUAUUAAUUUCACAACGAGAAGCUCAGUUGAUUGUAAUCCAGGCCUAUGAGCUGUAUUGGACUUCAAAUGAGGAAAAAGGACUGGUAUUUAUACUGGAACUCUUGCCCAUAUAGCUCGAACAAGGAUAAUUUCUAUAGCCCAUUGCGCUAUAGGCCGUACUAUGUUGGUGGCCCAACUCAAGUAUUACUAGGUAGUGUUGCAGCCUAAUGCCGCGGCGACGUCUAUUAGAUUUAUACAUGAUUAUUUAUAAAGUAAUUUUUAAUAUUAUUAUCAAGAAUUCUAACUUAUACAUUAUUGGAUAAUAUCUUAAAUAUUAUAUUAAUAAUUUUAUUUAAAAUUGAUUUUAUUAUAAAAAACUAAAGCACUAUUUAAAAAAAAUAAAGGGUAAAAUAAAACUGAAAGGACAAGCUCAUGUGUCUAACCUUAAAGGAAAAAACCUGAGUGCACUCUUUGUUUUUUUAAAAAAAUGAGGGGAAGACACAUCAACCAUUCAAGAGUUUUUUUAAAGCAAAAAAUAAAAUAGACAAUGCGUUAUCCACUCCAACAAAUUCUAGUCAUAUAUAGUGAUAAACAAAAUUAAGAUCCAAGUUUUUUUUUAUAUAUCUAGAGCCUAAUUUUAAACAUGUUUUCACUAAAAACAAAUAUAAAAAAAAUCACUUUAGAAACCUCAAUAAUUAUAUUUUCAAUAAAAAAACAACCUCUAAUUAAUUUAAAAAUUCAAAAUUAAACUAGAUAAAAAGCCCUUGAAUUUUAAUCUAUGUUUUGUUUUUGCUUGAUUAAUGGUCAAAACCAUAUGCAUCUAACUCCUCUUUGUAAGAGGAACCCAUUGAUGUCAAGUUUGGAUUUUUUUAUGAUCGAAAUGUGAUUAUCAAAACCAUCUGCAUCUAACUCCUCUCUAUAUAUUUUUUUAACUCACAAUGAAGCAUAAAAAAAAUAAAAAUUUAGGAAUGAAAUGUAUAUACCUAAAAAGAGAACAAAACAAAUUUUAAUAGAAACUAUAAGGACCAACAAUGAAAAAUAUAUAUCUUACAAAAUAUUUUGAGAAGUGAUUAAGGGGACUUACUUGCAAUUUGAUUAUGUCAAAUUAUGUAAUAGUUUAAUCAAAAUAAUAUUUUUUAUUUAUUAUUAUAGUUAAUAUCUCACAUAGAAUUUUUUUGGAACAAUAUAUAUAAAUAUAGACUAUAAAAAAAAUAUAAAAUAUGAAGUGUAGUAUAGUUAUCUCAUAUAAAAAAAAUUUAAGAAAAAAAAAAUAUGAAAUGUAAUGUACUCAUUUCACAUAAAAAAAUUUAAUAAAUUAUUCUACAUGAAAAAAUUAUGAAAUAAUAUAUAUAUAUAAAUUAUGAAAUAAUAUAUAUAUAAAGAUUGCUAUAUUAAGCGAGCUAGCCCAUCCAAAACACUAUAGUCCACAAAAGAAAAACAUCAAAUCAACAAGCAAUCUAAGAAGAAAGUUUACAUGGACGGGUCAAACUCGAUGAAUAUAUGCAUUGUUCCAAAUGCUUUAAGUAGUGGAUUUUUUUUUAUAUAAAAAAAGUUAAAGCGUAAACAAAACGUAGGUGCACAAAUAAACCUAUUUCCGAGGAACGAAAGCAAAAACAGUAUUGAAAAUAAGCACUUGGUGUUUUAGCCCAUUGUUCCAUAGUUGAUUUUCUAAAUCCUAAGGAAGAAUAUUGUAAAAUAUUAAAGUCUAUACCACGAUACUUAUACAUAUACAAAAUAAAAAAAAUAUUAAAAUAAAUUGAUUUGUUUUUAGCUGAGUCCAUACUUUAAUGUUUGAAUUUCUUACAUCUUUAGGCAGUUUAGAUCCUUAUAAAACAAUUAGUUACUUAAUCCUAUUUGUCUUUCAAUAUGUCGUUGAGCAUAUAGAAUAUUUUAGUUUUUAUAUGCAUAUGAUAACUAUCGUAUCUCGAUGGACGUCAUGGUAGGAGCAAAAAACAUGUAUAAUGGAUAAUUAGAAAUCGUUAUCUAAUAAUUAAAAAAAACUAAAGAUCCUAAAAUACUCUCUAUUUUUGUAGGUUGGUGAAUACCUCAUAUGUUCUUUGUUGUGUGUUCCCUUUAUAAAGAGAAAAGACUGGAAUUUAAAUGAUUCAUAGAGAUUUAAUUGAAGACUUGUUGGGAUUCUAUGAUCGAGUAGUUGAUUCAAGACAUUAAGAUGCAAUACCAUUGUUAAAACCGUAAAUUGAUUGAUCUCAAUUUGAGAGCUAGAAUUGGAAUAUUAAAAUUUGGUUUUAAUUGUUGGGAUGAUGACUGAAAGAUAUGAAAUGGAUUCCUUGAUUUGAAUGGAUUAUAGACUAAAUUGAAUUAAUUUGGCAAAAUGAAUUGAAUUAAUUAGAAACAAUUGGACUAAAUUGAUAUUUGGACUGAAAUGAUUGUAAAAAAACAACUAGGAUAGAAAUUAAAUUACAUCAAUAGUUAAAUAGUUAAAUGGUACUUGGAAUAUUUCCCUCUUUUCAUUAUAGUUUUUGACUUUUGAAUUUUUUCAAUUUAAUUCAAUUAGGGCUUUAAAUCUUGAAUUCUCUCAAUUUAAUCCCUAAAUCAAGUCUUUCCAAUUUAGUCUCUUUAAUUUUGACCUUGUUUCUCAAUUUCUUACGAUUUCAACCGAAUUUGUUCUAAAUCCCCAUUUUCUUUUCAAUUACAUUCUUAAUUGGAUAAAUUUAGACAUUUGGAUUUAAUUACUUAUUGCAAAUCCACCCCUGGUUCUCAAAAUUAUGCAAUUUUGACCAAUCAAACUCUUGAUUUUGACUUCUUCAAUUAGGUCCUUAAUUGAUUUCUAACUUGGCUAUUUGUUUCAAAAUCAUUUUUGAACUUCAAAUUUCUUUAAAUCUUAGCCAAAUUAAAUCAGAUUAAAUUUUUUUUCUUAAUUUACUUUUCAAUCCAAACCUUAAUUAAGCAAAAAAAAUAAAAUCAUAAACUUAAUUUAUUUGCAUAUGAUGCUCAAUUAUUGGCCCAAUUUCAAACCCCAGCUAUUUUUGUAUUUCUUUAAUUUUUCUAUGAUUUCAAGAUUUCUUUUACAUAAAAAUGAAAUAAAAAACGAAGAAAAUAACGAAAUUAACUAGAACUAAUGAAAAGACAUAAUUUUGGAUUUUUCUAAUUUUCAAUAUAUAAAAAAAUAGGAGUAAAAAAUUAGGUUACAACAAUAACAAAAAAAAAAUCAAAAACUAUUUGUCCAUGAGAAUAAAAUUUAGUUUCCAUAAUUAUUUAAAAUAAUUAAAUAUAAUUUUUAGAUUUCAAUUACUAUUGCUGAUUGUAUUGUUAAGUUUGGUAACAUUAAUACGCGAUACUGUGGAAUUUUAAUUAUAGUUAAAGAAAACACAAAGUAAUGUGCUUGUUUAAUAUCUAAAUAAUAUUACAAAGUGGAAUUGUAUUCAACUUUAAAAAGAAAGAAGAUAAAAAGAUGCAUAUAGAUUAGUUCAAGAUUUAAUUAUUAGAGAAUAAUAUAAAUCAUAUAUUGAGAUCUCACCUAAUAACUUAAGUUUUUGGAUCGAAUUGGUUAUUUAACAUGGUAUCAAAGCCAUGAUGACUAAACGAUCAUGAGUUCAAAUCUCACCAUCCCCAAUUAUUUGAUAAAAAGAUGCAUGUAGAUUAGUUCAAGAUUUAAUUAUUAGAGAAUAAUAUAAAUCAUAUAUUGAGAUCUCACCUAAUAACUUAAGUUUUUGGAUCGAAUUGGUUAUUUAACAUGGUAUCAAAGUCAUGAUGACUAAACGAUCAUGAGUUCAAAUCUCACUAUCCCCAAUUAUUUAAUAAAAAUUAAGCAUAAGGUAAUAUGAGUUUAUGCAAGUUUCAAGUCCAAAGAGUUUUUAUUUGAGCGGAUGUAUUAGAAAAUAAUAUAAAUUAUAUUUUGAAACAUUACCUAAUAACUUAAAUUUUUAAAUUGAAUUGAUUCUUUAAUAUUAACAUAUGCAAGCAAUGUGACUAAUCAAGAUAUUCUCAAAGAUAAAGUACUUAAUUUUUUCAUCAUAAGAAAAGGCUACCACACAUUCAUAAAUGGGGGAAAAAGGAAAGAGCUUAUGUACUGAAAUUGUCCUUCGGUAUAUAGACCAACGUUCUUGAUUGAACCACCAAUUCAUAGCCGAAUUCAGACGGAGAAUAAAAGAAUUGCAAGCUGUUGAUUUUCCACAUACCCUUUACAAGUUUGUGAUACAUAUUAACCAAUCGAAAUAAAAUGUUAAAUAUGAAAAAAAUUAAUUUCCAACAACCAAUAAAAAAAAUUAAAACCCACAAAUACAAAUGGUUUUGUUUGGUUUACAUGUGAUGAGAACUUUCAAGAAAAUAUUUUCAUCAUUUGGUUUUUUUUCUAAAAAAAAACUAAUAAAUGUCAUUAAUUAAGAUAUAUUCGAAUUAUAAAAGAGUUUUUCAUAUCAUGAUGUCAAUACAAUGUUGUUCAUCUUGUCUCAAGGUAGACAAUCCAUUCAAAAUUCUUUAGGACUCCACGUAAGGAAAAACAUCAAAUCAAAUAGCAACCUGAAACCUAUGAAUAAAGUUUGCAUGGAUGGGUAAUUAGAUAUCAAACUAAAUGAAUGUAUGCGUUGUUAUUCCAUCUGCUUUGAGUAGUGCAGUUUUUUUUUUUUUUUUUUUUAAGAAAGUUAAGGUAUAUGUCAAGAAUUUAUUUAACAUGCAUGUGCACGUGCAUCCAUAUCUAAACCUGUUACCCUGCAGUGAGAAAGGGACGAACGAGACUACUAUAAUUGGAUAAUGGCCUUUGAAAUUUAUCUCAAAUCACCAUGAAACCUUAAAAUCACAUCCAUGGUGGCUUGACCUCUGGAGAUAAGUAUUGGUCAAGCUGCAAGAUAGCAUUAAAUGUGAAAACAUUUCUGGUCGCUUCAAGGAGAUUCAAUGGACUUGAAUUUUUAUUUAUCAUGCGUCCUCUUUAUCUUUUUAUCUGCUUGGUGGAUCAGAACAGUAGCCAUUUCUUGUCCUUGAUUAUGAAAUGGCAAGUGAUUGUGUUUGCAACAGUAUUAAUUAUAAAAUUUAUCGGCUUGGAGAAAAAGGUAGUAUUUGUGAAAGGAACCCUAGCUAGCUCUAUAAUGCGGAUCGAUCAUAUCACGCAUCCUAUAUUAAGGAAAAGAAAACUUUUUCCACUAACACCUGUUUGUUUGGCUGUGUUAAGCUCUACUCAUUUGAGUCAUCAAUCACCAUAAUUUGCUUUGUGAAUGUGUACCUUUCCAAUGUGAAAGGUAAAUAUAUUUUCAUGACUAUUAAAAAGAUCGAUGUUAACAUGACAAUGAGGGCUUUUCUUUUCUACCUUUUACUCUAGAUGCUAAAGGCUUAUCACAAUCAUUAAUUGUGUGGAAAAAAUUCAGAAUGGAUAAUCUAGACUAACAUUGGGCAUAUGGAGUUAUCUUUAAUAGCACCUAAUUACUAUGCUAUGUGGAUAUAUAUAUAUAUAUAUAUAUAUAUAUAUAUAUAUAUAUAUAUAUAUAUAUAUAUAUAUAUAUAUAUGUGAUGCGGAUCUCAUGAUCACGCAAUCGAGUAAUCCACACGCUAAAAACUCAAUUCCAAAAAAGCCAAGUAAAUUAGGUUUGAUAGGAAUGUAACAUAAUGAAAACUUGUUCCAAGACAUCAGCAUUAAUGAAAUAAAAAAACCCUCACUUAACAAAUAUCAAUUCGCGAACGAGAAAUAUAUUGAAGACGCUACAAGGUUAGUUAUACCUUGUUAAGUCAAAUAUGUUUCAAUACGCAAAAUACAAGUUUAUUUCAUAAAUUAAUAGCUGCUGAAAAUUUCAGCUUACAAAACUUUAUAUAAUAGUUCAAUUGGUAACCUAAUGAACUCAAAACUUGUGGGCUAAUAUUUACCCACUUACAAUAAACUCAAGUUUGACAAAUAAACUAAAGUUAUUUCAUCUAAUUAAAAAAAAAAAUCUAAGAUAGAUAAUUUUUCUAGUUGUCAUGAACAAAAUUUUCAUCCUAAAAACACUAGGAUCUUUGUUCUCAUCUUUAGAUAUCCAAAAUAAAUUAGGAAAUUGAUUGUUGAAGUUGUAUUUUCUUUAGUUUCUUUAUUUGUCUAGAAUAAUUAAUUGUAACUUUAAAGAAUUCUCUCAAAAUAUAAAAAUCCUUGUUGCCUUCCAAAACAAUCUGUCAUAUCCUUAUAGGAAAAAAUAUCCUUGCAAAAUAGAAAGUACACAAGUCAAAAGAAAGUAAAAUAUUUUUUGUAUAGCCUAUUCUGACCUGCAUCGCAAGGUUUUUCUGAAUUCUAAUUGACUUGAAAUUGUACCCCAACAUAGAACAAUAUUCCGGGAAACUCUUGGUAAAUUUUCAGCCCAAUCAAAUGGUCGAAUUGAUAAUUAUAAUUAUUACCGUAAAAUUGCACAGUAGACAUAAUUACGCUAGAAUUUAAAUUUUUUUAUUCAACUGUUUUCUGGUAUUGUAUUAAUAUGUUUAGCAAAGAAAUGUUUGGUGCUAAAUUUUGGAAUUAGUGCUAUAUAUUGCAUUUCUUUAGGACAUGCUAACCGAACUAGGCUUUGUAAUGAUUUACUACAGAAGCUGGGAGUGGAAGGUAUCCAUAAACAUAACCUAAGAUUGAUAUUUAGGCUCACACCUCGAUCGAUACAAGAAAAUAAAGAAAAAGGGUAUAUUUCUUUUUCUUUUUUUUUGGGUCCUCUUCUGAUAAACUAGAAGCUAAUCCAUUUAUCAUCUCCUAAUUUUCGUUUGAAAACAAAAUAAUGAGGUUAACUACUUGGGGAUUUGUGAUUAAAUUAAAGGUUGUAUCCAGCCUAAUUAUUAUUUUCAUAUGCCCAAAAGAUAUAUUAUUGUGACAGUACUAAGGUAGAUAGGGUAUGCUAAAAGUUUUUGUUCUUCACCGGAACUCUAACCAGCAGCUAGCAUUCACCAACUUCUUGAAUAGCCAUGUAAGGAAAAUAACAUUUAACAUCAAACACCAAGCAUGGAUUUUGACAUCAUCUCAAAUCUUGUUGCCUUGUUAAUUAAGGCAUCGCUUCUUAAUUAUUAGGCCAAAGUGGCUUGUGUUUUUAUCCUGAUAGAUCCGUUGAAUUUUAUACAUGUUAUAGAAUCUAGAUGUGAGACUUACGAAAUAUGAGUUCCAAAUGCAAAAGAAAUGCAGAUUGACAAAUACGCAUUCCCUUCAUCUGUACUAGUUUUUUGUAUUUGUGGGUCAAAAUACAUGAAUCUGUUUCUAGUUUCAGUAAGUCUAAUCCUUAUAGGAGGAUAACUAAACUUGUUCAUUUACUUCCCAUGUUUUGAGACACCAAAUGGAGAAAACUUCCAAAGCUUGAGCCUACCGAAGAGAAAACUAUUUUGACAUUUGACAAUCCUUACACAUGCACAAGCUCUUUUCUUCCCUCUGAUCAAAUAUAUCCAUGAUCACAGACUUCCAAAUUUGAUCUCAUAGUAUUUCUGUUCUUCAAACGUUUCCGGCCCUUUCAAGAUUACGCCACAUAUAUGCAUUCGGCUGGGAGCAGAAUUUAACCUCUCCACUCCGUCUUCAUCCAUAUAAUACCUUUCUUUCUUUGAUCAGAAAAACACCAAAAAUAUAAAGACAUUAUAACUUAUAUAUGUAACUUGUUGGGAAAAUUUUAAAUUAAAUUAACACGCCCGGUGUUUUUAUUAGUAAGAGCUUAAAUUAAAAGGGCAAGUAUACAAAUAUACUACAUCAUCAGAUUGUGAUUCUAGAUAAGCAAGAUACAUGUAUAAGACCUGUUCUUAUACACACUUGUAUUCAUGCAUUAUAUCCGUAACAUCUAGUCUAGAUUAGCGUGUGACAAACGUUUUGCGGUUUUAAGCCUCAAGAACAACGUGCAAUAAAAGCCAGCUAUUCUUUUGGGUUUUUGGGUGUAAGCAGAUAAUCAAGAAUAGGUUUCACGGAACAUACUGGCUUUAUUGACGUCACUAGUAUCUUUGUCCAUUGAUGCCUUUGUUGCAAUAAAAAAGCAAUGUAUAUCUGCCUUGCAUUGUGUAGUACACAAUGAAAGACAAGCAAUCAAUAGUGACAAAAUCCCCACAUGCAAGAAUAUAUAUAUAUAUAUAUAAACUUCCCACAUGAUGGCAUGAUGCCAUAUGAAAGCUAGCUAGCACUCAAGUUUUGGAGAAACGAAUGGCAUUGAUUAAAGUGAAAGAUUGUGAGUCUGAUGUUUUGUACGUACAGGCUGCCUCCAGUUAAGUUUUUUAUUUUUUAUUGAAAGUCGUUUAAAGUCAUAGAUGUUAGGUCAAUAAAGUGAUAUUAAGACAAAUCCAGAUAUAUAGUUCAAGUCGCCUGUACAUGUUUUUGUUAUCGAUGCCAUCGUGGUAACGCGAGCCUUGAUGGCCUCAUUUGGUUUUGUGAAAAUGACGUUUACAUUAGGUGGUAAAGGUUUUGAUUACCACGUGGUUUGGAGCUCAAAAGCAUGAAACUUUAGUUUUGCAGAAUUUGGUGCACUGUGCCAAGCUGAGUAUCUGGAUAACAAAUGAGCUUGCUAACGAAAAUUAGUGAGGUAUAUAUCACAUGUUAAAGGGUCAUGCAAUUGACUUGCUCGAAUCAGUUAAAGGAGAGGAGGGAAUUAGGCCUUUCUUAUGGCGUAAAUCAUGGAGCUUUGCCUCAACCCUCAAGAUUAAGCUUGUUUUGUAUAAAGAAAUAUUCCCAUGGAAAAUAUCGAAGCCACAAGGGUAAAACGAAAAAGGUUUAUGCCAGAAACAUUGAAGCAAAUCUUAAUCCACGCAGAGAAAAGUUAUAAUGCAAACCUACAGAUUGAUGGUAUGCUUGUGAGAAAAGUUUAUUCAAAUGUAAAGUAAAAGGGAUGUUCUUAUCAUGAAAAGCAAUUAAGAUUGCAUCACAUCCACUGUGAGCAUAUCUAUCAACUACAACAGCUGGUGAAAAUUCAAAAGCAUGCUGACAGUAUUUCCUUCAAAAUACCAGGGUCGAUGCAGUCACCGUUCAUUUUGUCGUGAAAUUAACACCCAUUAAGAGCUUCAUUUUGCUCAAGCUUUUCAUGCCGAAGCAUGCAUGAAAACAGACUAAUCAUCAGUGGAGAAAAGAAGAUCACAUCACAGGUUAUGGAAACAAGCAUCAUAAAUAUGCACCUGCACUCCUUUAACACUCAUCCACAAAAGAAAAGGAGAAAAGAGGGAGUUAGGUUUACCAUAGAAGAGAAAGAAAUUGACCAAUGCCAUAAUUUGGUAACAUAUCAUCAUAAGCCAUUGAUUUAAUACUUACGCAACUCACAUGGAUUGUAACAAAAAUAACCACUCGUGUUCCUAAGAGCUCCCAUACCCAUAUAAUGAUCACAUUUUCUCUCCACGGAGAAGAAAAUUAUUAUUAGAAAAUAAUGACACUAGUUAGAAGUCGAGAUAUAGACAUCCGACAUGCCACAAACUUAAGUAAUUAUUGUCAAUAAGAAAGAUAUUAGUUAAUUCGUUGUUCUUUUCAAUUUCUGAUUUUUAAAUCAAUAUUUUGAUUUGUACAUUUAUAUGCACAGGUCAUAUAAGAAACGAAUGGAUUGUGUGAUAUAAUGGAAUAAUUAAUAAUUAAUAUGUAAGAACUUUACAUGAUUUGAUCUCAAAAUCUAAAUUUUGGGUCACACUAGGCACUAUAAGCAUGUUUUGUUUAGUAUUAUAAUAAUGAUUGUUUUUUAAAGUGAUUUUUUCUUAGAAAUACAUUGAAAUAAUAUGUUUUUUAUUUUUUAAAAUUUAUUUUUGACAUCAUCAUAUUAAAAUAAUCUGAAAAUACCCAAAAAAAUUAACUUAAAGCAAAUAAAAAAAAUUCUAUUUUUUCAAAAAAAACUUUUGAAAUGCAAAAAAAAAAAGAAGAUAAAUGAAUAUGUGCUAAACUAUUCACUAGAAAGAAAUGUCAAAGCUCUCUCAUCUAUUGGGUGAUUGAGGAAUGACUAAAUCAUUAUAAAAGUAGAUAAAAAGAAUUAGUUGGGUGUUAGAGAUCUUAUAUAAGGCCUUUAGCAGGCUGGAAAAGAGUUUUUGUGGUAAUGUUUAGGAGUGAUAAGCUUUUUUUUUUUUUUCAUUUUGAAUUGAUAUGAAAAUUGAAAGAUACAACAAAAAAAUAUUGGAUCAUUAAAUUAUUGAAAACAUAUCUUUACAAGCAACACACAAUGGAUUUUAGCAAAGAAAAUCAUUAAGUGACAAGUAAUCACUGCAUGAUCUUUACACUUCAUUGAAGGUGUUAAACAAUAUAAAAAAAUAAAGAGAAAUACAUAAGUUAAAAAGAAGAAAGCUAGGGUUUCAUUGAUACUGUAUAAUGCAAUCAAAUAAUCAAAAAGAAUAAUUUUAAUCUAAAUACAAAGAGACUAUAUAUAGGCUAAACAAAGAAAACUGAAAAGAAAAUGAAAAGAAUAUUCUACCCUUAAUAAAUAAUAAAAUAAAAUAACCCUAUAUUUAUUAAUAUCUCCCUUCAAACUCACAAUGUAACAACUACAAGCAUCGAGAGUCUGUCAACUAGAAAACAAAAGCGGGAAAUAAAAUGUAGUUUGAUAAAGAAAUCUGUAAUAUGUAAAGAAGAAGGAACAAAGGGCAAAGUAAUGGUGCAAUGCUUGAGAUGAUGACAAGUAAGAAAACAAUCGAUCUCAAUGUGCUUAGUUCAUUCAUGAAAAAUCGAGUUGUGAGCAAUCUGAAUAGAACUCUAGUGUCAUAAUAUAUAUGAGUUGGAUGAGAAUGAAAAACUCUCAAACCUGCAAGUAACCAACAUAACCAAACAAUCUCUUUGGUAGUUGAUUUCAUAGCGCGAUAUUCUGUUUUGGUUGAAAAUUGAGAAACAAUAGGUUGCUUGUUACUCUUACAUGAAAUAAGAGAAUCACCCAAAAAGAUACAAAAAUAGUAACAAAUUUGUGAUAUGUGGGAUCAUUAUCAUGAUCAACAUUAAAGUAUGCACGCAACUCUAAGAAAGAGGUGGAUAAAAGUAAAAGACUCUAAAAGAUUGUGCCCUAAAGAUAUCACAAAAUACAAAGAACAACUGCUCAAUGAAUAGUAGUAGGAGAAGUAACAAACUGACUAACAACAUGAACAACAUAGGCAAUAUCUAGACAAGUAAUAGUGAAAUAUAUCAAGCUUUCAAUAAUAGUAUAGUAUAAAGUAGGAUCUGAUAAAAGUAAAACAUCAGAAGAAGAAUACUUUAUGUUAACCUUAAUUGGAGUAUCUACAGUCUUAUUAUCAGUAAGUUUAGCCCAUUCAAGAAUAUUUGCAACAUAUUUCAACUGAGAAAGAAGAUAACCUCUAGAUGAGUAGGCUACCACAAUAUCCAAGAAAUAUCAUAAAGAACCUAAAUCUUUCAUUUCAAGCUGUCUAGCUAACUCUAUCUUCAAAACUAAAAUAUCAUUAAUAUCAACACCAAUAAUAAUCAUGUCAUCAACAUAUAAAGACAGAAUGAUACAACCUGCAUUAGUGCAUUUAACAAAAAAAAAAGUAUCAUUACUACUAGAAAUAAAUCCAAAAGAAAAGAUUAUAACAUAAAAUUUCUCAAACCAAACAGGAGGUGCUUGUUUGGGACCAUAUAACGUUUUUUUAAGCUUGCAACAUACUCAUAAUCAUGUGAAAACAAGGAUGCGGCGCCAUAUAAACUUCUUCUUGAAGAUAUCCUUUCAAGAAGGAUUUUUUAACAUUAAGUUGAGAGAUAUGCCAUUGACGAACUGAAGCCACUACAAUGAGCGUACAAAUAGUAGUCAUUCUUGCAACAGGAGAAAAUAUCUCAUAAUAAUACAUACCAUAUUAUUGAGAGUAUCCUUUUGCAACCAACCUAACUUUGUAUCGCUUAAUAGAUCCAUCAAAAUUAGUCUUGAUCUUAUACACCCAACGACAACCAACAACACUCUUACUACGAGGUAUAGGAACUAAAUCUCAAGUAUUUGUCUUAUGUAAAGAUGAAAGUUCCUCAUCCAUAGCUUGCUGCUAAAGAAGAUUAAGAAUUGUCUCUUUAUAGGAAGAUGGCUUAGAGAGACAAUGAAUAGAAGCUAAAAAAUAGAAGUAAAAAAUCAAGAAUAACAAUAGGCAAAAUCUAGUAGUGGACUUAUGAAUGUAUAUGGAUUGAUGUAAAGGUAGAUCCACAAUCUCAAAUGAAGCUUAAGGGACUAUAGAAGAAAAGAGAGCUUCAAGUGUACCGGAGAGUAAAGUGUCAGUACCUUUAGAAUGAUCAAUACGAAUUGAUCAAGUAGAAUGUAAAGGUAACAUGAGAAGGGGGAUUUAAAGUAUUAGAAACCUAAGAUGAUAAACUAUUAGAAUCCUAAGAAAAAAGGAUCUAUAUGAAUAAGAUUAGAUAUAGUCAAGCUAUGAGUAGUGGAUGGAAUAGAAAAGAAAGGUAUAUGCUCGAGAAAGACAACAUGACGAGACACAUAAAGUUUCUGAGUUAUUACAACCAAAAACUCUAAAGAAAGAAUAAUCAGGGGCAUACCCAUAGACACAAAUAGCAAAUCGAGAGGACAACUUGCUGCAUUCUACAUGAGGAAAAAAAAAACAAGUACAACCAAAAACUCUAAAGAAAGAAUAAUCAGGGGCAUACCCAUACAACUUUUUGAAACAAUAGAAAAACUUGGAAUAUAAGAAGAUAGAAUUGGAUUAAUCACACCUACAACAGUAAGAGCAUGUUCACCCCAAAACACACUAGAAACAUAAGUAGACAACAAGUAGUUUCAACAAUGUGCCUAUGUUUUCUUUCAACAAUGUCAUUUUGCUUAAGAGUACAUGAAGUUUGGUGAAUAGUUCUAUUUAGAGCAAACAACUCAUAAAAUUUAUUAGAGGUUUAUUCCCCACCCAAAUCACACCUUAAACAUUUUAUAACAAUAAAAUAUUGAGUUUUGAUAAGAGCAUGCAAGGCUAUAUAUAUAUAACCUCAAAGAAUUUAGAACGAUGUUUUAUUAAAUAAAUCCAACAAUAACGAGAAUGAUCAUUAAUAAUAGAAACAUAUUAUCAAGACCUUCCUUUUAUGGCAAUAGGAGAAAGUCCUUAUACAUCAGAAUGAAUCAAAUCAAUUGGAAAAGAAAAAACAAAAAUACUUUGAUUAAAAAGUAAAGCAGAAAAUAUUAUCAGUUUACAUCCACUACAAUUAGAAAUAUCAAAAGUUUCAAAUUUUUUAAAUCUCCUACAGAUGCUAAAAAUCUCAAACAAGAAGGUGAAAUAUAACCUAGAUGAGAAUGCCAUAAAUAAAAACUAAGAGAAAAAAGACUCAAACGAAAAAAAGACAAAUCAAAACUACUAGCAGCAACAACUGACACUUUUAACUCAUCCAAAAUAUAUAUUCCUCUCUUCCCACGGCCUAUCACAAUCAAUUUCUGAGAUUGCAGAUCGUGCACAAAAAAAGAAAAAGAUGACUAAAUAAUUACCAGAAUCACAUAAUUGACCAACAGAAGCAAGAUUCAAUGUGAGUUUUGGAAUAAAUUAAACAUUAAGGAGUGACAAGUGAGGUGUGACAACAUAACCAAUACUCGUUAAAGGCAUAAGAGUGUCAUCAACAAUCAUUACACGAAUAGAAGACGAACAAGUCAUAAAAGUAAAAAAUGAAGAAUCUGGAGACAUGAUGUGAAACACCAAAAACCAAGACCCAUUCAGAAUGUGACAUUCAUGAAGAACUAUGAGGCAACUGACCUAUGGAAGAAAAUGCAGACAUAGCUUUUGGGUGUAAAGAGAGAAACUUCUGAAAUUGCUCAGUCAAAGUACUACGAUCGGUGAAAGGACCUGAUGAAACUAUUGUUGCAGUAUUAGACUAUGGUGGUUUGUAACCCUGAGGUAGUCUACGAGCAUUAAAUUGUGACUGGUUAUCGGGCUUGUAAGCUUAAGAUUAUUGUUGCGAUUGAUUUUAUUGUCUCAACUUAGGACACUGAGCCUUCCAAUGAGCUUUCUAAUUGCAGAAACUGCACUCAUCGAUGGCAACCCUUAUAUAAUGCUUAUUCUGAUUAUUAAAAAAUGGCUUAAAAUGUACUACUAGCACAGAAGGAUUAGAAGUAGAAAUAAUUCUCUUUUUAGAAUAAGACUGAAGACGUAUUUCUUCAGCCAAUAACUAUCUGACAAUUGAUUCAAUAAAAGAAAGUGGAGAACGAUGCAAAAUUAAACCUCUAAGUCCUUCAAAAUCACUACGAAAUGCCACUAAAAAUUAUACUAAAUAUUGUUGCUCUCUAUGAGCAAUAUAGGCACCACAUGCCUCUAAAUCUUCUGAUUCUGUAAGAGCUAAUUGAUCCUAAAGAUCUAUCAUAACAAAGUAAAACUCCUGAAUACUCGUAUUCUUCUAGUGAAGAGCUCGUAUGUCAUUCUCCAAUUGAUACUGCUUUGCAAAAUUUGAUUGAGUGAAUAAUCUUUUUAGAUGAUCCUAAACUUUCUUUGUUGUCUCAUACUUCGCCAACUACGUACCUAUGGAAUACUCAACAAAAUUGUUUAUCCAAAUAAUAAUUUUUACAUUGUUUGCUUCUCAAACAUCUAUCAAAGCAACAUAACUCUCAUCAGUAUUCCUAGGUUUCAUAGAAGUUCCACUAACAUAUCCCCACAUCAUUUUACCCUUAAGAAAAUUUCCCAUCACGUAACUCCAAUAUGAAUAAUUCUUUUCAUCCAACCUCACACUCACAUACUGAAAUGAAUAAUCUCUUUUAGCAGCCAUAAUAAACAAACAAAGAAAACCAGAAUGAAAAUUAAAGGAAAAUGAUAUACCAAAUUGCAAAAACAAAGGACAACAAAAUACCAGAUUGUAGAAACUGAACGAAUACCCUCUCGAAAUUUUACAGUCACUCCAAAAACUGAAUGCAAAAGUUGGAUCUAUGAAAGCUGAGUUUGAGAUUAAGUCUCGUCCUAUGAAACCUUGCUCUGACACCAUGUUAAACAAUCUAAAUAAAUAAAGAGAAAUACAAAAUAAAAAGGAGAAAGUUAGGGUUUCAUUAAUACUGCAUAAUGCAAUCUAAUAAUCAAAAGGAAUAAUUUUAACCUAAAUACAAAAAGACUAUAUAUAGGUUAAACAAAGAAAACUGAAAGGAAAAUGUAAAGCCUAUUCUACCCUUAACAAAUAAUAAAAUAAAAUAACCCUAUAUUUUUUAACAAAGAGACCAAAAAUAACAAUAAAAAUUAGCUAAUUCUCCUCUCUUUUUAAUUCCUAAGGGAUAUCAUUCUUUAUCCAUGAUAAAGUGAGGGAUAGAAAUUGAACUACUAAAGAUCGUCUCACAAAUUGAAGUUUUUAGUUUAAGUUCGAGUACUAAACUUUAUCAAUUAAAAAUUAAUUUUAGUUUAUAAUUAGUUACAUUUUUCAUUUGUCUUUUUAAUAAUUUUACUUUGCAUACACUUUAAAUCAAUUUAAUUGGAUUUAAAUUAUCAAUGAUUUAAUAAUAUCGAUCUCAAUUGUCCUCUAUCAAGGAGUUAAAAAAAUAAAUAUUUUUUAAUUAUUUUUAUUUCCUUUUGUUUUAGUUUAGGAAUGUUAAUUUUUUUCUAUUCAAUAUUAAUAGAUUUUUUAGUUUUUUUCCAAUAUAAAUGGUUAUAAUAACAUUUUAGCAAGUGACAUUUAGAUGAAUAAAAAAUAUGUAUUUUGUAAAUCUUCUUUGUUAUAGGUUUUCUUUGUCUUUAAGAAUUUUUAUUUUAACAAACUCUAUUAUCAUUUUCUUUUUCACUUUUCUUAGUUGAUAUCAAAGCUAAGUUAGUUGGAAUCAGAGAUCAAAGAAUCAUGGUGGUUAAAUGUUUUGUGUUGUUAUUGAAAAUCUUAGAGAUGAGAAGCAUGGUAUGGGGCAACAUGCACAAAAGUGUUAGAGGCCCACGAUAAGACAAUCCGCAAAUAAAAAAAUCAUUGGUUUUUUGACAGGGGAGAUUUAACUCAAUAAAUGUUACGUUGAAUAUUUCUAUGGUGCAACUUGAUUUUUAACUAAGAAGGUUAUGCCCUAACGAAUAAUUUGAACUCAAGGAAGAGUUUCUUCCAACCUAAAAAGACUAUUGUAAGAACUUUUUAAAAAAAUAAAUAUUUUUUUAAUUAUUUUUAUUUCUUUUUUUCUAGUUUAAAAAUAUUAUUUUAUUUUAUUUUUAUUUUUAGUAUUAUUAAACUUUUCUACCUUUUCUAUUUGAAUGGAAUAAUUUUUUAGUUUUAUUUUUCUUUUCAAUAUUAAUAGGGUUUUCUGGGUUUUUUUUUUAUAUAUAAAAGAUUGUAAUGGUUUUUUAGCAAUUGAGACUUGGAUAAAUAAAAAGUUUUUUUUAAAAUAAAGAACAAGUCAGAACAUAUAUAUUCAGAAUAAAACUUAAAAGAUAAAUUCAUAUGUUUUCUUAUAUAUUUUUAUUCCUUAGAGUAUAAGACAAGUAGACUAUUUAUAGGAGAAUAAAAUAAGAACAUUAAAGGACACUAGAAAACUCAAGUGUUAUGAAAAAUCAAUAGACUAAAUCCAAGAGUCAUUAAGUCUAAGAGAUUCUAAUGGGCAUUCAAUAUAUAUAUAUAUAUAUAUAUAUAUAUUAUAACACUUCCCCUUGAAUGAUCAUGUAGUAAAAAUAUAUCUCAUUAAAACCCUACAAAGAAAAACCCAGUGGGAAAAAACCUAAACGAAGAAAAAAGAAUACAACAUUCUUGUGUGAUUUCUGAAUACUUCAAAAUUCAAUAGAAGGUUUAAUAUAGAUACUUCAAGAUCCAUAUUUGAAUACUUCAGAAUUUAUAAAAAUAUCAAAUUGUAAAAACCUUGCAAUGGAAAACUCAUUGGGGGAAAAACAAAGCGAAGGAAAAAAAUUUCAAUUUGAAUUGACUUCACCUUAAAAGCACAUGUCUUAUGAUAAAUCUUUAAGAUGGCACAUUCAAAUAUUAAGGAUAAGUUUCUUGAAAGUUGAGGUUGGAAAAGACUUUGUAAAUAAGUCUUUUAAAUUAACAUUUGACCUCAUUUUCUUGAUAUCAAUUUUUUCCUUUUGUAGAAGCUCAUGAGUGUAAAAUAAUUUUGGUGAAAUGCAAUUUGUUUUGUCUCCUUUGAUGUAGCCUCUAAGUUGAGUGAUACAGACAACAUUUUCUUCAAACAAUAUUGUGGGACUAUCUUCAAUGGUUAACAAACCACAUUUUUCUUUUAUAUGUUGGAUAAUUGACCUUAGCCAUAUAUAUUCUUGACUUGCUUCAUGGAUUGCAAUAAUUUCUUAAUGAUUUAAUGAAGUGGCAACUAAUAUUUGUUUGACAGAUCUCCAAGAAAUUAUAGUACCUACAUAGGUAAAUAGAUAAUUUGUUUGUGAUCUCUUUUUGUAGGGAUUAGAGAGAUAAUAUGCAUCUGUAUAUCUAAUCAAUUGUGAAUUUGAUCCACUAUAAAAAUAACCUCAUUUUAGUUGUUUUGUGGAGAUAACGAAGUAUAUGUUUGAUCCCAUUCCGGUGUCUUUUUGUGGGGGUGGAACUGUAUCUUGCCCAUAAAUUGAUUGUAAAAGUUGUAUUUGGUGUUUUACAAUUUGCAAGAUACAUGAGUGCUUCAAUAACACUAAGAUAUGGUACUUCUAGACCAAAAAUUUCUUCAUCCUCUUCCAGCGGUCGAAAAGGUUAUUUCUUCGCAUCAAGUGAUCAAACAACUAUAGGUAUACUCAAAGUAUGAGCAUUGUCCAUGUAAAAGUGAUUCAAGACCUUUUCUCUAUACGCUGAUUGAUGGACGAAUAUUCUAUUUGAAAUAUGUUCAAUCUGUAAACCAAGAUAAAAUUUUGUCUUUUUGAGAUCUUUCAUCUCAAAUUCAUCUUUCAAAUAGGCUGUAGUUUUUAUGAGCUCUUCAAGAGCACCAACAAGAUUUAAAUCAUCAACAUAUACUACAACAAACCUUUUUUCAUAAAAAUACAUGGGCAAAUCUCAUUAUUCUCAAAGUAUAAGGUGUUCAUUAAAAUGAUUAUAACACAUACAACCAGAUUGCUUCUACCCAUAUAAAGAUUUUUGUAGUUUAAAAAAAUAAACACUUUUAAGUUUAUCAUAAAAGGCUUCAGGCAUUUUGAAUCUUUCAGGGAUUUUCAAAUGGAUAUCUUUAUCUAAUGAUCCAUAUAGAUAUGUUGUAACUACAUUUAUUAAACGCAUAUCUAGAGUUUCUGGGACUACUAAACCAAUCAAAAAUCUGAAAGUGAUUGCAUCCAUAACUGGAGAAUAAGUUUUCUCAUAAUUAAUGCCAGGUCUUUGUGAGAAUAUUAAGGAAGAUUAGUAUUAGGAGAUGAUUUUAACAUAAUAUUUAUCAUCUGUUUUAAAGAUGAGGAAUCUUCAGGAGUACCAUCAUCUAUUUGUUGUGAUUUUUUUUCUAGGAUUUUUGUCCUUAACACCUACAGGUUUUCCACGUUUUAGGCAUGAUAUAGAUUCAUUUACUACUAUAUUGUCUUUUUUUUAGAGAUUUCGAUUCUAGAUCGAGCAUUUGCAGCUAGAAUAUAGGAUUUAACCACCUUCACUGUUGGUGAAAAUAUCCGGUAAUUGAUUUGCAAUAUUUUUUAAAUGAAUUAUCUUUAAAUUUCAAGUUCACAUUGAUUUUUCCUUAGAUCAAAAUAAAAAAACUUCAGGUUAUUCCAAGUAAUUUAUUAUCGUGCUUUAGGCACUAACUUAUCUUUCCCUAAUGAUGGGAAAAUGUUCUCAUAAAAAUGGUAGUCUUCAAAACAUGCCUUAAAAACAUCACCAGUUAAAGAUGUUCUAACCAAUGAUCUCUUGAUCUAAUUUUAACCAAUGAUGCAGCAUGUAAUAUAGCAUGUCUCCAAAUAGAUAUGGGCAAUUUUGAUAAUUAAUUGAAGGCGUUUUAUAAAUGAUUCUGCUAUAAAAUUUCGAGUAUGUAUAUGAGCAACAAGAUAUUCAACAUCAAUUCCAAUAGAAGUAUAAAAAUUAUCAAAUGCAUAAGAAGUAAACUUACCAACAUUGUCCAAUCGAAUUUUCUUGAUUGGAUAAUUAGGAAAUUGUGUUCUUAGUCUGAUAAUCUAUGCUAUUAAUUUAGCAAAUACAAUAUUUUGACUAGAAAGUAAGCAAACAUGUGACCAUUUACUUGAUACAUCAAUUAAUACCAUAAAAUAUCUAAAAGGUUUGCAUGAUAGAUAAUAGGUCCAUAUAUAUCUUCUUGAAUUUUUUUGAGAAAAUAUAGUGAUUCUAGAACAACCUUUAAUGAGAAUGGUUUGGUAAUUAAUUUACCUUGAGAACAUGCAACACAUGGAUUUUCACUUGGUAAAAGAAUCUUCAGGUUCUUUAAAGGAUGCCCAUGUGAAUUUUCAAUAAUUCAUCGCAUCAUUAUCGAUUCCCGGAUGUCCAAGUCGAUCAUGCCAAAGCAUAAAUAUUUUUGGGUUGGAACGCUUCUGGUGUAUCACAAUAUUUGUUUCAAUAGAUUUCAUGAUCAUAUAAUAAAUUCUAGAAGAGAAAGCAGGUAAUUUUUCAAGUACAAGCUCCUUGCCUGAAAUACAUGAAAUAAUAUAAAGAUAUUCUUUUUUUUUCAUCUAUUGUUUCAAUAUGAUAACCAUUAGCAUGUAUAUAUUUAAAAAUGAGUAAGUUUCUUCUGGACUCAGGUGAAUAUAAUGCAUCUUUGAUGCCCAGUUUUGUGUUAUUUAGUGACAAAGUAUUAGCUCUUCCGUAGCCUUGAAUCAUGUAUGUGAGACCUGAUAUUGUAGUAACAUUAGCUUUGGUUAAUUUCAAAUAUUCAAAGUAUUUUUGUUCCUUGAGAAUUGUGUGCAUUGUUGAAUUGUCUACUAGACAUAAAUCUCCAUCAUGAAAAGUCAUGUCUCUAUUCAAAAUAUAAUUAAAGUUUAUUAUUCAACUGAAAUAAUAUUUACAUUGUUUAUUCAAAUUUCAAUAAGAUAAAUAUCCUAGCACAAAUAAAAAAAACAUUAAUCAUCCCUAAGGAUUCCACCACUAAGCAUGCUAUCUAUUUUAUCUAGGUUUUUAAAGAAAUAAAAAACAUCAAGAUAAGUAUUAUGACCCUCAAAAUCAUCUUUAUGAAUAAAAUUAGUCUCAACUGCAUUCUGUUUCAGAGAGGCUUGAUAUAUAAAUCUACAAGAUGUUUUAGCAUGCAACAAGAGUGAGACCAUUGACCAUGCAUACCACAUCUAUAACACUUAUCUUCAAGUCUAUGCAAAUUCUUGCUUUUUUUUUGUUUGGGUUCAUUGUGUCUCUAUUUCUAGUGGUAUAAUGGGUUGUCUUUUAAAGGAUUAUAAAUCUGUAUUAUGACAUAUUAGUCUCAACUGCAUUCUGUUGAGACUUGAAUAAAAUCUGUAUUAUGACUAGUGGUAUGGUGGGUUGUCUUUUGAAGUAUUAUGACCUUUAAAAUCAUCUUUAUCAAUAAAAUUAGUCUCAACUGCAUUCUGUUUCAGAGAGGCUUGAUAUAUAAAUCUGUAAGAUGUUUUGGCAUGCAACAAGAGUGAGACCAUUGACCAUGCAUACCACAUCUAUGACAUUUAUCUUCAGGUCUAUGCAAAUUCUUGCUCUUUUCUUGUUUGGGUUCAUUGUGUCUCUAUUUCUAGUGGUAUGAUGGGUUGUCAUUUGAAGGAUUAUCUCUUUUCUUUUUCCAUUUAUUUUUUCCAUAUUUAUACCCUUAGUUCUUUCUUAUCUUUUAGUUUGGUUCUUUCUUGUCUUUUGAACAAAGGUUCUAUUCACUCCAGGGAAUGGUUUAGAACCUGUGUGAUGGGAUUGAUGAUUUUUUUAUUAAAAGCUCAUUAUUUUGUUCAUCCAUAAUAAGACAUGAAAUUUGUUCAGAGUAUCUCUUGAAGUUACGUUCUCUAUAUUGUUGUUGCAAGAUAAUAUUUGAGGCAUGGAAAGUAAAGAAUGUUCUCUUUAAUAUUUAGUCUUCCGUGUUAUUUUCACCACACAAUUUCAACUGUGAAGUAAUUUAAAAAAAGCAAAAUUAUGUUCACUAAUCAAUUAAAAUCUUGCAACCUCAUGUGCAACCAAUCAUAAUGAGCUUGAGGAAGUAUAAUAAACUUUUGAUGGUCAUAUUCUUCUUUUAGAUUUUGUCGCAGAACAAAAGGAUUUGUUAUUGUAAGAUAUGAAACUUUUAAUCAUUCAUGGCGAUAGUGGCGAAUGAAAAUUAUUGCUUUUACGCGAUCCUAUAAGGAUGCAUUAUUUUCUUCUUUAAUGGUCUCUCCAAGAUUCAUAACUUCUAGAUGAAUCUCAAUGUCAAGGAUCCAUGACAAAUAAUUAUUCCUAAAGAUAUCAAGAGCAGUAAAUUCAAGUUUUCUCAUAUUGACAUUAUCUCACUAUAUAUAUAAAAAGAAAUAACUUAUCAAAUAAAAUCAUGAAUAUUAAAAAGAAUCAAUCUUUUAAGACGGCUAUUUAUGUAGUUAUUUAGAAAUACUAGUUUUUCAAUAAUUGUAUUUAAUUUAUUUAAUUUUUUAGGAACUUAUAAUAUUAGUUCUUCCAAAAUUUUAAAUCUUAAUGAAUAAAAAAAGAAAAAUUAUCUAAAUAAAUUAUAGAACAAAUAUAUUCCAUGAAAUAUAAAAUCUAAUGAGAGAAUAAAAAAAGAACCGUGUAUCCUCGAGUAUCUUGAAAAGUUUUCACUACCAGCAAGGAUUUGACUCACAGGAAAGACUAGCCCUUGCCCCUAUGCCCAACCCUCGUUGAUAGGGAAGUAGAGGUCGAUGUGUGAGAGUUUUCUGCUGCUGAUACGACGUAGGAAUACACAAGAAGUGACAUCCAAUUGAUGGGUCCCAUUGGUCUGUUUUGCAAGCAGCACUGGACCCCACAGAGCCAUAGUUUCCCUCAACUUUCCAGCCUCCACUUUCCACCAUGAACAUGUUCUUACCACCACGCCCGACGGUUAAGGCAUCAAUCAUCAAAAUUCGAUCUUUUGUGCCCAUUCCUACUGAGUCAAAGGCACUGGAUGGGCACUGCUCCCAGUCAAAUGCCCCUCUUUUCCUGCUUCUUUCCGCCUCUUUUCCUGGCAUAGUAUUAUUCCUAACAAGAAACUAAGAAAACCCACUUUCCUCUCAAUUUAUAUUUGUCUUUAGAUUUGUGUACAAUAACUAGACAUUGAAACACAUGUAAAAGACACCGAUCCAAUCUGUUUGAAGAUUUAGUGCUCACUCACCCGUAUCAUGUUAUUUUCCAUCCUUAAUUUCCUCGUUCUAAUUUAAUUUAAUGUAAAAGAUAAUUAAGAUCAAUUUUUAAAUUUGAUGCUUUCGACCCAAUGUGUUUAUCACCAUCAAACUAAAACUAAAACUAAACCUAAAAAGGAUCAGAGAAUCCACGUUUAUUGUGAGAAAAAGCAGUAUGAAUUUGCACAGUGCUUCCCCCUUCUUUUUAGUCCUUCAAAAUUCUGUCACUUAAUUCUUUUUUAUUUCAUCUUUUUGGAAUAUUGGAUUUAUUUGGGAUUUCACUUAGUAGUUUUUUUUGUUAACUUGUAUGGUUUCUUGCAAUGUUGUAAAAAGAAUCCAACAUUAUUUAGCAUUUUGGCUCUCAAACUUCUUAAAAUUCUCAUUAUUUAUUCCUUGUUUUCUAUUUUUUUUUCUUUUCAUUUUGGUGAAGAACUUUAUUUUAUUUAUGUUUUACUCCAUGUGUAAAUCAUUGGUUUGCCAUGUACCAGCGACUAAAAAGGUUGUUAUUAGUGUAGUUUCAUUUGAUAUUAGGUAUUUUUUGUGUCCCUCGUAUUGCUGCAAAAGAUAUAUUGAGGUAGAGAAAGAAAUCAACAAUGAAACGCGUGCCAACUAAAAGCUAAAAAAAGCAUAUGUAUAAAAAAAAGAUGUUAAUUCGUGUUAACUUUUCAAAUUCGUAAUUCGGGACAUUAGACUAGAAGUACUAUAUCCAGAAAAAACACAAAGCUCAAUUCUCAACCAAUUAAAUGUUGAAGAAUUAACUUGAAAAAAAAUAUCAAAUCCACAAAAGGAUCUAAAACAACAAAUGACAAUUAGAAAAGUAAGGAACAAAAUUGAAAUACAAAAUAAAUUUUAUUUUUCAUUGGAGGGUUAGUGGAAAGAAAAAUUAAUUCAAUAAAAGAACAAAAAAAUUAAUCAAAAGAAUAAGGAUAAAAUUUUUUUAAAAAAUAAAAAUAUUUUUUUUAUUGAAUAGUAAAAUUGAAAAGAAAAAUCGAUUCAAUAAAAGACCCAAGAAAUUAAAAGAAUAAGGAUCAAAUUAGAAAAAAAAUAUAUAUGAAAAAUUAGGAUAAAAUGAUGAAAUGGAAAAGAAAUAAAAUUAUACAAGAGGAUUAAGAACAAAAAUUAAAAUCAAAAUAAUAGGAAUUGAAAUUGAAAUACUAACAACAAAGAGGGACAAACUGUAAAUUUCAAGGGAGGAGAGAAGAUAAAAGGGAAAAAAAUCCUCAUCGACAAAACACUAGACCACCUCCGCUAACAAGCGUCGCACCACUAAGAAAAGGACAUGGUAGCACUUCCAACGACACGAUAAAAAGUUAUUUUUGGAUGCCGGUAGGAACCUCCGACGCACGGAGAGUGCACCGCACACGCCCCAACCUUUUUAUUUUAUUUUUGUUUUUAUAUUGUUAAAAUACCAAAUUGCCACUUAACUAACUUGAUAAUAACAAAAAAAUAUUAUGAAAAACCCCUAGAGGCUAGUUUUAAAUUUUUGGUUUUCAAAGGUAUUGUGGUCGUUUCACUAUAUUUGUUUUUAUUAUUUAUAUUUGAUCAAAUAUCAAAUUGCUCAUCUACUGACUUAAUAAUAACUAAAAAACUAUUUAAUUUUUUUGCUUCUAAAGGUAUUUUGAUCGUUUCACUAUGCAACUGAAACUAGAAAAAAAACUUUAGUAAUGACUAAUAAGCCUUGUAAAAAGACUUCAAUGCCUGCGCAAAAUUGUAAAAAAAGUAUUCUGAUAAACAAUGUUUUCACUCAUGUGCUACAGUGAAAAUCCCUCCUCAAUUAGCUUUUGUUAAUGGAGAACCUUUUAUGUUUUUAUCUAUCAUGUUUUUUUUUUUUUUUUUAUGAACCUUUUAGGGUGUGUAUGUAAAUGAUAAAUAUUUUACAUUAAAAAUAAAUGAGAAGAAAUAAAAAUGUUUAUAUAAAAAAUUUAAUUGGAGGUGGUGUUUAUACUAUAUGUAAGUCUUAGUGCUCAUAAGGCGAAUAUAGAGUUUCAUAAAUCUCUUUGAACAAAGACAAUUUCUUAACACUUAGUUUGGAUUCUCUCAUUUUUCCUUAAAAUUAUGAUAAGUCAUAUUCCAAAUCUCAUAAUUAUUUUUGAAUUAUGAUGAUAUCCCAAAAUCCAAAUAGCUUAAGAACAAGACUUAUAUAUAUAUAUAUAUAUAUAUAUGGUACUUGAUUCAAAUAAUAUGUUCUUCUCUCCCUAACCAAGAUGGCUGGUAGUCAAUACCUGAUACCUGGUAACCCAAGGUGGCUUUAGGUGGCUUUAACUAGUCCUGAAAAUGAUUUUUUUUUUUUGUGGAUUUAAAGAAUCUCCAUGUUUAAGUAAGUAUCUUUUUAGAGAGAAGAUAAAAUGAUAUUUUAGAUGGAGAUGCUCUUAAAAAAUAUAUGCGGUAGAUAAUAGAGAUUAUGAACUCGAGCUCUUUGAAGGAAUCAUUCGACCUUUUUAAUCUAUGUACCUUGUCCUUUUAUGGGGAGGAUCGAGGGGCUAGAGUGUUAUCUUACCUUGAUAACAUUUAAAGAUAGAUAAAAAUCUCUUACACAUCAUUAACAAGGGAUAAAGUAACAAGUCCUUUUUAAAAACUUUAAUACACUUAGUGAUAUAGAGAGAUAAGUAUAUUUAACCUUAACUACUUAUGUUAAGGGUUACAACAGAAAACAAGCAGAGUCAUGGACCCAAUAAAAAGCCUAGUUUAUUAAUAAUGGUUAGAUUUGAAUAUGAUUGGUCAUAGUUUUAAAGAAAGAAGAAGAUCCAAACAUGGUAUAAACUAGAUCAUUACUUGUACUACACUAUAGGUUGGAUUAAAAUUUUCUUUUAGCAUAAGAAAAUAUUUAGGCGUUGCUAGCAUUUUUAUAGUAGAAAAAAAAUUAACUACGUGAGAAUUGUCCCAAUGUGAUUCAAAUGACUUGGCAAGUACAAAAGCAACUUAAACGACAGAUAAAAAUAUAGUUUGACUCAAAAUAAAUAUUCAAGAUGAUAUUUUUUUUAUAAAUAUUAAGACGACAACAUAUUGUAUCAAUUAGGAUCAACAUGUGUUAAAUUGGAUCGAUUAAGGUCAAUCUAUGUUAACUUGUCAAUCCAUGUGUCAAGUCAUGAAAUUAUGAUAACCUCAUAAAAAAUAAUUUAAAAUAAAAUAUGAAGCCUAAUUUUUAAUAAACUCAAUGUUAAAGGAUAAAAUUUUAAAAAAAUUAAAAACAAAUAAUAUGAGUCAACCCAAGUUAACCUGACAAACCUGCGACUUGAGUCAUGAGAUCAGAAUAACCCAAUAGAAAAAAAAUUAAAAUAAAUUAUGAAUUCUAAUUCUCAAUCAACCUAUUUGUUGAAAUAUGAAAUUGAAAAAAAUUAAAAAAUGAUAAAAAAAACAACUCGGGUUAAUCCCCAAACCCGUUACCCGAGCCCUGAAUAUGCGAUAACCUCAUAAAAAGUAAGUUUAAAAAAUAAAUUAUGAAAUUCAAUCUCUAAUAAAUCUAAUAUUGAAGGAUAGAAUUAAAAUUGAAAAAUCAAUUAAAAAAACACAAAAAAACAUUAAAUUAACAUGUCAAACUCGUUACCCGAUUCAUGAGUUAGAGAUAACCUCAUAAAAAUCAAACCAAAAUAAAUUACAAAGUCUAACUUUUAUUCAAUGCAAUUCUAAAUGAUGAAAUUGAGAGGGGGAAGUCAAUUAGAAAAAUAAAAUAAAACUUAAGUCAACUAAGUUAACUCAUGAAACUUGCAAUCUAGAUUACAAGAUUGUGAAACCUCAUAAAAAGUAAAUUAAAAAUAUUAUAAAUUUUAAUACCCAAUAAAUAAUAAAUCUAAUGUUAAAAGAUAUAUAUAUAUAUAUAUAUAUAUAUAUAUAUAUAUAUAUAUAUAUAUAUAUAUAUAUAUAUAUAUAUAUAUAUAAGGUAUCAAUUAUAAAAAUUCGAUAUUUUAUACCCAUUGCAGCUGGGUUGGUGGUCAACGGCACUGUAGCCCCCUCAACCUCUCACCUCUUGCGCUUACAGCUUCUUGUAUUAUUCCUAACAAGAAACCAAGAAAACCCACUUUUUUCUCAAUUUAUAUUUGUCUUUAGAUUUGUGUACAAUAACUAGACAUUGAAACACAUGUAAAAGACACCAAUCCAAUCUGUUUGAAGAUUUAGUGCUCACUCACCCAUAUCAUGUUAUUUUCCAUCCUUAAUUUCCUCGUUCUAAUUUAAUUUAUAGUUAAAGAUAAUUAAGAUCAAUAUAUUUAGUUUGGAUCGUCUUAUAUUCUUUUGCAUUAUAUAUAAGAAGAUGUUGUCGUUUAAUUUUAUCAUUCAUUCAAUUCAUUUGUCGUUUUAUCAUUCAUUCAAUUUAUAUUCAACGAAUUCAAAUCUAACGGUGACAUUUGAAAUAUGAUUGGCAGUAACUUGAGGAAGAAGAUCCAAACGUAUAAGAUGAUUUAAUCAAUUCUUGCUUUUGCUAAGAGAUUUGGACCCAGGCUAACGCACAAGACUUCCUGUAGGGGCUGAAAAUUGAAAGCCAUGAGGCUUCCACGCGUGCGAGCCGAAACAAAAUACAUGUAAUAAUUUCAUAAAUAAGUGUGUUUGAGAUGAUAGUAAUGAUUAGUUUUUAAAAUGAUUUUUAUUUAAAAAUAAAUUUGAAGAAUUUUUUAUUUAUUUUUAAUUUUUUUAAAAAAUUUACCAGUUUAGAGUGUGAUUGCUGUUGUUUUUCAAAGUGUUUUUCACUUGGAAAUAUAUUAAAAUGAUAUUUUUUUAUUUUUAAAAAAACUAUUUUUGAUAUUAGCACAUCAAAAUGAUAUGAAAACACCAAAAAAAUAUUAAUUUGAAGUAAAGAAAACAAUAAAAAAAUUUAAUUUUUUUUAAAAGCUUUUUUGAAACGUAAAAAUAAAAUAAGUUUAAAAAUAUUUUAAAAAAAUUAUUUUAAAGAGAAAAAAAAUAAAAUUUUUAAAAACUCUAGGUAAAACACUUUUAUAAACAGAUAGUAAAAAAGUGUAAAAAAUAUGCUUAAAAGGAUGGAGAGGGAAGAGGGUCCCUUGAAAUGGUGGGAUAUGCAGAACAAAAGCAUGACAUCUUCUCUGCUCCCACACCAAAAACUUAUCCGUCUAUAUUUAUUUUUAUUUUAUUUUUUUCAUCUUUUUGUUGCCUUGUGGUGGGCUGUGGCCCCCACAACUCCCACUCUCCAUCUACGUGUCGAUCUGUACCACGUUUCGGAACUACACGUGUCAGGCCAUCAAUGGUCUUAUUUCAAGUUUGCGUCAUUAUCAGCUCGCAUCACCCCCACAUCAAUCCCUUCUCCUUCACUAACCAUUGCAUGCCUUUGCCAACCUAUGCAUGAAUUUGGCGAAAACAGCCAUGGGUAAUUAUGUAAUCACAACAACCACAAUUACUAAUCAGCCCUUCAAUUGUGUUACAUGCUGGAUUAUGAUUGGUGAUUAAGGUAAAGUCUAAACAGACUCCUUGGUACCUGAUUCUUGCCCUAAAUAUCCAUCAGGGUAUAUAGCUAGCAACUCUCUCCCCUUUGUCCUUUAAAAAGAAAGGUCAUGCCACCUCUAUGCAACAUUUGAACCACCUCUCUAAAUUGCAUGUUCUCUGAUAAUAAACGCUCUAAAUCUCAGGACUCCUCAAUCUCACUACUCCAUCAAUGGAAAGAACUGAUUCCUCCACAGGAGGUGCGGGCGGUGGUGGUGGCGGUGGCGGUGGCCGCGGCUCGCAACAACCAAACCUUCCACCGGGGUUCCGGUUCCACCCCACUGAUGAAGAGCUAGUGGUUCACUACCUCAAGAAAAAGACCACUUCUGCCCCUCUCCCUGUGGCGAUUAUCGCAGAAGUUGAUCUUUACAAGUUUGAUCCAUGGGAAUUACCAGGUUACAUACAAUUCUUAUUAAGUAUUGUGUACUAUAUAUAUAAGGAAUUAAAGCCUAGUAAAUCUUGGGUUCAUCUUGUUUUCAGCUAAGGCCACUUUUGGUGAACAAGAGUGGUACUUUUUUAGUCCGAGAGACCGGAAGUACCCGAAUGGAGCUAGGCCAAACAGGGCAGCAACUUCAGGGUAUUGGAAGGCUACAGGAACUGAUAAGCCAGUAUUAUCUUCAGGAGGUACACAAAAGGUUGGGGUUAAGAAAGCACUAGUCUUCUAUGGUGGUAAACCUCCUAAAGGGAUCAAAACCAAUUGGAUCAUGCAUGAAUACCGGUUAGCUGAUAACAAAGUGAAUAACAAGCCACCAGGAUGUGACUUGGGAAACAAGAAAAACUCUUUAAGGGUAAUCAAUGAUCGCUUUCUACAAAGUUUUUGAUUACAUAUAUGUUGUCCUUCUACUUUCGAUACUUUUCAAAUACACAGCAGGAUUAAUGGUGAUUACUGUUUGUUUGUUUGUUUUACCUUUCUUUCCAGCUUGAUGAUUGGGUGUUAUGUCGGAUAUACAAGAAAAACAACACGCAGAGACCAAUGGAUCAUGAUAAAGAUGAUUCCAUGGAUGAUGUGCUUGGAUCAAUACCGCCUUCGAUAUCAGUUGGAAGCCAUCAGAAUGGAACACUGCAUCUUGCAAAAGGAACAAACUUUGGGGCAUUGCUUGACAAUGACCACAAUUUAUUCGAAGGAAUAAUCAGCAGCAGUGAUGGUAUCAGAAGCAGCAGCUCUUCUUUGUCUCACAUGGCCUCUUCAGUAACCAAGCGAGACCUACUUAUGCUUCCACCCAAAAGAACACUCCCAUCACUAUAUUGGACCGGCGAGGACAUGGUUGGCCCUUCAUCAAGUAAGAGAUUUCAAGGGGGUAUUAAUGGUGAUGAAAUUGUUGUGAGGACCGAUGGGAAUAGUUCCGUAGCUACCCUGCUCGGUGAACUUCCACAGACACCUCAAUUGCACCAACAGACAAUGUUGGGAUCUAUGGCAGAUGGGAUUUUUAGGUCACCAUAUCAAAUUCCAAGCAUGAAUUGGUACUCUUAAAUUAAAAUUAGUCUUAAUUCAUUGGUCUAUGCAUAUAUUAUAUUUAGGCCUAUGAAUACAUUCCUGGUGGGUAAUUUGAAGCAGUCAAAUGAUGAUCACGGUAUAUACUUGUUUGUAUAUACGAUCGCGAUUAAUUCGUAGUAGUAUCAGCUUCCCAUUGGGGUAUUGAUCAGAUUUUGAUUGUUAUGAAGAGAUUAGAGAGUCAUUUAAUGGCCUCCAGUUUCUCCAAAUUAAUGAAACAUGUAGCUGCCAAUUUGAAGCGAGGCCAUAGAUAUAAAUCAUAUAUAUAUAUAUAUAUAUAUAUAUAUAUAUAUAUAUAAAGACAUGUAUAGUUGCAUAUAUAUAUUCUAUACUUGUUUGGUUUUCGAAUAUUGUUGUUAGGGAAGCGAAGAAAAAUUGGAGGUGGGAUCCUGAUAUUGUAGAAAAAUAAAAUUGUUAAGUGAUUUAUAUAUUGCUUUAGGAGACGGUAGAUUAAACCUUGUAUGUACAACAGUAUAUUCUUACUAGAAGUUGCUUAAUUAUCCCAAAAACAUCACUACUGUUUAUCGUUUGCCUUUGUGUAUAUUAAUUUGUGUUCAUCUGGGUGAUCAUUUAAUAAGAUUGUGCUAUGAUGAGUUGUUUUCGUUGUUCAAUGAUGCUUGACGUUUAAAGAUGGCAUGCUUGGCUCGAUCUUUUGCAUUUCAUGGCAGCUAUUUUUUGGUGAAUGCAUAAACCCUAGAAGGUAAAAGAGAUCUUGGUGCUUUUUGUUACUUUAUCUUUUCCAGCCACGUCCAUGUUUGUGAAGAACAUGUACAAAAGCAUGUGUAAUUAAAUUGUGAUCAUGGAACUAGCAUAGUUGAUUUUCUUAUGACAUAAUAUAUUUUCUGUAAAUCCUGAGAGACUUGAUAACUUUUUUAAGAUGGAAUUGCCACUUAAUUUCGACAAAAAGAAGAAGAAAUAAUACAGAUAAUUAACACAGAAAUAUAAAUGUUGGUGGUGGAUCAUCUGUAGAUGUUCAAGAUAUACUAUAGCAACGUGAAAGAAUCGACACACAUGGUUGUCGCAUGAGAGAGAUUGAUGAUCUCGUGAGCAAUAAGCGAAAAAAAGGAUUGAUUAGUCGAAAAUGAAGUUUACUAACCUCUUGUUGGUUUUUCCCUCUGCAAGAUUAUAAAAAGAGGGAUGGAACUUUAGCACUAAGGUGUAUCUCUUCUGCAACAAAAAAAAACAAAAAGGAAAAAAAAAAAGACCUUCUUUGGAUUUUAUAAGCAUCUCUUCUUUGAAAGACACUCAUGAAUAGUUCCUUAUAAGGAUUAUCCUUUAGCUUUAUAAAUCUGAAUGUAAAGCUAAGCUAUGAGGUGAAAUUUAAGUUACUAUGAGGUGAAAUUUAAAGAUAUAAUUUAUAUUAUUUUUUAAUAUAUUUUUACAAGUAAAAAAUUAUUUGAACUUGAAAUUUAUACAAAUCUAUAUUAUCUUGUGUUUAAUUUUUAUCAAAUAAUUAAAUAGAGAUUGUAAGAUUUAAACUUGUGACUGUUGAGACUCUAAUAUCAUAUCAAAAAAUUAUUUUUAUCUAAAAAUUUAAAUUAUAAAAUGAGAUUUUAAAAUAUAAUUUAUAUUAUUUUUUAAUAAACAUGAAGGAUUGAAUUACAAAAAGCUGAUUUUCUUUUUUAACCUUCGAGUAUAAAUUAAAUUGUAUGUUUGGUAUGAUCUCCAAAAGAAUGAUAGGUAUUCGAGGGUGGGUGUCCUUUUCUUGAUUUCAUCUGCCAAGUGAUGAUUGAUUAGACAUGGCUAGCUAGGUAUAUUCUAUAUAUUGGAUGACCUAGCCAGAGUCGAGGGUCACACACUAAUAUUGACAACAAGAGGCUACCUCACAAAUGGCUUUUCUCUUGCUGACCAUGGGACCAUCUCGCUAUCACCAUAAGGAAUCAUUAUCACAAAACCACACAAAAUCAAUAUCUCCUUUAAUUGCAUUCCUUUCCGAGGAAAGCGUACAAAACAACUUUUCGAAAAAUUCAAUUCAUUAGUGCUUAAUCUCGGAAUGUAAAUUGAUAUUUGAUAAAAUGUGCCAUUAUCGAUUCAUCCCAGUCUCCUUUUCGGACGAUGCUUUCUAUUAAUUAAGCCUUGAAAGCUCUGCGAAUAUGAUUUAUUAGAUGAAUGCUAGCUUCCAUUAUAAUCUUUUUUGACAUACAUGCUAGCUUGCGUACGUAGAUUGAUAAUCAUGUAUAUACACACACACAAAGACGUGUCUUUCCACUGAUCGAUGCCUUACAGACAUAAAAUGUUAGUGAGUUGAGUGGUUAAUUACCAGCUUAUAAAUAAAUAAAUAUAUAUACAUGAGAUCUGUGAGGUCGAGUGGUGAAAACCAACAGGAGAGCACUUCUUGAUUGAGAAUAAAUUCUAUGCAUCAAUUAGGUCUUUUUCUGCUAAAAGAUGGCCAUUGUCAACUCUGAAAUGCAAAGUUCAAGAAUGCGAGUUUCAUUUUCAUAAAUGAAGGUGCCAAAAGGAUGGGGUUCUCCUUGACGAGGCCAUGUCCAGCCAACUAAAGUUCUAUACAAUCUUUAGGCGCAUGAUUGAACUUGAAGAACGGUCAAGAGGGAUUAACAUCUAGUUUUAGCUGCGACCCACAAAUUGACAGAUGGUUCAGGCAGAAAAGUACCCUGGACCAUUGAUGAUUCAGUUGACAAGGGCGAAGUCGCCCCGUAAUCAUGGCUUGUUAUAGUAAAUGGUAGGCACUAGAUUAGCAAUUUGUAGCUCAUAAUUGAACAUUUCGCCACGCCCCCACAUACAAAAUGGAAAAAGAUUGAGCUUUUUAAUAAACCUAUUUGUCAAUCAUCGUCGACAAGAGUCGGGAUUUGGGUUGCAGAUAGCUGGCGGUGGGUUGGGCUAGCUUGGAAUAAAAGCAGAAGUUUAAAAACAACUACAUCCCUUCCAUAAAAAAAAAAUCUAUUUUAUUUUUUUUACAUAAACUAUAAUUCAUACUUUUUUAUAUAUUUACUAUGUUGUCUUUUAUAUUUAAUUUAAUUUAAUUUAAUAGGAAAGCAUGUGAAUUUAAUUUUUUUUUAAAUAGUAAAGUAGUGAAUUUUGAUGUUCGAUUUUUUACUUUAAAAUAAAGAUUAUAUAUUUUGAGACAUCUAAAAAAGGAUUAUUUUUAUGAGAGUGAGGGAGUAGUUUGUAAGUUGUUUCAGUGUUCAUCAACAAAUCUAUCUAUAGGCAAUUUCUCUUGAAAACAGCAGGCUCCUUUGCAAACCGAAAAGAAAGCAAAAACAAAAGUUUCUUUAAGACAGAAAAAAGAGUCAGAAUUAUGCCAUAUUGAUUUGGAUGAGGCCAUGCCAACACCUGACCAUAUUGUCAAGGCAUUUAUUUGGUGUUGCGGUCCAAUUAUAUUUUUAUAAUUUUAAUUUUUAAUUUUAAAAUAAUUUUUUUAUAUUUUUAGAUUAUUUUGACGUAGUGAUGAUAAUUUUUUUAAAAUAAUAUAAUUUUAAUAUAUUUAAAAACAAAAUAUACUUAUAAACAAUUUAAAACAUACUCACAAAAAUUAGAUGAUGCAUAAGAUUAUCAAAUUUACCCCUAAUGAGACGGGGGUGGCCAAUUAUUUUCGUGCAAUUUGCAUGCUCACCUUUGGUUAGUCUUUUGUAUUAUUUUUUAGAGUACUAGUUCUUUGUUUUUAAUCGUGUGGGUGAAUACGUGUGGAAUGUCUUAGAGAUCGCGGGUUUGAGGUUGGGAGAUGUGCUUUAUUAAUUUUGAGGAGUCUAUCUCUUUUUUUCUUCAAAAAAAAAAUAAAUACAUUCAUCCCUUAUAAAAAGCAAAAACAAAAAGCCUAAGCCCGCAGACCUCCCUCAUCUCCACCUGUCUAGAUUUCGUUGUAACAAGCCUUUUGAAUUUUUGUAUUGGCCAUUUGGGUUUUUUGUCUUUUUUUUUUUAUUUUUGUUUUAUUUUUUUUUUAUUUUCAAUUAUAUUCUUUAAUAUGGAGUUUUUAUGUUCUUUGAGUUUUUUUAUCUUUUUAAUUUUAUUUUUUUAAUUUUAUCAUUUAAUAUAUGAUUUUUAUUUAAUUUUAUCUUUCAAUAUUAAAUUAAUGGUAAUUCAAUUUUUUUAUUUUUAUCAUAUAAUAAGAAGAAAAAUUGACCCUUUUUUAUCUUUUAGUUUUUUUUUCAAUUCCAUCCUUUAAUAUGGAGGUUUUGUUUCCUUUGAGUUUUUUUUUUUAAUUUCAUUAUUAAUAAGAGCUUUUUAUUUAAUUUUAUCUUUUAGUAUUAUAUUAGUUUUUUUCUUUAGACUUACCUGGUGAACAAGUCCGUAUUAAAACAAUUCUUACAUAAUUUAAUUUAAAACUUAAUUUAAGCAAAUUAUCAGGUUAUAAUUUUUCAAAUUUAAACCGUUGUAUCCAUGAAAAUGCCAAAAACAAUUCCAACAAUCUAGAUAUUAUUUUAUUACAUUCAAUUAAUAAACUAGUAAGAAGCUACAUAAUAAACUAGUAAGAAACUACAUGAUAACGGGGAAACAUUCGAUGUAUUUUUAGAUAUUAGUUUUCACAUUAAGAUUAUUGAAUUUUGUUUUUUAAUUGGAUCGUAGACGUGUUAUACAUAUAUAUUCAAAUUGGUGCAAUAACAAAACAUAAAAAAAAAAAAAAAAACUUUUUCACAAAUCACCAUCCACACCAAACACCUCAAAAGGUUCCAUUCAAAAUAAAAUUCCAUAACUUGCCAAUGAAUUGGCAAAAGGAAUAAAUAUUAGUAAAAGGGGGCAAAAAAAAAAACAAGAAGGUUCCAUUUAUAGGUAUUGUUUAUUUUUGUAUUUUAAAAGUAUUUUUAAAAAAUUCUUAAAACUUUUAUUUUUUUAUUUUAAAUUAAUAUUUUUUUGUUUAUUCAAAUUAUUUUAAUGCACUAUAUCAAAAAUAAUUUUUAAAAAAUAAAAAAAUAAAUUUUAAAUAAAUUUUUUUUAAAAAAAUAAUCAUAACUAAAUUCUUAAACACCCAAAAUCGAGUCGGUGCUGGUCAUCGAAGCCAUUAAUAUGCCGAGUAAAACGUUGUGGUUGACAAGUAGUCUAACAUUUGAAAGUCAAAAACAAUGGCUUUGUAUCCACCAAGCCAUAAUUGACACACUACCAGGUGCUUAACAGUUCAAGGUCUUCUUGCCAAGCCCAACCAUAUGGAAUCAUGAGAAAGUCCUGAAGAAAAGCCUCGUCAAAACAUGCAUGAUUGCAUUACUAUUUAAAAAGCUUUUAACAUACGAGAAGCCAACUGUGGCAGAACAAUUCUCUCUCAUUUCCAGCUCAAAAUCACACCCCCAUCUCUUUCUUGGCUCACAAAAUGGAAACCAUCUCCCAAAAACAGACUAGAGGAAGGCUCCAACCUCCAGCAAGACAGUCACUUGGUGAGGGCAACAGGGUUAGGAGAAAUAAUCAAGUAGCGUCCAUCUCUCCUAGGCCACGGUCAACUUGUACGUGCUCAAACCGUCCGGGGUCAGUCAGGUGUAGCAAGCACGGCUAUCUGGUGCCUAGUGACAAGUUAAGAAGAAAUCAAGCAAAUACAGAGAUAUUAAGGAGGGCUUUAGCACCACCAAAUCGGAGGUUAACCCUUCGGUGGUUUAACUUCCAGCCAACGCCUAGUCGGCUUUCUAACAUGUCCAUGGCAUAGUUAUUUGCAAUAUUUUUUUUAGAUGGGUGUUCUGUAUUUAUCUCAAGAAAUGAUUGUCUAUAUGUAAAUCAAUUGAACAGCAAUUCCUUUUCAUUUGUCUUCUUUUUCUAACAUUUCGUUAAUAUGGCAUCGCUGUUUUUCAAAUUUAUGUAUCUGCUUGGUGGAGAUUCUUAAGGUUGACCUGUUCUAUUCUUGUUGUUAGAAAGCGGGAUGACCUCUUCAAAUCUUUACGGCAUGAAAUUCAUAAGGUUGGCCUUUUCUUUUCUUGUUGUUAAAAAGAGGAAUCACUUGGAGUUUUCCAAUUUCAUUAAGAACAGAACAACACCAGAAAAAAGAACAGUAAAAGAUAAAAAAUAUAUAUAUAAAAAAAUGAAGUGCUUUUUUAGUGCCGGGAUGUAGCGAUAAAAACAAACAUUUUAUUAGAUUAGUGCCUUUGAAGAUGCUAUAUGGACAGACACUAAAAUGUAUGCAAAUACUGUGCAUGGAAUCAUGAAGUUGCAGCAUUGAGAGCAACAGUGGAUGCAUUUUCAAGUCCCAAAGUUGUAGCUUAAUCAAUAUGGAAAGCUUAAGAAUUACGUUCAAGGGUCUUAAAUUCAUGCAGUAUCAGGACUAUCCUUUGGAGGGUAAUUUUUUGGAGACCCUAGACUUUGCUCGACUACCCAGUAUGCUGCUUGCCUUCUUACUUGCAAUGAAUAAUUUUACAGAAAUUUUGUUCAGCUUGGAAAAACAAAAACCAUUCCUCUUCGGAUGCAGAGUUACUAACAAUUAUGUGACAUCGAUUUAUUUGAUUACAAUGUCUCACCCUGCUGUAUCCGCAUCAACAAAUACAGGGACCGUCAGCCUGAACAUGUAUAAGCUUUCAGACGUUUAAAUUGUGAACCACAGUACGGUGUGGCUAUUGGCUUUCAGUUCACUCCUUGUUUAUGUUAGAGGGGAAGAGCGCAGGAUCGCAGAGAAUGUGCAAGAGAUUAGGGGGCACAUAAUAGGAGUCUAGAGAAAGGAACCUACAACAAUUUCAACCGUAGGCAAACAAACAAGUCAUUAUACUCCGAAUUAUGAACUGGAACCUGUCUGGAUUGUUGAAAUUGAGACAGCAAAAAAAUCAUUCUAAAGAAAAAGGCCUCUUAUCUCCAUUGCUCUGUCAUCCACCUUCUUCCUUUCCCUUCUUCAAUAGCAAUGCAACCACAACUCAAUU
Molecule: long non-coding RNA, 484380 nt
Filed under: Populus trichocarpa (black cottonwood)
Lineage: Eukaryota; Viridiplantae; Streptophyta; Magnoliopsida; Malpighiales; Salicaceae
Description: long non-coding RNA (PTRI_LNC000409)
Source: RNAcentral